RNAcentral lists this long non-coding RNA (419228 nucleotides) under Olea europaea (common olive). RNAcentral describes it as "long non-coding RNA (OEUR_LNC008438)". The record is from RNAcentral. Lineage: Eukaryota; Viridiplantae; Streptophyta; Magnoliopsida; Lamiales; Oleaceae.
AAGAAACGUCUUUUCUAUUAUUUACAGGUACAUCUUUUAUUCUGGUUGAUCUGGCUUGACUACUUCGACGAACGAAAGGGAAGUUCUUGCUUUUAUUUAUUGUUGGUUUAUAUUACUGUUUCAUUUUGAAAUUGCAUCAAUUAAAUUUUUGUGCUGCUACUGAUCUAUUUUUAUCUAAACUCACGUAAUUGGAUCCAUUGACCUCGUUAAAUCUCACUUUAACCUGCUUAUUUUACGUGAUUAGGUUUUGGCUAGUAUUUGAUCAUUGCUUUAUUAUUUUACAUAUACUAGCAGUACUAGCUUGUUGUAUAUAAUUUUAGUCCCAAAAUUUAAAUUAAAAAAAAAAAUUAGCUCAAAUUUUCAUUUUCCAUUAGUUGCAUUUUUUGUUCGUUGAUCUCUCUAUUGCAUGUCAUUAAGUUGCUAUUACAGUGCAUGUAGUUACAUAUUGGUCAUCUUGUCACUUCUAGCUCUAGUACCUUAAACAUGAACCCCUCACAAUUCGAUGCACUCACCCGACAAAUAGCGGCUAUUCAAACUCAAAUGACCGCUACUCUUGAAGAGAGUAAGGUCCUAUCUGCUAGUUUGAAAAAUUUUAAACACAUCCCUCAUUCGAUUGAUGUUGAUAUUGAAAAAUAAUUGUAAAGGUCGUGAUAGUCCAAGAUCUUCUUUUCCAUGUAGAAAGCAUAUGGACAAUCAUUCUUCGGUGUCAUUGGCUCCAAUUCCUCCCGUUAAGUCCCUUCUAGGACCUCCCCCGUCUGAUAUUCCUCCAAUUUUGAAAAAUAAGGGUAAAAAUUUUGAUAAUCAUCAUUUGGCUUCAUUGGCUCCACCUCCUCCCAUUAAGUCCCUUCUAGGACCUCCCCCUUCUAAUGGUUCUCCAAUUUUGAAAAAUCAGGGUAGAAUUUCUGAAACUUCAAGGUCUUCUUCUCACUUGUCGUGCGUCAACUGUAAAGACUUUGGUCACAUUUCUUCUAAAUGUCCUAAUCGAACCCUAGUCAUGAAAGAACGAAAAAAUGUAAUAGAGGAGCCGUUAGAAGAUCUAGUCUAUGAACCUAAACUUGAAGAUUUUGAUGACUUGGAUAAUAGUGAGGACACUUCCUUAGGUGGAAUCCAAACUCUUCUCGAGACUUUGGAUACUAUAUCCCUUAUCUCCGACAAUUCUCGAUCACAUGUUAUAUGUCAUACCCUUACCCAAGUUAAAGAGCUUGAUGAUGUCACCAAUCACCCUUGGAAAAUCCAGUCACCUGUGGUUAACACUAAGGCAAAAUUAUCCACCACUGACCAACCUCAAAUUGAUGGUCAAAACAAAAGUGCUAACCAAAAUCCUGACAAUUUAUUACAGUCUCUAGUCCAGAAAAAUCUUAGGAAUUGGGACUUGAUCCCUCCAAUUGUUCAAAUUGCAUAUAACGAUCCAGUGAACUGGUCUUUAGGUCUAAAAUCCUUUGAAAUUAUUCUUGGUUGCGAACCUUUGAAACUUCUAGACCUUAUUCUCAUGCACCCACAUGCUUGUGUGUCUAUGUCAGUUGAAGUAGUUGUAUCACAUUUUCAUAACUUGCAUAUUGAGAUCAAUAAACAAUUUGAAGCAAGUAAAGCAUUAUAUAAACCUUAAGUUGUUUGGCAUAAACAAUACUUUGAAUUUAAUAUUGGGGAUUAUGUUAUAUUGCAAGCGUGUAAUGCUGGUCUUUUUAAAAUUUCAAAACAUGUUGGUCAAAAUGUCUAUGUCAAUGACCUUUUAUCACAUUAUGAUCACCACCCUAUUUUAUUUGUUACGGACUUCGAUGCUUACAACGGCUAUUUUAGCCCUUCUGAUGACCCGUUUCUACUCCCACAUGAGAAUUCCCACACUGACUCUUUUGCCAUGUCUGCUUCAAUCCCACCUAUCACAGCACACAAAAAUAAAAUUGAUGUUAUUUUGGAUGAACAGCUCGUGUUGACCAAUAAUAGAGAGAUUCAAUACUUUCUUGUUCGUUGGAUGAAUCGACUUGAUUCUGACGGUACAUGGAUUCCCAAAGAGAGACUUCAGCAGCGUGAGCCAAAUUUAUUGGAGCUUUAUAAGAGUCAGCAAAAUUCUCACUCACCUAAGUUAUCUUGGUCAGCUCAUGUUUUUGCGGGUAAUUUGCAAUUGGCAUCGUCACCAUUUGUGGAAUUUCGAUAUUUGGUUCGUCAGAAAGAUCGUCCCCCAUGGCAUGACUUGGAGCCUUUAGCAUCAGAUUCAUUGCAACAUUUUGAUUUAUCCACUCGACGGGGUCGAGUUUUUCUCCCACCCCGGGAGAGUUGAUGCGGACAUCCAUUUACUAUUUAUUUUCUUUUUGGACUAUUAGUUAUAUUCUAUUUUGAUUAUUAUUUAUAUUUCUGUUAUUGGGCUUAUUUAGUGGGUUUGGCCCAAGCCCUUCUCUUUAGGGUUUGUGUUCUGCUAUUUAUUUCUGUUUUGUUUCUCAUUUGAGACAGUUGAUGAUGAAUUAGAAUUGAAAUAUUUUUGGUGGCUUGCAGCCGUUUUCUCCCUCCCCUCUCUUCCUCUGGUUUCUUCUCCUCUUCUCCCUUCUCUCUGUUUCUCCUUCCCGUUCCUUCUUCUUUCUUUCUUAUUCAUCCUACAUCAGAAACACUCUUGAAGUUCAGAUAAACACUUUAGAGGGCAAAUGCAAUAUGGCUAAUUUUUAUUUCUUUUCCCCUUUUGUGUAUUGAUUGUGUUGGAUCUUCUUGUGGACAUACAAUGAUGUAAAAGAAUAUAUUUAAUCGAUCAGAAUUGCUUUAGAAUAUAGAUUUGCUUCUUGUAAUUUGUGAAUGUUCAGUAAUUAGCACUACAUUCUAUCGUUCUAACCUUCUUGCCAGGUGUUUAGUAUCAGAAAUAAAUCCAAUUAACAAACCAGUAAAAACUCGUAAACUUUCCUUUUUCUGUUUCGUCUAUUAAAAGUUUAGCCCCUUGAAAUUUAAUUCUCGGAUUGACAUAAGUAUUAUAUUCUUUUUGUUAAUUUUGUAUUCUAAAAAUAUGUAGCUUUAUCUAUUAAUCGAAUGUCGAACAUAUGUUCGUUAGAUUUAAGCCUAUUAUUUAUAAGAAAAAUUCGCACACCUAUCCCGACUACGCUACUGAAUAUCAGUCUUCGGCUCCAUUCCUUGUUGAACAUGGUAUCUUUUAUCUCACCUCUCUGCCCUACACUUUGCAACACAAUGAUUUCUUUGAACGGCAUCACACCACAUUGUUGAGAUCGGUUUUACCUUUCUUCGCCACUCGUCUCAUUCCCUCACUCAAGUAUAUUUUCUCAUUCGAUUUCGCCAUUGCAACUAACCCCAACUCUCCCACAGUUACCUAUUGGGAUACCUCCGCCUGUUACCAGCCAUCUCAUGUCAUCGGUCAUCCCCACCUACCUAGAUCCCUUUAUACGCUACUUCUAUACCACUGUAUUCUUAGUGCCUAUUGACACUGUCCCAAAAUCUGUAUGUCCCCAAUAAUUCUCCCUAGCAACAAUAUCACCCAGCCGAUACCCGACUCCCAAGUUUCUGCCAUGUUGUUUUCCAUUAUUCACACAUGUCACUUACUUGUGAUGCUCACAUAGAGAUCUUAGAAAUGGUACCUAAUUUGCAUAUAUUUGACUUACAAAUGAGCCUCAUGUGGGUUGUGUGUUUAUAUAGUAUAUUUUGCACGAUAAAAUAAUAAUUUGUAAUAAAUAAAUUUUAGUUUUAUUUAUUUAUUGCAUUAUUUACUAUUGAGCAUUCGAAUUAAAGUGCCUAUAAUCACUUAUGAUAGUAUAAGUUGAUACUUACGUUGAGAAGUACAGUGUAGCACAACUUAUGUUUUACGAAUAAAUAAUUUAUUCACAAUCAAUGUAUAAAGGUUAGUACCUUGUACUAAAAGAUUGACGUGUUGACCGAUUUACUAUUCAGGUUUGUGAUUUGUUCUUAUCAUAAAAAUAGUUAAAGGUGACAUUGGUAUACUUGGAGUGUAUUGAAUGGACAACGCGUCGAAUUUAAUUUUCUAUAUCAUGAUCGUGCAGAAAAUUAAAUUUCACUUGAUCGUUGUAAAUUUCAUCUAAACUCUUUCACAUGAUUAAGUAUAUAUUUUCAUGAUUGUAACGGUUCUUUAAUUCAUUAAUGGGUAACAUCGAUUUGACUAGUCAAAUAUUUCGAUGAGUUGGGAACUUAAGAAUAAGCGAAAUAGAGAAUAUGAAUUCGUGUCGAAAAUCGUCACCCUGAAAAAUGAGUAGAGUGACUAUUUAAGUAUCUUUUACAAAUAACAAACUAUCAAAUUAAAGGUCAUAAAUUAACAUUUUUUAGGCCACAUUAUUUCCUGAUUACAAUUUAUUUUUUUCAUUAAUCAUAUAUUAUUUAUUGGUCACAGAUUAAUCGAUUUGAUGUUCAUAGUCAAUCAAAUAAUUUGUGACAACUACCAACAUUUGCGACCACCAUCUUAUCACUACCUCCAACAGCAGCACCACCACAUUGUCACCAGAACUACCACUACCACCUCCCGACAACAACACUAUCAUCUCAAACAAAUCAACACAUCGCAAAAAAAAUCCUUAUUUUGAAUUAGAAAUUCAUCCUAAAAACCAUUUAGGAAAUUCACGAAUCUGCCACAAAUUGAUGGUGUAUGACGGGACAUCCCAAGCCCUUAAAGAAAGGAAAUAUUAGCCCUUCUCUGAUUUUGAUUCGUUCAAAAUGACUUUUUUCUCCAACAAAUUUUCAAACCACACCUCCAAAAAAAUCAUUUUUCCCAAAAAUCACUUCUCUAAAUAUUAAAAUCAAGAAAGGGCUUCAAUUUCUUGUACUUGUGUGCAGUGCAUUAUUUGAAGAAUGGGUUUAUUGCUUACACUAAGUUCUGUUAUUGCUGUCACUCACGUAUCUAUCAUCUUAAUCCAUAAGAAGCUCCUGUAUUGUGAAAUUUUGAACAUAUAAUUCUGCCUUUACUUGUCAUAGCUGAGCAAAUAUAGAAUAUUUACUCGCAGGGGCGGAACCAGACAGUUCGAAUUGUGGGAUCAAAAAUGAAAAUUUUUUUUCGAACCACGUAUCACGAACAAAAAGGAGAAAUCGGUGGUUUGCUAUUUAUGUUCGAUGUUUACACCUUGGGAAGAAAUUGAUGGAUUAUAUGAUAUAUCUAUGGACUAACUAAUAGAUAUGGACCAUGUGAUAUGAAUUUAGAUUUAUGAUUUGGACUUUUUGGGCAUUGGGCUAGGAAAUUAAUUGGGUUGGUCACUUGGCUGUUGGGAGCAGGCAGUAGGAGAGAAAAAAAUUACGUUUUCAACAGCAGAGGAGAAAAAAAAAAUCCAAAAAACUAUGAGGUCAUUGGACCCACAUGACCCCAUGUGGGUCCGCCCCUGUUUACUCGUAUAUAUUGAUUUUCUGCUAUUUCUUUUGCAUUAUAAUGUUUGUCUGGCAUCGAGCUGGGAAUACCAUAAUUUAACUCACAUUUUCUUCUGCCUUGUUACAGGAACUGUUGGCAAGGCAUAAGUCAAUGGUAGCUGAGUUUCUUUCUAAAAAUUAUGACUUGGUGGGUGGCUUGUAUUUAAGUAAACUAUAUCAUUGUUGAUAAGCAUCUUCACCCGUUCAUUGCUGUACACAUGUUAAGACAAUGUCUUCUUCAUUCCAAUGUUUUAUGCCCGUCACUUGUUCACUAUUAAAUUCUUGAGUUUUGCUACAGGUACUCGAAGUUUGACACUCUAGUUUACCUGCUACUCAGAUGGGGGAUUAGGGACUCAUGCCAAUAAAUGUGUGGGGUCCGACCCCCUCACUCACACAGGUAACCCGACGUGUCAAACGUUGGGUACAAUUAAUAUUUUCCUGAAUUCUUAGAGAAUUUCUAAGAAAUUCUUUAAAUAUAAGUUGCUCUCUAUUUUAGAGAGUCAAUCCUUUAACUAUAUUCCAAUAGACUCUUUUUUAACUUUUUAAAUAGAAAGUAAGAUAUUUGUACUUUAUGAUAAUUGCAUUAAGCCCUCUUUGAGCUCCAUCCUUUGAAAACUCAUUUUUCCCUAAUUCAUUUUCAUCCAUACAUUCUUUCAAUAAAAUAAUUUUACAAGUAAAUUCAAAUUUUUUUUUUUUUUUUUGAUAUAUGCCUUAGAAGUUGACCGUUUGACUGAGUUGUUUUAAAAAAAAAAAAAAAAACCCUUUUUGCCUAGUGGCAUUUUUUCCUUUGUUAAAUUAUUUAAUCUUGACCUCACACAAGGCUAAGUUGUGACUGUGGCAUGGAGGGUUUUUGGUCUGUCUCUUUUAUAUGGGAUUAAUCCUAUUCUACACACAAAUGUGCGCAGAUUAGGCAUUCUCAAAAUUUCUUGGUUCAUCUCUUUAGAUCUCUAAUGAAUUUUGUGAUUUAUAUUUGGUGUAGACAAGGAGAGGAUACUCUGUCUCCCAAGAUGAAUUGUUUGGAGGGGACUCAUAUAGAAUAAUGGAAAAUGUUGUGUGUACAUUUUUACACUCCUCCCACAUGGAGGAGGGCUUACAAAUAUUUUAUUACAUGUGGGUCUCCCUCCAUGUGAAGGGGUGUAAAGCUGUGUAUACACCAUUGUAUACACAUAACACAACUCAUAAAUUAUAAUAAAAUAUAUGUGGGUCUCCUCCAUGUGAAAAUGGUGUAAUGCAUUAUUAUUUACACAAAAAAUGUAUAUGUAGCAUCACUCUUUUUGUGUGUUUGAGUCAUAUUAUUUUUAAAAAAUGUAUUUUGAAAUAAGAUAUUGAUGGAGAAUGUGUGGUCAAAAAAUAAGAAAAAUUUUUGGAUUUAUGUGUAAUAUUAUUUUAUUAAAGAUUGUAUAAUUGAAAUGAUAUCAAAUCACCAUAUAUAUAUAUAUAAUUUUUUUUUAUUCAAAUAAUGCAAUUCAAACGGGCCUUAAUAUAAGUCAUCACUCCACCAUGCCACUUGAUGCCAGUAGAAAAUUAUACAAUACUACUCGAAAUUUCAUACCAAUGACAUGUAACCCGCUACCGUUUUGUCCCAUCCCUAGCAAUAAAUAUAUAAUUAAUUAAAUCACAAAUUACAUAACUGUUAGUUCCAUCACUUCCACUCACUGCCAUUUGCACCGAUACAUCCAUACUGAUUUUUAGCUAGUUGUAGACAGUAUGAUCGGAUCAAACCAAAAUCGAACGAUUCGAUUCGAUUUGAUUCUACAAAAAAUUAAUGAUUUUAGUAUUUAUUCAAUGAAUUAUACCAAAAAAUAAACUUUGAAAGUUACAAAUGUGAAAUGGAAAAAAUGUUAUUUUUCAUUACAUUUUAGUAUUUUUACCUUAUCACCUAUCAGAUAAAGCAAUCAAAUCCUAGAUCUAAAUUCUAAUUUAUGUAAAAGAAUUGAUUGGGCGGAGCAUGAAAAUGGAACUUUAUAUUAUUAACUCUUAUUAGCAACUUGUUCAUCUAUAUUAGUAUAUCAUUGUUUUUAGACAAUAUUUUGUAUGGGGAUGGAACUGGACGCUUGUGUAUUCAAAUUAUGACUGUUUUAUUUGUUAGUUUGAACAUUUGUAAAUGAAUUUUAUUACACAAUAUUGCAUUUGAUGAUUGAUAAUUUUAAUGUUUGAUGUUUAUUUUUUUGAUUUAGAUAUAUAUAAUAUAUUACUAAUUUAUGAAUGAUAGAUUUUAAUUUGCAUUUAUCAUUUGAAAAUUUAAGUAAUGAAAUAGAACCAAACCAAAUCAAACAAGAACUGAAUGGUUCAACUCCGAUUUGGUUUCAUAUCUUAAAAAAAAAAAAAUGUAAAAUCAUUGGUCUCAUUAUUAAAAAAAUCAUUGGUUCAUGGUUAGAAUCGAUGGUAUUCUCUUGGAAUCAGUACUAAAUGGAACUAUAUCCACCCUAUUUUUAACCCACUACCAGUAUUUAUGAGUCUAGACUUACUGUUUCACUACCGAUUGUUGUAUUCAUGUCAUCCACAGUGACAAAAGAAAAAGCAAUCUCUACCAAAACAUCCGAUGAUUCCGAUCCAACCCUCUUCACUUCAUUUACGUGCCAUCAUAUUACCCAUAGCAUGGUGCAAAUAACCUCCAGGAUGUCCUGUUUCACAUCUCUAAAAAAGUUCAAAAUCGAGUCAUAUUUGUAGACAUGCAUCCUGGGAUUAUGCCCCACAAGGAUGAACUGUUUUUUACUAGUCAUCGUGCUUGUUUUGCAACUACUGCCUGGUUGAAAUUCAAGAGAUUCCAGAAUUGCAUUGCCCCUUCUACUUUAUAAUUGUACACAAGUGGUCCCAAUUUUUCUUAGCUAUUUCUUGAGAUCCACCACCAAAAAUUCUGAAUAAUGGCACAGAGGUCAUAUCUACUUGUCUAUGACAAGAAUAUUUUGGAUUCUUGGUCCUUUAGCAGCCCCUACUGUUUUCUUGUUCACUUAGAGCCAACAUGUCUUUUUCAUCCAUAACCAUAUAUUCCUCCUUGGAAUGUACCAUAUGAGAGGAAUAUGAACAAAAUGAUUGAAAUUUACAUGGAAUUUCUUGCCAUUGAACUUGCCCUAGAAAUCUAACAUGAAAAUUUUCUUAAACAACAAACGGACUCAAAGAUUUUCUUACGUCCUCCAUUGUUGGCUUGGCCUAGAGAAUUCCUUGUCAAUAUCGUAUAGAUAUGGAGAAGAGAAACUCAACAUUCAUUAAUAUUGGAAUUCAAAUUACAAUUAGGGCUUGUUUGAUAGGUUCCAUUUUACAUGGAAAAUGGAAUUUUCCACCAUUUUGGUAUGUUUGAUAGCCAAAAUUUUCAUGGAAUUGGUUUUCCAUGGAACCCCCCCACAUGAUCUGUUUUUCUUGCUCUUUAAGGAAAAUCAAUUCCUUUGGUUUUGAUGGGAAUUAUGUUUUCAUUUUUAUUUUUAUUUUUCAUUUUCUGGUAAUGAAAACAAAUUCUAUUUACAAUUGUAACAAAUUAUAUCCCUUUAAUUGAUAAUCUUCAUGAAAAAUAUUGCCAAAUGAACACCUAAAGAUUCAAAAUUUCAACAUUUUUGCAGGUGAAAAAUUAUACCAAUCAAACACAUUUAAUUGUCAUUUCCUAGUAAAACAAAUUCUAGACAAUUCAAUUCUCCGAAAUUCGUUUUCUUUCCACCAAAAUUCUGUUCUUGUAAUCAUACGGACCCUUAUAUAAGAUCUAAUUGACAAUAGGAAAAACGUAUUGUCAAGACAAAUCAAUUGCUACAUUUUAUACCAUAAAAGCAAAAAAGAAGAUAGCUGGGAAGUAAUUCACAAGUAACAAAGCAGUGCAAUGCUAAGUACAAAAGGAAACAACCCAUCCUAUCUUUCUCUAAACCAGGCACACCUCGCAACACCUAUCUAUCUAUAUGUAGAAAAUUGGUACAAAACAGAAAACUUAAUAGAAUGCAACACACUUGGUUAUUGAUCAUUUACCACUUAUUUAUUGUAGUUAAAAGAGUCUGUAUAACUCCUAAAAAGCUAGAGUACGAGAUAUCAAUUGAUCACAAGAUAAUGACAAUAUAAGAUAUCAACUAAGUACAUGAUAUGGACUAUAAGAUAAUUACAAAUAUUUACAAGUAAACUCCAUAUCAGUUUAUUAUUUGAUUUAUCUCUAAAAUGCACCCUCAAAAUGGCGGUACUAUGACAACCCCAAAAUUUCACUUCAAUUUUUUAAAACAAGUAUUAUAUCUUCAAGGCAGGCUAUUGAUACCAAGAAGAAGAAUUAAGAGUGUGCUUGAUUACAAGCAUGGAACUUACAUGGAGAGCAAAUAAGUUCUAAGCAAACUGUCUAGAACUUAUUUAGAUGAAAAUUGUCAAUUAAAUAUAUUGAAUUGGCUUAACUUUUUACCUAGAAAAUGUUGUUUUUUUUUGAUAAAAUUAAGUUUUUGUGAUGUGAAAUAGGACAGAUUGUUCACUGUUUUUUAAACCACUUUUCAAACUUAUUUUCAAGGAUCAUUUCUUGAUAGAAAUAACAAGAAAACAAAUUACAAUCGCCUUUGAAUAGUUAUCUAUCCCUUUGAGUUUACUUUUACUCAGGAUAAUGUGGGUACCAAUUAAAAGGAAGUAGCGACAUGAAGCUCGUAAACUAAAAUUGAGCGGAAGACAUGAAAACAUAAACCUCUACCUUCAUUUAAUUGGUUUAAAUUUAUGACAUUACAAAAGAUUUUAAUAAGGUAUCCCAACUUGUACAAAGACUUAAUCAAGAUAUUAAGAUGUCUAAACGCGAUUAUAAUUAAAAUCCUUCUUGCACAUAAAGCCCGAGGUCCUUGAGGAUAGUAAGACCAAACAUUCUUCUAGGGGAUCAAAUGGUAUUCUCGCUUCCACCUUUAAAUAUCCUCACUCCAAUUCCAACAUGAAUCAUGAAACAAUUACGAAUAUUGAUGUCCGAUGAGUAAAAUACGGAACACGUAAGUUAUAUAAUUGCAUAACAAAAUCAUAAUAUCAACUAUUGUAAAAGAUAAGUUUUUUAGGGUUUAGAAGUGAAUGACAAUUAUACUCUUACAGCCCUAGAAGAAAUUGCUGUUGUAUUUCUGAUUCUGUUCUAUAAAUAUAGGGCUUUAGUUUUUAAUAAAAUAUAUACAAGUCUAUUGACUUCUCUCUAUUAUGUUCUCUUUUAUAACACGUUAUCAGCAUGAUUCUCUUAGAAUGUAAUAAUUUUCUUAAGUAUGAUUAUAAUGUGUACUGAAAUUAAUUUGACAACACGUGAAUAUCCAUAUCAAUAUGCUCCAUACGAAAAGCGUUCCACUGCAAUCAAUUCUUUUACAAAUCUACCAUCACAAUCAAUUCUACAAUUGUGCAUAUUAGUGCCCAACUUUUGUGUGUCUGCCAAAUCAAUUAUCAUGCAGCCAUUCCAUGUUUUAUUUAGUCAAAAUAUAUUAUUUUAUUGUGAUUAUGAUUACUUUUUGUUUGUUUGUUAAUGCUUGUUAGUUUUUACACGUAAUUCCACGGUUUCGGCAAUACGUUUACUAUUGCCUUUUAAUUCAUGAAGCAAUUUAAUUUAGACCAUGACUUUGAUUCAUGCCUAUAUAGUUUAGUUAUUGUUUCAUAUGAGAAUUUACAUCACAAUAUUAAUUAAGUAUUUUUCGACAUUCCCUUUCUUUAUUCAAUCUGCCACAAUUUGUGUGUGGUAAUGAUUUAUUGUUUACUAAUUAUUUAUUCACUGCGUGUCAUAUGCAGUAAUGAUUACCUUAAUUAAUAAUGAAAUAUUUUUAUUUCUGUUGUAUGCAUAGUUAAUAUUCUACUCCUGUAUUUUUUACUAGAAAUUAUGUCAUAGUCACUGUCUAUUAUGUUCACCACAUAAUGAUUUAUUUUGCAAAUUUGCUAAUUAAUUUUUUUAACUUGAUCAAAUACUUUUAGAUGCUCUUCUUUAAACUUAAAUUAAUAAUUCAUCAUGUUGUUACUCUUGAAAUAGUAUAACAUUAUAAUUAAUAUUACAGGAGAAUAUUAAUCGAAAAUUUAUCUAUUAUAAAUAGUCUAUUGAUGCUCAUGAAGUAGCACAAUAUUAUAAUUGAUAUUCUUGAAGAAUAUUUCUUACUCUCGAAGAGCAUAAAUUAUAUUACUUACUAUUGCUCUUGAAGAAGCAAUAGUAAAAUACAUUAUGCUUUCGAAAUAGCACGUGUUUCGAAGAACAUAUUAUUUUAAAUUAGUGUUUAUCCCUGAAAGAAAACAUGUAACUUAUGUCAUGUUGACUACUUGAUUAAUUAUUAUAUGAUGUUUAAUCAUAUUCUUUGAAAUUAAUUGCAUUUUCUUUUACUUUAUUAUAUAGUUAAUCAAAUGGCAAAUAUCAUGGAACUCGAGUUUGCUGCACUUGAUAUAUCUGAAAAAUUAUCUAUCAUGGGUACUCGAUGCUGAUAUUUAUCUUGUCUCAAAAGAUUUGGGAGAAAUAAUAAAAGAAAGAAACAAAGAAUCCCCACAGGAUCGUGCAAAAGCACUCAUCUUCCUUCGCUAUUAUCUUCACGAUGGAUUGAAAUUGAAUAUCUUAUUGAAAAAGAUCUACAGGUUCUUUUGAAAAAAAUUAACUGAAAGGUUUGAUCAUCAGAGGACUAUAGUUCUCCCCAAAACCUGCUAUGAGUGGAUGUAUCUUCAUUUGUAAGAUUUCAAAACUGUUAGUGAGUACAAUUUCAAUGUUCAUAAUAUGUUCAAAAUUGACUUUGUGUGGAGAAAAAAUCACCGAUAAAGAUAUGUUGGAGAAAACCUUUUUUCACCUGUCACGCCUGGAAUGUACUCCUGCAGCAGCAAUAUCGUGAGCGUGGUUUCAAAAAGUACUUAGAACUUAUAUCUUGCCUACUUGUAUCGAACAGAAUAAUGAGUUGCUUAUGAAAAAUCAUGGGUUACGUCCAACUGGUUCAGUACCAUUACCUGAAGCAAAUGCAAUAUCAAGACAAGGACGUGAACAUAAAUGUGGAUUUGGACAUGUAGGUGGAGUAAAUUAUGGACGAAAUAAUCAACAAAAUUAUCGACAAUAAGUCAACAAUUUCAAAAGGCUUUGAGCAAACGAAAGUAGCAUAUCUAAAAAGGUACACGAAAAAAGUUACUUUAGAUAUGGAAUAAAAGAACAUUGGACACGUACAUGUCGUACCGCAAAACACCUUGUGGAUCUCUACCAAAAAUCAAUCAAGGGAAAGGGGAAAGUGAAGACAAAUUUUGCUGACUAUGAUGGUCCAAUUGAUGUGACUAAUUUGGAUGUCUCCCAUUUCUUUACUGACCCAUAUGGGAAUAUUGACAAUUUGAUAGGGAGUGGUGUGAUGAAAAAUAUAUAUUAAUUUUUUCUAUAUUUUUAGUAUUUCCCUUUAUUUUAGAAACUUAGUUGAAAAUAUAUUUUUACUUUUCGCAAAAAUUUUGAACUUUAUACACAUCAUUAAUUUCACAGUAUUAAUUAUGUUUAUCAUUUUAAAUUUAAAUUCAAGUUUUUUUUAAAUAUAUCUAAUUUGUUAUAUUGAUAGAUUCAUGAUAGAUUGUCAAGACAUCUGCUUGUUUGAUAGUGCAACUACACGUACAUUUUUCAAGAGAAAAAAUAUUUUUUUGGCUUAACAUUAGAAGAAAUCAAUGUCAAUACAAUAUCAGGUGCAUCAAAUAUUGUUGAAAGUUCAGGAAGAGCUUAUAUUAUUUUACCAAAUAAUACAAAAAUAUGCCAUCGUUUGAGCCACAUUAUUUUCCUUAAAGUACAUUUUUGAAUAGUGUAUUGAUGAAUAAUGUGUGGUUAAAAAAUAAAGAAAAGUUUUGAAUUUGUGUGUAAUAUUAUUUUGUUGAACAAUGUGUAGUUGAAAUGAUGUCAAAUUACUGUUUAAAAUGUAUUUUUUGUAAAAAAAAUUUUGCUCAAACAUGCCUUAUAUAUCAAGAAUGCAUUUUGUUUUAGCAAAUCGAGAAGAAAUUUGCUUAAUUUUAAUGAUAUCCAUUGCAAUGGAUAUCAUAUUGAGAUGACGCAAGAAAAUAAUGUUGAAUAUCUUUACAUAACUUUUUUUGUAUCUUGUCAAAAGCAAAUAAAAGAAAAUUUUCUUACACUCACAUCUAGCAUAUAUUAUACAUUUAUAAAAAUAUUUAAAUCAAUUAAUGUCACGAAUUAGAAGUUCGUUGACCCAAAGAAUUUUAUACUUUGUCAUGAUCAACUUGAACAUCUAGGAGUUAUAAUGAUGCGUCAAAUAAUAAACAACUCACAUAGCUAUCCUUUAAAAAAUCAGAAGAUUCUUUUACCAAAUGAUUGUCCAUGUACAGCUUGUUCGCAAGGCAAGUAGUCAUUAAACCUUCGAUUACAAAGGUCAAUAUUGAAUCUCCAACUUCCUUGGAAAGAAUUCAUGAAAAUAUAUGAGGGCCAAUACACUCACCUGGGACCAUUUCGUUAUUUUAUGGUAUUAAUUGAUUCUUCUACUAGAUGGUGACAUUAUUGCCUACUUUCCACUAAGAAUGUAGCCUUUCCUAGACUACUUGCUCGAAUUAUAAAAUUACGAGCACAAUUUUUCGAUUACUCAAUUAAAACUAUUCGCCUUGACAAUGCUAGAGAAUUUAGAUUAUGAGCAUUGAGUGAUUAUUGUAUGUCAAAUGGGAUUGUAAUAAAACACUCAUCUGCGCAUGUCCAUACACAAAAAUGGUUUGGGGAAGUCGUUUAUUAAACAUCUACAACUUAUUGUUAGACCAUUAUUUACAAAAACAAAACUCUCAACUUCUAUUUAUGGUCACGUCAUAUUACAUGCUGCAUCAUUGGUUCGUAUUAGACUAACUACCUAUUAUCAAUAUUCACCUUUGCAACUGGCAUUCAUUAUGAACUUGAUAUUUCUCACCUAUGGUUUUUUGGUUGUAUAAUCUAAGUCCCUAUUUCACCCCCCUCCCCCACAACGAACUAAAAUGUGUCCCCAACGAAAACUUGUGAUUUAUGUUCGUUUUGAUUCACCAUCAAUUGUUAGGUAUCUUGAGCCUUUAAGGGUGAUUUAUUUACUACAUCUUUUACAGAUUAUCAUUUUGAUGAAAUGAAUUUUCCAAAUUUGGGAGGAGAAGAACUAUAUCCUGAAAAUAAGGUAAAAUUACUUGGAAUGAAACAACUCUAUCUCAUUUUGAUCCCCAUCGCAAUCAACGUGAGUAAGAGGUUGAAAAAAAUCAUUCAUUUACAAAGAGUUACAAAUCAAUUACCUAAUAUAUUUGUUGACAAAAAAAAGUGACAAAGUCAUAUAUAAUAGUAGAAAAUAUUUCAGCAAAAAUUGAUGUCGUUACAGGUCGAUCUGCCGUAACAAACGAAUCUCAAAUACGCCAGAAGCAUGAUUGACCAGUUGGUUCAAAAGACUCUGUACCUCGAAAAAGAAAGGUAGAGGAGAAAAAUCAACCAAAAACUUUAGAAAAAGUAAUAUUAGAAAAGAUUGAUCAAUCAAAUAUUAAAGAUAUAGUUCCUGAAAAAUCACAAGUGUCCGAAAAUAAUGAGAUUUCAAUAAAUUAUAUAUUAUCUCAUAAAUUAUGGGAACGAAAUAAUAUUAUUAUAAACAAUAUUUUUGCCUUUAAUAUGGCGCUUGAUAUUAUGAAAAAUGAGGAUCCUGAAACACGGUUAGUUAAAAACUGCCAAAAUAGAAAUAAUUGGCCAAAUGGAAAGAAACCAUACUGGUGGAAUUGAAUUCCUUAGAGAAACAAAAAGUGUUUGGACCUGUAGGUCGAACACUUGAAAAUGUAAUCCCUGUUGGAUAUAAAUGGAUUUUUAUACGAAAGUGAAAUGAAAAUAAUGAAAUUACAAGGUACAAAACCCGACUAGUAGCUCAAUGUUUCUCACAAAGACCAGGAAUUGAUUACGAGAAAACAUAUUCUCCCGUAAUGGAUACCAUCACUUUUAGAUUCUUAAUUAGUUUGACCAUGUCACAAAAGUUUGAUAUGUGUCUUACGGAUGUAGUAACAUCAUAUUUGUAUGGUUCACUUGAUAGUGACAUAUAUAUAAAAAUCCUUGAAGGACUUAAAAUACCGGAAACAAAAGAUACAUGCCCAAGAACUAUGUUCUCGAUUAAAUUGUAAAGAUCAUUACAUGGAUUAAAACAAUCCGAACGCAUGUGAUAUAAUCGUCUUAGCGAAUAUUUGUUGAAUGAGUGUUAUAAUAAUGACGUUGUCAGCCAUGUGUUUUCAUAAAGAAAACAUACAUUGAAUUUGCAAUUGUGAUAGUUUAUGUUGAUGAUUUAAAUUUAAUUAAAAUUUUUGAAGAGCUCAAUAAAACUGCUGAUUAUUUGAAAAAUGAUUUUGAGAUGAAAGAUUUGGAAAGAGUUCUCAGAUUGCAGAUUGAACAUUUUAUAGAUGGAUUAUUUGUUCACCAAUCUACGCAUACAGAAAAAGUUUUAAAAUGCUUUUAUAUGGAUAACGCACAUCCAUUGUCACCACUUAUGGUUGUUUGAUCACUUGAUAUGAAAAAUAAUCCAUUCGCCUACUUGAAGAUGGAGAAAAUGUUCUUAGUCUUGAAGUACUAUAUAUUAGUGCAAUUGGAGUAUUAACUUAUUUUGCAAAUUGCACUAGACUUGAUAUAGCUUUUUCUAUAAAUCUCCUUGUAAGAUAUAACACUAUACCAACUCAAAGACAUUGGAAUGAUGUUAAACAUAUUUUUCAUGACCUAAAUGGUAUUAUUGAUUUGGGAUUAUUUUAUUCUCAAAAGUCAGGAUCUGCUUUGGUGGGAUAUGCAGAUGCAGGUUAUCCAUCUGAUCCACAUAAAGCUAAAUCACAAACAAGUUAUGUGUUUAACGUGGAGGAAUGACUAUAUCAUGGAGAUCUAUGAAACAAUUCUUGACAACUACAUCUUCAAAUCAUUCUGAAAUUAUUGCAAUCCAUAAAGUAGGUUGAGAAUGUGUAUGGUUGAGAAAUAUAACCCAUCAUAUCCAAACAUCAUGCAGGUUAACUUCAACAAAUAAUAGUCCAAUAAUUUUGUACGAAGACAAUGCAGCUUGUGUUGCAAAACUUAGAGGAGGCUAUAUUAAAGGUGACAAGACAAAGCAUAUUUCUCCAAAAUUCUUUCAUAUACACGAACUUCAAAAAAAUGGUGACAUCGAUAUUCAACAAAUUCACUCAAGUAACAAUAUGACCGAUUUAUUCUCAAAAGCACUGUCAACAUCUAUGUUCAAGAAAUUAGUUCAUGAAAUUGGAAUGCGUCGACUCAAAGAUUUUCAGUAAUUAAAAUCAGGGGAAGUAGCUGUACUUUUUUUCCUUCGCUUAGGUUUUAUUCCACUGGAUUUUCCUAACAAUGUUUUAAUGAGGUGACAUUUAUUUAUAAUACUCCAAAAUAAUUGUACUCUCUUUCCUUCAUUUUGAUUUUUUUCCAUUAGGUUUUUAUUAAAGGUUUUAACGAGGCAAAUAUUUUGUAAUGUGUCAUUCAAGAGGGAGUAUUGUAAAAGGUAAGUUUAUUAGAGUUAAGAGGUGAAUGAUAAUUAUACUCCUACAACCCUAAAAAUGAUUAAUGUUCUACCCAUGAUUCUACCCUAUAAAUAUAGGGUUUUGGUUCUUAAUAAAAUACACACAAAUCUAUUGACUUCUCUCUGUUCUCUUCUCUUUUAUAAUAUCAACAUUAUUUAAGAUAAGAUGAGAUCAAAAUAGAUAUGCACGACAUUUCUUGGCCUAUGCAUCAUAAUGACUCAAAUUGCUCAUAGAUCACUUAUUUUUCUUUGGGGAAACUUACUUCAAGACACAUAUGAACGCGUAAUAUGCAUUACUAACAUGCAUGUAACAAAUCCCAACUUAAUAUACAAAAAUUCGUAAAAGAGGUUCGUGCAUGUGGAAUAACUUCAUCAUGUAGUAUAAGAAGCUCAUGACUCAAAAAUUUCUAACAUAAAUAAUAAAUACACUGUUGAAUAUUGGUUGUUAAAAAAAUUAAUAAAAGUGUAUGAUACGAUGAAUGGAAUGUAAAGUAAAAUUGGAAGCCAAAAUUUUGGCCUAUGCGGUGGGGUUGUGGUCGCAUGGUAACAUAUAGGUGCAAAGGCAGAAAGGAGCUUGACUGCAAGACCCAUUCAUUGAGCAGGGAUGAAAGUCGACCUUAAUGAUCCGACGACGCCGAGUAAAUGCCCUGCAUGACUUUGUUCUAUGCAACCGCAUAAGAUUGUUCUAUGCGGUCUCAUAGAACAUUCUACAAGUCAUUAAUGACCAUUUUUGUUUGAAUUUUGGGCGGCCUUUCAUAGGUGUUGGCUAAAUAGGAGAUAGACUAUCAAUGUAAACACAUAAAAAAAACACUUGAAAAACAAUUGUAAUCAUUGUUUCCAUUUUACAAGAGAAUCAAAAUCUUCCUUCUAUCAUAUUCAUAUUUUAAUUUGUGUUCUCAAGUUUUGGAGGACUUCACUAAAUGUUCUAAGUGUUAAAUCCUUUACAAGGCUUAAUAAAUCCUAAAAUCUAUUUGCUAAAAUCCCUUUAAGCAUCAAAUUCAAUUCAGUAUGGGGUAAAUAUCAUUUGAGAACAACGAUUAUGUGUUCAAGCUUUCAUAUUCUUUUUCACUCUUUUGUUUUGGUUAUUUAUUUCUUCUCCAUUCCUUACUGUGUGUAAACCAUAUUUCUAACAAUCUCAAUCGAUAGUUUUGGAAUGGAUAGUGAAACUACUAUGGCGAUGAUCAAGUUAAUUAAUUAAGAUCUCGUUCAUUUUGACUGUUCUGAUGAUACAAAUUUCACAAGAUGGCAAGACAAAUUGAAGUUCCUACUAACAGUGUUGAAGAUAUUCUAUAUCCUUGAUCCAGAUUCGGCAUUAUUACCAGAACCAAUUAAUAGAUAACCGACGCUGUAAGAGCCAAAAUAUAAAAGCAUCGAGAAGAUAAACUUAUAUGCCAUGGCUAUAUUCUCAACACUCUAUCCGAUUGGUUGUAUGAUCUAUACACCAACACUUCUUCUGGAAAGGAAAUUCAUAACGCUUUGGAGAGUAAGUACAAAGCCAAAGAAGAAAGUACUAAGAAAUUCCUAAUUUUGAAGUACUUUGGCUUUAAAUGUUUUGAUAAUAUUCUCAUUAUUUUCCAAGUACAAGAAUUACAAGUCCUUGUCAACAAGUUGAAAUCUCGAAAACUUUUCAAGUAUGAGCAAUUAUUACGAACCUAUUGGGAACUUGAAAAGGAUGUCAAAAGAAAAUUAUGCAUAGUUCCGAAGAUUACUCUUUGAAACAAUUGUAGAAUCAUCUUCACAUUAAGGAAGAGUCUAGGGUGAGAAAUAAGAAUGGUGAUUCCUAUGAAGGCACUUCCAAGUCCAAUGCUGUAAAGAAAAUUUAAUCUUCAAACAAGCCCAAUAAGUGAAAGCCUUGAAGGAACUUUAAAAAGUUCAAGAAGAAGUACAAAAGUGGUUGUUUUGAACAUGGAAAACCUGGACAUUAUGCAAAAGAAUGUCCACACCGGAAACAAGACAACUCCGAAGAAAAGGUAAACUCCAUGAACGAAGACAAAAUUGUGGACAUUGUAAUCGAGAUUAAUACAAUCAAAAGAAAAAUUCCUAGAUGGUAGUAUGAUACCUGUGCAACUGUGCAUGUAUCGGAUGACAAGUCUUUAUUCAAGACUUAUUAUGAAGUCGAUAGAAAUCAAGAGAUUCAAAUGGGUAACAAAGUCCGCUCCAAGGUGGUAGGAAAAGGAAAUGUAGAGGUCAUCUUCAUUUUCGACAAUACUAUUUACCUUAACAAAUGUGUUACAUGUUCCUGAUAUGAAUAAGAACUUGAUUAGUGAUAAUCUCUUAGGAAAAUUGAGUAUAAAAAAUGUUUAUGAGUCUGACAAACUUAUACUAUCCCUAAAUGGGUAAUUUGUUGGAAAAGAGAAGAUUUCCUUCUUAUAUGAGAAAAUGAUCUUUUUCAAAAGGAAAAAUCUUUUCAUAAAACUAAUUUUUCUAAGUUAAGAAAGUAUCCAAAGAAAAAGAAUUUAAUAAAUUCAAUUACUUCAAAAAUUAUUUGUUUGAAAUGUAAUCAAAUAGGUCAUUGUUCAAAUAAAUAUCAUAUAAAGGGAAAGAUUAAUAAUCUUCAAAUUGAUGAAGAUGUUAAACUUGAACUUCUCAAUUCGAUCAAGUUUAGUUCAGACGAUGAAUUUGAUUCUCAUCUUCAAAAAGUUCAUCAACAUCAAGAAGAUUCGGAUGUUGAAACUAGUUCAAACUCAUCUUCAUCCUCCGAUCAAGAUAAAGAAAUUUGUUGCCGAUGUUCUUACGAAAGAAGAACUAAUUUAAGAAAUAGUAGAUAAAAUUGAAGAUCUUCAACUAAAGAAAAUGUUCUCCUCUUAUUCCUUCAAAAUCUUAAGAGCCAUUUAAUAUGCAAAAUAUAUUAAAUCAGUUUAAACAUGAAUCUUCAAAUGUUUCAAAAACUUCUACUUCUGAUUUAAGAUCAGAGGUUAAUGAUAUGAAAUCCCAAAUUUCCAUUCUUGAACGUCAAAUGAAAGAUUUUAGAAUGGAAGUUGCAUUUUUAAAAGCAAAAGAUUUAGAGCAAGAAUACAAUACUAUACAAAAAUCUAAAUCUUCUUCAGAAUUAUCUUCUUAUGACAACGAUACUUCUCAUGUGUAUCAUGCAAAUUCUCAAUCUAAACAAAAUGUUAAUGUUAUUAAUCGUAUUCAACUUCAGAAAUGGUAUUGUACCAUGACUAUUGUGAUUAAUGAGGAAUUCAAAUUUACUUCAAAAGUUUUAAUUGAUUUACGAGCUGAUGAAAAUUGUAUAAGUUAAGGACUAAUUCCUACAAAUUAUUUUGAGAAAACUACUGAGCGUAUUUACAGUGAUAGUGGUAGAAAACGCAAUAUUGAAUAUAAACUUUUGAAAGCUCAUGUUUAUAAUUCAAAUAUAUAUUUUAGAAAUACUUUUUAUCGGGUAAGGGAUUUAGAUCAAGAAGUAAUUCUUGGCACACCUUUUAUAGUUCAAACUUAUCCUUUUCAAGCAAACACAAAAGGAUUAACUAAAAAAAUUUUUGGUCAAAAUAUAUAUUUUUAUUUUACAAAUCCUCAUUUUUAUAAAGAUGUUAAUUCACUAAAAGAAGCGUCAAUUUCAAAAUUGUCAAUAAUAUUAAUCUCAAGAAAAAUCAUAUUCAAUUUCUUAAAGAAAAAAUUAAACUUCAAUGAAUUGAAGAACAAUUACAAAAUUCUUCAAUUAAAGAAAAAUUUCAAAUUUUUUAGAACAAAUUGAAAAUGAAAUAUUUUGGACUAUUCCUAAUGCUUUCUAGAAUAAAAAGAAACAUAUUAUUUCUCUUCUUUAUGUUCAUAAUUUUCUUGAAUCUAUGAUUCCUACAAAAAUCUCUUCCUAUUCAAAUGAAUAAUGAAUUACUUGAUUUUCAUAUAAAGGAAAUCAAAGAUUUACUGGAAAAGAAAAUUAGUCGUCGAAGUAAAUCUCCACCAAUAAAGUGUUUGAGUAUUGAAUAAGAGUAUUGAAAUAGUCACUUUUACCCUUAGAAUUAACAGCACUUAUUGUGUCGCGAUCCUCAUUAAUGAGAUAAAUAUUCCACCAGUUUUUUAAUUGUCUAGUGAAACAUUGAACUAAAUUUGAAAUAGAGCCAUAUUCAUCCGUUCCUCCGCAAUAUAUGCAGCAUGAGCAACUGCCAUAUUUUCGUGAAAAUUAAUAAUUUGAUAUUUUGUUGUACUAUAUAUCAAGAUUCCAUUCAAUGAGUUCAUCUCCAUUAUAGGAAACCUGAGGUUUAUACUUUUCUUCAUAUAAUAUAUUAGCAUGAGAAGGACGAUUUAUUGAUAGAAGGUUCUUCAUCCUCAAUAGAUUGAGCUUCAAGUUCAUAUAAAACAUCAAUGGUAUUAAUGUUUUUGGAUGUUCAUAAUUUUAAAAUUUGUUUUGCAAGUUCUUGUAAAAUACUGGAUAAUUUAGACAAAAUCUCGUUACCCAAUUUUGAAGUAAAACUUGUAUCGAUUGGUUUGAAAAUUUGAGGGUGCUUCUCAUUUUUCUUAGAAGAGGAAGCUUCAAAAUCAACAUUGGCUUCAAUUCUAGAUAAUUGAGAAGGUUUCUAGAAGAUGAAGGUUCUUGUAAAACACUAAUUGUAUAAUUGUUCUGAGAUUGAAGGUUUGUUAUGUCUUUAGCUAUAGUCGCAAAUUCUUCUAGUCUAUCAGCCUCAAUUUGUUUGAUAGGAGAUGCAAUUAUUUCAUUAUUUCCAUGGAAAACAAUUAUUUCUUGCCUCAGGGGAUGUUCAGAUUGAAAACGUUCACCCGAAGGGGUUUUCCAUGUUUUCUUAUUAUUAUGAGUGUUUUGAAUAGGCUUAGUUUUUGCAAUUUUCUCUCUAAAGAUUUUGAAAUAUGCCUAUUCAUUAAAUCUUCAGGAGAAUCAUAAAAUUCUUCUCAGAAAAAUUUAAUUUCAUCUUUUGAAAAUAUUAAUUUAAGAGUUUGAUGAGAACUUUUCACUGAAGGAGUUUGUUCAGUUUUAAAUUCAUUUUUUCUAUCUAUUCAGAAAAAAUGGCAUUAUAUUGCUGAUCUAAUCUUUUAGAAUGAUUUGGAAGCAUAUUAGAUAAGUAGAUGAACCGGGUUGUUUUGAGAAAAAGGAAAUUUAGAAUUUUGAAAGAAAUUUUUAGAUCUAAAUGAAACGAUCUUUGAAGAUUAUUUGAUGAUGAACCUUUAUCAAAAAUGACUUUGACAUGUCCAUCUGGAAAUGAAAUAAUUUGGUCUAGGACUGUUCUUGUAGGAGCAUGAUUUGGAGUUUGAGCAUUCUCAAAAGUCCAUUCUAGUUCUCUAGAUUGAAGAUUCCAUGGUAUCCUUUUAAGAAUCAUGGUUUUUGAAUGAAGAUGAUUAACCUCCACAAGAAGGCUUUUUUUCUUAUGACGGGAGAACCCACAGUCGCUAUCAUUUAGAUACGUACUGGGUAAACCUCGGGUUGACGCAAUAGCCUACAAAUCACGUCAGUCAGGUAAGCUGCACUAGACAAACCCUGUGAGAGAGGCUCAACUGAGAAAGUGUUAGUGGGGAAUUGAACUCGUGACCAAAGGUCUCCGCGCUAACCUACUCCACCAACUCAACCACCCCAUGAGGGGUUAGAAGGCUUUCUUCUUUAGGAGAUAAGCAAAGAGCUCUAAUAUUUAAUUGAGUAUUCAUUAGCUUAUAAUAUAUCAUAUAUAUUACGACAAAUACUUUUGAUUGGUCAUCAAAAUCUAGAUUUUUUAGUUUGAAUAUGAAGGUUUAGAGCAUUAAGGAUUGCUUCGUCAUUUAAAUUGAUCAUAAAAAAUUUGGAUAACAAUUUGAAAAGAUUGGACCACUAUUAAGAUUUGAUUCUAAAACUGAUAAUAAUGAAUUUUCAAAUUUGAUAAGUCUUUUAUCUCUAAGAGUUAGAAGAAUAGGAAUGUCUAAACCAAGUCGAAACAAAAAUUUGACAACAAUUUGAAUUAAUCCCACAUGAAGAUAUUUGAAUUUCUUAAUAUGUGAUUGAAUAGUAUCUUUUGCACAAAAAAAAAAAGGAUUCAUUUGAGCAGAUUGAUGUUUGAUAGCAAUCGUUUGCUUAAGAGUUUUGAUAACAUAAUCAUGCUGAAAGUCAAAGUUUCCUAUUUUGUAGAUAGAGCUUUUGUUUACUUUUGGAAUGGUCCAGUUAUACAAUUUUUGCAAUUUGAAGUUCAUGAAAAUUGAAUGUAUCUAAUGUAGAUGCAUGUUCUUGAUCUACUUUUUCUUCAUCAUGAUUAGUGUUUGAAAAAUUAUCAAUUAUACUAUUUGAUCUUCUAAACCAAUUUGAAAAUGAAGACAUAAUAGAAUAAAAUGAAAAUUAUAAUGAAUUACCACUAAAGAAGCAAUGCUAUAGGAUUGAUUAACUCUUACCGAGCCUACAACGGAACCACCCGACGCCUAACUCGGCUUCACAAGCUAACCAACGCUAUUCAGCAGAAAUUCACGCUUAAACCAACUUUUCCCUCGACACAGUAUCUAUAAUGAAAAAUCAUUAUAACCUUACCUCACUCUGUUAUGGCUCUAAUACCAAAAGAGGCCAAUGGAUAGGAAUAGUCAAAUAGGGACUAAACAAACACUUGAAAAUGAUUUGAAGAAGAUAAUUAUAUUGAAUAAAACAAGAUAUACAAAAUAACUUUUGAAAUACAAAAUCUUCUUAGAAGAAAAUUUAGAUUACAAGGAAAUCUAAGCUUUUUUGAAGUAGUUUUUCUCCCUCAAAAAACUCUUGAGUGAAGUCAUGAUACUUGAUCUUCUUAUAUACUUGAAAUUUCUUGAAAUUUAAUGAAAGAAUAUUUGAAUAGCGUUAAUUGAUAAUCUCUGAUUGAGCAUUGUUGGCUAUAUGUUAUCUUUUGUCAUUGUUAGCAUCUUCUUUUUGAAAUAAUAAAUUACUUUUAUAAAGGCGGUUAAAGAGGAAUCUCCUUUAUUAAAGUUUUGUCUAUUAUUAUAGUUCGAUGGAUGGUAAUGCUGGUAACAAUAAUUUCUUGGGUGGUAGACAUAAUUGAUAAAGAGUAUCUUUUGAUUUAAAAACCCGAUUUCUUUGAUAUUCAUCCGAAUAGCUAGGUCCAUAUAGUCAUUUUGAAUUCUUCUGAGUUUUUUCUUGAGCAAUAAGUUCAUCCAUGUAUAUCCCAUAGCAAUCAUCUUUAUUGCUUUGGUUAUAGUCAGUUUCUGAACCUAUUUGAGAGGACAAGCCAUCUUGAAUAGAUUUGGAUUACUUUGAGGAUGAUUCUGACAAAGAAGUAAUUUUUUCUGAUAUAAUUGCUAAUUCUUCUGGCAUUUUACAGUGACUGAACAUGGCAAUUGAUUUUGAUUUUUCUGUAAGAAAGUCGACUUGUUCGUCUUGAUCCUUUUUUGAAAAUUUUGGAACGUCGAUAUUUCUCUAUUCUUGAAUCCAUUAAUUUACUGCCUUUGGACAACAGUUUAUUUCACGAAAUUUUAUCCACCAUUUAAUUUUGGAUCUUCGAAUAAUCCUUUUGACAUUAUAUUCAAAGCUUUGAUCUGGAAUGAUAUUGAAAUUCCAGCAAAAUAUCCGUAAGAUUUUCAUAUUGAAUGCGAAAUGAAACAAAACAUUUUCUUGAGGCUUUAAAAAUGGCCUUGCCUCUUUUUUGCUGUAUUCGAAUCCCUGAUGAGUAAGACUAGGUAAAAUUUCCUCAUCAAGUCCAAAACAUUCGAACAUUUUUGGAACCAUUUUGAAAAACUUGAAUUACAAUUUUAAUUAAAUAAAAUAAACCAAAAAUAAGUUAUCGGUCUAAAGUAAAAAAUAUUGUACCAAGCAUCCUUGCAAUUAAAAUAAUAGAAAUGAGAUUUAAAUGAUUCGCGUGUUAAGAGACGUAUUCUCUUCUCAAUCUAUGGUCGUUGUGUGACACUCGAGUCCUAAAACCCCAGGGCCAUAAAAGAGAACUUACUUAAGAUUUAUUUCAUAAAUUGAGAAAGUCAACUAAAAAAAAUACUUGUUCAUGAUACUUAAAAUAAUUAAUUCAAAAGGAAAAUUUAUAAAACUUUCAAAAUUUAUCCCAAUGUUUAGUUACCUGAAAGGGAAAAAAUAUAAGGGUGAGAAAAUCUCAAUAAGCAUAUACGUGUUCAUAAGUUUCUAAUCAUAUAACCUUUGGAAUCAUAGAACUUGCAUACAGGAGACACGAAACUAUACCGAACCUAGGUGGUAUGAGUUUUACGUGCGUAGCGCUACUAAAACUCCAGUCCAAAACUUAGAACAUACAUAUGGACCUAUAAACAUAUUUCCAAAAUUGCAGCAUAACAACACGUAUAUACUUACAGUUGUGUGGAAAAAUAAAGGCAAUCAAAGAAAUUGACUUGCUUGGUUUCCACUCCAAAGUUUUAUAGAACAACGUGAGUACUCAAGAUUUUUUUUUGUAAUUUGAAAUAUGCUUGUGUGUAAGAUGGGUUGUGAGAGAGAAGAGAAAAAGUGAGGUGUGAAUUUUUUGAAAAUCAUGCACCUAUUUAUAGUAAACUGGUGAUGCAUAGGAUAAUCUCAUAAUUUAUUUAAAUAAAUUUAAAUACUUAAAGAUAAUCUUAAUAUCUAACAAAAUUUGUGAUAAUGUUGAAUAAUUAUAAUAUCCAACAUAAUUUGAAUAAUUAAAAAUAAUCACAAUGUCUAAUAGAAUUUGUGAUAAUAUUGAAUAUUUAAAAUAACCAUAACAUCUAACAGAAUCUGUGAUAAUGUUGAAUGUUUAAAAAUAAUCAUAACAUCUAAUCGAAUUUAUUUAUUUAAACUUAUCAAAACGUCUUAUAGAUUCUAUCACUUUGAGAUUCAAAUAUUUGAGCUUUAAUCCCUAAAAUUUUAGAAAUUAAUCAAUUAGGUCCCUAGACUAUACCGUCUACGUGAUAAGGCCCUAAAUUUUAAUAUAAUGACUAAUUUUGAGGUAUGAGGUGUCACAUGUUGUCCCCAAUCUUCAUAUGACACACCCUUUGAAUGGUUGUUUUUUGAAAAAUCAAUUUGAUUUGGUUUUUUUAAAUUUUGAGCAUGAGUUAUAGUAGCUGAUCCAAUUUUAGUAAGAACAGGUUCAUAAAAUUCUCUGAACUUUUUGAUAUUUGAUGGCAUAAAUUGAAAUUGAGGAGGGAAAGAUCUUGAAGACAUUCAUUAAAAGAUGAAUAUCUAUUUAUCCAAGAAGUUUCCAUUUCAAAAACUGGAAUAUAUGUAGAUUUGAAAAAAUACUGAAAGGUUUUUUAUGCGAACCUGCGUAGCAACGGCUACUACAAAACCCACAAUGAGACUAACACCAAAUCCCAAGAACACCAAUAAACGAGGUUUUGGAUUCAACCCACAAGAGAUGAAUCAAGCAACCAAUAAUUGAAGAAAUUACCGACCUCAUGAUCACACGAUUUAUGAAUAUCACCUAGAUUUGUGAACGCCACAAGAAAAUUACUUUCUUGAUAAGUUCAGAUUGUUCAAAAUGAACACAAAAAAUAAAAAAAAUUGAAGCAAAAAGCUUCCCGAGAAAAUUCUCCAUUAAUUCAUGAUAAAAGUCUUGGUUAAUGUUACAACGAGAAAUAAGAAACUCAUUUAUACUAACCCUAAAAAUAUGUUUAAGACAUAAUAUAACUUAAACGACUCCAAAAAUAUCAAUUGGAAUAAAAUUCUAAAGUAACUAGGAAGUUUCCAAAAAAUUUAAAAUCGCGCCGAAGAUUUUAACCAUGCGAUCGCAUGGUUCUUCCUUGUGAAGUCGCAUAGAAGAACUAAAUCCAGCCUCUUGAUUCUCGGUAAGCCACCAUGCGGUCACAUAGCUUAAAUUUCAACUCUUCUUUUUUUAUGUGCAGAAUUUCGUGAUGCUUUCGAAUUGUACUUAUGGGCGAAAAUUCGACACCCGAGCAUAAAGUUAUGACUGUUUUAAUCCAUGCUGCUCAUUUUUCCAUAUAUCGUCCAAAACAUUGAAUCCAACACACCGAACAUGAUUUCAUCUUCAUAACCAACAUGUAAGUUGUUGUUUGGCUUGUCAACUUCAAUAUUUUGUACUCCAUAGCUUGAUCAAGUAAUUUGCUCUGUCCCAUUGGCUUAAAUUGAACUCAAAUCUUGACCCUAGCUUCAUUUUAUCAAUCAAUAAAACCUUAGUAGUUUAGCGCCUAUCCCAGAUCAUAUCAUUCCCUCUCUCUUUGAAAAGAUUCGACCUCGAAUCCAAACCCAAGUUAUAACCUUUAUUACCAAUCAAUGCAAUGACAUGAAAUGGUCUGUUUCCUUUCGAAUGCAAUUUGGACCUUUUUCGAACUCAAAUCUGCAUCUUUCGGAUAUAAACCCAAUCUCUUUCACAUGUAUCAAAAUGUUCAUGUCGUGGCUGCUUACUCUUGCAAGUUUGAAAUGCUCCAAUAAAUACUUCAUUUCACGAAUAACCGUGCAUCCUCUUUGUCCUAUCUUGACUAGGUGUGUGUAGUAAUGAUACUUCAAAGAGAUUCACGUUUCCCCUCAAUAUAAACUCUUCCCAAUGCCUGUAAAACUCCUUUGUCUCUUCAGGGAUCACAAGGUCAAUCUCUGGUAAUAAAAGAAUAUUCAAGCCUUGGUAUGGUUGGUUCGCUUUAUCCACAAGUUGAGGCUCAAUGUUCGGAUUGUAUGGUAUCCCAAUAGGCUUGUUUUCAUUGACCAAGUUUUCGAAAUCCUAUAAGAAAGAAAUAGCAAAGCUAGGGAGAGAAUUCUCAGUUCUCGCUAAAGCCCCCUCAACUUCACUCUCCUUUUCAUAUAAGUUCACUUCCAACUUUUCUUUUAUUUCUAAGACUCUCUUUCCUCUCCCUCCUGUAGCUCCACUUCUCACAAUCAGCCACCUCACUAUUUUUUACUCAUUUUCCCUCUUUGUUCAAUCCUAUGAUUAAUUUAAGAAUUAUUCAUAUCACGAAGCUUUGAGAAUUCCAGUUUAUAAUCCAAACCAGGCUACUUAGUUGAUAUACUACCAACAUGUUUCACAAUAUGUGUUUUCUCUUCCAUUGAAUACCUAAUCCAUCACAUUUGCUAGGUUUCUCUCUAAACUCCCAUUCUCGCCAAUCCUUCCUAUAAGAAUGAUUAGGCGUGUUUCGUUUCCUUACGAUAACCCUUAACUCAUCUCAAGUUUCAAUAGGCCUCUCAUAAUUCCUCCUUCAAGAUGUUACCAACUAAUCCCACCAAAUUAUAGCAUAAUCCACAAAUGCGCUCACAGCAAACUUGAACUUUCUCUCCUCAAAAUAAUUAUGACACACAAAGAUCAAUCCUACACUUUUUUCCCAUGCCACGUAUGUCUCAGGGUCACUCAUUCCCUUAAAUUCUGGAAUUGUCAUCUUUACAUAUCCCAUUCUCCUAUCAACACCGUCUCCAAUAAGAUUCUCAUCUCUCCUUUCAAGCCUAUCAUCUCUAUUUCUCAUCCUCCGUAAUUCAGCCUCAAAUAACGUAUUUUCAUCAUUGUCACUACCAUCUCCAUACAUAUCACCAACGUCAAUCCUAGGCUCUAGUCUAUCCUUCAUCCUCACAUUAGACGCUUCUACCAUUGCCCCCAUAAAAUUUAGCAAGUUUCGUAUCAAACCUAUCUCCCAUAUCCAUUAGCAACCCUUGAAAUCGCUGCAUCACCUCCUCCGACAUGUUGAUUUGAGUAUUGCUUCGUGCUUGAACUUGACUCUCUUUUUUUAACUUUUUUUUACUCUUUUAUUAACUCUUUUUUGUUACUCUCUCUUUUUUUACUCUUUAUUUUGACUCUUUUGAUAGGAAACUUGACUACGAAUCCAGCAGAAUAGACAGAAGUUGAUUUGAAUGCUAAAUUAGCACAAAAACAACUUUUGAAAAUUUGACGGAAUUUUAACGGAUCAAUGACUCAACAAUUGGGAAACUACGAAGAACACGAAGAAAAAAAAUGAAAAACAAAGACUUAACAAAAACAAAAGGGAAUAACAUUGAUUUUGGAGCCCAAGCUCUUAUACCAACUGAUGCGAACCCGCGUAGCAACAGUGACUACGGAACCCAUAACAGAUUAACACCAAAUCCCAAGAAUGCCAAUAAGCAAGUUUUUGGAUUCAACCCACAAAAGAUGAACCAAGCAACCAAUAAUUGAAGAAAUUAUCGACCUCUUGAUUACCCGAUUUAUUAAUAUCAUCUAGAUUUGUGAACGCCAUAAGAAAAUUAAUUCUUUGCUAAGUUCGGAUUGUUCAAUAAGAACAAAAAAAAAUUGAAGCAAAAAGCUUUCUGAGAAAAUUCUCCAUUAAUUCAUGAUAAAAGUCUUGGUUAAUGUUACAAUAAGAAAUAAGAAACCUAUUUAUACUAGCCCUAAAAAUAGUGUUUAAGAUGGAAUAUAACUUAAAAGAUUACACAAAUAUCAAUUGGAACAAAAUUCUAAAAUAACUAGGAAGUUUCCAAAAAAUUGAAAAUCGCAUCAAAAAAUUUAACCAUGCGGUCGCAUUGUUCUUCCUUGUGAAGUCGCAUAGAAGAACUAAAUCCGACCUCUUGAUUCUUGGUAAGCCACCAUGCGGUCGCACACCCUUUGAAGCUAUGUGGUCACAUAGCUUAAAUUUCAACUCCUCCUUUUUCAUGUGCAGAAUUUCAUGACGAUUCUGAAUUGUACUCAUGGGUGAAAAUCCGACACCUGAGUAGAAUGUUUUGCCCAUUUUAAUCCAUAUUACUAUAUCGUACCAAAACUUUGAAUCCAACAUACCAAACAUGAUUUCGCCAUCAUGACCAAUAUGUAAGUUGUUUUUGGCCUACCAACUUCAACAUUUCGUACUCCGUAACUCAAUCAAGUAAUUUGCUUGGUCCCAUUGGGUCAAAUUGAAAUCAAAUCUUGAUCUUAGCCUCUUUAUAUCAAUCAAUAAAUCCUUGGUAGUUCAACGCCUAUCCUGGAUCAUAUCACUUUUGGAGGAUUGAUUUCAUGCAAUUUUCUUGAUCCAGAUUGAACAAUUUUUUUGAAAUUUGAAGGUUUUGACUGUUCAGGAAUAUGUUUAGUUUGAGUGGAUUUUUUUAACACAGGUAUUGAAAUAAUUGUGUUUUGAGAAGAUGGAGAACCUUGUUCUUCUUUUUUUGAUGAUCCUUGAAUAUAAUCAUCAAUUGAGAAUAGAGAAACUGAAAUUUUCUACUAUAUUUCUUUUGAAAUGAAACUUUUGAAGAAGUCAUUGAAUAUUUCUUUUCUCUUUUUCUCUCUAUAGAAUAUUGAAUAUUCUCACAAUUUACUCACUCAUUUAUGUAUAAAUUCUCUUGUGAGGAAGUCUGCAAGAACGUUUAAUUUUCCUUGUAUAUAUAGCAUUUCGAAAUUAAAACAAGACAAAAUAGCCAACCAUCUUGCAAAAAUUUAUUUUGAAACAAGAUUUUUUUAUAUAUUUUUGUAAAACAUCUUUUGAAAUUUUUCAAUCAAUCUUCAAAAUAAUUUUUUCUGAUUAAAUCAUCUUGAAAUUUAGAAACACAUAAAAUAUUGAUAAAAUUUCCUUUUUAAUGGUUGAGUAGUUCUUUUGAGGGCCAAUCCAUACUCUUAAGUGGAAUCUAACCAACUGUUCUUAAUUUGACCCUUUUAGAAUUUGUUUUAAUAUUCCACCAUGCCCUAUGUCUGACAUUUCUAUCUCAAUAAUAAUGGAGGUUAAAGGGUCUAUUAGUGAAAGAUAUUGUAUACUUUUGAUAGUGAACUUGACUUUUUGGAUGGCUAAAGUGUGCUCGUGGCUCCAUGUUAGUGGAUGCUUUUGUAGCCUUUGAGAAAGAGGAGCACACAAAAGUCUUAAUUUUGACAAAAUCGAUGACGUAAUUUACUCAUUCUAAAACUGUUGCAAGUGUAAGUGUUCCUAAGUGUAUAAAAUGACCUAAAAACCUUAUACGUGUUGGACAAAGAACAACCUUUUUUGCGGAGAUUGAUAAAUCAUUGUUCUUAAUGACAUAAAUGAAUGUAUUAAUAUGCUUGAAAUUUUGUUCUAAACUUUUAGAAUAGAUUAGAACAUCAUCAAUAUAAACAAUAAUGAAAUUUUGAUAAGGAUUAAAAAUAUCAUUCAUAAUAUUUGAAAUUUCGAAUGAGCAUUUUUUUAGAUCAACUAGCAUAACAUUCCAUUCAUAUUGACCAAAUGGAACAUUAAAAGCAAUUUUAUAUUCAUGUUCUUCUCUAAUUUGAAUCUGCCAAAAGCUAGAUUUCAUAUCAAAUUUAGAGAAGAUAACAACUUUGAGUAAUUUAUUUAACAAAUCUUUCUUUCGCGGUAAUGGAUAUCGAAUCCGUUGAAGAGCUUUAUUAAGAUGUUUAUGAUUGACAAAGAGACGUGAUGUAUCUCGUUCAAGUUCAUUAGAAUUAUUAACAUAGAAUGCAUAGCAACUCCAUGGAAAUUUACCUGGAAGAAUAUGUUCCUUUUCCAGUAAUCUUUGAUUUCCUUUCUACAAAAAUCAUGUAAUUCUUAUUCAUUUGAAUAGGAUGAGAUUUUGUAGUAAUCAUAAAUUCAUGAAAAUUGUGAAUAUAAGGAAGAGAAAUAAUAUGUUUCUUUCUAUUAUAGAAAGCAUUGUGAAUAGUCAAAGACACUUCAUUUUCAAUUUGUUUUAAAAAAUGUAAAAAAAAUUUCUUUAAUUGAAUAAUUGUGCAAUUAUUCUUCAAUUCUUCAGAAUUUAAUUUCUUCUUUGAGAAAUUGAAUAUGAUUUUUCUUGAGAUUAAUAUUGAAGACAAUUUUUGAAAUUGACGCUUCUUUUAAAGAAUCAAUAUCUUUAUAAGAAUGAGGAUUUGUAAAAUAAAAAUAUAUCUUUUGACUAAAAAUUUUUGUAGUUAAUCCUUUUGCGUUUGCUUGAAAAGGAUAAAUUUAAACUAUAAAAGGUGUGCCAAAGAUUACUUUUUGAUCUAAGUGUGUGUUUGAUUGACUAUAUUUUCCAUGAAAAAUGUCAUUUUCUUAUCCAAAUUCCUACUUUUGAGAUGUUUGAUUGACAAUUUUUUCCAUGAAAAAUGUUUUCCAACUUUUGGUCAUGUGGCCAUAUUUUCCUCAAAAACAAGGAAAAUAAUUUCUUUCAGGAGAGAUGAUUUUUAUUUUUCAGGUAAUUCACUCUCUCUUUCUCUUUCAUCUAUCCCCCCUCUCUCUUUUACCCGCCAAUGAGAAAAUGACAAGUAUAAUAUUUUCUAAGUUAAAAAUUAAAUCAGUUAAACACAUUUAAUUAAUAAUUUUCUUUCCAUGCAAAUUUCAUACUUGCAAUCAUACGCUCAUAAAAAUUAAUUUUAAAAUAUAUCUUUGAAUUACAAACAUGAGCUUUUGAAAGUUUAUAUUUAAUAUGAGUUUUCUGCUAUAGCGCCAAAAGACGCUCAGUAAUUUUCUCAAAAUAAUUUGUAGGAAUUAGUCCUUGUCUUGUACAAUUUUGAUCAACUCCUGUAUCAAUUGAAACUUUUGAAGUAAAUUUGAAUUCCUUAUUAAUCACAGUGGUCAUGGUACAAUAAAUUUCUGAAGUUGAGUGCGAUUGAUAACAUUAACUUUUCUUCUUCAGAUUGAUAAUUUGAAUAACAAGCAUGAGAAGUAUCAUUGUCAAAAGAAGAGGAUUCUGAAGAAGAUUCAGAUUUUUGUAUAGUAUCGUAUUCUUGCUCCAAAUCUUUUGCUUUCAAGGAUGCAACUUUCAUUCUAAAGUAUUUUGUUUGACGUUCAAGAAUAGAAAUCCAAGAUUUCAUAUCAUUGACCACUGAUCUUAAAUCAGAAAUAGAAGUUUUUGAAACAUUUGAAGAUUCAAUUUUAAACCGAUUUAAUAUAUUUUACAUAUUAAAUGACUAUGAUGAUUUUGAAGGAAGAACAGAAGAGAAAUUCUACUUUAGUUGAGGAUCUUAAAUUUUCUAUACCAUUUCUUGAAUUAGUUCUUCAUCUUUUGUAAGAAUAUUUAUGGUUUUACUACCACAAAUUUCUUUACCUUGAUCUAUAGGAUGAAGAUGAGUUUGAACUGGUUUCAACAUUAGAAUCUCCUUGAUAUUUAUAAAUUUGUUCAAGAUCAAAAACCAAUUCAUCAUCUGAACUGGAUUUGAUAAGAUUAAGAAAUUCAAGUUUAACAUCUUCAUCAAUUUGAAGAUUAUUAAUCUUUCCCUUCAUAGGACAUUUAUUUGAAUAAAUACAUGUUUGAUAACAUUUCCAACAGAUAAUUUUUGAAGUAUUUUAAUUUUUAAAUUUCUUUUUCUUUGGAAACUUUCUUUUUGAAAACUUAGAAGGAUAAGUUUUAUGAAAUUAUUUUUCCUUUUGAAAAAUCAUUUUCUAAUAUGAGAAGAAAAACUUUUCUUUUUCAGUUUUGAAGAAAGAGGAAUGAUUUUCUUAAAAUUAUAUUGUUCACAAAAUGAUCAUAGUUCUUUACGACCUUCAAAUCUUUCUGUUUUCAACUUAGCCUCUGAGUUUGAGAUCGUUACAUAAUGCUAAUCCUUCAUUAUUGAUGAAAUUAAUAAUUUCACCAUAAGUUAGAAGAGCAUAUAUGUUAUAGCAAAUUCAGACAUGCACAACGUGAGUAGUUGGUAGCGUAGGAGGUGGGGGAUGGAGUGGGUGGUUAGUUGGGAAAGGUGCAUGUUUGGUAAAAUUUAAAUUAUUAUUUAAGGUUGAUGAAAAAUAUUUUUUUCCACACAUUUUAAGGAUUUAUAACGUAUUACCUUGUUUGGUUUUUAAUACUCAACAAAUUUUGAACAAUGAUAUAAAAUGUUGGAAUAUAUUUUUACAAGCCUUUGCCAAUUGUGAACUGAUUACCAACAACAAAAUCUAAAGGCUCGACCCAAAAAUGACGCUGACCAUUGAAAGUAACUUAAGAAAUUAUUGUUGCUUAUGGCCUGUAUAUUUACCUAUUGGACGACUCUUAAUUCCAGCCCAACUAGAAUCUAACCCCUUCCUACAUAUAGGUUGCUAAACCUAGCCAUUUUUUAGCAUGUGUGAUUUGUGGAAUUUGAAGAAAAAAAUGGCUACCCAUUUUGUAAGAGACGACAUGCUGCUUUGGAGACUAAAACGUGGUGACUUCUUUGUGUUAUUCUCUUCUUCAUUUGAGCCUUAUUCAUUGUUUUUCUCAUGCUUUUGUGGCUUGCAAAUCAACAUCAAUUUCUUGUCCUUUAUUGGUAGGAUUAAGAAGCAGCCAUGAUGAAUAUUGGUUGUAAGUUGGAAAUGUUUGUAACGGUUGUUUGGUAGAGAAAUGUAACAUGAAAUUUAGCCUAAAAAUUACUAAUUUGAAGAUCUUGGAGCGAGCUUUUGUAGCAAUUGGUAUCAAAGCUUCAAGGUGACGGAUUUGGCUCAAAAAAUGGACCAAAAAAAUUGACAAAAUCGAAGCAUAAAGCAAAUCGAAAAACUAUCCAAAAAUUGUUAAAAAAUCGAAUCUAUUUGUAGGAUUUUUGACCAAUCCAGUAGCUAGUUGGUGAAAUGGAGACAACUGACAUAACGUACUGUUGGAGUAGAUCCUAAUGAUUAGGACGUGAGGAAGUUUGUCGACAUGUCGUGGUGGUGCAUGAGGUCAAGCACGGAAAGCCAAUGUGACACGUGAAAGAUUCAAGUACUAGCGAGUCAUCAUAUGGGGUAAAUUCGCAUCUCUCAUUAUAUAUGGAUUAUGAAUUGGUUCGCUGUGGUAAAUUGGCUUAUCUUAUUUAAAUUCAAGUAUUAUCGAGUCAUCAUAUGGGGUAACAUUAGGGCUGGGGUUGUCAUGUGAGAUAACCAUUGCUUGUGCUAGAAAUUUAGGAUUAUUUGCCUUAUUUGAAGUGUUGAUUAUAACUGUAAGUUGAUAAUUGCUUCUGUGUUUAAUUGCCUACUUUGUGUGAGAAAUUAAAUUUUUGUUGACAUACAUUCGUGUUGCAUUGAUUUUUUCUGUUAGUAUACCUGGACUCAACCCAUUCAAUCAUUCCCUUGAUUCUGAGAUUUCAAAUUUCAAGAAACCCUAGGAAUCUAGAAUGGCGUAUGCAGCCUUAGGAUUUUUUGUGUGAUCUAUUUGUGUACUUUGGUCAUCUUUUUUUUAAAAAAUGCCUUCGCAUUUCGAAAUUGGAAUUUUCAAUAAAAAAUUAGGUUUUCCAAUUUGACUACAAAAGAUGAAAGGAAUUUUGGUUAGAAAAAUGUUUUAAAAGUCGUAGAUGGCAAUUUUCCAAUUGAUUUAACAAAAAACAAGAAGAAGAAUAUGACAAUUUUGCUUACACUUCAUUAUUUUACACAUGUUAUCUAUUGAUUUGAUAAAAGUUAAAAAACUUGAUUCUACAAAAGAACUUUGAAAAAGUUGAAGAACUUAAAAUUGCUUAAGUUACUCCUAAUAAGUUGUACCUGUUUGAAAGAUUUUUUUAGUUUUAAAAUGGAUAAUUCAAAGGAUCUUUAUGACAAUUUAGAUAUUUUAACAAGAUUGUUCAAUACAUUGUUAAUUGUAAAGAAAAUGAGUCUAAAACAUGUUGGAUUUUCUAAAAGGUAAAAUAAAAUUAAAAAAUAAAGUAUAUCACUAAAUCAUGAGACUAUGAAAAUGUAAUGCAUCUGAUUGACAUUUCACAAAUUUCUUUGAAAAAAAAAGGGGACUAUUAUUUUGCUGAAUUCUAUAUCUGGCUCAUAUAGGACGGUUAACAUACGAUUAAGUAUUAUAGGGAUACCUUAACACCCGAGACUGUCAUUGAUUCUCUUAGAAGUAAAAAGAUUAAGGUUAAGGCUGAAAGAGAUGAUGAGAGUAGUGGUGAGAUACAUAUGGUUAGGAGUAGAAUGAAGUUUAAGCAAAUGAGUCUGGAUAAGGCUCAAGAUAGUAGUGACUCGAGUGAUGAGGGUAGUAAGAAGAAGGAAAAGAGUUGGGACAAGUUCGUUGGUAAGCGAGGUUACAGUUGUGGUAAGUUUGGACACAUUGUGUGGAACUGUCCCAAAAAGAAAGAUAAAUUGAAGAGUAAGAUGACAAGUGAGAUAAAUGUUACUUUUGGGUCUUGUGAUCACCUUAUAGAGUUUUAUUGAGAGUAAACCUAGCUACUACAUGUGCAUCUGUGUAUAAUUCUUUCUGCAUGAACGUAGUUGCUUAAAUAUGUUGCAUAGUUAUAUGUUACAUUUCAAUGUGUUUGAUAUAUGCAUUUCCAUGAAUUUUAAGAGUAAUCCAAUUACUUGUUGUAAUGUGUUUACAUACAUGGUAAGUUGGGAUGCAUUAGGAAUAAGUUGUUGUGUAUCUUUUGGUAAUGUAGAGUGUAGAUGCCUAAGAGUACGUUGGUGGUAUGUACUAGGAAUAUGGAGUGUAACACUUGGAUUAUGAGUGGAGAAGUGAUCAAAUGUUUGAAUCAUUUAUUUGUGAAGAACGUGAUCAAGUCGAGUGUGAGAGAGACACUUCUAUUACUUCUAUUAGGUAAAAACCCAUUAUUCACUUAGGUUGAGAGGAAUAAUAUGGUGAUAGAGGAUUAUUGUAUGGACUUAGGAUUUGUUGUAAUUUACCACUUAGACAUGUUUUAUUAGUGAUCAACCUAGUGAGCAUGGUGGAUGAUAAGAAGAGAUGUAGGUUCUCAAGGUACGAGCAACACAGAAUAUAAUAGGACAAGUUUGGUGAGAUCUUUUUCUAAAAUCAUCUAUGCAUUUACUACAUAUGUGUUUGGCCGUUUAAUUGAUUAUUAGUAUGUUAUUCUGUGUGAACGUGUUUAAAAAUAUCUAUGUGUUAUCAUGUGUUAUAUCUUCAUUGUAUACUUAUUGCUCUUGAUUAAUUAUUGUCAUCACCUGUUUCUACUUGGGCAUUCUUAACCUUAGCCCUAGUAAGUAUGUGAAGCAUGUAUGAUAUGUACUUUAGGUUCGAAAUAUAAGGUAAGGUCUGUGAUUCAAUUUUAUUGGUUACCUUGAUUACACAAGUAUUAAUUUUGUGCUUUGAUUACUUGCUGGUUGAUUAGGUAUCAAGGUGAAAAUUUGUUGGAUUUUUAAUACCUGAUAAAUUUCGCGAUGAUUUAAAACGUCUAAAUAUAUUUUCACAGUCUACGGCCAAUAGUAAAUUGAUUGUCAACAACCAAGUCUAAAGACUAGACUUGAAAGUAACAUGAAUUGUUGGAAAUAGCUGAAAAAAUUAAGUGGAAAUUACAGAUUCUAAUAGAUUAAAAAUCCUCAUUUCAUAAAUAAGAUGCCAUAUUUAGUAUUUUACAAAUCAGAAAUUUUUAAUUAAUUUAUAUUUUAAAAAUUAAUUAAGAAAAACAAUUGCAAACCCUAAUUGAUUCCCUCUCUCUCUCAAUUCCCUCAACUCUCUCUCUCUCUCUCUCUCUCUACCAAAAACACUGCCUCCGAAGAUCACUCAUUCCCUCUCCCUCUUUUUCUCCUCAAUGUUUCCACUUCCUUCCUCUCGCCCGGCACCGAAACCACCUUGCGCACAAUUCUCCCUCAUUUCUUGGAUCUAGUUUUAAACCAGUGGGGAUGUAGUGGCAACGAAGGCAAUUUGUUUGGGGAAUUUUUCGUGGGUGUAGUGGUUGUGGUGUAAUGGAGAUAGUAGUGAUGGUAACGGUGCGGUGGACGUGACGAUGGUUGUUGGUGCAGGUUGUGGACACCAUUCGUCUAAGAUCUGGACACCAUUUGACUGACUUCUGCAUUGAGAUCACAACAUACGAUGCUACCAGCGCUAUGCUCAGAUGGUGCUGUCGGUGCGGAGCUGUGAUGGGCUGCCUGAGAUCUAGACAUUAUUUGCCUGGCUUUUGCAUCGAGAUUACAACACCACUUGCUGUUUCUAUGGUGUGGCAACUGACAAUGGAGGUUGCUGGGCUACUUUUUUUUUUUUUUUAUCUUAUGUCGUCUUUGCAGUGUUUUUGUCGACAAUAGUGUAGGCAACAUUAGUGUGCUGUGGUGGCGGCUAAUAUGUGGAUUUUUUGGUAUGGGACCUAGGGAUGGUUGUUGUGGUGUUGUGUAGAUUGAGAUAGAGGAGAUGGCUAUGUUGUGUGCGCGAUGGUGGUGUUGUGGUUUUGCUGAUGCUGUGGUGGCGAGGCAGUGAUGGUUUGGUGGUCGUCAUAGAUUCAUUAGUUGAUUGAAAACGUUAAAUUUGUUAAUUUGUGACCAAUUUGAUCAAUAAAAAAGAUAAUUUGUAACCAAAAAAUAAUGUGUGACUUAAAAAAUUAAUAAUUUGUGAUAGUUUGAUCAGUUGUGACAUAUAAUAUUUGUGAUCUAUGACCUAUAAAUAAAUUGUUUCGUAUUAAUUUUUUAUCUGUGACCGACGAACAAAUUGUGACCUAGAAAAGUUUUAAAUUGUGAUCGUAAAAUAAUUUGUGGCCGAAAAAUAAGUUGUGACUAAAAAUUAAUCUGUAACUAAUUAUUAUUUUUUAUUUAUGUCCAAUGAAUAAACUGUGACCUACAAAUUUUUUGAGUUGUGAUCGUAAAAGAACAUUUUGACAUAAAAAAAUUUAUUUGUGAUAAAAAAAAUAAUAAGUAACUAAUUAAAUUGUUAAUUUGUGAUCAAAUUGUAUAGAUCUGUGACCUAAAUAUAUUUAAUUAAUAAAAUAAUUAAAUAACUAAUUAAAUCAUAAAUAAAUUUUAAUAAAAAUCUGAUUUUUGAAAUUUGAAACUUAUUUUCUUAAUUUUAAAAUAUGUGAUACUUAAGUUCUUAUGAAAUUUUCUCAAAAAUUAAUGUUGCUCACGGCCCAUAUAUUUACGUAUCGGAUUACUCUUGAUUCUAGCUCAUUUAUCUCUUUUUGGCCCAACUAGAAUCCAACCUAUUCCUACAUAUAUGUUGUUCACCCUAACCAUUUUUUAGUGCUUGUGAUUUGUGGAAUUUGGAGUGGCUGCCAUUUAGUGAGAGAAAACGUGUUGCUUUGGAAGAUAAAAAUAGGUGACUUCCUCUUGUUAUUCUCUUCUUCGUUUGUGUCUUAUUCAUUGUUUUUCUCGUGUAGUUUAUAAAUUAACACUGAUAUCUUAUUUUUUGUAGGUGAGAUUAAGAAACAACAGAAGUGAAUAUUUUUUGUGGGUUGGAAUCGUUUGGAUUGAUUAUUUGGUAGAUAAAGGUAACGUGGUACUGAACCCAAAAUUAAUGAUUUAAAGAUCUUAAAAUGAGUUUUCGCAACAUUACUUAUUUGUAUCUACUCAUUCUGGUAGAUCCCGUUGCUUAAAUAAUGUUUCUUUUUUGUUUUUAAUUUUUUUCUCAUUAUUGCUCGUGUUGUAAAUUUAUCGGUUAAAUAAUGUCGGUUAAAUUUCCACUUGCAACAUGUACAAUUACGUACGUCGAAGGAAAGAAAUAGAAUUCAUUCAAAUUGAACAAAUAACUAGUACAAACAUUGGAUAAUCUUGGGGAUACGUUUUAAACUUCAGUUAUUUAGAGUAUUGCAAUCUAAGGUUUAGUAUUCUAAUCAUUUAAUUAACCAACAAGCAAUUUGAUGGAAGGGUAACAUUCACGUAUUUAAUGUCAAAAUGAUAUUUAGCGAUAUUAAAAUUAAAUUUGGACUGACCUUUAUAAUUUAUGCAUGUUGAUGAAAUCUUGAGGAAAAAUGGUGUUCUCAUAGUAGACGAUAAAAUCCAUUGUGUUAUAUUUUUCCGAAGAGAAGUCAUUUUUAGAAAAGGUUGAGAAGUAACUCAGUACUUGAACAUUACGCUAGAGGGUAAUCAUGUAAUUUUCCCUUAAGAAAUUUCACUAAGGUGGCUUAGAAGUUUAUUUCAUCACACAAGUACUUCAAUUUAUCUCAAUUUUAUCAUUUAAAGUUUAUUUUUAUGUCAAGUAGACCAUUUCAUCUCUAGCGGACACUAUUGUACUAAAAAACCAUAGCACAAAAUCAAAAUGAAAUUAUUUUUAAAAAAUAUGAAUAAUGUUAUCUAGCAUUACUUAUAAUAGCUCACGUACCUAGUUGUGAAGUUUUGUUGGGUUCAGUUACUUACAAAAUAUACGAAUGUUUAGUAAAACUUAUUGAACCUAUCAUAACCUUACACCUCGACGUGUUUCAAAUUUAAAUAUUCCCCCAUCUCAUUUAUAUAGGCUAAUCUUCCUUAUUUUUUGUCUCAAUUAUAUAGUCUUGUUUCUUUAUUAAGAAUGUUUUAUUUUGUUCGUUUACUACUAUAACAUUAUUUAAUUUCCUUAGUUAUUAUAACAAAUAAUUCUCCACUUGAUUUUGAAAUUAUACAAAUAUAAAUAAGCCUAAACUAAGAAAAUUUUUAGUAAAAUUUGCCUUUUCAAUAGCAUUAAAUAAGAUUUUUUAAUUCGUGUAAAAAAAUAAAAACAGCCUAUAUAAAUGGGAUUGAAGAAGAACAAAUUUUAACCACAAAUUUUAUAGGGCCAUAUGUACUACUCACUUACUAUCACUCAUUUCUGGAAAAGUGAAAUUUAAGGACCACCAAAAAAACAAACAAUCAAACAAAAAAGAAACACUCCAAUUAAAGCAUUAUUAAAUGACAAUAUAUUGGUUUUCAUGCACGUGCAUAUAUUUUAAUAUAUAUAUAUAUAUAUAUAUAGAGAGAGAGAGAGAGAGAGAGAGAGAGAGAGAGAGAGAGAGAGUAUCUAUAAAAUUUUGGGAGUAAAAAUUUUCAAGUAUUCCAACAUACUAUUUAUAUUUAAUACUUAUUACUACUUUCAUAAAAUAUUUAUUAUUUUUUCCUAUUUUUUAUUUUUACAAGCUUCCAUCCAAAUUUUUAUAUUAUUUUUCAACAUUGAAAAUUGAAAUUCUUUAAAUGCAUUUAAUUAUAAAAAGUGAAUUUGGCUCUCCAAAUUUGUAGAGUCAAACUCACUCUUUAAAUUAAAGUAUUAAUUUUAAUAGUCUCUUUGAGUAUAAUUUUUAUGUAUUGACUCUUUAAAAUACAGAACAUUUUAUAUUUAAAUAUUCUUUUGGAAUCCUCCGAGUAGUUGGCAAAGGCUGUAUCUACAUAUAUAUAGCUACUUAUUUAUACAAAGAAAUUAUAAGUUAUUAUAUUAUAAAUUAUAAAUUAAGCUAAUCCAGCAUGUGAAUAGUUGGCUAAGGCUAAAAAGCAUUAUUAUAUGACAAUUUACUAAAGUUUUUAAUCAUGUGCAUGUACGUACGUUAUAUAUAUAGCCCUUGUUUGAGCUAUAUUAUAUUCCUAAAAAUACAUUUUUGAGUAGUGUAUUGAUGGGAAUGUGUAGUUAAAAAAAUUGAAUUUACGUGUAAUAUUAUUUUAUUAAAUAAUGUGUGAUUGAAAUAAUAUCAAAUCACUGUUUAUGAAUUUUAUUUUUUUUUAAAAUAUAGCUCAAACAUAGCCAUAAUUAUAAGCGAAUACAAGCGUGUGAUUAGUUGACAAAGGCAGUUUCUUGUGAUGCUUAAUACAUGCAUUAGAGUAGGAAAAUAACUUUUUCUUUAGGAAUAUGCUACUUAUUCGCAGCCCUAAAUAUACUGGGAUUAACACUUAUCCAUGAUUUUUUUUAUUCGUUGUGGGCCCCUCUCUUUUGAAGGAAUUGUACAAAUAGUUUUUUUUUAUUUUUUAAAGCUUCCCGUGAUUUUAAUUUAUCAACCACUCAUUCUUAGUAAUUAUUAGUUUCUUGAAACGAGCAAAAAGUUAUUUACCCUAUGCUUUGUUUUUUCCUGGAGUUAUACUGAAUCUAUAACAUGCAUUUAUGUGUUUCCUACCCCAGUACAGUGUAGACAGGACCAUUUGUGUGUCAUUUUCCAAAUUUAUAGGACACCAAAUGAUGGAGGAAAAAAAUAAUUGUGAAUUUUUGGGGCACCAAACUGAUGAAAAAAGAAAGAAAGAAUAAUGUUAUGUAGAUCUAUUGUUACUACACUAUUACUUUAGGUGACGCUAAGUUAUAUGUUCAAUGAAAAGUAGAAUUAAGUGAUUUAUUUAAUUAUACCACUCAUUUAAUACCACGUUAGUAAUAUUUAAAUUGAUCUUUUAAUACCAGUGUGUUUCGCGCGGGUUAGUCGCUAACAAUUAAAAAUGGUCAGACGAUUGUGUAAGGGACAGACCUCUUGAGAUAAAGUCCCAAAAAGGGGUGUUCUUUUAUUGGCGAUGACUUUACAAUUGGAAAUGAAAAACAACGUGCCUCCAAGGGGCGCAAGCACACGAGUUACUGAAAGAAAAGUGUUUAAGUCUAAAAACUAAGGAAAUGAAAAUUACAUAUUCUCUGUUCGAGAGUUUUGGAUUCGGUCCUUGCUUCUAUGUCCUUUCUCCCUUUUAUACUUCAUAGACGAUCUCUUUGUGAUUAACUACUCUAAAAACUGCUUGAUCGUCCUAUAAUUACCCACUUUCUUCGUAGUGGCCAUUUUGUCAUGAAAACUGCCUUUUAACUACUGCCAUUACCUUCUAUCGUUCAACCGCUUUCGAUUGAAUUCCUUGAAUCGUGGAACGUGAUAGGGCUGCUUUAACAACUGCUUUGAUAACUGCAUUUCUUGAUAACCACGACGCGUUAUGUUUGUUGAUACCUUGGGCGACUUGAAGGUUUGGACGAGAAUAGAGUAACAGCUCUGGGCGACCGUAUGACACUCUAUUCGUUCAGAUUCUGGGAGACUUGCAAACUUGGGCGAUGGCGUCACCGCAUUCUUGGGCCUCCUUAUUUGGGCCUUCACCUUGAUUUGUUCGAUUGGGCUUCGUUCUUUGGGCUAUCUGAUUUGGGGAUCCUGUAAUUGGGCUUCAUUCCUUGGGCUGUUCGACUUGGGUUGAAUUUUUAUGUGUCAACAAUUACCCCCAAUAUGGCAGAAUUAAUAAUAAUUAUUGAAUUUUGUCAUAUUCACUUUGUGUUUCCAGCAACAUUCGAAAUUCCCAAGAAUUUCAAUCAUUGUUUCCUUCUAUAACUUGAAAAAGUGCGUCGUUUUGCAAACUCUUAUAAACCCCAAACACGCCAUUUCACUGCUACCAAACUACGUCUCAUAUUUUUUGCGUCUCUUUCACGAUUCAUUGUUCAUCUUUUGCUUCCUUGCUACGUAACCCUGAAAAGCUUCGUUCCUCCUCCACUGGCUGCUUCACAAUCUCAAGCUAGCGAUUCCUUUAGUUUUGAUGACUUUCAGAGACUUCUGAGUCGCCCAUACAUAACCCCAAGUUUUCUCGCGCCCGCCGACAUUGGACGUAGUGAGUUUUACUUGGGUCCUUUCUUCAAUAAUGCGGACGCAGUUGAACAGGCGGCGGUGGGUCAGCUGUUUCCUUGCACUCGUGGCCCUCCUUUUCUAAACUCUCUGCCGCUGGGGCUACUUCGUGAAAGAGGUAUUCGCACUUGGCCUAAAUCUGAAGUAGCUUUUCGUAGGUGGCAUGCUCGCCUUGUGGGUCAUGGUCCUACUAAGGCACUUUUUGAUAGCGCUAGGAUUUCUGAUUUGUUGGAAAUCUCUAUCCGCCCCCCUACUUUCGAUUCAGCACUCUUUUCAAUUGCUCUGAGUUUUUGGUCUUCUGAGUAUAACACCUUUAUUUUCCCUCUUGGCCCCAUGUCUAUUACCUUAAGGGAUGUUGGGGCCCUGGUGAAUCUGCCACCUUUGGGCGAUACCAUUUUUCCUGGUAUCUUAGUUUCUGGUGGCGCCCCAAAGUUUAGUAGAAACUACACUGAUUCUUAUUCAAGCCUGCAGACCUUCCACAAUCAUUCGAGCGCUGAGCCUACCCAUACUGAGCGAGUGGCCUUCCUUUUAGUUUGGCUUUGUAAAUAUGUUUUGUGUGUGCCAAGUAUAAAGCCUUCUCUGAGUUAUUUACCUAUAGCGCACGAAUUGGCGCGUGGCAGGCCUUUGAAUUUAUGUUCUUUAUUUUUGGCUGCCCUUUAUAGAGGCAUAGCCUCUCUUCAAGCUCAAUUAAAGAAUGGUGCAUCUCCCACUGGCAGUGGACCUCUUUGGUUCACUUAACUGUGGUUGAGAUCCUAUUUUCCAUCGCUGGGUGCUCCAUCCAUUUCUCGCCCUUCUGCUAGCUGUUAUGGGCUAGCCAUGGAGCCUUUAACUCCUGUAAAUAUGUCCAGAAGGGAUAUUUUUCAUUCUUUUAUUCUUUGGAUUCAAUCCCUUCCUUUUUUCCUUUUCCUCCUUUUUUGACUCCAAACUAUGUACAUCCCCCUUCCACUAUAGAUAACGCGAGCACCUCCCUGCUCACUUGGAUCCAGUUUUUAACUGGGAGGGAGCUAUUUCAUAAUAUUCUAACUGGGACCAAUGCCAAAGCGGGGGUAGAGAUUUAUGCUCCCCAAUUUUUUGCUCGUCAGCUUGGUUUUGGCCAAACUUGGCCUGUUCCUCCUUGCUAUUCAAGGAACUUAGUUGACCGUUUUCAUACCAUUACUAAGGCGGAGGCAGAGGCUAUAGAUGCUCGUAAUCUUCUUUUAACCAGUCAUUUUUCAUUGGCCCCCUUCAAUUCUAGCCACACCAUUCACCCACUUUUUGAACAACUCUGGCCGUCGGUGAAGCGCAGAUUAUUUGCAACUGAUGCCAAUCGUGCCUUUCAUUCAUUAGACUAACCGAGCAUUUCUUCUCCUCCUCCUAUUUUGGUCACUCCUUUGUCUGUUCGGAGCCCCUCUCCUUCUCGUCGCACUAAACAGUCUGCUCGUCCAUCUUCUUCUCUCCCUGCCAAGCCUACUACGGCCAAGAGUGCUCCAAGUCGCAAACGGCCAACCUCAGCAUCUCCCAUUCUGGAGGAUGAUGUUGAUGAUGAUGAUGAUGCCCCUCUUACAAGUAUACUUUUCCACAUUUGAAACUUUUCUGUGUGCUGAUGAUCUUUUGGAUUUCUCAGAAAAGCUCAGCCUCUCCUUUAAAGGCUUUGACAUCGACAACUCCUGCUCCAUCAUCUUCUGCUGAGGCUACUUCAUCCAAACCAGUUGAUGAGGGGGCUAUGCUUAAAGAGACAUCUUCAGUCCCAGAAUCCUCAUCACAACCCAUGGAUGAGCCACCUUCUUCCCAGGGCGUCAACCCCCCAAACAUCGAAGCAGAAGGUAAUUCAGUUUUUUGAUGUCUUACCUUUGCUCGUGCUAUUGGUUUCUGAUUUGUUGCUCUUGAGCUUUGCAGAUACUCCUAUGAGUCCGCCCGUUGUGGCAACAUCUUCUCGCUCGGACAAGGGGGAGUCCUCACGAAUGGAUGAGUCGUUGGUGGCAAGCUUGGCUGAGGGCACGCCAUCUUCUACGAUUGUCGACGAGGUAGUCUUUGCUUCAUUUAUAUUUCCACCUUGUUUGUUGUAGUGAGGAUUUUUAAUAUUGGCAAUCUUCUUUGCAGGACGCUGACAGGAUUGUGCGUUCUAUCCAAGACUUAUUCGCUUCUUGGGGGCAAGUCCAGACGUCUCACCCUGCUCCAUCUGAUCGUCCUGCUGCUUCUUCAGAGGAAGACUUGAAGUUCCUGAAGGAAUCGAUAUUUGAGUACGUAUCCUUCAUGGAUAUGGAUAUUGGAAGGGCUAGUGCUGCCAGGCAUAAGGAUGAACUUGAGCACUUGAGUGCGAAGUUGGAGCAAGCACUGACGCUUCCGUCGCUCAAUCUUUCUGCCGAUUUUAAAGCGACGUUGAAGGUUAUCCACUCCGAGGUCCUUUCUAUGCUGGCCAAGAAUGCUGAACUAAAGGCCAAGCGUACUCAAUAUCUUCGAGCCGUAGCUGAGAAAGAGUCUUUGCGUAUGGAGAUUAACAAGGCUGAGAACGAGUUGAAAGAAAUCUCUUCCGAAGUCAUGAUUGAAGACUCUUUGAUGGUUAACUUGGCUGCUCAAAUGAGGGAACUUCAAGCUAAAAUGGACGACUGCAGGGCGAGGAUGGCUGCUAAAAAGCGCAACGCCUCCCAGGGAAUUGAGCGAACUAAGUCCUUGAUCGAGCAGUACAAGAAGUUGGAAGUUGAUGAUGAUGACGUCGCGGCUUAAUUGAACAUCACUUCCUCUCGACAGAACGAGGAUUGGGAAAAAUUUAGGAAAUGAAUUCGUUCCAUAUGGGGUAGACUGUAAUUAAGACGUGCGAUGUUUUUUUUUUCUUUUGUAAUUCGAUUUUUCCCUUUGUAACUUUGUUCAUCAUUAAUGAACAUUAACUUCUUGUGCAUUUAUUUGACGUUUAUUUUUUAGUCAUCAAUUCUUUAAGCACUUAACUGCUUUGCACUAAGAAUCUUGUCCAUUUCCUUUUGAUAUUUCCACCACUUUUUCCAAGACAUUGGGCUAUUUAAUUCCGUUUAUUAGACAGAAAUGUGGCUGUUCAUAUUCUGUCUCUUCAUCUUCACCCCCCUAUAAAUACUUCGUAUUUUUCAUCUUCUAUCUUCAUCUCUUCAUUUUCUUCUUCGAAACCAAUUUGCUGCCAUUUCUUGGCAUUCUGACGAUCAAUCUGAUCCAAAAAUGGACUGUUUAGUCCGCCCACCUUACUAUUUACCUUGAUGUCACCUUUGGUAUGAGAGGUAUAGGAAAUAUUUUCUGGCCAGCAGCGAAGUUCUUUCCUGCCAAAUUCUUCCCAUCGUCUCUUUAUUCUUCACAAGGAGUCAAUGAUGGAAGACAAUUUUUGGGCUGCUUGUGGGCCACUUUGCUUGCUGAAAGUGCUUCUCAGCUUGCCUGCUGAGAGUGCUUCUCAGCCUCUUUGCUCGCCAUUGCAGCGAUGCAUUUAGGAAGGUGGUGAGGCCAGUACACCCUCUUACUCGACAAUCCCACCAUUGCAGCGAUGCAUUUAGGAAGGCGGUGUGAAGCUUACUCAGCGAUCAACCGGGAGAUCAUCUUACUUUAGUUGUAUUUUGUAGCACAUCCAUUAUUUGUAUCUUUUGUAUUCUUGUAAUGAACGUUUGAUAAUAAAGAAAUUUAUUCGAACGUAUUUCGCUCUAACCUUAUUAUCUUUUGAUCGUUCAAAAUGUCUGGUUAUGUUUUUAUCUGUUCACAUUCCCAUAAAGAAGGAACAUAUUUUUUCAAAUAUUUGCCGUUAAUGAAUCUUACGUGCUUGGUGCCGUCUAAAUCUUCCAAGUGGUACGCCCCAUUGGGCAACACACUGUUUAUUUUGUAUGGUCCUUCCCAAUUGGACGACCACUUCCCAUACUUUGGAUCUUUGCUAUCCAAAGGGAGUAUCGUCUUCCAAACUAGUUCACCCAGGCUGAACGACUUGGCUAUAACUUUUUUAUUAUAAAACUUAGCCAUUCUUUGCUUUUGAACUUGCAACCUAUCUAAGACGUCCAACUUCAAUUCGUCUAAACUCAACAAAUUUUGAACUAGUGAUUCGGCAUACUCAUCAUCAUUCAACUUAUGUUGCAAGCACACUCGAAUAGAUUGCACGUUGAUUUCCAUAGGCAAAACGGCCUCCUGUCCAUAAACAAGUUGGAAAGGAGUAACUUUGGUACUUGACCGAGGUAAUGUUCUAUAAGCCCAUAAGGCCUUGUUCAAACAUUCGUGCCAAUUUCUGGCGUUUUCAUCUAUCAUCUUUCUGAUAAUAUUUUUUAGAAUCUUAUUAGAAGAUUCCACUUGUCCGUUGGAUUGAGCGUAGUAUGGUGUGGAGUUUACUAAUUUAAUUCCAAACUUGCUCAAAAAUUUGUUCACUUGAUCCCCAUUCAAAGAUGUUUCGUGAUCUACCAUUAAGGUUUGUAGAAUUUCAAACCUAUAAAUAAUGUGAUCACGGAUAAACUCUAUAACAUUCUUCUGGGUGAUUUCUUUCAAAGGUACCGCCUCUACCCAUUUGGUGAAAUAGUCAGUUGCAACUAUAACAAAAGUAUGUUGCUUGGACGAUGGGAGGUAGAUCUUCCCUAUCAGAUCUAUCGCCCAACCUUUGAACGGCCAAGGUUUAAUAAUAGGUGUCAUCUCUCAUGCUGGCGCCCUUUGUAUUGGACCAUGCUUUUGGCAUGCUAAACAACUUUUUGCAUACUGAACGCAUAGUUCUCCCAUCUUUGGCCAAAAAUAUCCACUCCUAAUAAUUAACCAUCUCAUCCUUUGGCCAGCUUGAUGAGCUCCACAUAUCCCUUCGUGCGCUUCAGCCAUGAUCGUCUUGGCUUCUUGCAAACUUACACACUUUAGUAAUACACCAUCAGAGCGUUUUUUAAACAACUCUUCAUCUAUUAAUGUGUAAUUCAGCAAACAUAGCUUUGUUUUCCUACUAAUCCCUCCAUUAGGUUCUUUAAGGAACCCUUUAAUCUCUAUUCUCCAAUCUACUGCAUCUCCAUCUUGUAUACAGUGAAGUUCAAUUUUUCUCGCCCUUCUUUGAGUUACGGGCAAUAUGGUUCCAUACUCACAAGUAGAUUUUCAAUUCAAGACCUUUGAGUACCCUGAAGCCAUUUGGGCUAACUCAUUUGCCACGUCGUUAUAUAUCCUAUUAACGCAUUGAAGUUCUACUUGAUCAAAUUCCUCUAAUAAUUCUUGGGCGAUCUCAUAUUGACUUAUAAUGGAAUCACUUUGGCAUUUAAAAUCACCGAUCAAUUGAUGNNNNNNNNNNNNNNNNNNNNNNNNNNNNNNNNNNNNNNNNNNNNNNNNNNNNNNNNNNNNNNNNNNNNNNNNNNGAGAACAUAUAUUUGACUAAAUUUACUUUAGAAAUUAAAUAAACUGUUACGGGCCGUAAAUAAGCCCUUAAUUUUGUACAUGUGAAAUACAGUGCAAGACACAAUUUUUCAACAGCAGAGUAAUUACAUUCACAUUUCGUUAACCGUCUACUUAAGUAGUAAAUUACCCUUUUUUCACCAAAUUGGUCUUCCUGUGCGACCAUUCCAGCUAUUGAUUCUUUUUCAGUCGAUACAUACACUUUCAUUGACCGUCCUUGGAUUGGUGACACCAACACUGGUGGACUUGAUAGAUAUGUCUUCAGGCUUUCAAAAGCCUUUUGAUGUUCUUCUUUCCGGAUGAAUUCGUCCUGAUUUUUCAGCUUUAAUAGCGGCGAAAAGACUUUAGUUCGCCCUGCACAGUUAGAAAUAAAGCGUCUUAAAAAUUUUACUUGGCCUAGAAACCUUUGCAACUCCUUUUUGUUGUUAGGUGGUUUGGCUUAUAAGAUAGCCUUCGCUUUAUUUUUAUCGAGUUCAAUCCCUCUCUUAUGUACUAAGAAAUCGAGAAAGUUCCCUGCAUUAACACCAAAUGCACACUUCAAGGGAUUCAACUUUAGCUUAUAUUGCCUCAUUCGUUCAAACGAACAUCUUAACUGUUCGAAAUGGUCCUCUUCUUUAAUAGACUUGACUACUAUGUCGUCUACAUACACCUCAACAAACUUGCCUAUCAUAUCAUGAAAGAUUAAAUUCAUUGCCCUUUGAUAAGUUGCCCCUGCAUUUUUUAGGCCGAAAGGCAUAACUACCCAUUCAAAACAUCCUAGAGACCCAGGGCAUCUAAAGGCAGUUUUGUGUAUGUCUUCUUCAGCUAUAUAAAUUUGAUUGUAUCCUGAAUACCCAUCCAUGAAAGAAUACAUGACAUGUCCGGCAGUAGAAUCUACUAAAGAAUCCACCGUGGGCAUUGGAUAUUCAUCUUUGGGUGUAGCAAUGUUUAAAUUCCUAAAGUCUAUACACACCCUUAGUUUACCAUUCUUUUUUAAUACUGGCACAAUAUUCGACAAACAAUCAACAUAUCUGGCUGUUCUUAUAAAACCUGCUUUCAAUAAUCGCUCUAUCUCUUACUUAAUCUCAGGGAGUACAUUAGGAGCAAAACGCCUAGGAGGUUGCCUAUGAGGUUUAAAAUUAGGCUUAGUUGGUAAUCUAUGUUCCACUAAGUCUCUAUCUAAACCAGGCAUUUGUUCAUAUUCCCAAGCAAAACAAUCUUUGUACUCUUUUAACAAAGCGAUUAAUUUGUUACUAACCUCUUGGUCGAGCAUCUGGCUGAUGAACGUUGGGUGAUCUUCUCCUUCAUCGCCAAUAUUUACUUUGAUCAGAGGGUCUUGUGCUUGAGCGUUUCCAGGUUUGGCAAUCCGCAUCACUUCGUCGUCUAGUUCUUUUGUAAAUACUUCCUCUUCCAAACAGUCCACCUUGUUGACUUCUCGACCAAUGCUUUGCUCUAACUCGAAUACUGCCAACUUGUCCUUCAGCACUUUUAGGGCAGUCUCUUCCUUUGCUUUGUCAUUGCAUUCCUUAUUGAAAGCCAUCAGUCUGGCUUUGAAGGCCUGAAUGUCGGCCAUUUGCUUUUGUAACUUAAAGUCCAUUCAAGACUCCUUAAUUAUUCUUUUGCCAAUUACUGGCUCUUCUAGGGCCACUAUAUUUGGCCUCAUCUGUUUGAACAUCUCAGUGAGUGCGUCCACUGAGAAUGGUUCUUCGCUUUGUGCGACGACCUGAGUUUCUUCCCCGUCUUGUAUCACUCUGACAGGUCCAUAGUUCCUUCGUACAUGAACUUUUCCACCGAGUUUUCUUCCGCGACAAAAGGCCUAUGAUCGGCCUGUACCACCUCUGCUUCACCUUUGUCAUUCCAAAAAAUUAGGCAUUGAUGGAGCGACGAGGGUAUACAGCGACUUCCGUGUAUCCAAUCUCUUCCUAGGAGCACGUUGUAACUAGUAGGACCAUCUAUUACAAAGAAAACAGUGGUCCUAGUAGUCGUACCUAUAGUUAUGUUUAAUGGCAUAACUCCCUUAGCUGAAGUUGCUCCUCCAUUGAAGCUAGUGAGGAUGACUUCUAUAGGAAUCAUGUCACCCUCUGUUUUUGCGAACUUUCUCAUCAUCCUAGAUGGAAUGGUGUUUAUAGCUGCUCCAUUGUCGACAAGCACUUUUGCCACUGGGACACCGUUAACUAGAGUUUUAACGUAUAACGGCCUCAAGUGUUUAGUCAAUUUCAUGGUUGGCCGUUUAAAAAUAACCUUUUCGGCAGCCUCUAUUUCUACCUCUUGCUUGUUUUUUGUCGAAUUAUCCCCCUGUGAUAAGUCGACGUGCAGUAUGUAACGCUGAUCCUCUGUCUCCUGAACUUCCUUCUUACUUUUUUCUAAUGCUUUCUCAUCAGUUAUCCAACCUGUGAGAGGGGGCAUUAUUCUUGGAGGUGACCCAUACUUUUCAGAGCGAGUUCCUUUUGGGUGUCCCGUACAGUACGUAGAAAUCGAAAGGACGCCCAGAUGGCUCCCCCAACAAGUCUACUUCGCGAACUCCCUCUUGAUGUAGUUGCUUAAACAGAGUAUUGCGCGAUACUCCUCUCUUUUUCCUUUCUGCUUCUAGGUCGAUCUCUUCUUCAAUGACUGUCAUCCUAUCGUCCUCCUCGUCGUUGUAGGCCUCUCCAGAAGUCUGGCCUUCUUCACAUACCAACACGCAGGCUUCUCCUUCGUUGUCCUCCCUCUCUUCUUCCUUUUCCUUAUUCUUGAAUUCAUUAGCCAGUAGGUAAUUAUUGGCCACGACAGAAGGCAACGUACCGAAUUGGAUAGCAAGGGGCUGAUCUAGAUCUUCUUCAUCCCUUUUGUCCCUUUCAAACCUUGAUCUCCCAGAAGAGGUUUCUGGCAGUUCCUUCAUUGAUUCAUCUGUACCGAUUUCUUUACUACCUUCGAGGAUGUUUUGAUUGGCUACCUUGAGUAGUAUAGGCGCUUUAGGAUGUGGCAUUCCUUGUUGCUGCCUCAUCAUUCGUCCGUAGUUUCGUUGGAAACGCUUUUGUUGGGUCCUAGUCAUCUCAUCGAAGGGUAUUGCCCUUCCUGCACUGUACUGGAAUGAAUGCCAUACAUUUGGCCGGCGAGGUUGCGGCCUAAAUGUUCUUCCAGUAUCUGCUGGUCUGAACUGCCUUUCAAAAGCCGGUCCUCUAUAGAAUGAUGUACCUCGCCCUCUACCAGGCUGAAUGUUUGGGAAGAAGGCAGGGCGAUGAGGAUGCUGCCAUGUCCCUGGUUUUUCCGUGUUUUCAUUUACUUCCCUUUUACACCUUGCACACAGGACGUCUUCGUCCUUUUUUGGUUCUUUUCCUUUGAUUCGUUCAAAGACGCUGGGAUGUGGUCUAGGAUCUUCUUCUCCAUCAUCUACGACCAAUUUGAACUUUGGUAACUUGUUCUUGAAUCCCGAUGUUACCAUGUUUACUCCAAGUGGCUGUGGGAAAGGAUUCUCGUCCACUGCCAUUUUUUUCUUAUCAUCGAACGUAAUCCAUCCUGAUUCAAUGGCAUCCUGAUUCAAUGCAUGAUGGAAAACCAAGCAAUUGUUAGUCAAAUGUGACCAUGCGUUAUGCCACUUACAAUAUUUUUUACCCUUAAUUUGUUCAGGGUUUGGCAAUUUGUGCUUAUCGCUCAACUUUAUCUGCUUAUCUCUAUAUAAUUUAUCGAAUAUAAGGUCAGCUUUGGUCACGUCGAACGAGAACGUUCUAGCCUUUAUGUUUCCAUCCUUUAUGGGCUCAUUUCUGCCCGAUGGUCUAGGCUUGGCCAUUAUGGGACAAGUAUAUGUGUCCCCUUUGACCAAUUCGGCCAAACACAUUUCGGCCUGAUCGUAUGACUCGUCGUCGAUGGUAUGAACGUCAAAAUUUGGGUCUUUGUAAUAAGUCCCUUUACUAGAAUUUUUCAUUUGUUCCUCUUCUCUUAUCAGUCGCUCAUACCUAAUAACAUUCGCACUCAACUGGAAAAGGUCAGAGAAUUCCUUGUCCUGGAACUUCUUUUUUAAAUCAACACUCAAGCAGCCUUGAGCGAUCUUGACAAAUUCUUUUUCAGGCAGAGGUACAAAACACUUGCUUCUUGCUGUCUUGAACCUUUGGAGAAAACUUUCUGCCCAUUCAUUUGGCAUUUGACGUAAAUUCGUCAAAUCGGUCAAAGUGACUUCAAACUCAGUUUUAUAAAACUGAGCGUGAAAUAACUGUUCCAAUUGUUGCCAUGUUUGAACAGAGUUCGCUGGCAAGUUGGUGAACUAGGAGAAAGCUACUCCUGUUAACGAACUAGGAAAAAGUCUCAUUUUAUGAUAAUCGGUUACAUCACCACUUUGCAAUGUGAAUCGCCCUAUGUGUUCUAGAGUAGACACCUCUCCUAAACCGGUAAACAGUGAGAAUUCUGGCAAUUUGUAUCCUCUUGGCCAUGGAUAUGCUUGAUCUACCCAAUCAGGAUAUGGCUUUGUGUACGUCGGCCUAAUGACGGGACGCACCCCAAAAGCCAUCUGAUCCUGUACGAUUUUCAUAAUCUGGUUCCUCAACAUGACGUUGGGGUCAUAUGGAAUUCCUACAGGUUGGUUAACUGUUGGUUUGCAUGAGGCCUGAUGUUUGGUCCUUGAUUGGCAACAAAAUUACCAUGAUUAGGACCAUUACCAUUAGCUUGAACAUCUACUCCCUCGUUACCACGUGGAAUAUUCUGUCCAUUGUUUAGGAUAUUAUCUCUCACGUUUGGAUUAUCCCCCAAGUUAGGCAUACCACUACCAUUGCUUUGAUUUGGUACUGUAGUACCCCCUUGGUUUGAAGUAGAAGGACCAGGAAGUGGUUCUACCCUUGACUCGGAUUUAGGACCGAGGGAUUAUGUCCCACAAUUGUCCUAGUUUGAAAGUGAUUUGUAAGAGGUAUAGCCGGUUGACAUAUUUGGCCUACUAACUUGUUCAUCGUUUCAUUCAACGUCUUUAGUUGUUUGGCCAUGUUGUCAUAGUGUACAUUCCCAUUUUGUGUAAAUCUUUCCAUAUUAUGAAUACUUCGAAGACUUACCUGUUCAACGACGUCUUGCGUGAGUUCUCCAAGUAAUGCACGCAUGGUUCGAGGACUCAACUCCGUCAUUGGUUCGUAACAACUGUUACUGCUCUGAUUUUGUCCAUCUGUUCGCGGAGAGGCAUGCUACUCCUCAUAUCGCUCGAUUACAAACUGGAUUCCUCCCUGACUUGCCGCUUCCUUAUCGGAUCUCUGAGGCAUAUUGUUUCCCCUUUUGUACUUUCAACACCUAACACCACUGUCCUACCGGGCGUGCCAAAUUAUUUCGCGCGGGUUAGUCGCUAACAAUUAAAAAGGGUCAGACGAUUGUGCAAGGGAUAGACCUCUUGAGACAAAGUCCCAAAAAGGGGUGUUCUUUUAUUGGCGAUGACUUUACAAUUGGAAAUGAAAAACAACGUGCCUCCAAGGGGCGCAAGCACACGAGUUACUGAAAGAAAAGUGUUUAAGUCUAAAAACUAAGGAAAUGAAAAUUACAUAUUCUCUGUUCGAGAGUUUUGGAUUCGGUCCUUGCUUCUAUGUCCUUUCUCCCUUUUAUACUUUAUAGACGAUCUCUUUGUGAUUAACUACUCUAAAAACUGCUUGAUCGUCCUAUAACUACCUACUUUCUUCGUAGCGGCCAUUUUGUCAUGAAAACUGCCUUUUAACUGCUGCCAUUACCUUUCAUCGUUCAACCGCUUUCGAUUGAAUUUCUUGAAUCGUGAAACGUGAUAGGGCUGUUUUAACAACUGCUUUGAUAACUGCAUUUCUUGAUAACCACGACGCGUUAUGUUUGUUGAUACCUUGGGCGACUUUAAGGUUAGGGCGAAAAUAGAGUAACAGCUCUGGGCGACCGUAUGACACUCUAUUCGUUCAGAUUCUGGGCGACUUGCAAACUUGGGCGAUGGCGUUACCACAUUCUUGGACCUCCUUAUUUGGGCCUUCACCUUGAUUUGUUCGAUUGGGCUUCGUUCUUUGGACUAUCUGAUUUGGGGAUCCUCCAAUUGGGCUUCACUCCUUAGGCUGUUCGAUUUGGGUUGAAUUUUUAUGUGUCAACACAGUGAUUCUAAAUAUCAUUAAGCAGAAAUACUAGACCAACACGGGGAACACUAUCAGUGUCCUUGGUACCAACACAUAGCCAUGUAAUUCAAUAAUUGUGAGGUAAAAAUCCACAUCAGGCAUAUUCUAGCAAAUCCUGUUAUAAGUUGUCAAAAUUCGACAUAUCAGUGACCAACCCAAAAUUGUCAUUUGUCACCAACCUUGGUUCGAAAAUUUUGUCAAGACCGAUUCAUUUCACCCCAUAGUAUAUAUUGGCCAGCUUAAAUGAUUUAUUUAGUUAAAAUUAUUAAUUUUUUUUAAUUCGAAGUUGAGAUAAAUGAUUUGAAUAAUUGUUAAUUCCAGAAGAAGAUUGGAAGCAUUAACCAGCAUAAUUGAAGAUAAGGAACAGACGAGCGGGCAUAAACUUAAUACAAAGAGCAUUCUUCGCUUCAAAUCCUUACAAAUUAUGCCAAAUGAAAAUUUUGAGUGAACAAGUCAGUGAAAGAUCAGGUAAUGUUAAUAAAUUAGGACGUAUCUUCUUUAUGAUUUUGUUCAAAAUUUAUAUUCCAACAAAUUUUCUUAUUUUGAAAUCCACAACAAAGCAGGUAAAUUAAAAUUGGAACUGACGCAAUUAGUAGAAUUAGAAGCCUUUGCACAACUCCAUAAGUAAAAUUAUAGGUUAAAUGGUGUCUCAUUAAAUUUUCGUUUGAAACGUGUGCAAUUACAUCAAACAUGCAGCAUUAUUCUAUAAUAUUCUAUUGCUAUAAACUCUUGUUACACGUGUCCUUCUUGGAUAGGUUGGGAAAUUUAUGUUUUUUUUUAACGUAUAAAUGGAUUGUAAUGUUGCCUAAUCAAAACUUGCUCGCUUCCAUAAAAUGAUAUUGACAUUAAUUUUGAUAACUUGAGCAUGAGUGAAAGCAAAAUUGUCUUAAAAUACAAUGUGAAUUUUUUGAGCAGAUUAGGCAUUAAACUCGUAUUUAAUUGUGCGGGAGUUCAACCACUUUAUAAAAUCAACCAGAUAGUGUCGAAUGUCGGCCGAUGUUUUAAAACUCGACCCAAAUAUCGAUCCGAAAAAGAGAAAAGAUCAAUGGUCAAAAGGUUCAACUGCGGUCGAACUAGGGUCAAACCAAAAGAUAAUAAAUAAAUAUUUAUAAACAUUUAAUUGUUACUUUUCACAACAAUAUACAAAUAAUUUUUUACACCAUCAAUGUAAAAUAAAUACAAAUAUAUCAAAUGUAUGUUUUUAAUAUAAAUUUUAAUAUUUUUAAUUUGUUAGACCACUUAAAAACUCAUUUGAAUUUUACUAAAUAAUUUGUAAGAUUACAAAAAUGUUUAGCAACCUAUAGAAAUUGAGUAAUUUAAUUUUUGUAGUCAUGCACUAUGUGGCCAUAAAUAAUAUUGAAAAAAUUUGCUUUAUUGGAGUUUGUCAAUCCUACAUUGAAAAUGCAUUGAAAGUGUGUUUUAUUGAAUUUUGUCAAUCUCACAUCGGAAGUUUAUCAAUUAUGGGACACAAGAAAUAGCCAUAAAAGAGCUCCGUAAGUAGAAAGUUGAGUAAAUGGGUUUCCAUCCAUAAGUAAACUCGCUUAGGAGUAAGAACAUGGAGAUUAAGGUUGAAAAAGAGAAUAAGAGGAGUGACGAGUUACAUAUGAUGAGGAGUAUGAUGAAAUUUAAGCAAAUGAAUUCAGGUAGAACUCAAGACAGUAGUUAUUCGAGUAGUGACUCGAGUGAUGAGGGUAGUAAGAUGAAGGGUAAGGGAUGGGACAAGUCUAGUGGUAGAAGGCGUUACAGUUGUGGUAAGUCUGGACACUUUAUUAAGGAUUGUCCCAAAAAGAAAGAUAAUCUGAAAGGUAAGAUGAGAAGUGAGGCGAAUUUGGUUGACGGGUCAAGUUAUAACCUUAGUGAGGUUUAUUGAGAGUAAACCUAGAUACUGCAUAUGCAUCUGUGUGUGAUCAUUUCUGCAUGUGUGUGAUUGUCUAAAUUUUGUUGCAUGAUUAUUUGCUACAUUUCAAUGUGUUUGAUAUGUGCAUUUGCAUGAAUUUGAGACAAUAUGAUUACUUAGUGUAAUUACUUGCAUACAUAGUGGGUUAGGAUGCAAUAACAUUGUGUUGUGUGUCUUUUGGUGGGGUGGAGUGUAGAUGCCUAGAGGUACAUUGUGGUUUGUACCGAGGAUAUGGAGUGUGACAUUUGGAUCACGAAUGGAGAUGUGAUCAAAUAUCUAGAAUCAUUUAUCUGUAAAGAGACCCUGAUCAGAUGGAGUGUGAGAGAGAUACUUCUAUAACUUCUGUUAGGUGGAGACCCAUUAUCCAAGUAGGUUGGGAGAAGUGAUGUGGAGAUAGAGAAUUAUCCCAUGGACUUAGGAUCUAUUGUGACUUGUCAGUUAGACAUGAGUUGGAUGAUGAGAGGAAAUAUGUGUUCUCGAGGUGUGAGCAGCAUGAAAUGGGAUAUGAUAAGUGUGGUGGGAUCUUUUCGUAGAGUCAUUUGUGCAUGUGUUGUAUAUGGCGUUGACCGUGGUUUGAUUGACUUGGUGUUAAUCUAUGGUUCUAUAUGAACGUGUUUCUGAAAAGAUUUAUGUAUCUUAUCCUAUAAUAUAUCAUCAUCGCACGUGUAUUAGCUCUUAAUUGUUUACUGUUAAAUAUUUGUUUUUAUUUGGGUGUUUUUUGACCUUAGCCCCAGUGAGUACAUGGAGCAGUUAUGGUAUGUGUUUCAAGUUGGAAACACGAGGUAAAGGCUGUGAUCCGAUUUUAUUGGCUACCUUGAUUAUGUAAGUGAUAAUUGUGUGUUUUGAUUGCUUGCAAAUUUAUUGGGUAUCAAGGUGGAGAUUUGUUGGGUUUUUUGAUACCCAAUAAAUUUCGGGCUAUGAUGUUAACGUGUGUUAAUAUUAUUUUAUAGGCAUAAGUUAAUGAAUAAAAUAAGUUCAACAAUCAAGUCCACUACACCCGCCCAAUUAUAUUUCAUCUUGAAUGACUUGGAUUUUGGCUUGUUUACUUUUUUAAAGGUCCAACUUAAAGCCUAACCCUAGAGUAUAUAUAUGGCUGUAACCCUAACCACUUUCUUGUGAUGUUUUGUGUAGUUUUGAGAGAAAAAUUAAGGAAUUCAGGCUGCCCCUUUGUGUGUGAAAAAAGGCCUCUAAAAGUGUCCAAAACGCUUGUUUAACGCGUGCAAUUGCUGGUUCUUUGAUAGUAUACCUUUGUGGUGUCUUCUCCUAACUUUUGUAGCCACAAAUUUUCAUCUUUUCUAGUCCUACGUGGAUAAAGUUGAAUAGCAAUCGAGAUGAAUUAAUUUGUUUUCGUUUGGAGCCUAUUGGAUUGGUUAUUGGUAGAGAAAGGUACGGUGGAAUGAGCCCAGAAAUCACAGAUUUGAAGAUCUUUAAAGAAAGCUUCCACAACAAUUACUUAUUUUAUCUACUCAUUCUGGUAGAUCCCAUUGCUUAAAUUAUAAUUUAAGCACCAACAAAUAAUGCUUAAAUAUUCUUUUCAAUGUUUAUUUUUUCUUUUUAUUUUAUUUUUUUUCAUUAUUGCUCGUGUUGUAUAUUUAUCGGUUAAAUAAUGCCGGCUGAAUUUCUAUUGCAACAUGUACAAUUUCGUACGUCAAAGGAAUGAAAUAGAAUUCAUUCAAAAUGAGCAAAUAACUAGUACAAAUGUUGGAUAAUCUUGGGGAUACGUUUUAAACUUCAGUUAUUCAGAGUAUUGCGAUCUAAGGUUUAGUAUUUAAUCAUUUAAUUAACCAACAAGCAAUUUGAUGGAAGGGUAAUAUUCACGUAUUUAAUGUCAAAAUGAUAUUUUCUUUUUCCUAGUUUCUUGUCAACAUCACUUAGCGAUAUUAAAAUUAAAUUUGGACCGAUCUUUAUAGUUUAUGCAUGUUGAUGAAAUCUUAAGAGAGAAAUUUUGGACACAAUUGGGAAAAAUGGCGUUCUCAUAGUAGACGAUAAAAUCCAUUUAGUGUUAUAUUUUUGUGAAAAGGUUGAGAAGUAACUCAGUACUUGAACAAUACGCUAGAAAGUAAUAAUGUAGUUUGUCCUUAAGAAAUUUCACUAAGGUCACUUGGAAAUUUAUUUCAUCACGCAAGUACUUCAAUUUAUCUCAAUUAUAUCAUUUAAAGUUUAUUUUUAUGGCAAUUAGACCAUUUCAUCUCUAGCAGACACUAUUGCACUAAAAAACUAUAGAACAAAAUCAAAGUGAAUUAUUCAAUGUUUUAAAAAUCGACCUGAGCAUCGACUCGAAAAAGGAAGAGUGUCGAAGUUUAAAGGAUCGAACCGGUAUCAAACCGGAUGACAAAUUAAAUAAAUAAAUACACAAAUAAACUAUAAAAUAUCAUAACUAGAAUAGAUUUUUAAAUUUUAGUUUUCUCAUUCAAAAUAAAUAUAAUCAAUAUUUGUUACUUAGAUUUAUUAUAAUAAUUUAUUUUAUAACCUUGAAAACUAACAAUUAAUAUGUCCAAAAUAAUUUGUUUUGUUCAAAUUGAAAAUUAUAUUUCUGUUGGGAUUUAUGAUUUGUUAGUGAAAAUGAUGAAAUAAAUUAGGAAACACUUAGAAUUGACAAUUAGCAAGUAUUCCAUAUUGGGAGAUUACCAUAACAUUGGAAGAAUAGUCUCCUUUAAAAAGGAGCUAGUAUCCCUCAUUGAAAAAUUCCUAAAACGUUGAAAGAAUGAUCUCCUUUAAAAAGAAGCUAAAGGAGAAUCAAUUUUAUAAAAAAGUUACUUUGGCCUUCAAUUGCAAUGGUUGACACAUUAAGAAAUUAAAAGUUUUUGAGGGAAGAAAAUCAAAUUACACGAAAAAAACUGUGGCCGAUUUUUCUGGUUCACUGUUAAACCGACCGAUUUGACGGUUUAUUAGCCAAUUUUUUUUUAUUUUUCGGUUAGUUUAUGAGUAUUGGACCUUAUUAAACGCCAGUUCACGAUUUUUCAAGUUGAACUAGCUGGUCCGAUCCGAUUUUGAUAACGUUGAAAUUAUUUUUAAAAAAUAUGAAUAAUAUUAUCUAGCACUACUUAUAAUAGAGCACCUACCUAGUUGUGAAGGUAUAUUGGGUUCAAUUACCUACAAAAAUAUGCAAACGUUUGGUAGAAUUUAAUGAACCUAUCAUAACCUUACACCUCGAUAGGUACUUCAAAGUUAAAUACUCUCUCGUCCCAUUUAUAUAGGCUAACUUUCCUUAUUUUUUAUCCCAAUUACAUAGUUUUGUUUCUUUAUCAAGAAUGUUUUAUUUUGUUCAUCUGCUAUUAUACCAUUAUUUAAUUUGCUCAGUUAUAACAAAUAAUUCCCCACUUGCUUUUGAAAUUGUACAAAUAAGGCUAAACGAGAAAUGUUUUUAGCAAAAUUCUCUUUUUCAAUAGCAUUAAAUGAGAUUUCUUGCCCCCAGGGUAUAGUUCAGUGGUGCAAAGGAUAGGAGUGAAGUUAUCUCACGCCUUGUUGGCAGCUACAGUGUGAGGGUUCGAUUCUCGAGACAUGAAAUUUGACUCAUUGUAGACACAUUGUACAGACAGUUUUUAUUUCCUGACUUGCUGAAGCACAUUCCGCGAUUUACAUCCCUUACAAAGCUCUAGGGACGGAGUGGUGAAGCCCUCAAAGUUGGGUUUCAACUUUUUUAAAUAAGAUUUCUUAAUCCGUAUGAAAAAUAAAAACAGCUUAUAUAAACGAGACUUAAUAAGUAUAAAUUUUAACCACAAAUUAUAUAUGGCCCGCAUAUACUACUCAUUUAUUAUCAUUCAUUUAUGGAAAUGUGAAAUUUUAAGCAAAAGACAUUUUUUCAAAAUGUGUUUACCACCUAAUAUAUUAUUUCUUCCAACUUUACUAUCUCUUAAGAAAGAAAGCUAGGAAAUUAUUUUGGUGGAUCAAGAAUUUCCAAAAGAUAAGUUCAAAAGAUGACUAAAGUUGUUGCCAACUUUUCCAAGUGGGAGACAAAGAAAAGUAUUUUGAAGACUUUUCUUAUAUUUGAUUAAUUUUUGCAAAUGGACGGAGCAAAAGUUUCAAAAGGUGCAAUUGUUCAAGAUUCCUUCUCCAGAUUGAAGAAAAUUUCAAGUCCGAAACUCAAAAUUUCAAGUAUAAAAGCAGAUCAAGUGUUCAAAGUCUCCUCGGAGUUAAUUAAGUGCAGCUCUCAUUAGAGUUAAUUCAGUAUAGCUCUUAAGAAAGUGAAUUUAGCAGGAGAUAAAUCAUUCUUAUUUUUCAAUUUUUACUUUUAAUCUUGUAAUUCAAAGUUCAUUUCAAUAUUUGUAUUUCAAAUUUUCAUAUAUCAAUAAAAAUUAUCUUCAUUCAAACAUUUGUUCCAUUUUCACUUCUACUCUUCCUCUCCUGGGUCCAUAUAUAUAUAUAUAUAUAUUCAAGAGAUUUUUUAUUUUUAAAAAGUAUAUUUUACAAUUGAGAGAACAUUUAUAAAAUUUUGAGAGUAAAAUUUUUUAAGUAUUCUAACAGGCUAUUUAUUUUAAUACUUAACCUUACUACUUCCAUAAAAUGUUUAUUAUUUUUUAUUUUUACAAGCUUCCAUCCAAAUUAUUAUAUUAUUUUUCACCAUUAAAAUUUGAAAUUCUUUGAAUGCAUUUAAUUAUAAAAAGUGGACUUGACUUUCCAAAUUUAUAAAGUCAAACUCACUCUCUAAAUUAAAAUAUCAAUUUAAAGAGUCUUUGAAUAUAAUUUUUAAAUAUUGACUCUUUAAAAUAAAGAGCAUUUUAAACAGUCUUUUGAAAAUGCUUCGAGUAGUUGGCAAAGGUUGUAUCUACAUAUAUAGAGACUUAUUUUAUACAAAGAAAUUAUAAGUUAUUAUAUUAUAAAUUAUAAAUUAAGCUAAUCCAAGCAUGUGAAUAGUUGGCAAAGGCUAUAAAGCAUUAUUAUAUGACAAUUUACUAAAGUUUUUAUUCAUGCGCACGUUAUAUGUAUAUAAUUAUAAGUGAACCCAAGCAUGUGAGCAGUUGGCAAUGGCUGUUUCUUAUCAUACUUAAUUCACACGUUAGGAAAAUAACAUUUUCCUUUGGGCUAUGCUACUUUUAUGUAGCCCCAAAUACAUCGGGAUUGACACCCUGCCAAUAAUUUUUUUAUUGAUCGUGGCCCCUCUCACAAGAGGGAGCUGUACAAAUAGUAUUUUUUUAUUAGCUUUCCAUUAUUUUAAUUUAUCAAUCACUCAAUUAUUUUUAGCCCCCGUUUGGCCCCCAUUAAUUUUUAUUUUUUUUUCUAUUUUCAAUCACACAAUUUUUUAUAAAAUAAAAUUACACAUAAAUUAAAAACUUUUCUUUAUUUUUUAACCAUUCAUUUUUAAAAAAAAAUACUAUUUCAUCCCUUAAUUUUUUCACAUAAUGGGGGCCAAACAAGGACUUAGUAAUUAUUAGAUUCUUGGGACGAGCAAAAAGUUAUUUACCCUAUGCUUUGUUUUUUCCUUGAGUUACACUGAAUCUAUGACAUGCAUUUAUGCGUUUCCUACCCCAGUAGUGUGGACAGGACCAUUUGUGGUUCAUUUUCCAAAUUUAAAGGACACCAAAAGAAAAAUAAUAAUAAUAAUAAUUGUGAAUUUUUGGGGCUCCAAACUGAUGAAAAAAAAAGAAUCAUGUUUGUUGUACAAUAAUUUUUACAAGUUUGACAAUAUGCUACGUGUCAGGUUAUCAUUGAACAGUUUGAAAAAUACUUUAUUUUUUCAUCAACAUUUUUUUGACACGUACACCAUUGUCAAGCAUGUUGUACAAAUCCAUUGUACAAAUGGCUUAUUCCGAAAAAAAAAAAAGAAUAAUGUCAUGUAGAUCCACUGUUACUACACUACUAGUCUAGAUGACACUAAGUUAUAGAUUCAAUAGAAGUAGAAUUAAGUGGUCGAUUUAAUUAUAUCAUUCAUUUAAUGUCACAUUAGUGCUACUCAAAUUGAUAUUGUAAUACCAGUAAUGCUAAAUAUCAUUACUCAGAAAUACUAGACUAGCAUAGAGAAUACUAUCAGUGUCCUUGGUGGUAGGUAACAACCAACACAUGGCCAUGUAAUUCAAUAAUUGUGAGCUAAAAGUCCACACCAAGCGUAUUCUAGUAAAUCCCCUUAUAAGUUGCUAAAAUGCGACAUAUCAGUGACCAACCCAAAAUUGUCAUUUGUCACCAACCUUGUUCCUAAAAUGUUGUAAAGACCGAUUCACUUCACCACAGAGUAUUGGUAAGCUUAAAUGGUUUAUUUAUUUAAAAUUAUUGAUUUUUUUUUUAAUUCGUAGUUGAGAAGUUUAGAUAAAUGAUUUGCAUAAACUAUGAAUUCCAAAAGAAGAUCGGAGCGGAAGCCAUAAGCAUUAAAUAGCAUAAUUGAAGAUAAGGAAUAGACGAACGGGAAUAAACUUAAUACAAAGAGCAUUCUUCGCUUCAAAUCCUUACAAUUUAUGCCAAAUGAAAAUUUUGAACGAAUAAGUCAGUGGAAGAUCAGGUAAUGUCAAUAAAUUUGGACGUAUCUACGUUAUGUUUUUGUUCAAAAUUUAUAUUACAACAAAUUUAUUUAUUUUGAGAUCCACAACAAAAUUUAUAUUACAACAGAUUUAUUUAUUUUGAGAUCCACAACAAAAUUUAUAUUACAACAAAUUUAUUUAUUCAAUAAAUUAGGACGUAAAUUUAUCGGUUAAAUGAUGUCUCGUUAAAUUUUCUUUUGCAACGUGUGCAAUUACAUCAAAUAUGCAGCAUUGUUCUAUAAUAUUAUAUUGCUAUGACUUCUUGUUGCACGUGUCCUUCUUGGAUUGGUCGGGGAAAUUUAUGCUUAUUAUUAUUAUUAUUAUUAUUAUUAUUAUUAUUAUUAUUAUUAUUAUUAUUAUUAUUAUUAUUAUUAUUAUUAUUAUUAUUAUUAUUUUCACAUAAAUGGGUUGUAAUGAUGCCUAAUCAAAACUUGCUCGCUUCCGUAAAAUGAUUUGACAUUAACUUUGAUCACUUGAGCAUGAGUAAAAGCAAAAUUGACUUAAAAAUACAAUGUGAAUUUGUUGAGUAGAUUACGCAUUAAAUUCGUAUUUGAAUUUCGCUGUUUUAUCAGGUAGGGGUUCACCGACCCUAAGAGUAAGUGGGUCCCAUGCAGGACUCACUUGUAUAAAAAAUUGGCCAAAAACCCACCCCAUGAUGUGAGUGUUCGAUAGGGAUUAUAGCUCAAGCUUGGUCCUUCAUAUUUAAUGGUGCAGAGUUGAAUCAUGUGAGGGGUGUGGACAUCCUAUGUACCCAAAUUAUGUAUACUAAACAUAGCCCCAAUCAGAUAGUGUCAACCAAUGUUUUAAAACCCGAUCCGAACAUCGAUCAGAAAAAGAAAAAUGAUCAAGAGUCAAAAGACUCAACCGAGGUUGAACCAAGGUCAAACCAGAGAUAAUAAAUUAAUAGUUUAUAAACAUUUAAUUUUUAUUUUUCACAACAAUAUAUAUUUAACAUUUUACCCCAUCAAUUCAAAAUAAAUACAAAUAUAUCAAAUGUAUGUCUUUAAUAUAAAUUUUACUAUUUUUAAUUUGUCAGAUCACUUAAAAACUCAUUUCAAUUUUACUAAGUAAUUUGUAAUAUUAAAAAAAUGUUUAACAAUCUAUAGAAAUUAAGUAAUUUAAUUUUGUAAUCAUGCACCAUGUGGCCAUAUAUAAUAUUGAAAAAGUGUGCUUUAUUAAAAUUUGUCAAUCUCACAUUGAAAGUGUGUUUUAUUGAAUUUUGUCAAUCACACAUUGAAAGUUUAUCAAUUAUGGGACUCAAUAAAUGGUUAUAAAAGAGCUCCAUAAGUAGUUCAUCUCUAAGGUGACCUUUUUAUUAUAUAAUAAUUUUUUUUUUAAAUUUAGAAAUCGGUCCAAAAACCUUGAUCGGUUUCCAAUUUCAAGUUUAAUUGACCAAUUAUUAGUUAACUGAUUAAUUUAGUAUAAUUAGACCAAAUUUUGGUCCGAUUCCCAGUUUUAUCAGUUGAAUCGGCCAGUCCAAUUCAAUUUUAUAAACAUUGGUGUUGACUAAACAAAUGCCUCACUUAAUUUUUUAAUUUUCUUUUCAUCAUAAUUGAUUUUAAAUUUGAUUAAAAAAAACUUAAUUUGUUAUUGUAUUUUAUUUUUCAAUCAUUUAUCAUUUCCAACUAACCUAAACACAAAAUAAAAUUCUCUAUUACUAAAAAGAUAAAAAGUCGACAUUAGUGCGGACGAUCAUAUAAUCAAUGUGAUUAUAAUAAAAUUGAGAAAUUAAAGCUAAUGUCACUUUCAGAAAAAGCUAAAAAAAUAUUUGGCCAAUUAUGUCUAAUCAUCAGUGUUUCGUAAUCUUGAUACAAAAAGCAUCUCAAAUAAUUCCCUUCUAAACUAAGGUAUAUUUUUUUAAUGAGUAAUAUUAUUCAUAUUUACAUCAUCAUCUGUCAUGUAUAUGUCACAUACUACGAUUGUCAUAGUAAACGACUGUGAAUAGUAUUACUUUUUUUUUAAUACAAAAAAAUCUUGAAAUCUCUUUGAAUGUAGUGAAUGAUUAUCGAGUCAUUCUAAGUAGCAUACAUGUGACGAUUAGAGAUUUAAUAUAUGAGGUAAGAUAAAAUUAUCACAUUAAUACAUUAAAUCGCAAACCGUCAUAUAGAAUGUCAUAUAGUACGACUACUUCAAUAAGCGACUAUGAUUAGCAUUACUCAACACUUUUUCCUUUCAUUUAUUUGUUCUGCCUUUCAAAAUGCACAUUGAAUUUUGUUAAAUCACAAGUGAAAGCAUCUUUAACCUUUGGAGUUGUUGUUCCAAUGGUCCAUAACCUUUAAAUCUUGAUGCAAAUGUCUAUAACCUUUCACUUAACCGGCACAUUUUGUCCAUUUGAAUUAUUUUCAUUCAAUUAAUAUUUUAAAAGGACGAUUUUUUAUUUAAAGACUAAAAUGAUCUUACCUUAGUUAAAUAAAUAUAACAAAAUCAGUAAAAAAAAAAAAAAAAAAAAAAAAAAUUAAAAAUAAAAAAAAAAAAAAAAAAAAAAAAAAAAUUUAAAAUUGCAAAACAGAGAAAAUUCAACCCAUCAUACAAAUUUCCAUAAAAACAUCGUCUAUACUAUCGUGGAUUGCUUAAAAAAUUGUACCAUAUGAGUAAAAUUUUGCAUGCUUAAAAAAAUUCUUAUUCAAAGGGACUUCGUCAAGAUAAUUCCACAGAGAAAAAUAGACAUUUCUAAAAUUUCAUUAGACAUACUAACUCGAACAAAAUUUAUAUUUCAAAUGUAGAUUUAAAUUAAAUGCAAAUUUUUUUUUCCCGAAUAUGCGUUGUGGGGAAAUUCUCUAAAUCCAAGCAAAUGAUGAAGAAGGUAAGAAAAUCUAUUGGUGAUGGUCCACAAAUUCAUGUCCAAUAAAGUGUGGAAUGCCAUCGAGUCAAUGAAGUUUAGUGCAGCUUGAACACCCAACAUCCCACAAAAAAAUGAAAAGAGAAUUUUAUGAUUGGUCUAUUCACCAAGUCAGUUCAAGGAUCAAUUCUUUAAGGUUGAACUCCAAUUUUGAGGGCUCCCAUCGUCUCGCCUCUAAAACUUUGUGAGGGAGGUAAAUCGCAGGAUGUGUCCCAAUAGAUUAGGGAACAAGAGCCGCCUGUACACUGCGCUUACAAGGAGUCCAAUUCCAUAUUUCAGGAAUCGAACCUCCACACUGUGGCUGUCAGUAAGGCGUAAGAUAAUCUCACUCUUAUCCUUUGCACCACUAGGCUAUGCCACGGGGAGCGAGUUCACGGAUCAAUUCUUGAGCAUUAAGAAAGGUGUUUGACCCCAUUUUAAAAUACUCAAGACAUACUUUAUAACACACCUUUCAAUUUGGAAAAUCACUCAACGAUUAAAACACAAUAGUUAGUGAAAAACGAUUGCACGGAGUAUGUUUAAUAAAUCUAAUUCGCGACCUUUGUCUCUUUUAACUUGUUUUCGAGCUCUAUUUCUUUAUCAUCGAGAUAAGUUCUUGGUAUUAUUUUCCAUUACUGAGUAAUUUUUACUAGGAUGGGUUAAAAGGUACUUGAUAUUAGCACAUUUCUAUACCACAAACUUGAAAUAGUUUUACGCAAUCCAUUGAUUCCUUUAUCUUCACUAACUUUUGGUUCAACUUUGACAUCUUUUUCUUAUCAAAUUUUGAAGAUUUUUUUAACUUCUUUCAAAUAAGACGCCAUGAUAGAAAAAUGUAUGAAAUUUGAAAUAACAGGAGGUUAAGUUAAAACUAAUUAUUGUAAAAAUUAUGUUUCAUGCGUACAUGAAAUAACUUGAACAAUUAAUCUUCCAAGAUAUUAAACUUUUAAUCCAAUGUAUGUAUGUACAUUAAUGCUUUCUCUUUAAUAUAGGCAUGUGUGUGCAUUUUAUUUAUUUAUUUUUUAUAGAUUGAACUUUGAAUUUCACUACAUUUAUUAUUAUUAUUAUUUUAAUUUUUACAUGUAUUAUGGUAAAUUAUAAUACAAAUUAUAAAAUUAUUACCUAUUCUAUAAAUUAAUAGUUUCAAUAACAAUUCUUCUCAGUCUGAAUAUUAUUAUUUUAUAAAAGUUUUAAUGAAUAAAAGAAAGGAAAAAAAUAAAAAAAUUCAACAAAUCAAAAUGAACUUUCAAUCCAAACGAAAAAGCCUGCGCCCCACUCCGCAGAGUAUCUCUAUUUCCUUUCUUCUUAAGCAUCCUUUUUAAAUUUUUACUUGUAACUGAUGAAUAUUUUUUCAAAAGAUCUUAGAUUUGUGGCUCACCUCGUGCUAAUCAUGGCAAUGGCCUUUCCAUCGGCCAUCCAUUUUGGCCACAAAAUCAAGAAUCCAAAUUAUGCGAAAUUUAUCGAAAGUGCCAGAAUAAUUACUUCAGUAUUUGCUAAAGAAGUCAUGACGGUGGGUUGGAUAUGGAAACGUGUCAAAACUCAAGCUUCACUUUUCCUGCAAAUUUUUACUGUUUAUCUUGGUGGGGUCUCUGUUUUGAUGGCGACUGCAAAUUUUUACUGUUUAUUGCGGAAUUUUGUCUAAUUUCUUAUUUCUUAAUAAUAUUGAACGCUUUUGCAUAGCUGAAGAGUCACAUCAUCAGCUGUACCAUAAACGACAAUGGAUUCUUAAAAAAGAGAGAAAAAUCAUAAUAAUGCCCUGUUUCGUCUGUUGCAAUUAUUUUUGAGUUCCACGAGAUAUGGCUGUACCCAUCUCUUCAGUUCCACUCUUAGACGACGACGUCGUCCGUGGCUCCGUCGACUUCAAAGGCCGCCCUGUUUAUCGAUCCCGGUCCGGGUGUUGGAAGUCAGCUUUCUUCAUCAUAGGUACGUUUUGUAAUUUCUACACACAGUAAAAUUGGAUUUAGUAACAAACUAUUAAGGUUGUUUGCCUUUGAUUAGCAGCUUAUUAAGGUUUUUGUGUUCGAUUUGUUAGGUGUUGAAGUGGCUGAGAGAUGUGCGUACUAUGGAAUACUUUCGAAUUUGAUAAGCUAUUUGACGGGUCAGCUAGGCCAAUCCACCGCGACAGCGGCGGCGAAUGUCAACCUGUGGACUGGAACGGCCAUGCUUACGCCGCUACUGGGUGCUUAUGUGGCGGACUCCUUUAUCGGUCGAUACCGGACCAUUAUAAUCGCCACUGUCCUCUAUAUACUGGUCUGUUCAAGAAGUUUUACUCGAAAAUUGACUUAUAAUUAUGAGUUAAAAUAAGUUUUCCAUUUCCAGCUUUUAAAUUAUAUUGAAUAAUGCUACUUAUAGUUAGCGAUAUUUAUGGCAGCUUGUUAUUUGAGGCAAUUAACGGAGAAUGACUACUACAGUCGCGGAUCUUGAAUAGCAUUACUUGAAUUAUAGAUCUGUUGCACCAAAAGAUGAUACGAUUCAUAAAUUUUUCAUCUUUACACUUCUCCAGCAGAUGUCCACUUCGUACAGUAGAAAAUUUUUCUGUCAAGAACUUCAAUUUCGCGAUUGAUUUUCUGGAUUUCUGUCGCUCAGUUCAUUAACGAAAAGUACUUCUCCAGUACAUAACAUUCUUGAAAAUGCUACUCUUGAGGGAGAUGCUAAUCAUGUUCUUCAAUUGUUAUGAUCUCAGGCACUAGGCACCAUGUCCAUAUCUGCUUUUGUUUAUUCAUCCACUCCUUCAGACUGCCAAACUACUGCGGCAUAUGUCACGGGAUGCUCUCCGCCACAGUUUCAAGUUAUUUGCUUCUUCUUCUCAUUGUAUUUAUUUGCACUAGCACAAGGUGGGCAUAAACCUUGUCUUCAAGCUUUUGGAGCUGACCAGUUCGAUGAGCACAAUCCGAAAGAAUGUAAAGCCAAAAGCUCCUUCUUCAACUGGUGGUGUUGUUUCAUGAAUAUAGGUGUUGUAGUGUCUCUCUAUGUUUUGAACUACAUUCAAGACAACCUAAGUUGGGGACUUGGCUUUGGAAUCCCAUGCAUUCUUAUGUUCCUUGCCCUAAUUAUAUUUUUGCUUGGAACUAUGACUUACCGAUUUCGCACACGGACCGAAGAAAAAAGCCCGUUUUUGAGAAUCGGUCAGGUAUUCGUAAAUGCGGCUAGAAAUUGGCGGACUACCUCAGCAGAAAUAUCGAAGGAAGAGGAUUUUCAGGGUAUUCUGCCUUAUCAAGGCUCUCAACAUUUCAGGUAAGUAGACUACAAUUUUGCUUACUUAUUUUGAUAUUUCAAAGGACAAAAUGCCUCUUGACCAUGCUUUUAUAAAGGUACGGCUUCUUUGGUAAAAUUCAGUAAUUCUAAAAACACUAAGGAAGGAGGUGAAACUAAAUUUUUAUCCAUUGCAUUGUACAGUUCUGAAUUCAAAACUUGCCCUUAAGUUUCUAUAGAUUAAUUUCAAUAAGUGUGCUUUCAAUAAAAUUCAAUAGUCUAUGUUUCUGCAUUAUCCAAGUUCACUAUUGUUUAUUGGUAUUGUUUCUUAAUUAGUAUUACGGUAUAUUAACGUAUAAAAUUCCGUAAUCUAAUACGGGUAAAAAUAUUACCUUCUAACAUAGAACAAGGAGAAAACACACUGGUACUCAUCUCUACAUCUUUAUUUGAGUGGGAUGUGAAAUAAUUUAUUUAAGUUGAGAAGAAAUAGAAGACACAAAAAGGAGCAAGUACGAGAGAGAAGGAUUUAAUGUGGUUGAACAAUUGUGCUACAUCGACAGAGUUACAUCAUUUUUUUCACCAUAUUAACGAAAGAAAGAAGAAUACGAGACUCUACUGACUGCAUUUUCUAGUCUAUGCAGAGGCCUUUUCUCUUCAAUUUUCUCGUCUAACUCUCUGUAGAAGCUUAACUCUUUGUUUCUGCCUCUCUGCAUCUCACUUUCACACUAAUAAUUUUCAUCAGCCAAGCUACUCUAUUUAUACACAAGUGUUUGAGCCCCUUCAAUUAAUUACAAUAGGAAACUUGUUUGACGCAAUUAUGCUACAUGACCUCAAGGUUGAUAUAAAGCUUGACAUGAUGCCACGUAGCAUUCUAUUAUUGGACAAUUUAAAACAUAGUCAACUUUUUCAUCCAAUCAUUUACUGUUACAUACAAUUAUGUCAAGCUUCCCGUCAAGUCCUUCUGGCAAAGUAACUUUAUUUGUCAAAUCCUUGAUGUUCGUGUAGCAUAAUUGUUGAGAGACAGAUUUUGCACCUGAAAUUUAGCCAUUGCCUUUUCCCAUGCCCUUACAAUAUUUGCAUUAAAUGCCUUGACAAAAUUUGCAUUUAACCAUGUGCUUACCAAAUUUUUCAAGAAACCAUUCUGAAGACUUUUGAAUGUGGAGCCUAUAAUCAUCAUUAGGCUCCAAUACUCAAUAUUUCGGCUCGUGACAGGUUUCUUAAUAAAGCAUUUCUUGCACCUGAUGGUUCGAUGGAAGAGGGGAACGUUAGUAGUAUCACUGAGAUUGAGGAGGCAAAGGCAGUUCUCAGGCUUGUUCCAAUAUGGAUUACGUGUUUAGGAUAUGCAAUUGUGUAUUCACAAUCUGCGACUUUAUUCACCAAGCAAGGAGUUACAAUGGAUCGCCAUAUCACGUCUAGCUUACAAAUACCAGCUGCCUCAUUUCAAUCUUUUGUGAGUGUUGGUGUUGUCGUCUUUAUUCCAGUCUACGACUGUAUUUUGGUUCCAAUUGCAAGAUCAAUUACUGGGAGACCUGCUGGCAUAACAAUGCUUCAACGAAUCGGAACUGGAAUACUUUUAUCUUUUCUUUCCAUGGUAAUUGCUGCUUUGGUCGAGAUGGAACGCCUAAAAACUGCUGUCGAAUAUGGACUUGUGGACCUGCCAAAGGCAACCGUGCCAAUGAGUGUGUGGUGGCUGCUACCUCAGUAUUUGCUUUUUGGAAUAGCAGAUGUAUUUACCUUGAUCGGGCUUCAAGAAUUCUUCUACGAUCAGGUUCCGAAAGAACUGAGGAGUAUCGGUCUUGCUCUAUACCUCAGUAUAUUUGGCAUAGGGAGCUUCUUGAGCAGCUUUCUUGUUUCUGUGGUUGAGAAAGCCACCAGUGGCCCGGGUCAUGAUGGUUGGUUUUCAGACAACCUUAAUCGGGCUCAUCUCGACUACUUCUAUUGGCUACUGGCUGGGCUUAGUGCUGCUUUAUUAGUUGCCUACUUGUAUUUUGCAAAAUCUUAUGUCUAUAAUCGAAGACACAGUCUUUGAAGAGGCGUAGUUGUUUAAAUAUGGCUAGUAGAAGAGCACUAUUGUGGAAGAAACUCAGUUAACAGUUUCUUGUUUAUUCCUUAGGUAGUUGUUUAAAAUCAAUAAAUGUUGCUCGCUUGUAUUAUGCAUCUUAAAAUUUGUUUUUAAUAAAGAAAAGAAAAAUUGCAAUUUAGGCCCUGUUUGAGUCUUAUUAUUUUCUCAUUAAAAUGAAAAAUAUGACUGUUAUCCAUCAUAUCAAGUCAUUAUAUUUAUUUUUUAUCCUUGUGUGGAGCAUAUAACAGCUAUAUUUUUCAUUCUCAUUUUUACAAUAAUGUGACUCAAAUGAGGGCCUAAUUAUAGAGUUGAGCUCCCUUGCUUAUGGUACAAACUAUAGCGGUUGUGUGUGGUCAAAACAUGUCUUCUGUGAGGAACGUAUAACGAUCAAACAUUGUUAUUUCGAUAUAAUUUAUCUAACGCCAACCAUUUUAUGUGGUAUUAUGUGAUAGGUAUAACUAAGGGAGAAAUUAUGGGAUUAAUUUAAUUUGACAUUUCAUUUAAAUAAUACUUAAUGCUACAUGUGUUACAGUGGUGCUAAAUAACAUUAUUUUUAUUAAAAAUACGAACUCGAAUGAAAGAACACGUUAAUCUUAUUGAAAACCUGCAAAUUUAGUUCCCAAAAUCCUAACUUGAAAAUUAUAGGGUGCAAAUCUGUUUAGAAUUAAUAGACGUGUUUUGUUGUAAUGUUGACUUGGUAACUAUCAAUAGUCUUUAACUCCUCGAUUAGACUUUACAAUAAUGAAAAUGUUGUCUCCAGAUAGAGUAUUUGGUACUAUUAAGGAAAUCAAUUUAUCUAGUUUUACUCGUACACAAACCUCCUCUUGUUUCGUUCAUAAGCUUCAUUCAGCUCUUUACAAAGUCAAAUAUUAUUCGAAUUAAUCUAUGUCCCUCAAUCAUUUUUAUAUCGUCACGAAUUUCCUGAGAUACUAAAAUCAUACUUUUAAAGAAUAAUUAUUAUACAUAUACAUAUAUAUGUAUAUACUCAUUUUUGUCAAAGCGUGGUGGUUGUUGAGCCAAUCUCUUCAGCCAUAAAUAUUUGGAUGCCCAAAAUCAACUCCUAGACCACGUUCUUCAUGGCUCGUGCAUUUUGGUACUUUUUAUAAUGUUUCGGUACAUUUUUCACAUUUUUAUUUAUUUUUGCACGUUUUGAUAAAUUUCACAUAUUUUGAACAUUUUAGAGCAUUUUGGAACAUUUAAUCCAUUUUUGGUAUAUUUUAGUGAGUUGUGAUACAUUUCGCACAUCUUCAUACAUUUUGGUGCAUUUUGGUACAUUUCAUAUAUUUUAGUACAUAUUGCGCGUAGUUACAUUUCGACAUGAUUUUGUUCAUUUUUAUAUUUUGGUACAUUUCGGACAAGUUAUGGCAUAUUUUGCACAUCUCGAUACAUUUUUUUAGCCUUACUAUAUAUUUUGGCAUACUUUCUAGUUACAUUUUUUGAGCAUUUUUAUACCUUUCGUACGUUUUAUUUUUGUUUAUUUAUUUAUUUUUUUUAUACACUUUGGAGCGUUAUGAUAUUUUCACAUAUUUUGGUAUAUUUUGACACAUACAUUUUGUUGCUUUUUAAAGUUAAACUCUCUCAUGUAUUUUUAGACAUCUCGUGCAUUAUGAUACAUUUUGGAGCCUUUUGUUACAUUUAUAGCGUUUUGGUACAUCUUUUGUGCAUUUAACAAAUUUUGGAACAUUUCCUACACUUUGGUCCAUUUUUGACAAGUUAAGGUGUGUUUUGGAGAGUUAUGGUACAUUUUAUAUAUUUUGAUUCAUUUUGAUGAAUUUUUUUGGCAAGUAUGAUGUAUUUCAUCCAUUUUGCUACAUUUUGUAAUAUUUCGCACAUUUUGGUAUAUUUUUUUGUGCAUUUUGGUACAUUUCGCAUAUUUUGAUACAUUUUAGAGCGUUUUGAUAUAUUUCACAUAUUUUUUGUUUGUUUUUGCACGUUUUGAUCCUGAUAUGGUGGCUGGAUAUUUUUUAUCCUUGAAGAUAAUAAUCUAAAUACGUACAUGUAGUCUUCUUUAGAAGCAUUAACUUUUAGAUGUUAACUUGAUGAUACUCUUGUGGCGUCUCGUUUAUUAAAAAUUGUACACUUAUAGUUUAAACUUUUAGAUAAGAUAAUGAUAAUCACAUAUUCACACAAUUCCAUACCAAUUUCCCAUUCAACAAUUUAGGGCAAGAAAAUGUUUAUUUAUUUUUAUUUUUUACAUAAUAAGGGUUUGAUUUGCUAAGAAAUUUGCGCACUUAGAAAAACAUUCGAAUUUAUUAGCCUAUUUAUCCAUGGCAAAUCCACAUUAAAGAUGAUAACUGAUAGUGAAACAAGUCAUUACCAAGCAGGGACAGAUUCAAGAUUGUUGACGAACUAUGGCAGUCGUCGAUUGUUGACCAUUGAUCAUCAACGACCGCAAUUUUUACAUGCUAAAUCAUAAACCAUACAUAAGUCAAUAUUGAACAUCGAACAUUUUCAUAGAAGCUAGAUCAUAAGCAUCCACGAAUCAUUCAUUUUGAUAUCCAAGUCAAUCGCCAAAAUUUGAAGCAUAACAUUUAGCAAUCAAAAUUCGUGAUGCCAUUGACCACAAGUAAGAGGUAUUGUCAAUUAAAUACUCAAGUUAAAUGAUAGCUUGAUAUAAACAGAAAGAGUAGAUGCCGAAAAUUGUUUAACAUAUAAGAAAGAAAGAAGUCAGUAACUUGGUGUAAAGAAAAAUGCGGUUAAUGUAAGCGUCAAAUUACCAUCCAUCUCAGGCAAAUGUUACAAUCCAAGUGUAGCACUCACAUACUAAAACUUAGUGACAAAAGUUUACAACAGUUGACGACAGGUUACAAGACUCACAAAUUCCGUCCACGGCGGAGAUCACGGAAAGUGUUUGGAAAUUGCAAAUGUCAAGAUUCACAGCCUCAAAUCUAAUUGACAAUGGAAUCAAUGGGUAUUUGGAUUUUGGGCAAUGGGCCUAAAUCCUAAUGUUUAAAAUAAAAAAAAUAAAAAUAAAAAUACUUCAAAAGAAAAAUGCCCAAACCAAAUCUUCAUUUCCUUUCCCUUCAUAUCCUCACAAUUCACAUUCUGCGGAUGUUGCUAGAGAUGGAAUUCAAUGGUUCUUAUGGAAAUAGCACAGGAGACCGUGCCGGCUCGCCAAGUGUAUUGGAUCCAUCCUUGUCACCAAGUACAUGAACUAGGGGUGGGCGCGGGUCGGUUCGGUUCGGUUCUCUUUAGAACCGAACCGAACCAAACUUUUCGGGUAUCUAGUAAAUGAAACCGUCGGGUCCAAAUAUAAUUAUAGAACCGUUCGGGUUCGGUUCCAUUCGGUUCGGUUCGGAUCGGUUCCGUUCGGUUCUGUACUAUAAUUAAAUUUUUUAACAUUUAUAACAACGUUAUAUAAAUACGACUAAUGAUACAUUCAAUAGUUUUGGAAUGUCAGAGAUUAGUAAACUACCUUGUUCAAAUGAUCGCUACGAUCAAAGCUUCAGUCGGGGAAAGUCACGGCUUCGAUCGGAGGUUAGAGUGUCGGCCGACGAUUGUAUAAGUUUUGGAAUAUUAGAUAGACUGCAAGAGUGAGUGCGAGAGUCAAGACAACGUUAUGCACUUUAUUGUAGGUGUUUAGGGUUAUUUAGUGGAUUUGAUCUUGUUUGGCUAAGAAAUGAAACAAUAAAAUGGGUAAUUAGGCCAAAAAUUAAAAAAUUAGAAAUGAAACAAAUUAUUGGGCCAAAAAUUUGGAUUUAGAAAUCAUUAAUUUGUUAAUUUGUUUAGAAAAAAUUAAAAUUAAAAUAAUUUGAUUUACUCAAUAUAAAAAAAAUUAGAAAGAUUCGGUUCUUAUUCGGUUCUUCGGUUCUUGGUCUAGAACCGAGAACCGAACCGUACCCGUCGGUUCUCAAUUCAGAUACCCGUUCGGGUAUUUAAUUUGACAAGAACCGUCGGGUUCGGAUCGGUUUGGUUCGGGUUCGGUUCGGUCGGGUCGGUUCGGUUCGGGAGAUUUGCCCAGCCCUAACAUGAACUAAUCGAGGUAAGAUAACGGUUAUAAAUGAAAGGGCUUUGCCCCCCGGAUAUAUCCUAGUGGUACAAAGGACAAGUGUGAGGUAUACUUAGCAUUGUUGGCAGCCGCAGUAUGAGAAUUCGAUUCUUGAAAUAUGGAUUGAGAUUCUUUGUGAGCACCAGUGUACAGACAACUCUUAUUUCCUGACCUGUUGGGACACAUCCGGCGAUUAACUUCUCUCACAAUGCUUUAGGAGCGAGGCAGUGAAGGACCCUUAAAGUUAGGGUUCAACUUUUUUUUUUAUAAAUGAAAGAGCUGUGCUUGCUAUACACAAGACACACAGCCCCUCACAUGAUGGGUCCCGCACUAAUCAAGGUUUUACAGCCCUAAGGGGCUACCUUGCACUUUCUAGUAUAUGUAUAUGUCGGCUUUACACCAUUUAAGUUUGAGCGAUAAUGAUCGGUGCUUAAAAUUUAAGUACACGAUUCAAUCAUAGUCGAAUAUUAUAAUUAUUUUAACAAAUCAAAUUUAAUUCUCAAGAAAUUUAAAAUGGAUUCUUUUUCAUUAAUUUAGUUGAUUCAUUGCUAAAUCAAAUAAAAAAUAACUAAAACUCCAGUAAAUAGUAAUAGUUUAUACUUUUCGGUUUUCCCUUCUAUUGAGUUAUAUUGGUAUAACGAUAUACACCACUAAUAUUAUUUGGCAUUUUUUGGAAUGGAAAAAAAUUAAAAUACAUAACUAUAAAAGGUUUCAAAAUACAACUUCAAAAAUGACAAAUUUAUAGACUUUUUCAAAAAUCAGAUGGUCACAUUUUGUGUCAUCUCAUAAAAUAUUGUUUUUAUAUUUUAAAUAAUUAGGUCCCAAUUACAAUUACAAUUUAUAUCACAAUACUAGUCAUAAAAAUACAAGGUCACAGCCACAUAAAACACAAUUUAUGAGUUACAAUAGUAUAUUUAGUCACAAAUUAUACAUUAUAUGUCACAAAGUUAUACUUAUAAAUUACCCAAUUAACUGGUCACAAACACUAUUCACUCUCACUCAACCUCACCCAAAUCAUCGUCACCACUUCAAAUUCACCGCCUCAUUCCACCACCUCCAGCAACUUUCAAAUCUACUUCAAAAGGGGCCUCCACCAUGCCUCAAAUCUACAAUCGCCAUCACCACCUCUGCAUCCACCUCAACACAAAUCAAGCUGAGCUACUGUAAUUUAGCAAAACGAAAGUUUUUUUUGUUUGUUGUUUCAAUUCAUCCUUGACAAAAUGAUUAAAAAUGGUGGGAUUGAGAAAAUGGUGGUCGGGUGGGUACAAAUCUAAGUUUUUGAAGAAUAUGGAUGCUUGGUAGUGGGGUGAAGAAUCUAGAAUAUACCAAGACAAAUGAGAAUGGAAAGUGUUACAUGUACAUAAUUGUCUACAUAAUAGUGUCCAUAAUUACAUGUGGCAUUACAUGUACAUAAUUGUCUACAUAAUAGUGUCCAUAAUUACAUGUGGCACUGGAUCCAACAUUUAAUUUAAAUCUCACACUUUUAUAUCAACAACCGAAUAAUUGUCACAUCACAUUAUGAACAAUAUUAUGUAUAAUAAUUAUGUACAUGCAGACUUUUCCAAUGAGAAUAUGGGGUUAUUAUAGAUGUGUGUGAUUUGGUAUGGUGUGGGUAGGGUGGGAUAGGGUGGGAGGGGUUGGAUAUACUUGAGUUUUUAUUUUUAUUUUUUAAAAUUACUAUUACCAUUUUUUUAAAAUUGAAUUCAAAUGUGGGGUUUUAGACAAUUUCCCCUUAUUUGAUGGGCUCAUACCAUAUGCGGCCAAGGAUCAUGAGCCUGUUUGGAAUUAAUUUUGAGAAUUGAUUUUUUGAUCGUUAGGAGAAAAUUGGAGUCCACCUGUGAUAGAAGAAGUCAAAUAUGACGACUAAAAUAGUGAAAUAACGAUUAAAAAUUAAUUUUUUGGGUCAAAAAAUUACUCCCAAACAAGCUGCAUAUAAAUUAUCAAAAUAAUUAUGUAAGAAAAAAAAUUAAAGAAUCUAGGGGCUUAAUUUAAAGCAAAUUGUUAACCUAAUAUGAUUUUAAAGGAGGAAGAAUUGCAAUUAGGGUCUCAAACCUUUCAAAUUACUGCAAAUUAUACCCAAACCUAUAAUUUUUGCACCCAUAGUCCCAAACCUUUCAUCUUGGUUGCAGCUGAAGUACAAUGGGUGAAUUUCUUUAGUCAACCCAAAAAAAUUAAUUUGACCAUAUUUUGACCAAAUUUAAAUAGGUUGAAAUUGAAUUUUUAUAUUUAUUAAAUAAAAUAAUUAACAAAUAAAUAAAAACCAAAAGGAGAAAAAAAAUUGUGAUUGUUCAUCUCCUCCAAAGCACCCCACCUCCAACCACCCCACAAUGGAAGCACACUUUUGAUCAAUGCUAAAUUUCCCACUUCCAUUCAUAAUAUCUAAUCAUUUGCAGCAUAAAACUCAAUAAAACAUUAUGAAACGCAAAUUAAAGUUCGAAAGGAAAUUAAACCCCCGUUUGAUUUCCAUUCUUUGGUAAAAAAAAAAAAUGUGACCAUUCUUUGGUAAAAAAAAAAAUGUGACCAUUAUCUAUCACAUUAAGUCACUAUAUUUGAUUUUUUACCUCUUGCAUGGUCUCGUAAUAGUUAUAUUUUUCAUUUUUAUUUUUAGAAAAAUGUGAAUCAAACGGGCCUAAAUACAAUCUUAGACACAAAGGAUGUUUUUUUUAAGACAAGUUUGAAUUGAGGACAAGAAUGUCAUAAUUGAAAUGAGAGAGACUAUUAAUCUAAUGCAUGCAAACUACAGAGGUAUCUUGUGCAAAUUAACCGUUUAAUUUUUCCAAAGUUUAAGAAUAAUGCUGUCUAAUAUCAUUAUGCUGUAACAUCACUUCAAAACUCCGCACACGUGCACCUUCUCUAGCAAGCCCGAUCACCCCGAAGCUCCGCCACCACUCCCAACACCCCUAAAACCAAUAGCCGGCGGUCUCCGCCACAGCCACCAUCUCUGUAACCUCAGUCGAUAGUUUCACCAAAUGAAUCCAACAAAAGCAAUAAACAACCCUUCAUAAAAAUGUACAGACACACAGAAACAUAUCCCCGGCACAGAGACAUAUAUGUCGAUGAUUCAGUGCAAUCAACGGUGCUUUCUCUCUCUCUUCCUCUCUAAAUUUGUCCUUUUUGAGGAAUUUCCUCUCUACAAAUAUGCAAGGCUGUGAUGAUGUUUCAAACAAGAAGCAAAACUGAAUUUUUUGACUGUGAUUAUAACUUCGCAGAUGAUGUUUCAGGCUGUUUCCAAUAUGCAAAACUGGAAUUUUCUUUAUUUUUUGAGACAACACUCUGAAAUUUUGAGCUGUAAUUGUUGGUAAAAUUAUAAUAAUCUAUCGCAAGUACAAAGCUUUUAAUUCAAUGUUGUAUGCUCAGAAACUAGAACAAGGAUUGGAUUGAAUAAGAUAUGUGUGCUGACUUUCUUGGAUGAUUGGUUGAUUUAAAUUGGUGGGUUUAGAAACGUCUCCGGCAGUGGUGGCGUUGAAGUGGUAUUGGGUUGGGGUGGGAAAGGGUGGUGGUGGAGAAGAUGAUUAGUAGGAAGAACAGUCUCCUAUAAAGAAAAGCUAUAAAAUACUCCAUUGAUGGGGCCUCAUGAGUCAUGACUUAUACUGUUUGAAAGAUUUGCACAACUGAAGCAGACGAAUAAGAACGGCAUGCGUUUCAUCUGAAUCAAAUCAAUAUUUAUUGAACGAAUUCUAUUGAACUUGUUGUGCUUUUAAUGUAAUCAGAAUAAUGUCCUGUUUUAGCUGUUGAGCUCCAGAGAUGACGCUAUCCCGAUUUCUUCGGCUGCUGGAGCUGCAGCUCCACUGUUAAACAAUGACCUCGUUCAUGGCUCCGUCGACUUCAAAGACCGCCCUGUUUCCCGUUCCCGAUCUGGGUGUUGGAAGUCAGCUUUCUAUCUCAUUGGUAUUGGCAUUCACCUAAUCCUACCCCAAUUUCACACAGCAAAAUAGAAUUUUUUGUAGCAAUCAAUUUGGGUGCCUAAGUGAUCAUAGUCCCACAACCUAGUUAUUUGCCUUAGAUUAGAAACUUGAGAUACAAUUAGUGUUUUUUAAAUUGUUUCUUUAUUUAUUUUGUUCUAUUCAUUAGGUGUUGAAGUGGCUGAGAGGAGUGCAUAUUAUGGAAUACUGUCAAAUUUGAUAAGCUAUUUGACGGGUCCAUUGGGCCAAUCAAAUGCAACAGCAGCGGCAAAUGUGAAUGUGUGGACUGGAACGGCCAUGCUUACGCCGCUUUUGGGAGCUUUUGUGGCGGACUCCUUUCUUGGUCGAUACAGGACCAUUAUUAUUGCCACUGGGCUUUAUAUCCUGGUCAGUUCAAAAAGUUUUCCACGAAAAAUGGCAUAAUUAUUUGACAAUAUAUGUUUUCUAUUUCCAGCUUUACAAUUAUUAGUAUGAUAGACUUAUUUAAGAUAUUUCAUUGGAAUUAUAUAUCAAGCUACAGAGCUUUUAGAAGUGGUUAUGCCUCCUUCAGUUGCACCAAAAGAUGUGAUCAGAUUGAGUGAAAUGGUUGAAUUUUUCCGGUGACGGUUAUCAAAUUAUAUGUUCUGACUUUUUUGGUUUUGGCACUUUAAACUGGAAGUAUUUUGCAUGUUUUGCCUUAAAUGUUUUUACUUGGUUGAGCUUGUUAUAUAUGCUCUGUUAGUUAUAGAAGUUUUCUGUAUGUUAAAAUAAAUUUCCUCUUUCCUCUUGGGCAUCCAGUGCUCAUUCAAAAUAGAAGUUUUGUUUUGGAAAAGUAAGAAUAUUCACAAAAAGGGGCUUGAGAAAAUGACUUUUUUCUUCCCAAUAUAAAAUGUUCUAGGAAAUUAUAUUAUCGUCGCAACAAAUAUGGCCGAGGACUUCGAUUUUGUGACUGAUUUGGAGCAGUUCUGUCUCUUACUUCAUUAACGCAGUAUUUAUUUAUUUAUUUAUUUUUUCAGGCAUGAUGUUCUUGGAACUGCUAUUCUUCAAGGAGACGCUAAUCAUGUUCUUUUGAUUGUUAUAAUCUCAGGCACUUGGCAUUAUGUCCGUAUCUGCUGCUGCUUAUUCAUUCAAAACUUCCAACUGCCAAAUUACUACAUGCUCUCCACCACCUUUUCAAAUUAUUUGCUUCUUCUUCUCAUUAUAUUUAUUUGCAUUAGCACAAGGUGGGCAUAAACCUUGUCUUCAAGCUUUUGGAGCUGACCAGUUUGAUGAGCAAAACCUGAAAGAAUGUAAAGACAAAAGCUCCUUCUUCAAUUGGUGGUGUUGUUUCAUGAAUAUAGGUGUUAUAGUGUCUCUCUAUGUUUUGAAUUACAUUCAAGACAACCUAGGUUGGGGUCUUGGCUUUGGCAUCCCGUGCAUUGGCAUGUGCAUUGCCCUAAUUAUAUUUUUCCUUGGAACUACGACAUACCGAUUUCGCUUAUAGAGUGAAGAAAGAAGCCCGUUUGUGAGAAUCGGUCAGGUGUUCCAAAAUGCGGCUAAAAAUUGGCGGACUACUCAUGCAGAAAUAUCCAAGGAAGAGGAUGCUCACGGUAUUCCUCCUUAUCAAGGCUCUCAACAGUUCAAGUAAGUCCACUACAAUUUUAUGUAUGUAUUUUUACUUUCCAUAAUUUGAAGGACAAAAUGCCUCUUGACUAGCUUUUUUACACAUGGCUUCUUCGGUAAAAUUUAUUAUGCGAUGCUUAACAACGUUUAGUAAGAAAAUGAAACUAAAUUUUUAUCCAUUGCACUGUCCGGAGUUUCAAACUUGCUCUCAAGUCCAACUCUCUGCAGAAGCUUUACUCUUUGUUUCUGCCUACUUUAUUUAUACACACGUGUUUGGCCCAUAUAUGCAAAUUGUAAAAAGGAUGAAUUCUGAAAUUGGCCAUUGCUUUUUCCCAUGCCAGUGCACAAUUUACAUAAAUGCCUUGACAAAAUUUCCAUAACUCUGCAUUCACCGAUCUUGAAAAAAACCAUUCUGAAGACUUGAAUGUGAAGCUCAUAAUCAUCAUUAGGCUCCACUACUAAUGAGUAGUGGUCUUCACCAUUCAACAUCAAGCUAAUUCCAUUUCAUUGAAGUAUUUUUAGUUUGUGACAGGUUUCUUAAUAAAGCAUUGCUUGCACCAAAUGGUUUGAUGGAUGAUGGAAAAGUUGGUAGUAUCACCGAGAUUGAAGAGGCAAAGGCAGUUCUUAGACUUAUUCCAAUAUGGAUUACGUGUUUAGGAUAUGCAAUUGUGUAUUCACAAUCUGCGACUUUAUUCACCAAGCAAGGAGUUACAAUGGAUCGCCAUAUCACGUCUAGCUUACAAAUACCAGCUGCUUCAUUUCAAUCUUUUGUGAGCGUUGGUGUCGUCGUCUUUAUUCCAAUCUACGACUGUAUUUUGGUUCCAAUUGCAAGAUCAAUUACUGGGAAACCCGCUGGCAUAACAAUGCUUCAACGAAUCGGAACUGGAAUACUUUUAUCUUUUCUUUCUAUAGUAAUUGCUGCUUUGGUUGAGAUGGAACGUCUAAAAACUGCUGUCGAAUAUGGACUCGUGGACCUGCCAAAUGCAACCGUGCCAAUGAGUGUAUGGUGGCUGCUACCUCAGUACUUGCUUUACGGAAUUGCAGAUGUAUUUACCUUGAUCGGGCUCCAAGAAUUCUUCUAUGACCAGGUUCCUAGAGAGCUGAGGAGUAUUGGUCUUGCUCUAUACCUCAGUAUAUUUGUGGCAUAGGUAGCUUCUUGAGCAGCUUUCUUAUCUCUGUGGUGGAGAAAGCCACCAGUGGCCCGGGUCGAGAUGGUUGGUUUUCAGACAACCUUAAUCGGGCUCAUCUCGACUACUUCUAUUGGCUACUGGCCGGGCUUAGUUCUUUUGUGUUCGCUGCCUACUUGUACUUUGCAAAAUCUUAUAUCUAUAAUCGAAGAAACAGACUUUGAAGUUGCAUAGGAACACUACCUGGACAAAUAUGCUAGCAGAAGAGCAAUAUAGCUUGUGUUUCUCAACAAGAAGUUUUAGAUAUGUAAAUAUUUGCUUGUUUGUGUAUAUAUCUCAAGAUGUUUUUUGAAAAUAACAAAUGAAACAUUGCAGAGCAUGGAGGUGAGUUUCCUUCUAACAUUUGCUAUUGAGGUUAUGCAUCUUUGAUGAACUUUGUUUUCCGCGUGAAAGAAUAAAGUAGUUGUGAAGAAUUUCGGUUGAUUUGUAAAAUAAACUUGCAGUAAAAACGACAACACACAAAUGAAAACAGAAAAAUAACACAAGAACACCAAGUUGUUGAUCCAGUUCAGCCGUGAAUAGGCCUAACCUGGGGGGCUUAGGGACAACGCAUUCCAAUAUGGCACAAUCGACCUUCCAAGAGAGUAAGAGUACAUCAAGAACCACUCGGAUCCUACAGUUUCAGUCACCGAUCUAAAGAUCUCGUGAAACACAUAAGUACGAAAUCAACCAAAUGUUUAGGAGUUUUACAGUACAAGAUCAGCUACUCUCUCAGGCCUGAUCAUUAACCCAAAACAUAAAUUCCAUAACUAGAUCGUAGAAACUAUACAUUAAGAGAAAGAUUUUUCAAAUUCAAAAGAAAAACUCGAAGAAGCAGAGAGGGACGCCAAAGAGAGAGAGAAGGAAGAAUCUAGAAUGACCCCAAAAGUCACGAGACUUUUGGGUUAAUUGGACGGUCACAUCCCAAGGGAUGAUCUCAGCCGUUGGUUUAAUCCAAUGGUCCAAAACAGGUCUCAACUAGCACAAUCCAAGUGAGUAUCAUGUAUCCAAUAGUCAAGUGUCAAUUAGGCAGAGUUUCCCAAAUGAGCCGAAAACCUCAAUUGACAAAAGUAGCACUCUUUUUAGAGUGUUUUGAGAAACACCAUUUUUUCACAUUCUUCACCUUGAUUCUCAAUAACACUCGCUCUCUGGUUGCUGAAAGUGCAAUGGAACAAUUGUCCAUCAUCAUCGCCCUAGUACCUGCAAAAGAAAAUUAACUUGUGUCAAUAUGAAGUAAGGAUAAACAUGUUUUAAACUUACUUACAGGUAACACUUUGGUCCUCAUAUUAGAAGGAUUUCUAUCAGUAUGAACUUUAAUCAAUUUAACUUCACCUAAAGAUAAUUUUUCUCUUAUAAAAUGAUACUUCACCUCGAUGUGUUUCGAUCUUUCAUGAUAGACAGGAUUUUUACUAAGUAGUAGAGCACUCUGACUAUCAGUGUAUAAAAUAGGAGUAUCGUUCAUAAAAUUCAGUUCAUUUAAAAUCUCCAUUAACCAAGUACAUUCUUUCACAGCUUCAGUUAUGGCUACAUACUCAGCUUCAGUGCUAGACAAUGUAACCAAUGUUUGCAAUUGUGAUUUCCAAGUUAUGCAAUUUUCCCCAAGGGUAAAGAAAUAAGCUGUAGUAGAUUUUCUACUGUCUUUGUCACCAGCAAAAUCAGCAUCAACAUAGCCUUUUAAAGUUAAAUUUUCAGAUAUUUUCUCAUACACUAAUCCCAGAUUUAAUGUACCAACAAUAUACCUAAGUAACCAUUUCAUCCCAACCCAAUGAGGCUUGCCAAGAUUGGACAUAAAUCUACUUAGGAAACUGAUUGCAUAAGCCAGGUCUGGUCUAGUUGUUAUCAUUGAAAACAUUACAGAACCUAUGGCAUUUGCAUAGGGUAUAUUUUCCAUUUCCUUCAUCUCUUCUUCAUAUUUAGGGGAGUGAGUUUUAGAUAGGUUCAUGUGGGCAGCUAGGGGUACAUUAACCGUUUUACUAUCUUUCAUACCAAAUUUGGUCACAACUUUAUUUAGGUAUGCUUUUUGUGUGAUGGUUAACUUGUUUUCAGAUCUGAUUCUUUUUAUAACCAUCUCUAGAAUUUUUCUAGCAUAUCCUAGGUCCUUCAUAUCAAAUUCAGAUUUUAAAAUAUUCUUUAAUCUAGAAAUUUGAGACUUAUCAGGACUGGCCAGAAGCAUAUCCUCUACGUAAAGUAGUAAGUAAAUUCUCCCCUCCCACUUUUCAUAUUGUUAUAGUAUAAGCAAGCGUCAAAUUCACUUCUUUUAAACCCAAUCUUUAACACAUAUGCAUCAAACCUUUUAUACCACUGUCUGGGGCUCUGUUUCAACCCAUAUAGUGAUUUUUCCAAUUUGCAAAUAUAUUCAGUUUUGUUUUUAACCUCAAAACCUUGAGGCUGACCCAUGAAGAUAUCAUCUUCCAAUUCCCCAUGUAAGAAUGCAGUUUUUAUGUCAAGUUGCUGAAAUUCCCAAUUAUAUUGAGCAACCAUGGCCAAUAUCAACCUUAUGGUUUUAUAUUUGAUUACAGGUGAGAAUAUCUCAUUGUAAUCAACUCCAUCUAUCUGAGUAUACCCUUUUACCACUAGUCUAGCCUUAAACCUAACAGGGUCAUUUGAGUCAUUACCCUCUUUAAGCUUGUAAACCCAUUUACACUGUACUAUCCUAUGAUCCUUAGGUUUUUUAACAAGAUUCCAUGUUUUAUUUUCAUUCAGGGAUAGCAUUUCUUCUUUCAUGGUCUGCAACCAAUUUUCAGAAUUUUUCCCAUGAAUAGCUUCGUCAUAAGAAGUUAGUUCAGCUUGUUCUAUUUCUUCUCUAGAGACUAAGGCAAAGUCUGUCAUAUUUAAUAGUUCAUAUGUAGGAUUGGGUCUAGGUUGUCUUCUUACCCUAUCCCUAGUUAAUUGAUAGUCUUGAACCUCAGUCUUUCAGUAAUAUGAUCAGGUUCUUCAGAUUCAGCCCCAUUCCGGGGCUCAUCAGGCUCUACAGGUUCAGUAACUUGUUCAACCUGGUGAUGUACAACUUAUUUUCAUCAUCUCCAGGUUGAGAUGGGUUAAAUUUAGUUAACUUCACCUCACUCUGAACAGUCUGAUUAUUUACAGAUUCAUUUGUUCCUUUAGAAUUUUAUUUUAGGCAUGGCAUUUCUGAUUCAUUAAAGAUUACAUCUCUACUAUUGAUAAUCUUAAUGCCUAGAACACCCAAAACCCACAAUUUGUAGCCUUUAACACCUUCUGGAUAUCCUAGCAUCACACAUUUGAUGGCUCUAGGUUCCAACUUUCCUUCAGAUUGAUGUGCAUAUACUGCACAUCCAAAAACCCUAAUAUGAGUUAGAUUUGGGGUUUUUCAUGUCCACAAUUCUUGUGGGGUCUUAAACCCUAUACUACUGGAAAGGAACCUAUUAAUCAAGUAAGUUGAUGUACAAGCAGCUUCAGCCCAAAACCCUUUAGCCAGACCAAAACUAAUAAGCAUGCAUCUUACUUUAUUCAUUAUAGUCCUGUUCAUUCUCUCAGCUACCCCCAUUUUGCUGAGGUGUGUAUUUCACAAUCCUAUGCCUUAAUAUUCCUUUCUGUUUACAGAAAUUAUCAAAUUCUAUAUUACAGAACUCCAGCCCAUUAUCAGUUCUUAGGGUUUUCAAUUUCUUCUCUAAUUGAUUUUCAACAAUGUUCAGCCACGUUCUAAACUUUUGGAAGGUUUCAGAUUUAGCCUUUAAGGGAUAAAUCCAAACCUUCCUAGAGUAGUCAUCUACAAGUGAUAAGAAGUAUUUACUUCCACCAAAAGUGGAGUGUUUUUCUGGGCCUCAAAGAUCAGCAUGCACAUAAUCCAAGGGCCUAUUAGUUCUGUAUGAGCUAGAUUCAAAACUAACCUUGCGAGACUUACCAAAACACAAGUCUCACAAAAGUUCACUGGCUCAAUGUCAUCUUUUCCAAGUAAUUUUUGAUUAUUUAAAGAUUUUAGCCCUUUAUUUCGAAUGUGUCCCAUUCUAUUGUGCCAAAGACUAGAUUUGUUUUCAUUAACAGUUAAAGCAUUUGAAUCAGGUGAUAUAACUGUUUCUCCCUCUAGAUAAUAUAACCCAUUCCUUUUAGGUCCUUUCAUUACAACUAAAGAGCCCUUCAUAAUUUUCAGGUUUUUAUUAUCAGAUUUGAAGGUAUAUCGCUCAUCUUCAAGUAUCCCUAGUGAAAUAAGGUUCCUUUUCAAAUUUGGGACAUAUCUCACAUUUCUUAAAGUUCUGACAGUGCCAUCAUACAUUUUUAUGGCAAUAUCACCUGUGUCAAUUACAGUUUGGGAAUUAUUAUCACCCAUAUACACCUUUCCUGGUUCAUUUCUUUAUAGUUAUAAAACCAUGUUUUUUCAGGACACAUAUGAAAGGUACAUCCUGUAUCCAGAAUCCAGUCUCUAAUAGAGUUUUCAGUUGACACAUUUAAUACAUGCAGGCUAUCUAAUUCUGACACUAUGGCUGCAUUAUUCUGAUCUUUUAAUUUUCUUUUCUAGUCAAAGCAGUCCCUCUUAAAGUAUCCCAACUUCCCACAAUUAUAACACUUCUUAUUACUUCUAUCUUUAGAUUUAGAUAUGCUUUUAGAUCUCCCCUUAAAUUUCUUGUUUUGAAAAUUAAAUUCCUUCUUUUCAGUUCUUUCCCUUACAAAUAGGCUCUCUUCUCUAUAGUUGGUUUUGUUUUCUUUCCUAACUUCUAACUCUCUUAAUCUUAAUGUAUCUAUUACAAUCGAUUGUGUAAGUGUGUCCCUAGCAUAUUUUAUGGCAUUCUUAACAUCUUUGUAAGAUUCAGGCAGUAAAUUUAAAAGAAUAACAGCCAAGUCCUCAUCUUCAAAUUUUUUAUCAUUAUGUGCUAAACUCUUAACUAUAAUACUGAAGUCACUCAAAUUGACUUCCAAAUCCUUUCCUGGAUCCAUUUUAAAACUAAAUGGUUUUUCUAACAAAUAUAUCUUGUUAGGUAGGGUUUUGCUUAAGAACAAACCAUCCAAGGCAGUCCACAAAAUUCCUGCAGUUUUAGAGUCAUCAACUUGUCUAACCACAUUAUCAGAUAAAUGCAUGAUUAUUGAACUAUAGGCAAUCUCAUUCAUUUCUUCAAUUUCGUUAGGUUUUCCUUUUAACUCAUCAGAGAUAGUUGCAGGAUCAUCGAGGGCUUUUGCAACCUUCUGUUGGACCAAAAUGGCCCUCAUUUUCUGCUUCCAUAUAGAGUAGUCCCCCUUUCCAUCGAAUUGGGGCAAUUCGACCUUCGAACCCAUUACAGAUUCUGUAAAAGGGUGGACCUUACUCAUGGAUACAGCAGAAAAGGUUUUUGAAAGAUUUUGUAUCAAGCAGUUUCAAGAAAACCAAUAGUAGACAGUUUCAAGAAACCCAAAAAAAAAAUAUUCAGUAACAACUUUUCAAAGAUUGAGUUAAGUACAAUAGAUAUUUGACAGUAUAUUUAUAUAUAAAAAACAAACAGAUAUAUUUAAAAAACUUCAGUCAGAUAUCUCAAAGAUGCAAGACAGGUUUUAUAACUAGAUCACAAGUUAGUAAAUAGAUAACUAGUAUAUUAUUUUCAGUUAACUAGAUCAAGAACAACAUGCAUCAUGAAAUAAACUAUAUCAUGAUUAACCCGUGGAAAACCAGGUCCAAAGGAAUAAUGGUCAGAUCAUAGCAGAUUUUUGCAGUGUCUGUUUUAUACAUAUAAAGUAUUCAAUAAACCCAGCCAGUUAACUCGAACCACCUUCCAAUGUCACCUUCCAAGGAAAAUCAAAUGAAUCAGUGACUAUAAUUGCCAAAAAAGAAAUAUCGAGAGAAAAAGAAUAACCGAACCGCCUUUUGUGUAGAUCUGAAAAAUCGAUCUACACUAUUCAAAAACCUAAAAAAUAACCCAACAUGGAUUUAUACAGAGUAUACCGAACCGAACCUAGAAGCCAGAAGGCUCUGAUACCAAUUUGUGAAGAAUUUCGGUUGAUUUGUAAAAUAAACUUGCAGUAAAAACGAUAACACACAAAUGAAAACAGAAAAAUAACACAAGAACACCAAGUUGUUGACUCAGUUCAGCCGUGAAUAGGCCUAAUCUGGGGGGCUCAGUGACAGCCCGUUCCACUAUGGCACCUUCCAAGGGAGCAAGAGUACAUCAAGAACCACUCAGAUCCUACAGUUUCAGUCACCGAUCUAAAGAUCUCGUGAAACACACAAGCACGAAAUCAACCAAAUGUUUAGGAGUUUUACAGUACAAGAUCAACCUCUCUCUCAGGUAGAUCAUUAAUCCAAAACAUAAACUCCAUAACCAGAUCGCAGAAACUAUACAUUAAGAGAAAGAUUUUUCAAAUUCAAAAGAAAAACUCGAAGAAGCAGAGAGAGACGCCAAAGAGAGAGAGAAGGAAGAAUCUGGAAUGACCCCAAAAGUCACGAGACUUUUGGGUUAAUUGGACGGUCACAUCCCAAGGGACGAUCUCAGCCAUUGGCUUAAUCCAAUGGUCCAAAACAGGUCUCAACUAGCACAAUCCAAGUGAGUAUCAUGUAUCCAAUAGUCAAGUGCCAAUUAGGCAAAGUUUCCCAAAUGAGUCGAAACCUCAAUUGACAAAAGUGGCACUCUUUUUAGAGUGUAUUGAGAAAUACCAUUUUUUCACAGUAGUUUUACUUGUUGAAACACGGCCUCGAAUGAAAUAACACGCCGCUCUUAUUGAAAACUUGUCCUCUAACUUAGUUCUUGAAACUCCUUACUUGAAAAUUACAACCAUGCUUCACUAACAUCUUAGAUGACAUUAUGGAUGACAGAAACGUUUGGUGGUAAAAUUUUAUUAGACUAUUUAAAAAAUAAUCAACUAUAUCAUUCAAUUAUUUUUUUACAUAUGUUCAGUCAACAAAGAUGUCAAAUUCAUCUGGUGACAAAGCUUAAUUCUAAAAAUUGUGGGCUAUAAAAUGUCGAGAGCUGACAUAUUCUUUGCAUGUUGUAAAGUUUGGUUAGUAACUGAAGGUAGUAUGAAAUAGGCUUGGGGAACGUGCGGAUCGAUGUGGAAAUAUUACUAUUUUUCAAGUAUUUUAGAAAUGAAAUAUUCAAGUUUAAGUAAUUAUUAGAAUCAAACUCAAAUCGGGUUCAAAUCUAGUUCUACCCAUAACAUUUUUACAAAAAAAUCAUAAUACAAAUUAUAUUUUCUAAUAUCUAGCAGAAAUAAAAGAAAUAAAAUGUAUCUUCAAGACAAUUCAACUAGUAGCUCAUUAAUUGAAAAAUAUUAAGUACUAAUAAUUAUUCAAAACCAAACACAUGUUUUAAUGUCAAAAUUCGGGAUUAAAUAUCAAACCUUCAAAAGUAAGGUUUAACGUUAUUCUAACAUCUAUACAAUUAGCCACAUAUCAAAUUAAUUACAAGAACACAAAAUAAUUGAUUCAACAUUAUCCGAAAUUGAAUAAUUGAAAAGAAGAUAAAAAAUAAUCUCGAAUAUUGAAUCCUUUCAGUCACUUCUUAUUUUUUCUCAUUUGAUUCUCCUUUUUCUUCUUCGUUUUCAAUAUGAGAAAUAGAUAUAUUAAAAUGGGUUUGCAUGUGUUUUGUAAUAAGCUUGUACAAAGCUUUGAAUGAGCGUGUGAGUUUAUGAUUCAAAAUUUUAGUCAUAAAUAGGACUAUUGGGAUCUGAACUUAACGUCGGGAACUGCCUUGCAAUUUCACCGUAGUAUUGGGCGUGAACACACAAUGUAACAAAGUUGGGAUUGCUAUCUAAAGUUUCAUAGUUGCGAUCACAGAGGUCACUGAACACCUAUGUAUCCAUUUGGUCCCUUAAUCAUAGUUUUAAUCAUAGUAUUGGUUUUAAUCAUAGGUGUUAAUUCAAUAUUUUUAAUUAUAAAUAAUAAUACUAUUAAAUUAAAUUAAUCUACUUACCUACCAAAUCCCUCCUCCUCCUCCCACCCCCACUUCCACUCACUCUCGUGCACCAGUUUGCUGCCAUUCCCUCGUACAAUCCCUAGCAUCUAUCCAUUGUCGGCAUUCAACCGUCAACAUCCAUCCGCGUAGUUACAUUGCAUCUAAAUAACUUCAUCGAAAUGAAGAUAGAAUCUACAGUGAUCGAUGACGACUUUUUAGUAGCGAACUGGUCGUCGCUCAACGAUGACUGAGCAUUGUAGACUCGGGUAGUGGAGAUAGAGGCAGAAGCAUAGUGGCCGUUGGAGAACAUUGACUAAGCAUUGUUGCGAGUGAGCAGUGUUUGUGUAACUUAAAUCUAUUUUUAAAGUUAGAAAUUGAAAAACAGUUCUUGGUGUAAGUUAUAGAGUACUUACCGGAGCAAAUAACUUCAAUUCUCAUCAUCAAAAUAUGGUUAAUUGAAUUUAUGAACAAUUCAAAGAAUUGAAGUUCGAGAUAUCAACGGUAUGUGAGCAGAUCUCUUGAAUUUUUUAUCUAUGACCUAUACACUUUGACAUAUGACAUGUUACAUGUGACCUAAGACUCUAUAGACAUUGAUCUAUGACCAAUUUUAAUUGAUCCAUCACAUACUCUAGUGACUUGCGCCUUAUGGACAUUGAUAUGUGACUCACACACGAUAACCAUUAAUCUGUGACAUAUACAAUAUAACAUGUGACUUGUGACAUUCAAGGAUGAUAUGUGACCAAUUAUGUUUGAUCUAUCCUAUGAAUAUUUUAUAUGUGACCAAUGCACAAUAAUCUGUGACCUAGUACAUGUGACAUGUGACCCAUCACCAUUAUUGGCACCACCAAAAAAUAUCAACACAACAUUUGACAUAUAAACCUUGUUUUUUAUCUAUUAAAAUUAAGAUUUUAAUCAAAAUCAAAGUCAAUAAUCAAUUUUAACCACAUAUUUCAUGAGUUCCAUAUCUUUUCAACCACAUAUUUCAUCAACUUUGAUCAAAUCAACUAUAAAUUUGAUUUUAAUCCCCGUCGAACAAGGACAAAUUCUAUGAACAUGUGACCACCACCAACACCAUAAGCACUAUCCCUUCAAAAUCACCACAAAAACGCCUUGAAAAUUACCACGAAACCACCUAAAAAAUCACCACAAAAACAAUCACAAUCAUUUCCCAAAAAAGGGGGGCCGUGUUUUGAACAGUAGGAAAUGACAAUUAUUUAAAUAAAACGGAAUAGGAAUAGGAAUUAACCAAUUUUGAACCUCCCGAAAAUCAAACAAGACAUACAUUAUUUAAAUAGUGAUCAAGGACUGAAAUAACAUUAUAAACAUGGUAUCAAUCAAUGAACACAAAUUCUACUUAAAAGAAGUCUUUGAAUUAAAAACGAUCAAUUAACGGUUUACAUCAUCAUUCUAACACUAAAUAGAUUUAGCCUAACAUGCUAAGUAUACAAAAAUAACAAAAUUUUGAUUAUUCAUCACCUGAAAAAUAUAAUUGCAAAGAUGAGAUACGAAAACAAUUUUGCCUCCCAUAAAUUUCUUCAAUUGAGUCAUCAGUUAUUUUCAUAUUUUCUUGCUUUUGAUCAUCAAAUCCGAGCAAAAAUAUUUCAAGUUUUUAUGUUUGAUGCGUUGUAACUCUUUCUCACCUUCUAAUAUUCAAUUUGGCUUCCCCAGUUAGGUUAAAAUGCGAGCUAAUUGCUUUCUUGCCUGUAUUUUGUACCAUGCGAUCACAUGAUAACUAAGAUCGUGAUCGCACGGUACAACCAAAUUGCAGAAGGUAAAUCCAUAUUUUGACCUUGCAAUUGCAUCGUUCAACUUUUAGCUCAGUUAUGUUUUGGUCCUCGAUAUCAUCUUUCUCUUUAGAUCAAGUCCCUCCACAUUUAAAUACAGUAACAGGCCAGUAGUCUGGGCCGGUGUCCAAUAAAGUCAAUUUAUUUAUUUAUUUAUUUUAGGCGGGCCAAACCUUAAAAAAGAAAAAAAGAAAAAGGAAGAGGAAGAUAAAUUGUAAAUGACAAAUUUGUGAUUUUUUGGUCUAUUUAACUUCAAAUUGUCGAUAUAGGUAUUUUGGUCUUUUUAAACAUUUACAAUGACAAAUUUUAUAAACUUUUAAAAAAGGUUAAAUUUAUUUCAAUAUUAUAAAAAUAUAAUAUGCAAAAGUAUAAAUUUAAAAAAAAAUACGAUAUGUAACACGUAAAUACACCUUAUAUAGAUGCUCUAUUUGUAAAUUUCCCUUGUAAUUGUAUUUAAUUAUCAUUGAAAGAUAAUGAUAAGAGACUAUUGGCGUUUAUUUUUAUUAAUGACCCGUGUUUGAUCAAAAAAGAAUUUGUUACACAUUUUUUACACGAGUAAUGCUAUUAAUACAGUUGACUAUCGGUAGUCGCUCUAUAUGACAUUUACAUGACAGUUUGUUAGUUGGUGCAUGAAUAUGAUUGUUUUUUAUUUGAUGCAAUAUCUGGAUGCAGAUAUUAUUUAUUUAUUUAUUUUUGUUCUCGAUUAUUGUAAUUUACAUCUUAAAGUAAAAGAAAGUUUGGGAUUCAUAUGAAUAAAUUACAUAAAAAAAAAAAAGCAAAUAAAAAAAUUCAGAAUGCAUAAUUGUAUAAUCUAUCAUGGAUUCAUAAUAUCUAGUCUUGUGAGUCUAUUUUCAUGCCCCUAUCAAUUAUAGUUUGCUUUUGUCUUCUCUAGCUUUUAAUAAGCUACUUUACACAUCACCGAAAUACAAUAAUAAUACCAUUGCACUUAUUAAUGCAAAUUUCUACCUAACCGAUUGAUUCGAUGAUAAACAAAUGACAAUCAUUUCCCAACUAUUUAAAUGAAAAUUACUGCGGGCCAAGUAUCAAUCCUAUUCCUCUAGCUGAGAAUAGUAGGAAAUGACAUCUAGAGAUAUAAUUCCAAUAAAAUAUCUAUGUCAUCCUCCAUCUACAGGUACCUAAUCCUAAAGUUUUACAAGGCCCAUACUCUACAAGAGUCCCCUCGUUGGACACUGAAAUUUCUCUCAAAUUUUAACAAUGCGCCCAGGUUUAAGCCCAUUUAUUUUUUUGGAUUAAUAGAUUCCGAAUUUAUCUGGGUGGCAAACUAAGGGGAAGGUUGUCACUACUCAGAAUUAAUCAGGCGAAAUAUGGACACCUGAGUUAUAAAAAAAAAAAACCCAUGCAAACUGUCGCAAACCACCACAAAAUUGCUAUAGUGGCGAUUUGAGUCCUAAUAAAAAAAAUUGGGAAACUGAGAUCUUAGGUAGAGGUGGACGUGGGUCGGUUCGGUUCGAUUCUCUUUAGAACCGAAUCGAACCAAAAUUUUCGAGUAUCUAGUAAAUGGAACUGUCGGGUACAAAUAUAAUUAUGGAACCGUUCGAGUUCGGUUCCGUUCGGUUCGAUUUUGUACUAUAAUUAAAUUUUUUAACAUUUAUAACAACAUUAUAUAAAUACAACCAAUGACACAUUCAAUGAUUUUGGAAUGUGAAAGACUAGUAGACUACCUUAUUCAAAUGAUCGCUACGAUCAAAGUUUCGGUCGACGGAGGUCACAGCUUCGAUCGGAUGUCACAGUAUCGGCCAACGAUUGUACAGGUUUUGGUAUGUCUGCGAGGUUGCGAGAGUGAAUACGAGAGUCGAGACAGCGUUAUGCAUUUUAGUGUAGGUGUUUAGGGUUAUUUAGUGGAUUUGAUCUUGUUGCGUUAAGAAAUGAAACAAUAAAAUGAGUAAGGGCAAAAAAUUAAAAAUUAGAAUGAAACAAAUUAUUGGGCCAAAAAUUUGGAUUUAGAAAUUGUUAAUUUAUUUAGAAAAAAUUAAAAUUAAAAUAAUUUGAUUUAUUCAAUAUAAAAAAAAUUAGAAAAAUUCAAUUUUUCGAUUUUUGGUCUAGAACCGAGAAUCGAACUGUACCCGUCGGUUCUCAAUUUAGAUACCCGUUUGGAUAUUUAAUUUAACAAGAACCGUCGAGUUCGGUUCCGUUCGGGAGAUUUGCCCAGCCCUAAUCUUAGACAUUGAUUUAUGCUUGCUACUUUCAAAAAGAGUAGAGGAGAAAUGGUAGAAAGAUGGAAUGUGCAGCAAAAAAGAUAGAGAGAUAUUAAUAGAGAGAAAUGAUAUGUUAGAGAAAGAGACGAAAUUGGGAUUAAAUCUGGCUCUAGAUGGGUUAAAUGGUGGUGUGUAAUUUAAUUUUAUAAUAUAGUAUUAUUAAUAUUAAAAUAUUAGAAUUAUCACCUGAUUUUUGAAUAAACAAACCUUCAACACAUUUUUUGAAUUGUAAUAUUCAAAAAGUUGUGACGGUAUAAUUUUCACAUCUCAAAAUCUAUUAACCCAAAAAAAUAAAUAGGCUUAAACAUGGGCGCAUUGUUAAAAUUUGAGAGAAAUUUCAUUGUCCAAUGAGGGUCCUCUUGUAGAAUAGGGGCCUUGACAAAAAGUAAAACUUUAGGAUUAGGUACCUGUAGAUGGAGGAUGAUAUAGAUAUUUUAUUGGAAUUAUAUCUCUAGAUGUCAUUUCCUACUAUUCUCAGCUAGAGGAAUAGGAUUGAGUGAUUGUUUGUAGGGGUGGCACUGGGUCGAGUCGAGCUCGUGGCUCGUUUUUACGAGCUGAGCUCGGGCUCGGCUCGUUGCUUGUGGGCGAGCUAGGCUCGGCCCACGAGCUCGUGUACUCACGAGCCACGAGUUCGUGGGCUCGGCCCGGCUCGCGAGCUCGUGAAUUUUUAUUUUUUGCAAAAUUUUCAAAUUUUAUUGAUAAAAUUUUAAUUUUUUCCACUUUUUUGGACUAGCCGGCUCGUGAGCUCGGCCCACGAGCCGUUAGUCGAGCUCGUCAAAUGAUGAGCCCGAGCAGCCCAUGAGCCUAACUUUGACGAGCCGAGCCGACGAGCCGCGAGCCGGCUCGGCCCAAUUGACAUCCCUAAUUGUUUGGUAUAAAUUUUAAGUCAAUUAUAAUUAAUUUUUUAAUUGUUAUUACGUUAUUUCAAUCGUCAUUUUUUAAUUCUUCUUUUACGGAUAUGAUCUACUUUAUUUUUAAUGGUCAAAAAAUCAAUUAUUAAAAUCCAUACCAAAUAAAUAUUGAUACUUGAAACAUGCUACAAUUACAGGGCUUUUGCCAAAAAAAAAAAAUCUUGUGCUUGGAAGAAUUUUCUUUGAUACUUUCUACCAUAAAGUCUUGGAUGUUGAAAAUUCUUUUGCGUCAAUAUCACGCGGAUUCUUCAACAAACACCAAUAAUUUUGAUGAAAUUGGAGAAUAUUCUAUAUAUUAUUAAUUUCUAAAAAUUACUCUCUUGGUCCCUAAGCUCCUAUUAUAAAUUAGGCAUUAAUUAAAAUAACACAUUUAAACUCUAAUUAAAUUAAUCAAAUAAAGCAAGCGUUAUGUCUCUUAUACUGCAUCACCCUCGCGGUUCAAGAUUGAAGGGGAUAGAGGCUUGGAAAUCUAUUUAACUUAUUAGUAUGUUUGUAAAUUGUUAUACACACGCAUUCUCUUUGUGAAAUGAAGUUAACACUUGGUUUCUUCGAUGGUUUUUGAAUGUUUCUUUGAUGCUAAUCACAUUAUAUUUUGUCCUAGAAAUGGAUCUUCGUUUUUUUCUUUAUUUUGCUCGAGGAUUACAAUUAUCUCGUGCCUAAUUACAUACCAUUUGUUAGCGAUAAAUGUUUGACUUUGACUACUUUAUUAUCUGUUUAUGAAGUGGUAACCAAACGGGACAUAAAUUAGUUAAACUUGUUGAGUUUUGAAAGCAAUCAAAUUAUCAACAGAUCGCGAGUAGACAAAUAAAAAUGAUUCUUUUUUAUAUACAUGAUGUUUUCUAAUAUGUUGUGGUAUUGAUUUAGAGGCAUGAAAAAUUGUGAUUGUAAUAUUUUGUGGGAAGUAAUAUCCUUCAAAAUUAUCGUCACUUGUCCAACACAUGAGAGUUUCACGUCCCAUUAAACGGUUUCUGUCAAGUAGAGACACGAAUUGUAGCUUGGGGACCUUGUUGCUAUAUUUUGAAAAGGUUGGGCAUCAAAGUUGUAAUUUUCCGUAAAAGUUCAAAAAAUUAAUUUUCCCUGAGCCACUUUUGUCUGGGCUUUCAACAGAAUCAAUAUUUAUAAAGGAAAAUGUCACUUUGCCAAAAAAUACUUGACACUCGGGGUGAUUGACCCGCGCGGGUUUCUCGUGAAUUAAAUAAUGUUUGACCUUUGAGGGAAAUGUGUUUGAUCGUCCUCUAUGUCAAUCAUUAUGUUCCCCUAACUCGAUAUAUAUAUAUGAUUUUCUAAGUAUCAGUGCUUAUUUAUGCUAAGCAUUGAGUGACAUUGCAAAUUACAAUACAUGUUACGAUGCUUAGGUGAUCAAAUUCGUGUGUGUAAAAUAUAUAUAUACACACACUCCAUUGAUGGACCUUAAUGCAACUCAAAUCUUUAAAGCAUCUGUCUUGAAGUAGACGAACAAAAUCACAUCACGUCUUUUAUCUGAAUAAAAAAAAUUCAGUAUUUAAAGAAAGAAAUUUCUUUCAAACGUUAUGUGUUUUGAACGUAAUCAGUAUAAUGCCCUGUUUUUCCCGAUUGCAAAUAUUGACCUUCAUAUGUAUAACCGUUUGAAAGAAAUGGCGCUUGCGUGUGAGAGGAGGAUUGGAGUAGACGUACAAUCACAUCUAUUCAAUUGAACUUGUUCCUCUUUGAAGUUAAUCAAAACAAAUGUCAAGUUUCCCUGAUUACAAUCUAUUGUUUGUUGAGCUCUAGAAAUAUGGCAAUGCCCACCGCCGGAACUAACCUUUUGGAUGCCGAAACUCCACUGUUGAACGAUGUCGUUUAUGGGUCCGUCGACUUCAAAGGCAGCCCUGUUAUCCGAUCCAUGUCUGGUGGUUGGAAGUCCGCUUUCUUCAUCAUAGGUACAAGUUUUAUCCAGUUCAAUAUUCAAAAUGUUAGAGAAUAUAAAAGUUCUUUUGGUUGCAUUUUAUUUAUGUUUUGGAUUUGUUAGGUGUUGAAGUGGCUGAGAGAUUUGCGUACUAUGGAAUAAGUUCGAAUUUGAUAAGCUAUUUGACGGGUCCGUUGGGCCAAUCCACCGCAACUGCGGCGGAGAAUGUGAAUGCGUGGUCCGGCACGUCGAUGAUUUUGCCACUUUUGGGUGCUUUUGUGGCGGAUUCGUUUCUUGGUCGAUACCGAACCAUUGUCAUUGCCUCUGGGCUCUAUAUCCUGGUCAGUACACGAAUCAUUCUGCAAUAUAUAUUUUCCGUUUUGAGCUUUAAAAUUAUACAACGAUUAACGCCUCUAAUUGCAUUCAUGAUACCUAACUUGAAACUUUGCUGGCACCUGGGAGUGACUCAUACUGGACAACCUCGACAGGGCUGAUUACAGAUAGUUUGUGAAGUCAAAUAGCUGGGAAUAUGGGCUGCCAUGGAUGUUAGAUCUAGAAAGAAGGGGUAGAAUAUAACGGCUCUAAUUACGUCUUAAAACUUGGCUCGUGGAUUUAUAACCAUUUAAGCCAGUUUCAAUGGCGAGCUCUCGACAAUCUGGUGUAACAAAUUGUACGAGAAGAUUGUUCAUCUGACAAGAAGCAGGGACGAAAUUUAUGAAUUCUCAAACAUAUGUAGAAUUAAAAUAUGAGCAUAGGUUUGAUUAAUUUGGCUCUUGCACCACUCAGAUAUGCAAGAAAACAUUUUUAAUGAAUUUUACUCAUGUUACCGUAGUUUUUCAAUUAAUCUUUAAUAAAAAUGUAUUCAAAUUCUUAUUUGUCAAUAGUUUUAGGAAUUUAAUUCUCAAAAAGUCACUGUCAAACAAAGGGAAUAACCUAAAGAAUCUUGUGUAAAAAAAUUUAUCUAACAUGUGUUAGCUCAUUCAAUUCUGAGAUCCAAAAAAGGAUGGUUUAAAAAGCUUGAUGUUGUUUCUUCUUAUAAUAAAUACAUCAUGACUACUCCAAUUGAACUUCCUUCAUCUGUUAUUUGAUUUGGCUAUUUGUCACUACAGUCUGCUGUUCAGAAUGGAGCAGCCAGAAGAAUUACUUUUUCUAUUUCUAGUUAGAUGUUCUCGUUGACUUUCAUCCAUCAAUUUGGCAGUUUUUUGGAGCCGAAUGGUAGUAUGUGCCUGUUAAGCUAUGAUUUAAAUACCUUUACUUGGUUGAGCUUGUGAUUCUUGGUCGGUUAGUUGCUGGAGUUUUCUGUGUCUUCAGACUCGUUAUGAGUAUGCUUUUCACAUUGGGGAAAAAUAAACUUGUGUUUUGUGAUAGUGCUCAUGAUAAACAACAGAGAUGAAGCAAGAUCCUGAGUGUAUAAGUGGAGAUGGGAAUAAGAAAAUAAAUAUCUUUCACUCACUCCCAGUAAGAGCAUGUUUUCUAUGAUUUAAAAAAAGUAACUUUUUUGGUUCGAAACAUGUUUGGAUGAGUUACUUUUUUCUUACUUUUAAGUUGAAUUUUCCUUACUCUCACAACAAGUAACUAAUUUCCAACUUUGAAAAAUAAUUAUUUGUUUUAAAAUUUGUUUAUUUAUUGUAAGUGAACUUUUUUAGCUUAGCAAAACAUGCUGUACUUCUUAAAAUCUAAAAUAAGGUUCGGCCUUCAGUCUGAGUUAUUGUGCUUCUAAGAUAUCUUCGUUUCUUUCUUCCUUCAAUUAUUUUUAUUUUUCCUCUCUGGCCUCAUGUGUCUUCAAGUCAGUUUUUCGGAAAGAAUUUGAUUAAAUGAUGACUAUCCACUUCUUUGAAUUUGUUUGUACUUGAGACUAAAAGUUUUUAAACACUUUAUUUUGGGGUUCAGACCUGACGAAGCACUGUUCUGUAGAUUCAAAGAUGGCAAUGAGGUUUAUUAUUACAUAUGAACUCAUCUUUGACUGAAUCGUGCUGCAGAUUGUAACAUAGCUCUAACAAAUAACCGAUUUUCUUUUUAUCACGCAGUAGAAAAUUGAUAAAAUCUCAUAUUUUUGUGUAGUGACUAAAAUAAGAGGGUUUCUGUGACCCAUCUUUAUUUAUUUUGUCUGUACGUUUCAAAGAUUUAUAACGUAUUCUCUUUGUACUGGUAACUUACCCCUGUAUCAUUAGAUGCAAGCUGCCAAUAUAAUAUAAUCAUCUAGUUUAUGGUUAGAUACCUUAAACUAAGCUUCUCAAUAAGAAAAACAGGAAAGUCCAGUGCCUAUUCAAAAUUAUAUAUGGCUGAAUAAUUCUUAAAGGUUUUGAAGAAUCAUGAAACCAGCUUGAGAAAAUGAAAAUUCUCUCUCUCACAAAUACUUUCUGGUAAAUUCAUUUGUGAAAAUAUUUUUCUUCUAGGAAAUUCUAAUUGUUUUCUGUUACUAUUAUGGAUCUCAGGCACUUGGCUUCUUAUCCCUAUCUGCUGUUCUAUAUUCAAUCAAAUCUUCCGACUGCCAUUUUGCUGCAAAUAACAUGGCAUGCUCCCCGCCACAGUUUCAAAUUAUUUUCUUCUUCUUCUCUUUGUAUUUAUUUGCCCUAGCACAAGGAGGACAUAAACCUUGUCUCCAGGCUUUUGGAGCUGACCAGUUUGAUGAGCUAGACCCAAAAGAAUGUAAUGACAAAAGCUCAUUCUUCAAUUGGUGGUAUUUUUCCAUGAAUUUGGGUAUUGUAGUUGCUCUGUUUGUAUUGAACUACAUCCAAGACAACCUAAGUUGGGCUCUUGGCUUUGGAAUUCCCUGCAUUAUCAUGUGCCUUGCGCUGAUUAUUUUUUUGCUUGGAACUAUGACUUACCGAUUUCGCACGCACAGCGAUGAAAGAAACCCAUUUGUUAGAAUUGGUCAGGUAUUCCUGAAUGCAGCUAGAAAUUGGCGGACUACUCCAGGAGCAAUAUCUAAGGAACAGGAAGCACAGGGAAUUCUGCCAUAUCAAGGAUCUCAACAGUUCAAGUAAGUCAACUGCCCCUUUGUGUGUUUUGAUAUUUGGAAGAUAAACUUUGCCUCUUCUUCUCUCUUCGAUGCAUUUAGGUUUCAUUAUUAGUCCUGUUAAGCUUUUUUUUAGUAGGGUUUGAAAUCGGUAAGUCUAUGCAAAACAUGUUUGAACUAUCCAAGUUGUCCUUCCAUUAUUCUCAGCCGACACCGACGUUACUUGUUGACACAUAUUUUCAUUUCUUACCUUAUCCGGCUUAGUGAAAUCUAUCUUAUCCACCGUGGUCAUCUUAUGAGCAUUUUGUCCUUCAACAAACCUAAAACUUAACCAUAUAGCAUAGCAGAUCUAUAACACAUCUUCUUAUUAUAGAGUGUCACUUCUCCAUAUCACUUUACCAAGCUGAACUUAAUGAAUUAUGUCUUCUUCAGUAUCUGCUUCUUCCUUGUUAAUAAUCAGACCUAGAUGCUUAAAACAAUCACUCUGGGGAUAAAGUAAUGCUCUAUAGUAACUUCAUUAUAAUAAAAUGCGUUGAUAUUGUUUUACUAUAAAUUUGUGCUUUAUAUGAUUGAAAUUUUGGGACCAAUCUCAUUUGUUUCAUUAUAUUAUUUUUGGUUUCUAACAGGUUUCUUGAUAAAGCAUUGCUUGCACCUGAUGUUUCGAAGGAAGAUGGGAAAGUUUGUAGUAUCACUGAGAUUGAAGAGGCAAAGGCAGUUCUUAGGCUUUUUCCAAUAUGGACUGCAUGUUUGGGAUAUGCCAUUGCAUUUUCACAAUCAUCGACUUUAUUCACUAAACAAGGAGCUACAAUGGAUCGUUCUAUCACGUCUAGCUUACAAAUACCAGCUGCUUCACUACAAUCUUUUAUCAGCAUUGCCAUUGUUGUCUUUAUUCCUAUCUAUGACCGAAUUUUGGUUCCAAUUGCGAGAGCUAUAACUGGAAAACCCUCUGGCAUUACAAUGCUUCAACGAAUUGGAACUGGAAUAUUUUUAUCUUUUCUUGCCAUGGUAAUUGCAGCUUUGGUCGAGAGGGAACGUCUAAAAACAGCUGCUGAAUAUGGAUUGGUGGACAUGCCGAAAGCAACAGUGCCUAUGAGUGUGUGGUGGCUGCUACCUCAGUAUUUGCUUUUUGGAGUUGCAGAUGUGUUUACCAUGGUCGGACUCCAAGAGUUCUUCUAUGACCAGGUUCCAGACCAGCUGAAAAGCAUUGGUCUUGCUCUAUACUUGAGCAUAUUUGGCAUAGGGAACUUCUUGAGCAGUUUUCUAAUCUCAGUGGUGGAGAAAGCCACCAGUGGUCCGGGGCGAGACAGUUGGUUUUCAGACAACCUUAACCGGGCUCAUGUCGACUACUUCUAUUGGCUACUGGCUGCGCUUAGUGCUGCUGCAUUUUCCGCGUACGUGUAUGUUGCAAAAUCUUAUAUCUACAAUAGAAGAAACUGUCUUUGAAGAACUGCAUUCUGUAGUGGAGAUAGCUACCCAUGGCCCAGGUCAACAUGGUUUUCUUAUACACGGUUUGGCUUAAUGUAGCUGCUUUCGCUGCGUACUAGUACUUUGCAAAAUCUUGUAUCUAUAAUAGAAAUAAACCGUCAAUGAAGUUGCAUAAAACGCUGUCGAGAUAAAGAUAGCCAGUAAAUGAGAAAUACCAGCACAUUCAACUUGUAUUAAUAGCUAUUGCUCAUUUGUGGUCAAUCUCACGUAAAUGCGAAGGCAUGCUCGAAGAUUUUAUUCAAUGGGAUCAUCUGAUAUUUGUUCAUUUUUUUAAACCUUGGACUUAGUAGUGAUGAAGUGAAUUGGAUGAUGAAAAGAAUUUACAGACAACUUUUAAAUUUGUAGAAAAUAAUGUUUAAUUUGUUGUCAUUUGCAUUAAGUACAUUGAUUUGCUACAUGUUGAACAAUCAACGCCCAUAUGGAGGUUAGGAAUUGAAGUUUUUUUCAUUGCAUUUUGUACCAUAUUUGUUGAGCUUGAAAUUCAAUGGAAUCACAUCGUAAACAAAUGCAGCUCUACUCCCAUCCACGUGUAUGUCAUCUGUAUGUUUGGACAUCAUAUUAAACUGCAUGUGAUUGUAGUUCCAGUGGAUAUGCGAAAGUCGCAAGUGAUAACAAAUAAUCUAACCUAUAAAAUCAAACAUAUAGAGAACCAAAGAAGGAGAAAGAUUAGGAGGAAAACAAUUGAGCCACUCAAAAAAUGAAUUAGGGUUUACAAUGACUUAACAUAUUACAAAGAGACCUAAGCUAAUAAGGAAACUAAAUAUUAAUUAAAUAAUUAAACAAAUAAAUAUAUUAUCAUCUCCCCUCAAACUCAUGAUGCUGAAGCAAGAAACAACGAGAGUUUGUCACGUAAGAAGCGAAAACGAUGAACCGGCUGAGACUUAGUGAAGAAGUCAGCAAGCUGCAAUGAUGAAUAAACAAAAGGUAGGGAAAUGGUGCCAGUCUGUAAAUGAUGACGAACCAGAUGACAAUCAAUCUCAAUAUACUUUGUGCGUUCAUGGAAUACGAAGUUGUGAAAGAUCUAAAUAGCACUGGUAUUAUCACAAUACUUAGGGGAUGGAAAAGAAUGAGGAACACCUAUGUCUCCAAGUAACCAUCGCAACCACACAAUUUCAGUAAUAGUGGAUGCCAUAGCUCGAUACUUUGCCUCCGUAGAAGAAUAGGAAACAACAGUCUGCUUUUUUUUCUAAGAGAUAAGAGAAUUAUCCAAAAAUAUAUAAAAAGCAGUAGUGGACUUACAAUCAGUGGGGUCAUUGGCCCAAUCAGUAUCAGAGUAGGCACGGAGUACUAAGGAUGAGGUCGACGGUAACAAAAGACUUUGAAAGCAUAUACCACGAAGAUAACACAGAUAUGAACAAUUGCUGCCCAAUGAACAGUAGUAGGAGCUGAAAUAAACUGACUAACAAUGUGAACAACAUAAGCAAUAUUAGGACGUGUGAUGGUAAGAUAAACUAGACAUCCAACAAUAGUGCGAUACAAAGUGGGAUCAGGUAAUAGUACACCAUCAGAGGAUGAAUAUCAAGCGUUGGACUCAAGAGGAAUAUCAACAGUUUUAGUAUCAGUAAGAUGGGCACGCUCAAUAACAUCCAUAGUAUACUUGGAUUGAGAGAGAAGAUAACCUCUAGGAGAAGAAGCAACUUUGAUCACCAAAAAAUAAGAUAAUGUACACAAGUCCUUCACUUCAAAACGACGAGCUAAUUCUGAUUUCAAACUUGCAAUUCCAUCAACAUCAUUACCAGUGAUAAUCAUAUCGUCAAUAUAUAGCAAUAAUAGAAUGCGACCAGUAGAAGUGCUUCUAAAGAAUAGAGCGGAGUCAUGAUGACUGGAUGUAAAGCCAAGAGAGGUAACAACAGUGGAAAAUUUCUCAAACCAGGCACGAGGUGCUUGUUUGAGGCCAUAAAGUGCCUUCUUGAGCUUGCAAACAAAUCCAGGAGAGUAAGAAAGACUAGGAGGAGGAACCAUGUAAACCUCCUCUUGAAGAUUUCCAUUUAAAAAUGCAUUUUUGACAUCCAAUUGAGAAAGACUUCACUGACGAAUAGAUGCAAAUGCAAUAAGUGUACGAACAGUGGUCAUCUUGGCAAUGGGAGCAAAAGUCUCCUUAUAAUCUAGACCACGCUGCUGAGUAAAAUCCUCAAUAACCAAUCUAGCCUUGUAGCGCUCAACUGAACCAUCAGAUUUGGUUUUAAUCUUAUAAACCCAACUAUAACGAUUAUAAUCAUCAAUAAAAGAAACAUAAUAUCUAGACCCUCCUUUUGUGGUAAUAAGAGCAGGUCUCCACACAUUAGAGUGAAUAAUAUCAAAUGGUGUAACAGAAUGAAAUACGUUACGAGGAAAAGGUAAAGCAGAAAAUUUAGCUAAUUUGCAACCACUACAAUUAGAAAUGUCAUGAGUUUACAAAUCUCCCAAAUGACCCUUAGAAACUAAAAAAUUCAAACGACUAACAGAAACAUGUCCAAGGCGAGAAUGCCACAAAUAAAAACUAGAAAACGAUGAAUUCAAAGAAAAAGAUGACAAGUCAACACCGGAGGUUGCAAUAUAUGGUGGUCUCAGAUUGUCCAGUACAUAUAACCCUCAUUGUCUAUGGCCUAUCCCAAUCAGCUUCUGAGAUCGAGGAUCCUGCACAUGACAAGCAGUAGAAGAAAAUUGAACUAAAUAUCCAAAAUCACACAAUUGGCUAAUAGAAAUAAGAUUUAAGGUAAGAGUAGGAACAUAAUAAACGUCUGAAAGUGAUAAAUUUUGUGUGUUAACAGAACCAACACUUGCUAAAGGCAAUGAUGUGCCAUCAGUAGUCAUAACAGACAUAGAUGAGUUAGAAAGAUGCAAGUCAUUAAAGAGUUUUAAGUUAGAUGAAAUGUGUUUAGAAGCACCAAAGUCAAAUAUCCACGAGGAAGAAGUACCUGAGUGACUCUGAGAUUACAAACCUAUAUGAGUAGAGGCUAACAUAGCAUGUGGCUGUGUGGCUAAGAACUUAUGAAACUGCUUUGCUAAAUCAGUUAACAUGAGACUAGAAGAAGGUGGUGCUCCAAGUAUAAAUGAGUCAUUAGAUGGCAUGGUAGCAGCUACAUUAGCAUUGGGAUGAUACGAUUGUUGCCAUAGUUGUGGUUGCUGCUUCUUCAAUAGCUUGGGACAUUGAGACUUCCAAUGUCCUUUUUGUUUGCAAAAGUUACACUCAUCACUAGCAACUCACACAUAACUUUUGUUUUGAUUCUGUGUGGAUGAUCGAGAAGGUACAGCCAACACUGACGUGUUAGAUGGAAGAAAGGAUACUUCUCCUGCAAGAGAUUUCAAAUGUGUUUUUUCAGCUACAAGUUCACUAACCACCGAAUCAACUGAUGGAAGUGGAGUGCGGUGCAAGAUAGAGCCUCUGAGUCCCUCAAAAUCACUGCGAAGUGCCAUAAAAAAUUGAACUAAUCGUUGUUCCUCUCUAAAAGUAAUAUAUUCCUCACAUGCUUUCAGUCCUGCUGAUUCUGUAAGAGCCAACUCAUCCCAAAUUGAAUUCAUAGCAGCAUAAAAUUCGAGAAUACUCAUAUCCUUCUGUUGGAAGGCCCGUAUAUCAAUCUCCAACUGAUAUCGUUUUGCAAAAUUAGACUUAGUGUAUAACUUCUAUAAGUGAUCCCAAACUUCUUUCGCUGUUUCAAACUUAGCUGACUGUGUACCAAUGGAUUGCUCAACAGAAUUAUGAAUCCAAGUGAGAAUUUUCGCAUUGUUUGACUCCCAAUUAUCUAACUCUGUCACAUAAUUUUCAGCAGUGCUAGUGGUCUCAGGUUUUACGAUAGUUCCACUAACAUAACCCCACAAUCGUUUUCAUUUUAGAAAAUUCUUCAUCACAGUACUCCAGUAUGAGUAAUUUUUACCAUUUAAUCUAACACUAAUGGAUUGAAGUGAAUCAUCCCUUUCAAUUGCCAUCAUGAAAUCAACAAAUAAUCAACUAUUAAUCAAAAGAAAUCAGCAAAUUCCAAGAAACUCAACGACGACCAACAUACCAACACGAACUACCACCAGAAUAUACCGUACAAUGCACGUAUGACCAAACUAAUACCACCAAAAUGUCAGAAACUCACCAAGGAAGAAACUGAAAGACUAAGAAUGACUAACCAAGAGAGGGGUGAAUUGGUUAUUUAAAUCUUUUUCAAUAAUGAGUGCUAAUAAAAAUAAUUUGCAAAUAUAAUAAAGAGCAAGCAAGAUAACUUUGAAAAAUAACAAGAGAAAGGGAUAAAGAAUGCAAACGACGUGUUAUGGAGGUUCAAUCCAAUCACGAUCUACGUCCCCCCGUUACCAAGCUCUCCGUCACGAGCAAUGCCUUUUUCACUAAAUGUGAUUGACUUAUGGUACAAUCCAGCCUUCUACAAAGCUUUCGGUGAUUUAAAAACGAGAACCACCGAUCCUUUUACAACGUUGAGCUUUCCAGGACCUCAACACGACCCACAAUUCAAUCAAAAGUAAACUUUACAAGAGAGGAAUCUUCUUCCACAAUUAAGAUAUAUUCAAGGUUGAGUACAAUGGAAAGAAGUAGGCUAACACUUUAAUGAAUGGCAAUAAGUGAAGCUCAAGUGUUAGGUUUGAAGAAAACUUUGAUAAAUGAAAUGAUUUUCAAAAGUAAACUCAAUCAAAAGUUUUCCAAAAGUGAAUGAAUUGAUAGAGAUAAAUAAAAAGUAGAGAGUUAAAGCUUGAAUGUAUCUCAAUUUAAUUCUCUUGGAAGUGAUAAUAAUGAAUGCGAGAGGUUGGAGUAUUUAUAGAGUCCAAAACGUUAAAAAAAAUCUGAAUUUGCGGAUGACUCGUCCAGUCGAGCACCUCUUGUUCGGAAGACCAAUAUAGCCGUUUGUACAGUAUAAAUUAGAAGUCAGAACGGUCAAAUUCUGGACCGUUGGAGGAGUCCGGUCGACCGCCUCUCAUGACCGAUCGACCAGUCCGGUCAAGGCGGUCGACCGCCCUGGCAGUGCGGUCUUUUCACGUUUUGCCCUCAUUUGUUCCGAUAUGAAAGUUUUGAAGUGUAUGGACUUUUGGAGAAUAUUUUUAACUAAAUUUUCAUAAUAAAAAUGUCUUUAAAAUCCAUAUAUCAUUUUUAAAAGUCAUUUUCAUGUUUGAUAAAAAAAGGUUGCAUUCGAAUUAUCUUAGUGCACAAAAAUUGUUUUUAAUGCAUAACAAGAUUUUGAGCUUAAUUAUUCUUUGCCAAAUAUCAAAGCAUUAGUACCUUUACAUUUUGCCUAAGAAAUCAAGUCUUUGCUCCGAAGUAUGCCUCGUCUUGAUCUUUCAUUGAUGUCGUCUCUUACGCUCUUGAUCUUGAUUUUUUUUGGCAUUUGUCUCUCAAACUUUUUGUCUCAAAUAAUUUGACUUGAAUACAUGAUUUUCACUUUGACCUUCAUUUGAAGUCCGAUAAUACAUGAUUCAUUUGAACAUUGAACCAUCAUCACUAAAAAGAAUUUGUUAGAAAUAAAAUAUUCUUGUUUGUCAUAAUCAAAACAUUGAGGAUUAAGUCGACCAUAUGCCAACAGAAACUGUCCUGUUGAAUUGUUGCCAAAAAACCACUCAUGUGCCUUCACGCAGUGCCAGAACCUUUGCAACUUUCAUUCAUGCGAUGCCAAAAUAUAGCGCAUGGUGAAACACGCGCCGAUCAGGUAGGAUCGUCUCAUUGUCUGGAAUCCAAAUAUGGUCACCAAUCACCAAACAGAGGUUUCGUUUGAAAGAUAUUAUAUAUUUUCAAUGACGGCUAAAGGAAAAUUAGGAUUUUCUAUUAUUUUGGUGACACGAAUUGUUUGAGAAUGGAUUGAACGAAAAGAACAACCUCAACACAUAUGUUUUGGCUCUGAUACCAUGAUAACAUAUAAUCUAACCUAUAGAAUCAAGCAUAUAGAGAACCAAAGAAGGAGAAAGAAGAAGAGGAAAACAAUUGAGCCACUCAAAAAAUGAAUUAAGGUUUACAAUGACUUAAUAUAUUACAAAGAGACCUAAGCUAAUAAGGAAACUAAAUAUUAAUUAAAUAAUUAAAAAAUAAAUAUAUUAUCAGCAAGCACUUUAAUGCUCAAGUCAAAUAGUUGAAGAAUAUUAUCAAGAUUGAGAGAGUGAUCUUGUGUUCAAAAUCACAUUACCUUUACCAAUCACUAUGUGUGAGUAUUUACCAAGAGAGGAGAUAUUGAAGCUCAAAAUAUAACCACUGAAAGUGGUUUGGGUGUUGAAGGGAAAGCAAUAGAAGCUUAUCUCACAUAGGAAAAAUAAUUAGGUAAUUACUUAUUUAAUUAUUGAUACAUGUUUUACUCAUGUGUAGUAUGGAUGCUCUCUUGUACGUGUGUGGGAGCAUUGGACCAUUAAACGCGUGUGGGAGCAUCACUUGUAGACACGAAAUUUGGCCGUUAGUAGAGCCACGUUUUGCCAUUAUAUUUUCUAUUUAUUUCUAGCUGCCAUUCCAGAUUAUGUAACAACUCCAGACGAUUAUGAUUAGAAUAAUAUCUUAUGUUAAUGGGCAAAUAAAAAGUCAAUUAAUUAUGGUGUUAAUAAUUUUAAACACCUAUUAUUGUUGCCCAACUAUGUAACAACCCAAGCCUACAUGUUAAAAUCGUUAUAUCAUAUGUACUGUCCAUUAUGAAAGAGUCAGGGGCGGACCCAUUAAGGGUCAGGCAGGGUCGGCCGUCUCCACUCAAUUUCCAAAAAACGUUCGGUUGGUUUUUUUUUUAAUUGUAAUUUUAAAUUUUUUUUUGGUUUUUUUAGAGUUUAUUUUAGCCUAUUUUCUGUCUCGCCCUCCUUGAACAAUAAGUUUGAAUUCGCCCCUGAGAAGAGCCUCUGUCCAUCUUAUUCGUCAUGAAUUUACAGAAAUCUAAAAAAUUCAGAUUUUCUAAUGGAUUAGAUAUAUUAUGAGUAGACCAGAUCAAAAUACGAUUCAAUUGAAUGGUACCAAUGAAAUCGAGUGCUAACUCUCAUUUCUUAUUGAAUUAGCCAAUCCUCGCGCUAUCGCACCUAAUCUAUGAGGGAUAAAAUAAAAUCCAAUUUGCUGAUGCAAAAGUUUAGUGCUCAGUUCCUUAUGGUUCCACCUUUGUAUUAUCAGAUACGGACACUCAAUUAACCACAAGCACUUAUGGCAUGGGAACGAAUUUGUUUUAAGGUUAUUGUUUAACCAUACCUCAAUUCACUAUUCCAUUAUCCCAUUUUUCUUUUUCUAGCAAUUGUAAUUUUCUAUUCUGUAAAUUUUUUUUAUCUAUUAAAUAUAUUAUUAUAUUCACCAAAUUUCUAACUGCCUGUAUAACUUGCUAUUAAUUUUUUUGCUAGAAGUAAUGCUAUGUAACAAUAAGCAUCAAUGUAUAAGUUUUAAUCUGGUAAUUAUACAUUCAUCUAUUAAAGUGUCAAUCGGAUAACCAUAAUUUAAUUUUACUCAAUCAGGUAUUAUACUUUAAUUUUAAUUAAAUAUUUUUGUCCAAUUCCAUCAUUGAAUGUAUGAAAAUUAAAUUUUUUAACUGAAGUUGCACUUAUUUUAUGUCAGCAACUAAUUGCCACGGGCAGAUGAUGUCAUUUAUUAACUAUCCAUCAUCAAUUUUUUUAGUUGAGUUGACCAGAAUUACCUUAACAGAAAUUGAAUUAUAGUGUAGACAUCAAUUACAAUCAAAUUAACGCAUGGAUUUUCAGUAAAAAAUCAAACUAAAGUGUAUUCAUUCGACUAAAUAAAAUUAAAAUACAAUUGUCCGAUUGAUAUUUUGGGUAAAAUUAUAAAGAUCAUAUCGAUCGACUUAGCAAUUAAUUAUGUCAAUUGGAUUGGGCCUAGUUAAUUAAACAACAUAAUUUUGUAGUUCUGCCCGGUCUAAUAGUCUUGGCCAAUUUUCAUCAUUUUACCUAGGCGAACCAUUUCAAACACGAGGUAAGAUUAUUCUGAUCCUAGCCAAACGCUCAUCCUCUAUCAUUUGUCCGUUGAUUUGAUCGCCGAAGUGUAAACGACCGUUGGACUUUUUUCUCUAUCGAAGAACUUUGCCUUCUAAUUGUGUGUUCUAGCGUGCAGGGAAAGUGAUCGAGAUUCUGCAGGUUGCGUGUUCGUCAAAUUCUGAGGUCUAUAGAUUAGCGUUGUUUGCGAAAAAUGGUUACAAUUAACCACGAGGAAAACUAGUGAGAAAAAGCCGAUCAAACAUUCCACUAUAGGAAGAAAAUGCAACUGGAAGCAUCUGAAAUUUUUCUGAGGCAAAAGAAAUUUUUCGAUGAAUGGUUGAAGAUACCUGCCAUGAAAAUGGUAGCUGAUCGAUUGAAACCCACAAGUGGGAUCGUUGACAAGUAAUACGUGAUGAGUUGAAUUAUUGUUUCACGAGAAGUUAAUUCUAAUUCAAGUGUACUAGUUAUCUAUAAAAUUCGAAUUAUUGUAACACAAAAGAAAUUUGUUGCAAUUAGUCAGAAUUAUUCUAUGAUGGAUGUAAAAACUUUGGUUUGUAAGCUUAUGUGAGAUGAGUGUAUUGGAUUUAAAAUCCACAUAUUAUUAUCCAUUUCCAAUUCUCAAUUAUGUAAUUUAGUAUUAAUCAUGCAUUCACAAUAAUCCAUAGCCCUAUUAUAUUUAACUUUUUUUCAAGAUAAGUUAACUACAUUCUAUGCAAGACUUGAUCCUAUUCCCAAUUUGAGGUUAUAUGCAAAGAAAUGCAUUCAAUGACAUGAUUAUCAACCAGAUUAAGACACCAAAUUUUAUUCCUAAUUAUUUUUUUAUCAUUGUUUUGAUCAUGUAGUGUUCUAAAUUUAUUGUAAAUCUUUUAGUACUACAACAAGCAACUAAUUAUCUAAAUGUGGUGUAAGCAUUUAAAUAAUGCAACGAGCAUGGGAGAUUAAUCAAGAAACACAAUAAUGAACUAAAAUAUUUGUCUUUGAAUUGAAAAUAAAUAAACAAAUGAUUUAUCUUCAUCCAAUACAUGUGAGAAUUUAACCAACAUAUCAUGAACAAGUAUGAUCUUCGAUAGUUGUUUUGUAGUCCGAAUCAACUAUUGAAUAUUUGCAAUUUGUUGCUUGAACUUUUGAUUUCUUCUUUUUUGCCCAUUUCUUGUUUCUUUCUUCCACCAUUUUGCAUCGAAUUUUACCUAACAAAUAAGAUUAACAUGAAAUUAAACUAUAAUUCAUCAAAUUUAAUGAAAAAUAUUCUAAUUUAACAGCAUAGAUAAAUGUACAAAUAUACUUAUCAGCUACCACAAGAAAAUCUAGAAAAAAAGUGUUAACAUCCACAAAAAGGGGAAAAACAACAAGAAGAGAGAAAUCAAACUAGGAAAAUGGCUCAGAUUGAUGAAAUCUAACGAGUAAAAUGGCUGUCCAAUAAGUGGGCACUUUGCAACCUGCGAAAGGUACCCUUUUGUAAAUUAUCUCUCAGAUGUUCAUGAUUUCAUCCUUUUGAAACAACAGAUUUAUUCUAUAGCCAUCGAUUUUUUCGCCUUGAGUUCAUGGUCAUAUUUCAAAAGAAUAAGUUUGGGUGUGUAACUCACAAGAGAAAUAAUGUUUUCACUAGUUUUGAUGGAUUUCACUAAUGGAAAGACAACAUUUCAACAAAUAAGAAUUCUUCUGUAUUUUGAAUGCUUCAAUCUUUAAGAUUCAACUAGACUAAUAAUUUCUUAUCAAAAGUUUAAUUCUUUCAAACAAAUUUUCGAGACUUAAUCAAUGUAUGUAGUGUAUCUUUUGUUUUAUGCACUUGGUUUUUCAUAUUUGUUGUGCUUAUUCUAUUUCAUAUGCUAGCUUGAUCCCACUUUGAGUUUAUGUUUUGAAGAUUUCAAUAAAUGUCCUCAUUGAGAUCCUUUAUAGGAUAGCUUCAUUCAUGAGUCAUGUAUUAAACACUCAUUCUCAAAAAUCAAUCUCUAACUUAGGACUUUCAUCUAAUUCUCAUCUUAUUGACAUCAGACAUUCGCACAAAAAUUAUCACUCAAGGAAUCCCUAUUUAUCUCAAUGUCUCCAUACAAUAAUUCAAUCACCCAUAUGAUCCGCUAUGAUACAUGAUAGGCUCUUUGUAUGUUAUAUUUUGGAGAAAUUUGACUUGCUAUAAGUUUCUUUAUCGUCGUGAGCAUUUUAAGGGACAAUGGGCCCCAUUUUAUUUUAUAUAUGUGAGUAGAGAUAUUGUAUUAUAUCAGGUAGGCGUAGUUCGUAUUAUAGAUGAGAUGCUGUUGAAAUUUUGGUAAAUCAUAAUGUAGUAUUGUAGAGGCAAUUCUUAAGCCACCCCAAUUAUUGGAUUUGCUCAUUUUCAGAGGUUAUCUAUAAGCCUUCAUAUUUUGGAGAAUAUUGCAACUCUUCAUGUGUUCACAACAACUCAUAUUUUUUAUGCAAUUUGUUAGCCUUCAUAGUUGACAACUUAUAUUUCAAAGUUUAACCCGUACUUGAAUGUGCGACUCAAACUUGGGGACCAUUUUCUAUAAGUGGCCACGUGAUGGAGAUGUCCCACAUUGGCCGAAUCAACAAUUAUUAUGUCCAAUGGACAUGGCCUAUUUAAUUGAACAUCAUGUCCUUGUACUUACUCGCAAUUCAAUAUUCCAUCUUUGCCCAUUUUCUUCCCUUAUAUAGGUGAGCUCAUUUCUCACACAAGGUAAGGUUAUUCCAACCUUAGCCAAAUCCUCUUCUCCCAUCUCUUCCACUCAUUCUCUUUCAUUCAAUCAUUGACUUGAGCAUCAGAGUAUAGAUGGUUAUCGAACAUUUUCUCGAUCACUGACCUUUGCCUCUUUAUCAUGUGUUCCAGCAUAUAGGUGGUACCUCUAUGGAGGGGAGGUAGUGGGGAUUUUAUCAGCCAUGUAUCGGUUGGAUUUUGAGGUUAACAUUAUUUUUUGAAUGUAGAAUCAUGUGUUUCCCAAUUGAUAUCUCUUUCCCAUUUGCUAAUUUUUGUCAAGUGUGUUGAUUGAGCAUGAGCUCCAAAGAUAUGGCUAUAGCUAGUAGAACAAUCUUUUUUGAAGAUGAGAGCUCUUAUCAAAUGACGUCGUCCUGUUGACUUCAAAGAUCAUCAUGUUACUUGAUCAGGAUCCGAUUGGAAAUCAUCUUUCUUCAUCACAAGCACGUGUUGUAUAUAACUUAUUUCGACUCCAAUUUUACAUUCAACAGUGUAUAGCAAAAACAUGGUUGUUUAAUUGCUUGUCAUUUUUUUAUUUGUUAGGUGUUGAAGUGGUUGAAAGAUUUGCAUAUUGUGGAAUGAAUUUGAAUUGAUAAGCUAUUUGAUACAUCCGUUGGGGACAAUCCACUACUAAAAUGGCAGAGAAUGCAAAGGAAUGAUCGUGUUUCUUUUGUCGGUAUUGGCUAAUUUUGUGGAUGACUCCGUUCUUGGUCGCAACUGGACUAUCUAUUAUCAUAGCGCUGGACUCUAUAUUGUGGUCAGUCAAAAAAGCUCACGUCAAUGCCUCAGGGGUAUAAUUAUUUGCUAAAUAUAUAAUUUUUGUUGACCUCGUGAAUUUGAACUUCCACGUGGCCAAUCGAGGGUCACUCCACAUGUUCCUCCUUGCACACAGUAGCCAAUGGAUAGAUGCACACGACCUAAACCAGCGGGGUGAUGACGGGCGCAUACACUCUGAUGGUUAAGUCAGUGGACAGUAAUCGGAACGGUGCCAGAAUUGUGUAAGAGUGGGGAGGGCAAAAUAUUGUACUUUUUUAUGGAGUGCCAAGUACAUUAGAGAGAGUUUUAUUACUUUUGGCUCUUGCCAAAUCUUUGGUAUUUAUAGGUGAGGAGUAUCGUUGGAUGUGAGACACAUGUAUGCAUCUGAUGGUGUGAGGCGUCUACUCAUAGGCGUCAAUCAGCUGCAUCUAGAAGGGACGGGUAAUUAAUUCUUCUGAGUUAUGAUUUGACAUAAAGUUGAGAUGCCACAUCAAUUAAUCCAUGAGGAUAAAACAGGAUCCUGACACAAAGAUACAUAUCUGAAACUGACGACGGAGAGGCCUCUGUUGCAAAGUGCCUCGACACUCUUCACACUUCAGUAGGGGACGCUUCGACAAUUACUUCGGUGAUGCUUCUGCCUCACAGCAUGUUAGUCUUGAGGUUCGGAUAAGUCUAGUAUCACUUUGGAAUCAUCUCAGAUCACUUCGGAACCACCUCGACUGGACACAUGGUACCUCGUUGGAGAGUAGGCAUGACGUGCCGAGGUGGAUUAGUGAGGGGCGUAACAGUGGUUCCUCCAAGUUCAUGGAUGAAUAUUUAUAUCAUUUGUGGAUUUUUUUGACUAGUUGUGUAUGCUUGCCGUUUUGAGUGUAGGUUUUUACCGUAUCUAUCGAAGUGCUGACCCACAAGGGAUGACGUGGGGAGUUGGGCAAAAGCUUUGUAAGCCGAUAUGCAUUUUUUGAACGAGGCGAUAGGAUAGGGGGUAUUAUCGGUUAGUAGUUUGUUGCUUUGUAAAGGAAGUUCAUCUUCGAGCGAUGCAUAUGAGCGUUUUGAAGCUGGUUGCUGAGGUGCAUCUGCGUCUGAAGCACUGACCUGCAGGGGGCAACAAUUGGGAGAUGGCCCGAAGCUUUGUAAAGCUUUCGUAACGCUGCGAUCGAGGUUAUGACUCAGGAGACUCCGCAUCAGGAGGGUUGAAGCUUUGUAAAGCUGAUGGACGAGUUCAUCUGUGAUCGAUGCGCUAACUCAUAGGGGACUACACUUUGGAGAUGGCUUGAAGCUUUGUAAAGCUGAUGGAAGUGCUCAUCUGCGAUCGGUGCACUAACCGACAGGAGACGAUGCUUAGGAGAUGGUCUGAAGCUUUGUAAAGCUUUUACAACACUACAACUGAGGUGAUGACCUAUAGGAGACUCCGUGUCGGGAGGGUUGAAGUUUUAUAAAGUUGGGGAGUCACAAUCCGAAGUGUGUAGUUUGUGAUCUUGAAUGAUGUAAUAGUCGCGUAUUUUCAAGGAGAAAGUUGGAUGUGAUGCCUAUUCAUAGAAAAGGCUGCUGCGGCUAAUUAUAGCAAACGUUUGUUGAAGUUUGAGGUGACGUGUUCGAUGCUUGCUCGAGAGUCACAGCUAGAUCUUAGACGUUGAUCAAAUCUAGCAUUAUGUUGGUCUAGAUUUGUGAUGCGAUCAAUGUCCCAAAUUGAUAGGACUUGAAUUCAACGGUGUAGAUUAUCAUAGGCCUCUUAUAAAUGGCUAAUUUCUUGCCAUUCGAAGGUUUUUACCUUGGCAAAAUCUGAAACUUUUUUGCUCUCAAGCUUUUUUAACAUCCGAUAAUCUCUCUACGUUCUUUGGAGUUUUUCGAUGACGAUCAGCUAGCCUUGUGACAUUUUCGACCGUAAGACAUCAUUUUCAGUGAGUUUUUAUAAGUAUUCACAAAGUUUUUUACCUUCUUCUUCGAGAGAAAUGGCUUUUGAGGAUAGUGGGUCUUCCGGGAGGGAUUUGGAAAUUGUUAGGGUAGACAACCCGACGUUCGCUACUUCGACUGAGCAGUCCGAAGUGAUACUGGGGAGGAAACAUUUGGAAAUGACAAAAUAGCCCCGUGGACACUUCUAUGCAUUGGGGGCAUUUGAUUACCCCUCAAAAUUGAAAUCAUUCGACUUGGUUUGGCUUAAGGCGGAGUAUAGAGUACCAGAUAGUAUAGGUCUAAUCUAUAUCGGAUCCAGAUGAGCGAGCUUAUUACCUUAGGCCGAAAUGCAAGGCAAUAAGUGCGGUCAUUCUUAGGGCAGGGCUUAGGUUACCUUUCCACCUAUUCUUUCAAUACGUCCUUAAGUUUUAUGGCCUAGCCCCCACACAACUCAACACAAACUCAUGGAGUCAGAUGGUGGGAUCAUAGAUGUCGUAGAAGGAGGCUUUGUAUGGGGUGGAGAUACCUUUUUCUGUUUUCCAAAACAUGUACAUUCCUAAGGUGGCUAUGGGGGAUGACAAGACGAGUGGGUGAUACUAUUUGACAUCUUGGGAGGCUUACGCUCCAUUCAUGCUCGAUUUGCCGAGCUCCAUCGAAGAAUGAAAGAGUUUAUAGUUCUGGGCUUCUGGAAGAUGGGACACGAUAGAGGGAGACCCCCUGGCACCUCUAACAGUUCCCACCAAAUAUUCCACAUUUAGCGAGUACUAAUACUUUGGUUUGUUGCAUAUUUCUUUGGCUGGCAUACUUAAAGCUCAUAUUCUGGUAAAGGUGCCCUUUCUCAGUGCGAACUAUCCACAGAGGAGUUCGACACUAUCUACAUCAUCUAUCAGCUGCCAGCUAAGAGCCGGUCUUACCAAGAGUUGACAAGGAAAAAUAUACACUUCUUCAAUCAAGGCCUGAUGUCUUCACAAGGUAGACUAUCUGAACUGGUCAUAUUUAUUUUGAGUCCUUUAUACUUGGGCUACCCCAAAGGUGCAUUUCAGCAUUUUUUGUUUCCUUAGAAUUUGAAAAGUGUUGUCGAGGUGACUUACAUGAUCCUUUGCCUUGAGGCUUUUCACCAGCAUAUCGUCCACGUAGACUUCCAUGGUUUUGCCAAUGAGGUCAGCAAACAUCAUGUUGACUAGCCUCUGAUAUGUGGUGCCUGCUUCUUUAAUCCAAAGGGCAUCAUCUUAUAGCAGUACAAUCCUCUAUCUGUGAUAAACGAUGUGGCAUCCUCAUUAGAUCGAAACAUGGGCAUUUGAUUAUGCCCUGAAUAGGCAUCCAUGAAGCUUAAAAAUUCAUGUUCGACCGUGGAAUCCACAAGUUGAUCUAUCCUUGGGAGGGGGCUGUUCAAGUUGGUAAAGUCAACGCAUACCCUUCACUUUCCACUGGAUUUCUUUACAAGAACAGGAUUGGAUACCCACUUUGAAAAGAUGGCCUCCUUAAUGAAGCCAUUGUGGGUUAGCUUGUCAACUUCCUCUCUAAGCACCUCAUAUCUUUCUGGAUUGAGGGCUGGCCUCUUCUAUCGAUGUGGUGCGUAGGUGGGGUUGAUGUUUAAGUGGUGAUAGAUGACCUUUGCGUUUAUUCCCACCACAACUUCAUGUCACCAUGCCAAGACGUCCAAGUUCCAUUUCAGGAAGUUCAUUAAUUCCCUUUUGAUCUCAAGAAAUAGAGUUUUUCCUAUUCGCAGGACCUGAGCAGGGUCUUGAGGGUUGGUAGGAAAUGAUUCCAACUCUUUCAUUGGGGUUGCAUUUGGUUCAGAUUCAAUGAUUUGAGGAUCCAGUUCAUCUAAAUGGUGCCCUUCUUUAGGAGCCUCUAUCAUUUCGAUGUCUUUCUCCUGUUUGGAGGUAUGCUCUUGUUCAGGGACGUCGAGCAUUUUCUUGUCUACACAUGCCUCGGUGCUGAGGUCGGUGAUAAUGACAUUUACAGUGCGGGGUUCAUAUUUUCGUAAAGAAUUGAGGUAACAUGCUCUCGAAUCCAUUUGGUUGCCUCAGACUGUUGCUAUUCCAUGUUCAGAUGGAAACUUCAUACACAAGUAGUGAAUCGAGGUGACAGCCCAUAGCUCUUUCAGAACGGGUCGACCUUAUACUCCGUAGUAAGCUGAUCUAUGGUCCACUACUAGAAAUUCCAUGAAGUGGCGUGCCAUUAAGGGAGUUUAUCCCAACUCCACUGCCAAGGUGAUUCGUCCUCGCGGGACGAUGUUGUCGAUAGUGAAUCUGUAUUGUGGGUCAGUCAUGGGAAUCAUACUAUGUUCAAUCUGCAUCUUAUCAAAGUGGAGCUAAAUAGUAUAUUUACCGAGCUUCCAUUGUCAACAAGCAUGCAUUUCAGUUCGUUUCGGCUACUACAACUCUUACCACCAAUGUAUCACAAUGGGGGUAGUGUACGCCUUGCGCAUCGUCUUGGGAGAAGGUAAUUGAUGCCAUUCUAUUAACUUUCUUAGAUUGGUUGACGAUGUAAUUAGUCAUCGGAGGAUCUUUGACCUCUCUUGCAGCAUAGUUCCUUUGUGCGUUUCGAGUGUUGCCUUCGACGUGAAGGCCUCUAAAUAUUGUGUCUAUCUCUUGAAUCGACUCGCCUUCAGCAUGGGGCUUGAUUUCUCGGCCUUGACUCUCCUCGAGUUCUAUUCUCCGCCUCCCUUUUCCGAGGUACAUGGUCCAUCUGACGCCUCAUAUCCCUGUUAGGAGAGGUGGACUGUCUCGAGGAUUGUGGGUUACUUCUCUGUGAGGAUUGCAGAGCGUCUUUACAUUUAUCGGUGUUGUGAUCGUAGAAACGAUGAUAGGUGCAAUAUUUUGCUCCUUCAAGGGCUUAUUCGUUUGUUUCUUCUUGCGUCGAUUUCUGCGAGGCGUCUCCCAGGAUGUCCUUGCUUCAAUAGUUGAAUUUUAAUACGCCAACACUGGGACUAUGUUUAGUAUGGCAGAGGCCAAGGCCAUUCCGGAUGUGGGAGCUACUGAGUGCCCUGCCUGGGCCAUUGUUGGGUUAUGAGGUGCGCUGCUGGUCUUCGACCUACCUACCUCUAAGGCAGAGGGAGUCCCUGAGCUGCGCGGUUUCGAUGGUCGAUCAUCUCUUCAUUGACGAUCUCCACUCUCAUCAUCUCCACCAACUCGUCAUAAAUGCCCAAAUUUUUGCUUCGCACAUCUCCGUAAAACAGAGUGUUCAUGUUGAGGCCUCCUUUCAGAGCUGAAAGAGCCUCCCUGUCUGUAACUUGUUCACAAUAAGUUAUUUUAUCGGUGAACUUGGUGAGGUAGUUUUUAAGUGUUUCUCCAGGAGCCUGCCUCAUGUCCUGCAGGCGUUGUACAGGGGUCUCUCCUUCUCCUCGUGAAAUAUAUUGAUUUAAGAAGACCUUCUUCAAAUUUGGCCAACUCCUAAUGCUCAUAGGUGGUAAUUGACUGUACCAUACUUCGGCAACCCCGACAAGGGUCAGAUGAAAGGCCUUGCAUUUUAAUGUUGAUGAGGCUCCUUUGAGGCUCAUUUGCGUUAUAUAUUUGGUGAGAUGCUUUUGUGUGUCUCUCUUUCUCUCAUACUUGAGAAUUUUAGGGGGCAUGAAGUUCGCUUCAUAACAGUUAGCCAUGCAUCAAAUUAAUUAGAAGUACAAAAAAUAAUUGAUACAACAUCAUUCAAAAUUUAUUAAUUGGAAAGAAUAUGAAAAAUAAUCUUGAAUAUUGUAUCUAUUCAAUUACUUUUUGAUUUUGAUUUUUUUCCCUCUUUUGAUUCUUCUGCUUAUUUUUCAAUCCAAAAAAUCGAUGUAUUAAAAUAAGUUUGAAUGUGUUUUGUAUGAGGUUUCUACAAAACUUUGAACGAGUAUGAGUUUAUAAACCAAAAGUUUCGGCUUUGGCUCUCUUGUAUGAAGGAACUGUAGAUUGGAAACCCUAGGUGCUUAUCUCGCUUGCAUAUAAUUAAUCCUUACAAAUGUAAUCAAUUGUUGGACUAAGAUGCGUAUUUAUAAAGUCAAGAUUAAGUCUUAUUUCGUGUCUAAAAGUGUUAGGAUUUGAAAUUUUAGUCAUCAUAGGAAUGGUGGGUUGCUGACUUUUAAGUCAGGGACUUCCUUGAGAUUGCCCCGUAGUAUUGGGUGUGAACACACAAUCUAACAAAGUUGGGACUGCUAUUGAAAUUUUCAUAGUUGCAAUCGGUAGAGGUCACUAAACUUCCAGUUUUUCUUUUUGGUCCUUAAAACACAAUUUUGGUUUCUUAUCCUCAAAAAUUGCAUGAAAUGUCUUCAAGUUUAGCUCUUCACAAUGUAAUCCUCUACAUAUCUAAAUAAUUAAUUAUCGACCCAAAGCAUGUUACUAAAUUUUACAAUUUAGUCCUCAAACUUUUCAUUUGUUGAAUUUAAUUCUCAAAACUUCUUAUUCACCUUUGAUUUCUCUCUUAAUUCUUCCAAAUGACCAAUUUCAACCUGGUUGAUCUUCAAGCACUUUGAAUCAACUUCACAAUUAUACUCCAAUUUCACCUAUUUUACACUAAUUUCUUCCAAAUUUAGGGAUUUACCUACAAUUAAUAUAAUUCAACAUAAAUAUCCACUCAGUUGAUCAUAAUUAUUAAAUGAAGUCCAUAAUAUGCAGUUAUAACCCCACUUGAGAUAUGUAAUUUAACACAUCUUUUAUUUGUUUCUUUACGUUUUCAACUUAAUAUUUGCAAGAAAUAUAUUGUUAAAAAUCGUGAGAAAGUUAUCAGUUUCCAAUAAAGGGACUCUUGUAGCAUAAAGUUCUAGGCGAAAAGUAAAACUUCUAGGGCCAGCUAGUUGUAGAUGGAGUAUGAGAUAGACAUUUUGUUUGAAUUAAUAUCUCUAGGUGUCAUUUUCUACCAUUUUCAGCUAGAGGAAUAGGAUUGGUACUUGUUACCAUAAAAGUCUUGGAUGUUGAAAAUUUUAAUAUAUUAACUUCAUUUGAUACCAAGAAUUUUGGAGAAAAUUCUAUAUUUCAUUUUUCAAUUUCUUCAAUUCUAAAAAUUACUCUCUUGGUCCCUAAGCUCCUAAUAUAAAAAUUUACCUUAAUUAAAUAAAAACACAUUUAGACUUUAAUUAAAUUAAUCAAAUAAAGCUGACGCAAUAUCUCUUGUAUUGCGUCACCAGCAGGGUUCAAGAUUGAAGAGGCUAGAGGCUUCAAAAUCUAUUUAACAGAUUAACGUAAUUGAAAUUGGUUAUUCACACGUUUUCAAAGAAUGUGAAAUGAAGUUGACACUUGAUUUUUUUGGUGGUUUUUAUAUGUUUCUUUAAUGCUGAUCACGUUACAUUUUGUCCUAGGAAUGCAUGUUGGUUUUCUUUCAUUGUUUUACUCAAAGAUUACAAUUACCUCGUGCCUAAACAAUUACAUACCAAUUAUUGAUUAAGGUUUGACUCGACUAAUUUAUAAAACAUUUGUACGUUGGUAGCCAAACAUCCCAUAAAUUUAUUUAACCUUUUGAGUUCUGAAAGCAAUCAAAAUAGUAUUAGAUCAUGAGCAAACAAAAAUCCUGUAGAGACAAAAAUCGUAGCUUGGGGACCUGGUUGCUAUAUUUUGAAAAGGUUGAGUGUCAAACUUGUAAUUUUCCCUAAAUUUCAAAUUAAUUUUCCGUAAGCCAUUUUUUGACUGGCCUUUGAAGCGAAUCACACCUGCGCAUGCAUAGCUAUAAAAUACUUCGUUGAUGGAGCUUCAUGCAAAACUUUUUGUGUCUGUCUUGAAAUAGACGAACACAAUCCCAUGAAAAUCCAUAUUUAAAGGAAAAAAAAAAUCAAUUCUUUUAAACUUUUUGGGUUACGAGUGUAAUCAGAAUAAUGCCCUGUUUUUCCGAUUGCAGUCUCCUUCAUGUUGACAAAUUUAUGCCAACUGGGGAGGUUAUUGACCUUCAUAUAUUAUAUAUAUAACCGUUUGAAAGAUUUGCCACUUGCGUGUGAAAGUUAGUUGAAGUAGAAGAUCAGUCACAUCAAUUCAAUUGCUUGCUCUGUUCUAAAAUAAAUCGGAAAAUGUAAGAUUUGAAAUUUUAAGCCGCGUUUGACCAAUUAAAGUAAAUUUCAUUUUUGUCUCUCAUAUUUUUAAUCACACAAUUUUUUAUAAAAUAAUAUUAUAUAUAAAUCGAAAAUUUUUCUUUCUUUUUCAACCUCUCAUUUAAAAAAAAUUACUAUUACAUUCAUUUUAAUUUGAAAAAAUGGGAGCCAAACGGGUGCUAUAAGUCAUAAUAGGAAUGUUGGGUUGCUGAAUUUUAACUAAGGGACCGCCUUGAGAUUGCACCGUAGUAUUUGGUGUGAACACAUGAUCUAACAAUGUUGGGAUUGCUAUUGAAAUUUUCAUAGUUGCGAUAGUAGAGGUCAUUGAACUUCUAUUUGCUCAUUUUAUUCCUUAAACAAUAAUUUUGGUUCUUAUCCUCGAAUAUUGCAUGAAAUGCCUUUCGUGAUUCGAUAGGUCUAGGUAAGGUGUACGAAGAAAAAACCUAUUUGACAUUAUUGACAAUGAAACUUACCAAAGAGAUCCGUUUCUUAACUAAUUUUGGCUUGUCCACAAAUGCUGCAUGUAUUCUCUAGAUCUAUUUGAAUUACUCUUUCAAGUUUUUAACCGGUUUCGUGUGGUUAUUUACUAAAAUAACCAUUUGGAAGGGAAUGAUAGAUUGUUAGUGUGGACGAUAUAGAAGAUAUAAUCAAGUUAGGUUCUGCACAAUGUAGAGGAUUAUUGACUAUAAUCAAGUUUAUUUAAGAAUGUAGUCCUCUACAUUCCUAAAUAAUUAACUAUUGACCCGAAGAAAGUUUAGAUUUUUUUUUCAAUUUAGUCCUCAAACUUUUUAUUUGCUGAAUUUAACUCUCGAAACUUGUUACUCACCUUUGAUUGUCCCACUUAAUAUUUCCAAAUGACAAAUUUCAAUCUGGCUAAUCUUCAAGCACUUUGAAUCAACUUCAAUUAUACUCCAGUUUCACCUAUUUCACUCUAAUUUCUCCAAAUUUAGGGUUUACCUACAGUUAAUAUAAUUUAACCUAAUAUUAAGUAAAUAUCCACUCAAUAAAUCAUAAAUAAUUAAAUGAAAAGCCAUAAUAUGCACUUAUCACCCCACUUGAGGAGAUAUGUGAUUUAACACAUCUUUUAUAUGUUUAUUUAGGUUUUCAAUUUAUUAUUUCAAAGAAAUAUAUUGUUAAAAAUUGUGAGAAAUUUAUCAGUGUCCUAUAAAGGGACUUUUGUAGAAUAAAGUUCUAGGCAAAACGUAAAACUUCUAGGUCAGCUAGUUGUAGAUGGAGUAUGAGAUAGAUAAUUUAUUGGAAUUAUAUCUCUAAUUGUCAUUUUCUACCAUUUUCUGCUCGAGGAAUAAGAUUGAUACUUGUUACCAUAAAAGUCAUGGAUGUUGAAAAUUUUAGAAUCCUGCUAUACGUACAGGAAAUUCUUCCUAGGAAUUCAAAAGAAAUGAUGUGGUAUUAUCCUAAUUCAUUUUGUUUUUCAUCUGCCUUAGUUAAAGAAUUGUCAAGUCACAUUUUUAAAAAUCCUGUACGAGUUCUGUGUGAAUUUCCUGUACUUGUAGAAUUAUUGAAAAUUUUGAUAUGUCAAUUUCAUUUGGAUUCUACAAUAAAUACCAAGAAUUUGGAGAAAAUUGUAUAUUUAUUUUUCAAUUUCCUCAAAUUCUAAAAAUUACUCUCUUGGUCCCUAAGCUCCUAACAUAAAAUUUCACCUUAAUUAAAUAAAACAUAUUUAUGCCUUAAUUAAAUUAAUCAAAUAAAGUUCAUGCAAUAUCUCUUGUACUACGUCACCAACAUGGUUUAAGAUUGAAGGGGCUAGAAGCUUCAAAAUCUAUCUAACAGAUUAACAUAAUUGUAAAAUGUUAUUCACACGCAUUCAAAAGAAUGUGAAAUGGAGCUGACAAUUGUUUAUUUUGGUGAUUUUUAAAUGUUUCUCUAAUGCUGAUCACAUUACAUUUUGUCCUAGGAAUGCAUGUUAAUUUUCUUUCUUCGUUUUUGCUAGAAGAUUACUAUUAUCUCGUGCCUAAUUAAUUACAUGCCAAUUAUUGAUAAAUGUUUGACUUGACUAAUUUAUAAACCAUUUAUAAGUUGGUAGCCAAACGUCCCAUGAAUUUAUUUAACCUUUUGAGUUUUGAAAACAAUCAAAAUAGUAUUAGAUCAUUAGCGAACAAAUAAAGAUGCUAUUUUUCUAAAGAUUACGUUUUCUAGUAUGUUUAGAUAUUGAGUUGGGACACGAAAUUAUGAUUGUAAUAUCAAGUGUGAAGUUAUAUCCUUCAAAAAUAAUUGUCAUUUCCCUAAUGCGUGAGAGUUCCACGUCUCAUUAAACGAUUUCUAUCCUGUAGAGACAAAAAUCGUAGCUUGGGGACCUGAUUGCUAUAUUUUGAAAAGGUUGAGUGUCAAAGUUGUAAUUGUCCCUAAAUUUCAAAUUAAUUUUCCAUGCUCCAUUUUUGGCCGAGCUUUCAACCGAAUCACAUCUACGCAUGUAUAGCUAUAAAAUACUCCAUUGAUGGAGCUUCAUGCAAAACUUUUUGUGUCUGUAUUGAAGUAGACGAACACAAUCACAUCAAAAUCCAUAUUUAAAGGAAAAAAAAUCAAAUUUUUAACACUUUUUGUGUUAUGAAUGAAAUCAGAAUAAUGCCAUGUUUUUCCGAUUGCAAUCUCUUUCAUGUUUACAAAUUUAUGCCAACUAUAACUGUUUGAAAGACUAGACAAUUGCGUGUUAAAGUAGAUUGAAGUAGAAGAACAGUCACAUCAAUUCAAUUGCUUGCCCCGUUUUUAAAUAAAUCAGAAAAAUGUAAGUUUCCCUGCUUAAAAUCUACUUGUUGUUGAGCUCUAGAGAUAUGGCCAUGCCCGCCGCCGGAACCCACCUUUUGGAUGCCGAAGCUCUGCUGUUGGACGACGUUGUUCAUGGCUACGUCGACUUCAAAGGCUGCCCUGUUACCCGAUCCCUAUCCGGUGGUUGGAAGUCCUCUUUCUUCAUCAUAGGUUCACUAUAUGUUGCCCCAUUUACCAUUGAAAAGGUUACAGCAUUUUUUGCAGUACUUUAUUUAUAUUUUGGAUUUGUUAGGCGUUGAAGUGGCUGAGAGAUUUGCGUACUGUGGAAUAAGUUCGAAUUUGAUAAGCUAUUUGACGGGUCCGUUGGGCCAAUCCACCGCAACUGCGGCGGAGAAUGUGAAUGCGUGGUCCGGCACGUCUAUGAUUUUGCCACUUUUGGGUGCUUUUGUGGCGGAUUCUUUUCUUGGUCGGUACCGGACCAUCAUCAUUGCCUCUGGGCUCUAUAUCCUGGUCAGUACACGAAUCAUUCACUAAUAUAUAGUUUCUGUUUUGAGCUUUAAAAUUAUGUAACGCCUCUAAUUGCAUUCAGAAUAUCUACCUUGAAACUUGGCUAAUGGAUUGGUAGAUACUUGAAUACCUACCCUUAUAGGCAACUGGGAGUGACUCAUACUGGCCAAAGCAUGCAUUCCCCAAAUUUCCAUUUUGUAUAGUAAAAAAUUUUUCAGAUUGAGAAUAAUAAAAUAUUGAAAUUUGGCGUUGAAGGUUUACAAUACACGUCGUUGAUAUGUAGAAAUAAAUAUCCAAGUUAGGAUGUUGAUGGUAAAAAUUGAAUCAAACAAUUUCAUUGAUGAAACAAUUACAAUCAAAGAUCAAAUAUAAAUGCAAUCAAUAAAUCCUCUCACAUAACUAUGAGUUAUACCUCCUAAAUCCACUAGUCUAGAUUCCUCAACUAGAACCAGAGGAGAAAUAGCUAAUUAAGAGUGAGAUAUUUGAAUUACAUGCCUUCUUCUUCAAUCGUGGGUAUUUAUAUAUUUCCCUCCAGGCAUUGAGGUAGGGAUGGCAAAAAAACCUGGUCAACCUGAUAUUCAUGGGGUCUUGCCCCAUUCCCUCCUAACCGGGUACAUGGGAUGGGUAUGGGCGCAAGAGUCAUUGCCCCGAAGUGGGUAUGGGACGAGUACGGAAAACAUAGUCCCCGGCCCCAUCACCCGUUUGGUUUAAUAUUAAUUUCAAAUUUAAUUUUUUAUCAAACAAAAAUAAUAGAUUUAUCAUCAUUUUUAAAGAGAACAUAAGUUGUUUUUAACAAAUUGGUAAAAAAAUAAUACUAUUUACUAACUAAGGACAUUAAAAAUAAAAAAAUGAAUAGAAAAAAUAAAUGGGGUAGGAGACUUACCCCACCCACCCCGUCCUGCUUUAACUGGGUAUGGGUAUGGGAUAAGAUAAUAAAAAUACCCGACGGGACGGGGGUAAGAAUAGUUGACCCGGACCUGCCCCGUUGCCAUCCUUACAUUGGGGUAGUUUGAUCAUUUUUGCUUUGUGCUAGGUGGAGACUUCUUAUUGGUUGCUUCUUAAUAUAUUUUAAUUAAAAGUCAUCCUUUAUUCACUUUCCCUGUGCCUUUUAUUGACAACCUGUAUGUGGUGAACAAUUUGAAAUUUUUAUGCGAGCCUCUUGUUUCUUGGUUCUCCUCGCGUGUUGCCUUUCACCUUGUGAUGUGAUCCAACGCGCGAAGGCAAGUUAGGGCAAAGAUCCAUUGAUCAUUGAAGAAUUCCAAUGACUCGAUCAUGAGUAAAGAGGGUCAAAGAAGCGAUGAAAUUACUCAUUCAAGCUAUGGUGGACAAGACAUUGUUCAUAGCAAGCAAAGAAGCAAGUUUUAUGUUGGGUUCGGGAAGGAGCUGAAGUUUUAGUAUUAUGCGACUGCAUAGUUUCAUCAUGCAUGCAUGCAGCAGCAUUGCCUCUAACAGAAAAUCCUGUUCACGUAAUGUCAUGAACUAUACGAUCACAUAGUUUAGUAGAUCGCAUAGUUUAGUACUAUGCGGCCACAUAGUAUAUCUUGGAUGCAUGCUUUUUCAAUUUUCUCGAAUUUUCCUAAUUAUGUUAGAACUCUACUUUUUGGUAUCUUUUGUAAUCUUUUAGACUUUUAUUCCUUUUAAACUAGGUUUUAUGGGUUUUCUAUACAUAGGACUCAUUAUUCUACAUUGUAAACAUUCAUUCAUUAAUAUCAAUUGUGAGAUUACUUUUGUGAGCAUAUUAUUGCUUUCAAUUCGUUGUUCUUUACUGAACAAAUCCUGAACUUAUCAAUAAUUAUUUUCUUGUGGCAUUUAAACAAUUGUUGUAAGAUUCUUGAGUCUUGUAAUCAAGGGGUCAAUAUAUUGUUAGUGAUUGUUGGUUACUCGGUUUACUAUUUUUGAAUCAAAUUCAAAUCUUUGAUUUCUUGACUUUUUUGGAUUGUGAUUCAAUCUCGUGUGGGUUUCAUAGCUUCAAUUGCUACAUUAUUUGCAUUAGAGCUUAGGCUCCAAAAAUCGAGGUUAUAUCCUUUCCUUUUUUCUUGAGUCUUUUGUAUUCCCGCUCUUAAUCCAUUCGAGUCUUUAAUCCAUAAAAGUUCCCAAGAAAAUUCAAAAGUUGUAUUUGUGCUCAUUUAGCAUCCAAAUCCAUUUUAAUGUUUCUCUGAUAUUGUAGUCGAAUUUUCAUGUUCAACCCAAAAUUCAAUGACUACUUUCUUGAAUUAAUAGAUCCCAUUCAAAAGUGUCAUAUUCUUUUCCUUCUUUCUUGAGUCUUCUAAAAAUAUAAAUUUCACUCACAUCCUAUUUUGAAUUUUUCGAGAAUAAGACUUGGCUGAGUUCGGAUUAGUUCUUUGAAGCACUUGAGUGAAAGAAUUUAGGAUGUUGAGACUAAUAGAGAGAAAAAUCUAAUUUGAGUGAUACACUAGUGUAUACAUGUGGGGUAUAUGUUACUUUAGAUUUAGGAUGUUUGAUAGGAAGGAUUCUACCUCAAGCAGGAACAACAACCUAGUUGACAUGUCAGAAGAGUUGAUACACUAAUUUGAGAGGUUGUUUGAAUAUGUGAGGGAUAGGUAGGAGGUGUGGAUGGAGAGGCAAGACCCAUUGCUUGCUAAUUUACGCAAGCGAGUUCCUAAUGUAAAGAGGCAAGGUAGGCGGGAGUCUAGGGUAGAGAAUCAUAGUGAUUAUGAAGUAGUGGUAUGGAUGAGUAUGCAAUAGUGGAUGCCUUGUUAGAGAGAAUAAGGGAUAGAUGAGUUAGGCAUGAAAGGAGAGAUAGAUAACCUAUUGGAAAUGGAGUUGAUGGGAAUGUGGACAAUUUCAAAAUGAUAAUUUUGUCAUUCAAAGGAAGGAGUGAUUUGAAAUUGUACUUGGAAUGGAAAAAGAAAAUAGAAUUGAUACUUGAUUGCCACAAUUACUCAAAGGAAAAGAGGAUAAAGAUUGUUGUACUUGAGUUUACUAAUUAUGCUAUUACUUGGUGGGAUCAAGUAGUGACAUCUAGGAGGAAUUGUGAAAGGCCAAUUAAUAAAUCGGAAAAAUUGAAGGCUAUCAUGAGGAAGAGGUUCGUGCCUAGUCAUUACUAUAUGGAGCUUCAUCAAAAAUUACAAAGCUUCUACAAGGACCUAGGAGUGUGGAAGACAAUCAUAAAGAGAUUGAGAUAAUGAAGAUUAAAGUGAAUGUUGAGGAAGAUAGGGAGGCCACUAUGGCAGAUUUUUUGAAUGGUUUGGAUCGGGAAAUAGCUAAUGUGGUGGAGUUGCAACAUUAUGUGGAGUUGGACGAUAUGCUACAUGUGGCUAUGAAGGUAGAGAGGCAACUAAAAAGGAAGGGGUCAGUUAGGUAUCCAUCGGGUUCUAAUUCUUCUUUGAAAUUGAUGUGGGAUAACAACAAGGGAGAUAAAGCUGUUUCAAAGAGCAAAGCUGAACUACCAAAGGAGAAAGAGGAAAGUGCUAGAAGGUCACAUCCAAAGUGGACUCAUAGCCAUCUAGGAGUCUAGACAUCAAAUGUUUUAGGUGUUUGAGACGAAACACUUUGCUUUUCAAUGUCUGAACAAAAGGGUAUUGAUUUUGAGAGACAAAGGAGAAGUGGUAAGCGAUAGUGAAGAGGACUAUGAUGACAUGUCGAAAUUGGAAGAGCCUAGUGAUGAAGAAAAGGUGGAGUAUGCAAUGGGUGAACUCUUAGUUACGAAAAAGCUCUUAGUACACAAAUCAAGGCAGAUGACUUGGAGCAACAAAGAGAGAACAUAUUCCAUACAAGGUGCCACAUCAACAACAAGGUAUGUAGCAUGAUUAUAGAUGGGAGUAGUUGUAUUAGUGUGGCUUGCACUACACUUGUUGAAAAAUUUGGUUAACCAUGUUAAAACAUCUUAAACCUUACUGUCUGCAAUGGUUGAAUGAAUGGGGAAAGAUUAAGGUGAAUAAAAGGGUGCUGGUGAGCUUUUCGAUUGUUAGCUAUCAAGAUGAAAUAAUGUGUGACGUAGUUCUUAUGCAUGUCGGGCACAUUUUUGUUGGGUAGACUAUGGCAAUAUUUUAUGAGUGUAAGGGGAGAACUUCUUUCAAUUUACAAUUUGGUAAAGACAGGGACUAUCACUUACCCCCAAAAUGGGUAUCAUUAUUUUACUUCUUACUCCUCCAAGAUGUGUCCAAAGCUCAUAACAAUUUCCAACAAAGUUCACGAUUGAAAGGAAGGACUUUUCUUUGCCCAUGAAAACUAUAUGCUGCAUCCUAAUGAUCCUUAUCCCGAUGUGGUUUUGUCUUGCUAUGAGUGUUUUUACCCUUUUCGUGGUUUGCCAUUAUGCUACUAUUAUUAUAUAUUGAAUUAUGUUCGUGCAAAAAAAAUGUUGACUCCUUUUCAAGUUCAAGCCAAUAGGGAACUUCACCUUUUAGCAAUACAUAUUCUCGAUUUAAACUCCGAAUCUUGUGAAGUCAGGGAGAGACUAAGCUUCUCUAAUCCCACAUUUUAAGAUAACGGACUUCAAUUUAUUCCGAAUAAGUCAAUAUUUUCACUUCUUUGUUUAAAAAGUCUCUUCUUUUUGGGAAGUGCUUAAUUUGUUCCCAGCAUUCCCAAUCACAGUCUUUUACUACUAGAACUUUAGGAACUUUGCCUAUGAAUUUUGCAUCUCCUCCUUUUUUGGGUCUGGCCAAUAAUCCUAGAAAAAGGAAAACUCCAAGUGGGUCUAUGCUCAUUUUCGAUCCAAAGCUUCUACUCACCCGGGGUCCUACCCCAUGUUUGAAGUCUUUGUUCAUUCAACACUACGAGGUUCACUAGAUGCGGGUGAUCUAUCUUUAUUUCCAUCCCUUGUUUAUCACACGGUGAAGGUUGUUUUUGUCUAUUUCAACCUAUCUUGGGAGAGGCUGGUGGAAGAACUUAAUCUUACAGGGAGGAAAGAUGAUUGACAUCAGUUGUCAACGAGCUACAAUCUUAUCUCAAUAUCAGCAAUCUGAUUAUGAAUCUUGCACACCAAAGUUAGCUCUUUGGUGAAGAAGUAUAACUCUCUCUAGAUGAAGUUGAAGGAGGUUGGCGACAAGAGGGAUGGAUUCAAGGAGAUGAGUAAGCGUGUCGAAGCUUUUGAAGUGAAGAAGGUUUCUUUGGCGCCUGAUGCCAAGAAGAUCUACUCAGAUUUAAAUUCGACGAAUAGGAAUACGCAACCUAUGUUAUCAAGAUCGAGCGUGAUGCUUCGUGUCUUAAAGAUAAGUUCCACAAGACUAAGUCCAAGCAUGAAGCCGCGUUUAGGGAACUAAGGGUCCGUUUGAUUGUAAAAAUGAAAUUUGGGUAGAAAGAAAAUGAAUUUCAAGGAAUUAAAUUGCCUAGAACUUGUUUUAUCGGGAAUUGUCAAUUAAAUGUAUUUGAUUGGUAUAAUUUUUCACCUGAAAAAUGUUAAAAUUUUGAAUGUUUUGGUGUUUGUUUGGCUUUGUUUUUCUUGAAAAUUGUCAAUCAAAUAGAUAGAGUUUUUUACAAUUGUGGAUGGAAUUUGUUUUCAUUGUGCAAAAAAAAAAAAAAACUAAAAUAAAAACAAUAACAAUAAUAAAAAAAUUAAAAAAAGGUGGAAAACUAAUUCUCACCAUUUUUGUAAGAAUUGAUUUUCCACAUGAUGGAAAAUGCAUCAAGUGAGGUGGAAAAUGGAAAAACAAUUGUCUAGAAAAUUUUACACAUCAAACACUACCAAAAGGUGGAAAAUGGAAAAAAUUUUCCAUGGAAAAUGUACCAUAUCAAACAGUGCCUAAAUGAUUAAGGAAUGAGAUUGAUGCUGUUCGUGAUAAACUGAGAAAUGUUGAGACGAAGCUAGUUUACGGAGUCUAGUCUUUUUGAAUUGACUGCUCGUAAGGUGAAAUUAGUUGAGGAUGCUAUGCAAGAUGGGAAAAAUAAGUGCUCAACAUUAUUAGAGACUUUCAUCACGAACAGAUUCUGAAUUUUUUGGGAGCUCCUGAUGAUAAUGUCAAAAACAUCCCCUCUUCUGAGGUUCGUCUACUGGCUACUAAGGCUUUUGACAUUCCAUUCAUUCCUGCUGUUCUUUCCUAACUUAACUCUCUGACUAUCCUCCAAAGCGGGAAUGCAACUAUUAAUGAGCCUGUUGACUCUCAAUCACUCAUUUUUUUUCCCAACAGGUAUCUAGUUCAGGGAAGAAUACUAUAGCGAAAGAUGAGGACUUGGCAUCAGGUUGGAGGUUAUUAGUUAUUCAUUUAAAUCCAAAUCUUACUAGUUAGCAGUUUGAUUGCCAUUUUAAGACUUGACAUUCUGAUUGUUCUCUUCCUGCUUCUACAAAAGUGAGUAUGCCCUCAAGGGGGCCAAGUUCAAGUCAAACAGGAGGAUCAUUUUUCCGAGAAUCUAUAGUCCUUGGUUAAUUAAAAUAGCUUGUUUUGUCUCAUUAUGACAGUGAAGUUUCAUUCCUUGUUCAUAUAAAGCUGCUUUUUUAUGGCAAUUUUAUUGAUAAAAUAUUAUUGUCUUAUGUUCUAUGAAAUGUCCAUUUGACGCUUUUUUCGUCUGCAUUGUUUUUCUUUUGUUACUUUUCAAUGUUUUUUGCAUAGAAGUAUUUACAAUAAGUUCACAUCAACAUCAGGAUCCAUUGUUCUUGUGCUGAUUUCUCAUUUCAACUAUGCAAAUUUCUAAAUGAAACCUUAUUAAAUCAUCGUAUCAACAUUAGGGGCUCGAAUUACUUUUCUUUAUCCAGCCAUGGUUUUUCAUAUAUGUGUAUUUUGUGCACUAUUAUAUUGAUGUCAUGACAUUUAAAAGUAAAUGGCUGUGGCCUCAUCCCUAUUUUGAUAAUGAUUUCCUUUACGGGUGGAAUCAAUCCCUUUGCUUCUUGGCAGAAUAGGCCUCGCGGCCCUCGCUUGAGUUGGAAUUUCUUUGGCUAAAUAUACCUCGACAUUGAGCUAGAAAUGAUUGUCAUUUUUCGAUGGGAUUGGCCUCGCCUUUUAUCAUCAAUUCUCCUUUUUGUGACUUCAUCGCAAGGGCAAUAUUUCUAGUUUUAUUUUCAUUGCUCGUGCUUCAUCUAGUACUUGCUAAGUUAUUUUUACUGAUGGGUAGGUUUUUCACCCUUCCCUUCACAACAUCGGAUUCUUGAUUUCCUAAACAAUGAUUUUUAGAUAUGUAUUGCUCUUUCUUUCACAAUUAUUCUUGUUUAAGAUACUUGGUUUCUAAGGAACCCAAUUCUUUAUUUUGUCAACAUCGUUUAUGAUGUUCAACCAAAAGUGUAUUGGGGUUUUCCACCCUGCAUUGGAUCAAUUUUAGAUGGGAUGUUAGAGGAUUUAUUUGCUAAAGAUAACUAAAGCCAUCAUUUAUUCUUCAGCCAGUGUCGUGUUGAGAAACAUUUGUUUCCCUACAUAUUUACCUAAUAUAAUUGACAGAGUUACAGUUCUUAGGGUUACCUUAGAUCCAGAAAUCUUUAAUCACGUGCAUGAUGGGUACCUAUUGAGUUUGUAUCAUGCGUGCUUUCUCUAUCUUCUCCCGUAUAUGGGGUUUUAAUUAUGAUAUUGAUUUCUCUUUGUUAAGGUUGGGCGUUCGUAGCCCUAGCCAGCGUGUGAUGAUAUUGGCCUCUUGGUGUGAAAGUCGCACAUCUUUGCUCAUUCCGUUUCUUGGCUUUUUUUAACACCUUGUAUACAACAUUCAUUCAUAUCAUGACCGUCAGAACAUGAAUAUUGUAGAAUUUUGAUCUGUCUGUUGGGAGAUAGGUUGGCUUCGACGACAUCGUGUAAGGAGGUACGACAAUAGUGCACAUCGGCUUAUUGGUUUCUUUGGAGCUAUAGCAUUGUGAUCUAGACAUUUUAGAUGCAUAUUUUGUUGUUUAUUUUUUACUCUCCUCAAUGGGAUUUUGUUCUAUUCCCUUUGAUUUUGUAUCCUCCAUUGAUUUUCCAAUAUGUCUUCUACCUGGAUCUUGCUAAAUAUAAGGUCUAUUAGUCUGGAAAAAGAGAAUGGCUACCUUUUGGGGGUCGCAUUCCGGAAAGAAGUGCCUGGCCGUAGGCCAUUUCAUAGUAUUUCCUUCGCUUCUUCACGGGGCUCAAUCUCACUUGCUACUAUCUCGUAUUUAAAUUGUGUAAAAUUUUUGAUAGAUUCUCCUUCCUUCUACAUGAUGCUACUUAAGUUUAGAACUGCUUAUAUCAUUUUGAGAUUCGUUUGUUGAUGAGGAAAUCGACCACUGGUUGAAUCUGCUAGUAACUGAUACAUCACAUUCUCCAUUGUGGAUUGGCCUUUUGUGUGAAUUGCUAUCAUCAAAAUUGUUAUAAUUCCUCGUCCUCUGAUUAUUCCACUAGUUAAGCCUCCAAUCGUGACAGCUUUCCUAAUUCAUUGAUCCGUUUACUGAGGAUUUACUAUUAUGCAAUUUUUUCCACUUUCCUAUCAGAGCAGCGCCAUAAGCUUAUGAUACCCACAAUCGAUGAUUUCUUUUGGGGAAAAAUUUAGCAUCAUGUGCUAUUUUUCCUCGAUUUUCUUUUUGUUUCCAGUUAAUUUUUGGCCUAUCAUUUUUCCUCCAAUGUCUUCAGCUUUUCUGCCAUUUCACGGAUUGCUUUUGCAGUGGGCACUUCUUUUCCUUGAAGAUAGUAUUGGAUUGGGAAAAUUUCGGCUUGGGAUCUUGCAGGCAUCUCCUCCCAUUUCUCUAUGGAUUUAUCUCACUUUUGAUAAAAUCAUUGAUGGAUUCUUUUGUUCUGACUUUUAGUGAUUCGAAUAUAUCUGGAUCUGCUUCUACUCCAUUCAUUCUUCCAGAUCCUUAAGGCUUCUAAACUUUAGCAGACAUACUUGUUGUUUACUUUGCUCGAGUUUCCUACAGAAUACGCCAAUUUGUUGAUGGUAAAAAUUAGAUCAAAUGAUUUUAUUAGUGAAACAAUUACAAUCGAAGACCAAAUGUAAAUACAAUCAAUAAAUUCUCUUACCCAACUAUGAGUUUCACCGUCUAAAUUCACUCGUCUAGAUGCUUCAACUAGAACAAGAGAAGAAAUAGCCAUUUGAGAUGGAGAUAUUUGAAUUUCAUGAAGUUCUUCAAUCAUGGGGUAUUUAUAAAUUUUCCUCCAGGCAUUGAGGUAGUUCAGUCAUUUUUGCAUUGUUCCAAGUUGUGAUUUCUUAUUGGUUGCCUCUUAAUUGAUCUUAGUUAAGAGCAUGUUUUAUUCACUUACCAUGCAUUCCUUAUUGACAGCCUUCAACCAGCCUUAUGUGACACCCGAGUUCUAAAGCCUGAUGGCCAUAAAUAUAAAUAAACAACCAAGAUAAUACUUAAAAGAAAUAAUUAAUAAAAGUUGAUUCCAUGAAUUAAGAUUACAAAAACUACGAUAUUUACUUAUUUAAAAAACCAACUUAUUCAAAAUACUUAAAAUUUCAAAUUUAUUUCCUCCACUACGGCCAAAUCUCUUUGUUGCCUAAUUUCUAAAAGUAAGGAAACAUAAUGGUGAGAGUAAGCAUGCGCGUUUUCAUGAAUAUUAAUCAUAUUACUCUUGGAAUCAUAAAACUUGCAUAAAAUGGACACAAAAACUAUACCUAAUUUAGAUGGUAUGAGUUUAUGUGCGUAAUGUUACUAGAACUCUGGUCCGAGGCUCAGAACAUACAUAUAGACCCACAAACACAUUUUCCAAAAGCAAAGCAUAAUAAGUGCAUAAAUAUGUACUGUCGUAUAGAAGAAGAUAAAGGUAAAUUGAGAAAAUUACCUUGUUAGACUUUCCCUCCAAAAUUCCUUGAACACCGUGCAUGCUAAACUUUGUAGUGUGAAAAUAUGUACGUGGAAGAGGGUCGAGAGGAAGAGAGACAUAAAGUACAAGAUAAAUUGUGAGAGAGUAUAAAUGAUGAGACGGCAAUAUAAAUAGGGGUUUCUAAGGUUUGACCACUUUAUCUAUUUUUGGUAAUAACCUUCGUUCCUUUAUUAAUGCCACACAUUUUUUUUUCCACGUGGAAUGUAAUUAGUCACUCAACUAAUUGCCCAAUUAAAUACAUUAAUAAACAUAUAAUUGCUAUUGAUAAGAUAUUUCCAUAUAAUUAAACAUUUGAUUUAAUUAUGCCAAAUUAAAUAUUCUAGCAUGCCAUAUGAAAUACGAGAUUGCUAAUUGCACAUGCAUAAGUGAUGUUUCUAAUUUUAAUAAAUGAAAGUUUCUCUAAUUAUAAUAAUUAACCAAUUAAUUAGGUUAUUUGUCAUGCAAUAUUUAAAUCAAAUCAUGCAACCACAUUACUAAGAUUUAGCCAUGGAAAAUUCUGCACGUGUAAAAGAAAUUGCUUUAUGUCCUAAACUAUUUUCAUCAUUUAGUUGGGACCCAAACUAAAAAACUUAUUUCUAGCCCCUAAAUUCAAUUUUGAUGACUAACUAAGUUGUUUUCGGAUGUUAAAAUCCACCCACUUAAAAACAUUUGGUCCUCAACGAAUUACCUCAAUUGUUGUCGCAACAAAAAAAGUUGGGGGUACUUGAUCACAUUUCCUCUUCUCGUUUCCUAGUGGCCUUCUCUAUUGAAUAAUGUUGCCGUAACACUUGAAUUAGUAGUAUCUCUUUGUUGUGAAGCUUCUGUACUUCUUAAGCUAUGAUGCAUACCGGUGCUUCUUUGUAACUCAAAUUCAAUUGAAUAUCCGAUGGUUGAUAUCUCACCAUAUGAGUUGGGCCAGGAACAUACUUUCUAAGCAUUGAUACAUGGAAAACAUCGGGUACCGCUAAAAAAUCUUGUGGCAAAGCUAAUUGGUAAGCAACAUUUCCAAUCGUCUUAAAAUUUCGAAAGGACUAAUGUAUUUUGGUUUGAGCUUACCAUUCUUACCAAACCGCAGUUCUCUUUUCAUUGGCUUAACCUUUAAAAGUACCGUAUCUCCUAUUGAAAAUUCCAAGUCCUUUAUCCUUUCUAUUAGCAUAAUUUUUCUAUCUAUCUUGAGCCUUCUUUAUGCUAACCCUGAUCUUUUCAAUUACUUGUAAUGUUUGCUCCACAAUUUUUGAGCCCAAGAUCUUACGUUUGCCAACCUCAUCAUAAUGAAUCGGUGAUCUAUAUUUUCUCCCAUACAAAGCCUCAUAGGGCUCCAUGCUAAUGGAGGCUUGCGGCUAUUGUUGUAUGCAAACUUAAUUAAAGGUAGAUGCAUCUCUCAAUGCCAACCAAACUCUAGGACACACAAUCGAAGCAUAUCCUCUGAUGUUUGAAUUAUCCAUUUAGACUGUCAUUCCUUCUGAAGGUAAAAAGCAUUACUAAAGCUCAAAUUAGUGCCCGUAGCCCGAUAUAAGCUCUUCUAAAAGUUCAAAGUCUUUGUUAUAAUUGAAACUGGGACACCAUGCAACCUCACUAUUUCUUUUACAUAUAAUUGUGUAAGUUGGUCCAUAGAAAAUUUCAUAUGAACAUGUAAGAAAUGAGCUCAAUUGGUUAAUUGGACAACAAUCGCCCAAAUAACCACGUCCUUUUACUAAUUUUGAAAAACCUACAAUAAAGUCUACGUCACAUGUUCCAAUUUCCAUUUGGGCACGACUGUGGCAACCUUGAUGGUCACUGAUGUUUGACUUUCACAUAUUGACAUAUUAGGCACUUCUCUACAUAUUUAGCUAUAUCAUCCUUCAUAUUUUUCCACCAAAACAUAGCUUUUAAGUCACGAUACAUCUUUUUACCUCCGAAAUGUACAUAAUAAAGGAGUAAAGUCAGCUUCCUCCAAGAUUUCAAUUUUCAAUUCCUCGAAAUCUAUGUGUCCUUGAUAAUAAAGUAUUGUAUAAUUGGCUAUGGUGAAAUCUUUCUUCUUCUAGUUUUGAAAAACUCAAAAGAUUGAUCCCUUUUGGAUGAUUCUUAAUUCAAUUACGAAAAGUUGGUCGAAUUGAAAGCGCUGCAAUUUGAACAAUUGAAUUAAUGGGAGUAGCUUUCACUUUGAGAUUUAAUCUCUCAAAUUUUCUCUAUGAAGGCCAUUAUGCUGUCAGCUUUACCACUUGUCCCAUUGUCUUUCUACUCGAGACAUCGGCUACGAUGUUCGCCUUACUUUGAUGGUAAUAGAUUUCACAAUCGUAAUUUUUUACUAGUUGAAGUCAUCUCCUCUAUCGAAGUUGCUGAGCAAACUGUGGAUCAUUACCGUUAGGUUGGGGUUACUGAGACUUUGGGGAUUCUUUGCCAUUGUUAUUUGCUCUUUUUCCUCCGAAUGACAUAGCCUUAAAAAGCAAUAUUACAAUAAGUAAAGAUGAAAUGAGGGAAAAGAUUUGCAUAUUUUAUUCGUAGAAUCUUAAUAAUUUCAUAAAAGUACAGAGGGCAUUUUCUCUGUCCAAGCAAAAUUGAAAAUCUACUAGAUAAAAGGAUUGCAAGGUAUAACAAGCAUCCAAACAAACAUAAGAAAUUGUAUGCUAAGAAUCUAAACAUAAAACUAUAGUAGUAGUUUUUCCCAGUGCUCUUAUCUUUGUUCAGUUCUGGGACUUUUAAAGGGUAUUCUUUCUUAUCUAGGUUUCCGAGCACAUACUUUAUUAUGUUACCCUCAUUGCCCACCUCUGAUAUUUACUUAUGAUAGCUCCCAUCGAGUGUGAUAUGAGGUUGGCAUCGACGGCGGUUUAGUUUGUACCCCUCAGGCCUUUCAAUGACUCUAUAGUCCUCACUAUAGAUCCUUCACCUGUCUUUAAGGUUGCUAAUAAGGUGGUUGGCAUAUAUCUGCCAGUCAUACAUUAAAUCGAGUUGUUGAGCAAAUUUUUAACAAUAUCCAGUAAGGGUUCUGAGGAGGAGAGAAACUGCUUCAUCCCUACUAAACUCGUGUCCAUUCAGUUCAGCCCCCUAGUGAAUGGCCUCAAUAGCAUCCAAAAUCUCCACAAGGUUAUGACUUGGGUUCCUUGUAUAAAAUCUAAGGAGGUGUAAGAACCUUGACCGGUCCUGUCUCAUAGUCCCGUCUCUUCUUGUCUAAGUUGGACCUCUAGCCAUCUUUGAGAGGUAUAAAAAGGUUUAUUAGUAUCGUUCUUCGUACUUAGGAUUCAGAAGGAAAGAAACUUUCCUAAUUUAGAAGUUUCCACAAAAAAUAAAAAUAAAAAUAAAAAUAAAUAAAUAAAUAAAUUUGGAAAUGGUAAUAGUAAUUUUGUAAAAUCAAAGUUUCUUUAAAAGGAAUGUUUCCAGAAAUAACAAUUUCAUAAAAUAGGAAAUUCUUGGAAUAGAUGUUUGUAAAAAUGGAAUUUACUUGAAAGUUUCUGAAAAUAGAGUACCUAAAGAAGGACUUUUUUUUUUUUUUUUUUUUUUGUCAUAACAAUUUUUGUUUAAAUUUUGGAGUAUGUUUGAAAUAUGGUUUUUAUCUUAUUGAUCCGAAUAAUGCAUAAACUAAAAGGCUUCUAAGUGAAGAGGGGGGUCACAAGUGCACGCUUAAAUUCAAAGCUCUCCUUAGACAGUUUGAAUUUUUUUUUUUUAUAAAACCUUUCAGUCUUGCGAAUACACAAAACAAGAGAACUCGAACAAUAACACAAGGAAUGAAAAUAUUUAGAUGUAUAAAUUUCCUAAUUAGACUAUUAUUUGAUCGAGAGAUUUUCAAAGGUUGACUAUUCUCGUAGGUUGAUAUGUUUUCUAAUGUACACAAUAGUCUAAAAUCACAUAAUAUCGAAAAAUUAUAAUCCACAAAACUAGGAAUUUCUUUGAAGUUAAAACUUUUGUAAAUCUACACUUUCGAAAAAUUAGGAAGUUUCCAUAGGCACAUAUAAAGAGAAAUUUGCAAUUAAACAUGCAUAUUUUUUGUAAAACAUAAUUUCGUGCAUAUUUUUUCACAUAAUCAUGCAUGGACAUGGUUAAAUUUUAUAAUCUAGCACUCUCUAAACAUGGGUAAACAUAGUGAACAGGGUUAAAUAUAAUUGUCAUCAUAUAGUAACAUUAAAUAUCAAUGUAAUUACAUGUCUUUCUACCUGAUUUGAGGGCAUUGGAGCUUGAAAAUUGGCAUCGAGUGGUGGUGAUGUAAUAAACCUUAAAUUUUAGUCUUUUUCUAGAGUACUUUUUCUUACUAUUCAUUGCAUGAAUAGUGAUUGCAAUGCUUCUGUCAUGUAAGAAAAUUUAGUUUUUUUUUAUAUAUAUUAUUAUUAUUAUUAUUAUUUUUAAUUGAGUCCACUGAAACUUGGACCUGCUCUGACACCACUUUGUGAUACUUGAGUUCUAAAAUUCGAGGGCCAUAAAUAUAAAAAAAUAACCAAGAUAAUACUUUAAAAAAUUUAGUUAAAAUUAAAAAGUCGCAUGACAAUAUCUUAUGUUAAAAAAUCAACCUAUUCAAAAUGCUUAAAAAUUUCAAAUUGAAAUGAAAACUUAAAAGAAACUUUAAAAUUCAUUUCCACCAUCAUGACCAAGUUCAAGCUCCAAUCUCUCCGACACCUAAUUUUUGAAGGAGAAAAACUCAAGGAUGAGAAAAUUCUUAGCAAGCAUAUUUAUGUUCAUGAAUAUUAAUCAUAUUACUUUGGGAAUCGUAAAAUUUACAUAAAAGAGACACAAAAACUAUACUGAACUUAGAUGGUAUGAGUUUUAUGUGCGUAGCAUUACUCGAACUUUGGGCCAAAUCUUAAAACAAACAUAUGGCCCAUAAACAUAUUUUCGAAAAGUGAAGCAUAAUAAACGUGCAUAUAUUUACUCUCUUGUGGAAAAAGAUAAAAGUAAAUUGAAGAAAUUGCCUUAUCAGACUUUUACUCCAAAAUUUUUUGGGCAUCAUGCGUACUAAACUUUCUAGUGUGAAAAUGUUUAUGUGGAAGAGGGGUUAAAGGAAGAUAGAUAUAAGUACAAGAUAAGUUGUGUGUGAGUAUAAGUGAUGUGAGGGGGAAUAAAUAGAUGUUUCUAAUAUUCGACUAUUUUAUCUAUUUUUGGUAAUAACCUUCAUUCCUUUAUUAAUGUCACAUUUUUUUUUAAUUUUUUUUUUCAUAUAGAGUGUAAUCAAUCACUCAACUAAUUUCCCAAUUAAAUAUAUUAAUAAAUAUAUAAUUGCUACUACUAAUGAGGUAUUUUCAUAUAAUUAAGCAUUUGAUUUAAUUAUGCCAAAUUAAAUGUUCUAACAUACCAUAUAAAAAUACGAGAUUGCUGAUUACACAUGCAUAAAUAAUUUUUCUAAUUCUAAUAAAUUAAAAUUUCUCUAAUUAUAAUAAUUAACCAGUUAAUUAGGUCAAUUGACAAGCAAUAUCAAAAUCAAAUCAUGCAAUCACAUUACUGAGAUUUAGCUUAGGAAAAAUCUGCACAUUUGUAAAAGAAAAUUGCUCUAUGGUCCUAAACUAUUGGUCAACAUUUAAUUGGGUCCCCAAACCAAAAAUCUUAUUCAAUUCUAACGACUACCUAAAUUGUUUUCAGAUGUUGUACUAUAUUUGGUGAACGAUUUGAGAUCUUCAUGCCAGCCUCCUGUUUCUUCAUUCCACUCUUGUGUUGCCUUUCACCUUACCAAUGGAUAUAUAGGUUCACGGGUCUUAUUCCCAGGGUUAACCUAAGAUCUGAAUAAGGAUGGUUUAAAAGCCCGAUCUUGUUGCUUCUUAUAAGAGGAAAUUAUUAGAAAUAUCCACUUUUACAUAUCCAUUUGCAAAAAUGUCUACCAUUGCAAAUCCUUGUAAAAAUGUCCAUUUUGAAGUAAUUUAGACCAAAAGUACCCUUGUUAACAAUUUAUGAUUCCACACAAAAACAAAAAUGGACAUUUUUGCAAUUAAAAAUUUUAUUGACCAAUAAAAUUUUGACACAUGACCUACCCUAUUUAUUUCAAAAAUACAUACGUCAAAUCAUAAUAAAUGCUAUUUUUCUCAUUGACAUUGAAAUGUCGAAAACUAUAUUUCAAAUGUAGAGAAAUAUCAUGUUCGGAAUGAAAUGUCAUUCUAGACAUCUAAUAUGUUGAGGACAACAUUUGAAAUGUCGAGAACAUUUAAUGUUGCGAUUUGACAUGUGUACUUUUAAAAUAUAAAUGGGGUUAAAUAUCUAGAACGGCAUUUGAAAUGUCAAGAACAUCAUUUUAAUAUAGCUUCUCAUGGAAGCUAUUUCUCGAAAUCCGCAAAAAAUUGGAAAAGAAAUUAGUUGCUUCAUUUUUUCAUUAAGGGCAUAGUAGAUAGUUUAGUACUAAAUUUAAACAGUGGACAUUUUUUAAUUGAAACCCAUGAAAUUUGACAUUUUUGAAGAUACCCCUUCUUAUAAUACAUUUUUAAUAAAAGUAUUAUCUGGCAGCCCCCUAAUUGUAUAGCGAUCAAUAAGUGGUCGAGGGAGAUGAGGCUUAGGCUUCUUUUUCAUCCUUUCUUUCGCAUCUUUCUUUCCUCUUUCAACAUUAUCCCAACAAAACUUAUCUCGAAUGAAUGAGGCUAUAUGGCUGGAUAAUUUUUGUUAUAGAACAUUGAUGGGGUGGGAAAAACUUUCUCCAGACAUUUUUCUUUCUAUUUAUAAUUUCGUAAAAAAUGGGGACUACCAUGCAUCCUCAAAAGGAAUAUUAUUAUUUUACUCCUUAUUUAUCCGAAAUGUGCCCAAAACUUCUCACUACUCCAAACAAGAUUAAUGAUUGGAAAGAAUUUUUUCUUUGUUCGUGGAAAUUGGGGGUUACAGCCUAAUGAUCCUCAUCCUAAUAUAGCAAUAUACAUUUUUACAGUAAUUCCAACGAGUAUUUUGACUUAUUCAUGGUUCACGUAUGCUAUUGGGAUAUUUUAUAGUACCAUGCCCGCGCCAAAAAAUUGCAAAGAUACUUAAGGAGAUUCGCCUUUCGGUGACAAUAUUUUUGAAUUAGGUAAUGUAGUUUGUUAUGCUGAGGGACUAUUGAGCUCCUCCAAUCCCAAAUAUUAUGACAACGAACUACAGAUUAUUAUAAGUGAGUUUUUGUCUUUUUUCGUUUGUUUAAAAGGUCCCUCCUAUCUAGGAAGUGUUUGAUUUAUUUGUUUCUUCUGCCAGUGUAGACAUAUUUGGGUGUCGCAUCCUACGGUGACUCAUAAGCGUAAAAAAACUACUACCGUCAUUGCUUCUAAAAAAUAUCUCUACAAGUGCUCGAAAGGUUCUAAAGGAAAGUCUUUGUGGGUGGUUGAUACUUGCCCAAUCGAACCUAGUCACAAACUAUUUUUAUUGGAACUUUGAGGUCUUUUCUCUCUUCUAUGGAUCUAAAUGAGGUUUCUCGAAAAAGGAAAACUCUUCUUUGGUUCAUCCCAUUAUCUGAUUCGAAAGGCUCCUACUUAUGUCGAGAUCUUGCCCCACGUUUGAAGUCCUUGUUUCUUCCUCGCCUCAAGGGUUCAUUAGAUGUAGGCGUUCUAUCUUUAUUCCUUCAUAUGUUUUUCACAAAGCAAAUGCUAUUUUUACCUACUUCAAUCCCUCAUGGGAAAAGCUAGCAGAAAAACUUGAUCCUAUGGAUAGGAAAAAAUUAUCAAUGUCCAUCUUUAGUGAGUGACAAUUUUAUCUCAAUAUCAGCAAUCAGAUUUCGAAAGCUAGCUCCCUGGUGAAAAAUGCAACUCUUUCUAGAAGAGGUUGAAAGAAGUUGGUGAUGUAAGAGACGAGUUUAAGGGGAUGAUCAAAGGUGUCGAAGCUUUUACGGCGAAGUUUCUUUAGUGGCUGAUGCCAAGAAGGACUUCUUAGAUUUGGAUUCGGCAAAGGAGGAAUACUCGGGUAAUGUUAAUAGGAUUGAGCGUGUUGCUUUGUGAAGACUAAGUAUAAAGUUGCUUUUGGGAAACUACAAGAUUUAAGGAAUGAAAUAGAUGCACUUUGUGAUAAAUUGAGAAAUGCUGAAGCAGAGCUGGUUACUGCAGAGUCCAAUUUAUCUGGGACAAUGGCUUGCAAGGCAAAGUUAGUUGAAGAUCUAUGUAGGAUGGGAAAAAUAAAGUGGUCAACAUUACAGACUUUCGUCCCAAAAAAAGUUUGGAUUUUCUGAAAUCUUCUGAAGAUGAUGUCAAAGACAUCUAUUCUUCAGAAGUUCAUUCGCUGCCCGUGGGGGCUUUGCAUAUUCCAUUUAUUCCUGCUGUUCAACCGAAAUCUAUGAAUACAUCUUCAAGUGGGGAUAUGGCUAUUGAUGAGCCUCUCGACACUUCUCUUCCUACUUCUAUGGAAGUGAGGAUAUCUUUAGGGGGUGAAGUUCAAAUUAAUCAGGAAAACUCUUUUCCUAAAAACCUUUAGUCCUUAGUUAAUUAGGAUAGCCUGUUUUGUCUUAUUAUGCCCGUGAAGUUUUAUCCGCUGCACAUUGGGACUUUAUAUAUUCCAUUUAUCUUACUGGUUGAGUUAUCUUUACUAGCGGAUAGGUCUUUCACUAUUCCCUUCACAACAUCGAAUACUUGUUUUCCUAAAUAAGAAUUUUCAAGCAGGCAUUGCUCUUCCUUUCUUGCCAAGAAACAUUGUUUCCAAGGGCGCUCCCAUUCUUUGUUUUGGCGACAUUGCUUACCAUGUUCAGCCAUAUAUAUCCACGAGGUUUUCCAUAGAUUUCUUCGUGGCGGGAUCCUUGAGGUUACUCGAGAAGUCUUAGGCUGCCUCUUGGAUGUCCUUCUCCUUCCUCUUUUUUCUGUUUCAGCCCAUUGCCCCAUCAUCACAUCGUAUUUUUCUAUUAGUGAUGCCAUAUCCCUCUGCGCGCCUUCUAUCUUUCCUUCCAAGGAGUCCACCCGAUCUGAUAGUGUCAUUUUCCCAGGUGCCAAAUGCUCGAAUACCAAAAUUGAUAGGACCUUGAGCUGAUAACAUUGGGUGAUUUAUCGGAAACUUAAGAAAUAAAUGUAAUCAAACAGUGGCUUUAUUGAACAAAAGAAAACUUAACAACUUGGAGCAUUCGAGAGGCUCCAACUUUCCUACUAGACUCUUGAUUUCCGAAUGAAUAUUCUACCCCCCUUUGCCUUUACAUUUAUUGACAAUCUUCCAAUUGACUCAUUACCCUACCCUCCUUAACAACUAACAGAAUAACAAACGUCAUGUAAAUAAAAAUUGAUUUCUAUUACUCAUAUGACUUGGCUGCUCCUCUAUGUAAGAAAUUAAACUGUUAUGGCAAGAUCUUUAGAAUUCAUCAUUUUUACAUAUGAAUUUAAUUGAUCAAGAAACAUAUCUUGAUCCAUGACAAUAAUUGAGAAAUUUAAAUCUGCAAAAAAAAAAAAAGACUGUUAAGUUAAAGAAACUGUUCUCUCACUUUUCCUCUUUAUAAUUAAAUGAAUUAGUUGAUGGGUUUCAUUCACAUUUAUAGGCAGAAAGAGGCAGUCUCCUGUGGGCCAUAAAACUUUCUACUUUCCAUCAAAGUGGACAAUUAUAAAACUGCUACUUCUCAAUUAGGCCAAUAGGAUUUUAGCAAUAUUAACCACUUUUAAUUAAUUUUUUAAUAUUACAUGGGCCACAAAAUAAUUGGUUUUACAUUUUCCCACUUCGCCUAUGUAAUAUAUUGUUUCGUUAUGUGGUAUAUAACAUAAUGCGCAUAUCAUGAGUUAAAAUCCAUCAUACAUUGGCCACUUAAUAUAUCAUCCUUGAGUAAAGACUAAUAAAAAUCAUGGCGGUUUUACACCACUAUAUCAGCAUAAUUCCUUCCAUGUACUACAAUAUUAGUCCCUAUCCAACAUGACACAAAAUGAGAAGUUCGAUAAUUACAUUACAAUAAUGUCUUCGAAAAGACUAUCCCUAUCAGUAUUCACAUAAUCCAUUCACGUACAUGUACCAACAGUUAUGAUAGGAACAAUAUUUUGUCAAAAACAAUACACUAAUGAGCUCAAAGUGUCAAUACAUAAACAUCAUAAAUUAUAUAAUAAUGUCAAUGAUAAUUUUUAAUAAUGCCCAUCCUUUCGACAUGUUCAUUAAAUGUCUUUGGAGGAAAUCGUUUCGUUAAUGGAUCUGCAAUCAUAAGAUUGGUGCUAAUAUGCUCGAUCGACACUAGUUGUUUUUGAACUUCUUUAAUGGCAAAAUACUUCAAUUCCAUGUGUUUAGCACCUUUAGAGUGCUUGUCGUUCUUUGAAAAGAAAACUGCUGCAGAAUUAUCACAAUAAAGUUUCAGCAGCUUGGCAACACUGUCGACAAUUCCAAGCCCUGAAAUAAAGUUUCGCAGCCAAUUUCCUUGAAUUGUGGCCUCAAAGCAUGAUACAAACUCCACUUCCAUAGUGGAUGCAGCAAUAACCGUCUGCUUCGCACUCUUCCAUGAUAUAGCCCCUCCAGCCAAGAGGAACAGAUAGCCAAAUGUGACCUUUCUAGUAUCCACACAUCUAGCAAAGUCCGAANNNNNNNNNNNNNNNNNNNNNNNNNNNNNNNNNNNNNNNNNNNNNNNNNNNNNNNNNNNNNNNNNNNNNNNNNNNNNNNNNNNNNNNNNNNNNNNNNNNNNNNNNNNNNNNNNNNNNNNNNNNNNNNNNNNNNNNNNNNNNNNNNNNNNNNNNNNNNNNNNNNNNNNNNNNNNNNNNNNNNNNNNNNNNNNNNNNNNNNNNNNNNNNNNNNNNNNNNNNNNNNNNNNNNNNNNNNNNNNNNNNNNNNNNNNNNNNNNNNNNNNNNNNNNNNNNNNNNNNNNNNNNNNNNNNNNNNNNNNNNNNNNNNNNNNNNNNNNNNNNNNNNNNNNNNNNNNNNNNNNNNNNNNNNNNNNNNNNNNNNNNNNNNNNNNNNNNNNNNNNNNNNNNNNNNNNNNNNNNNNNNNNNNNNNNNNNNNNNNNNNNNNNNNNNNNNNNNNNNNNNNNNNNNNNNNNNNNNNNNNNNNNNNNNNNNNNNNNNNNNNNNNNNNNNNNNNNNNNNNNNNNNNNNNNNNNNNNNNNNNNNNNNNNNNNNNNNNNNNNNNNNNNNNNNNNNNNNNNNNNNNNNNNNNNNNNNNNNNNNNNNNNNNNNNNNNNNNNNNNNNNNNNNNNNNNNNNNNNNNNNNNNNNNNNNNNNNNNNNNNNNNNNNNNNNNNNNNNNNNNNNNNNNNNNNNNNNNNNNNNNNNNNNNNNNNNNNNNNNNNNNNNNNNNNNNNNNNNNNNNNNNNNNNNNNNNNNNNNNNNNNNNNNNNNNNNNNNNNNNNNNNNNNNNNNNNNNNNNNNNNNNNNNNNNNNNNNNNNNNNNNNNNNNNNNNNNNNNNNNNNNNNNNNNNNNNNNNNNNNNNNNNNNNNNNNNNNNNNNNNNNNNNNNNNNNNNNNNNNNNNNNNNNNNNNNNNNNNNNNNNNNNNNNNNNNNNNNNNNNNNNNNNNNNNNNNNNNNNNNNNNNNNNNNNNNNNNNNNNNNNNNNNNNNNNNNNNNNNNNNNNNNNNNNNNNNNNNNNNNNNNNNNNNNNNNNNNNNNNNNNNNNNNNNNNNNNNNNNNNNNNNNNNNNNNNNNNNNNNNNNNNNNNNNNNNNNNNNNNNNNNNNNNNNNNNNNNNNNNNNNNNNNNNNNNNNNNNNNNNNNNNNNNNNNNNNNNNNNNNNNNNNNNNNNNNNNNNNNNNNNNNNNNNNNNNNNNNNNNNNNNNNNNNNNNNNNNNNNNNNNNNNNNNNNNNNNNNNNNNNNNNNNNNNNNNNNNNNNNNNNNNNNNNNNNNNNNNNNNNNNNNNNNNNNNNNNNNNNNNNNNNNNNNNNNNNNNNNNNNNNNNNNNNNNNNNNNNNNNNNNNNNNNNNNNNNNNNNNNNNNNNNNNNNNNNNNNNNNNNNNNNNNNNNNNNNNNNNNNNNNNNNNNNNNNNNNNNNNNNNNNNNNNNNNNNNNNNNNNNNNNNNNNNNNNNNNNNNNNNNNNNNNNNNNNNNNNNNNNNNNNNNNNNNNNNNNNNNNNNNNNNNNNNNNNNNNNNNNNNNNNNNNNNNNNNNNNNNNNNNNNNNNNNNNNNNNNNNNNNNNNNNNNNNNNNNNNNNNNNNNNNNNNNNNNNNNNNNNNNNNNNNNNNNNNNNNNNNNNNNNNNNNNNNNNNNNNNNNNNNNNNNNNNNNNNNNNNNNNNNNNNNNNNNNNNNNNNNNNNNNNNNNNNNNNNNNNNNNNNNNNNNNNNNNNNNNNNNNNNNNNNNNNNNNNNNNNNNNNNNNNNNNNNNNNNNNNNNNNNNNNNNNNNNNNNNNNNNNNNNNNNNNNNNNNNNNNNNNNNNNNNNNNNNNNNNNNNNNNNNNNNNNNNNNNNNNNNNNNNNNNNNNNNNNNNNNNNNNNNNNNNNNNNNNNNNNNNNNNNNNNNNNNNNNNNNNNNNNNNNNNNNNNNNNNNNNNNNNNNNNNNNNNNNNNNNNNNNNNNNNNNNNNNNNNNNNNNNNNNNNNNNNNNNNNNNNNNNNNNNNNNNNNNNNNNNNNNNNNNNNNNNNNNNNNNNNNNNNNNNNNNNNNNNNNNNNNNNNNNNNNNNNNNNNNNNNNNNNNNNNNNNNNNNNNNNNNNNNNNNNNNNNNNNNNNNNNNNNNNNNNNNNNNNNNNNNNNNNNNNNNNNNNNNNNNNNNNNNNNNNNNNNNNNNNNNNNNNNNNNNNNNNNNNNNNNNNNNNNNNNNNNNNNNNNNNNNNNNNNNNNNNNNNNNNNNNNNNNNNNNNNNNNNNNNNNNNNNNNNNNNNNNNNNNNNNNNNNNNNNNNNNNNNNNNNNNNNNNNNNNNNNNNNNNNNNNNNNNNNNNNNNNNNNNNNNNNNNNNNNNNNNNNNNNNNNNNNNNNNNNNNNNNNNNNNNNNNNNNNNNNNNNNNNNNNNNNNNNNNNNNNNNNNNNNNNNNNNNNNNNNNNNNNNNNNNNNNNNNNNNNNNNNNNNNNNNNNNNNNNNNNNNNNNNNNNNNNNNNNNNNNNNNNNNNNNNNNNNNNNNNNNNNNNNNNNNNNNNNNNNNNNNNNNNNNNNNNNNNNNNNNNNNNNNNNNNNNNNNNNNNNNNNNNNNNNNNNNNNNNNNNNNNNNNNNNNNNNNNNNNNNNNNNNNNNNNNNNNNNNNNNNNNNNNNNNNNNNNNNNNNNNNNNNNNNNNNNNNNNNNNNNNNNNNNNNNNNNNNNNNNNNNNNNNNNNNNNNNNNNNNNNNNNNNNNNNNNNNNNNNNNNNNNNNNNNNNNNNNNNNNNNNNNNNNNNNNNNNNNNNNNNNNNNNNNNNNNNNNNNNNNNNNNNNNNNNNNNNNNNNNNNNNNNNNNNNNNNNNNNNNNNNNNNNNNNNNNNNNNNNNNNNNNNNNNNNNNNNNNNNNNNNNNNNNNNNNNNNNNNNNNNNNNNNNNNNNNNNNNNNNNNNNNNNNNNNNNNNNNNNNNNNNNNNNNNNNNNNNNNNNNNNNNNNNNNNNNNNNNNNNNNNNNNNNNNNNNNNNNNNNNNNNNNNNNNNNNNNNNNNNNNNNNNNNNNNNNNNNNNNNNNNNNNNNNNNNNNNNNNNNNNNNNNNNNNNNNNNNNNNNNNNNNNNNNNNNNNNNNNNNNNNNNNNNNNNNNNNNNNNNNNNNNNNNNNNNNNNNNNNNNNNNNNNNNNNNNNNNNNNNNNNNNNNNNNNNNNNNNNNNNNNNNNNNNNNNNNNNNNNNNNNNNNNNNNNNNNNNNNNNNNNNNNNNNNNNNNNNNNNNNNNNNNNNNNNNNNNNNNNNNNNNNNNNNNNNNNNNNNNNNNNNNNNNNNNNNNNNNNNNNNNNNNNNNNNNNNNNNNNNNNNNNNNNNNNNNNNNNNNNNNNNNNNNNNNNNNNNNNNNNNNNNNNNNNNNNNNNNNNNNNNNNNNNNNNNNNNNNNNNNNNNNNNNNNNNNNNNNNNNNNNNNNNNNNNNNNNNNNNNNNNNNNNNNNNNNNNNNNNNNNNNNNNNNNNNNNNNNNNNNNNNNNNNNNNNNNNNNNNNNNNNNNNNNNNNNNNNNNNNNNNNNNNNNNNNNNNNNNNNNNNNNNNNNNNNNNNNNNNNNNNNNNNNNNNNNNNNNNNNNNNNNNNNNNNNNNNNNNNNNNNNNNNNNNNNNNNNNNNNNNNNNNNNNNNNNNNNNNNNNNNNNNNNNNNNNNNNNNNNNNNNNNNNNNNNNNNNNNNNNNNNNNNNNNNNNNNNNNNNNNNNNNNNNNNNNNNNNNNNNNNNNNNNNNNNNNNNNNNNNNNNNNNNNNNNNNNNNNNNNNNNNNNNNNNNNNNNNNNNNNNNNNNNNNNNNNNNNNNNNNNNNNNNNNNNNNNNNNNNNNNNNNNNNNNNNNNNNNNNNNNNNNNNNNNNNNNNNNNNNNNNNNNNNNNNNNNNNNNNNNNNNNNNNNNNNNNNNNNNNNNNNNCAAGGACUUAAAAUUGAACAGUUGUCACACUCACUUCAUCAACACAAAGUCGUUCUUUUCUUUUAGCUAUAACAUUUGUGAAAAUGUUUUCUUCUGGGAAAUUCUAAUCGUUUUCUGUUAUUAUUAUGGAUCUCAGGCACUUGGCUUCUUAUCCCUAUCUGCUGUUCUAUAUUCAAUCAAAUCUUCCGACUGCCAUUUUGCUGCAAAUAACAUGGCUGCAUGCUCCCCUCCACAGUUUCAAAUUAUUUUCUUCUUCUUCUCUUUGUAUUUAUUUGCACUAGCACAAGGAGGACAUAAACCUUGUCUCCAGGCUUUUGGAGCAGACCAGUUUGAUGAGCAAGACCCAAAAGAAUGUAAUGACAAAAGCUCAUUCUUCAAUUGGUGGUUUUUUUCCAUGAAUUUGGGUAUUAUAGUUUCUCUCUUUGUAUUGAACUACAUCCAAGACAACCUAAGUUGGGCUCUUGGCUUUGGAAUUCCCUGCAUUAUCAUGUGCCUAGCGCUAAUUAUAUUUUUGCUUGGAACUAUGACUUACCGAUUUCGCAUACACAGCGAUGAAAGAAACCCAUUUGUUAGAAUUGGUCAGGUAUUCCUGAAUGCAGCUAGAAAUUGGCGGAGUAUCCCGGGAGCAAUAUCUAAGGAAGAGGAACCACAGGGAAUUCUGCCAUAUCAAGGAUCUCAACAGUUCAAGUAAGUCAACUGCCCCUUUGUGUGCUUUGAUAUUUGGAAGAUAAACUUUGCUUCUUCAUCUCUCUUUGGUACAUUUAGGUUUUUUAAAUUAGUCCUGUUAAGCUUGUUGUUGGUAGAGUUCGAAAUUGGUAUGUCUAUGCAAAACAUGUUCGAAUUAUCCAAGUUGUCCUUUCAUUAAUUUACGCUCAUCUGACACCAACGUUACUAGUUGACACGUAUUUUCAUUUCUUACCUUAUCCAACUUGGUGAAAUCUAUCUUAUCCACCUUGGUCAUCUUACGAGCAUUUUGUACUUUAAUGAACCUAAGACUCAACUAUAUAGCAUAGCUGAUCUUUAACACAUCUUCUUAUCAUACAGUGUCACUUCUCCAUAUCACUUUACCAUGCUGAACUUGAUGAAUUAUGUCUUCUUCAAUAUCUGCUUCUUCCUUGUUAAUAAUCAGACCUUGAUAGUUAAAACAAUCACUUUGUGGACAAAAUAAUGCUUUAUAGUAACUUCAUUAUAAUAAAAUGCGUUGAUAAAUCUGUGCUUUAUAUGAUUGAAAUAAUCGGAUCAAUCUCAUUUGUUUCGUUAUAUUAUUUUUGGUUUCUUACAAGUUUCUUGAUAAGGCCUUACUUGCACCUGACAGUUCGAAGGAAGAUGGGAAAGUUUGUAGUAUCACUGAGAUUGAAGAGGCCAAGGCAGUUCUUAGGCUCUUUCCAAUAUGGGCUGCAUGUUUGGGAUAUUCCAUUGCAUAUUCACAAACAUCAACUUUAUUCACUAAACAAGGAGCAACAAUGGAUCGUUUUAUCACGUCUAGCUUACAAAUACCAGCUGCGUCACUACAUUCUUUUAUCAGCAUCGCCAUUGUUGUCUUUGUUCCCAUGUAUGACAAAAUUUUGGUUCCUACUGCAAGAGCUAUAACUGGGAAAGCCUCCGGCAUUACAAUGCUUCAACGAAUCGGAACUGGAAUAUUUUUAUCUUUUCUUGCCAUGGUAAUUGCAGCUUUGGUCGAGAGGGAACGUCUAAAAACUGCUGCUGAACACGGAUUGGUGGACAUGCCGAAAGCAACAGUGCCUAUGAGUGUGUGGUUGCUGCUACCACAGUAUUUGCUUUUUGGUGUUGCAGAUGUAUUUACCAUGGUCGGACUCCAAGAGUUCUUCUAUGACCAGGUUCCAAACGAGCUGAAAAGCAUCGGUAUUGCUCUAUACUUGAGUAUAUUUGGCAUAGGGAACUUCUUGAGCAGUUUUCUUAUCUCUUUAGUGGAGAAAGCCACCUGUGGUCCUGGGCGAGAUGGUUGGUUUUCAGACAACCUUAACCGAGCUCAUUUUGACUACUUCUAUUGGCUAGUGGCCGCGCUUAGUGCUGCUGCAUUUGCUGUGUACGUAUACGCUGCAAAAUCUUAUAUCUACAAUAGAAGAAACUGUCAUUGAAGUUGCAUUUUGUGGUGGAUAAAGCUACCCGUGUCCUAGGUCGAGACGAUGUUCUUAUCGGCUACUGGCUGGGCUUAGUGUUGCUGCUUUCGUUGGAUAGUUCCCAAAAUCUUGUAUCUAUAACAGAAAUAAACAGGAUUUGAAGUUGCAUAAAAAUGAUGCAGGACAAAUUUGGCCAGUAAAAGAGAAAUACCACUACCGGUACAUUCAACUUGUAUAAUAAAUAUAGUUCAUUUGUGGUCAGUCUCACCUACGUGCGAAAGCAUGGCCAGAGAAAAUAUUUGUUGAGCGGAAGAUAAAGGUCACCAAGGCUUUAACCUGGCUUGAUUUCUCCUAAAGUCGACACACUAUGAAAUCACCCAAAAUCACUCAAACCACCUUUCAUAAAAAAAUUAUCUUUUUAUCUUUUUUAUAUUAUAACGCUCUUAACCUCUUUAUUCUAAAUUCCAAGAUUAAAAAGAUAAAGUAAUCCUCUGAGUUAAAUUGGUUGUUUUGUAUUCCGAUUUUUUUGAACCUUUUCAAACAUGGUGAAAAUCUUUUUAAUCAUAGUCUUAAGCCUUUCUUAAAAGGUCAAGAAAAAGUUACGAGAGAGUAAAAAAAAAAAAAAAAAGCUGAAAAAUUUAAUUUGCUGAACAAUAAAGUACUAUAAGGCCAUUACAAACAUAUUGAUUUUUAGUUCAGUUCUUUUUUGCCAUUAAACAAUUAUAUAUUAUCUACUUUGCUUUGUUGUUCAGUAGAAAGUUCUAAAAAAUUUAUUGAUAUUUGUUUAGAAAAUCGAGAAAUUGGUAGAAUAAUUGUUAUAGAAAGCCAUAUAUUAUUCGCAUUAGAUAUAAAUAGAGGUGACUCCUCUUUACAGAUCAAGAAGAAAAAAAAAACAAAAAGCUGAAAAAUUUAAUUUGCUGAACAAUAAAGUACUAUAAGGCCAUUACAAACAUAUUGAUUUUUAGUUCUAAUAUUUUUUGCCAUUAAACAAUUAUAUAUUAUCUACUUUGCUUUGUUGUUCAGUAGAAAGUUCUAAAAAAUUUAUUGAUAUUUGUUUAGAAAAUCGAGAAAUUGGUAGAAUAAUUGUUAUAGAAAGCCAUAUAUUAUUCGCAUUAGAUAUAAAUAGAGGUGACUCCUCUUUACAGAUCAAGAAGCAAUUUACUGAGCUUUCUAUCUCUUAGUGUCGGAGGUUCUUGAUAAAGGAUCCUGAAGAUUAUAAUAAAAGGCAAAAAGACAUAAAAAUUAUAAGAGAAAAUAAAUAUAAAAAUAGUAAGAUUCCAUUUCUAAGAGAAAAUUUUCUUAUAAGAUUUUCUUAUCUUAAUAGACUUUUUGGAACUGGUUAGUAGGCUUUCUAUUUAGGUUGAGUAGUUUGAUUAGAGGAACAAUCACAGCAAUCGGCUCCAAGUUCAGCUCCAGCAGCCCCUGUGUUAAAGAUGAAUGAUCGGGGUCGUACACAUAUAUUGUCGUGUCAACGAAUACGUACAACUCUUUCAUAGCUUUUCCCCGACACUCGACGAUAAUCCGAUGACCCACUCGAGCAUAUACUCGAGCACCGCGUUCUCAUUACCCAUAAGUUGUAGUGAUUGAUACUCAAUGGUAACGGCAUAGAAGAACUCAUUGUUCAAUAUUAUUCGGCUAGGAACGUGGAACAAUCUUGGAUAUCUCUCAACUUGAUCGUGCAACAAAUCUAUGGCCAAGUCGAUGUGCUACAUCAAAGAAAACAAAAAAAAGAGGGAUUUAUUUCAUUUAAUAAACCAAACAUUAUGUAUAAACAAAAAACUAAUAAUAUCACUAUUUUACUUACAUCGUCAACGAGCCAAGCCCCCUGAGUGGUGAUAUCAUCGAGCCAUUUGUAAGCGUCCAAUAUCGUUCUUCAAGCUAUUGUGCGGCUGACUCUGAAAAAUAAAGAAAAUGUUAAACGAAGCAUAUACGAGUUAGCGUAGACUACUAAAAUCAUACAAUACUUACCUGACCAAAAUUCUUUGCCACUCUGUCUCGAAUGGUUUCCAUUUGGCAUGGUUGACCUCCGAAAUAGAUUAGGGUACAUCCCAUCGACGAAUGAGAUUUUAAACUAGUUAAGGAUCAUAUAAUGAGAUUUUAAAUUACGUACGAUAUAAAUCAUAUAAUGAUAACUGAUAUCUUCAGGGACAUCCGUCACUCGAGAUACUCGCUAAUGAUGCAUUUGAGGGCAACGGAUUUCCUCUUAAGUAGCAUAGCGGGCACUCAAAAGGGGGACAGUCUCGUACGCCCAGAUCUGCAACACAUACAAUUAUCAAUUAUUACAUAUAAAUUCAAUAGAAAGAAUAUUUUAACAUUGAUUAUGUUAAACAUUUUACCUACAUCUGCCAGGGACAAUCCAUAAGUAUCGUACUUACGCACGGUCCCCUUCGGCUUUGAGUACGAUCUGGUAAAGACAUGUACGGUGUCCUCGAAACAUCUCCAAUCCCAUGAAUAGUUGUUGAAGCCAUCGAUGUCAUCGACGAUCUCCAGAUGGAAGAAGUCGAUUGCUAUCUUCCUGUGGUGACACGGCAAGACGCUCUCAAGGAUGUAAACCAGACCAAGCUUCAGUUUGUCUAACAUUUGAUCACACCCCUAAUUGCGUCGAUCAGCUGCGGCAGAAGCACUGUUCCUUAUCCCUCGAAGUACGUGUCGUAUAGUCUGUUGCUUCUCUGAGUUGCUUCGUCGCCCGUAAUCUUUAGUCCAGUUAUCAGGGCAAACCUGAACAUAGAGAAACUGGUGACUUUGCCCCUGAGGUCGAAGUGAAGGGCAUCGCUGUCGAUUGGACUCGACAACCGACAUAGUAGCGCAUUGAUAAUGUGACCCAAGUACUCCACGUCUAUCAAUUAGUACAGGGGCCAAAUAAAGGAUUGGCGCAACAUAUCAGCAUGCUCCUCAUCCAACAGCUCCAACACAAUAAUGAAACUAUCAAAACUAUUGUUCCAAAUAGCUUUCCCUGGCAUCUGUCUCAGCACUACGUCCAAGUGGUAAUAUAUUUUGCAAAAUUUCAAAUGUUAAAAUAUUAUAAAAGAGAUAAUGAAAUAAAUCAUAAUAAUAAGAAAUUAAAAGAACGGAAUUGUAAAUAAUAUAUACAAGGCAAGAUUCAAUUAUACAAACACUAAUUAAAAUAAAUAAAUUAUUUACUAAAACAACAAAAAAUAAAAAAGUAAACAAAAUUAAGAAAAAAAUAAAAAAUAAAAAAUUAAUGGUGAAGAUAAAAAUUAAAUUAAAAUAAAAAUUUAAAAAUUAUUUAAAUUAAUUAAAGAAUAUAUAAAUAUUUUUUAGGUUAAAAAUUAAUAGAAAAAGAAAAUUGGCAGUCGACCCACACUAACAAUCGUUAAAAAAUAAAAAAUAAUUCAAAAAAUUGAAAAUUAUUAAAAUUAAAAUUAAUAAAAAAUGAAUAUUUUUUACCCUAUUACCAAAAAUUAAUAAUAACUAUUAAAAUUAAAAUUAAAAAAUUAUGAAAAUUAAAUAAAGAAUAUAAAUAUUAAUUAAUUAACUUUGAAACAAGAUACAAAAAUUAUAGGAAAAAUAUUUAUGUUAAAAAAUUAAUAAAAAAUAAUUUUCCAUAUUAUCAAAAAUUAAUAAUAAAAAUGAAAUAGAAAUAAAAAUUUAAAUUCAAAUUAAAAUAACAAAAUUAUUUAAAUUAAAUAAAGAAUAUAAAUAUUAUUUAGGAAUUAAAACUGAAACAACAUACAAAUAUAAAAUGAAACAAAUAAUUUCGGUUAUAAAAUUAUUUAAUUUGUUAAUUUUUAAUUUAAAAAUAUUCUUUUAAUUUUAAAAAUUCUACUAAUAUUUCUUGAUUUAAAAAUGUUGACCAAAAAAUAUAAUGUCUAUUUAUAAAGAAUAACGAAAAAAUAAUUAUGAAAACAUAAAAUAAAUUAAACAAAACGAAAGUGAAAGUGAAAAAUUUAAUAAAGAAUAAAAAUAUUAUUUAAAAUUAAAAUAAUAAAUUAUUAAUCAAAUAAAAAAUGUGGGCCGACUAACAGUCGGGUGAACUGGCUGUUAAUCAGCUGGCCAACAAUUAGCAGCCAACUGUUUAACAGCCACAGUUUUCUCUCGCCAGAAAUCUCUAUAUCCAACGAGAAAAACCUCCAUUUCCACAUUAAAAACUACAAAAUCUACCAGUAAACUCAGCAAUCUACCUUAAAUAACCUACAAUAAAUUGAAAAGUGAUAAAUUUAUUACCUAAACCAUUAUAUGAAAUAUGAAAGUCACUCCAAACCAUUAUCUAAAACAACUAACUUUGUAGAACUUCAAGUUCGCUGCCAACUGGGUUUCACCAUCGCUGACUGUUACCAAUAGCUAGUCGAAUGGAUCCCAACUGUGGUGAGUUUUCUUGGUUGGCCUGUUUGGCACAAGAUUCUUUUGGGAAGAAAGUGAAAGAGAAUGCAGGUAUUUUUGGGUUUUGAUCUUUAAAUUCAAUUUUUUUUUUUUAAAUAAAAUCAGUCAAAGGCCACUUUGUAAAUACAUAUGUGUCAACUGGUCAUUUCCCAUGAUUUCCUCCCACUUAGACCCCUUUCCAUUAUUGUAGAAGCCAUAUGCAGUAAACUGAUAUGGAGGGUAGAUGAUGAAAAAAAAAAAAAAAGAGAAGAAGAAGAAGAAGAAGAAAGGGAAAAAGGGGAGAAGAAGAAGUGUUGAUUUCUUCAAGCUUAAGUUCAAUUUUAUUAAUUUUCUUCAAGAGACACUUGGAUUCUUAAGAGUACUUGGUAAAAAUGAUUAUGUUGAUGGAACUACUCACAUGAAAGCAUGAAUUCAUGGAACAAGAUGAAAAUUAAAUUGGUGGAAUUAUGGUUACUAGUUUUCAUUAGACUGUAAGGUGUGAUUACUUCAGUGAUUGGGAUGAAGGUAAAUUUGGAAAUAGUACAUAUUGUGAAGGUAUUAGAAAAUAGAAUUAAAUCAAAUUGUAAAAGAAAUUGAAGAAUUUAUUCCAAAGUAACAAGGAAUCAAGUUCUAGUAUUCCACAUUUAAAUGUUAAGGGUACUUGGUAUGGUAAUUGUUGAAUUGGUUAUUUUGUAUCGUAUUUCAAUGUGAUGACGAAAAGAUUGGAAAAGCUUAUCGAUCAUUCUAAUAUGUAGCUUGAAUUGAGUAAGUGAAAAAUCUUAUUUUUAAAAAAUAAGUAUUUAUUAAACUUAUAUUAAAUCAGAAAGUUAAUUAUUUCAUAUAGUUAGUUUGACAAUAUAAUUUUCAAAAUAAAGUAUAGUCAGUUCUUUUUAAAGUUAAAUUCAGUUAAAUUAAAUUAUUUCAUUCGCAAGUUAUUUUAUUAUUACAUGUUUCAAUGUAUCCAAAGUUAGUUUUAAAACCACCAGAAGUACCCAGGUAAUUUUACAUGUUGUACACUAAUGUUAAUGUGUUUCCACAGUGUACAACCAGAUAUGGUGAUUUUACCAGCUCUGUGUUAUUGUGAAUGUGUUUCCAUAGUGUAUAACAAGAUUAUAGCCUUUGGGCAGCUCUACAUGCGCAUUACCAUAAUUACGUAAUUGAAUAUUUUUGCCGUGUACUUCGAUAAUCAUCGAUACAUGAGUUUGAUUACUCUGAGUACCUUUUUAGUGUGAUUCUUCAGUAUUAUAUAGCUUAUCAUAUUUUAAACUACAGAAUUUAGUUUAUUCAAUAUACAGAAUAAAGAUUUCAACUUAUAGUAUAGUAAAAUAAUAUUUUUACUCAUAGUUUGCAUGUUGGAUUUAUUAUACCCGUUAUACCUUAUAGUGGUUUAUUUAGAAUAAAGAGUAAAUAAUUUUAUGAUUCCAUUGUGCUCUAAUUUUAAAAAUAUUGUUAGACUUCAAACUACAGAAUUUAGUUACUUCAAUUUACAGAAUAAAGAUUUCAACAUAUAUUACUGAGAAAUGAUAUUUUUACUCAUAGUAUGGAUGUCAGAUUUAUUAUAUCCGUUAUACCUACAAUGGUUUACUCCAAAUACAGAAUAAAAAAGUUUAUGAUUCCAUUAUGUUUUAAUUUUAAAAGAAUUAUCGGUUGUAAUAGUGUACGAGUUUCAAAAAGUUUGCAUAAAUAUAAAAAAGUAUACUAGUUUGCGAAAUAUCCACUCACUAAGUUACAAGUUCAUAAAUUUUCUCACCCCUUUUUAUCAAAUAGUGGCUGCGUUGAGCAGCAUUGGAGCAUGUCAAUUCAUUGAAUUGAGCCACACAUUUUUGAAUCAAUACACUUGAACAUUAAAGUGUGAUACAACACCAUCUAACUAAAAAUGAGCAGGGAUUAAAAUGUGAAAAAUGGCAUUGGAGACGAAGGGACAAAUCAAGUAACCAAGAUAUAACAUAAAGAUCACCAUGUUCAGGAUAGGAUCUACUCCAACACUUAUGGGAACGCGUGUAUCAAAACGACGACGAAUCCUCCUCCUCCUCCAAAGGAUGCCAAGUAUCAUGAAAAUAGCAAAAGAUGAUAGAACUCCAACUAUUAUAUAAGCGUGUAUAUUCUUUUUGCUUCCGGUUGAACAAAUUUUGAAAUCUGCACAGGAGAAAAAUAGAAAUUUGAGGAACAAAAAUCAUAUAAGUGAAAGAUAUAUCUAUUUUUCUUUAAAUUCAUCUAUUACUAGUAGGUUAUACAUUUUCAAAUAUUCAUGCAUCAAAUAAAAUAUCGGCACCAUGGCUACUAUAAAUAAACACAAACAGAUGAAAAAAAUUGCGCUAGUUAUAUUUUGGAGGUCCAGGUCUUUCUAGUGUAAUUUGAACUUUGGCUUAUCUGAUAUACAUACCAUGAGUAUCCAUAAAUUUGUCAUCGACAGCUUAAAGAAUAAAGUCAACAAGUUCCCUGGGACAUUUUCAGAUACAUUUAACGUAUAAGACAGCUAUACAAUAUAAAUUAGAUAACUUGGGGGGACAUAGGAUAUAUGAAUACAGUUAUGCCAUUCAAAUUUGCAUAUAGCACUUGAGCAGACAAGAGAUGUAUUAAUGACCUUAGAUCCUCUGCCACUUGUCGAAUUAUAGGGAAUUAACUUAAAAAUGGGGUUUAACUAAGAGGUCAGUUGUUAAGAAGGAAAGAUGAUCCAGCUUCUAUCAAGAUAACUUUUGAGAUUCAAUUAUAAUCUUCACUUUUUAAUACAAUUUUUCUUUGUUAUCAUCAUAUCAAGGAUUAUAUCUUGUGCAGAAGCCUGGGAAAUCUAGCUGUGCACAAUUUUCUAGAGCAAGCAACAUGUACACUUUAUAGUUGGUAGCCUUGUAAAAAUCUGAGAAGCAUUCAGCUAAUGAGGAGCAAGUUGAAGACCUUAGAAAAAUGAACAAAUCACAUUGAAUAAUUCUCCCUUAAAGAGAAUAAGUUUUUGUAAAAUAAUCAUUAAGCACUUGUUUGAUUUUGAUUUUUCCAAAAAAUCUCUUCGUAAAAAAUAAAAUCAAACAAGGGAUAAAUAAGAACUUUAUAUAUAUUUAAUAUAGUCAACACGGGCUGUAUCUUUUUAGGUGGUUGAGCACACUUUCAUAAAUGGAUAACAAUGAGAUUUAAUCCCAAAACCUUUACAACUCUCGUAUCAUAUUGAAUGAGCACCUACAUUUAAAAACUUUAACAAACUAAACCAAGGUUAAACAUUUUUGAUAGCACAGGAUAACAAAAGUUCAGAACAUAGCAUAUCUAGUUUCUUAUACUAUUUUAAUUGCACAUUCAUAAAAUAACAGGAAAACAAGGACAGGAUUACACAAAGAAAUUGUCAACUACUCACAUGGAUUGACCGAAAUAGCGGAUACUUGGGAACCAUAGUCUCCUCUAUAAGGAAUUCGUGCAGUCCCUCUGCUAGCCCAGUGAAAUCUAAUCUCCAAGCUAUUAUCUGUCACCGUGACAUUAAAAUGUCUAGUCAUGGGCCUUUGUGCUCCUCGAGCCCCAUUGUACGUGUACACUAGCAAGCAUCUUUUAAGUUGUCAAUGAUGGCAACAAAUGAAGAAAUUAGCUGGCCAAUAUAUGCAGGAAGUGUAAAUAGCUUAAUCUUUUGAAAAGAGCUACUAAGGAGCUGCUACAUAAUUUUGAGCAUAUCUUUGCAUCUACAGAUAAAAGAUAGAGCAUGUUGCAAUGCUAUAAAAACACAUUCCCUUUCAAGUAAAUUCUUUUGAAAUCUGAAUUUGUCUCGUUAAUGAUUAAGAAAGUAAUACAGUUCAAAUAAAAAUGAACAAGCAUCUAGGGAUCAUUUACAUGAAUUGUUAUUUUUCAUUAUGUUCGACCCAAUGUUAUGAUUACCGAAAUGUCCAUUGACCAACCAAAAAAAAAAUAAAAAAAUUCCAACCUCAUCAAGCCAUAUUAAUUAUAUUCUUGACUCUCCCUUUCGUAACAUGUUCUAGGAAGUAAAAUUUUUAUUUUUAUUUUAUUCUAUAGUAUGGCACAUCCUCAUUACUGUUGCAAUCAUCUUACUGAAAUGUUGUCUAAUAAUGGUCUAACACUUGGUUCGACAAAGCAUAAAUUGUCUAGUAACCAUUUUUUCAAACUUACCGUUUAACUCAAUAGUAAUCCCAAGAUCACAUGAAACUCAUGUUGCUUUUCUUCAUUUAGUUAAAUUUACUAUAGUCCUAUACAUUACAUUCUCCUCAAAUGCUUUUUACUUUUGGAAAUUCAUUAUUCUCCAGAGUUUAUAGUGGAAUCAUUACUCUUACUAUGAUUAAAGAAGAUUAUACAUGCUUCUUAAUUCUACUUAAUCUAACACCUAAAUUCCAAAAUGCUACUCCAAAGUUUUAUUACUUUCAAUUUAUUCCCCUUCUAGUUUCACCAACUUAACUUACAUCAUGUAUCGACGAAGAUACUUAAUAUUUGAUAUCUCAUCAGUUCAUUUAUAACUUAUAGCAAAAGGAUAAGGAUUCGUGGUGGUAAUUUGAUGCAAGUCUACUGCUUUCCUAUUGGAAAUCACAUCCAUACUAAGUCAUAAAUAUCCUCGACAAUAUUGUAUAUCACAUUUAAGCUCCAUUAUUCUAUAGUACACACCACAAUCAAUAGGCUCUCUACUAGUAAUCUAGAAAUAGAAACAAAUUAUGUGCAAAAUAUCCAGCAUGUUUAAUGACAAAAAAUGUGCAUACAUGUUGCUUCCAUCCUUCAAGAUUGUAUCAGGUAUAUUUCCACUCAGCUUGUUGUUAGUAACGAACCUGUUUACAAAAAUAUCAUAGUGAGAUUGCAAGUCGUGGGUAAGGCAGUUUCCUAUUUUAUCUCACAUUUACUGUAAAACUGCAGACACUGACUGUCAAAACCAACCAAAUGAAGCAAAAGAAUUUAAGUUGGACUCACACAGUUUCAAAUUUCUUGCAUUGUCUCUUGAAAUCUCCCCCUCUAACUUAUUGAAACUGACAUCUUCACCGUGAACAAAAGCCUAAUACUGUCAAUUAAGAGUUUUCGAAGGAAGAAGGGAAUAGGAAUUGUAUAAAUAGUAAGGAAGUGAGCGUACAUUGAAGACGGCAGGACCCAAAACAUACUAAAUUAGGGUUACAAAAGGCUCAAAAUUAGAGGAAGAUGAAGAAUUUUAGUGGAGAGGGGCAAGCGUGAGGAUGGAGACCCAACCAUGACAAUAACUUCAUCUUCUCUGAAUGGUGUGGGACGAGAAGAGGGAUUGGAGAGUCAGAAGAUUUAGGGUAUUAUAAUGGGAGAAGGAAGAAGACUGGAAUUCUUGCCAACAACUGAAAGAAGAGACGGCAUGAGAGAGGAAUUGAGAGAGGGAAUUGUUAGGGUUUUAUAAUUGUAAUUGUUCACUUCUCACGUUUGGUAAUGAGUUUUUUUUUUUUUUUUUUUAAUUUAAAUAUCUUAACAGGGCAGGUCAGAUCGGUUCGGGUUAACUCAGGUUCCUUUUCGUAACGUUUAAAAAACGUUGCGAAAGACCAUCGUCGAUAUAUUCCAUAAAAAUGUGGUAUAAGUGUCUAUUUUAUCUAACUUCUCUUAAAAAUGGGAAGGAGAAAGGACAAUUCAUUCAAAAGUAAAUGAAUCCCAUAUUAUUGUACAAAAUGCAAAAUGACGUUUUUUUUUUUUUUUUUUUUUUUUUUUUUUUUUUUUUCCAAAAAAAAACAAAACUUUUUUUUUUUUUUUUUUUAUAAAUUUUGAUUUUUGUUGGUGAAAUUUUUCCCUUUCUUUCUCCAUUUCUCAAAGCAACCUUCCAUGCUUCUUUUCUUCAUUCUCCCCUUUCUUCUAUUCAUUUCUUCUUUUCUUUUCUUUUAUUUCGUUUUCCAAAUAUUUUGUCUAUAUGGUGUUUAAUUUCGUCUUCUCAGUGCUCAACAUUCUAGAAGUUCUAACCCUCUAUUUUAUUUUAUUUUUUUACGGAGGUUUAAAGCUUCUAUCAUAGAACAAUCGAAAGAAUUAUUGAAACAAGGUUUUUGGUAAGUAAAUCUAGAUUUUUGCUAUAAAUUGAAUGUAUGUUGGUUUGAUUUUACUGUGCGGUUUUACUUCGAUUUUUUUAGAAGGGUAUUAUCAUUCCGUUUUAAUCGUUCCCGAAAAAUUAAGGAUUUUAUUUUAUUUUACGAGGCAAGCCAGGAAUUAUGGCAAAAGAUGAAGUGGUUCUAAUGGAUCACUUGGGUUAGAAAAAAGCCCAUGUCUUCAGCCAUUCAAGUUUGGUGAGUUCUGGUCUUAAAUUUUUAAUGAUGUUUCGUUUUUUAUUUUCAAUUCUGUUGUUGAAACGUAAAUAGCGUAGAUUUCUUGUUUGUCUGUGAUUAUACGGUUGUUUUAGCUCAUUCAUGUUAUCUCUUCAAGCUGGUUAGGCAAAUAAGGUGAAGAAAAUCAAAGAAUAAUAAAAAAGGAUUUUGGUUUUGUCCAUAUUCUUGAAGCAGCCAGUUAUUUGAGUAUGUGUGCAAGUGUAUUUUAGUCGAUUCUUUACUAUUAUUUUACUAUUAUCGUAUGCCAUAAUGAAUAUAGAAAGAAAGAAAUUUAAAGAAGAGAAAAAACAACAAUAUUUGCUCCACACUUUGUGGAGCAACUCCAUGGUAUUUUUUUUUAUAGCUUUUUUUUGUCCUUUUUUUUUAUACUUCUAGCAAAUUUUUUUUUUUAAAAGUAGAAAUAUGAGAUUUCUGGUAGAAUAUAUUAAGUGGUCAUCAAAUUUGUUGAAUUUUAGAAGUUAGAUUUCUCUUUGAUUUCCUAAUUCUAUGAAGUUUUUAAAUUAAGUUGUUUACGAAUGUCUUUUAGUGAUAGAGAAUAUAAAUUAUAGAGAGUAUAGAUUAAUAAUAGUGUAUUUUCUUCUGCAAGUUAAAAAACCAUAGAGAAUUAAACAAAUAAAAAAAACUCCUCCGCUCUAUGCAAAGGAUUUUUUUUUUUUUUUAACUUUUACUUUUAUCAAUUUUUUUUUAAUUUUAGCUUCUUUUUAUUUUUUUAAUUUUAAAGUAGACAAAUUUCUUGAAUCCUAGAAGUUAGAUUCCUCUUUGAUUUCCUAAUUCUAUGGUGUUUUUAAAUUAAGUUGUUUACGAAUGCCUUUUGGUGAUAGAGAAUAUAAAUUAAAAUAAUAGUGUAUUUUCCUCUGUAAGUUAGAAAACCAUAAAGAAAUAAAAAAUAGAAAUAAAAAUCCUCCGCAUUGUGCAGAGAGUUCACUUGAACCCUUCGCACAGUGCGAAGAGUUCACGUGAACACUCCUAACUGUGCGGAGAGUUCAAGUGAAAUCUUCCAACCCUCCGCACGAUGCGGAGAGUUCAUGUGAACUCUCCAAACUGUGUGGAUGAGUUUUUUUUAAGUAGAAAUAUGAAUCUUCUGGUAGAAUCUAUUAAGUGAUCAUCAAAUUUGUUGAAUCCUAGAAGUUAGAUUCCUUUUUGAUUUCCUACUUUUAUGAAGUUUUUAAGUUAAGUUGUUUACGAAUACCUUCUGGUGAUAGAGAAUAUAGAUUAAUAAUAGUGCAUUUUCUUCUGUAAGUUAUAAAACCAUAGAGAAUUAAAAAAAAUAAAAAUCCUCUGCAUAGUUCGGAGAGUUCAAGUUGUGCGGAGAGUUCACGUGAACUCUUCGGACUAUGUGGAGCAUUGCUUGCUCCUCAAUUUUUUUUUAUUAUUAUUUUUUCAUCACUACAAAUCCAUCUCCACCCCCCUCCCCACUCUCUCUCUCUUUUCAUCAGUUCAGCUCUUCUUUUCCUAUCUCUUUAUACCAAUGUUCUAAAAUACGUAAUGCGUGGCAAUGCGUUUCGAUAAAGCAUCAAGCAUUAUAAGAAUAUGUGUGCUUUUGCGAAGCAUAUACGUUAUUAUGCGUUUUGCAAUUUUUAAUAUUUUAAACUAAUAAAUAAAUAAAAUAAUGUAUUCUUUGAGUUUUUAUACAUAUUCUUCGAAUUAAAAAAAAUAAAUUUACUCAAAUUAUAAAUACUACAAUAAGACAAUUACUUCAAAUUUAUAUAUAUUUUUCAAAUUUUCAACAAAAACAUUUGCUCAAAAUCAUAAAUACUACAGCUACUUGAUAAUCAAUUCCUACAAUUCAAUUAAACAAGAAUAUUGACAAAAAAAAAAAAAAAAAUUCUAAAUCUUGUCUAGCUCUUUAUCGGAUUCUAAUUCAAUCUCCUCUUCUUCAUUCAAGUCAUCUUCAGUGUCAUCCGAUACGAAAUCAUCUUCAUCGGGCUCCCUUAUUUCGACUUGAGAAUUUCUAUUACCUCCUGUAGAUGGUAAUAUAUUGUCAACUUCCUCCUCAUCAUCACAACUAUCAACAAUCCAAGAUUGUGCAUUACUUGCAUUACUUGCUAAUAAAGUUUCUAAUUUAUCCUUCCUUUUCUUUUUGUUCAUCAACCUUGCAUUAAAUUGAACAUAAACUAGGUUUUUCAUCCUUGUGGCAUCUAAGCGGUUCCUUUUCUUGGUGUGUACCUACAUAAAGAAGUUUAAAAAUUUUAGUAUGCUAAUUUAAAUUAUCAAAUAACUACUAAAGUAAUAACUAAAAUGCAUCAACGUAAUUAUUUAAUUAGUACUUACCCCUUCAAAGACACUCCAAUUUCUCUCACAACCGGAUGAACUAGUAGUCAAACCAAGGAUCCUCUUUGCCAUUAAUUUCAAGUUUGGUGUUUCAUUGCCAUAAAAGUCCCACCAACUAACUAGUAAAUGCAAAAGAAAGAGAUAAAAAUAUUAUAAUAUGUACAUAUGGUAUGUUGACAAGAAAAAGAAUAAUAAUAUUAACAUACCCGGAUUGCAACUUGAAGUAUUGUUCUCACACCCACAUGAUGCUAGUUUUCUUCCAAAUGCACCUUCUUUUUGAGUGUAUCUUUGCAACUCAACAUUUAUCACAUGAUGUUGCAUUUAAGCAAAGGAAAAGAACUUUUCAACACAAAGAAUCACAUUAUUAGUUAUCAAUUGAUUAUCUUUGAUUUUUGGAUUCUUGAAGAAGUAAAACGGAUUCAAAAGAUAAGCUGUUGUGUGAAGUGGGCUAUCAAUUCGAUCCUUGCCCUUUACGUCAAUAAUGUUCAAGAUUGGCAUAUAGUCACUUUUCUCUUCAACGUCUUUAUAAUGUCAUCCUUUGCCUUUAGUAGCUCUCCAUAAACAAAUCCCAUUGAAGGUUUCUCCUCUCCAUCAAUUAGUCUAAGAACUUUCACUAAUGAAGUAAACACUCUCAAACACAAGUCUAUCAAGAUCCAAAAAUCAUUGGGAACAACAAUAUCAAAGGCCUAUUUUCCCUUUUUGCUCUUAGAUCAUUUCGUAUUAUCCCAUUCAUUGCUAGUCAUCAUAUUUCUCAACUCUUGUUUUUUAUCGAGCAAACUUUGUAAUGUUAAGAAAGAUGUAGCAAAUCUAGUGACUCCCGGCCGAACUAUCUCCCUUUUUGUAAACUUCCUCAUUAGUGCCAAAGUCUUAUGAUGUGCAUAGAUGAAAAUAGUAAAUGAUUUUGCCUUCCUAAUCACUCCUUUGAAGCUAGGAAGUUUAGAGAUUCCCUGGAGCAUAAGGUUCAAGGUAUGAGUAGCACAAGAUGUCCAAAAGACGUUAGGCCUUUGCAUUGAUAACAAAUUCGCAGCGGCCAUGUUAUUGGAAGCAUUGUCGGUUACAAUUUGAACCACAUUUUCCUCUCCAACCUCUUUAAUACAUUCAUUGACAUAUUCAAAGAUGUAUUCACCAGUGUGACAUCAUCAUUAGUUUCCUUUGAAGAGAGAAAUGUGGUUCCCAAUUUACAAUUCACACACAAAUUCAUGAUACUUCUUCUUUUGUUAUCACUCCAAGCAUCGGUCAUAAUAGAACACCCGUUAUUUUUCCAUUCUUUUUCUUGCUUCUUAAGAGUUUCUUUUGUUCUCUCCACCACUCCCUUCAAAAGUGGCUCGCUUAAUUGGUAUUGUGAAGGAGGGGUGUAACCCGGACCAUGUUAACCAAGAGCUUCAACAAAUUUUUUAAAACUAUCGUUAUCAAUGGCAUUAAAAGGAAUUCCGGCUUCGUAUACCCAUCUAGCCAAAUAUUAAUGAACUUCUAGUAACCCUUUAUUAGCAAUUGCAUCAUUGAUAUUUUGUUGUUUCAUUUUCUUACUUGCAGACAUAGAAGCAUCAUCAACCUUAAUUGGCCUUGAAAAGUUAUCUAGGGACCCACAUGUAUAGGCCUUUUCCUUCCCCCUUCAAUGAUAGAAAUGUCUUCCUCUUCUUCCUCACGUGUAGACAUAGAUAUAACUACAUCUUCCCUCAACUUAGCUUUAUUCAAUGCAUUCUCUAACUUCUUAGACUUAAUCUCUUCAAGUGCUUCACGACACUUGGCUUUUUGCUCUUGACUUGCUUUAGGACACGAUUUCACACCCAUUCCCUUGAUGCCUGCUAUGUGCACUUUAUGCCUAUUAAUCCCGGCCUUUGUUACUUUGUCACACAAUGUGCAUCUUACAUUAUUAGGUUUACUAACAUCUUUAACAACUGCAGUUUCCCAUCCAACAUCUCCUGAACUAUUUUUUAGCUCAUUAUCUUUUGAAAUGGAAUUAGAUGCCUUCAAAGAAUCAUUUUGCUCCAUUGGCUUCUAGUAAAUUGAAAAAAAUAUAUAUAAUAAAAGCAAGAAUCAGCUUGUGAGCAAUUAUUUAAUUUCAUUUGAAGAACAAUCUUGCUCCAUUGGCAGCAGACUUAAUAGUGAACUAGUCAGAGUUCAUGUUGUAAUCUCACUAACAUAAUGACCAAUUAUUUAAUCUCAUUGACCGAUUAUUUAAUUAAUAUAUUAUCAUCACAACUUUAGUAGAUAUCUUAAAUUUUAUGAUUCAUCCAUAUUAUAUUAUAUAACUUGCUUCUCUCUCUUACACAAUUACACAGACUGACAGUCAGUAUUAGAAAUUGGUUAAUUUCUUUCUGUAAACACCAUAACCGUUAAUCACCAUAAAAUUAAGAAUAAUAUCAAUAAUAAAAUUGAAAUAGUAGACUUGCAUAAAAGCCAAAAACGAACAGGUUUCCUUUAGUGCUUUUUAAGCUUUUCCUUGGUGGGCGACAGCCAGCAGGACGAUGGGCAUCAGGAUUCAGGGUAUGUAUAAUGUCCAGAUGAAGAUUUAUGCUACAGCCAAAACCCUGGAGAUUGUUGUAUAUAAUUGAUGGACUUAUGUGAUUUGGGGCAAUUUGAUGUUUGUUGGGCUCAAUUUUAUUUUUUUAAGUUAUAAAAAUGGGUUGAACUUUGUUAUGUUAAUUGGAACAUAUUUUUAAUUACAAAUGCGUGCGCAUUUUGGAUAAUAUGCGUGCAUAUGCGGUCAAUGAAAUGCGUUGACUGCAUUAUCAUAUGCAUACCCCAUAUGCGAUGCGUUUCGAAAACACAUUGAGAAUAUGUGUGCAUUUUAGAACACUGUUUUAUAUAUGUUAUUUCAAAUUCUCUUAAUCAAUCCAAGAAUACAAUAUUGUUAUGACAAGGGCAACAAGACGUUAGUGAAGAAGCUAAUAGAGAAAAAGGGCCAUGAAAUUUCUCUCCUCUGCAUUAUCCUAUAUUCCAACCAUGAAAUUUAAAAGAACGAGAUUGAAGAAAAAUCAAAUAAGACGGUGCUUUUGUUGGAAUUUUGACUUUCUUUUGAUGAAUCCAUUUCAUAGCAUUUAUGGGAUGAAUUUAAAGUUUUUUUUAAUUAGUUUAAAUUUUCGGUAUGACAUUUCUUGACAUUCUGCUUGAUUAUGUUUUUAAUUUGGUUGCAUAUUAUUGGCUCAUAUUCUUUGGCAGGUGUUUCCCUAUAUAUGUUUGAGCUUCAAAUUUUUUGUAAUUUGAGUUUUAGAUUGAGUUUGGUUUCAUUACAUAUUAUGAUCAAAAUGUUGCUUCAAAAUGGUGAAUGGAGCUAGAUAAAUGUUUGAUGAAAUGCUUAAGAGAGAGGAGGAAGCUACUGAUCAUAAUGUUUGGCUUUCAAAUGUUUGACUUUUAACUGAUCAAAAUUUAAGAAAUGAUUCAUUUUUUUCUCCUUUCUUAACAACAAGAAUUUUUUUUUCGAAAAAAUUUCUUAGCAUUGUAAAUGACAAUUUACAUGUUAGUUUUAAGGAUCCAUAUGAAGAGCUCUUUGAAUUUGGUCGAUUUUAUCUUCUUAAACAUACUAGUCUUUUGUGGUGCUUGUUUAUAGAUUGACUUGUCGAGAGAAAUGAAAUUGACAGAGAGCAAUGAAAUGGGCUCAAUAAUAAGAGAGAGACAACUAUUGAGAGAGGAUGAAAAACGAAUAGCUUAUAAAAAGAGAAUGAAUUUACUCAUUUAUGCAGACUGCAACUUUCAUGUCUCGUCUUCUUGUUUGUUUCAUGACUCUAUUUCCUCUUUUCAGAAUAAAUGGACUAAUUAUGCAGUUGCACAUAUUGUACAUUUGAAAUUUCUUAUGUCGGUUCAAAAUAACUUUGAAGUCAUUCUAAAGCAAAUUAAACCACUAUAAUGUCUUUAUUAGGAAUAUUUAUUUAUAACAAAUGUUGGUGAUUGCUUUAAAGACAAUAUGUACAAAUACGGUAUGCUGUAAUACUAUAUGUUAUAGUUAAGAUAUCACAUAUUAUACGUAUAUGCUAUAAUAUAAUGUACAACAUAAUAUAAUGAGAAAUUAUUGCUGUACAAUUUUUUUGUUAUAUUACAGCAAUAUGCAUAUUACGGCAUGUAGCUUACCGUAUAUGUUAUAAUAUACAACCUGUGCGGUCAUGCAACAACUUUUUAUUUUUAUCUUUUAAAUUUAAUUAUGCAACUUAAUAUUUGUUUAGUUUGUUAUUUUAUUAGUUAAAGAUAUGCAUUAAAUCUAAUAAAAAAAUAUAAUUACAAGAAUAAGUUUAGCUUCAAUAUAAUACACAAAAAAAGACUCUUAAAGAAAUAAUCAUUGCUAACUACAAAGAAUAUAAAAAAAUAAAGAAGACAAAAAUGAAAAAGGGUAAUUGGCACAAAACAUCCCUACCUUUCAAGUUCAUUGUGGAAAACGUCUCUAUCUUUCAUUUUUUGAUAUUUUUACCCUCAUUUCAACCUUUCUUUGCGAUGAAUGUCCUUUUCAACUUUUUUGACAAAUUUACUCUCAUAUUUAAAUAAAAUAAAAAGAAAAGAAAAGAAAAAAAUAAAGAAUUAAUUGUAACAAUAGUCCCAAAUUUUAAAAAAAUUACAAAUCGGUUACAAAUAUAUACUUAAAAAUCAUUAAAAAAAUUAAAUAAAAAACCACCACCUCUGUGAAUGGAGCCAUCGGUGUCCAGCGUUCCAUACCCAAACCGCCACCCACCACUAGAUAAAUCACCGGAAACUGCUCCCUUUACCGAUGAGUUUAACCCACAAACACUUUCCUGUCAAUCAAUUACUCAAAUAGAUCAUAUAACCAUUCAAAACUUAGAAGAAACUCUAACUAGUUUGAGAAAUUGGUUUGCUUCCUCCAUCAAUUCCGGCGUCGGUAAUGGGUCCUAUGGUUGCGGACCACCCAUUCCGACAUCCCCUCCUAAUGCUCCAACUAUUACAGCAAUGGGUCUUCGUUAAAUUUCAACAUAAUAAUUGAAAACAUUGGGUGGUUGUUCUAUGUCGAUUUCACCAUGUCGCUGAAUUACAGAGGCUGCUGGGGGCGAAAAAUUGGAGACAUUGGGCAACUGUUUUUGGGGGCCGAAUUGAGGAUACUACACGCAUAGAAACACAAAAAUAGGGAGAGAAAAUGGCUGGAAUAAAUUAAUUAUACACAAAGAAAGCUAAAGCAUAUUAGGGGCUGGAUUGGAUAAUAUAUAACUAUAUUUAUAUACACACAGAAAUUGCCUGUUGUGGGAGACUUGGGGUGCUGUUGGAAAAGAAGUGGGGAAAAAGAUGGAAUCACGUAGUUGCUGACAAGAUAAAAUCAUACGUUUUACAUUUUUGACAUAAAAAAGAAAAAAGAAAAGGAAACUGAAUUCCAGAAGUUUUACCUUGGCUUUCAUCUUUUCCGGCUAUCUUUGCAGCCAAGCUAUCUGAUGACAUCCCAAGAAUUAAUUGUAGGAGUUAUUUUGUGAAGGAGAGGGUAGCAGUGGGGUGGGGGUGAGGUGUGGGAAGAAGGUGAAUAUUUUUGGGGGGUUAUUAGUACUUUUAAAAGUUUGGGCCUAUAGUUGCAAUUUAUUAUUUUUAUUUUUCUCUCCUUUUUUUGUUUUAUUUAAAUACGAGGGUAUAUUGGUCAUUUUAUAUUAAAAAUUGGUGAAAAGGACAUCCAACACAAAGAAAUGUGAAAGUAAGGGCAAAAAUGUCAAAAAAUAAAAGGUAGGGACGUUUUCCACAAUGAACUUGAAAGGUAUGGAAGUUUUGUGCCAAUUACCCAAACGAAAAAAGUAAAACUUGUGAAAAGAAGAAAAUGAAAGCAUGAUGCCAAAAAAUUUGGCAUUAUUGUUCGAAUGAGAAAUGUUUUAUUGAUACACAAAAAACUUUUGCACUCACCAAGUUAAAAGUAUGAAUUUAUUAUGUUGUCUUAAAAUUUUUUUAAAUAAUCGUAAUAAAUCUUGUUAUUACGCUAAUAAAAUUACAAUAUAUAAUUUUUUACAAAUAGUAUAAAAAAAUCAUUUUUAUUUUCAACAAAAAAACAUAUUUAAAAAUUAGUAAUUUCAUAAUCACAUUUUUAUUUUUAAAUUCCCGAAGAUACAAUUAUAAAAAGAAAACAAUAUUGAAUUACAAAAAUCAAUAUCUGCCAAAUACGGUAUCUAAAGACAAUAUGUGCAAAUAUUAUAUGCUGUAAAUACGGUAUGAUGCAAAUACGGUAUGCUGUAUAUAUGAUAUGAUGCAAAUACGGUAUGCUGUAAAUAUGGUAUGAUGCAAAUACGGUAUGCUGUAAAUACUGUGCGCUACAUAUACGGUAUUAUGCAAAUACGGUAUACUGUAAAUACGGUAUGCUGCAUAUACGAUAAGUUACAAAUACGGUAUGCAUAAAUACUGUAUGUUGCAUAUACGGUAUGUAAAGUGUAUAUAUAGUAUGAAUGAAUCUGAUUUCUUCCACUAUAAUAAAAUUUAGCACCGUAUAUGCUGUCUAUCAUAUUUGUAGCUCACCAUAUAUGCUUCCACCAUAUUUGCAGCUUAUCGUAUAUAUCGAUUUUUACACUUACAAAUACCGAGUAUACAGAAUAUCAUACAUUUACUUAUCAAAUCGAAUGUCAGAAAAAAUUUCAAAUUUUUAUUUUUUCAACAUAAGCAUAAAAUAAAUAUUAAAAUAUAUGAAGGACAAAAUAUAAAACGUAUAUGAAUAUGCAAAUUAAUUUAUAAUUUUGUACUCAAUCUUCAAUUUUCCAAUAUUGAAUUAAACAAAAUUUAGAAAUAUAAUCUUCACAUUCAACUCAAAUCAUAUCAACACUUCAAAGAAUACAGGCAAAAUAGUUUGUAUAACCUCGUAUAUUUCUUAAUUAAGCAUGAAAUAUACAAGCAUAUUUUUUCUAGAUAACACAACACUAUUGCAAUUGUAAAAUUAAUUUGCAAUCAUUUUCUUAUAUCAUAGAAAUAUUUCUAGAUAUUAUUUCAAAAACUUUUCAAAACACUAAAAUUCAUACGCUAAUAAAAAUACGAUAAAUACAAAAUUCGUGCAACAUACGUGACAGUGACUAGUGCUUACAAUGAUUCAUUCUUUUUUACCAACUUUAAAAUAUAUUUUUUUUCACAUAUUAGCAUAAAAUUGAUAUGUUUUACUAAAUAAUCAAAUUAAUUGAAAAAAAAAGUGUCAUAAAAUUAUUUCUAAAUUUUUUUAACCAAAGCGUUUUUUACUUUAAUUUAAUUUAAAUUUUUUUUAGAAAUAAUUUUCAGAAUGGCAAGUCAAACGCAUUUUCUGAAAUCUUAAAAUAAUCCCUUAAAAUAGAUAAUAAAAAUGAAUUUAAAACAGAAAAUAAAAAUGCAAACCAAUCGCACCCUAAGCGUUCUUAUCCCCAAGAAAAGCUAUCAAUGAUGCCACUAGUGAUUCCCGAGCUCAACAAACAAAAUUUUAACUUCACUUUUUUCCCAUUAAGCCCAUAUAGUGCAGUUCAGUCAAGUCUAUCAAACAUGUAUCGAAGAAUUUAUCAACGUACCUGGAUGAGAAUUGCAGAAUCUUGGUUCAACCCUUUGCUUCCUAGAUGAGAAUAAGUAGAACCAAUUACUUGUACUCCAUUACGUACCAAUAUCUGUGUAGUAUACAGCAUUUUCCCAUCAACAAGCAUUUCAGAUGCACAGAUUCCCAUAUCAGCCUUCGGAAUUUUUCUUCUUGUGCAUGUACCGUUAGAUUCCAAAAAUAAAAGUAGUCUCCUUAAAUAAGGGUUGUGGACCAUAGGAAUAUGAUUGACUAAAUAUAUAAUUCUUUUAAAAAAAAUGAAAAAGAAAAAGUAGUGGCGCCUAACAAAUUGAAAACUAUGAUUUGGUUCAAUAAUUCAUUGUUUUUAAUGUUACUUAUUUAUUCUACGCUACCCCAAGAUUCAUUUCAAAGGGCAUCUUAGGUGUACUUUUGUAACACCUAAGAGUUUGCAUAGUAAUUAAUUAUAUUUAUGUCUUGUAUAAGCAAUGAAAUUUACAAGAGUCCGACUUCUCAUAAUAUUGAAAAUAACAGCAAAAAAGCUUAUAAUUUCAAAGAAAUUUACGUGCAUUUAAUUGAGUAAUAACCAUACAAAUCUGAUCAUUGAUAGUAUGAGAAAAGUUUUAAUAAUCAAGCCAUGUUAACUGUUUCUUGGUUUCAGAAUUUUCUACUUGUCAUUUUUAGUGUUAUUCAUUUUUCCUUUGAGUCGAUCAUCUUCCAUCACGCCUAAGAACAAACAAACAACUAAUUCCUAAGAAAAAUUCAAUAUAUCCAAAGGAAUUCUCAGACAAUAAUAAUCUUGUGAUGCAGUAACGUGCUUUAUGAAACUACUUUUUUCCAUUACUUUCUCAUAAUUGUUGCAACGAUCUUCGAGUGUUUUUUUCUUGAAUUUUUUUAGUAGGUUACACCUCCAAAAAUCAAGGUAGGCAACACCACACUUGCAUCUUCGACGCACGUUUUUUAGGUUAGAUGCUUGAGUUACUCGUGAACAAUCUUUAUAUUUUGCUACUAUUUAGUUUUGAUGGUGGGUUGGAUCAAUAAAUUCUAAUUUCAUGACCAAACCCGAGAACACUAGUUGUUAAAUAAUUGUCUAUGAAAAUUGUAAUAUCCUACUGUACAUCUUUAAAUAUCCACUCUUACAAUAAUUUUGCAGAUUAAUUUGGGUAUAUUGGAUUUGUGGAGGAUAGUGAUAUGGGCUGCCAAGUGAUUGAAGAAAAAAUAAAUGUUAAUUUUUCUAUCCUUCAAUUUAUUAGUUAGUUUAAUUUAUUCAUAGGCGUAUUAUUUAAUUAGUUACGUGAUUAUUUUCUAAAGAUACAAUUUUCAUAUUUUGUUUAAAUUUAUGGAUGUUCAAGUUAUUUUAUUUUAAAGAAAUUUAUUGUCAUUGUUUCCCAUUUAACGUAAAGAUAAGUAUGUUAUUGGUAACACUCCAAGGUUCAUGAAAAAUUGGGGUGUUAUAGUUUUGUAUCAGAGCACUGGUCCGCCGUCCUAUAGACAUUUAAAAAAAAAAAUUAAAGAAGAUGUAAAAAAAAAAUAAAAGCUCACUGUUCAUGUAAACGGUAUGGUACUGUUCAUGUGAAUAGUGCCGAACAGUGACCGCUACUAUUACUUUAAAAAAAGGGGAAAAAAUACAUAAGGGCAUUUUUUUUUUUUUUUUUUAAGUUGGAUGUUAAAUGUUAAUAAAUUUUAAAUUGAUUUUGAAUGGUGAUAGUUUAGACUUUAAAUUAUUAUAGUUAAAUGCUUAUGUUUUAGAUUUUACAUAUCAUAAAUGUUUAUGUGUGAAACACAGCUGCAAAAGCGUUGUAGUGCUGCAAGACGUAAUUUCGUCGGGUAUUGCUUGAUCAGUGGGCCCUAAUAAAUGACAAAAUAAUAAGAAUUAUUGGUUAAAAAAUGACCAGAAUUUAUAUAUAGAAAAUAAUUUAAGUCGUCCCAUUACAGCUAAAAUUCUAAUUAGGAUUUUAUUUCCGGCCCACAUACUUAAAAUUAAAACAUCAAAUUAAUUAUAAACCGUAAGGUGUAAUAGACACAAUUGAUCACUUAAUAAAUUUGGCUCAAACACAAAUAUCAUUAUGAGCCAUACAUCUAACCCGUAAAAUUUGCAGUCGAAUGUGAAGCCCACAUAUGAAAUUAUUAAUUAUUCCAACAUUCUCCUACUUGGACAAACAUUUGAUUGCCAUAACAGCGUUUUAACACCCGGCUUAAACUACAUAAGUGGCCACAAAAAGUAUAGCUCCAAUGAUGACACCUUACGUAACAUGAUCCGGUUCAACAAGAAUAUUAACACCGAACAUGGAAGUCAUUACACCAAUUAAGCGAUGUAAGACCAUUCCACAGCUACAAAUGUCAACAUCCUUAUCGACAUGGAUCCCCAUCCUCCAACCAAUGUGGUAGUAUGUGGUAUGAAUUUAGCACCAAAUGUGAACAAAGCUGUGUUAAUUCAUAUCGGUCCUCAUAAUGCUUCUGAUUAAAAUGAAGCCACAUAUCUUUAAAAGAAACUCAUAUUAUGUCUUUACAUGUCAUAUCUCAAGAUCACAAUAAUAUUAUAAUAAAAGACAUAAGUCAAAUGCAUGCUCAAAACAGUCCAUGGGUAAGGGAAAAAUAUUUUACUGUCAGAAGGGACUGUACCCGAAAACAUAUGGAUUGCCUACGUACCCCGCAAAAGGAUCAAGCUCAAAAUGUAGUUCUUUACAUAAAUAACUCCCACUAACCAAAAAUAUCAAAUGUUUCCACAAUACCCAUAUUAGUAACAUGUGUCUUAAAGACUUUUGGAGCGAGUCCCUUAGUCAAGGAAUCUGCAAUCAUUGCCUCUGUAUUGAUAUGCUCUAUUUUCGUCUCCCUUCUUUGACUCUGUCUCUAACAACCAAAUAUUUGAUAUGAAUAUGCUUUGACCUACCAUAACUUUUAUUAUUCUUUGAAAAGAAUACUGCUGCACUAUUAUCACAGUAGAUGGUGAUUGGUCUUGAGAUGGAAUCAACAACUUUCAAGCCAGAGAUGAAAUUUCUUAACCAAACGACUUGGACUGUAGCCUUAUAACAUGCCACAAAUUCAGCUUGCAUAGUAGAAGAUGCUACUAGAGUCUUUUUAGCACUUUUUCAGGAAAUAGUACCAUCAGCUAAUGUAAAAAUAUAACCUGAGGUUGAUUUCAAAUCAUCUUGACAUCCAGCAAAAUCAGAAUCUGAAUAUCCUACCAUCUCAAGAUGAUUUGUACGUUGGAAUAUAAGCAUAUAACCUUCAGUUUUCUUCAAAUAUCUCAUAACUUUCUUAGCUGUUUUCCAAUGUUCUUAUCCUAGAUUAGAUUGAAAUAUGUUAAGAACACUUACUACGUAGGCUAUAUCCGGUUUAGUGCAAACUUGAGCAUACAUCAAGCUCUCUAUAGCACUAGCAUAUGGAAUCAUCUUCAUAGAUUCCCUUUCUAGCUCAUUCCUUGGACAUUGAGUUUUGUUAAAUUAAUCUCCUUUUAUGAUAGGUACAUCACCAGGUGUACAAUUUUGCAUAUUAAACCUUUUUAGAACACGUCGUAUAUAAGCUUUUUAAGAAAGUCCCAAUAAGCCAUGAUUUCUAUCACGAUAUAUUUCAAUGCCAAGUACAUAGAAGCUUCUCUAAGAUCUUUCAUCUCAAAAUUAGCAGACAACAUUUUCUUUGUCUCAUGAAGCAACCCUAAGUUACUGCUAGCAAGCAGAAUGUCAUCAACAUACAGUACGAGGAAAAUAAAAUUUCUCCCACUGAUUUUAAGAUAAAUGCAUUGAUCAAUAGUAUUUUCAACAAAACCAAGAGAUGUCACAACCUCAUCAAAUUUCAAAUACCACUGUCAAUAUGCUUGCUUAAGUCCAUAAAUAAUUUUUUUAACUUACACACCAAGUUUUCUUUUCCUUUCACAACAAUACCUUCAGGCUGUUUCAUAUAAAUCAUUUCAGAAAGAUAUUCAUUCAAAAAUGUAGUCUUAACAUUCAUUUGAUGAAGUUCCAAAUUGUAGUGUGCCACAAGAGCCAUGAUAAUUCGAAAUGAAUCUUUCGACGAAACAGGGGAAAAGGUUUCAACAUAAUCAAUGCCCUCUCGCUGAGUGAAACCUUUUGCAACCAAUCUUGCUUUCUUUCGUUCAACAUUUCCUUUUGAAUCUAAUUUACUUUUGAAAAUCUACUUGUUAUCUACAGCCUUAGCAUCUGGAGGAAGUUCAAGAAGAUCCCAAACUUUAUUCCUUUCCAUGGAAUUCAUUUCAUCUUCCAUGGCAGCUAUCCAUUUAUCUGCAUCAGGACUUGUCAAUGCUUGGUUAUAAGUUAUAAGAUCAACAAUAUGCCAAAUAUUAAAAUCGAUCUCCAAUAAUUAUGCAAUAUAAUCACUGGGAAAUGCAGAUCUUCUUGCCCUUUGUGAUCUCCUAACUUGUGGCUCAGGAACCGAUUCAAUCGUUGUUUGAAGAAUUGGAGAUUCCUCCUGGUUCCUCAGUUUUUCAUUAACAACUUCAAUUGGUUGAGAACCAACUCUUUCCUGUAUGACAGGAACUGGAACAAUAACUUGAUUAGGUUCAACAAGAAUUUCUCUCAACGUGGAACUCCUACUAACUCCAAAAUUGUUCUCCAGAAACUUAGCAGUAAUGGACUCCACAAUUUUAGUGCCGAGAUUUGGACAGUAGAACUUAUAUCCCUUUGAUGUAUCCGGAUACCCAAUAAAGUAGCCAGAAGUUGAUUUAGGGUCUAUUUUCUUUUCAAAUGGAUCAUAAAUCCUAACCUCAGCUGGACAUCCCCAAACUUUAAAGUGAGCCAAACUUGGCUUACAUCUUGUCCAUAAUUCAAAAGGUGUCUUUGCAACAGCUUUACUUGGAACUCUGUUCAAAAUAUACAUAACAGUUUUCAAAGCUUCACCCCACAAAUAUUCAGGCAAAUUUGUUCUACUCAUCAUACUUCUAACCAUAUCUUUUAGGGUUCGAUUACGUCUUUCAGAAACACCAUUCUGCUCAGGUGUCCCUGACAUGGUGUUAUUGGGGCACUAUUCCACACUCUUGUUAAAACUUUGCAAAAUCACCCAUAUUUUGACCAGACUCGUUAUAUUUCCUAUAGUACUCACCACCUCGAUCAGAUCUAACAACUUUGAUACUUUUUCCACAUUGUUUCUCUACUUCUAGUUUGAAAACUUUGAAUUUCUCAAGUGCGUGUGAUUUAUCGUUAAUCAAGUAAACAUAUCCAUAUCGGGAGAAAUCAUCAAUAAAGGUUAUAAAAUAUUUGUUCCUACAUAUGGUGGAAGACAAAGGUUCGCUGAUAUCAGUGUGAAUUAAGUCCAAAAUUCCAUUACUCCUAGUCGAACCCUUUCUUGUAGAUUUAGUUAGCUUUCCUCUUAUACAAUCCACACAGGUUUCAAAAUCAAAGAAGACUAGAGAAGGAAGUAUCUCAUCUUUUUCUAAUAUUUCCAUUCUACCCUUAGAGAUAUGACCUAAACGCUUAUGCCACAACAUAGAGGAUGAUUCACGAAUUAAAGUUCUUUUCUUUGAUACAUUGGUAACACAUGAGACAUCACCAAAAGAAGCUAAAGAUAAUUUAUAUAAACCAUCACAUAAAAUGUCAUUUCCAAUCAAACGAGAAUCAUUAAAUAACUUAACCAUUCCACUACCAAAAUUAAAUGUAAAACCACAAGCAUCAAGUUUCGGUAUAGAAAUUAAAUUUCGUCUCAUCUGCGGUACAUAAACUGUAUUUUUCAAAACAAGAUAAAAAUCAGACUCUAAAGUUAACUUCACUACUCCUAUGAAUUCAACCUUCACUUGAAAUCCAUUUACAACGCUUAAGCUUACUUCAUUCUCACUUGGCCUCCGUUUGCUUGUGAACCCCUGCAAGGAAUUCGCAAUAUGAAUACUAGCUCCCGAGUCUAACUACCAAGAAUUCAAAGGCACAUCUACUAAAGAAGAUUCAAAACAAACUAAGGCCAAGGGAAUACCUGGAGAACUCUUCUUCUUUUCCAACCAAGUCUUGAACUUAAAACAGACUUUUUGCCAGUGACACUUCUUUUUACAGAACUUGCAUUGAUCAUUUUUUUUAUAACUCCUUUGGGAUCACUAAAAUUUUUAUUCUGCUGACUUCUGUGCGACUUAUUACCCUUACGAAACUUAGGUUUAUGAUUAUGAGAAAGCCCCUUAUUCUGUGAUGGCUGAAAAUCUAAUUGCACAGUUUGAACAGUUUCACGACGCAUCCUAUACUCUUCUUGGGCACGCACUACUAUGAGGUCAUUCAAAUUCCAUUUAUCCGCUGAGCAUUGUAAGCAAUCUUAAGCUGAUUAAACUUGCUAGGAAGGCUAUUCAAAACAUGAUAGACCAGGAAAGGCUCCGCAAUGGGAAUGUCAAGAGCCUUUAGCUUAGAUGAUAUAUUUAUCAUUUUCAUGACAUGCUCCCUAACACCACUUGUGUCAUCAUAUCUCAUGCUCAUCAAUUUAUCCAUCAGAUAUCCAGUUUUGGCUUUAUCAGACUCAACAAAUUUUUCGCCUAUAGCAUCCAUAAAACUUUUGGCAUUUUUAUUAUCAGGGAUGACACCUGAAAUGGAAUCAGAUAUCGAUCGGUUAAUAAUUUUCAAACAGAGUUUGUUAGCCCUUUCCCACUUUUCAUGCUCGGCUACAUAUUCAACUGUACUCUUAUUUGUGGGUUCCUCAAGCUUUUUCUCCAUUCCAAAAUCUAAGCCCAAAAGACCAAGUGUUAUUUCUACAUCUCGUUUCCAUCUCACAUAGUUAUUCCCAAUCAAAGUUUCAAUAGUAGACAAUUGAUUCGAAAGAGAUGAGACAUUAUAAACUGUUGAAACAUAAAAUAUCACACUCAAUAUCAUCCAAACGUAAUGCAUGCAAUCAAAUGGAUGAUGACAUAUCCAACUAAUUAAUAUGGGCUAUUAAUUAGAUAAUAUGUAAUUUAAAUCGAAACAUAUGAAUUUUAUUACGGUAAGAGCUUAGAUGCAUCAUCAUAAAGUCACAUUUGGGUCGACAAUACAACAUACUAUAAGAUACUCUUAAAAUACAUCAUGUAGUCGGUUAACAAAAUUAUACUGAUUUUCGAAACACCAACACCUUUGGGCAUAAGAAAAUUUCUAAACCAAAAUAAGCUCGUUAACUGUCUUAUGUCAUUUUCUAAAAACAUUACAUAUAAUAACACCUUUAGGCAAGAUAUUAUAUGUAAUAAAUCAAAAUUGUUGUGCAAAAAAAAAAAAGAGAGAGAGAGAGAAAACCGAAUAAAUAAUAAUGAGUGUGCCACUUUGGCAACUACCACCAAUUUUUAUUUCAAAAUAUUUCUCUUUGUGGGAAGAAUACGGAUCGUCUCAAAUCCAUAAAAAAUUUAAUCCCAGAAGUUAUGCAACAAAUAAUGAUCAUUAAUUGAUUAAAGACAAGAAAUUCAUAUGUGAUUAAUAUUAAGAAACGAAAUUGGCAACAAAAUUUCAAAAUGAAAUUGAAUGCAUAAAUAAUGGCAAUACAUAACAUUUUAAUGAAAUAAUACAAAAGUCGUCAAUUAAUUUUAUUAUUUAUUCAACAUAUAAUUUAAUCGGGUCAAGUUUAAAUAAAAUUUCAAUUGGGUCAAAAUUGAAAUAUUGGAGUGAGGACUUUUAAAUCCAAUUUCAAAAUUCAAAUUUAAUCACCUUCCAAAAAUUGCACUCUGACCCCAUGUCUGAAAUUAAAACCAGGUCCUUUAGUUUCUUUACUUACAAGUAGGCCCUUCUCUUAUUAUUUACAAACUUAACUCCCAAUCUGUAAUUGCAAACAGGGGCUAGGAAAUUAGCAAUUUACAACAGGAGCCCCCCGUCUACAUCUCUGUCAAAACGACAGAAACUGAAACUUUUUUUUUUGUUUUCGCGUGCCAGUAGUACCCGGUGUCGCUGCUGCCGGCACUGUUGCCGCAAAAUGCAGCAGUAGCUGGCGGCCACCCCCCCCCCAAAUUUUUUUUAUUUAACAUUAGAACAAUCAUUGGGCAACUAAGAUCCAACAUAUAUAUACAUACAAUUAAAGUACUUAGCUUUGUAGAUCCCAUUAUUGCACUGCGAUUAAAUAAAGCAGCAAGAAACAAAAAAAAAAAGAAAAAAAUCCAUAGCGGAUAGCCGAUUAAACCAAAAUACAAUCUAAAGCAACUGAAAAUCUUAAAAUCCACAAUUUUCGUAGGCAUUAUUAUACGCAUAUAUAUAUAUAAGAGGAAAAGCAUUUAUUGUUCUUGCUUGUGGGUUACUCAACCACGUGAAGGAAAUACGAAUUAAUUCAAUGACACAUAUAAUUUUAAUGUAUGCACAGAAGACGUUUUUCAAAGUGAGAUAAGAAAAAAAAAAUCAUGAAGGAUUUCGAUCUUAACAUGCUGCUCUGAUACCAAUUAUUAAUAUUUAGUUUUAAUCAUGUUAAGAAUCAAUAAUCACAAUCCAAUAAAUUAAUAGAAACGAAUUCAUACAUGCGGAAGCCAUUGUUGAUAUAAAUAAUAAUUGUAAUAGCAGCCAAUAUCUUCCCCUCCUUGCUCCUCACAAAAGUAUUAGCUAUCAAUGGGGCAAGCCAAUAAAACAUAUGAAAAGGAGAGGGGACCUAACCUUUAAAUAUAGGAAAUAAUUUGAGCUGUCCCAUUACGACUAGAAUUCUAAUUAGGGUUUUAUUUUCGGCCCACAUACUUAAAAUUACCACAUCAAAUUAAUUACAAUCCGUACGGUGUAAAAGGCCCAAUUGGUCACUUAAUAAAUUUGGCCCAAACACAAAUAUCAUUAUGAGUCAUACAUCUAACCCGUAAAAUUUGCAAUCGAAUGUGAAGCCCACAUAUGGAAUUAUUAAUUAUUUCAACACAAACACCAUGUUUAAGUAAAUAAAUUUAUGCGUUCUCUAAUUGUUUUCUGUCUGAACCUGCAUAAUUAGCCACAAACACCAUGUUAGGUUGGUUGCAGGCAUGACCGAAGAACCCUUUAACCAAUCAGCUUUCGAAUAAUGUUUUUCCGACAGGUUUAAGAUUUUUGUUUUGUUUUCUACAUACAUUGGAGGUCCUCUAACAAAAGAACACAACAGUACCCGCAUGAAGAAACCGCAUGAAGAAACCAAGAAAACUCAUUAUGAAGGAAAUUUGGGACUAGUACCCGCAUGAAGAAACCAAGAAAAUUUUGUAGGGAAGGAUGCACGAUAAGGGAGGAGCUUUCGUAUUUCUAAUUCAGAAGAGAAGAUGGAUUGUUAAUUAUUUGAAGCAAACAAAACCCUGUUUGAGAUUGACAAAAAAAUCAAAUCAAGAAUAUUGCAACCUCUCCAUGAAGAAAGCGAAAGGAGCUAACGCCACUGAAGCUAAAGCCUGGGUAAACAACAAACACAUAAGGACUCAUAGCAGGCGAAAUUUUUUUCACAUUUUAUAUGAGUAUUGUUUAUGCGAAAUGGAAUGAAAUAAAUUGUCACUGAAAGAUAAAUGUAAUUGAAGUUAUUCUUUUCACAUGAUUAGGACUUAGCAAACCGUUAGGAUGACUAGAAAUAGUCCAACAUACCUACAUAGUGCUCAAAUUGUUAUCCUGAACUACAUAAAUUAUAAAGUGAGAGGAAGCGAACACUUGUUGAGCAUGUUGAAGAUUUCCUAUUUUAGUGGGAGCAAGCAAGAUUGUUCAGAUAUAAUAAGGGGACAAUUCUCUCAACAUGUCAUUUUAUAAGCAAUAUGCAACCUCAGCGGAUAAACAUGGCCUAUUUCAUGAGGGAUAUGAGAAGAUUGGGAUAGAAUUGAUUUUAAGAGAUGCCAUGAGGAUAUUAUAAUCUUAUGGAACCAUAGACAAUAGGAGCCAAAGCUUGAACCAAGCUCCAAAGCUAGAGCUUGAACCAGACCCAAGGGAGGAGCCUGUAUCAGAACCAGAAAAGAAAAUCAAACCAGAGUUGGAGGAAGACCCCGAGUAAGUAUUCGGCCUACAAAACUUCAUUGAUUUGGUUACGAAUUCUAAGCCCAAGUCAUACAUUACUUCAGAUGAUAGGACUCUCCAAAAAAGAUUCUUAGGACUCACAGAGACUAGAAAUAGAUGUUAUUUACUCUGUUUGGGAAAUUUUUAUUUUUAUAUAGGAAACAAAAUAUUACACUUAGAGAUUUGAGUAAUAUGAGAGAAAGUUUGAACAUCUCUCUAGGUACACACUAUACCUAGUGAACAGAGGCAAAGAAAGCAAUGAGGUUCAAAUUGAGAUUGCAUUUGGAGAUUGAUGGAAUAUUGGCAUCCCACCAAUUCACCACUUAUAGUCGGGUUGUGCAAACUGCCCAGGCAAUUUCAAAUAUAUUAGAGAUUGACCAAACUUUUAAGCAAUGUGCCAAGCCUUCUGGAAAGCAAAAAUGGAAUGGGUCCAACAAAGAGAAAUGAAAUGGAAAAAACAAGAAAAUUAACAUUGGAUCAAGUUUUGGACAAACUGUUUCGCUGAGUCCAAAGUGUAACAAGACACAUAAGGGUAAAUGUUUAUUUGGGAAUAAUGUGUGCUAUCGAUGCGGUAAGCAAAUCAUAUUGCUUAAAACUGAAAAGAAGCCUUCUCGAAGAAAGAUAACGAGCAAGAAAAGAAAAGGAAUAGCAAAGCUUUUGCUUUAACUCAGGAUUGGGCAGCAAAUGACUCAAAUGCAGGUAAUUCUGAGAAUGAAAUUCCUUUUAGGAGAGAAGAUUGUUAAGUCUCGAAAUUUGAUAGAAUAGAAUUUUUUAACCCAGAUUUUUUUUUAUAUAUUUUGAUAAUUAAGGGAUUCAAGUGAAAUAGUAUUAAUUUCAAAUUUUUUGGCCAAAUAAUUAAGUAUUGAUGGAGUGAAGAUAAGUAUAUCAAUAUUGGUCUCUUCUAGAGCUUGUAAUUAAUUAGAAAAAUUUGCUCGAGAAAAAAAUAUUUUGGAUAAAUUUAAACUGGGUUAGAGUCGAUUGAAUGAGACCAAGGUUAGAUAGAAUCUUAGAAACUUGAAUUUUAUAUUAUUGUCUACUUCUUUCUUAGCCUCCCACUUGAUGCUUACUAGAAACUAUUAGAGGAAGACCAAUCAAACUCUGCUUUUUGAAGAAAAUCUUUACCCAAAUAGUAAAACCCAUUCCUAUUUAAAUACUUUGCAGUCUGUGGCUAACUCUUAGUAGAAUAGAAGUACAAUUGUAAUACUAGACAAUGGCGGACACAGACAUUUUGAGUCAUAAAGCUCUAUCAAACUCUGUACAAAUCGAAUAUUUUGUUCUUGAUUUUUGGAUGAUUCAUAUCUAGCCCAAAAAAGUAAAGAUUUACAUUUAAAAAAUAUUUCUUUAUUAAUAUUUUACUCAUCUUUUUCAUCCAUUUGAUUUUGGAUAGUCAUUUUAUUAAUAUUUGCUCAUUACAAGAAAAUGCAUAUUUACGGUUAAAAAAUUUAUAAGAAUUCAAGUAAUCUAAAGAAAAAAAUAUAUAAUCAAUAUUUAACACUAAUAAUCAAUCAAAUAAUGCAAUUUGUUAAAUAUAAAUUAAAUUAGAUAUAAUCAGUUAAGACACAUUCUAUAUACUGUCACUUUUUUUUUAUAUACUGCAAGUGUUAAGUUACUUAAUAUAAUAAUGGAGAUAGAGUGUCGAACCACUGGGAUUGUAAUUUAAUUUCAUACAAAGUACUAUAAUUAUAUAGCCUUUAUAUUAUCUAAAUGGAAAGUUAUGAAAUCAAUAUUUAUAAACUAAUCUAGUGAUGAAUAUGGUGACGAAUUCAACUAUAUCAUAACAAAUUUGAAAGAUUAAUCAAGAUAAGAAAGUCUAAUAUUUGAUUUUACCUAACUAUCAAAUAUAAUUCUCAAUUAUCUAGUUAUCUCUAAACAACUUUUCCAUGUUUAUAAGAAAGAACUCAAUUGUAUUUCUAUCCCUUCCCAAGAACGUUGGCUAUAAAUUAAUCAUAAAUUUCAAUUCCAAUAUCUUUCUUCCGAGUUAAAACCAAGAAUUUAUCGAGUUAAUGGUUUUUUAAUGGAGUAAGCCUCAUAGAUUCUACACUUUCUCUCGAAAUCUAUAAAAUCUAUGUUGUGUUAAUUUUAUGAUCGCUCCUAAAUUCUCUUUUCUCAAGUGCCAAAAUUGACUAGCAUCUUCUCAUUCAAUUAGUGAUCAAUUAAUUGAAGCAUUAAAAUCAUAACAAAAAUAAACGGAAUGGAAAAUUUCAUAGAAUUCUAUAACUUAAAUAAAUUCAAAACAUACUCUCAAGUUUUAACUAAUCAAACCCUAGAUUAGAUGUUUAGUUCAUGGCAGAAGCCAUAAAAUUAAUCAAAUUCAAAUAAAAAACAUAGAAAAACUAGUUUUGGUAGAUAUUCAAUCUCCUUUGUAAUGUUCUUGAUUUCUCCUUGAUUUCUAAAUGAUUGCUUGCUUCUUGCCUCCUUCUUGACCGUUUGAAUUCUCCCCCAAUUGUGGUCUUUAGGUUUGUAUUAUAGUAUUUUGAAGUCUUAGACGAAUUAGGGUUGGAGAGGACCAAGAAAAAAUUCCAAAAAAUUUUAAAAUUCCUUUUUCUCACCUAGCGGUGCUGCACCUUGGGUGCCGCGAUGUUGUUGAUUUUCAACAAGACAGGUGCAAUGGCACUCACUUCAAGUGGAAAAAAAACAUUGUACAUCUUUUAGUAUUAUUAUCAUAACUUAUCCCUGAUUAAAGUGAUUCGAGCUACGUUGAAAAGCUAGCUCAAAGGAAUACAACUUUGCUUCAGAUAUCAUUUUCCUGUUCGAAUGUUUGCUGUGUCAAAAAUGGGUCUUAAUAUGAAAUUAAAAAUUCGGAGCAUAACUUUUUCAGUUGGAGAUAGAUGUGUGAUCAUACUUUGGCUAUAUUUUAUCCCUUUGACAUUUUUCUUUAUCCAGCUGACUCCUAGAAUUCUCGAAUCUUCAUUGUGAGGUCCGAGACAACUUUUGAGCAUUUACACUUUAGUCCUCCAACUUUGGAUCUCUUACAAUUUAGCCCAUUUUCCUAUUUUGCCAACUUUUGCUUAUUUUCUUCAAUUUCAUCCACCUAUGUCACAAAAUUAAAGCACACAUUAAAAUCUCUAAAACUCAUAGGAAUUAACUAAAUAUCAUGCUUAGAUGGUGCCUAAAGUAUGAAUAAAAUACACUCAUCAAAUAUCCCCAAACUUAAUACUUUGCUAGUCAUCCGACAAACAUUAAACAAAAAGUAACUAACUAACAAAUACUUAAACAAAAAAAUUUAAUAAAAGAAAACACAUAAACAAAUUUAGUUAGAUAGUUUGUCUUUAUAGCACAUGAUUGAAAACAUAAUAUCAAUUAUGAACCACAACAAAGUUAUAAUGUAAAAGCUAAAUUCUGACCUAUUCAAUGCAAAAUGAGCGUGUGUAUGAAAAGUUAAGUGCAACGCUGCACAUUAAUAAUUUGAUCCAAUUCCUGAUCUUAAAAAGUCAAAUAUUUACUUACUUCACUUGUGCGAUUCACAUAUCUCCAAACUUGUUUUCUUUUUCACUUUCGUGGUGUAUUCUAAAGUUGAUUUUCAAUAAUGAUUUCUUACACCACUCAAAUUUGGUUAGAAUUUAUUUAUUGCAGCUCAACAUAUCAACAAAUGAAGAUUCUCCUGAUUUUUGACUGCUUCAACCGCUUGAAUAAACUUUUCCUAUAUUUAGACUAUAUGAAAUUAUUGACAACAACCUUAUCUUCAGACUUCCUCCUUUUUUUUUUGACUUUGUUUGAUAAUUGAGUACUAGUCUUUUUCUUUACGUCUUUUCAUCUUUCUAUAUUUGCUUUCUCUUUUCUUCAUUCUCAAUUGUUGCACCUAUAUGUCCAUCAUUUCAAUGUAAGCUUCUUCUAAAUCUGGAUCCAUUUCAUUGUCUUUUACAUCAGAUAUGUAUUCUUCUUCUUCUUAAUACUUUUUUGUCAUCAGGCAAACAUCAAACAAAAAUUAACUAACUAAUAAACACUUAAACAAACAAAUUUAAGAAAAGAGAACACGUAAACAAAUUUAGUUAGAUAGUUUGUCUUCAUAGCAAAUGAUCGAAAAUGUAGUAUCGAUUAUGAACCACAUCAACGUUAUAAUACAAAAGCUAAAUUUUGACUUAUUCAAUGCAAAACGAGCGUGUGUAUGAAGAGUUAAGUGCAACGCUGCACAUUAAUAAUUUGAUCCAAUUUCUAACCUUAAAAAGUCAAAUAUUUACUUACUUCACUUGUGGGAUUCACACAUCCCCAAACUUGUUUUCUUUUUCACUUCUCGAUGUGUAUUCUAAAAUUGAUUUUCAAUAAUAAUUUCUUACACUGCUCAAGUUUGGUUAGAUUUUACUUAUUGUAGCUCAAUGUAUUAACAAAUGAGGAUUCUCCUGAUUUUUGACUACUUCAACCUCCAAGAAUCAACCAAGUUACUAACAUAUUAUCAAAAGACUGGUCUUCUAAAACAAGUGUCUUCUAUUUUAUGCACCAUCUUUUACAUACAUACAUAUACAUACACACAUACACACACACACAUGUGUGCACGCGUGCUGUGGCAAUUAAUACAAUUAAUAAAAAGUCUUUGUAGUAAGAAUAAGAAAAACUCCAAGUCUUAUUUAUGGUUUAAAAAAAAAGUUUGACGUAAGAAAAAUAUGUGACAAUUAAAUACGUAGAAAGUGAUGGAAAGUGACAAAUCUUGACCAAUUAAUAAAGUGAGAGUUAAAAAUGUUUUUUAAACGAAUUACAAAAGUCUUCAAGAUACGUAACCUAAAUAGAAAGCCUACUAACCAGUUCCAAAAAGUCUAUUAAGAUAAUAAAAUUUUCUCUCAGAAAUGGAAUCUUUAUCUUUAUUUUCUCUUAUAAUUUUUAUGUCGUUUUGCCUUUUAUUAUAAUCUUCAGGAUCCUUUAUUAACAAACUCUGACACUGAAAGAUAGAAAGCUUAGUGAUUUGCGUAUUGAUCUGUAAAGAGAAGUCACCUCUAUUUAUAUCUAGUGCGAAUAAUAUAUGGCUUUCUAUAAGAAUUAUUCUACCAAUUUCUCGAUUUUCUAAACAAAUAUCAGUAAAUUCUUUAAAACUUUCUAUUGAAAAACAAAGAAAAGUAGAUGAUGUAUAAUUGUCUAAUGACAUAAAAUAUUAGAAUUAAAAAUCAAUAUGUUUGUAAUGGAUUUAGAGUACUUUAUUGUUUAGCAAAUUAAUUUUUUCAACUUUUUUUUUUUUUUAACUCUCUCUUAACUUUUUUCUUGACCUUUUAAGAAAAGCUUAAGACUAUAGUUAAAAAGACUUUCAUCAUGUUUAAAAAAGUUUAAACAAACUCCCAAAAUCGAGAUACAAAACAAUCAGCUUAAAUUAGAGGAUUACUUUAUCUUAUUAAUCAUGGAAUCCAGAAUAAAGAGGUUAAGAGCAUUAUAAUAUAGAAACAAUAAAAAGAUAAUUUUUUUCUGGAUCAAUUAAUUGCUUACUUAGUGUACCCCCUUAGUCGAGCCUCUUUUUUCCUAAGCUUAUUCACUUAGUCAAGCACUUAUUCUCCUAAGUGAACCACUUAGUUGAGCCACUAUUUUUCAAAGUGUACCAACUUAGUCGAGUCUUUAUUUUCCUAAGUGCACCUACUUAGUUGAGCAUAUAUUCUCCUAAGUUCACUUGUUUAGUGGAGCCUAUAUUUUUCUAAGUGUAUCAGCUUAGUCAAGCCUCCAUUCUCCUAUAUGCAUCCACUUAGUUGAGACUCAACUGCAUAUAUUUAGAGCAUCACCUCUAAAUCAGCUUCAACAUAGCUACUUACCUUCAAAGCUUUGCCUCUACCCAAAAGUCCACUUAUUUAAUGAAAUUCAUAAUUGGACUUUUAAGACUAUUGUGAUACUAUCAUCCUAGUAGCAUUACAUUGUUACCGUUAGCACAUGCAUUGUAUUAUUGCUAGCAUGUCAUGAUGCUAUUUUCACUACCGCCAGUAUGCAUGCCACAUCAUCUAUAUUACCAUUUUAUUAUCGCUAGGAAGUAACUUUCUUUACACUAGCAAUACUUUUGUACUAAGCUGUGCAAGCAUAUGAUCCACUAUGAUACACGAUAGGCUCUCUAUACGUUAUAUUUUUUAGAAAUAUGAUUUGCUAUAAUUUUCUUUAUCGUCAUGAGAAUUUUGAUGGAAAAUGGGCCCCAUUUUAUUUUGUAUAUGUGAGUAGAGAUAUAGCAUUAUAUCUCAGGUAGGUGUAGUCUAUUAUGGAAGAGAUGUUAAAAUUUUGGUAAAUCAUAGUGUGAUAUUUUAAAGAUAGUUCGUAAGCCUUCACUUAUUAGAUUUGCUCAUUUUCAAAGGCUAUCUGUAGGCCUUCAUAUUUUAGAGACUAUUUCAACUCUUAAUGUGUUCGCAACAUAUAAUUUUUAUGCAAUUUGUAAGCCCUCUUAGUUGACAACUUAUAUUUCAAAGUCUAACCUGCACUUGAAAAGACGGCUCAAUCUUGGGGACUAUUGUCUAUAAACUAAGUGGCAUGCAUGUGAUGGAAGGGGUCUCACAUUUACUGACUCAACAAUCAAUUAUGUCCAAUGGAUAUGACCUAUUUAAUUAAACAUCAUGUCCUUGUACUUACUCCCAGUUCAAUAGUCCAUCUUCGCCCAUUUUCUCCCCUUAUAUAGGUGAGCUCAUUUCUCACACAAGGUAAGAUUAUUCUAGCCUUAGCCAAAUCAUCUUCUUCCAUCUCUUUCACUCAUUCUCUCUCAUUCGGUCAUUGAGUUGAAUAUCAGAGUGUGAACGGUUAUUGGACCGUUUUCUCAAUCGCUGAUUUUUACCUUCUAACAGUGUGUUCCAGCAUAUAGGUAUUACCUCUAUGGAGGGGAGGCGUCGGGGAUUCUGUUAGCCACGUAUUCAUUGGAUUUUGAAGUCAACAUUAUUUUUUGAAUGUAGAAUCAUGUUUUCUCAAUUGAUAUCUCUUUCUUGUUUGUCAAUUUUUGUCAAGUCUGUUGAAUGAGCAUGAGCUCCAGAAAUAUGGCUAUAACUAGUAGAACAAACUUUUUGAGGACGAGAACUCCUAUCAAAUGACGUUGUCCUGUUAUUCAAUUAGGAUCCAAUAGUUGGAAAUCAUCUUUUUUCAUCACAAUUACGGAUUGUGUUGGGAGAAAACGGGCUGCCCAUGUGGGUUGACCCGACCCAGUUUGCAUGAAGAUGAAUUUGGAGGGAAGAGUUGGAAAUUAGAUUUGAAACUUAACCUCCCUCAAUCAACUUCUUCUAUAUAACUUCCUUCCCAUCAAAAACUGAAAAUAUACAUGGUGAAACUCAAAUUUCCAAAAUGAGAGAAAACAAAAUGAGUGUUGUGGCUUGAUUUUGGAAUAAUAACACCUCAAAUUUGGUUAUUGGAUUGUGGCUAUCAAAUUCCUUCCAUUGUGAUCGAAUUUCUGACCAAGAAGUGGGUACAAAACGGUGUGGAAAGCAAGCAAAUCAAAAGCAAGUAAUUCAACCUUGAUUUUGAGAUUUCAUACAAGUAUCGCUGCUUAAACUCGGUUAUAAGCAUGCAAGCACGUUUUACGUUGUAUAUAACUUAUUUCGACUCCAAUUUCACAUUCAAUAGCAUAAGCAAAAAGAGGGUUGUUUAAUUGCUUGUUAUUUUUUUUAUUUGUUAGGUGUUGAAGUGGCUGAGAGAUUUGCAUAUUGUGGAUAAAUUUGAAUUGAUAAGCUAUUUGAUGCAUCCAUUGGGGCAAUUGACUACUAAAACGGUGGAGAAUGCGAAGGAAUGACGGUGUUGCUUUUGUGUGGAUAAAUUUGAAUUGAUAAGCUAUUUGAUGCAUCCAUUGGGGCAAUCCACUACCAAAACAGUGGAGAAUGCGAAGGAAUGACGGCGUUGCUUUUGUCACUAUUGGCUAAUUUUGUGGCUGACUCCUUUCUUGGUCACAAGUGCACUAUCUAUUAUCAUAUCUCUGGACUCUAUAUUGUGUUCAGUUGAAAAAGCUCACACCAAUGCCUCAGGGUAUAAUUAUUGGCUAAAUAUAUAAUUUCUCUUCUGAGAUUUUAAAUUACAUUAACUCCGUGCUUAUAGCUACUUAGUGCCUUUUACUUCGGUUUACAUAUAAUAAGUUUUAUUAGAAUAGACACGCUUCUAGAAAUGAUCCUCGACAAAGAUGAUUGAUGGACCAAGGAGGCUACUUCUAGAUGUUUAUUGUAAGGUUACAUUGCUUGAAGCAGUGGUUCUUGCUAAUGACAGUUUUAAAAGGAGGGAUAAAAUGUAACGAUUCUAUAAUGUUCUGCAUCUCUAAGUCAAAACAUAGCUCUUGAACAUAAAAUCAUCUAAGUACGCUCCUAUUGUAAAUUGACUUUAAGGAUGAGUUUCAAUCAAUGCUAUUAUAACGUUAUUUGAUAUGAUAUAGCACAAGGUGGAAACUUAUUAAUUAGCAAAAAGUGUAAAAUUUGAACCAGUUUGAAUCAUUUGGUUUUUCUCUUGGACCAUGAUCAAUGAAUGUGCAGCAAAGUAAUAAAGAAUGUGUAGAAUAUCGUUUCAACGAAUAUUAAAUACUUAAUUUAAUUUCUAGCUAACGCCAAAUUUAAUCGAAUAGCAAUAUUAGUUUAUGGAUGAGUUUUAUACUAGCAAUCUAAAUUCUAUGUUAAAUUAACUAUCCUUACUGAUUAAUGUUUAAGUAUUUUGAAACCCUAGUAAUCGGAUAAUUACUAAGACCUUGAACGUCCCUACAUACUUCCUGGUUAAUGUCAAUUGAAAAUUUGGACAAUACAUGCCCUGAUGUGAAGAUCAAUAUUCCUAAUACGAUUAAUAAUUCUCUCUCGAGUAGAUGUAAACAGAUCAUUGUAUAUAUGACCUUCAUAUCUCUCUAUGAAAGAUAUGCGCAUCCAAAGAAUCAUUAGAAUCAGAAAAACAAUGACUAUUACUAUGUGUCAAAUUUCUAUCCAUUCUCACGAAUGUCAAUAAAAAUCACAAGACAAUUUAAUUAGUAACUAAUUAAUUGAAAAGCAUUAAGUACUAACAAUUAUUCAAAUUCAAACACAUGUUUUAAAGUAAAAAAUUUUAAAAAGUAUAUCAGAACUUCAAAACUAGGGUUCAACAUUAUCCUAGCAUAACAAUUAGCCAAGCAUCAAAUUAAUUACAAGUACACAAAAUAAUCGAUACAAAAUCAUCCGAAAAUUAAUAAUUGGAAAGAAUAUGAAAAAUAAACUUGAAUAUUGUAUCUCUUCAAUUUCUUUUUAAUUUCUUUUUCUCUUUUGAUUCUUCCUCUUCCUUUCAAUCCAAGAAGUCAAUAUAUUAAAAAUAGGUUUGAAUGUGUUUUGUAUAAAGUUUCUACAAAACUUUGAAAGAGUAUGAGUUUAUGAAUCAAAAGCUUCCUCUUUGGCUCUCUUGUAUGAAGGAACUAUCGAUUUGAAACCCUAAGAGCUUCUUUCACUUGUAUAUAAUUAAUCCUUACAAGUGUAAUCGAUUGUUGGACUAAGAUGUGUAUUAUUAUAAAGUCAAGAUUUAGGUCUUAUUUUGUGUCCUUAGGAUUUGAAAUUUUAGUCAUAAUAGGAAUGUUGGGUUGCUGAAUUUUAACUCAGCGAUCGCCUUGAGAUUGAACCCGAGUGAAGAGUGUGAACACGUAAUCUAAAAAAGUUGGGACUAGUAUUCUUAUCUUCAUAGUUGUGAUCGUAGAGAUCACUGAACUUCCAUUGGUUCAUUUUGGUCCUUAAACCAUAGUUUUGGUUCUUAUCCUCAAAUAUUGCAUGAAAUGUCUUCAAGUUUAGUUCUUCAAAAUGUAGUCCUCUACAUUCCUAAAUAAUUAAUUAUCGACCCGAAGCAAGUUUAGAAAUUUUUUCAGUUUAGUCCUCAAACUUUUCAUUUGUUGAAUUUAACUCUUGAAACUUGUUAUUCACCUUUGAUUGCCCUCAUAAUACUUCCAAAUGACCAAUUUUCAAUCUGGUUGAUCUUCAAGCACUUUGAAUCAACUUCACAAUUAUAUUCCAGUUUCACCUAUUUUACACUAAUUUCUUCCGAAUUUAGGGAUUUACCUACAGUUAAUAUAAUUUAACAUAAAUAUCCAUUCAAUUGAUCAUAAUUAAUUAAAUGAAGAAGUCCAUAAAAUGCACUUAUUCAGCCACUUGAGAUAUGUAAUUUAACACAUCUUUUAUUUGUUUCUUUACAUUUUUAAAUUAAUAUUUCAAAAAAAAAAUAUUGUUAAAAAUUGUGAUAAAGUUAUCAAUUCCCAAUAAAGGGACUCUUGUAGCAUAAAGUUCUAGGCGAAAAGUAAAACUUCUAGGGUUAGCUAGUUGUGGGUGGAGUAUGAGAUAGACGUUUUAUUGGGGAAUUAUAUCUCUAGGUGUCAUUUUCUACCAUUUUCUGCUAGAGGAAUAGGAUUAGUACUUGUUAGUUUUGGAGAAAAUUCUAUAUUUUAUUUUUCAAUUUCUUCAAUUCUAAAAAUUACUCUCUUGGUCCCUAAGCUCCUAUAUAAAAUUUUACCUUAAUUAAAAAAACACAUUUAGACUUUAAUUAAAUUAAUCAAAUAAAGACGACGCUAUAUCUCUUGUACUACAUCACCAGCAGGCUUCAAAAUUGAAGAGGCUAGAGGCUUCAAAAUCUAUUUAACAGAUUAACGUAAUUGAAAUUGGUUAUUCACAUGCUUUCAAAGAAUGUGAAAUGGAGUUGAUACUUGAUUAUUUGGAUGGUUUUUAAAUGUUUCUUUAAUGCUGAUCACAUUACACUUUGUCCUAGGAAUGCAUGUUGGUUUUCUUUCUUGGUUUUGCUCGAAGAUUACAAUUAUAUCGUGCCUAAUUAGUUACAUACCAAUUAUUGAUAAAGGUUUGAUUUGACUAAUUGGUAGCCAAACGUCCCAUAAAUUUAUAUAACCUUUUGAGUUUUGAAAGCAAUAAAAAUAGUAUUAGAUCAUGAGUGAACAAAAAUCGGUUUCUACCCUGUAGAGACAAAAAUCGUAGCUUGGGGACCUAAUUACUAUAUUUUGAAAAGGUUGAGUAUCAAAGUUUUAAUUUUUAUUAAGGGUAUAUUUGAUAGGUGAAAAUUUUCCCUAGAAAAUGGAAAAUCAAUUCCAACUUCCACUUUUGCAUUGUUUGAUAGCAAUUUUUUCCCCCUAAGAUUCCAUUUCCAAGUUUCUUGCCACAUAAGCCAUUUUUUAGGUUUUCCUUGAAUUGGAAUUCCAAUUCCAGUCACUGUAGCAUUUUUGUUUUUGUUUUGUUUUUUUGUUGGCAAUAGAAACAAAUUCUAAGAAUUAUUGUAAAAAAAAUUUCUCUUUAAUUGACAAUUUUCAUGUAAAACAAAGCCAAACGAACACCAAAAGAUAGAUUUUUUUUUUUUUUUUUUUGGCAAUGGAAACAAUUUUCUUCUCAAAUACCAGUAAAUUCUAUCUCUUUAAUUGACAAUUUUCAUAAAAAAAAAACCAAACGAAUACUAAAAAAUACUUUUAUUUCAACAUUUUUUACGUGAAAAAUUAUACCAAUCAAACACAAUAAUUUACAAUUCCCUUGAAAACAAUUUUUGAGCAAUUCAAUUAUCUGAAAUUCAUUUUCUUCCCACCCAAAUUCCAUCUUCACAAUUAAACGGAACCUAAAUUUCGAAUUAAUUUUCUAUGAGCCAUUUUUUACUCAGCUUUCAAGCAAAUCACGCGCACAUGAAUAGCUAAAAAAUACUCCUUGACGGAGCUUCACGUAAGACUUUUUGUAUCUUUCUUGAAGUACACGGACGCAGUCGCAUCAAAAUCCAUAUUUAAAGAAAAAAAAAAUCAAUUUUUUAAAAGUUUUUGUGUUUUGAAUGUAAUCAGGAUAAUGCCCUGUUUUUCCGAGUGCAGUCUCUUUCAUGUUGACAAAUUUAUGCCAACUGAGGAGGUUAUUGACCUUCACGUAUAUAUAUAACCGUUUGAAAGACUAGAUGGUUGCGUGUGAAAGUUGGUUGAAGUAGAACAGUCACCUAAAUUUAAUUGCUUGCUCUGUUUUUAAAUUAAUCAAAAAAAAAAAAAAAAAACAUAAAAAAAUGUAAGAUUUGAAAUUUUAGCCCCGUUUGGCUCCAUUUAAAUUAAAUAUUAGUUUUUUCUCUUAUAUUUUCAAUCAUAUAAUUUUUCAUAAAAUAAUAUUACACGUAAAUCGAAAAAUUUUCUAUCUUUUUCAACCACUCAUUUUCCAAAAAACAUAUUAUUCCACCUCUUUUAAUUUGGAAAAAUGGAGGUCAAACGGGUGCCUAGUCAUAAUAGGAAUGUCGAGUUGCUGAAUUUUAACUGAGGGACCGAGUUGCUGAAUUUUAACUAAGGGACCGCCUUGAGAUUGCACCAUAGUAUUCAGUGUGAACACGUAAUCUAACAAAGUUGGGACCGCUAUUGAAAUUUUCAUAGUUGCAAUCGUAGAGAUCAUUGAAUUUCCAUUUGUUCAUUUUAGUCCUCAAACAAUAGUUUUGGUUCUUAUCCUCGAAUAUUGCAUGAAAUGCCCUUUGUGCUUCGAUAUGUCUAGGCAAGGUAUAAGAAGGAAAAGCCUAUUUGACAUUAUUGACAAUAAAACUUACCAAAGUGAUCGAUUUCUUAACAAACUUUGACUUGUUCACAAAUGCAGCAGGUUAUUCCCUAGAUCUAUUUGAAUUACUCUUUGAAUUUUUUAACCGGUUUUGUAUCGUUAUUUACUAAAAUCGUUCUUUGGAGGGGAAGGAUGGAUUGAUAGUGUGGACAAUUUAGAAGAUAUAAUCAAGUUUAGUUCUGCACAAUGUAGCCCUCUACAUUCCUAAAUAAUUAACUAUUGACCCAAAGAAAGUUUUGAAAAUUUUCAAUUUAGUCUUCAAACUUUUUAUUUGCUAAAUUUAACUCUCGAAACUUGUUAUUCACCUUUGAUUGUCCCCCUUAAUACUUCCAAAUGACCAAUUUCAAUUUGGCUGAUCUUCAAGCACUUUGAAUCAACUUCAAUUAUACUCUAGUUCACCUAUUUCACACUAAUUUCUUCCAUAUUUAGGGUUUACCUACAAUUAAUAUAAUUUAACCUAAUAUUAAGUAAAUAUCCACUCAAUUAAUUAUAAAUAAUUAAAAUGAAGAAGCCAUAAUAUGCACUUAUCACCCCACUUGAGAUAUGUGAUUUAAUACAUCGUAUAUUUGUUUCUUUAGGUUUUCAAUUUAUUAUUUCAACGAAAUAUAUUGUUAAAAAUUGUGAGAAAUUAUCAGUUUCCAAUAAAAGAGACUCUUGUAGCAUAAAGUUCUAGACGAAAAGUAAAACUUCUAGGGUCAGCUAGUUGUAGAUGGAGUAUGAGAUAGACAUUUUAUUAGGGCCCCGUUUGGUAGGGAUUUUUUGCCCCAAAAAAUUGAUUUUUUGACCGUUAUUUUACUAUUCAAGCCGUAAUUUUUGACUUCUUCUCUCACAUGUGGACCCCACUUUUCUUCUAACGGUCAAAAAAUCAAUUCUCAAAAUCCCUACCAAACAGGCCCUAGAAUUAUAUCUCUAGGUGUCAUUUUCUACCAUUUUCUGCUAGAGGAAUAGGAUUGGUACUUGUUACCAAAAAAGUCUUGGAUGUUGAAAAUUUUAAUAUGUCAAUUUCAUUUGGAUUCGUCAAUACAUAACAAGAAUUUUGGAGAAAAUUCUAUAUUUCAUUUUUCAAUUUUCUUCAUUUCUAAAAAUUAAGCUCCUAAUAUAAAAUUUUACCUUAAUUAAAUAAAAACACAUUUACACUUUAAUUAAAUUAAUCAAAUAAAGCCGACGCUAUAUAUCUUGUACUGCGUCACCAGCAAGGUUCAAGAUUGAAGAGGUUAGAGGCUUCAAAAUCUAUUUAACAGAUUAAUGUAAUUGUAAAUGGUUAUUUAGACGCAUUCAAAGAAUGUGAAAUGGAGUUGACACUUGAUCAUUUCGGUGAUUUUUAAAUGUUUCUUUAAUGCUGAUCACGGUACAUUUUGUCUUAGGAAUGCAUGUUGAUUUUCUUUCUUUGUUUUGCUCGAAGAUUACAAUAAUCUCGUGCCUAAUUAGUUACAUACCAAUUAUUGAUAAAGGUUUGACUUGACUAAUUUAUAAACCAUUUAUAAAUUGGUAGCCAAACGUCCCAUAAAUUUAUUUAACCUUUUGAGUUUUGAAAGCAAUCAAAAUAGUAUUAGAUCAUGAGUGAACAAAAAUCGGUUUCUAUCCUGUAGAGACAAAAAUCGUAGCUUGGGGACCUGAUUACUAUAUUUUGAAAAGGUUGAGCACAAAAGUUGUAAUUUUCCGUGAGCCACUCUUGACUGAGCUUUCAAGCAAAUCACACCUGCGCAUGCAAAACUUUUUGUAUCUGUCUUCAAGUAGACGAAAGCUAUCACAUCAAAAUCAUAUUUAAAGAAAAAAAUCAAAUCUUUUAAACUUUUUGUGUUAGAGUGUAAUCAGAAUAAUGCCCUGUUUUUCCGAUUGCAAUCUCCUUCAUGUUGACAAAUUUAUACCAACUGGGGACGUUAUUGACCUUCAUAUAUUAUAUAUAUAACCGUUUGAAAGACUUGCCGCUUGCGUGUGAAAGUAGGUUGAAGUAGAAGAACAAUCUCAUCAAUUCAAUUGAUUGCUUGCUCCGUUUUAAAAUAAGUCCCGUUUAAUAGCAAUUUCUAUAUAAAAAAUAAAAUAAAAUAAAUCAAUUUUUUUAUUAUUAGUUCACUAUUCUAGUCGUCACUUUUGGCCUCUUCAUUCAUAGGUAGGACUUAGUUUUCUUUCUAACGGCCAAAAAAUCAAUUGUCAUAAUUACUACCAAACAUGCUCCAAAUUAGAAAAAGGUAAAAUUUGAAAUUUUAAUCAUAAUAGGAAUGUCGGGUUGCUGAAAUUUAACUUAGGGACAGCCUUGAGAUUUCAUCGUAUUAUUCGGUGUGAACACAUAAUCUAACAAAGUUGGGACCGCUAUUGAAAUUUUCAUAGUUGCGAUCGUAGGGAUCAUUGAACAUCCAUUUAUUCAUUUUAGUCCUUACACAAUAGUUUUGGUUCUUAUCCUCGAAUAUUGCAUGAAAUACCCUUUGUGCUUCGAUAUGUCUAGGUAAGGUAUACGAAGAAAAAGCCUAUUUGACAUUGUUGACAAUGAAACUCACCAAACUUUGGCUUGUCCACAAAUGCAGCAGAUCAUUCAUUAGAUCUAUUUGAAUUACUCUUCGAAGUUUUUAACUGCUUUCGUGUCGUUAUUUACUAAAAUCGUCAUUUGGAGGGGAAGGAUGGAUUGUUAGUGUGGACAAUUUAGAAGAUAUAAUCAAGUUUAGUUUUGCACAAUGUAGUCCUCUACAUUCCCAAAUAAUUAACUAUUGACUCGAAAAAAGUUUCGAAAUUUUUUCAAUCCAGUCCUCAAUCUUUUUAUUUGUGGAAUUUAACUCUCGAAACUUGUUAUUCACCUUUGAUUGUCCCCCUUAAUACUUCCAAAUGACCAAUUUCAAUUUGGCUGGUCUUCUUUCUUCAUAUUUAGGGUUUAGCUACAAUUAAUAUAAUUUAACCUGAUAUUAAGUAAAUAUCCACUCAAUUAAUUAUAAAUAAUUAAAAUGAAGAAGCCAUAAUAUGCACUUAUCACCCCACUUGAGAUAUGUGAUUUAAUACAUCGUAUAUUUGUUUCUUUAGGUUUUCAAUUUAUUAUUUCAAAGAAAUAUAUUGUUAAAAAUUGUGAGAAAUUUAUCAGUGUCCAAUAAAAGGGACUCUAGCUAGACAUUUUAUUGAAAUUAUAUCUCUAGGUGUCAUUUUCUACCAUUUUCUGCUAGAGGAAUAGGAUUGGUACUUGUUACCAAAAUAGUCUUGGAUGUUGAAAAUUUUAAUAUGUCAAUUUCAUUUGGAUUCGUCAAUAAAUUACAAGAAUUUUGGAGAAUUCUAUAUUUCAUUUUCGAAUUUCUUAAAUUCUUAAAAUUACUCUCUUGGUCCCUAAGCUCCUAACUUAAAAUUUCACCUUAAUUUAAAUAAAACGCAUUUAUACCUUAAUUAAAUUAAUCAAAUAAAGCUGACGCAAUAUCUCUUGUACUACGACACCCUCAGGGUUUAAGAUUGAAGGGGCUAGAAGCUUCAAAAUCUAUCCAACAAAUUAACAUAAUUAUAAAUGGUUAUUCACACGCUUUCAAAGAAUGUGAAAUGGAGUUUACACUUGAUUAUUUCGACGGUUUUUAAAUGUUUAUUUAAUGCUGAUCAAGUUACAUAUUGUCCUAGGAAUGCUUGUUCAUUUUAUUUCUUUGUUUUGCUCGAAAAUUACUAUUAUCUCGUGCCUAAUUAACUACAUGCUAAUUAUUGAUAAAUGUUGGAUUUGACUAAUUUAUAAAACAUUUAUAAAUUGGUAGCCGAACGUCCCAUAAAUUUAUUUAACCUUUUAAGUUUUGAAAGCAAUCAAAAUAGUAUUAGAUCAUGAGCGAACAAAAAUCGGUUUCUAUACUGUAGAGACAAAAAUCGUAGCUUGGGGACUUGGUUGCUAUAUUUUGAAAAGGUUGAGUGUCAAAGUUGUAAUUUUCCCUAAAUUUCAAAUUAAUAUUCAUGAGCCAUUUUUGACUGAGCUUUCAAGCGAAUCACACCUGAACAUGUAUAGCUAUAAAAUACUCCAUUGAUGGAGCUUCAUGCAAAACUUUUUGCAUCUGUCUUGAAGUAGACGAACACAAUCCCAUCAAAAUCCAUAUUUAAAGGAAAAAAACCAAUUCUUUUAAACUUUUUGGGUUAUGAAUGUAAUCAGAAUAAUGCCCCGUUUUUCCGAUUGCAAUCUCUUUCAUGUUUGCAAUUGCCUACUGGGGAGGUUAUUGACCUUCAUAUAUAUAACCGUUUGAAAGACUUGCCGCUUGCGUGUGAAGUUGGUUGAAGUAGAAGAAAGUCACAUCUAUUCAAUUGCUUGUUCCGUUAUUAAAUAAAUCAGAAAAAUAUAAGUUUCUCUGUUUACAAUCUACUGGUUGUUGAGCUCCAGAGAUAUGGCCAUGCCCACCGCCGGAACCCACCGUUUGGAUGACGAAACUCUGCUGUUGAACGACGUUGUUCAUGGCUCCGUCGACUUCAAAGGCUGCCCUGUUACCCGAUCCAUAUCCGGUGGUUGGAAGUCCUCUUUCUUCAUCAUAGGUACAGUAUAUGUUACCCAAUUUACCAUUCAAAAGGUUACAGCAUUUUUAGCAGUACUUUAUUUAUAUUUUGGAUUUGUUAGGUGUUGAAGUGGCUGAGAGAUUUGCGUACUGUGGAAUAAGUUCGAAUUUGAUAAACUAUUUGACGGGUCCGUUGGGCCAAUCCACCGCAACUGCGGCGGAGAAUGUGAAUGCGUGGUCCGGCACGUCAAUGAUUUUGCCACUUUUGGGUGCUUUUGUGGCGGAUUCUUUUCUUGGUCGGUACCGGAUCAUCAUCAUUGCCUCUGGGCUCUAUAUCCUGGUCAGUACACGAAUCAUUCACCAAUAUAUAGUUUCUGUUUUGAGCUUUAAAAUUAUGUAACGCCUUAUAUUACAUUCAGAAUAUCUACCUUGAAACUUGGCUUAUGGAUUAGUAGACACUUGAAUACCCUACCCUUAUAGGGAACUGGGAGUGACUCAUACUGGCCAAAGCAUGCAUUCCCCAGAUUUCCAUUUUGUAUGGUAAAAAAAUUUUCAGAUUGAGAAUAAUAAAUAUUGAAACUUGGCGUUGAAGGUUUACAAUACACGUCAUGGAUAGGUAGAAAUAAAUAUCCAAGCUAGGGUGUUCAUGGUGAAAAUUGAAUCAAGCAAUUUUAUUAUGAAACAAUUACAAUCAAAGAUCAAAUAUAAAUGCAAUCAAUAAAUCCUCCCACAUAACUAUGAGUUUUACAUCUUAAAUUCACUAGUCUAGAUUCCUCAACUAGAACUAGAGGGGAAAUAGCUAAUUGAGGGUGAGAUAUUUGAAUUCCAUGCCUUCGUCUUCAAUCGUGGGGAUAUUUAUAUAUUUCCCUCCAGGCAUUGGAGUAGGGAUGACAAAAGAACCCGUUCAACCUGAUACCCGUAGGGUCUUGCCCCAUUCGGGCAAUACCCCCUAACCAGGUACAUGGGAUGGGUAUGAGCCGAGGGUCAUUGUUCCGAAGCGGGUAUGGAACGGGUACGAGAAACAUAGUGCCCGCCCCAUUACCCGUCCGGUUUAAUAUUAAUUUCUAAUUUAAGUUUUUAUCAAACAAAAAUAAUAGAUUUAUCAUCAUUUUUAGUGAAAAAAGUUGUUUUUAACAAAUUGGUAAAAAAAUAAUACUAUUACUAACUAAGGACAUAAAAAAAUAAAAAAUAUAAAAAAAGAUAAAAUGAAUGGGGCAGGAGACUUGCCCCACCCCACCCCAUCCCGUCCCUCUUUAACUGGGUACAGGUAUGGAGUAAAAUAACAAAAAUACUCAACGGGACGGGAGUAAUAAUUGCUGACCAGUCCCAUACUUUCCCCGUUGCCAUGCUUACAUUGGGGUAGUUUGAUCAUUUUUGCUUUGUGCUAGGUGGUGACUUCGGGCCCGUUUGGCACGGUUUUUACUUUGGCUUUUGCUUCUUGUAGAAGAGCUUUUGGAGAAAACUAUUUUAAUUUUUGUUUGAAAAUUAAUAUUUAAAAUCACUUCCCAUUCCGGAAGUGCUUUUGGAGGAAGCAAAAAAAAUCAGCUUCCUCUAAAAGCUCUUCUAACCUCCAAAAGCACUUUAAACAAAAAUAGCCAAAUGGUCCAAAAGCGGCUUUUGGCUCUCAAAAGCUCCUUUUGGCUUUUCAAAAGCCAUCCCAAAUGGGCCCUUCUUAUUGGUUGCUUCUUAAUAUAUUUUAAUUAAAAGUCACCCUUUAUUCACUUGCCCUGUGCCCUUUAUUGACAACCUGUAUGUAGUGAACAAUUUGAAGUUUUUAUGCAAGCCUCUUGUUUCAUGGUUCUCCUUGCGUGUUCGGGCAAAGAUACAUUGAUUGUUGAAGAAUUCCAAUGACUCGAGGGUCAAAGAAGCGAUGAAAUUACUUGUUCAAGCUAUGGUGGAUGAGACAUUGUUCAUAGCAAGCAAAGAAGCAAGUUUUAUGUUGGGUUCGGGAAGGAGCUGAAGUUUAGGCCCCGUUUGGUACCCUUUUUUGCAAGAAUGAGAAUGAAAAAUAUAACCGUUACGAGACCCACAUAAGAGAUAGAAAGUCAAAUAUGGUGGUUUGAUGUGAUGAAUAACAGUCAUAUCUUUCAUUUUUGUGGUCAAGGAAUGAGAAUCAAACAGGGGCUUAGUAUUAUGCGAUCGCAUAGUUUCAUCAUGCAUGCGGCAGCGUUGCCUCCAACAAAAAAUUCAGCUCAUGUAAUGACAUGAACUAUGCAAUCGCAUAGUUUAGUACUAUGUGGCCGCAUAGUAUAUCCUGGACGCGCGAUUUUUCAAUUUUUGCAAAUUUUCCUAAUUAUGUUAGAACUCUACUUUUUGGUAUAUUUUAUAAUCUUUUAGACUUUUAUUCCAUUUUAACUAGGUUUUAUGGGUUUCCUAUAAAUAGGACUCAUUAUUCUACAUUGUAAACAUUCAUUCAUCAUUAUCAAUUGUGAGAUUACUUUUGUGAGCUUAUUAUUGCUUUCAAUUUGUUGUUCUUUACUGAACAAUCCCGAACUUAUCAAGAGUUAUUUUAUUGUGGCAUUUAAACAAUUCUUGUAAGAUUCUUGAGACUUGUAAUCAAGAAGUCAAUAUACUGUUAGUGAUUGUUGGUUACUCGGUUUAAUAUUUUUGAAUCAAAUUCAAAUAUUUGAUUUCUUGACUUUUUUGGAUUGUGAUUCAAUCUCGUGUGGGUUUCGUAACUUUAAUUGCUACAUUAUUUGCAUUAGAGCUUAGGCUCAAAUAAUCAAGGUUAUAUCCUUUCCUUUUUUGUAUUUGUGUUCUUCGCUUUCUUCAUCCAUUUGAGCCCCUAUUUGGUUUCCAUUCUUUUCCCAUUGAAAUGAAAAAUAUUACCGUUAUCUAUCACAUCAAGCCACUAAAUUUGAAUUUCUAUCUCUUAUAUGGGGCCUAUAACGGCUAUAUUUUUCAUUAUCAUUCUUACAAAAAUGAGAAACAAACGCCCCCUGUGUCUUUAAUCCAUAAAAGUUCCCAAAAAAAUUCAAAAGUCAUAUUUGUGCUUAUUUAGCAUCCAAAUCAAUUUUUAUUUUUUCGUUGAUAUUGUAAUCGAAUUUUCAUGUUCAACCCAAAAUUCAAUGACUACUUUCUUGAAUUAAUAGUUCCCAUUCAAAAGUGUCAUAUUCUUGUCUUUCUUUCUUGAGUCUUCUAAAAUUAUAAAUUUCACUCACAUCUUGUUUGAAUUUUUUGAGAAUAAGACUUGGCUGAGUUCGGAUGAGUUCUUUGAAGUACUUCAGUGAAAGCAUUGAGUGGAAAAGGGCAAGAGUGGUGAGACUAAUAGAGGGAAAUAUCUGAUUUGAGUGAUACACCAGCGUAUACAUGUGAGGUAGAUAUUAUUUUAGAUUUAGGAUGUUUGAUUGGAAGGAUUCUACCUCAAGUAGGAACAACAAUCAAGUCGACAAGUCAGAAGAGUUGAUACAAUAAUUUGAGAGGUUGUUUGAAUAUUUGAGGGAUAGGUAGGAGGUGUGGAUGGAAAGGCAAGACACAUUGCUUGCUAAUUUACGUAGGCGAGUUCCUAAUUUAAAGAGAUAGGUGGGAGCCUACGGUAGAGAAUCGUAGUAAUUAUGAAGUAGGUAGAGGUAUGGAUGAGGAUGCAAUAGUGGAUGCCUUGUUAGGGAGAAUAAGGGAUAGAUGAGUUAGGCAUGAAAGAAGAGGUAGAUAACCUAUUGGAGAUGGAGUUGAUAGGAGUAUGGACAAUUUCAAAAUGAUAAUUUCAUCAUUCAAAGGAAGGAGUGAUUCAGAAUCGUACUUGGAAUGGAAGAAGAAAAUAGAAUCGAUACUUGAUUGCCACAGUUACUCAGAGGAAAAGAGGAUAAAGAUUGUUGUACUUGAGUUUACCAACUAUGCUAUUACUUGGUGAGAUCAAGUAGUGACAUAUAGGAGAAGGAAUUGUGAUAGGCCAAUUAAUAAAUGGGAAGAAUUGAAGGCUAUCAUGAGGAAGAGGUUUGUGCCUAGAUAUAUAGAGCGUCAUCAAAAAUUAUAAAGCUUCUAUCAAGGGUCGAGGAGUGUGGAGGACUAUCAUAAAGAGAUGGAGAUAAUGAAGAUUAAAGUGAAUGUUGAGGAGGAUAGGGAGGCCAUUAUGCUCAGUUUUUGAAUGGUUUGAAUAGGGAAAUAGCUAAUGUGGUGGAGUUGCAACAUUAUGUGGAGCUGGAGGACAUGCUACAUGUAGCUAAGAAGUUAGAGAGGCAACUAAAGAGGAAGGGAACAGCUGGGUAUCCAUUGUGUUCUACGGGUUCUAAUCCUUCUUGGAAACCGAAGUGGGAUAACAACAAGGGAGAUGGAGCUUUUUCGAAGAGCAAAGCUGAACUACCGAAGGAGAAAGAGAAAAGUGCUAAAAGGUCACAUCCAAAGUGGAAUCCCACCAUCUAGGAGUCUAGACAUCAAUGCUUUAGGAGUUUAGGUCAGAACACAUUGCUUCUCAAUGUCCAAACAAAAGGGUAUUGAUUUUGAGAGACAAUGGAGAAAUGGUAAGCGAUAGUGAAGAGGACUAUGAUGACAUGUCAAAAUUGGAAGAGGUUGUGAUGGAGAAAAGGUGGAGUAUGCAAUAGGUGAACUCUUAGUACACAAAUCAAGGCGGAUGACUUGGAGCAAGAAAGAACAUAUUCCAUACAAGGUGCCACAUCAACAACAAGGUAUGUAGCAUGAUUAUAGAUGGGGUAGUUGUAUUAAUGUGGGUAGCACUACACUUGUUGAAAAAUUUGGUUUAACCAUGUUAAAACAUCCGAAACCUUACAGUCUGCAAUGGUUGAAUGAAUGGGGAAAGGUUAAGGUGAAUAAAAGGGUGCUGGUGAGCUUUUCGAUUAUUAGCUAUCAAGAUGAAAUAAUGUGUGACGUAGUUCUUAUGCAUGUCGGGCACAUUUUUGUUGGGUAGACUAUGGGAAUAUUUUAUGAGUGUAAGGGGAGAACUUCUUUCAAUUUACAAUUUGGUAAAGACAGGGACUAUCACUUACCCCCAAAAUGGGUAUCAUUAUUUUACUUCUUACUCCUCCAAGAUGUGUCCAAAGCUCAUAACAAUUUCCAACAAAGUUCACGAUUGAAAGGAGGGACUUUUCUUUGCCCAUGAAAAUUAUAUGCUGCAUCCUAAUGAUCCUCAUCCCGAUGUGGUUUUGUCUCACUAUGAGUAUUUUUACCCUUUUCGUGGUUUGCCAUUAUGCUACUAUUAUUAUAUAUUGAAUUAUGUUUGUGCAAAAGAUAUGUCGACUCUUUUUCAAGGUCAAGCCAUUAGGGACCUUCGCCUUUUGGCAAUACAUAUUCUCGAUUUAAACUUUGAGGCUCGUGAAGUUAGGGGUAGACUAAGCUUCUCUAAUCCCACAUUUUAAGAUAACGGACUUCAAUUUAUUCCGGAUGAGUCAAUGUUUUCAUUUCUUUGUUUAAAAGGGUCUCUUCUUUUUGGGAAGUCCUUAAUUUGUUCCCAGCAUUCUCGUUCACAAUCUUUUACUACUAAAACUUUAGGAACUUCGCCUAUGAAUUAUGUAUCUCCUCCUUUUUUCGGGUCUGGCCAGUAAUCCUAGAAAAAGGAAAACUCCAAUUGGGUCUAUGCUCAUUUUCGAUCCCAAAGCUUCUACUCACCCGUGGUCCUACCCCAUGUUUGAAGUCUUUGUUCAUUCAACACUGCAAGGUUCACUAGAUACGGGUGCUCUAUCUUUAUUUCCAUCCCUUCUUUUUCACAUGGCGAAGGCUAUUUUUGUCUAUUUCAACCUAUCUUGGGAGAGGCUAGUAGAAGAACUUAAUCUUACCAAGAGGAAAAAUGAUUGACAUCAGUCGUUAGUGAGCUACGAUCUUAUCUCAAUAUCAGCAAUCUGAUUAUGAAUCUUGCACACCAAAGUUGGCCAGCUUGGAGAAAAAAGUCGCCACUUUGGUGAAGAAGUAUAACUCUCUCUAGAUGAAGUUGAAGGAGGUUAGUGACAAGAGGGAUGGGUUCAAGGAGAUGGGUAAGCGUGUUGAAGCUUUUGAAGUGAAGGAGGUUUUUUUAGCGCUUGAUGCCGAGAAGAUCUACUCAGAUUUAAAUUCGAUGAAUGAGGAAUAUGCAACCUAUGUUAUCGAGGUCGAGUGUGAUGCUUUGUGUCUUAAAGAUAAGUUCCACAAGACUAAGUCCAAGCAUGAAGCUGCGUCUAGGGAACUAAGGAUCCGUUUGAUUGUAAAAAUGGAAUUUGGAUAAAAAGAAAAUCCAGGAAAUUGAAUUGCCUAAAACUUAUUUUACUGGGAAUUGUCAAUUAAAUGUAUUUGAUUGUUAUAAUUUUCCACCUCGAAAAUGUUGAAUUUGAAUAUUUUGGUGUUCGUUUAGCUUUGUUUUCAUGAAAAUUGUCAAUUAAACAAAUAGAUUUUUUUAUAAUUGUGGAUGGAAUUUGUUUUCAUUGUGCAAUAAUAAUAAUAAUAAUAAUAAUAAUAAUAAUAAUAAUAAUAAUAAAGGGUGGAAAACCAAUUCUCACCAUUUUUGUAAGAAUUGAUUUUCCACCAAUUGAUGCAAAAUGCAUCACAUGAGGUGGAAAAUGGAAAAGCAAUUGCCUAGAAAAUUUUACACAUCAAACACUACCAAAAGGUGGAAAAUGGAAAAAAUUUCCAUGGAAAGUGUACCAUAUCAAACAGUGCCUAAAUGAUUAAGGAAUGAGAUUGAUGCACUUCAUGAUAAACUAAGAAAUGUUGAGACAAAGCUAGUUGUUACGGAGUCUAGUCUUUUUGAAUCGAUCGCUCGUAAGGUGAAAUUGGACGAGGAUGCUAUGCAAGAUGGGAAAAAUAAGUGCUCAACAUUAUUAGAGACUUUCAUCACGAACAGAUUCUGGAUUUUUUGAGAGCUCCUGAUGAUAAUGUCCCCUCUUCUGUGGUUUGACUACUGGCUACUGAGGCUUUUGACAUUCCAUUCAUUCCUGCUGUUCUUUCCUAACUUGACUCUCCGACUAUCCUCCAAAGUGGGAAUGCAACUAUUAAUGAGCAUGUUGACUCUCAAUCACUCAUUUUUUUUCAACAGGUAUCUAGUUCAGGGAAGAAUACUAUAGCGAAAGAUAAGGACUUGGCAUCAGGUAGGAGGUUAUUAGUCAUUCAUUUAAAUCCAAAUCAUACUAGUUAGCAGUUUGAUUGCCAUUUUAAGACUUGACAUUCUGAUUGUUCUCUUCCUGCUUCUACAAAAGUGAGGAUGCCCUCAAGGGGGCCUAUUUCAAGUCAAACAAAAGGAUCAUUUUUCCAAGAAUCUUUAGUCCUCGGUGAAUUAAAAUAACUUGUUUUGUCUGAUUAUGACAGUGAAGUUUCAUUCCUUGUUCAUAUAAAGCUGCUUUUUUCUAGCAAUUUUAUUGAUAAAAUAUUAUUGUCUUAUGUUGUAUGAAUUUGUGCAUUUGACACUUUUUUUGUCUGCAUUGUUUUCGUUUAUUUCUUUUCAAUAUUUUUUGCAUAGAUGUAUUUACAAUAAAUUCACAUCAACAUUAGGAUCCAUUGUUCUUGUGCUGAUUUCUCAUUUCAACGAUGCAAGUUUUUAAAUGAAACCAUGAGUUGGGCCAGGAACAUUCUGAGCAUUGAUACAUGGAAAACAUCGUGUACCACUAAAAACCCUUGUGGCAAAGCUAAUUGGUAAGCAACAUUUCCAAUCCGUCUUAAAAUUUUGAAAGGACUAAUGUAUAUGGGUUUGAGCUUACCAUUCUUACCAAACUGUAGUAUUCUUUUCAUUGGCUUAACCUUUAAAAGUACCGUAUCUUCUAUUGAAAAUUCCAAGUCCUUUAUCCUUUCCCAGUGCGGACAUAUUUGGAUGUCGCAUCCUAUGGUGGCCCCUAAGCAUAAAAAAUCUACUAUUGUCGUUGCUUAUAAAAAAUAUCUCUACGAGUGCUCGAAAAGUUCUAAAGGAAAGUCUUUGUGGGUGGUUGAUACGUCGCCUAAACGAACCCAGUCACAAACUAUUUUUAUUGGAACUUUGAGGUCUUUAUCUCUCUUCUAUGGAUCUAACCAAGGUUUCUCAAGAAAGGAAAACUCCUCUUUGGUCCAUCCCAAUGUUUGAUUCAAAAGGCUCCUACUUAUACCGAGAUCCUGCCCCACGUUUGAAGUCCUUUUUUAUUCCUUGCCUCGAUGGUUCAUUAGAUGUAGGCAUUCUAUCUUUAUUCCUUCAUUUGUUUUUCGUAUAGCGAAGGCUAUUUUUAACUACUUCAAUCCCUCAUGGGAAAAGCUAGCAGAAGAACUUGAUCCUAUGGAUAUGAAAAAAAUGAUCAAUGUCCAUCUUUAGUGAGUGACAAUUUUAUCUCAAUAUCAGCAAUUAGAUUAUGAAAGCUAGCUCCCUAGUGAAAAAUGCAACUCUUUCUAGAAGAGGUUGAAAGAAGUUGGUGAUGCAAGAGAUGGGUUUAAGGGAUGAUCAAAGGUGUCGAAGCUUUUACGGCGAAGGAAGUUUCUUUAGUGGUGAUGCCAAGGACUCCUUAGAUUUGGAUUCGGCGAAGGAGGAAUACUCAGGUAAUGUUAAUAGGAUUGAGUGUGUUGCUUUGUGAAGACUAAGUCUAAGUAUAAAGUUGCUCUUAGGAAACUGUAUGAUUUAAGGAAUGAAAUAGAUACACUGUGAUAAAUUGAGAAAUGCUGAAGCAGAGCUAGUUGUUGCAAGGUCGAAUUUAUCUUGGACAAUGGCUCACAAGGCAAAGUUAGUUGAAGAUCUAUAUAGGAUGGGAAAAAUAAAGCGCUCAACAUUACAAACUUUCGCCCCAAAAGGAAUUUGGAUUUUCUGAAAGCUUUUGAAGAUGAUGUUAAAGACAUCCAUUCUUCAGAAGUUCAUCCGCUGCCCGUGGGGGUUUGCAUAUCCCAUUUAUUUCGCUACUCAACCGAACUCUAUGGAUACAUCUUCAAGUGGGGAUAUGGCUAUUGAUGAGCCUCUCGACACUUCUCUUCCUACUUCUAUGGAAGCGAGGAUAUCUUCAGGGCCCGAAGUUCAAAUUAAUCAGGAAAAUUCUUUUCCUAAAAACCUCUAGUCUUUAGUCAAUUAGGAUAGCCUGUUUUGUCUUAUUAUGUCCGUGAAGUUUCAUCCGCUGCCCUUGGGGGCUUUGCAUAUUCCAUUUGUCUUACUUGUUGAGUUAUCUUUACUAGCGGAUAGGUCUUUCACCAUUCCCUUCACAACAUCGAAUACUUGCUUUCCUAAAUAAGAAGUUUCAAGCAGGCAUUGCUUUUCCUUUCUUGCCAAGAAACAUUGUUUCCAAGGGCGCUCCCAUUCUUUGUUUUGGCAACAUUGCUUACGAUGUUUAGCCAUACAUAUCCAGGAGGUUUUCCUUCCUUGCAUUGGAUUGGAUUGAAUUCAAGUAGGAUGUCAAAGGAUUAAUUUGUAUGAAAACAAUUAAAACCAUUGUUUAUUUUCCAAUUGAUGUCAUACUAGGUGAUACAUUUGUGCAAUAUGAUUACCAAAAUGGCAAUUUUUGGGUUUAAUUUAGAUCCAGAAUUCUUUAUGUGUUCUCUAGGUACCUGAGAAUUUAUGUUAUGUAUGGAUUCUUUACCUUCCUCCACAUAGGGGAUUUUAAUUAUGAUUUUUCUUUGUGAAAGUUAGGUGUAUGCAACCUUAAUUAACAUGUGGGAGGAUCCCACAUGCCCUGGUGGUUGUGUAGGCCUCUGAACCCCUCGCAUGAUAGUCGCAUCUUUUUGCUUGUUUCACCUCCAGACCAUUUUUAACACUUUGUAGCAUUCAUUCAUGUCAUGACCUUCAAAGCAAUGGAUUUUGCAGAAUUUUAGCAUGUGUAUAUUAGGUGAUGGAUGGACUUCGCUGAAGUUCUACAAUGAGGGUAUGGCAACAUUGUAUGGCAACAUUCUACAAUGAUGUCCUUGGACUCUAUGAUAUUGUGAUCUGGAUAGUCCAAAUGCAAACGUUGUUGUUUCUCCUCUUGCACCCUCACCAAGGUUUUCCUCAGCCACUCUCUGAUUUUGCAUCUUUCUUCGAUUUUCCAACACAUCUUUCACUUGGAUUUCAUUAAAUAUUAGUUCUAUUAAUUGGGAAAAUGAUGGAGACCUUUUGAGGGUUGCAUUACAAAGGGGAGUGCUUGGCCAUAGCAUUUGCUCUACUACCUCGUCUAGCUUGAUCUCACUAGUAAGUAUCUUAUUUCUAAAUCGUGUAAAUUAACUUGUGAUAGAUUCUGAUUAGAUCCUAAACUGAUAACACUGGGUGAUUUAUUGAAAACAUAAGAAAUAAAUGUAAUCAAACUAUGGCUUUAUUAAAUAGAAGAAAACCGAACAACUUGGAGCAUUCGAGAGGCUCCAACUCUCUUACUAGACUCUUGAUUUCUGAAUGAAUAUUCUACCUCCCUUUCCCUUUACAUUUAUUGACAAUAUUCCAACUGACUCAAUACCCUACUUCCCUUAACAACUAACAGAAUAACAAACGUCAUGUAAAUAAAAAUUGAUUUCUGUUACUUAGCUGACUUGGCUACUCAACUAUUCCUUUGUGCAUAUGUAUUUAUCACUGGGGGCCUAUCAUUAUCUCCCCAAAAUCCACCUUGUCCUUAAGGUGGAAGUCGAGAAAUUGCCAGUGGAUGCUCUCAACAGAUUUCCAUGUAGCUUCAAAGUCUGGGGGAGUUCUUCUACUUGAUCAACACUUCAGGACCGGAGUCUCUUGCUGAAUUGGAACAGACCUACAAUAUGGACUCAGGCUCUACCUUGAGCUAACUUUCUAUGGCGAGAUGUUCUAGAAGAUGGAAGAUGGUCUAAGUAAUUCCCACUGCCUUUCGGAGUUGCGAUACAUGAAAAAGAGGAUGUGUGACAGAUUUUGGAGAGAGUUUCAAACUGUAUGCCAUCUGCCCAACUCUGGCCUCUACUGUAAAAGGUCAAUAGUAUCUGGGAGAUAGCUUUGCUGAAGAGCGACGAGCUACUGAGGUUUGAUAGUAAGGAAGUGAUUUCAGGAACACCAAGUCCCCAACUUUCAACUGGAUAUCACGACAGUGCCCAUCUGCUUGUUGUUUCAUCCUUUGUUGGGCACGUAGCAAAUGCAUCUUGAGGUGUUGGAGAGCUUCAUCCCUGCUUAUUAAGACUGUUCAACUAACGAUACAGCUAUCAUUCCUCUCAAACUAUAGACCAGGUGGAGGAUCACAGCCAUAAACAAUCUGGAAGGGAGUGUGCCUUGUUGCGGUAUGGAAUAAUGUGUCAUACCAAAGUUCUGCCCCUGGUAACCAUUGUCCCCAUGAGCGGGGCUUACUUGAGGCAAAGCAACGCAAGUAAGUUUCCACGCACCGAUUGACGACUUCAGUUUGGCCAUCCGUCUGGGGUGAUAAGCUAUGCUCCUCUUAAGCACGGUCUUCUGAGCUCAAAAGAGUUCCUUCCAGAAUAUACUCAUGAAAAUACGAUCUCUGUCUGACACAAUAGAUUGUGGAAUGCCUUGCAAUCUGACAACUUCUCGAAUGAAUACCUUAGCUACCACAGAGGCUGUGAAUGGAUGUUUUAGACAGAUGAAGUGACCGUAUUUACUAAGGCGGAUGACCCCUACUAGAAUAGUGUCCUAACGUUUUGACCUAGGUAGCCCUUCGAUAAAAUCUAGCGAGAUAUCUGACCACACUCUAUCAAGAAUAGGUAGCGGUUGAAAGAGUCCUUGGGAAGAUAAGGACAUGUACUUAUUCUGUUGGCACAUACAGCGACGGUCUACAAAUUCCUUGACAUCCUUUUUAAUGCCCCUCCAAUAGACCUCCCGCGCAAUCCGUUUGUAAGUUUUGAGGAAGCCUAAGUGACCACCAACUUCCAGUGUUAUGGUACUCUUGUAAUAUUAUCUCAAUGAAUGGGAAUGGCUUCAACAGGUCAACCUGCCCUUGUAACGUAAAAUCCCUUCUAUGAUAGAGUAACCUGAUUUUUCCUCCCCUAACUGAAUACUUCUGAUGACUUUACUUAAUUUUCACCUCUGUUACUGCCUUUUUUACCUCAUCCAUCUGUAACACCCCUGGGAUGGAUACUUCCAAAAAACUUACAGCAGGUUCUAUUCGGAAAAGAGCAUUUGCAUCUUUGUUUUCAAGUCCUAGUCGGUAUUGAAUUUCAAAGACGAAGCCAAGGAGUUUAGUCAUCCAUUUCUGAUGUUCUUCUCAAAUCAAGCAUUGUUCCAAGAGGAACUUCAGACUCCGUGACCAGUCCUUACUAUAAAGUGUUUGCCAAGGAGAUAAUGCUACCACUUUUGGAUGGAAAAUACAAUGGCCAUCAAUUCGCGCUCAUAAAUCGACUUACUUCUAGCACUAAGGAGAAGCACCUGACUGAAAUAAGGAAUCGGGGUGUUGUCUUUGCAUUAAAACUACCCCCAAUCCUUGUCCAGAUACAUCCGUCUCCACCAUUAAUACUUGCGAGAAGUCCGGUAAAGCAAGGACCGGAACCUCAGUCAUAGCUUUCUUCAAGUUACAGAAGGCAUCCUCCGUUGCCUUGCUCCAAAUGAAUCCAUCUUUUAUCAACAAUUCAGUUAGUGGCCAGGCAAUCUUUGCAUAACCCUCUAUAAAUCGAUGGUAGUAGCAAGUGAGCCCCAAAAAUCCCCAUAGCUCUCAAAGAUUUCUAGGCUUGGGCCAGUUACAUAUUGCUUCAAUCUUAGACCUAUCAGCCGCCACUCCAUUCCUUAAUAUAAUAUGCCCCAAAUAUUCCAGUUGAGGCUGCCAAAAGAUGCACUUCUUUUCAUUCGCAUAUAGUUUGUGUUGUCGUAAGCAUGUUAAGACAAUGUCCAGGUGUGCUUGGUGUUCUUCCAAUGAUCUCCUAUAUAUUAGAAUGUCAUCAAAGAAAACCAGCACAAAUUUUCUGAGAUAAGGUCGAAAUACAUCAUUUAUCAGACCGUAAAUGUUGUCAGUGCAUUCAUUAGUCGAAACGGCAUGACCAGAAAUUUAUAGUGGCCCUCGUAAGUUCGAAAGGCAGUUUUUGGCACAUCUUCCUACCUUACUCUUAUUUGGUGGUACCCUGAUUUUAGGUCCAUCUUCAAGAAGAUGUUCACCCCAAAGCUCAUCCAACAAUUCAUCAAUCACCGAUAUAGGAAAUUUGUUUGGAAUCUUUACAUUGUUCAACGCCCGAUAAUCCAUGCAAAAGCACCAACUUCGUCCUUUUUAACCAACAGAACGGGAUUCGAGAAUGGGCUACAGUUGGGUUGGAUUAUCCCUGCCUCCAACAUGUUUCGCACUAGUUUCUCAAUUUCAUUUUUCUGAAAAUACAGGUAACGGUGGUCUUACAUUUACCGGGGCUGCCCCUUUUUGGAGCACAAUCGCAUGGUCAUGGGAAAGCACUAGGGCUAGCUUGUUGGGCCACUCAAAGACUUCGUGGUGCUGCUGCAAUACCUUGUCAUCCAUAGAAUAGGACUCGAGAAUGGGCUACAAUUUGGUUAGAUUAUCCCUGCCUCUAGCAUAUUUUGCACUAGUUUCCCAAUUUCGUUUUUCUGAAAAUAUGGGUAACGGUGGUCUUAAAUUCACUAAGGCUGCCCCUGUUCGGAACGCAAUUGCAUGGUCACGGGAACACACUGGGGAUAGCUCGUUGGGCUACUCAAAUACUUCGUGGUGCCGCUGCAAUACCCUGUCAUCUCAUCACUGAUCCUCAUCUCUUUUCACUCAUCUUCUAUGGUCAAGCUCCCGAAUUCCACUCCUUAAAUUUUUUGACCUUUGAUUUAAUUGAGGCUUGAGUCUUUUGUAAGCUAGAGUCCCCUUGCAACACGACCGAAUGCCCAUCCACCAUAAACUUCAUUCUCAACUUUCCCCAAUCCACCUACGUUUGGCCCAGUGUCCCUAACCACUUCAUUCCCAAAAUCAAGUUAAUACACCCUAGCAUAAGAGGGAGAAAAUCUUCCACCACCUUAAUGUUGGGCAAUGUCAUGACUAACCCCUUGCAAACACCCCCUCCUUGGACCGUUGUACCCAUUCCUAUAGUGACCCCAUAGCUAUUGGUCCCCGACGCUGGAAUGUUUAGCUUUUAUACCCAUUCCAUGGAUAUAAAGUUGUAGGUCACCCCACAGUCAAUGAGCACAACUGUAGCGUGACCCAACAGAAACCCAGUCUUUGAGGUGGUUAGCCCGACCAUCGAGUUAAGAGAUAGCUCCACCACUUCGUGUACCUCAUUUUUCUCCACCUUAGCCCCCGAUUCCACUGUCUCCUCCAACCCUUCCUCCUCUUGAACAACUAGUACUUGCAAUUCCUUGAGGCGACAUUUGUGAUCCAGAUGGUACUUCUCAUGCAGAUGGUACUUCUCAUCACAUUUAUAACAUAAUCAUUUUUCCCUCUUCGAUUGUAGCUCCGCAUCCAUCAAUCUCUUGUACGGUAGCCCCCCUUUUCCAAUUACUGGAUUGCGUGGGUUUAGAAGCGUAAGUUUCGAUGGCGCUGCUGGAAGACACUAGAGUGGAGUAGAAUUGUGGGUUUGCUAGUUUUGGGGAUAAUUAAAUGGGCUGUAGGAGAUGAUGUUUGUAUUACCUCUGAUUUUGGUUGGGCCUGGAUAAUGACUUCAUUCCCGUCUUCAACCCGUUGGGCUAGCACCAUAGUGUGGGCUAACCCCCGUGACCUCAUUAUCCUUACUUCGGCUCGUAUAAUAGGUGUUAGCUCGUUGACAAAAUUGCAUUCCAGCACUUCCUCAAGGAUUGACGGCAAGGGGACAGCCAGCAUUUCAAACUGACGUCGGUAAUCUCGUACGGAGCCUUCCUGCCUUAGCACCAGAAGUUUCUCCAACUGGGUUCCCUCCUGUGACGGACGAAACCGCUCCAAGACUAAGAUCUUAAGGUCCUCCCAUCAGCCCAUGGGAUGCCAACCAUCUUUCCACUGGAACCAAGCCAAUGUUUUCCCUUCAAAGCAGACUAUUGCCACUUCCAAUUUCUCCCAAUUUGACAUUUGAUUCAUGUUGAAAUACCGUUCUGCUCUAAAAAUCCAUCCAUCCGAAUUUUCACCGUCAAAUAUGGGCAUUGCUAAUCUUUGUCUCUGGUGCUCCGUUUGCAACUCAUCCUCCUGGAGUUUUUUCCCUUCCUAGCUGUCAUUGGUCUCACCAGUCGUGGUGGGAUCCUCGGGGUUACUUAAGAAGUCUAAGGCUGCCUCCUAGAUGUCCUUCUCCUUCCUCUUUUUUCUGCUUCAGCCCAUUGCCCCAUCAUCACAUUGAAUUUUUCUAUUAGUGAUGCCAUAUCCCUCUGCACACCUUCUAUCUUUCCUUCCAAGGAGUCCACCUGAUCUGAUGGUGUCAUUCUCCUUGGUGCCAAAUGCUCUAAUACCAAAAUUGAUAGGACCUUGAACUAAUAACACUGGGUGAUUUAUCGGAAACUUAAGAAAUAAAUGUAAUCAAACUGUGGCUUUAUUGAAUAGAAGAAAACUGAACACCUUGGAGCAUUCAAGAGGCUCCAACCCUCCUACUAGACUCUUGAUUUUUGAAAGAAUAUUCUAUGCCCCUUCACCUUUACAUUUAUUGACAAUCUUCCAACUAACUCACUACCUUACUCCCUUAACGACUAACAGAAUAACAAAUGUCAUGCAAAUAAAAAUGUUACUCAGCUGACUUGGCUGCUCCUUUACUCCUUCAUGCGUAUGUAUAUAUCAUCGGGGGCCUAUUAGAUUCUCAUUCCUUUUGUCUGAUACUACCUAAAUUUACGACUGUAUCUACGUUCGAGAUUUGCAUUCUGAUGGAGAAAUCGAUCGCUAGGGAUUGAUGCACUGCAUUUUCCGUGAUAGAUUGGCCUUGUGACCUUUUUUAUGGAAGGCUGUUGUUGGAAUUGUUAUAAUUUCUUGUCUUAUAUUAUAAUUCUUCCCCCGGUUAGGCUUUCAGUUGUGAUAGUUUUCUCAAUUUUGUGAAUUUUAAUAUGUUCUUGCCUGAGCAGCGUCAUAAGCUUGUGAUUCUCACCAAAGAUGAUUGCGUUUUGAAUGAAUUUAACAUCAUUUGUUAAUUUUCCUCGAUUUUAUUUUCAUUGACAGUUCAUUUUUAGCUUCUCAUUGUUUGCAUGUAAAUAUACGUCUUCGGCCUCCAACGCCUUCAAUUUGGUUGCCAUCCUACGGAUUAUCUCGGCAAUGGUGCUUCCUUUACUUAGAGAUGGCCUUGGCUAGGGAAAUCUCGACUGGAAACCUUGCUGAUACUUCUUCCCACUUCCUUUUUGGGUUUACAUCACUUUUGAUUGAAUCCCUGCUGGAUUCUUCUUUAUCGACUUUCAAUGUUUUGAGCAUCUCUUGAUGUGCUUCUAUUCUAUUCAUUUUUUUAGAUCCUUGAGGUCUUUAAACUUCAGUGGGCCAAUUUGUGGUAUAUUUUGUUCGAUUUCCCACAAACAACACCAAUUUGUUGACAGUAAAAACUGGAUUAUAUGAUUUUAUCGAUAAACAAUUACAAUAAAAAAUGUAAAUGCGAUCAACAAAUCCUCUCUCUAACUAUGAGUUUCACCUCCUAAAUUUACUAGUCGAGAUGCUUAAACUAGAACAAGAGGAGAAAUAGUUAUUUAAGAGAAAGAUGUUUGAAUUGCAUGACAUUCUUCAAAUGUGUGCAGGAGGGUAUAUAAAGAUUUCCCCCAAAAUGUUGGAGUAGUUUAGUAAUUCUUGCACUGGGCCGGGUGUCUAUCCCUAAUUGGUAGUCUUAUAGCUGAUUCGGUUAAGAAUUGCAUUUUAUUCACUUGCCCAUGUGCUCUUCAUUGACAGCCUGUCGCCGGCCUGUAUUUGGAGAACAGUUUAAGAUCUUUAUACGAGCCUUCCGUCUUUCUGCCCCCUUCGUAUGUUGCCUUUUACUUCAGCAAUGGGUAUAUGGGCUCGUAGAUGUUGUUCUAGGGGUUAACAAUGAUGACUAUCCACUUCUAUGGAUUUUGCGUGUUAUUAAGACGAAAAAUUGUUGAACUCUUAUAGUGUUUAAUUUGGGAUUCAGCCCUGAGGAAGCAUUGUUCUGUAGAUUCGAAGAUGAUAAUUAGGUUUAUUAUUACGCAUGAAGACAUUUUUGACUGAAUCGUUCUGUAGAUUGAUACAUAAUUCUAACAAACAACUGACUUUCUUUUUAUCACGCAGUAGAAAAUUGAUAAAAUUUCAUGUUUUUGUGUGGUGACUAAAAUCAGAGGGUUUUAUGUGACACACUUCUUUAUUUAUUUUAUCUAUACUUUUCCAAGAUUUAUAGUGCAUGCUCUUUGUACUAGUGACUACCCCUGUAAUAUAAGAUGCAAGCGGCCAAUUCAAUAUAAUCAGCUACUUUAUAAAUUGAGUUUCUCAAUCAGAAAAAUGUGGAAGUCCAGUUCUUAUUCAAAAUAUAUAUGGCUGAAUGAUUCUCAAGGGUUUUGAAGAAUCAUGAAACCGCUUGAGAAAAUGACAAUUUUCUUUCUCACAAAUAAUUUCUGGUAAAUUCGUUUGUAUUUUGAAAGCUUUCCUUGGAACAGAUGAGCAAGGACUUAAAAUUGAACAGUUGUCACACUCACUUCAUCAACACAAAGUCGUUCUUUUCUUUUAGCUAUAACAUUUGUGAAAAUGUUUUCUUCUGGGAAAUUCUAAUCGUUUUCUGUUAUUAUUAUGGACCUCAGGCACUUGGCUUCUUAUCCCUAUCUGCUGUUCUAUAUUCAAUCAAAUCUUCCGACUGCCAUUUUGCCGCAAAUAACAUGGCUGCAUGCUCCCCUCCACAGUUUCAAAUUAUUUUCUUCUUCUUCUCUUUGUAUUUAUUUGCACUAGCACAAGGAGGACAUAAACCUUGUCUCCAGGCUUUUGGAGCUGACCAGUUUGAUGAGCAAGACCCAAAAGAAUGUAAUGACAAAAGCUCAUUCUUCAAUUGGUGGUUUUUUUCCAUGAAUUUGGGUAUUAUAGUUUCUCUCUUUGUAUUGAACUACAUCCAAGACAACCUAAGUUGGGCUCUUGGCUUUGGAAUUCCCUGCAUUAUUAUCUAAGGAAGAGGAACCACAGGGAAUUCUGCCAUAUCAAGGAUCUCAACAGUUCAAGUAAGUCAACUGCCCCUUUGUGUGCUUUGAUAUUUGGAAGAUAAACUUUGCUUCUUCAUCUCUCUUUGGUACAUUUAGGUUUUUUAAAUUAGUCCUGUUAAGCUUGUUGUUGGUAGAGUUCGAAAUUGGUAUGUCUAUGCAAAACAUUGUCGAAUUAUCCAAGUUGUCCUUUCAUAACUUACGCUCAUCUGACACCAACGUUAUUAGUUGACACAUAUUUUCAUUUCUUAUCUUAUCCAAUUUAGUGAAAUCUAUCUUAUCCACCUUGGUCAUCAUAUGAGCAUUUUGUCCUUUAACGAACCUAAGACUAAACUAUAGAGCAUAGCUGAUCUUUAACACAUCUUCUUAUCAUAAAGUGUCACUUCUCCAUAUCACUUUACCAUGCUGAACUUGAUGAAUUAUAUCUUCUUCAAUAUCUGCUUCUUCCUUGUUAAUAAUCAGACCUAGAUAGUUAAAACAAUCACUUUGUGGACAAAAUAAUGCUCUAUAGUAACUUCAUUAUAAUAAAAUGCGUUGAUAAAUUUGUGCUUUAUAUGAUUGAAAUAAUCAGAUCAAUCUCAUUUGUUUCGUUAUAUUAUUUUUGGUUUCUUACAGGUUUCUUGAUAAGGCGUUGCUUGCACCAGAUGGUUCAAAGGAAGAUGGGAAAGUUUGUAGUAACACUGAGAUUGAAGAGGCUAAGGCAGUUCUUAGGCUUUUUCCAAUAUGGACUGCCUGUUUGGGAUAUUCCAUUGCAUAUUCACAAACAUCAACUUUAUUCACUAAACAAGGAGCAACAAUGGAUCGUUCUAUCACGUCUAGCUUACAAAUACCAGCUGCGUCGCUACAAUCUUUUAUCGGCAUCGCCAUAGUAGUCUUUGUUCCCAUGUAUGACCAAAUUUUGGUUCCUAUUGCAAGAGCUAUAACUGGGAAAGCCUCCGGCAUUACAAUGCUUCAACGAAUUGGAACUGGAAUAUUUUUAUCUUUUCUUGCCAUGGUAAUUGCAGCUUUGGUCGAGAGGGAACGUCUAAAAACUGCUGCUGAACAUGGAUUGGUGGACAUGCCGAAAGCAACAGUGCCUAUGAGUGUGUGGUUGCUGCUACCGCAGUAUUUGCUUCUCGGUGUUGCAGAUGUAUUUACCAUGGUCGGACUCCAAGAGUUCUUCUAUGACCAGGUUCCAAACCAGCUGAAAAGCAUCGGUAUUGCUCUAUAUUUGAGUAUAUUUGGCAUAGGGAACUUCUUGAGCAGUUUUCUUAUCUCUUUAGUGGAGAAAGCCACCUGUAGUCCUGGGCGAGAUAGUUGGUUUUCAGACAACCUUAACCGGGCUCAUUUUGACUACUUCUAUUGGCUAGUGGCCGUGCUUAGUGCUGCUGCAUUUACUGUGUACGUAUAUGCUGCAAAAUCUUAUAUCUAUAAUAGAAGAAACUGUCUUUGAAGUUGCAUUUCGUGGUGGAUAAAGCUACCCGUGUCCUAGGUCGAGACGAUGUUCUUAUCAGCUACUGGCUGGGCUUAGUGUUGCUGCUUUUGUUGGAUACUUGUACUUCCCAAAAUCUUGUAUCUAUAACAGAAAUAAACAGGCUUUGAAGUUGCAUAAAAAUGCUGCAGGACAAAUAUGGCCAGUAAAAGAGAAAUACGGCUACCGGUACAUUCAACUAGUAUAAUAAAUAUACUUCAUUUGUGGUCAGUCUCACCUACAUGCGAAAGCAUGGCCAGAGAAAAUAUUUGUUGAGCGGAAGAUAAAGGUCACCAAGGCUUUAACCUGUGUCGGUUUCUCCUAAAAUCAACACCAUUAUGAAAUCACCCAAAAUCCCUCAAACCACCUUUCAGAAAAAAAUUAUCUUUUUAUCUUUUCUAUAUUAUAACGCUCUUAACCUCUUUAUUUUAGAUUCCAUGAUUAAAAAGAUAAAGUAAUUCUCUGAGUUAAGCUAGUUGUUUUGUAUCUGGAUUUUUUUAAAACCUUUUUAAAUAUGAUGAAAAUCUUUUUAAUCAUAGUCUUAAGCCUUUCUUAAAAGGUCAAGAAAAAGUUAAGAGUAAUAAAAAAAAAAAAAUCUGAAAAAAUUAAUUUGCUGAACGAUAAAGUACUAUAAGGCCAUUACAAACAUAUUGAUUUUUAGUUCUAAUAUUUUAUGCCAUUGGACAAUUAUACAUCAUCUACUUUGCUUUGUUGUUCAGUAGAAAGUUUUAAAAAAUUUAUUUAUAUUUGUUUAGAAAAAUGAGAAAUUGGUAGAAUAAUUGUUAUAGAAAGUCAUAUAUUAUUCGCAUUAUAUAUAAAUAGAGGUGACUCCUCUUUACAGAUCAAGAAGUAAAUUACUGAACUUUCUAUCUUUCAAUGUCGAAGUUUCUUGAUAAAAUAUCCUGAGGAUUAUUAUAAAAGGCAAAAGGACAUAAAAAUUAUAAGAGAAAAUAAAGAUAAAAAUAGUAAAAUUUCAUUUCUAAGAGAAAUUUUUGUUUUAAGAUUUUCUUAUCUAUUAGAAUGUUUGGAACUGGUUAGUAGGCUUUCUAUUUAAGUUACAUAAUUUGAUUAGAGGAACGAUCACAACCAUCGGCUCCAAGUUCAACUCGAGUUGCCCCUAUGUCAAUCAGCGAAUACGUACAACUCUCCCAUGGCUUUCCCCUGACACUCGAUGACAGCCUGAUGACCCAUUCGAGCAUAUACUUGGGCACCGCGUACUCAUUACCCAUAAGCUGUAGCGAUAGAUGCUUAAUGGUAACGACAUGGAAGAACUCGUUGUUUAGUAUUAUUCGGCUAAGAACGUGGAAUGAUCUUGAAUAUCUCUCAGCUCGAUCGCGUAACAAAUUCAAGGCCAAGUCGAUGUGCUACAUCAAAGAAAACAAAAAAAGAGGGAGUUAUUUCAUUUAAUAAACCAAACAUUAUGUAUAAGCAAAAAACUAACAAUAUCACUACUUCACUUACAUUGUCGGUGAGCCAAACCCCCAAAGUGGUGAUGUCAUGGAACCACUUAUAAAUGUCCGAUAUCGUCCUUCAAGAUAUCGUGCGGCUGGCUCUAAAAUACAGAGAAAAUGUUAAACGAAGCAUAUACGAGUUACCUAGACUACUAAAAUCAUACAAUACUUACCUGGGCAAAAUUCUUCGCUACUCUAUUUCAAAUGGUUUCCAUUUGGCAUGAUUGACCUCCGGAAUAGAUUGGGGUACGUGUCAUUGACAAAUGACAUUUUAAACUAGUUAAGACCAUAUAAUGAGAUUUUAAAUUACGUACGAUAUAAAUCAUAUAACGAUAACUGAUUUCUUGGGGGACAUCUGUCUGCUCGAGAUACUCACCAAUGAUGCAUCCGAAAGCAACGUAUUUCUCCUCGAGUAGCAUAGCGGGUACUCAAAAGGGGACAGUCUCGUACGCCCAGAUUUGCAACACAUACAAUUAUCAAUUAUUUCAUAUAAAUUCAGUAGAAAGAAUAUUUUAAUGUUGAUUAUGUUAAAUAGUUUACCUACACCUGCCAGGGACAAUCCAUAAGUAUCAUACCUACGCACGGUCCCCUUCGACUUUGAGUGCGAUCUGAUGAAAACGUGUACAAUGUCCUGAAACAUCUCCGAUCCCACGGAUAGUUGCUGAAGCCAUUGAUGUCGUCGACGAUCUCCAGAUGGAAGAAAUCGAUUGCAGUCUUCCUGUGGUGACACAGCAAGACGCUCCUAAAGAUGUAAACUAGACCAAGCUUCAAUCUGUCUAACAUUUGGUCACACCCCCUGAAUGCAUCAAUCAACUACGGUAGAAGCACUGUCCCCUAUCCCUAGAAGUACGUGUCGUACAACCUGUUGCUUCUCUGACCUGCUUCAUUGCUCGUAAUCUUUUGUCAAGGUAAACUCAAACAUAUAGAAUCGAACAUAGAGAAACUAGUGACUUUGCCCCUGAGGUCGAAGUGAAGGGUAUUGUUGUUGAUUGGACUCAGCAACCGACAUAGUAGCGCAUCGAUAACCUGAUCCGAAUACUGCACAUCUCUCAACUGGUACAUGAGCCAAAGAAAGGACUGGUGCAGCAUAUCAGCAUACUCCACAUCCAGCAACUCCAACACAGUAGUGAACUGUGAAAACUAUUGUUCCAAGUAGUUUUCUCUGGCAUCUAUCUCAACACUGCGUCCAAAUGGUAAUUUAUCCUACAAAAAUUAAAAUUUUAAAACAUUGUACAAGAGAUAAUGAAAUAAAUCAUUAUAAUAUGAAAUAAAAAGAAUAGAAUUGUAAAUAAUAUGCACAAGACGAGAUUCAAUUAUACCAACACAAAUAAAAAUAAAUAUAUUAUUUACUAAAACAACAAAAAAAAUGAAAUUAAGAAAAAAGUAAAAAAUAAAAAAUUAAUAAUGAAAUUAAAAAUUUUUAAAUUAUUUAAAUUAAAAAAAGAAUAUAUAAAUAUUAUUUAGGUUAAAAAUUAAUAGAAAAAGAAAAUUGGCAGUCGGCCCACACUAACAAUCGUUAAAAAAUAAAAAAUAAAAAUGAAUUCAAAAAAUUAAAAAUUAUUAAAAUUAAAAUUAAUAAAAAAAGGAAUAUUUUUUUUACCCUAUUACCAAAAAUUAAUAAUAACUAUUAAAAUUAAAAUUACAAAAUUAUGAAAAUUAAAUAAAGAAAUUAGAUAUUAAUUAAUUAACUUUGAAACAAGAUACAAAAAUAAAAGGAAAAAAAUAUGUUAAAAAAUUAAUAAAAAAUAAUUUUUCCAUAUUAUCAAAAAUUAAUAAUAAAAAUAAAAUAGAAAUAAAAAUUCAAAUUCAAAUUCAAAUUCAAAUUACAAAAUUAUUUAAAUUAAAUAAAUAAUAAAAUAUUAUUUAGGAAUUAAAAUUGAAACAACAUACAAAUAUAAAAUGAAACAAACAAUUUUAUUUAUAAAAUUAUUUAAUUUGUUAAUUUUUAAUUUUAAAAUAUUCUUUUAAUUUUAAAAAUUCAACUAAUAUUUCUUAAUUUAAAAAUGUUGACCAAAAAAUAUAACGUAUAUAUAUAAAGAAUAAUGAAAAAAAUAAUUAUAAAAACAUAAAAUAAAUUAAACAAAACGAAAGUGAAAGUGAAAGUGAAAAAUUUAAUAGAGAUUAAAAAUAUUAUUUAAAAUUAAAAUAAUAAAUUAUUAAUCAAAUAAGAAAAGUGGGCCAAAUAAAUCGGCCCACUAACAGUCCAAGGGCCGACUGUAACAAUUGGGUGAACCGACUAUUAAACAGCCGGCCAACAAUUAGCGACCAGCUGUUUAAGAGCCACAGUUUUCUCACGCCAAAAAUCUCCAUUUCCAGCAAGAAAAACCUCCAUUUCCACAUUAAAAACUACAAAAUCUACCAAUAAACUCAGCCAUCUACCAUAAAUAACCAAAAAUAAAUUGAAAACUGAUAAAUUUAUUACCUAAACCAGUAUAUGAUAUAUGAAAAUUACUCCAAACCAUUAUCUAAAACAACUAACCUUGUAGAACUUCAAGUUCCCUUCCAACUGGGUUGUCACUGUCACUGACUGUUACCGAUCGCCAGCAAAAUGGAUCCCGACUGUGGUGAGUUUUCUUGUUUGAUGUGUUUGGCACAAGAUUCUUUUGGGAAGAAAGUGAAAGAGAAUGUAGGUAAUUUUGGGUUUUGAUCUUUAAAUUCAAUUUUUUUUUUAAAUAAAAGCAGUCAAAGGCCACUUUGUAAAUACAUAUGGGUCAACCAAUCGUUUCCCAUGAUUUCCUCCCACUUAGACCCAUUUUCGUUAUUGUCGAAGCCAUAUGCAGUAAACCGAUAUGGAGGGCAGAAGACGAGAAAAAAGGAAGAGAAAAGGGGGAAAAAAAAUAAAAAAGAGAAGAGGAGGAAGAAGAAAGGGAAAAAGGGGAGAAGAAGAAGUGUUGAUUUCUUCAAGCUUAAGUUCAAUUGUAUUAAUUUUCUUCAAGAGAUAAACAAUUUAUGUUGAAUUUUUUAGGGUUCUAAAUAGUUAGUUUAAUUUUCAAAUUGAGUGGAAAGAGUAUAAUUUCUUUCGCAAAUUCCGUGAUUGAUAAAUUUCUAGUUGAAUCAAUGUAAGCAAUUCUAGCAAACCAUAGAAUUUUUACUUGGGUUCUUAAGAAUACUUGGUAAAAACGAUCAGGGCCGGUCCUGUCAUUUGCAGGGCCUGAGGUGAAAUUCAAAAAGUAGGCCCCCGACGAAAUCAAUAUAAGUGCAAAAUUCAACUGUGCAUCAUACGACCCAUUGCUAACUCAAAAAACCAACAUUAAAACUACGACUAGAUAUAUUAUAGAAAAUAUUUAUAUUAUGAACUAUCAAAACCAACAAUGUUUCAAACAAUCAGCUAAAUACUAUUCGUCUUGCUGUUUUAGAGGCAAAAACAUCAAUCAAAUCUGAAUAAUUUAGCUGCUCAACCAUUUCUUUCUCAAUUGAUAACAUAGCCAACCCAUUUAAUCUUUCUUGUGACAUAGUUGAUCAGAGAUAGGUCUUGAUCAACUUCAAUUUUGAGAAACUUCUUUCCGCAGAUGCAACUGUAACCGGUAUGGUUAACAAAAUUUUGUAAACAAUGUAAGCAUUUGGGAAACAAACAUUCAAUGUCUUCAAAUAUUGUAGCACUUCAAUUGCUCUUGUAGCUUCAUUUGGUAUAUAACACCUCAAGACUUGUAACUCCAAACAUAAAUCAUCUCCAUUGAUGUCCGAAGGCCCAUCGUGUUUAAGAUAUUUCUCAAGAUUCACGCAAGAGUUCAACAAACUUGAAAAAGAUGCACCCCUUAACCUCUUCACAUUAAACAAAAAUCCAAAUAUGUCAUCAUAUUGUUUGAAUUGUUCAAAUUGAGUUCUCAGAGAAGAUAGAGCUUGAUCAAUUAUAAAAACAAAGUACUCAAUUCUAAAAGAUUCUUCUGGUGAUUGCUUUACCUCAUCACUACCGCUUUCAUCAAAUUGUUUUUUUCUUCGAAUUAUGCGUUUCUCUGUAAAAGUAGCUCAAUUCCCAUUUCAUUUGCCUUUUUAAUCGCUUCAUCCUUGGCAAUAGCAAAUCCAUGUUCUCUAUAAUCUUCAAGAUACGAAACAAGCCCUUGCAAUAGGUAGAUAGCACGAUCAAUAUCCAUGGAUUUGGUUUGAAGAAAUUUACUCACCAGAUUGACUGCAUGCAACAACUUGUACCAGAUUACCAUGCCAAGCAAGAACUCAAAAUUCUGAAGUUCAUAUGUUGCUAACGACUCGGCUUCACUUUUUACUUUAGGAUCUUCGUUACUUUCUGCUAAAUCAAGUAAUGCUUCUCUUAUCUGUGCAGUUUGCUCCAUUAUAGGCUUCACACUAUCAACAUGACUUUCCCAACGUGUUUGUGAUAAUGGCUUCACUAUCAACCCUUGUACAUUAUCUUUGAAAAUUUUUCAUCGCUUGGUAGAAGAGGAAAAUAAUGUGUAGAUGCGCUGUAUCACUCCAAAGAAGGAUACAGCUUUGGAACAACAAUUCACCAUAUCACAUAAUGCUAGAUUUAGACUAUGAGCACCACAUGGAGUAUAGAAAGCUCAGGGAUUCAUUUCAUGUAUUCUUCUUUGUAUACUUUUGUGCUUCCCACUCAUGUUAGAUCCGUUGUCAUACCCUUGCUCUCUAAGGUCAUCAAUAUCCAAAUCGAGUUUGAUCAAAGCCUUUUGAAGCUCAGUUGCAAGUCCAAGUCCAGUUGUGUCAUCUACAUUCAAAAAUUCAAGCCAAUGUUCUUCAACUGUAGGUAAGUUUGCCGAGUCAUCUACAAAUCGUAUUAUUAAAGACAUCUGCUCCUCGUGACUUGCAUCUGGAGUACAAUCAAGUAUAACUGCGAAAUAUUUUGCAUGUUUAACUUUCUUGACAAUUGCACUUCUCACCUCAUUAGCCAACAACUGUAUCAACUCAUUUUGGAUUUUUUUGCCGAGAUACGUAUAUUGAAUCUCUCUUGCUUCAGCCCGCCGAAGGUGCUCUUUCAUUAUUGGAUCAAACUCACUAACCAAUAACCAAUCAUAUAAGCCGGCAAGGCUGCAAACAUUUAUAAUCUCUACAAUAACCAAUCAUAUAAGCCGGCAAGGCUGCAAUUAUAUAAGCCGACCAGGCUGCAAUUAUACAAGCCAGCAAUGCUUCAAACAUUUAUAAUCUCUACAAUAACCAAUCAUAUAAGCCGGCAAGGCUACAAUUAUAUAAGCCGGCAAGGCUUCAAACAUUUACAAUCUCUUCAAUAAAAAGUUAGGGCAAGUCAUUACUUACGUGAGAAGUGAAAUUUGGAUGAAAAUUGUGGAAUUACACCCUGAUCUCGUCACAACUCACAAGCCUGAAAUAAAAAAUUAUAUAAAAUUAUGAUACUUUAACUUAUCCAGUGUAAGAAGGUAUCCAAAUUAUGAUACAUUAUUCUAACCACAUUGAGAUACAAUAAAGGCAUAUUAUUACCUGAAUCACAGUUGUAUAUAUAUCUGGAUUGAAAGGGAACUUCACCACACCAACUACUUCAAACCAUCAUAUUUGCUGCAAAUAGGCUAUAACAGGAAAUCUGUAAUGAAAGCAACACAAAAGAGAGAAUGUCAUAUUCUAAAACCUUCAAUCUCGUUGGAAGCUAAGGUCGUCGUUGGGAUAAGUGAAAAGGAAUUUGACUUAUUUACCUCAAUUGACUUACAUAAAUAUAAAAGACGAUGAGGCACGUCGUUCAAGAUAAACCUUUGUCUAUAUCAUUUUUGAUGACUUCUCUUAUUUUUUUGAUAGUAAUACUAAAAACCUUUGUCUAUAUCAUUUGGUGACCUUUUAUUUCUUUCUCUGCCAUAUCCGUAUUGGUAUAAAAUUUUGAUGAGGUCUACUACAUUUCUUUCCUUUGGUAUGCAUCAAUUUAUGAUAGCUGGUAUAUUCAGUAACUUCCAAGUUGUUUAUUGUAUAAAAUUUUGAUAUGGUCUACUCCAUUUUUUUCCCCUUUGGUCUGCAUCAAUUUAAGAUAGCUGGUAAAAUUAUUUACUUCCAAGUUGUUUAUUUAUGUUGUUCUUUUUUUUUUCCUCUAAUUUUAAUUGUUUUAUCUUUGCUAAUGUGAAGGUGACAGCUUUGCAAUAUUGCGGGCAGAACUGAAGAAUCAAAAUAAACAUAUAAAGAGUCUGAAAAAGAAAUCCCUCUGGUCUAGGAUUUUGGAUGAGGUAGUCAAUACUUCUGUUUUUACAAGGAUGCCGAAUGUAGACUAGGCUUUUUAUAUUAGAAUUCUGACUUUUAAUUUUUACAUGCAACUGGAGACAAGGUUAUGUUCUGUAGAAUGAAUUUUUACUUGUUUGUUGUCACUAUAAAUCUUUAUUCUGCAACCAAGCUAAUUUAUGUUAUGUUUCUUUAUGUUAAGGUAAUGGAGAAGCUUGUAGACAUCGUCCAUUUGCUAAAUUUGGAGAUCCAUAUGGCAUUUGGUAGCUCUGGUAAUCAUCCAAAAUUUUCGAUAUAGUUUAAACAGUUAUGCUCGCCUUUUUAUGUCUUUGACACUAUUUUUUCCUUUUUCAGUAUGUGCUUGUCCAUUUUGAGUUCUUGUGAUUUAUCUUCUCCUCUUUUAGUGGCCCUUGUUCUCUUAAUAUUCUAAUCCCUUGUUCAUCUUAUAACUAAAAAGAUGGUGUAAAAUGGUUCUUAUUUUUAUUUCUUUUUCAUGCUUCAUAAAUAUAACUAUAUGCAGUUCAGUGUUCGAAUAGUCCAGUAAUUCCUGGUUCAAUUAUUUAAUAAAAAAUGUGUAUUUUGUUUGUUCGUUGGGUGACUAUUGCAGAUGGAGAUAGGCCAAUAAAAAACCACCAGCAGAAGUUGGGAUCUGCUGGCCUUGCACUGCACUAUGCAACUAUUAUUACCCAUUUGAAACUCUGAAGGACAUAAAUAUAUUUAUCUCAGAUCUCAGUCAAAAUUUAAAUUAGAAUUUUUUUUUCCAAAAAUAAACAUUAUAACAAUCAUAUAAUGCCUUUUUUUCAGUAACAAAAUUACAGAGUUAAAAAUUGUUCAUUUCUCAAACUCAAGAAGUUAACAGAAAAUGUUGAGUAUGUUGCCCAAGCAGAUCACAUUUCCCUAUAUAUAUAUAUAUAUAUAUAUAUAAUAAAAAUCGAUAUAAAAAUCCAAUUUUGCUCCAAAUCAUAUUGUUCGAUGAAUCAAGAUUAAGUGGUGAGAAAUGUUUACAGAAACAAAUCCCUGCCCAAAAUCAGUUCAAGCAUGGAUCGAAAAUAGUGAGCAUAAUCAAGACAAGGCAGCUUCAAAAACUCAAGAAAAACAAGCUGAUUUCUUAAUGAAAAAAACCAGAUUAAUGUCUAGGAUUAAGAGCCUUUGCAAUCAAAGAAUUCAAACUCUGUCACAAAACUCGUAUUUCGUAACUGUUCAUCUUACUUUCUAAAUUGGCAGUUAAAAGUAUUGGAACUUUAUCAGCCAUUUAGUUAUCCUUCUAACGGCUGAAAUCCUAUUGAUGUUUUUAUGUAAUUAUCCAAAUAAAAAUAACACAAAAAGGAUAAAAAAAAAUCAAAAUGCCCAGAUUAUAACAAUCGUGCAGCACAUAAGUCAACUUAAUAAAACUUAUCUCAUACCAUUAAAGCCACGAACUGCAGCAGCAACUAUAUCUCUGGUCCGAGAUUUAUAUACAUUCGCUGCUCUACAUUCCUCCUCAAAAAUCCGAUCCUAACUAACAAGCAAAAAACAAAUGUAGAAAUUAGAAACAACGAAUCUAAAUUGUAAAUUAUAUAAUUCUAAUCCUUAAAAUUUUCUUGCGAUUUCCAAUAAGUUUCAUCGUCUCUUUAAUCUCUGUAAGUAAUCGAAACAUUUUGUAAUUUUUGUUCCAAUAUGAUAUUAUGAUCGACCAAAAGAAUAACAAAAACAAAAUGAGUACCUCUUUGGUUUGAUGGAUUCACAGUGCUUCAGUCAGUUCAGUGCUUCACACGGCGUAACUCAAGAACAGAUUUCGAUUCGAGUUUCGAGACUAGUAUUAAACCUAAAAUAGUUGAUAUAAUUUAUUAGUGCGCUAGUAUUAAACCUAAAAUAGUUCGAUUUGAGAUUUUGAGUGUUCGAGUUCGACCAAGCAAGAAUAUACCUUUGCCGGCUGCGAGCUGCCCUCUAGCUCUGGAAUUGGAUCUGCUGUGCAGUGUGGUUAUCCGUGACUCCGUGCCCUUGGUCGUCUUGUCUGUGGUGGAGAGUCUGCAGACUGCAGACGGAGUGAGACUGUGAGAGUCCGAGACGGGGAACGCACGGCGAGGGCUGCGCGGCGAGGGCUUCGACUCUGAUUUUGGAUUUGGGUUCCCCUUUUUUGUGGGUUACACUUAUUGGGCUGGGAGGGUUUAAUUAAAAAUAAAAAAUAAAAAAAACGGCCCAAAAUUAUGGCCCCCCUAUGGUCCUGGGCCCUGAGGCACGGGCCUCAUUCGCCUCGGCCUAGGACCGGCCCUGAAAACGAUUAUGUUGAUGGAACUACUCACAUGAAAGCAUGAAUUCAUGGAACAAGAUGAAAAUUAAAUUGGUGGAAUUAUGGUUACUAGUUUUCAUUAGAUUGUAAGGUGUGAUUACUUCAAUGAUUGGGAUAAAGGUAAAUUUGGAAAUGGUACAUAUUGUGAAGGUAUUAGAAAAUAAAAUUAAAUCCAAUUGUAAAAGAAAUUGAAGAAUUUAUUUCUAAUUAACGAGGAAUCAAGUUCUAGUAUUCCACAUUUAAAUGUUAAGGGUAAUUGGUAGGUAAUUGUUGAAUUGGUUAUUUUGUAUCGUAUUUCAUGCGAUGACGAAAAGAUUGGAAAAGCUUACCAACCAUCCUAAUCUAUAGCUUGAAUUGAGUAAGUGAAAAAUCUUAUUUUUCAAAAAUAAGUAUUUAUUAAACUUAUAUUAAAUCAAAAAGUUAAUUAUUUAAUAUAGUUAGUUUGACAGUAUAAUUUUCAAAAUAAAGUAUAGUCAAUUCUUUUUAUAAAGUUAAAUUCAGUUAAAUUAAAUUAUUUCAUUGGCAAGUUAUUUUAUUAUUACAUGUUUCAAUGUAUCAAAAGUUAGUUUUAAAACCACCAGAAGUACCCAGGUGAUUUUACACGCUCUACACUAGUGUUAAUAUGUUUCCACAGUAUACAACCAGUUAUGGUGAUUUUACUAGCUCUGCACUAUUGUGAAUGUGUUUCCAUAGUGUAUAACAAGAUUAUAGCCUUUAGGCAGCUCUACAUACACAUGACCAAAAUUACAUAAUUGAAUAAUUUUGUCGUGUACUUAGAUAUUCAUCGACACAUGAGUAUGAUUAUUUUGAAUACCUUUUUAGUGUGAUUUUUCAGUAUUAUAUAGCUUAUCAGAUUUUAAACUACAAAAUUUAGUUUCUUCAAUAUACAGAAUAAAUAUGUCAACUUAUAGUACUAUGAAAUGAUAUUUUUACUCGUAGUUUUCAUGUCAUAUUUAUUAUAUCCGUUAUACCUUAUAGUGGUUUAUUCAGAAUAAAGAAUAAAUAAUUUUAUGAUUCCAUUAUGCUUUAAUUUUAAAAGUAUUGCCAGAUUUCAAACUACAGAAUUUAGUUACUUCAAUUUACAUAAUAAAGAUUUCAGCAUAUAUUACUGUGAAAUGAUAUUUUUACUCAUAAUAUGGAUGUCAGAUUUAUUAUAUCCAUUAUACCUUACAAUGGAUUACUCAAAAUAAAGAAUAAAAAAUUUUAUGAUUCCAUUAUGUUUUAAUUUUAAAAGAAUUAUCAGUUGUAAUAGUAUAAGAGUUUCAAAAAGUUUGCAUAAAUGGGAAAAAGUAUACUUGUUUGCGAAAUAUCCUCUCACCGAAUUACAAGUUCAUAUAUUUGCUCACCCUUUUUUUAUCAAAUAGUGGCUGCGUUGAGCAGCAUUGGAGCAUGUCGAUCCACCGAAUUGAGCCACACAUUGUCAUUAGUUGUAUGACUCAUUGUUGGUUUAUAUAGUUCAUAUUCUUUUUUUAAGGAUGCAUGCAUCUUUUGUCAGAAAAGUUAAUUUAUAAGUUAUAUAUCCAUAUUAUGGGCUUGUUGCGUAUUCGGUAUCUUUAGUGCAUUUGGAAACUUUUGUUUGUAAAUAAUGGGAAUGAUCAGUUUUCCAGUAUCGUAUUUUGAAUAAUUUGUGUUCGAGGGAGCUGGUGUACCCUAUUUUAAAUUAUAUGUACAUGUUUGAGGAAAUCAAGUAUUGUUCAGGUGGCUUUGGUCAAUAUUACAUAAGAAACUGUCAAAAAAAAUUUAAAAUUAUUUCACAGUCAAAUCAGGUCAAAGUUGCCCUGAUGGUCCGGCACUUAGCUGGUAUCUAUUAUUGAAGCAUGUCAUGUGUCUGGUCCACUAGAGUGACUUGGGAUGAGUUGUGACAAGCUUAUGUGUGAUUGCCUUGACAUCCAUCACCUGAUACUAUGGUUUUUUUCCAAACUCUUUGCUACCAUUCUUUUUUGGAUUGAUGCUGAUAAUCAGGAAUGUAAAGGGUUUGAUUAUGACUACAUAAUACUGAAAAUUCCACAAGUUGGAGAGUGAACAGAGGAAGUAAAAUCCAUAUGAUGCUGCAAAUCUCAUAAGCAGGUGGCUGGAGCAGAUUGAUUGCAGAGUUUCAACUCUGAAUAUGUUUGUAAUAGAAAAGUUUUCUUUAAUAUUCCAACUGGGAGCGUUUUACUCUUAUUCUUCAUCUGACCGAUUUUAUAGUAUUUUGAGUAUGACCAUCUCCAAAUGACUAAAACGUAAUGAGCCCAUGCACUCAAGGCGAAAAAAUCGAUGGCUGGAGAAUAAAUUUGCUAUUCAAAAAGGAUGAAAUCACGAACGAUGGAGAGAUAAUUAACAAAAAGGUAGAGAUUUCUACCUUUUGAAAGCUGCAAAGUGCCCACUUUGGGCAGCCAUUUACUUGUUUGAUUUCUCCCUUCUUGUUAUUUUUUUCCAUUUUUGUCCAUGUUAACACCUUUUUCCAAAUUUUCUUCUGAUUACUGAUAAGUGCAUUUGUACACUUAUCCAAAUCGUUAAAUUAAUGUAUUUGUUAUUGAUUUUGAUGAAUUAUAGUUUAAUUUUGUGUUAAUCUUGUUUGUUAGGUAAAACUCGAUGCAAAAUUGUGAAAUUGAAAUAAAGGAACCAAAAAUGGGCGAAAAAGAAAGAAAUCAAAAGUUCGAUGGCCAAAUUACAAACAUCCAAUAGUUAAUUCGAACCAUCAAAUAGUUAUUGAAGAUCAUACAGGUUCUUUCAAUUGGAUGCAAAUGGAAGAUAGAUGAAAGAAAUUAUAUAAGGACCAAUUACAAAAUUUGGUCCCAAAGAAGAAAAGGCUUGCAUGUGAACUAAACUGGCCCUUGUGCACACAAGGGCUCAAUAUGAUGAACUCGAAGCCAAAAUGCCAAGGGUUGCAUGUGCAAAUUGAACACCCAUGUGCACGCAUGGGUUAUUCUGGAGGCAAUCAGGGUAAAUUCCAUUUUUAUGUUCAACUCUUUUAUAAUAUGAACUUCUAGCUUUUAUUUAACCUACUUGAGGCUGCCAAUGACGGGAUCUAUGACAUUAUAAUGCAAAGAAGAUGUGAAGUCUCAAAAUUGUAUAGAAUAUAAUUUAUUUUUUUUAUCCAGAUUUUUUUAUAUACAUUUUGAUAGUUAAGGGACUAAAGUAAAAUAGUAUUAAUUUCAAAAUUUCUAGGCUAAAUAAUUAAGAAUUGAAAGAGAAAAGAUAAGUAUAUCAAUAUUGAGAUCUUUUUGUAAGUUGUAAUUAAUUAGAAGUUUUCGACUCGAGAAAAAAGUUACUUUGGAUAAGUUUGAACUAGGUUUGAGUCUAUUGAAUGAAACCAAGGUUGAAUAGAAUUUUAGGAACCAAGGUUUGUAAUUUAAUUUUAUUCAUAGUUCUAUAAUUAUAUAGCCUUUAUAUUAUCUAAACGAAUAAGUUAUGAAAUCAAUAUUUUUAAACUAACCUAAUGACGAAUAUGGUGACGAAUUCAACGAUAUCAAAACAAGUUUGAAAGACUACUCAAGAUAAGAAAGUCUAAGAUUUGAUUUUACCUAACUAUCAAAUAUGAUUCUCAAUUAUCUAGUUAUCUCUAAACACCUUUUCCAUGUUUAUGAGAAAGAACUAAAUUGUAUUUCUAUCCCUUCCCAAGAACGUUGGCUGUAAAUUAAUCCUAAAUUUCAAUUCCAAUAUCUUCCUUCCAAGUUAAAACCAAGAAUUUAUCAAGUUAAUGGUUCUUUUACGGAGUAAGCUUUAUAGAUUCUACACUUUCUCUCGAAAUCUAUAAAAUCUAUGUUGUGUUAAUUUUAUGAUCGAGCCUAAAUUCUCCUCUCUUGAGUGUCAGAAUUGACUAGCAUCUACUCAUUCAAUUAGUCGUCAAUUAAUUGAAGCAUUAAAAUCAUAACAAAAAUAAACGGAAUGGAAAAUUUCAUAGAAAUAACUUAAAUAAAUUCAAAGCAUGCUCUCAAGUUUUGGCUAAUAAAGCCUAGAUUAGAUGUUUAGUUCAUGAUAAAAGCCAUAAAAUUAAUCAAAUUCAAAUAAAAAAACAUAGAAAAACUAUUUUUGGUAGAUAUUCAAUCUCCUUUGUAAUGUUGUUCUUGAUUUUUCCUUGAUUUCUUAAUGAUCGCUUGCUUCUUGCCUCCUUGUUGCCCGUUUGAAUUCUCCCUCAAUUGUGAUCUUUAGGUUUGUAUUUAUAGUAUUUUGAAGUCUUAGACGAAUUAGAGUUGGAUUGGGCUAAGAAAAAAGUCCAAAAAAUUUUAAAAUUCCUAUUUUCUCUCCUAGCGACGUUGCAUCACCCAAGAUGGGUGCCGCGAUGUUGUUGAUUUUCAACAAGAUGGGUGCAAUGCCACACACUUCAGGUGGAAAAACAAAUGAGGAUUUUACUUAUUGUAGCUCAAUGCAUUAACAAAUGAGGAUUCUCCUGAUUUUGGACUGCUUCAACCUCGAAGAAUCAACCAAGUUACUAACAUAUUAUCAAAGGACUAAUAUUCUAAAACAAGUUUCUUCUAUUUUAUGCACCUUCUUUUUCAUAUAUAUGUGUGUGUGCACGCAAUUAGGUGGCAAUUAAUACAAUUAAUAAAAUAUCUUUGUAGUUAGAAUAAGAAAAAGUCCAAGUCUUAAUUAUGGUUUGAAAAGCAAAGUUUGUAGUAAGAAAAAUACGUGACAAUUAAACACGUAGAAAGUGAUGGAAAGUGACAAAUCUUUACCAAUUAAUUAAGUGGGAGUGAAAAAAAAAAUUUAAACGAAUUACAAAAGUUUUCAAAUUACGUAACCUAAAUAGAAAUCUUACUAACCAGUUCCAAAAAGUCUAUUAAGAUAAGAAAAUCAUAAAAGAAAAAUUUCUCUUAGAAAGGGAAUCUUACUAUUUUUAUCUUUAUUUUCUUUUAUAAUUUUUAUGUCUUUUUGCCUUUUUUUAUAAUUUUCAGGACCUUUUAUCAAGAAACUUCGGCACUAAGAGAUAGAAAACUCAGUGAUUUGCUUGUUGAUCUUAAAAGAUGAGUCACCUCUAUUUAUAUCUAGUACAGAUAAUAUAUGGCUUUCUAUAACAAUUAUUCUACCAAUUUCUUGAUUUUCUAAACAAAUGUCAAUAAAUUCUUUAAAACUUUCUAUUGAACAACAAAGCAAAGUAGAUGAUGUAUAAUUGUCUAAUGGCACAAGAUAUUAGAACUAAAAAUCAAUAUGUUUAUAAUGGCCCUAGUUUACCAUUCAACAAAUUAAUUUUUUUAGCCUUUUUUUUUUCUUUAAAUCUCUCUUAACUUUUUCUUUAUCUUUUAAGGAAGGCUUAAGACUAUAAUUAAAAAGAUUUUCAUCAUGUUUAAAAAAGUUGAAACAAACUUCCAAAAUCGAGAUACAAAACGACCAGCUUAACUCAGAGGAAUACUUUAUCUUUUUAAUCAUGGAAUCCAGAAUAAAGAGGUUAAAAACGUUAUAAUAUAGAAAAGAUAAAAAGAUAAUUUUUUUGAAUAAAUUAACUACUUACUUAGUGUACCUCCUUAGUUUAGCCUCUUUUUUCGUAAGCAUAUCCACUUAGUCAAGCACUUAUUCUCCUAAAAUCCACUAUUUUUCGAAGUGUGCCCAUUUAGUCGAGUCUUUAUUUUCCUAAGUGCACCAACUUAGUUGAGCAUCUAUUCUCCUAAGUUCAUUUGUUUAGUCAAGCCUAUAUUUUUCUAAGGGCGUCCGCUUAGUCAAGCCUCUAUUCUCCUAAAUGCAUCCACUUAGUCGAGACUCAGCUGCUUAUAUUUGGAGCAUCACCUCUAAAUCAGCUUCAACAUAGCUACUUACCUUCAAAAAGCUUUGCCUCUACCCAAAAGCCCACCUAUUAAAUGAAAUUCAUAAUUGGACUUUUAAGACUAUUGUGAUACUAUCAUCCUAAUAGCAUUACAUUGUUACUGUUAGCACAUGCUUUGCAUUAUUGCUAGCAUGUCAUGAUACCGUCAGUAUGCAUGUCACAUCAUCUAUAUUACCAUUUUAUUAUCGCUAGGAAGUAACUUUCUUUACACUAGCAUUACUAUUGUACUAAGGUGUGCAAACAUAUGAUCCACUAUGAUACAUGAUAGGCUCUCUGUAUGUUAUAUUUUUUGAGAAAUAUGAUUUGCUAUAAUUUUCCCUAUCGUCAUGAGUAUUUUGAUGGACAAUGGGCCCCAAUUUAUUUUUUAUAUGUGAGUCGAGAUAUAGUAUUAUAUCUCAUGUAGGUGUAGUCGGUCUAGUCCAUAUUAUAGAAGAGAUGUUGUCAAAUUUUUGGUAAAUCAUAGUGUGAUAUUUUAAAGAUAGUUCGUAAACCUUCACUUAUUGGAUUUGCUCAUUUUUAGAGGCUAUCUGUAGGCCUUCAUAUUUUCGAGACUAUUGCAACUCUUAAUGUGUUCACAACAAAUAAUUUUUAUGCAAUUUGUAAGCCCUCCUAGUUGACAACUAAUAUUUUGAUAGACUAUGUCAUCUAAGAAUAUUAUAACUGACCUAAAUAAAGGUGACAAAUUGAAUGACGAUAACUAUAACACUUGGUGCCAUAAAAUUUGGUAUGUGCUAGAGGAACAAGAUUGCUUUAAGGGUAUUAACCAUGUAAUGGAAGACCUAAGGAUAGGUCAAACUACUCAACAGAGAAAGGAUCAGGAAACUUACCAGAUAUGGAAAAAGAAAGAUUCCACUGCUCAUGCAAUUUUGAUAAGUUCUAUGGUGGACAAUCUCAUACAUGAAUGUGAGCAUUUUUCGAUUUGAGAGAGAAAUAUGGUAGUACUAGUGCGACUAGACUGAGAUAGCUGACUAUUAAAUUUGACACUUACAAGAAACUUCCUAAUCACAACAUCACACAGCAUGUGAAGAUCAUGUCUACUAUGAUUAGGGAAUUGAAGUCAGCUGGUCACAGACUCUUUGACGAGCAAUAAGUUUAGGCUUUGAUCCGUUCCCUUACUGAUAAUUGGGAACAUCUAAAAGUUAAUUUGACUCACAAUAAUAGUAUCAAAAUAUUUGCUGAUGUUGCCCGCCAUGUGGAACUAGAGGAUGACCUCCUUGGUGCGGCUAAAUCUCUGGGACAAACUUUUGUGGUUGAAUGUAGUUUUGGGAAAGUUUCAGGCUUUAAGCGUAAGAAGAAUUGAUUCAAAGGCAGAAAAGGAAAGGGAAAAGAAACUGGACAGGGACCUAAAAAGAAAAAACACAAGCGCAAUAUGAAGAGUAAUUGCUUUGGAAAGAAGAAAGAUAAGAGCAAGCUGAAAUGCUUCAACCGUCAGGUGUUGGGUCACUUUGCUUGGGAAUGCCCUAAGCUAAAGAAGGUAGCUCUUAUAAAUACUUCUUUUAGUACUAUUUAUGUUUAAAACACUAUUAUGCUAGAUGAAUCCUAUCCUAUGUAUAUUAGGAGCAACAAACCAUGCAACCAGGGAUUGAGAAGCAUUUGUGGAGUUCUAUCGAUUUUCAGCUAGUACAAAGUGGAUAUAUGUCGGCAACGAUGAUAGAGUGGAAGUAAAAGGGAUUGGUACAUGUAAGUUUCAUUUACAUGGUGAUCGUACUAUUCUUUUUCAUGAUGUCUUAUUUGCACGGCGGAUAUGAAUGAACUUAAUUUCAGUUGUUGUUCUUUUAAGAUUAGGUUUAAGUUCAAACUUUUGUAGUAAUUCUAUUCGUAUAAAUAAUGGUAAUGUAUUUUAUAGAUCUGGACAUUUAGAAGGUAGCUUUGUAAUGUUGGAUUGUGACCCAAAUACUUAUAAUUAUUAUGUUGAUCUUUAUUUUUCUAUGACUGUAUCUUUCUCUUCUUCUAAAAAUUUGAAUGUUGAUACAUCUGCAUGACAUGCUAGAUUAGGACAUAUUGGAUAAGAGAGAAUGAACAGGUUAGCUAAAGAAGGUUUGCUAGAUUCAAUCUCUAUGGUUUUGUUACCUACUUGUAAACAUUGUCUAAUUGAAAAAACAACACAAAAAUCAUUCGGUAAAGCCUUAAGAGUUGAACUUCUAUUGUAGUUACUACAUUCGGAUAUAUGUAGCCCGAUGAAUGUGAUGGCAAGACAUGGAGCCUCCUAUUUCAUUACUUUUAUAGACGAGUUCACGUGGUAUAGUUAAGUCUAUUUGAUUUCUCAUAAGUCGGAGGCAUGGAAUGUUUUAGAUGAUAUUAAAUAUGGUAGAAAAUCAAAUAGAUAGAAAGGUAAAAGUCUUAAGAACUGACCGAGGGCAUGAAUAUCUAUCAGAAGAGUUCAAAGAACUAUGUGAUGAUAAGGAAAUCAUUAGGUAGUUAACUAGUCUCAAUAUACCUCAACAAAAUAGUGUUGUGGAGAGGAGAAAUAGAACGUUGCUAGAAAUGGUGAGGUUUAUGAUGGCACAUACUAACUUUACCUAUUUCCUAUUGGGGAGAUGCUUUGUUAACUGCAACCAAGAUUCUGAAUAGACUUCCUUCUAAAUCGGUGCCUACUAUACCAUAUCAGCUUUGGACAGGUAGAUCCUCUGAUUUAAGUUCUCUUAGAUCCUGGCUACCUAUAUCCAUGAUUCCACAAGUAAGUUUGGAAAAUUGGGUGCUCAAGGUAAGAAGUGUAUCUUUAUAAGAUACUCAGACAAGUCCAAAGGAUAUGUGUUCAUAGGUAAAAAUCAAGAUGAGACUAUAACUAAGAUAGAGUCACGUGAUGUGACAUUUCUUGAGAGUGAUUUUCCUAGCAUGGGAGAAAAUAAAAAGGGAGAACCUUUGUUUGAAUUAGAUAAUAGAGUUGUACUUGAUGGAUCAAUUGAGGUGCAAGAGGAAGUACUUCUACCUAUCGAUCCAAGUGAGAGUAAUUUAUCUCCAACUUCAAGUACGGGGUCACAUCGGAGCUUUUACUUCGUAAGAUUACUAGAAAAAGUUUGCCUAAAUGUCAUUUCAAGAUCGAAGGGCGAGUUUUCCUAGUAUCUCCUGAAGAUGGUGAAGAACCAAGAUCAGUACAAGAAGAUUUAUCAUGUCCUACAAAGGAAAAAUAGAGGAAGAGUUGGAGUCUAUGAAAUCGAAUCAGGUCUGGGACUUGGUUAAUCUUCCAUCUGGUCAAAAAGCCAUUGGGAAUAAAUGUGUCUAGGGUUGGCAAUCGGGCUCGUCGGCUUGGGCCAUCCAUAACUCGGCCUAGAAAAAGCCCGAGCCAGCCCAGCUCAAGGCUCGAUUCUACCAAGCCGAGGCUUGGACCAAGCCCGAGCCGACCCAUGUGGCUUGCAGGCCUUUAUAUUAAAAAAAUAAAAAUUAAAGGCAACAACCUGCUAUCUAUAAAAAAAUCAAGCCUAUCGGCUCGGCUUAAAAAGCUCAGAUCGUUCGGCUCGGCUUUUUGACACCACUAAAUGGGUCCUCAAAAUAAAGUGAAUAACUGAUGGGACUAUAGAGAGGUAUAAGUCUCAAUUGGUGGUAAAGGGUUAUACUCAACAAAAGGGUAUAGAUUAUGAAGAGACCUUUUCACUAGUAAUUAGAUUUACUUCAAUUCGUCUACUCUUAACUAUCGUAGCACGUUUAGAUUUAGAAUUACAUCAAAUGGACAUAAAGAAUGCAUUUCUUAACUAUCGUAGCACGUAAAGAUUGAGAAUUUGAUGAAGAAAUUUACAUGCAACAACCAAUAGGUUUCCUUAAAACAUGUCAAGAGAAUAAAGUUUGUAAAUUGAAUAGAUCAAUCUAUGGCUUAAAGACACGGUGGUACUUGAGAUUUCACAGAACAGUUUUCUCAUACAACUUUUUCAUGAUGGACGAAGAUCACUGAAUUUAUUUGAAAUUGUCCAACGAGAAAUUUGUAUUUUUAUCUCUCUACGUAGAUGCUAUCUUAUUGGCUGGGAAUGAUAAGAAGUAUAUUAAAACCAUUAGGAAAUGAUUGUCCUCAAAUUUUGAAAUGAAGGACAUGGGAAAAGCAGAUUACAUAUUAGGUAUUAAAAUCCAUAGAGAUCACUCAAAGAGGCUUCUUGCUCUGUUAAAGAGACAUUUAUAAAGAAAAUUCUUGAACGUUUCAAAUUGGAGAAUUGCAAUCCAAUUGACACUUCUAUAUCAAAGGCGAAACUCUAAGUCUUCAUAUGUGUCCUAAAGCUCUCGAGAAAAAAGAAGAAAUGUCCAGAGUUCCAUACUCUAGUGCGGUUAGGAGCUUGAUGUAUACUAUGAUGUGUACUCAUCCCGACAUUGUUAUGUCGUAGGUCUGGUUAGUAGGUACCAAUCUAAUACUGGAAGAGAGCACUGGAAAGACAUUAAAAGGAUAUUAAGAUACCUAAACUGCUAAUUACUCCCUGUGCUAUCAAGGAAAUGAUUUGUACUUAAAAUAAUAUACAGAUGUUGAUUGGGGUGGAGACCUAGAUGAGCGCAAGUCAACUACGAAAUAUGUAUUCUUGCUUAAUAAUGGUACUAUCUCUUGACGUAGAAAGAAACAGACCUAUAUUUUCUUGUCCACGAUGGAAGCAAAAUUCGUAGUACGUGCUUCAGCAGUACAAGAAGCUAUUUGGUUAAGGAGAUUCCUACAGUAUCUAAGAGUCGUUAGUGGUGAUGUGGGACCUAUAUUGAUCUACUGUGAUAGUUAGACAGCUAUUGUAUAGUCUAAGUAUCCCAAGUAUCAUAGUAGAACCAAACACAUUGAUACAAAGUAUAAUUUUGUAAGAGACAUCAUAAGCAAAAAGAAAGUGAGUUUGCAGUAUAGUUCUAUGCACCAAAUGGUAGCUAGUCCAGUUAUAAAACUUAUCCCUAGAGAUAUUUUUAUGACUCAUGUUAAAUCUCUGGGAUUGCGUAGAAUUUAAAUUGUACACUAUGUAAACUUUUUCAUAUAUGUCCAUUAAUGAACAAUAUUUUGAGUUCAUAUGUUAAGAGUAAUCUUUUAAUGUGAUUUUUAGAUUACCAUUGCAUCUGCACACAUAAAGUAUGUCAAACAAGUUGAGAUUGGUUUACUCACACGAACAAUCAUCUCAGAAACUUUGAGGUGUGCUGAAAUGAGCACAGUGAUCAUAUUGUGUAUAUGAUCCAAUUGCCUUGAUGAGAUAUUAAGAUGAGAUUAUAACAAGUAAUCGGUAUGGAUUUUUUUGCCAUCCAUUAGACCUGUUUUAUAGCCAGAUCGAGUUCUUAAUUUGAGAUUAGCUGGAGGAAUAAAUAUGAGGAGAACUCAGGUUAGAUAUCAAGGAAUAUUUGAACUAUGAUAUGUACGAUAUUUAUAUUAGUGAGAUUAGACAUAUGCCCUAAGAAAGGGAGAAACAUCGUAUAAUGUGUUUCAUACCAUAUGUGCUUUAAUGACCAAUGAGAAAUGAAAGUAUUGAUCCCUACUUCUUCAUUGUGUGAGUCUCUGAGACGUAUUUGACCUCACUUAUAUACCCUAAUGACUUUAACUAUUUCUUAGAAUUUUAUUUCAGUAUUGCUACUUUAGCAUGUUGCCAAUAACUACGGUUGAUUAGGUUCGAUGGGAUAUAUCUAGGAAAUUAGCUAACUUGAAAUGAAGGGAUUCAAGUAGGAAAGGAAGACUAAUUAACUAAUACCUCAGCUUGUAUUCACCAACCAGACAAUUGUGUUACUUAUUUGAGUUUGUGUGACACAAUUGUAAAUGCAAUAUAAAUAAGAAAGUUGAGUAUGUUCUAAAAUAAAUUGAAGGGUCAUAAAUACUCGAAAUGGUAUUACAAAAUAUGUCUAGGGUAUAGUGAGAAAUAUAAUUUCUCUUCUAGAACUACUAUAUAUCCCUAACAAGUGUAUAGUAUUGUAUGCUCUUAAAUUAACUUGAUGGUCGUACGAUUCAUUUACCAGUAUGAACUUGGAGAUGUUGAGAUUAUUAUAAUUGAAUUAUACUUGAAUCAGGUUCAGCCCAUCAUGUGCGAGUGGGAGAUGUUGGAAGAAAAUGGCCACCCAUGUGAGUUGACCUAACCCGAUUUGCAUGGAGAUGAAUUUUGGAGGGAGGAGUUAGAAAUUAAAUUUGAAACUUAACCUAACUUCUUCUAUAUAACUUCUUUUCCAUCAAAAACUGAAAAUAUACUUGGUGAAAUCCAAUUUCCAGAAUGAGAGAAAACAACAUAAGUGUUGUGGCUUGUUAUUGGAAAGUAAGCAAAUCAAAGGCAAGUAAUUCAACCUUGAUUUUGAGAUUUCAUGUAAGUAUCACUACUUAGAACUUGGUUAUAAGCAUACAAGCACGUUUUACAUUGUAUAUAACUUUUUUCGACUCCAAUUUUACAUUCAAUAGCGUAAGCAAAAAGAGGGUCGUUUAAUUGCUUGUUAUUUUUCUUUAUUUGUUAAGUAUUGAAGUGGCUGAGAGAUUUGCUUAUUGUGGUAUAUAUUUUAAAUGAUAAGCUAUUUGAUGCAUCCACUGGGGCAAUCCACUACUAAAGCGGCGGAGAAUGCGAAGGAAUGAUGGUGUUGCUUUUGUCACUAUUGGCUAAUUUUGUGGUUGACUCCUUUCUUGGUCGCAACUACACUAUCCAUUAUCAUAUCUCUGGACUCUAUAUUGUGAUCAGUCAAAAAUGCUCACACCAAUGCCUCAGGGUAUAAUUAUUAGCUAAAUAUAUAAUUUCUUUUCCGAGAUUUUAAAUUAAAUUAACUUCGUGUUUAUAACUACUUAGUGCCCUUUCUUAUACUUCAAUUUACAUAUAAUAAGUGUUAUUAGAAUAGUCACCCUUCUAGAAAUGAUCCUUGACAAAGAUGGUUGAUGGACCAAGGAGGCUACUUCUAGAUGUUUAUUGUAAGGUUACAUUGCUUGAAGCAGUGGUUCUCGCUAAUGACAGUUUUGAAAGGAGGGAUAAAAUGUAACGAUUCUAUAACGUUCUGUAUCUCUAAGUUAAAACUUAGCUCUUGAACAUAUAAUCAUCUAAGCAUGCUCCUAUAGCAAAUUGACUUUAAGGAUGAUUUUUAAUCAAUGCUAUUAUAACGUUAUUUGAUAUGAUAUAGCACAAGGUGGAAACUUAUUAAUUAGCAUAAAGUGUAAAAUUUGAACCAGUUUGAUUCAUUUGGUUUUUUUCUUGGACCAUGAUCAAUGAAAUGUGCAGCCAAGUAAUAAAGAAUGUGUAAAAUAUCGUUUCCACAAAUAUUAAUUACUUAGUCUAAUAUCUAGCUAACGCCAAAUUUAAUCGAAUAGCAAUAUUAGUUUAUGGAUGAGUUUUAUACUGACAAUCUAAAUUCUAUGUUAAAUUAACUAUCCUAACCGAUUAAUGUUGAAGUAUUUUGAAACUCUAGUAAUCGGAUAAUUACUAAGACCUUGAAUAUCCCUACAUACUUCCUUGUUAAUGUCAAUUCAAAAUUUGGACAAUACAUACCCUGAUAUGAAGAUCAAUAUUCCUCACUCGUUUAAUAAUUCUCUCUUGAGUAGAAGUAAACAUAUCAUUGUAUAUAUGACCUUCAUAUCUCUCUAUGAAAGAUAUGCACAUGCAAAGAAUCAUUAGAAUCAGAAAAACAAUGACUAUUACUAUGUGUCAAAUUCCUAUCCAUUCUCACGAAUGUCAAUAAAAAUCACAAGACAAUUUAAUUAGUAACUAAUUAAUUGAAAAGCAUUAAGUACUAACAAUUAUUCAGAACCAAACACAUGUUUUAAUGUCAAAAAUUUAAAAAGCAUAUCAAAACUUCAAAAGCAGGGUUCAAAGUUAUCCUAGCAUAACAAUUAGCCAAGCAUCAAAUUAAUUACAAGUACACAAAAUAAUUGAUACAAAAUCAUCCGGAAGUUAAUAAUUGGAAAGAAUAUGAAACAUAAUCUUGAAUAUUGUAUCUCUUCAAUUUCUUUUUGAUUUUUUUUUCUCUUUUGAUUCUUCUUCUUCUUUUCAAUACAGAAAGUCAAUGAAUUAAAAACAGGUUUGAAUGUGUUUUGUAUAAAGUUUCUACAAAACUUUGAAAGAGUGUGAGUUUAUGAAUCAAAAGCUUCCUCUUUGGCUCUCUUAUAUGAAGGAACUAUAGAUUUGAAACCCUUAGAGCUUCUUUCACUUGUAUAUAAUUAAUCCUUACAAGAGUAAUCAAUUGUUGGACUAAGAUGUGUAUUUAUAAAGUCAAGAUUUAAGUCUUAUUUUGUGUCCUUAGGAUUUGAAAUUUUAGUCAUAGCAGGAAUGUUGGAUUGUUGAAUUUUAGCUCAGGGAUCGCUUUGAGAUUGAACCCUAGUGUCGGGUGUGAACGCUCAAUUUAAAAAAGUUUGGACUGCUAUUCGUAUCUUCAUAGUUGUGAUCGUAGAGGUCACCGAACUUCCAUUUGUUCAUUUUGGUCCUUAAACCAUAGUUUUGGUUCUUAUCCUCGAAUAUUGCAUGAAAUGUCUUCAAGUUUAGUUCUUCAAAAUGCAGUCCUCUACAUUCCUAAAUAAUUAAUUAUCGACCCGAAGCAAGUUUCGAAACUUUUUCAAUUUAGUCCUCAAACUUUUCAUUUGUCGAAUUUAACUCUUGAAACUUGUUAUUCACCUUCGAUUGCCCUCAUAAUACUUCCAAAUGACCAAUUUCAAUCUGGUUGAUCUUCAAGCACUUUGAAUCAACAUCACAAUUAUACUACAGUUUCUCCUAUUUUACACUAAUUUCUUCCAAAUUUAGGGAUUUACCUACAAUUAAUAUAAUUUAACAUAAAUAUCCAUUCAAUUGAUCAUAAUUAAUUAAAUGAAGAAGUCCAUAAUAUGCACUUAUCACCCUACUUGAGAUAUGUAAUUGAACACAUCUUUUAUUUGUUUCUUUACGUUUUCAACUUAAUAUUUCAAAGAAAUAUAUUGUUAAAAAUUGUGAGAAAGUUAUCAAUUUCCAAUAGAAGGACUCUUGUAGCAUAAAGUUAUAGGCAAAAAGUAAAACUUCUAGGGUCAGCUACUUGUAGGUAGAUUAUGAGAUAGACAUUUUAUUGGGGAAUUAUAUCUCUAAGUGUCAUUUUCUACCAUUUUCUGCUAGAGGAAUAGGAUUGGUACUUGUUACCAUAAAAGUCUUGGAUGUUGAAAAUUUUAAUAUGUCAACUUCAUUUGGAUUCGUAAAAAAAAUACCAAGAAUUUUGGAGAAAAUUCUAUAUUUCAUUUUUCAAUUUCUUCAAUUCUAAAAAUUACUCUCUUGGUCCCUAAGCUCCUAAUAUAAAAUUUUAACUUAAUUAAAUAAAAACACAUUUAGACUUUAAUUAAAUUAAUCAAAUAAAGCCGAUACUAUAUCUCUUGUACUGCAUCACCAGCAGGGUUCAAGAUUGAAGAGGCUAGAGGCUUCAAAAUGUACUUAACAGAUUAACGUAAUUGUCAUUGGGUAUUCACACGCUUUCAAAGAAUGUGAAAUGGAGUUGACAAUUGAUUAUUUCGAUGGUUUUUAAAUGUUUCUUUAAUGCUAAUCACGUUACACUUUGUUCUAGGAAUGCAUGUUGGUUUUCUUUCUUUGUUUUGCUCGAAGAUUACAAUUAUAUCGUGCCUAAUUAGUUACAUACCAAUUAUUGAUAAAGGUUUGACUUGACUAAUUUAUAAACCAAUUAUAAAUUGGUAACCAAACGUCCCAUAAAUUUAUUUAACCUUUUAAGUUUUGAAAGCAAUCAAAAUAGUAUUAGAUCAUGAGCGAAUAAAAAUCGAUUUCUAUCCUGUAGAGACAAAAAUCGUAGCUUAGGGACCAGAUUACUAUAUUUUGAAAAGGUUGAGUAUCAAAGUUUUAAUUUUCCCUAAAUUCCAAAUUAAUUUUCCACGAGACAUUUUUUACUCAGCUUUCAAGCGAAUAACACCUGCGCAUGAAUAGCUAAAAAAUACUCAGAUAUGGAAUUGGACUCCUUGUAGGCGUAGUGUACAUGCAGCUCUUAUUCCCUAACCUAUUGGGACACAUCCUGCGAUUUACCUCCCUCACAAAGCUCUAGGAACGAAACGUUGAGCACCCUAAAAAUUGGGGUUCAACCUUUUUUUUUUAGCUAAAAAAUACUCCACUGAUGGAGCUUCAUGUAAGACUUUUUGAAUCUGUCUUGAAGUAGACAAACGCAGUCACAUCAAAAUCCAUAUUUAAAGGGAAAAAAAUCAAUUUUUUAAAAGUUUUUGUGUUAUGAAUGUAAUCAGAAUAAUGCCCUGUUUUUCCGAUUGCAAUCUCUUUCAUGUUGACAAAUUUAUGACCAUUGGGGAGGUUAUUGACCUUCUAAUAUAUAUAUAUAACCGUUUAAAAGAUAGACGGUUGCGUGUGAAAGUUGGUUGAAGUAAAAGAACAGUCACAUCAAUUCAAUUGCUUGCUUCGUUUUUAAAUAAAUUAGAAAAAUGUAAGAUUUGAAAUUUUAGCCCCGUUUGGCCCGUAUUAAAUUAAAUUUUAUUUUUUUCUUGAGAUUGCACCGUAGUAUUCGGUGGGAACACAUAAUCUAACAAAGUUGGGACCGCUAUUGAAAUUUUCAUAGUUGCGAUCGUAGAGGUUAUUGAACUUCCAUUUGUUCAUUUUAGUCCUUAAACAAUAGUUUUGGUUGUUACCCUUAAAUAUUGCAUGAAAUGCCCUUUGUGCUUCGAUAGGUAUAGGUAAGGUAUGCAAAGAAAAAGCCUAUUUAACAUUGUUGACAAUGAAACUUACCAAAGAGAUCCAUUUCUUAACAAACUUUGGCUUGUCCACAAAUGCAGCAAGUCAUCCCCUAGAUUUAUUUGAAUUACUCUUUGAAGUUUUUAACCGGUUUCGUGUGGUUAUUUACUAAAAUCGCCCUUUGGAAGGGAAGGAUGGAUUGUUAGUGUGGACAAUUUAGAAAAUAUAAUCAAGUUUUGUUUUGCACAAUGUAGUCCUCUACGUUCCUAAAUAAUUAACAAUUGACCCGAAAAAAGUUUCAAAUUUUUUUCAAUUUAGUGCUCAAACUUUUUAUUUGCUGAAUUUAACUCUCGAAACUUGUUAUUCACAUUUGAUUGUCCCCAUUAAUACUUCCAAAUGACCAAUUUCAAUCUGGUUGAUCUUCAAGCACUUUGAAUCAACUUCACAAUUAUACUCCAGUUUCACCUAUUUUACACUAAUUUCUUCCAAAUUUAGGGAUUUACCUACAAUUAAUAUAAUUUAACAUAAAUAUCCAUUCAAUUGAUCAUAAUUAAUUAAAUGAAGAAGUCCAUAAUAUGCACUUAUCACCCUACUUGAGAUAUGUAAUUGAACACAUCUUUUAUUUGUUUCUUUACGUUUUCAACUUAAUAUUUCAAAGAAAUAUAUUGUUAAAAAUUGUGAGAAAGUUAUCAAUUUCCAAUAGAAGGACUCUUGUAGCAUAAAGUUAUAGGCAAAAAGUAAAACUUCUAGGGUCAGCUACUUGUAGGUAGAUUAUGAGAUAGACAUUUUAUUGGGGAAUUAUAUCUCUAAGUGUCAUUUUCUACCAUUUUCUGCUAGAGGAAUAGGAUUGGUACUUGUUACCAUAAAAGUCUUGGAUGUUGAAAAUUUUAAUAUGUCAACUUCAUUUGGAUUCGUAAAAAAAAUACCAAGAAUUUUGGAGAAAAUUCUAUAUUUCAUUUUUCAAUUUCUUCAAUUCUAAAAAUUACUCUCUUGGUCCCUAAGCUCCUAAUAUAAAAUUUUACCUUAAUUAAAUAAAAACACAUUUAGACUUUAAUUAAAUUAAUCAAAUAAAGCCGAUACUAUAUCUCUUGUACUACAUCACCAGCAGGGUUCAAGAUUGAAGAGGCUAGAGGCUUCAAAAUGUACUUAACAGAUUAACGUAAUUGAAAUUGGGUAUUCACACGCUUUCAAAGAAUGUGAAAUGGAGUUGACAAUUGAUUAUUUCGAUGGUUUUUAAAUGUUUCUUUAAUGCUAAUCACGUUACACUUUGUUCUAGGAAUGCAUGUUGGUUUUCUUUCUUUGUUUUGCUCGAAGAUUACAAUUAUAUCGUGCCUAAUUAGUUACAUACCAAUUAUUGAUAAAGGUUUGACUUGACUAAUUUAUAAACCAAUUAUAAAUUGGUAGCCAAACGUCCCAUAAAUUUAUUUAACCUUUUAAGUUUUGAAAGCAAUCAAAAUAGUAUUAGAUCAUGAGCGAAUAAAAAUCGAUUUCUAUCCUGUAGAGACAAAAAUCGUAGCUUAGGGACCAGAUUACUAUAUUUUGAAAAGGUUGAGUAUCAAAGUUCUAAUUUUCCCUAAAUUCCAAAUUAAUUUUCCACGAGACAUUUUUUACUCAGCUUUCAAGCGAAUAACACCUGCGCAUGAAUAGCUAAAAAAUACUCAGAUAUGGAAUUGGACUCCUUGUAGGCGUAGUGUACAUGCAGCUCUUAUUCCCUAACCUAUUGGGACACAUCCUGCGAUUUACCUCCCUCACAAAGCUCUAGGAACGAAACGUUGAGCACCCUAAAAAUUGGGGUUCAACCUUUUUUUUUUAGCUAAAAAAUACUCCACUGAUGGAGCUUCAUGUAAGACUUUUUGAAUCUGUCUUGAAGUAGACAAACGCAGUCACAUCAAAAUCCAUAUUUAAAGGGAAAAAAAUCAAUUUUUUAAAAGUUUUUGUGUUAUGAAUGUAAUCAGAAUAAUGCCCUGUUUUUCCGAUUGCAAUCUCUUUCAUGUUGACAAAUUUAUGACCAUUGGGGAGGUUAUUGACCUUCUAAUAUAUAUAUAUAACCGUUUAAAAGAUAGACGGUUGCGUGUGAAAGUUGGUUGAAGUAAAAGAACAGUCACAUCAAUUCAAUUGCUUGCUUCGUUUUUAAAUAAAUUAGAAAAAUGUAAGAUUUGAAAUUUUAGCCCCGUUUGGCCCGUAUUAAAUUAAAUUUUAUUUUUUUCUCUUAUAUUUUCAAUUAUAAAAUAUUUCAUAAAAUAAUAUUAUAUAGAAAUCGAAAAUUUUUCAUUCUUUUUCAACCACUUAUUUAAAAAAAAAAAAAAAAACAACAUUCUAUUUAUUUUGAUUUCUACAAAAUGGGGACCAAACGGGGGCUCAUCAUGUGAUUACAUGGUAAGACGAGUUGUGAUUGGUCAUGUAGGAUCUGCAGGGUCCUACCUUGAGAUCUCAUGGGCAUUCCCACUGCGAUCACAAGGUACUCACAACACAAUAGCAGAGUCCUUCUGCAUGUUAGAAUUUUGCAUGGGAGUGAUUCAAUACUUCUAUAGAUUUCAUUAUUUUUAUAAUGGAGUACUGAUUCAGAGGGAGUUGAAGUAGUUAUCUUGUUGAAUUAUAUACGAAAAAUAGUAGGAUUUCGAAAGCUAUGAUUUGAUUGUCCCCAUUAAUACUUCCAAAUGACCAAUUUCAAUCUGGCUAAUCUUCAAGCACUUUGAAUCAACUUCAAUUAUACUCUAGUUUCACCUAUUUCACACUAAUUUCUUCCAUAUUUAGGGUUUACCUACAAUUAAAUAAUUUAACCUAAUAUUAAGUAAAUAUCAACUCAAUUAAUCAUAAAUAAUUAAAUGAAGAAGCCAUAGUAUGCACUUAUUCCCCCCACUUGGGAUAUGUGAUUUAAAACAUCUUGUAUUUGUUUCUUCAGCCCUUCUAGAAGUACAAUUUAUUGUAUAAUUUAGUUGACAAGGGGGUCAAGUAUCAAUCAAAUUGUACAAAUAGAAUAAUUCUUGUUUCUUUAGGUUUUCAAUUUAUUAAUUCAAAAAAAAAAAUUGUUAAAAAUUGUAAGAAAUUUAUUAGUGUCCAAUAAAGGGCCUUUGGUAGACUAAAGUUCUAGGCAAAAAGUAAAUUUCUAGGGUCAGCUAGUUGUAGAUGGAGUAUUAGAUAGAUAACUUAUUGGAAUUAUAUCUCUAAUUGUCAUUUUCUGCCAUUUUCUGCUAGAGGAAUAGGAUUGAUACUUGUUACAAUAAAAGUCUUGUAUGUUGAAAAUUUUAAUAUGUCAAUUUCAUUCGGAUCCUUCAAUAAAUACCAAGAAUUUGGAGAAAAUUCUAUACUUUAUUUUUCAAUUUCUAAAAAUUACUGUCUUGGUCCCUAAGCUCCUAACAUAAAAUUUCACCUUAAUUAAAUAAAACACAUUUAUACGUUAAUUAAAUUAAUCAAAUAAAGCUGACACAAUAUCUCUUGUACUACGUCAUCAACAUGGUUUAAGAUUGAAGGGACUAGAAGCUUCAAAAUCUAUCUAACAAAUUAACACAAUUGUAAAUGGUUAUUCACAUGCUUUCAAAGAAUGUGAAAUGGAGUUGACACUUGAUUAUUUCGGUGGUUUUUAAUUGUUUCUUUAGUUCCUAUUUGGCCCCCAUUUUGUGGAAAUUAAAAUUGGUGGAAUAAUGUUUUUUAGAAAAAUGAAUGGUUAAAAAAAAGGAAAAGUUUUCGAUUUACGUGUAAUAUUAUUUUAUGAAAGAUUGUAUGGUUGAAAAUAGGAGAUGGAAAAAUGAAAUGCAAUAAAAUAAAAAUUAAUGGGGGCCAAACGGGGGCUUAAUGCUGAUCACGUUACAUUUUGUCCUAGGAAUACCAAACGUCCCAUAAAUUUAUUUAACCUUUUAAGUUUUGAAAGCAAUCAAAAUAGUAUUAGAUCAUGAGCGAAUAAAAAUCGAUUUCUAUCCUGUAGAGACAAAAAUCGUAGCUUAGGGACCAGAUUACUAUAUUUUGAAAAGGUUGAGUAUCAAAGUUUUAAUUUUCCCUAAAUUCCAAAUUAAUUUUCCACGAGACAUUUUUUACUCAGCUUUCAAGCGAAUAACACCUGCGCAUGAAUAGCUAAAAAAUACUCAGAUAUGGAAUUGGACUCCUUGUAGGCGUAGUGUACAUGCAGCUCUUAUUCCCUAACCUAUUGGGACACAUCCUGCGAUUUACCUCCCUCACAAAGCUCUAGGAACGAAACGUUGAGCACCCUAAAAAUUGGGGUUCAACCUUUUUUUUUUAGCUAAAAAAUACUCCACUGAUGGAGCUUCAUGUAAGACUUUUUGAAUCUGUCUUGAAGUAGACAAACGCAGUCACAUCAAAAUCCAUAUUUAAAGGGAAAAAAAUCAAUUUUUUAAAAGUUUUUGUGUUAUGAAUGUAAUCAGAAUAAUGCCCUGUUUUUCCGAUUGCAAUCUCUUUCAUGUUGACAAAUUUAUGACCAUUGGGGAGGUUAUUGACCUUCUAAUAUAUAUAUAUAACCGUUUAAAAGAUAGACGGUUGCGUGUGAAAGUUGGUUGAAGUAAAAGAACAGUCACAUCAAUUCAAUUGCUUGCUUCGUUUUUAAAUAAAUUAGAAAAAUGUAAGAUUUGAAAUUUUAGCCCCGUUUGGCCCGUAUUAAAUUAAAUUUUAUUUUUUUCUCUUAUAUUUUCAAUUAUAAAAUAUUUCAUAAAAUAAUAUUAUAUAGAAAUCGAAAAUUUUUCAUUCUUUUUCAACCACUUAUUUAAAAAAAAAAAAAAUAUAUAUAUAUAUAAUGUUUUUAUAUAUCAAUUUAUGGAUGCAAUUAGAAAUAGAUAUUAACUAAAAUUUUCCUACCAAAACGAACAUGAAACAAAAUCUCUAUAGGCUCAAGUAUCUCAGGGAAACAAAAGAUGUAAUUGUGGGGUGAGUUUCCAAGCAUUUAGUCCUGGUGGUAAGAGUCAUAGUUAACAAAAAUGCUUGUAUGUGCUGUUAUAAGUUCUAUUUUUCUCCUUGUCCUAAAAAAGAAAGCAUUUCCAAUAUCCUCCUUCCAUGAUAGAGAUUUCAAAAGGAAUAUUCAAUAGGAUUGCAACUACUAAUACAACCAGGUGAUAACCCUAUUAAAAUGUCCUAAUGCACACUACCAAUUUUUGAAAAGAAGUUUCAUCUUAAGAGACUGAAAACCAAUGUACGAGUAGAGAAUACCUAAGAAAUUACACUAUUCUUAAUCUAUAAUCAUGGAUAUUGUACCCAUGAUAUCACAAUAAGAUGUUACCAACCCAUCUCCCUGAAUAUAAAUAUCUUUACUCUCUUAUUUGCCUCGCUCGGACCAGCAUAGCAAAAGUUACUUGGUGAUCAAGGUAUCACCAUUCAAAGUAAAAUAGCUAGGAGCAUUGACAAGAUAUGCUAACCAUAUCACAGUGCAGGUAAGGAUCACUGCUAAGUUGCCAAUUCCUUUGAACAUAUAACAGCUAUUGGUACAUAAUUUCUCCUUUUUUCACUAAUAUAACCAUUCUAAUACUUGUGAUUCUGAAUUCAGAUAAAGACUCCACCUUCUAUACUUUUUCUUGUUUCCUAUACAGCAUCACUGAUACCAGCAUAAAGUAACACUCUCUUAAUUUAUAAAAUCUUCGAGAGGCUGCCAAAAAAAUGAACAAAAAAACAAUUAACCUCGGGAGCGAGACGCUUGCAGUGGCCACACCAAGGGGCGUAGAAAUCAACAAGAAUGUAAUCAAAUGUUGAAAUCGCAGCAUCAAAAUUUGAUUCGUCCAACUCCAACACUUUGCCAUCUACCUUGAAUGGAUUUUCCGAUCCAUUGAUCGUUGGGGAAAUUGUCAAUAAUAACAAUAGUAGGAACGUAAAUACUGAGAAUAAACGGAUCGAUUGAGGCAUUGAGAUCGGUUUUAUAGAAUUCUGUUAGCAACUGAUAGCAAUACACUUGAAUUGAAUUUUCCAGAGAGAAGAAAAUGAUUUUUAUACAAGCAACUACAACACGAUUUAUGUUCACCUGCUACUUUAUAUAGUCAUAUUUUAGCUUGGCUACUAAGCCCACUAAUUUAAUCCUGCUACUUUAUAUGGUCGUAUAUUAGCUUGGCUACUAACCCCACUAAUUUUGCCCACGUUUGGCUCGGUUAAACUUAUAUUUCUUCUUAUUAAUCACACAUUUUUUCAAUAAAAUAAUAUUACACGUAUUUUUUUAAUCACAUAUUUCUUAAAAAAAAAAAGACUAUUUCAAAAAUUAUCAUCAGCUAAACGGGGGCUUUGAAAAUGAGCCACCUGUCUUGCUUCAAAAAUUUUAAAAGACAAAUCAAUCAUUUGGUACAUUAAAGGGGUUGAAAGUUCACUUGAUUGUAUUUAGUCCGAUUUGGCCCCUAUUAAACCCUUGCUUGUUCUUCAUUAGUUUCUCACUAAAAUAAAAAAAUAUAAUCAUUAUCCAUCACAUCAAAUCAUCAAUUUUGAAUUUCUAUAUCUUGUGUGGGGCUCAUAACAACUGUAUUUUUCAUUCCCAUUUUUAUAAAAAUGAAAAACAAUAGCUCCCUAAAUUUUAUUUUUCUAUUUCCUAUUUCACCCACAUAAUUUUUAUAUAUAUAUAUAUAUAUAUAUAUUAUUCCAUCCAUUUUCAUUUUCCCAAAAUGGGGGCAAACGGGUAUGCCAAUUAUUGAUAAAUGUUUGACUUGACUAAUUUAUAAACUAUUUAUAAGUUGGUAGCCAAAAGUCCCAUAAAUUUAUCUAACCUUUUGAGUUUUGAAAGCAAUCAAAAUAAUAUUAGAUCAUGUGCGAACAGAAAUAGGUUUAUAUCCUGUAGAGACAAAAAUCGUAGCUUGGGGACCUGAUUACUAUAUUUUGAGAAGGUUGAGCAUCAAAGUUGUAAUUUUCCAUGAGCCAUUUUUGAUUGAGCUUUCAAGCGAAUCACGCCUGCGCAUGAAUAGCUAUAAAAUACUCCAUUGAUGGAGCGUCAUGUAAAACUUUUUGUAUCUGUCUUGAAGGAAAAAAUCAAUUCUUUUAAACUUUUUGUGUAAUGAAUGUCAUCAGAAUAAUGCCCUGUUUUUCCGAUUGCAAUCUCUUCCAUGGUCACAAAUUUAUGCCAACUGGGGAGGUUAUUGGCCUCCAUAUAUAUAACCGUUUGAAACACUAGGCGGUUGCGUGUAAAGUUGGUUGAAGUAGAAGAACAGUCACAUCAAUUCAAUUGCUUGUUCUGUUUUUAAAUCAAUCAGAAAAAUGUUUCCCUGCUUAAAACAUACUGGUUGUUUAGCUCUAGAGAUAUGGCCAUGCCCGCCGCCGGAACCCAGCUUUUGGAUGCCGAAGCUCUGCUGUUGAAGGACGUUGUUCAUGGCUCCGUCGACUUCAAAGGCUACCCUGUUACUCGAUCCAUAUCCGGUGGUUGGAAGUCCUCUUUCUUCAUCAUAGGUACACUAUAUGUUACCCAAUCUACCAUUCAAAAGGUUGCAGCAUAUAAGGGUAUUGUUUUUCUUUUGGAUUUGUUAGGUGUUGAAGUGGCUGAGAGAUUUGCGUACUGUGGAAUAAGUUCGAAUUUGAUAAGCUAUUUGACGGGUCCGUUGGGCCAAUCCACCGCAACUGCGGCGGAAAAUGUGAAUGCGUGGUCCGGCACGUCGAUGAUUUUGCCACUUUUGGGUGCUUUUGUGGCGGAUUCUUUUCUUGGUCGGUACCGGACCAUCAUCAUUGCCUCUGGGCUCUACAUCCUGGUCAGUACACGAAUCAUUCACUAAUAUAUAGUUUCAGUUUUGAGCUUUAAAAUUAUGUAACGCCUCUAAUUGCAUUCAGAAUAUCUAUCUUGAAACUUGGCUUAUGGAUUGUUAGACACUUAAAUACCCUACCCAUUAUAGGCAAUUGAGAGUAGGGUUGUAUCGAGCUGAGAUAAAGCUUGGCCAAAAAAUUAAGGGUCGACCCGAGCAGAGCCUAGGCGGGGCAGGUUGGCUGGAUUUUUUUCUUUCUCCUGUCAGUUUAAGACAGGCAGCAUAUUGAAUUUUUUUUUUUAAAAAAAAAAUGGGCCGACCCGUUUGGAGCCCACUCUUCGAAAUGGAGCUCAGCUCGAGCCUUGAGUCGGGCCGACUCGGGCUUUUUUGGGCCGAGCCAUGGAUGUCUCAAGUCGGUGAGCCCAAUUGCUAUUUCUAAUUGGGAGUGACUCAUAUUUAGGAGUGGGCGCGGUCCGAUUCGAUCUGAUUCCAAAGGGAAUCGAACCGAAUACGAAUGGAAAUUUUAGAAAUGGAACCAUUGGUUACCGAAUCAGAACCGAAUCAAUUGGUACCAGUUUGGUCCAGUUCGAAUCUUUACAUUAAAAAUAUCAAAAUAAAAUGUUCACUAAUAAAAAAUCUAAAGAUGCUACAAACAUGAUAUUUUUAACAAAAUAUAGAAGAAUCAAAUAUACUAUUCAAAGAUUAAAAGAAAACUAAGUAUACAAAUUUAAAAACAAUAUCCAAAUAAUAUAAGUUACUAUCAUCAAGCAAUAUCCAAUGAUUAAACAAACUUCCAUCAAAACCAAAAUCCUAUAUUGAAUUGGACACCAUUUAAAAGUUUAUUGCAACUUCUGGUUCUAUCGAUUAUAAUGUGUAGAAAUCUAGAUGAAAAGUUUCUAUUGGAUCAACAACUAUGUAAUCAAAGUGAAAACAAAAUAAAAAUUUUGCACAUUAGAAAUGAAAUUAUAUAUUGUAAAUAAAUUUAUUUAGGUAUAGAUUUAUCCAAUAUUCUAAUUUGGCUUGAGAAUCAAUUAAUUAAAAAAUUAUAAGAAGAGAGAAUGAAAGAAUUAAAGAGAAGAAGGAAAGUGCUGAAGUCUAAAAUGAAGAUGGAACUUGAUUAUUUUUUAUAAAAGUGAUUGGAGAUUGAGUCAUAUAUUUACCAAAAAUAAAAAAAUCCUAUGAGAACCGUCCGAUUUCCGGCAAUUCCUAUACUACAAUCGGGAACCGGUUGAUUUUUAAUAAUUUGUCCCAAAAUCAAAACGUUUUUUAGAAGAUCCGGAACCGAACCGACAAGUUCUAUAUGGUUUUGGUCCAGUUCCAAAAAAAAAUGUCCACUUCUACUCAUACUGGCCAAAGCAUGCAUUCCCCAGGUUUCCACUUUGUAUAGUAAAAACUUUUUCAGAUUGAAAAUAAUAAAUAUUGAAAUUUGGAGUUGAAGGAUUACAAUACACAUUGUGGAUCUGUAGAAACAAAUAUCCCAAGCUAGGGUGUUGAUGGUAAAAUCGAAUCAAACAAUUUUAUUGAUGAAACAAUUACAAUCAAAGAUCAAAUAUAAAUGCAAUCAAUAAAUCCUCUCACAUAACUAUGAGUUUCACCUCCUAAAUUCACUAGUCUAGAUUCCUCAACUAGAACAAGAGGAGAAAUAACUAAUUGAUAGUGAGAUAUUUAAAUUACUUCUUAUUGGUUGCUUCUUAAUAGAUUUUAGUUAAAAUUCACCCUUUAUUCACUUGCCCAUGUGCUCUUUAUUGACAACCUGUAUGUGGUGAACGAUUUGAGAUUUUUAUGCAAGCCUCUUCUUUUUUGGAUCCCUUAGCAUGUUGCUUUCACCACAUGAUGUGAUCUAAGGAACGAAGACAAGUUCGGACAAAUAUCCAUUGAUCAUUUGAAGAAGGUCCAAUGACUCUGUCGCGAAUAAAAAGGGUUAAAGAAGCGAUAGAAUUAUUCGUUCAAGCUAAGGGGGACGAAACAUCAUUCAUAGCAAGCAAAGAAGCAAGUUUUAUAGUGGGCUCGAGAGAGGAAACAAGUUGGAUCAACUUGAUUCAAGCUAGGGAAGGAGCUGAAGUCUAGUACUAUGCGAACCACAUAGUUUCAUCAUGCAUUUGGCCACAUUGCCUCCAGAAAAAAAUCCAAUUUGCGUAAUGACAUUAACUAUGAGACCGAAUAGUAUAUCUGGACGCGCGAUUUUUCAAUUUUCACGAAUUUUCCUAAUUAUGUUAAAACUCUUCUUUUUGGUAUCUUUCGUAUUCUUUUAGACUUUUAUUCUGUUUUGAAAUAGGGUUUAUGGGUUUCGUAUAUAUAAGACUCACUAUUCUACAUAUUAACCAUUUAUUCAUCAUUAUCAAUUAAGAGAUUACUUUUGUGAGCAUAUUAUUGCUUUCAAUUCGUUGUUCUUCAUUGAACAAAUCCCGAACUUAUUAAGAAUUAUUUUCUUACGGAGUUCAAACAAUCCGAGUGAGAUUCUUGAGUCUUGUAAUCAAGAGGUCAACAUAUUAUAGGUGAUUGUUGGUUAUUUGGUUCAAUAUUUUUGAAUCAAACUCGAAAAUUUGAUUUCUUGGGUUGUGAUUCAAUCUCGUAUGGGUUUUGUAGCUUCAAUUGCGAUGUGGGUUCGCACCAGUUGAUAUCAGAGUUUAGGCUUCAAAAAUCAAAGUUAUAUCCUUUCCUUUUUUUGUUGAGUCUUUUGUUCUUCGUUUCUUUGCGUUCUUUGUCCUUUUAAGUCGUUAAUCCAUAAAAGUUUCCCAAAAAAAUUCAAAAGUCGUUUUUAUGCUCAUUUAGCACCCAAAUCAUUUUUUUUUUUGCUGGUAUCAUAGCCGAAUUUUCAAGCAACAAAAAAAUUUUGAAUUUUCAAAAAGAAAAUUAUUAUUUUUGAAAAUUGCCAGCAUAUAUAUAGAAAACGGAACCACAUGCUAUAUCAUAUAGCUGUUUAUCUUGGUAAAAGGUGGCUAUUCCUUCUAAGGGAUUCCUUAACACUGCUCACGAGUAGUCUUGAUAAGUUAGUCAAAAAUCUUUGUCCUCAAUUAGAAUCAAAAGGAACCAUCCCAUAUGAUGAAGUGCAAGUAUCGAAUCUGGUCCCGCCCCGAAUGGGGCAAAAAAAAAAAAAAAACCCAUCCCUAACGGGUUGAUAGGCCGGGGAGGGUAGGGUGGGGUGCCGUGUCACAGGGCACGGGAGGGGUGAGGAUGCCUUGUCCCCGUGAAGAAAAAAGAUUAAAAAUAAUUUUAUUUCUAGACAAUUCAUCUAUUAUAAAUUCAUUUUGAAUUUGUAUUUUAUUCUCUAAUAAUAAAAUAUUCGAAAUUUUGAAAAUGUAGAAAAAUUAAAAAAUUAAAUGGGGCAAAAAUUUAUCUCAAAUGGAUGAGGCUAUAUGGCUCGACAAUUUUUGUUAUAGAACAUUGAUGGGGUUGGAAAACUUCCCUAGACAUUUUUCUUUCCAUUUAUAAUUUGGUGAAUGUGGGGGCUACCAUGCAUUCUCAAGAGGGAUAUUAUUUUUUUACUCCUCAUUCCUCCAUAACGUGCCCAAAACAUCUCACUACUCCAAGCAAGAUUAAUGAUUGGAAAGAAAGUUUUUCUUUGUUUGUGGAAAUUGGGGAUUAUAUCCUAAUGAUCCUCAUCCUGAUAUGGAAAUACACAUUUUUACAGUGAUUCCAACGAGUAUUUUGACUUUUUCGUUGUUCACGUAUGCUAUUGGGAUAUUUUAUAGUACUAUGUCCGUGCGAAAAAAUUGCAAACCUCUCUUCAAGGUCAGCCCUUAAGGAGUUUUACCUUUUGGUGACACCUAUUUUUGAAUUAGGUAAUGAAGUUUGCUAUGCUGUGUUGAGUAGUAAACUUGAUUUUUGGACUAAAUAAUAUGGGCUUAAGGAUUUUGCUUAUAGGCCCAACAUGCAUAUCAUUUCUAGAAGCAUUAUCUAGAAAAAUCUAUAUAAAUAUCUACUAGAAAAAUCUAUAUAAAUAUCUAAGUAAGAUAUGUGGUUUUAUAAAGAAUAUCUAAAUAAUUCUAGAAAAAUAUCUUGAUGUGUGGUCUAGGUGUCUCUAGAAAAUGUAUAGACUAGAAUCUUCUUGUAAACACUAUAUAAAGGGGUAGUGCCCUCCAUUUUGUAACAAGUCAAAAAAGUGUGUAAAGUCUUGAAUUUAAGAAAUACAAGUUUCUUUUUUUCACUUCCUUCUUCCUAUUAGUGUUGUCCUUUUAAAAGCCUUGCUCAAUCCAAGUUAGUAAAUCCAUCUUUCCUCCAAUAAACUGGUAUCAGAGCCCCAAGGUUCUUGUGAAAAAUGGCAAGUGGGAUGAUUCCUUUUCAAGUCUCCCAACUCAACAAAAAUAACUACGACAAUUGGAGCAUAAGGAUGAAAGCAUUGCUCGGGUCGCAAGAUGCAUGGGAGAUCGUAGAGAAAGGCUACAUGGAGCCACAAGACAAGGUUGCUCUAUCCCAAGCACCAAGGGAUAGUUUGAAGGAUGCAAGGAAGAAGGACAAGAAGGUGCUCACUCUCAUCGAUCAAGCCUUAGAUGAAGGCAUGUUCGAGAAAGUAGCUUGUGCUACUACGAGUAAGGAAGCAUGGGAGAUCUUACAAAACUCCCACAAAGGAGUUGAGAAGGUGAAAAAUGUUCGACUUCAAACACUUCGAGGUGAGUUUGAAGCUUUACAUAUGAAAGAAUCGGAAUCAAUUUCUGAUUACUUCUCUAGAAUAUUAGCUAUUGUGAAUCAAUUAAAAAGGAAUGGAGAAAAGUUGAAGGACACUCGAGUAAUUGAGAAGAUACUUAGGUCUUUAGAUUCUAAAUUUGACCACAUAGUUGUAGCCAUUGAGGAAUCUAAAGAUCUAGAUAGUAUGAGUGUCGAUCAACUCAUGGGAUCUUUACAAGCCCAUGAGGAAAGACUAAGGAAGAAGGUGAAAGAAGAGCCAUCAAAGCAAGCUCUUCAAACAAAGCUCACUUUGAAUGAGGGUGAAGGAAGGUUCAAUAGUAGAAGAAGCCAAAGAGGAAGAGGACGAGGCCAAGAUCGAGGAAAAAUUGCAUUCUACAAAGAGGAAAGAAAACAAAGUUCAUUUUCUACCAGAGGUCGCGGAAGAGGAAAAGUUACGAGGCAAAAUGAAGGACCAAGGUAUGACAAAUCUCAAAUUAAAUGUUACAAUUGUCAAAAACUUGGUCAUUAUGCUUCAGAAUGUAGAAAUAUUACUGACCAAGUUGAGGAGAAAGCCAACUACGCUUGUCGGGAAAGUAAAGUAGAUCAUGCACUACUGUUGGCUUGCAAAGGUGAAGAGAGCAGGGAAAAGAAUACUUGGUAUUUGGAUACAAGAGCAAGCAACCAUAUGUGUGGAAGAAAAAACAUGUUUGUGGAGCUUGAUGAAUCAGUAAGCGGAAACAUUAUCUUUGGAGAUGAAUCCAAGAUCCCAGUGAAAGGAAAAUGUAAAAUCUUGAUCCGCUUGAAAAAUGGUAUGCAUCAAUUUAUCUCAAAUGUCUAUUAUGUGCCCAAUAUGAAGAAUAACAUUUUAAGUUUGGGACAACUCUUAGAGAAGGGCUAUGAUAUUCAUUUGAAAGAUCGUAGUCUUUCAAUAAGAGAUCAAAUAAAAAUUUGAUUGCCAAAGUCCCUAUAACAAGAAAUAAAAUGUUUGCGUUAAGCAUUCAAAAUGAUGUCGCUAAAUGCUUAAAAGCUUGUUUUAAAGAUUCAUCUUGGCUUUGGCGCUUGAGAUUUGGGCAUCUUAAUUUUGGAGGCUUAAAGUUGUUGAGUAGGAAGAAAAUGGUGAAAGGUUUGCCUCCAAUAAAUCAUGCGGAUCAAUUAUGUGAAGAAUGCUUACUUAGAAAGCAUUCGAGGAAAAGUUUUCCAAAAGAAGCAUCUACAAGAGCUAAGAAGCCGCUAGAACUUGUACACUCCGAUAUUUGUGGGCCAAUCAAUCCAAGCUCUCUCGGUAAGAGCAAUUACUUUGUUCUUUUUAUUGAUGAUUUUAGUAUAAAGACUUGGGUCUAUUUUCUCAAACAAAAAUUGGAAGUUUUUGAAACUUUUAAGAAGUUUAAAGCUCUUGUUGAAAAAGAAAGCGGAUAUAGUAUAAAAGCCUUGAGAUCAGAUAGAGGAGGAGAGUUCACCUCCAAAAAGUUUGAGAAAUAUUGUGAGGAGAAUGGAAUUUGUCGCCCAUUGACGGUUCCAUACUCUCUACAACAAAAUGGAGUAGUCAAAAGAAAGAACAGAUCCAUUCUUAACAUGGCCCGCUACAUGCUCAAAAGUAAGAGAUUGCCCAAAGAACUAUGAGCUGAAGCUAUUAAUUGCGCCGUGUACCUGUCUAAUCGAUCGCCUUUUAGAAGUGUGUGGAAUAAGACACCACAAGAAGCAUGGAGUGGAAGAAAGCCCAGCAUCUAUCACUUACGAGUAUUUGGGAGCAUUGCAUAUGCUCAUGUGCCAGAUCAAAAACGAUCCAAGCUAGAUGACAAAAGUGAAAGGUAUGUUUUUAUUGGUUAUGACUCUCGCUCUAAAGGCUACAAGUUGUAUAAUCCAAGCAAUGAAAAGAUCACUAUAAGUAGAGAUGUUGAGUUUGAUGAAGGAGCUUGGGAUUGGGGUGUCCAAGAAGAAGACUAUGACUUCUUACCAUUCUUUGAUGAAGAAGAACAAGAGAAUGGAGAACAGCAAGAGAUUAUCAGUCCACCUUUAUCACCCAUGGAGAUGCUUCUCAAUCAUCUUCACAAGGAGAAAGUUCAAGCGAAAGGACACCACGGAUGAGGAGCCUACAAAAGCUAUAUGAGGUAAUAGAAAAUCAAAAUGAUCUCACAUUUUUUUGUCUUUUUGCCAAUUGUGAACCAAUAGGGUAUGAAGAAGCGGCGCAAAAUAAAAGAUGGAGAAAUGCUAUGGAUGAAGAGAUUAAGGCUAUAGAGAAAAAUGACACGUGGGAGCUGACAACUCUUCCCAAAGGAAAGAGAGCAAUCGGAGUUAAGUGGGAGUACAAGGCAAAGAAGAACGUUAAAGGAGACGUAGAAAGAUACAAAGCAAGAUUGGUUACCAAAGGCUACAACCAACGGUCGGAAAUUGAUUAUGAAGAGGUAUUUGCUCCUGUUGCUCGUUUAGAAAUCAUAAGAUUAAUUAUCUCUCUUGCAGCGCAAAAUAAGUGAAAGAUAUUUCAAAUGGACGUGAAAUCAGCUUUUCUAAAUGGUUAUCUCGAAGAAGAAAUCUAUGUGGAGCAACCAAUGGGUUAUAAAGUAAAAGGACAUGAAGGUAAAGUCUUGAAAUUAAAAAAGGCUUUAUAUAGGUUGAAACAGGCUCCAAGGGCAUGGAAUAAUAGAAUUGACAAGUAUUUUCUAUAAAAUAACUUCACAAAAUGCCCUCACGAGUAUGCCCUUUAUACAAAGGUAAAUGAGAAAGGAGAUAUUUUGCUUGUUUGUUUGUAUGUAGAUGAUCUUAUAUUCACAGGAAAUAAUCAGAGUAUGAUUACUGAGUUUAAGAAGGUCAUGGCUCAAGAAUUUGGGAUGGCGGAUAUCGGCAUCAUGGCCUACUAUCUUGGGAUAGAGGUAAAGCAAAUGGAGGAUUGCAUUUUCAUCUUAUAAGAAGGAUAUGCGAAAGAAAUUCUAAAGAAAUUCAAUAUGGAGGAUUGUAAGCCCGUAUGUACCCUCGUCGAAUGUGGAAUCAAAUUGGCAAAGAAUGAUGAAGGUAAAAAAGUAAAUCCAACACUUUUUAAGAGUCUUGUUGGAAGUCUAAGAUAUUUGACGUGCACAAGACCAGGUAUCCUUUUUGGAGUUGGGCUCAUUAGUCGUUAUAUGGAGAUACCUACCAUGACCCAUAUGAAAACUGCAAAGAGAAUUCUUCGCUACAUCAAAGGUACGCUUGAUUAUGGCUUAGUCUAUUCAUCAUCUAAUGAAUUCAAACUUGUUGGAUAUAGUGACAGCGAUUGGGGUGGAGAUAGUGAUGAUAGAAAAAGUACGACUGGAUAUGUGUUUUACUUAGACGACACAGCUUUCACCUGGAGCUCAAAAAAGCAAUCGAUCGUAGCACUAUCUACGUGUGAAGCUGAAUAUGUUGCAGCAACAUCAAGUGUCUGCCAUGCGAUUUGGCUUAGAAACUUGUUGAAGACGCUUGGAGUUUUACAAGAAGAACCAACCGAAAUCCAUGUUGAUAACAAAUCGGCAUUGCCAUUGGCAAAUAACCCAGUAUUCCAUGACAGAAGCAAGCAUAUUGAUACAAGAUAUCAUUUCAUAAGAGAAAGCAUUGCAAAGAAAGAAGUGCAGCUGAAAUAUGUAACCUCCCAAGAGCAGAUCGCCGACAUUCUCACUAAGCCACCUAAGCAUGAUGUGUUCCGCAAGUUAAGAACUCUACUUGGAGUAGCAAAAUCAAGUUUAAGGGGGGAUGUUGAGUAGUAAACUUGAUUUUUAGACUAAAUAAUAUAGGCUUAAGGAUUUUGCUUAUAGGCCCAAAUCAAUUAAAAGGCCCAACAUACAUAGCAUUUCUAGAAGCAUUAUCUAGAAAAAUCUAUAUAAAUAUCUACUAGAACAAUCUAUAUAAAUAUCUAAGUAAGAUAUGUGAUUUUAUAAAGAAUAUCUAGAGAAGUCUAGGAAAAUAUUUUGAUGUGUGGUCUGGGUGUCUCUAGAAAAUGUGUGGACUAGAAUCUUCUUGUAAACACUAUAUAAAGGGGUAGUGCCCUCCAUUUUGUAACAAGCCAAAAAAGUGUGUAAAGUUUUGAAUUUGAGAAAUACAAGUUUCCUUUUUUCACUUCCUUCUUCCUAUUAGUGUUAUCCUCUUAAAAGCCUUAGCCAAUCCAAGUUAGUAAACCCAUCUUUCCUCCAACAUGCUGAGGGGCUAUUGAGCUCCUCCAAUCGAAAAUAUUGUGACAACGGACUAUAGAUUAUUCCAGGUGAAUCUUGGUAUUCUUUCAUUUGUUUUGAAAGGUCCCUCCUAAUUGGGAAGUGUUCGAUUUAUCUGUUUCUUCUGCCAGUGUGGACAUAUUUGGGUGUCGCAUUCUCUGUGGCCCCUAAAUGUAAAAAAUCUAGUACUGCCAUUGCUUCUAAGAAAUAUCUCUACGAGUGCUCAAAAGGUUCUAAAGGAAAGUAUUUGUGGGUGGUUGAUACAUCACCCAAAUGAAACCACUCACAAACUUCUUUUGUUGGAAUUUUGAGGUCUUUAUCGCUCUUCUAUGGAUCCAACCAAGGUUUCUCAGAAAAAGAAAACUCCUCUUGGGUCCAUCCCCAUGUCUAAUUCGAAAGGCUCCUACUUAUACCGAGAUCCUGCUCUGUGUUUGAAGUCCUUGUUUCUUCCUCACCGCGAGAGUUCAUUAGAUGCAAGUGUUCUAUCUUUACUUCCUUCUUUUGUUUCUUGCACAGCAAAGCUGUUUUUACCUACUUCAAUCCCUCAUGGGAAAAGCUAGCAGAAGAAAUUAAUCCUACUGAUAGGAAAAAAUGAUCGAGGUUCACUGAGCGAGUCAGCAAUCAAAUUACGAAAGCUGGCUCACUGGUGAAAAAAUGCAACUCUUUCUAGAAGAGGUUGAAAGAAGUUGGAGAUGCAAGAGACUAGUUUAAGGGGAUUGGCAAAGGUGUCGAAGCUUUUACAGCGAAGGAAGUUUCUUUAAUGGCUGAUGCUAAGAAAGACUCCGAUUGGAUUCGACGAAGGAGGAACACUCAGUUAAUGUUAAUAAGAGUAAGCAUGUUGCUUUGUGUCCUAAAGAUAGUUCUACAAGAAAGUCUAAGUAUAAAGUUGCUCUUAGGAAACUACAUGAUAUAAGGAAUGAAAUAGAUGCACUUCGUGAUAAAUUGUGAAAUGCUGAAGCAGAGCUGGUUGUUGCAGAAUCUAAUUUAUCUUGGGCAAUGGCUCACAAGGCAAAGUUAAUUGAAGAUCUAUGCAAGAUGGGGAAAAUAAAGUGCUCGACAUUACAGAGACUUUCGCCCCAAAAGGAAUUUCGAUUUUCUUAAAGCUUCUGAAAAUAAUGUCGAAAAAUAUCCAUUCUUUUGAAGUUCAUCCGCUGCCCGUGGGGGCUCUUGGUAUUCCAUUUAUUCCUGCUGCUCAACCGAACUCUAUAAAUACAUCUUCAAGUGGGGAUAUGGCUAUUGAUGAGCCUCUCGACACAUCUCUUCCUACUUCUAUGGAUGCGAGAUACCUUUUGGGGGUGAAGUUCAGAUUAAUCAGGAAAAUGCUUUUCCUGAAAACAUUUAUGUUCUAUGAAUUUAUUCAUUUGGUGAUCUUAGUGCCUGCGCUGUUUCUCGUUUGCUACCUUUCGAUUUCCUUCACAUGAUUUAUCUUGAGUUCAUUUCAAAAUCAGAAUCCAUUAGUUCGUAUGUUGAUUUCUCAUUGCGACCACACAAAUUAUAAAUGAAUUUUUUCCUCUUUUUAUUCAGACAUCGUAGCAACAUUGGGGGUUCUGGAUUACUUUUCCUUCCCCAACUACGGAGUUUUUCAUACAUGUGUAUUUUGUGCACUAUUUACAUUGACGUCAUAACAUUUAAAGGUGACUGGACGUAGCCUCGUCCCACCUUGAUAAUGAAUUCCAUUGGGAUGAAAAUCAGUCCCGACACUUCUUUAGUCGGAUGAACCUCGCCUUUAAUUGGAUUUUCCUUUGCUGGAUAAACCUUACCUUUGAAUUGGGAUUCCUUCGACAGUAGAGUCAAAAACUUGCCUUUACCCUAACAGGGUGGGAUUAUCAUUUUUUGAUGGAAUUGCCUUGCCUCUAUUUUUGUGACCUUAUUGCAAGGCGAUAUUUAUUUUGAACUUCCUCUAUUACUUGUUGAGUUAUCUUUACUAGCGGGUAGGUUUUUCAUCAACUUGCUUUCCUAAAUAAGAAUUUUCAAGCAAGCAUUGCUCUUCCUUUCUUACCAAGAAACAUUGUUUCCAAGGCGCUCCCAUUCUUUGUUUUGGCGAUAUCGCUUACGAUGUUCAGCCAUGCAUAUAUCCAAGAGGUUUUCCUUCCUUGCAUUGGAUUCGAUUGAAUUCAUGUAGGAUGUCAGAGUACUAGUUUGUGUGAAAACAAUUAAAACCAUUGUUUAUUUUCCAAUUGAUGUCAUACUAGGAGAUACAUUUGUGAAAUAUGAUUGCCAAAAUGGCAAUUUUACUUUAGAUCUAGAGUUCUUUAGCUAUGUGCUCUCUCGGUACCUGGGAAUUUAUGUUAUAUAUCCUUCUUUACCUUCCUCCGCAUGGGGGAUUUUAAUUAUGAUUUUAAAUUUUUAUUUGGGAAGGUUGGGUGUAUGCAGCCUUAAUUAGCAUGUGAAAGGAUCCCACGUGCCCAGGUGGUCGGGCAUGCCUCUGAACCCCUGGCACGAUAGUCGCAUCCUUUUGCUUGUUUCGCCUCUUGGCCAUUUUUAACACUUCAUAGCAUUCAUUUGUGUCAUGACUUUAGAGCAAUGGAUUUUGCAGAAUUUUAGCGUGUGUAUAUUAGGUGAUGGGUGGGCUUCGCUGAAGUUCUGCGAGGAGGGUAUGUCAGCAAUGCAUAUUUGGUCUUGGACUCUUUAGAGCUAUGACAUUGUGGUCUGGAUAGUCCAAGUGCGAACGCUGUCAUUUCUCCUCUUGCACCCUCACCAGGAUUUUGCUCAGCCACCAUCUGAUUUUGCAUCUUUCUUCGAUUAUCCAACAUCUCUUUCACCUGGAUCUCAUUAAAUAUCAGUUCUCUUAAUUGGGAAAACGAGAAUAGAUACCUUCUGUAGGCCGCAUUCCAAAGGGGAGUGCCUUGCUAUAGAAUUUCCUCUACUACCUCAUCUGGCUGGAUCUCACUAGUAAGUAUCUCAUUUCUAAAUCAUGUAAAAUAACUUCCGACAGAUUCUGCUUCCAUCUGUCUGAUACCACCUAAAUUUAUGAUUGCAUGCACGUUCAAGAUUUGCUUGCUGGUGGAGAAAUCGUUCGUUGGUGAUUGAUGCACCACAUUUUUCCGUGAUAGAUUGACCUUUUGACCUUUUUUGUGGAAGGCUGUUGUUGGAAUUGUUAUAAUUUUUUGCCUUAAAUUAUAAUUCUUCCCUUGGUUAGGCUUCCAGUUGUGAUAGUUUUCUCGAUUUUGUGAUUUUUAGUAUGUUCCUGCCAGAGCAGCAUCAUAAGCUUGUGAUUCUCACCAAAGAUGAUUGCCUUUUGAAUGAAAUUUAACAUCAUUUGUUAAUUUUCCUCGAUUUUAUUUUCAUUGCCAGUUUGUUUUUAGCUUCUCAUUCUUUGCACGUAAAUAUGCAUUUUCGGCCUCAAAUGCCUUCAGUUUGGCUGCCAUCCCACAGAUUAUCUCCACAAUGGGUGCUUCCUUUACUUGGAGAUGGCCUUGGAUGGGGAAAUCUCAAUUGGAAACCUUGGUGAUACUUCUUCCCACUUCCUUUUGGAUUUACGUCACUUUUGAUUGAAUCACUGCUGGAUUCUUCUUUUCCGACUUUCAAUGUUUUGAGCAUCUCUGGAAGUACUUCUAUUCUAUUCAUUUUUUCAGAUCCUUGAGGCCUUUAAACUUCAGUCGGCCGAUGUGGUGUAUUUUGUUAGAUUUUCCACAGACAACGCCAAUUUGUUGACGGUAAAAACUGGAUCAAAUGCUUUUAUUAAUAAACAAUUAAAAUCAAAGAUCAACGUAAAUACAAUCAACAAAUCCUCUCCCUAUGAGAUUCACCUCCAAAAUUUACUAGUCUAGAUAUGCUUAAACUAGAACAAGCGGAGAACUAGUUAUUUAAGAGGGAGAUAUUUGCAUUGUAUGCCAUUCUUCAAAUGUGUGCGGGAGGGUACUUACAGAUUUCCCUCCAAACGUUGGAGUAGUUUAGUAACUCUUGCACUGACUCUAACUGGUAGUCUUAUAACUGAUUUGGUUAAGAAUCACACUUCAUUCAUUUGCCCAUGUGCUCUUCUUUGACAGCUUGUCGCCCACCUGUACUUGGCGAACAGUUUAAGAUCUUCAUACGACCCUUCUGUCUUUCUGCUCCCUUCGUAUGUUGCCUUUAACUUCAGCAAUGGGUAUAUGGGUUCGCAGAUGUUGUUCUAGGGGUUAACAAUGAUGACUAUCCACUUCUUUGAAUUCUGCAUGUUCUUGAGACUGAAAGUUGUUAAACUCUUAUAGUGUUUAAUUUGGGAUUCAGCCCUGAGGAAGCAUUUUUUUGUAGAUUUGUUGAUGACAAUUAGGUUUAUUAUUACGCAUGAAGUCAUUUUUGACUGAAUCGUUCUGUAGAUUGGUACAUAGUUCUAACAAACAACUGAAUUUCUUUUUAUCACGCAGUAGAAAAUUGAUAAAAUUUCAUGUUUUGUGUAGUGACUAAAAUCAGAGGGUUUUCUGUGACACGUCUUUAUUUAUUUUAUCUAUACUUUUCCAAGAUUUAUGGUGCAUGCUCUUUGUACUCAUGACUAUAUAAGACGCAAGCUGCCAAUUCUAUAUAAUCAGCUACUUUAUAAAUUGAGUUUCUCAAUGAGAAAAAUGUGGAAGUCCAGUUCUUAUUCAAAAUAUAUAUGGCUGAAUGAUUCUCAAAGGUUUUGAAGAAUCAUGAAACCACUUGAGAAAAUGACAAUUUUCUUUCUCACAAAUAAUUUCUGGUAAAUUCAUUUGUAUUUUGAAAGCUUUCCUUGGAACAGAUGAGCCAAGGACUUAAAUUGAACAGUUGUCACACUCACUUCAUCAACACAAAGUCGUUCUUUUCUUUUAGCUAAUAACAUUUGUGAAAAUGUUUUCUUCUGGGAAAUUCUAAUCGUUUUCUGUUCUUAUUAUGGAUCUCAGGCACUUGGCUUCUUAUCCCUCUCUGCUGUUCUAUAUUCAAUCAAAUCUUCCGACUGCCAUUUUGCUGCAAAUGACAUGGCUGCAUGCUCCCCUCCACAGUUUCAAAUUAUUUUCUUCUUCUUCUCUUUGUAUUUAUUUGCACUAGCACAAGGAGGACAUAAACCUUGUCUCCAGGCUUUUGGAGCUGACCAGUUUGAUGAGCAAGACCCAGAAGAAUGUAAUGACAAAAGCUCAUUCUUCAAUUGGUGGUAUUUUUCCAUGAAUUUGGGUAUUAUAGUUUCUCUAUUUGUAUUGAACUACAUCCAAGACAACCUAAGUUGGGCUCUUGGCUUUGGAAUUCCCUGCAUUAUCAUGUGCCUUGCACUAAUUAUAUUUUUACUCGGAACUAUGACUUACCGAUUUCGCCUACACAGCGAUGAAAGAAACCCGUUUGUUAGAAUUGGUCUGGUAUUCCUGAACGCAUUUAGAAAUUGGCGGAGUACCCCAGGAGCAAUAUCUAAGGAAGAGGAAGCACAGGGAAUUCUGCCAUAUCAAGGAUCUCAACAUUUCAAGUCAGUCAACUGCCCCUUUGUGUGUUUUGAUAUUUGGAAGAUAAACUUUGCCUCGUCAUCUCUCUUUGGUACAUUUUGGUUUCUUUAAUUAGUCCUGUUAAGCUUCUUGUUAGUUCGAAAUCGGUAAGUCUAUGCAAAACAUGUUUGAAAUAUCCUAGUUGUCCUUUCAUUAAUUUACGCUCAUCUGACACCAACGUUACUUGUUGACACAUAUUUUCAUUUUUCACCUUAUCAAACUUAGUGAAAUCUAUCUUAUCCACCUUGGUCAUCCUACUAGCAUUUUGUCCUUUAACGAACCUAAGACUAAACAAUAUAGCAUAACAGAUCUAUAACACAUCUUCUUAUCAUAGAGUAUCACUUCUCCAUAUCACUUUACCAUGCCGAACUUAAUGUAUUAUGUCUUCUUCAAUAUCUGCUUCUUCCUUGUUAGUAGUCAGACAAAGGUACUUAAAACAAUCACUCUGGAGACAAAAUAAUGCUCUAUAGUAACUUCAUAAUAAAAAAAUACGUUGAUAUUGUUUUACUAUAAAUCUGUGCUUUAUACAAUUGAAAUAAUGGGAACAAUCUCAUUUGUUUCGUUAUAUUAUUUUUGGUUUCUAACAGGUUUCUUAAUAAAGCGUUGCUUGCACCUGAUGGUUCGAAGGAAGACGGGAAAGUUUGUAGUAUCUCUGAGAUUGAAGAGGCUAAGGCAAUUCUUAGGCUGUUUCCAAUAUGGACUGCAUGUUUGGGAUAUGCCAUUGCAUAUUCACAAUCAUCGACUUUAUUCACUAAACAAGGAGCAACAAUGGAUCGUUCUAUCACAUCUAGCUUACAAAUACCAGCUGCUUCACUACAAUCUUUUAUCAGCAUUGCCAUUGUUGUCUUUGUUCCUCUGUAUGACCGAAUAUUUGUUCCUAUUGCAAGAGCUAUAACUGGGAAACCUUCAGGCAUUACAAUGCUUCAACGAAUCGGAACUGGAAUAUUUUUAUCUAUUCUUGCCAUGGUAAUUGCAGCUUUGGUGGAGAGGGAACGUCUAAAAACUGCUGCUGAACAUGGAUUGGUGGACAUGCCGAAAGCAACAGUUCCUAUGAGUGUGUGGUUGCUGCUACCGCAGUAUUUGCUUUUCGGUGUUGCAGAUGUAUUUACCUUUGUCGGACUCCAAGAGUUCUUCUAUGACCAGGUGCCAAACCAGCUGAAAAGUAUCGGCCUUGCUCUAUACUUGAGUAUAUUUGGCAUAGGGAACUUCUUGAGCAGUUUUCUAAUCUCAGUGGUGGAGAAAGCCACCAGUGGUCCGGGGCGAGACAGUUGGUUUUCAGACAACCUUAACCGGGCUCAUGUCGACUACUUCUAUUGGCUACUGGCUGCGCUUAGUGCUGCUGCAUUUUCCGCGUACGUGUAUGUUGCAAAAUCUUAUAUCUACAAUAGAAGAAACUGUCUGUGAAGAACUGCAUUCUGUAGUGGAGAUAGCUACCCAUGGCCCAGGUCGACAUGGUUUUCUUAUACACGGUUUGGCUUAAUGUAGCUGCUUUCGCUGCGUACUAGUACUUUGCAAAAUCUUGUAUCUAUAAUAGAAAUAAACCGUCACUGAAGUUGCAUAAAACGCUGUCGAGAUAAAGAUAGCCAGUAAAUGAGAAAUACCAGCACAUUCAACUUGUAUUAAUAGCUAUUGCUCAUUCGUGGUCAAUCUCACGUAAAUGCGAAGGCAUGCUCGAAGAUUUUAUUCAAUGGGAUCAUCUGAUAUUUGUUGUUCAUUUUUUUAAACCUUGGACAUAGUAGUGAUGAAGUGAAUUGGAUGAUGAAAAGAAUUUACAGACAACUUUUAAAUUUAUAGAAAAUAAUGAUUAAUUUGUUGUAAUUUGCAUAAAGUACAUUGAUUUGCUAUGUGUUGAACAAUCAACGCCAAUAUGGAGGUUAGCAAUAGAAGUUUUUUCAUUGCAUUUUGUACCAUAUUUGUUGAGCUUGAAAUUUGAUGGAAUCACGUUGUAAACAGAUCCAGCUCUACUUCCAUCCAUGUGUACGUUACCUAUAUGUUUGGACAUUAUGUCAAAUUGCAUGUGAUUGUAGCUCCAGUAGAUAUGCGAAAAUCGUGAGCACUCCGAUGCUCAAGUUAAAUAGUCAAAGAUAUUUAGGUGUGAAAGGGACAAUGGACAAAGUAAUUGAUGUUAAUUUGAAGAAUAUUACCAAGAUUGAGAGAGUGGUUUUGUGUUCAAAAUCACAUUACCCUUACCAAUCAUUACGUGUGAGUAUUUAUACCAAGAGAGGAGAUAGUGACGCUAAAAAUAUACCCAUUGAAAGUGGUUUGGGUGUUGAAGGGAAAGCAAUACAAGAUCGUCUCACCUAGGAAAAAUAACAGGGCAAUUACUUAUUUAAGUAUUGAGACAUGUUUUUAAGGUUUAAUCAUAGAAUUAGUCUAUACGUAUAGGAGCUGGUUCAUAGGAAACAAAACAAGACAAAGGGCACAAAAUGCGUAGGGAUGUCGAGCCAAGUAGAGCUGACUCGCGAGUCGAAAUUGAAGACUCGAACUCGGCUCGAGUAAAAUGAUCUGAGCUUUUUUACUAGCCCAAGCUAACCGAGCUUUUGCUUGGUCAAGAAUUUUAGGCUCGGCCAAAGCUUUCGGCUUAAAUUUUUUUUUUUUUAAAUAAUGAAUGUCGGCUCAUUGGGCUGCCUAAACAAAGGCAGCAGGGUAGCCGGCAGCCUUAAAUAAAGGCCGCCGCCUACUGGCUUUGAUCCUUUAUUUUAAAUUUUUAAUUUUUUUAAGGCCCAAGCCCAAGUUGGCGAGUUACGCGGGCCAGCACAGGCUUUUUCAGGAUUUUAUCAUGGGCAGCCCGAGCCUACGAGCAUGUUUGCCAUCUGUUGACACAUAAAAAUUCAGCCCAAAUCGAACAGCCCAGAGAAUAAAGUCCAAUUGGAGGGUCCCCAAAUCAGAUAGCCCAAAGAACGAAAUCCAAUUGAACGAAUCAAGGUGAAUGCCCAAAUAAGGGGCCCAAUAGUGCGGUAACGCCAUCGCCCAAGUUUGCAAGUCGCUCAGAGUCUGAACGAAUAGAGUGGCAUACGGUCGUCCAAAGUCUCGCCCAAAUCUUCAAGUCGCCCAAGGUAUCAACAAACAUAACGCAUUAUGAUGUAGUUAUUGAGGCAGUUGCUAAAGUAAUUUCAUCACGUUCCACGACUCAAGGGGUUCAAUCGAAAGCGGUUGAACGAUGCAAGAUAAUGGCAGCAGUUAAAAGACAGUUGCAUGACAAAGUGGCCAUUACAAAGAAAGUGGGUAGUUAUUGGGCGAUCAAGCAGUUUUUUAGAGCAGUUAAUCACAAAGGGAUCGCCUAUGAAGUAUAAAAGGGAGAAAGAACUUAGAAGCAAGGACCGAAUCCAAAACUCUCGAACAGAGAAUAUGUAAUUUUCAUUCCUUUAGCUUUUAGACUUAAACAUUUUCUUUUCUGUAACUCGUGUGCUUGCGCCCCUUGGAGGCACGUUGUUUUCCGUUUCCAAUUGUAAAGUUCAUCGCCAAUAAAAAGAACACCCCUUUUUGGGACUCUGUCUCAAGAGGUUUCGUCCCUUACACAAUCGUCUGAUCCUCUUUAAUUGUUAGCGAAUUAACCCGCGCGAAACAAUUUGGCACGCCCAGUGNNNNNNNNNNNNNNNNNNNNNNNNNNNNNNNNNNNNNNNNNNNNNNNNNNNNNNNNNNNNNNNNNNNNNNNNNNNNNNNNNNNNNNNNNNNNNNNNNNNNNNNNNNNNNNNNNNNNNNNNNNNNNNNNNNNNNNNNNNNNNNNNNNNNNNNNNNNNNNNNNNNNNNNNNNNNNNNNNNNNNNNNNNNNNNNNNNNNNNNNNNNNNNNNNNNNNNNNNNNNNNNNNNNNNNNNNNNNNNNNNNNNNNNNNNNNNNNNNNNNNNNNNNNNNNNNNNNNNNNNNNNNNNNNNNNNNNNNNNNNNNNNNNNNNNNNNNNNNNNNNNNNNNNNNNNNNNNNNNNNNNNNNNNNNNNNNNNNNNNNNNNNNNNNNNNNNNNNNNNNNNNNNNNNNNNNNNNNNNNNNNNNNNNNNNNNNNNNNNNNNNNNNNNNNNNNNNNNNNNNNNNNNNNNNNNNNNNNNNNNNNNNNNNNNNNNNNNNNNNNNNNNNNNNNNNNNGGGGUAGAUGUCCAGGCUAAUGGUAAUGGCCCUAAUUAUGGUAAUUUUGUUGCCAAUCAAGGACCAAACAUCAGACCUCAUGCAAAUCAACCGGUUAAUCAGCCUGUAGGAAUUCCAUAUGAUCCCAAUGUCAUAUUGAGAAAUCAGAUUAUGGAAAUCGUGCAGGAUCAGAUGGCCUUUGGGGUGCGUCCUGUCAUUAGACCGACUUACACAAAGCCAUAUCCUGAUUGGGUUGACCAAGAAUAUCCAUGGCCUAAAGGGUACAAAGUGCCAGAAUUCUCACUGUUUACUGGUUUAGGAGAGGUGUCUACCCUGGAACACAUAGGGCGAUUCACGUUGCAAAGUGGUGAUGUAACCGAUUACCACAAAAUGAGACUUUUCCCUAGUUCGUUAACAGGAGUAGCUUUCUCCUGGUUCAUUAACUUGCCAGCGAACUCUGUUCAAACAUGGCAACAACUGGAACAGCUGUUUCAUGCUCAGUUUUACAAAACUGAAUCUGAAGUCAACUUGGCUGAUUUGACGAAUUUACGUCAAAUGCCAAAUGAAUGGGCAGAAAGUUUUCUCCAAAGGUUCAAAACAGCAAGAAGCAAGUGUUUUGUACCUUUGCCCGAAAAGGAAUUUGUCAAAAUCGCACAAGGCUGCUUAAGUUUUGAUUUAAAAAAGAAGUUCCAAGACAAGGAAUUUCCCGACCUUUUCCAGUUAAGUGCGAAUGUCAUUAGGUAUGAGCUAUGAGCGAUUGAUAAGAGAAGAAGAACAAAUAAAAAAUUCUAGCAAAGGGACUUAUUACAGAGACCCGAAUUUUGACGUUCAUACCAUCGAUGACGAAUCGUAUGAUCAGGCCGAAAUGUGUUUGGCCGAAUUAGUAAAAGGGGAUACAUAUACUUGUCCCAUAAUGGCCAAACCUAGACCAUCGGGCAAAGAUGAACCCAUAAAGGAUGGAAACAUAAAGGCUAGAACGUUCUCGUUCGAUGUAACCAAAGCUGACCUUAUAUUCGAUAAGUUAUAUAGGGAUAAGCAAAUAAAACUGACGAUAAGCACAAAUUGCCAAACCCUGAACAAAUAAAGGGUAAAAAAUAUUGUAAGUGGCAUAAUGCAUGGUCACAUUUGACUAACAAUUGCUUGGUUUUUCGUCACGUAUUGCAGGAUGCUAUUGAGUCAGGACGAAUUACGUUCGACGAUAAGAAAAAGAUGGCAGUGGACGAGAAUCCUUUCCCACAGCCACUUGGGGUAAACAUGGUAACAUCUGGAUUCAAGAACAAGUUACCAAAAUUCAAGUUAGUCAUAGAUGACGGAGAAGAAGAUCCUAAACCACAUCCCAGUGUCUUUGAACGUAUCAAAGGAAAAGAACCAAAAAAGGACGAAAACGUCCUGUGUGCAAGGUGUAAAAGGGAAGUAAAUGGAAACACGGAGAAACCAGAGACAUGGCAGCAUCCUCGUCGCCCUGUUUUCUUCCCAAACGUUCAGCCUNNNNNNNNNNNNNNNNNNNNNNNNNNNNNNNNNNNNNNNNNNNNNNNNNNNNNNNNNNNNNNNNNNNNNNNNNNNNNNNNNNNNNNNNNNNNNNNNNNNNNNNNNNNNNNNNNNNNNNNNNNNNNNNNNNNNNNNNNNNNNNNNNNNNNNNNNNNNNNNNNNNNNNNNNNNNNNNNNNNNNNNNNNNNNNNNNNNNNNNNNNNNNNNNNNNNNNNNNNNNNNNNNNNNNNNNNNNNNNNNNNNNNNNNNNNNNNNNNNNNNNNNNNNNNNNNNNNNNNNNNNNNNNNNNNNNNNNNNNNNNNNNNNNNNNNNNNNNNNNNNNNNNNNNNNNNNNNNNNNNNNNNNNNNNNNNNNNNNNNNNNNNNNNNNNNNNNNNNNNNNNNNNNNNNNNNNNNNNNNNNNNNNNNNNNNNNNNNNNNNNNNNNNNNNNNNNNNNNNNNNNNNNNNNNNNNNNNNNNNNNNNNNNNNNNNNNNNNNNNNNNNNNNNNNNNNNNNNNNNNNNNNNNNNNNNNNNNNNNNNNNNNNNNNNNNNNNNNNNNNNNNNNNNNNNNNNNNNNNNNNNNNNNNNNNNNNNNNNNNNNNNNNNNNNNNNNNNNNNNNNNNNNNNNNNNNNNNNNNNNNNNNNNNNNNNNNNNNNNNNNNNNNNNNNNNNNNNNNNNNNNNNNNNNNNNNNNNNNNNNNNNNNNNNNNNNNNNNNNNNNNNNNNNNNNNNNNNNNNNNNNNNNNNNNNNNNNNNNNNNNNNNNNNNNNNNNNNNNNNNNNNNNNNNNNNNNNNNNNNNNNNNNNNNNNNNNNNNNNNNNNNNNNNNNNNNNNNNNNNNNNNNNNNNNNNNNNNNNNNNNNNNNNNNNNNNNNNNNNNNNNNNNNNNNNNNNNNNNNNNNNNNNNNNNNNNNNNNNNNNNNNNNNNNNNNNNNNNNNNNNNNNNNNNNNNNNNNNNNNNNNNNNNNNNNNNNNNNNNNNNNNNNNNNNNNNNNNNNNNNNNNNNNNNNNNNNNNNNNNNNNNNNNNNNNNNNNNNNNNNNNNNNNNNNNNNNNNNNNNNNNNNNNNNNNNNNNNNNNNNNNNNNNNNNNNNNNNNNNNNNNNNNNNNNNNNNNNNNNNNNNNNNNNNNNNNNNNNNNNNNNNNNNNNNNNNNNNNNNNNNNNNNNNNNNNNNNNNNNNNNNNNNNNNNNNNNNNNNNNNNNNNNNNNNNNNNNNNNNNNNNNNNNNNNNNNNNNNNNNNNNNNNNNNNNNNNNNNNNNNNNNNNNNNNNNNNNNNNNNNNNNNNNNNNNNNNNNNNNNNNNNNNNNNNNNNNNNNNNNNNNNNNNNNNNNNNNNNNNNNNNNNNNNNNNNNNNNNNNNNNNNNNNNNNNNNNNNNNNNNNNNNNNNNNNNNNNNNNNNNNNNNNNNNNNNNNNNNNNNNNNNNNNNNNNNNNNNNNNNNNNNNNNNNNNNNNNNNNNNNNNNNNNNNNNNNNNNNNNNNNNNNNNNNNNNNNNNNNNNNNNNNNNNNNNNNNNNNNNNNNNNNNNNNNNNNNNNNNNNNNNNNNNNNNNNNNNNNNNNNNNNNNNNNNNNNNNNNNNNNNNNNNNNNNNNNNNNNNNNNNNNNNNNNNNNNNNNNNNNNNNNNNNNNNNNNNNNNNNNNNNNNNNNNNNNNNNNNNNNNNNNNNNNNNNNNNNNNNNNNNNNNNNNNNNNNNNNNNNNNNNNNNNNNNNNNNNNNNNNNNNNNNNNNNNNNNNNNNNNNNNNNNNNNNNNNNNNNNNNNNNNNNNNNNNNNNNNNNNNNNNNNNNNNNNNNNNNNNNNNNNNNNNNNNNNNNNNNNNNNNNNNNNNNNNNNNNNNNNNNNNNNNNNNNNNNNNNNNNNNNNNNNNNNNNNNNNNNNNNNNNNNNNNNNNNNNNNNNNNNNNNNNNNNNNNNNNNNNNNNNNNNNNNNNNNNNNNNNNNNNNNNNNNNNNNNNNNNNNNNNNNNNNNNNNNNNNNNNNNNNNNNNNNNNNNNNNNNNNNNNNNNNNNNNNNNNNNNNNNNNNNNNNNNNNNNNNNNNNNNNNNNNNNNNNNNNNNNNNNNNNNNNNNNNNNNNNNNNNNNNNNNNNNNNNNNNNNNNNNNNNNNNNNNNNNNNNNNNNNNNNNNNNNNNNNNNNNNNNNNNNNNNNNNNNNNNNNNNNNNNNNNNNNNNNNNNNNNNNNNNNNNNNNNNNNNNNNNNNNNNNNNNNNNNNNNNNNNNNNNNNNNNNNNNNNNNNNNNNNNNNNNNNNNNNNNNNNNNNNNNNNNNNNNNNNNNNNNNNNNNNNNNNNNNNNNNNNNNNNNNNNNNNNNNNNNNNNNNNNNNNNNNNNNNNNNNNNNNNNNNNNNNNNNNNNNNNNNNNNNNNNNNNNNNNNNNNNNNNNNNNNNNNNNNNNNNNNNNNNNNNNNNNNNNNNNNNNNNNNNNNNNNNNNNNNNNNNNNNNNNNNNNNNNNNNNNNNNNNNNNNNNNNNNNNNNNNNNNNNNNNNNNNNNNNNNNNNNNNNNNNNNNNNNNNNNNNNNNNNNNNNNNNNNNNNNNNNNNNNNNNNNNNNNNNNNNNNNNNNNNNNNNNNNNNNNNNNNNNNNNNNNNNNNNNNNNNNNNNNNNNNNNNNNNNNNNNNNNNNNNNNNNNNNNNNNNNNNNNNNNNNNNNNNNNNNNNNNNNNNNNNNNNNNNNNNNNNNNNNNNNNNNNNNNNNNNNNNNNNNNNNNNNNNNNNNNNNNNNNNNNNNNNNNNNNNNNNNNNNNNNNNNNNNNNNNNNNNNNNNNNNNNNNNNNNNNNNNNNNNNNNNNNNNNNNNNNNNNNNNNNNNNNNNNNNNNNNNNNNNNNNNNNNNNNNNNNNNNNNNNNNNNNNNNNNNNNNNNNNNNNNNNNNNNNNNNNNNNNNNNNNNNNNNNNNNNNNNNNNNNNNNNNNNNNNNNNNNNNNNNNNNNNNNNNNNNNNNNNNNNNNNNNNNNNNNNNNNNNNNNNNNNNNNNNNNNNNNNNNNNNNNNNNNNNNNNNNNNNNNNNNNNNNNNNNNNNNNNNNNNNNNNNNNNNNNNNNNNNNNNNNNNNNNNNNNNNNNNNNNNNNNNNNNNNNNNNNNNNNNNNNNNNNNNNNNNNNNNNNNNNNNNNNNNNNNNNNNNNNNNNNNNNNNNNNNNNNNNNNNNNNNNNNNNNNNNNNNNNNNNNNNNNNNNNNNNNNNNNNNNNNNNNNNNNNNNNNNNNNNNNNNNNNNNNNNNNNNNNNNNNNNNNNNNNNNNNNNNNNNNNNNNNNNNNNNNNNNNNNNNNNNNNNNNNNNNNNNNNNNNNNNNNNNNNNNNNNNNNNNNNNNNNNNNNNNNNNNNNNNNNNNNNNNNNNNNNNNNNNNNNNNNNNNNNNNNNNNNNNNNNNNNNNNNNNNNNNNNNNNNNNNNNNNNNNNNNNNNNNNNNNNNNNNNNNNNNNNNNNNNNNNNNNNNNNNNNNNNNNNNNNNNNNNNNNNNNNNNNNNNNNNNNNNNNNNNNNNNNNNNNNNNNNNNNNNNNNNNNNNNNNNNNNNNNNNNNNNNNNNNNNNNNNNNNNNNNNNNNNNNNNNNNNNNNNNNNNNNNNNNNNNNNNNNNNNNNNNNNNNNNNNNNNNNNNNNNNNNNNNNNNNNNNNNNNNNNNNNNNNNNNNNNNNNNNNNNNNNNNNNNNNNNNNNNNNNNNNNNNNNNNNNNNNNNNNNNNNNNNNNNNNNNNNNNNNNNNNNNNNNNNNNNNNNNNNNNNNNNNNNNNNNNNNNNNNNNNNNNNNNNNNNNNNNNNNNNNNNNNNNNNNNNNNNNNNNNNNNNNNNNNNNNNNNNNNNNNNNNNNNNNNNNNNNNNNNNNNNNNNNNNNNNNNNNNNNNNNNNNNNNNNNNNNNNNNNNNNNNNNNNNNNNNNNNNNNNNNNNNNNNNNNNNNNNNNNNNNNNNNNNNNNNNNNNNNNNNNNNNNNNNNNNNNNNNNNNNNNNNNNNNNNNNNNNNNNNNNNNNNNNNNNNNNNNNNNNNNNNNNNNNNNNNNNNNNNNNNNNNNNNNNNNNNNNNNNNNNNNNNNNNNNNNNNNNNNNNNNNNNNNNNNNNNNNCUGGCCGUUUGCGGCUUGGAACACUCUUGGCCAUAGUUGGCUUGGCAGGGAGGGAAGAAGAUGGACGAGCAGAUUGUUUAGUACGACGAGAAGGAGAAGGGUUCCGAAUAGACAAAGGAGGGGCCAAAACAGGAGGAGGAGAAGAAAUGCUCGGUUGAUCUAAUGAAUGAAAGGCACGGUUGGCCUCAGUCGCAAAUAAUCUGCGCUUCACCGAUGGCCAAAGUUGUUCGAAAAGAGGAUGAGUAGCAUGACAAGGAUUAAAAGGGGCUAAUGAAAAAUGGCUUGAUAAGUGGAGGUGCGAACGUUUAUAGCCUCUGCUUCCACCUUAUUAAUGGUAUGAAAGCGGUCGUUUAAGUUCUUCGAAUAGCAAAGAGGAGCAGGCCAAGUUUGGCCGAAACCAAGCUGCCGAGCAAAAAAUUGGGGAACAUAAAUUUCUACCCCAGCUUUGGCAUUGGUCACGGUUAAGAUAUCGUGGAAAAGCUCCCUCCCAGUUAAGAACUGAAUCCAAAUGAGCAGAGAAGUGCUCGCGCUAUCUAGAGUGGAAGGAGGAUGCACAUAGUUCGGAGUCAAAAAAGAAGGGAAAGGAAAGAAGGAAGAGAUUGAAUUUAAAGAAUAAAAGAAUAAAAAAAUGUCCCUUUUGGACAUACUUACGGGAGUUAAAGGCUCCAUAGCUAGCCCGUAACAACUAGCAGAAGGACAAGAAAUGGAUGGGGCACCAAGCGAUGGAAAAUAGGAUCUCAACCACAGCUGAGUGAACCAAAGAGGUCCACUGCCAGUAGGAGAUGCACCAUUCUUCAAUUGAGCCUGAAGAAAAGCCAUACCUCUAUAAAGGGCAGCCAAAAACAAAGAACAUAAAUUCAAAGACCUGCCACGCGCCAGUUCAUGCGCUAUAGGUAGAUAACUCAAAGAGGGCUUUAUACUAGGCACGCACAACACAUAUUUACAAAGCCAGAGUAAAAGGAAGGCCACUCGUUCAGCAUGAGUAGGUUCAGCACUCGAGUGAUUGUGCAGUGUCUGCAGGCUUGAAUAAGAAUCGGUAUAGUUUUUACCGAACUGAGGGGCGCCACCAGAAACUAAGAUGCCUGGGAAAACGGUAUCACCCAAAGGUGGUAAAUUUACCAGAGCCCCAACAUCCCUUAACGUAAUAGACAUGGGGCCAAGAGGAAAAAUAAAGGUGUUAUACUCAGAGGACCAAAAGCUCAAAGCAAUCGGAAAGAGCGCUGAAUCAAAAGUAGGAGGGCAAAUAGAGAUUUCCAACAAAUCAGAAAUCCUAGCGCUAUCAAAAAGUGCCUUAGUAGGACCAUGACCCACAAGACGAGCAUGCCACCUACGAAAAGCUACGUCAGAUUUGGGCCAAGUGCGAAUACAUUUUUCACGAAGUGGCCCCAGCGGCAAAGAAUUCAGAAAAGGAGGGCCAUGGGUGCAAGGAAACAGCUGGCCCACCGCCGCCUGAUCGAUUGCUUCCGCAUUGUUGAAGAAAGGACCCAAGUAAAACUCAUUACGUCCAACAUCAGCGGGCGCAAGAAAACUUGGGGUUACGUAUGAACGACUCAGAAGUUCCUGAAAGUCGUCAAAACUAAAGGAAUCGCUAGCUUGGGAUUGUAAAGCAGUCAUUGAAGAAGGAACGAAGCUUUUCAGAGUUACGUAACAAGGAAGCAAAAUAUGAACAGUGAAUCGCGAAGGAUGCGUAAGAAAUAUGAAACGUGAUUUCGUAGCAGUAAAAUGGCGUGUUCGGAGUUUAUAAGGGUUUGCAAAGCGACGCACCUUUUCAAGUUAUAGAAGGAGACAAUGAUUAAAAUUCUUUAGGGAUCGUGAACGUUGCUGAAGACGUGAAGUGAAUAUGGCAAAAUUCAAUAGUUAUUAUUAAUUCUGCCAUAUUGGGGGGUAAUUGUUGACACAUAAAAAUUCAGCCCAAAUCGAACAGCCCAGAGAAUAAAACNNNNNNNNNNNNNNNNNNNNNNNNNNNNNNNNNNNNNNNNNNNNNNNNNNNNNNNNNNNNNNNNNNNNNNNNNNNNNNNNNNNNNNNNNNNNNNNNNNNNNNNNNNNNNNNNNNNNNNNNNNNNNNNNNNNNNNNNNNNNNNNNNNNNNNNNNNNNNNNNNNNNNNNNNNNNNNNNNNNNNNNNNNNNNNNNNNNNNNNNNNNNNNNNNNNNNNNNNNNNNNNNNNNNNNNNNNNNNNNNNNNNNNNNNNNNNNNNNNNNNNNNNNNNNNNNNNNNNNNNNNNNNNNNNNNNNNNNNNNNNNNNNNNNNNNNNNNNNNNNNNNNNNNNNNNNNNNNNNNNNNNNNNNNNNNNNNNNNNNNNNNNNNNNNNNNNNNNNNNNNNNNNNNNNNNNNNNNNNNNNNNNNNNNNNNNNNNNNNNNNNNNNNNNNNNNNNNNNNNNNNNNNNNNNNNNNNNNNNNNNNNNNNNNNNNNNNNNNNNNNNNNNNNNNNNNNNNNNNNNNNNNNNNNNNNNNNNNNNNNNNNNNNNNNNNNNNNNNNNNNNNNNNNNNNNNNNNNNNNNNNNNNNNNNNNNNNNNNNNNNNNNNNNNNNNNNNNNNNNNNNNNNNNNNNNNNNNNNNNNNNNNNNNNNNNNNNNNNNNNNNNNNNNNNNNNNNNNNNNNNNNNNNNNNNNNNNNNNNNNNNNNNNNNNNNNNNNNNNNNNNNNNNNNNNNNNNNNNNNNNNNNNNNNNNNNNNNNNNNNNNNNNNNNNNNNNNNNNNNNNNNNNNNNNNNNNNNNNNNNNNNNNNNNNNNNNNNNNNNNNNNNNNNNNNNNNNNNNNNNNNNNNNNNNNNNNNNNNNNNNNNNNNNNNNNNNNNNNNNNNNNNNNNNNNNNNNNNNNNNNNNNNNNNNNNNNNNNNNNNNNNNNNNNNNNNNNNNNNNNNNNNNNNNNNNNNNNNNNNNNNNNNNNNNNNNNNNNNNNNNNNNNNNNNNNNNNNNNNNNNNNNNNNNNNNNNNNNNNNNNNNNNNNNNNNNNNNNNNNNNNNNNNNNNNNNNNNNNNNNNNNNNNNNNNNNNNNNNNNNNNNNNNNNNNNNNNNNNNNNNNNNNNNNNNNNNNNNNNNNNNNNNNNNNNNNNNNNNNNNNNNNNNNNNNNNNNNNNNNNNNNNNNNNNNNNNNNNNNNNNNNNNNNNNNNNNNNNNNNNNNNNNNNNNNNNNNNNNNNNNNNNNNNNNNNNNNNNNNNNNNNNNNNNNNNNNNNNNNNNNNNNNNNNNNNNNNNNNNNNNNNNNNNNNNNNNNNNNNNNNNNNNNNNNNNNNNNNNNNNNNNNNNNNNNNNNNNNNNNNNNNNNNNNNNNNNNNNNNNNNNNNNNNNNNNNNNNNNNNNNNNNNNNNNNNNNNNNNNNNNNNNNNNNNNNNNNNNNNNNNNNNNNNNNNNNNNNNNNNNNNNNNNNNNNNNNNNNNNNNNNNNNNNNNNNNNNNNNNNNNNNNNNNNNNNNNNNNNNNNNNNNNNNNNNNNNNNNNNNNNNNNNNNNNNNNNNNNNNNNNNNNNNNNNNNNNNNNNNNNNNNNNNNNNNNNNNNNNNNNNNNNNNNNNNNNNNNNNNNNNNNNNNNNNNNNNNNNNNNNNNNNNNNNNNNNNNNNNNNNNNNNNNNNNNNNNNNNNNNNNNNNNNNNNNNNNNNNNNNNNNNNNNNNNNNNNNNNNNNNNNNNNNNNNNNNNNNNNNNNNNNNNNNNNNNNNNNNNNNNNNNNNNNNNNNNNNNNNNNNNNNNNNNNNNNNNNNNNNNNNNNNNNNNNNNNNNNNNNNNNNNNNNNNNNNNNNNNNNNNNNNNNNNNNNNNNNNNNNNNNNNNNNNNNNNNNNNNNNNNNNNNNNNNNNNNNNNNNNNNNNNNNNNNNNNNNNNNNNNNNNNNNNNNNNNNNNNNNNNNNNNNNNNNNNNNNNNNNNNNNNNNNNNNNNNNNNNNNNNNNNNNNNNNNNNNNNNNNNNNNNNNNNNNNAGUCGCCCAAGGUAUCAACAAACAUAACGCAUUAUGAUGCAGUUAUUGAAGCAGUUGCUAAAGUAAUUUCAUCACGUUCCACGACUCAAGGGGUUCAAUCGAAAGCGGUUGAACGAUGCAAGAUAAUGGCAGCAGUUAAAAGACAGUUGCAUGACAAAGUGGCCAUUACAAAGAAAGUGGGUAGUUAUUGGGCGAUCAAGCAGUUUUUUAGAGCAGUUAAUCACAAAGGGAUCGCCUAUGAAGUAUAAAAGGGAGAAAGAACUUAGAAGCAAGGACCGAAUCCAAAACUCUCGAACAGAGAAUAUGUAAUUUUCAUUCCUUUAACUUUUAGACUUAAACAUUUCCUUUUCUGUAACUCGUGUGCUUGCGCCCCUUGGAGGCACGUUGUUUUCCGUUUCCAAUUGUAAAGUUCAUCGCCAAUAAAAAGAACACCCUUUUUUGGGACUUUGUUUCAAGAGGUUUCGUCCCUUACACAAUCGUCUGAUCCUCUUUAAUUGUUAGCGAAUUAACCCGCGCGAAACACCAUCCCAUGAAAUUGUUUCAUUAGGGCAUUUCACUUCUGAGUUUCUUGCCACAACUCUCUAGUGGCGACUCAAUUCCUUUGUUGCUCUGCUUUCCAUCUUCCGCCAGCGCAUCCAGUGGAGAUCGACGAGAGCCCGUUCUUGGAGUCGGCGUCACACUGCACAGCUUCUUCACUGGAGACCAUUUUCUCAGUUGACCUCGCACCAUAGUGCUUCUCCGCCAGCGAUUGUGUCGAAUGACCACUAUAGAAGCAUCUCCGACGAGAUAUUUGAACCACUGACUAUGCAGUAGUGAAGAACAAUUUUUUCCUGCUUUACCCAAACAAGACAACGAAAAAGGUAGUAUUUUAACUAGUCACAUCUCCUCCAUGUUUUGGCAUCAAAUUUCACUGCCUUAAUUACCGUUUGAGCUGCCAUUUUCGAGUAUGAAUUUUUUUUCACAGCCUUAAUUUGUUUUAUAGGGAUUUAAAAUCUGUUUCAAUGUGCAUCUCUUCCUGUAAUUAUAUGGGUUCUUUUCAGUAGGUGGGUAAUGGUGGAAUGAAUUCAGUUUGCAUCUUCAUAAUUAGUUUGAGUUUGAAUCUCCUGUAAUUAAUUUCAGUUUGAGUUCGCACAAGUUUGCAUUAGUAAGAGUGUAAUGGUGGAAUACCUUUUGAGUUCGUAUCUAUUGAUGCGCAUUUCUGUCUGUAAUUAGUUGUUGUCAAUCUCAGGAUGAGAGGGGCGAAUUUUGGAGCUUGAGUGUGACGACUGCGGCUACUUUGACUGGGUUGAAAAGGAAAAAUCAAGUGGUGAAUCGAGUAACAUUGAUGAAGCGGUGAACGCCGUGGCCAAUGAAGAAUUCGAAGAGUUGCCAAGCGUGUUUGACUCUCUUGCUCGAAUAGCCAUCAAACAAGGUGUCAAGAUUUCAGCGAACAUGAUAUUUUGUAAGGAAAAAGGACACGUGAAGGAGUGUGGGAAAGGAAAGGGGCCGGCACAGCAUGUUUAGUAGUUAGUUGUUGAACGAGUUGUAUUGUAUUGUGUCCGUUUUGUAUUAGCGAUCAAAAAUUGGUAUUGUGAGAGAAUAUAUGUACUUGGCAUCAGUGUAGAAGAUCAGCUCUGCAACAUUGUAUUAGCUUCAGUUUGGUGAACAUUGUAUUAGCUAUCGCAGGUUCAUUAUUGACAUUUCUGAUCUUAAUUCUCUCUUGCUAGAUUGAGCUGUUUGGUAAAAGACGUGGUUCCUUUGAUACUUGAAUGGGGAUUAGCUAUGAAAUUGAGACGAGUUUUGUGGGAAAGACAGAUUCUUUGUGGGACUUCAUCAGGUUGCCACUCAAUUGCAUUAGCCUAAACAAGGGUUAUCCUUCUUUGAAAUCAUUGCAGCCCAGAUAUCAAAAUUUUUUUUUUUUCAAUUUUUGCAAUUGAACAAACUCAUAUCAUGUAAAUGCUCUAUCUAAUAAACCAGAGAAAUGUUGACAUAAUGUGAAAUAGACUCGAAAAUAAUUUAUUUACCUUCCGAUAUGUCAACGAACAUUGCAAGCUACUUGACAUGAAAGUUAACCAAAAUGUUAGCUACAGCUAAACAGCUCAGAAUUAAAUCAAAAUCAUUAAUCUAGAAAUAUUCACCUUCUCAAGUAGGUACUGCGCAAAAGUGAAAUCUGCAAGCUGAUCAUUGCAACUGUUGCUCAGAUGCCUAAACAUCUGGUACAGCUUCUUCUCCAAUCUUAUCAUUUUCAACUACAUUGGCAGUGCUCAUGACAUUCUCAUUCUCAAAUUCAACCAAUAAACUGUCAUGCUCCUCUUCCAUAAUUUCCACUCCUAUGAUGAAAUAAGCGAUAAGCAUUACCACAUAACAGCCAAAUAAUUUAAAUAUGCGCAUUUCAUUAGCUAGCUAAGCUUUUGAAAAUGGCUUUAGUGUUCGAAAAUCGGAAAUGCUGUGUACAAAAUAGCUUUAGAAACAUGUGCAUUUCAUUAUCCUUGAGGAAUGCUUUCUAUAACAUAAAAAGAAACAUCGUCUUCCCCAACUUAUGCACCCACCAGUCUGGUUUUUGGUGAGAAGUUCAGGAUUUUUACUUCUCAAAACAGUAAAUUCAGUAAAAGAAAAAUUAAUUUUGAUAAUCAUUUUUAGCGAAGUACAAAAAUGGUACUUUGUUUAUGUUUCUUCCCCAUCGUAUUAGGCAAAUCGGAGGACUCACUAUGUGGGAAACGGAAAACCCUUAGCAGUAUCUUUACUACUACAUGAGUUGAGUUUAUAUUCUAAAUUUUGAACUCUCUCUUCACACAGAUUUGUUCCUCUGUUUUCACUAUUACACUACAUUUUAGAAAAGAGUUUAAAACAUGUCUUUCCCCGACAGGGCAAUGAUACUUUCCAACUCCUUAUCUUAAAGAAGACGUCGACGAUGCAAGUGGUAGAAUGAUGCGUUGUCGAUCGAUUGGUCAGAGAUGGAGAAAGGACCAGACGAAUCUUUACGGGAAAGUAGGCCCUUCAGUCAAGGCUGUCCAAGAUGCGGGUAAUGAAGGUCAUUGGGUGAACCGUCAGUAGGUUGGUCGGAGAUGGAGGUCACUAAAUUGGAUGAUGAAUUCGUCCCAUCUCGGUGGAGGGAACUUUGAAAUUGAUUUGUGCUUUUCCCAAUUUUACAUUCGGUUUCCUAGGGAUGGCAAUUGGGCUCGUCGGCUCGGACCAUCUGGAUCGGGCAUUAAAAAAAAAAAAAUGCCCGAGCUGAGUUUUGGCUCACGAGUCAGCUUGGUUCGCCUCGUUGACACUCCUAGGUUUUCCUUGUUUUGUUUUUUUCCCCCUCCCGCCCCCCACCCCCCCCCCCCACUUGCCACAUCAGACCAUUUCAAAUCCAUGUGGCAAAUCUGUGAACCACCUCCUGUACAUAUAGGAUAAUUGUUAAUCAUCAUGUAUAGCAUGCGAUGCUCUCUGAUACACGCGUGCAAGGAAAUAAGAUUAGCACAUUGGACCAUUAAAUGCAUGAGGGAGCAUCACUUGUAGCCACGAAAUUUGACUAAGUAGAGCCACGUUUUGCCAUUGUAUUUUCUAUUUAUUUCUAGCUACCAUUCUUGAUUAUGUAACAACUCUAGACGAUUAUGAUUAGACUAAUAUCUUAUGUUAAUGGGCAAAUUAAAAGUCAAUUAAUUAUGGUGUUAAUGAUUUUAAGCACCUAUAAAUGUUGGUCAAUUAUGUAACGACCCAAGCCUAUCUGUCAAAAUCGUUAUAUCAUAUGUAUUGUUCAUUUUUGGAAGAGUCUGUCAAUCUUAUCCCUCACGAAUUUACAGAAAUCUAAACGAAUGCGGAUUUUUUUAAUGGGUUAGAAACAUAAAAAUGAAUAGAUCAAAUCAAAUUAUGAUUCAAUUGAAUGGUACCAACUACCAACGAAAUUGAGUGCUAUCUCCCAUUUCUUAUUUAAUUAACCGAUCCUCAUGCUAUCAGACCUAAUCUAUGAGGGAUAAGAUAAAAUAUAUUUUGCCGGUGCAAAAGUUUAGUGCUCAGUUCCUUUUUGUUCCACCUUUGUAUUAUCGGAAUCGGACACUCAAUUAACCUCAAGCACCUAUGGCAUGGGAGCAAAUCUAUGCUAAGGUUAUUUUUUAACCAUGCCUCAAUUUACUAUUCCAUUAUCCCAUUUUUCUUUUUCUAGUAAUUGUCAAUUUUCUAUUCUGUAAAAUAUAUAUAUAUAUAUAUUAACAAUAGCAUUACUUUUAGCGAAAAAUUUAAUAGCAAGUUAUAAGUUUUCAUUCUAGUAAUUAUACUUUCAUCUAUUACAGUGUCAAUCGGAAAACCAUAAUUUAAUUUUAUUCAAUCAGUUAUUAUACUUUAAUUUUAAUUGAAUAUUUUCGUCCAAUUCCAUCAUUGAAUGCACGAAAAUUAAUUUAUUUAACUGAAGUUGCACUUAUAUUAUGUUAGCAACUAAUUGCCACGUGCGAAUGAUGUCAUUUAUUAACUAUCUAUCAUCGAUUUUUUUAGUUGAGUUGACCAGAAUUACCUUAACAGAAAUUGAAUUAAAGUGUAGAUAUCAAUUACAAUCAAAUAUAUGCAUAGAUUUUCAAUAAAAAAAUCAAAAUAAGGUGUAUUUAUUCGAUUAAAUAAAAUUAAAGUACAAUUGCCCGAUUGAUAUUUUGGGUAAAAAUAUAAAGAUCACAUUGAUCAACUUAGCUAUUAAUUAUAUCAAUUGGAUUGGGCCUAGUUAAUUAAACAACAUAACUUUGUAUUUCAGCCUGAUUUAAUAGUCUUGGCAAAUUUUCAUCAUUUUACAUAGGCGAGCCCUUUCAAACACAAGGUAAGAUUAUUUUAAUCAUAGCCAAAUCCUCAUCUCUCAUCUUUUGCAUUCAUCCUCUAUCGUCUGACCGUUGAUCUGAUCAUCGAAGUGCAAACGAUCGUUUGACUUUUUUCUCAACUCAACAACUUUGCCUUCUAAUUGUGUGUUCUAGUGUGUAGGUAGUGCCUGCAUAAAAGGAAAGUGAUCGAGAUUCUGCAGGUUGCCUGUCCAUCAGAUUCUGAGAUAUAUAGAUUAGUGUUGUCUGUGGAAAAUGGUUACGAUUAACCAUGAGGAAAACUCGUGAGAAAAAGCCAACCAAACAUUUCCCAAAAGGAAGAAAAUGCAACUGGAAGCAUCUGAAAAUUUUCUGAGGUAAAAGAAAUUUUUCAAUGAAUGGUUGAAGAUACCUACAGUGAAAAUGGUAACUGAUCAAGUGAAACCCACAAUCUGGAUCGUUGACAAGUAAUACGUGAUGAAUUGAGUUAUUGUUUCACGAGGAAUAAAUUUUAAUUCAAGUGUAUUAAUUAUCUAUUAAAUUCGAAUUAUUGUAACACAAAAGAAAUUUGUUGUAAUUAUUCUGAAUUAUUCUACGAGAUAUGUAAAAAGUUUGGUUUCUAAACUUAUGUGGGAUGAUUGUAUUGGAUUUAAAUUCCACAUAUUAUUAUCCAUUUCCAAUUCUCAACUAUGUGAUGUAGUAUUAAUUAUGCAUUCACGACAAUCAAUAAUCCUAUUAUACUUAACUUUUUUUCAAGAUAAGUUAAAUACAUUCUAAGCAAGACCUGAUCUUAUUCCUAGUUUAGAUUUAUAUGCAAAGCAAUGCAUUCAAUUCCAUGAUUAUCAAUAAGAUUAACACACGCACAUUUUAUUCAUAAUUAUCUGUUAUCUUUGUGUUAAUCAUGUAGUGUUCUAAAUUUAUUGUAAGUCUUUCAAGACUAUAACAAGCAACUAGUUAUCUAAAUGUGGCUCAAGCAUUUAAAUAAUGCAACAAGCAUGCACGAUUAAUCAAAAAACACAAUAAUUAACUGAAAUAUUUGUCUUUGAAUUGAAAAUAAAGAAACAAAUGGUUCAUCUUCAUUCGAUACAUGUGAGAAUGCAUGCAACCCUUGAGAUUUUUGGCUUCAAAAGGUUCAUCAUAUUGAUUCCUUGCGUGUACAAUGGCUUGUUUGGUGCUCACGCAAGCCUCUUCUUCCGUGGGGUCCAAAUUGGUCCAAUUGGUCUCUGAAUUUCUCAAUGGCGUGUCUGGGACUUUUCCUCUUGCAAUUUUUACCCUUUGUUUCCAUUUUCAUCCAAUUGAACAAGCAUGAUCUUCGAUAGUUGUUUUGUUGUCCGACUCAACUAUUAAAUAUUUGCAAUUUGGUGCUAGAAUUUUUGAUUUCUUCUUUUUUGCCCGUUUCUUGUUUCUUGUUUCUUUCUUCCAAUUUCACCAUUUUGCAUCGAAUUUUACCUAACAAAUAAGAUUAACAUAAAAUAAACUAUAAUUCAUCAAAUUAAUAAAAAAAAUAUUCUAAUUUAACAGCAUAGAUAAAUAUAAAAAAUACACUUAUCAGAAACCACAAGAAAAUCUAGAAAAUGUGUUAACAUCAACCAAAAGGGGAAAAAACAACAAGAGAGAAAUUAAACUAGUAAAAUGGCUCAGAUUGAUGAAAUCUAAAGAGUAAAAUGGCUGUCCAAAAAUUGGGCACUUUGCAACUUGCAAAAGUUACCCUCUUGUAAAUUAUCUCUCGAAUGUCCAUCAUUUCAUUCUUUUGAAAUAACAGAUUUACUCUAUAGCUAUAGAUUUUUUGCCUUGAUUUCAUAGGCAUGUUUUAAAAGAAUAAGUUUGGGUGUGUAACUCACGAGAGAAAUAAUGUUUUCACUAGUUUUGAUGGAUUUAACUAGACAUUUCAUCAAAUAAGAAUUCCCCUAUAUUUUGAAUGUUUCAAUCUCUAAAAUUCAACUAGACUAAUAAUUUCUUAUCAGAAGUCUAAUUCUUUCAAACAGGUUUUUGAGACUUAAUCAACGUAUGUAGUGUAUCUUCUGUUUCAUGCACCUGCUUUUUAAUAUUUGUUAUGCUUAUUCUAUUUCAUAUACUAGCUUGAUUUCAUUUGAGUUUAUGUUUUGAAGUUUUCAAUAAGUGUCCUCAAUGAGAUCUUUUAAACAAACACUCUCAAAAAAUCAAUCUUUAACUUAGACUUUCACCUAAUUUUCAUCUUAUUGACGUUAGACAAUUUGCACAAAAGUUAGCACACAUGGAAUCUCUAUUUAUCUCAAUGUCUCCAUAUAAUAAUUCAACUACCCCAAACUAUCCUAGAAUUGGUAUAAAAAUGUAUAUUGUAGUGGUUUUUCGUGUUUGUCAUCUAAGUUCCACUUUUUCAUAUCACUAUCUUGCCACAAAUCUAAUUGACUCGAACUAACCUGUAAAAUUAUUGUUCUAAGUUUUCAGUGAUUUGUGAACUGUGGCAUUCGCACGUAGAUUUGUAACUUGUGGUUUAUGCACGAAAGUUGUGAAUUCUAGUCAAUUCACGUGGACAUGUGACAAAGACGAUAAGCCACAGAUAUGUGACAUGUGACCUCUACAAACAGAUGAAGUGUGUUAUAACCAGUGGUCAAGAAUUUAUGACUUACGACAUGUACCUUAUGAGCCAUGUGCAUGAAUACAUGCCCUGAGACUUGUAAAAUAUGGAGUAUUGUGCUACUUAUAAGAUUCUAAAUAUAUAAGUUCAUGCCACUAGGUUUUCGACCCCACCGGGAAUGAACCGAGUAGAAAAGGCGGACGAAUAACAUUACUUGCAUCGUUAAACUUCUUUCUAAAAUAGAAAAAGAACAAGUAAAUAAAAUUUAAACCCCCAGUGCAGUAUUUAAAGAUCCUAGCACACAAUAUCAAGGAUACGUACAUAUUUCUUUUUUUGUAACCUCUAUUAAAUCAAUUUUGAAAUGCAACAACAUCAGCCUCGUUUGCUUGCUUGUUAUGCUUGUCAAAAAUAAUGACACCAUCGAAAUACAUAAUUUGUUUUCCAACACCGAUAACAUACAUUGACUGUAGUAUCGGUGUGAGUCUGGGAGCUCUCUUAACUGGAAGGCCCGAUGUUGGGGCGAAAGAAGGAGACCCCUACAUGUUGGAAAACAUUGAAUGUGUUAGCAAAAUUGUAUAAUAUAUUUGUACAGAAAUUAUGUGAUGUGACUGCAUACUUGUGACUUGUACACAAACAUUUGUGACUUGCAACGUGUACGCACGAGUAUAGGAUAAUAACACGUGUAAAAGUGAAAGGUGAUCUGUGAUUAGUGCCCACAUAUUCGGGUCAAUAUGUCAUAUGCGAUAAACUUUUGUGACCCAUAAUAUGUAUGCAUAUAGAUCUUUAAUACCCUUGGUCCUUAUUUAUGGUUUUUGUUGCCACAUCAACCUACUCCUCAAUUCCAGACUCCUUCACCAAACCAGCUAUAAUAACAUUAACCUUCUAUUAUAUUUCUUUAGAUGCAAACAUAUUAGGGAGGUUGAUCACCUUUGAAAUGAUUGGUAUUGAAACAAUCCCAAAGUCGAAAGACGGGGUUGGAGGAAAGUAUGGAUAUUCAAUUUCAUCAACAGGGUCUAUCUUGCCCUUGCCUUUCUUGUCGAUUGUUUGAUAAAUGUCUGUGACCUAAUAUAAAACAAUAUUAAUUAUCAACCUAAAGUAAUAACAACAUAACAGAAUUUUGGUUAUAGAAUUACGUACCUUCUCCUGCUAUGCUGCAACUCAAGGAUUCUGAGCUUCGCUCUUUUCAAUGGUAUUUGCGAAAAUUGCAUACAUCGUACUUGAUAUCAAAGCAGUAACAGAAUCAAAUAAGAAGGUCAUAUCUGGCCAUAUUUCUGUCAUGUCUGAUCGAAUUUUACCUUCAACACGGAAAAGUUGAUCAAUCUUACUGUUCCCAUCUUCUUUUAAAGCUAAUAUUUGUAACUUGAUAUCAUUGAACUGCACUGUUAAUUAUGUAUUCUUACACUAGAAUUCAAUGAUUUGGCCGCACAACUCCUUCCUCAACUGGUCAACCAAUAAAUAGGAAAAAACCCGUGCACAUACGUAUGUGAGAAGUUUGUGACUUUGACAAGACAAUGUGACAUGUGAACAUACAAUUUAGUGACCUAUGACUGGACAGAAAGUAUUAUGUUUAGUUGUCUCUGUGAUCUGUUGCACAUAAGUCAAUUAUUUAUGGAAAUAAGUGUGUGCUCUGUGACUUGUAUGCAUAACCAUGUAACCUAUGAUUGUGACAUAUUAACCAAAAUUUGUGACUUUUUCACAUAAAUGUAUAUCAAACUUACAUCUGAUUGUGGUUCAUCAUAUGCACCUGUGACUGGAUUGAAGUAUGGGUGUCGUGUCCCUCUAGCUUGGUCUAAUAAUAUUACCUCGUUGUGUGCUCUUCGAUCGGUGAGUGAAAAUAGGUAGAUAUCUUAUUCAUUGUUGUUGGUGUAUCGACGAACUUAUCAUCGUCAACGUCACUCGAAUGCCCUUUACAUCCAUCUGUAAUAAUUAACAACCGUGUUGUGGGUUUAUGAGAUUGGACAAGCGUGCUCGUACCUACAUGGACUAGAUCUUCAAAGUUCAAGUCUCUUCGUACGUGUGAUUACAUUGGUUUCUUAUAUGAGACACCACUCAUAUAUGGAGCGGCCAUCUCAAAGUCAAAUGGGACAAUGUAACGUGCUUCAAUCUGCAACAGUGAUAUAAUUGACUAGCAUAUUAGUCAUCUAAGGACACAUUAAUUAUAAGUGUUUGUGACGUAAACAUGUUAAAUGUCAUUAUCAUGUUAGAAAAACUUCAUGUCAUCACAUCAUGUAUGUGGCAUAGAGUUUAUGUGUGUGAUCUCUAAAACAUGUAAUGUCCAAUUCAUAUGUACCUGAAGUGCACAUAUCCGUGACCUUUAAACCACAUGUUAUGUUUUGUGACCAGUAAACUGUGACUACGAUAGCAAACAAAUAACAUUUAAGAACAAAAAAUUUUCACACUUGCGUCAGAAUGGAAGAAGACCUCUUCAGCCAAUUUAGUUGCCGACGGUUGUCUAUACAAUGUCCAGUUCACAACACGAGGGUGCCUUUUCCCCACCAUAUUGGUUACAGGUCUAGUAUGGCUUGAAAUUAAUUCAUAAAUCCAAACUAAAAUGCAAUUAAAAUCAUUUCAGUUUGUAUUGGAGAUUUAUAUGACCAAAACCCUCCUUUAGAGAUUUUAUAGAUAUCUCAAAUAACUCUGUAUUUCUACUGGGGCAAACAUGUAGCUUUCAACCACCUUCUUAUAGGACAUGGAGAACAAGGACGUAAUUAAAUAUAGAAUCUCAAUACUCACAACAUCAUGAUCGUCUUCAUCCGACAAAUAUAAGAAUACAUCACACACAUCUUCAUUUAUAACAAGUUUUAAAUUCCCAAAGUACAUUCCUUUAAUCCUAGAAGGAAUAGUCUCGAGGCUUUUCCAAACGUCUUUACCAUUAUAUAUAAAACCUACAAAAAUCGAACGUGUCUGUUUGCACCCUUGAACCACAUCUCAUUAGAAUUUGGUUGCUUUACCUCCCUCGACAAAAAGUAGUGUAUCAGUUGGAGUUGCACAACAAUUUCAUGGCAAUCCAUGUAAAAGGAAAAACAUAUUUCUGGCAAAAUAACCUUUUGUUCAUUUGUGAACUUUGAUUUGAAAUUUAUCAACACAUUCUUAGUCACAUUAGUUGUAAUUUUACUCGAAGACCAUAGAUCUUCGGGAUCGUGUAAUUCAAUUAUUGCAAACCAUAAUUCAAUUAUUGCAAACCAUUACAAAAGACGUAAACAUCAGUCAAAAAUCUUAAGCAUGCACACAUGCUAAUCGAAACAUACAACACAUUAUUUUAUCUAUGAACAUGAUCAAUGCCAUGUCACAAAACUAAACAUAGUUUAUAAACUGAGACAUAAAGUCAUCACUUCAUACACAAUGGUCACAUUUUGUAUAAAAACCAUAUAAAAAAACAUGGCACACUUUCCAUACAUUUUGUAUGUUUGGUCACAAUCAAUUCGUAGUUCAUACACUUUAAUCACAGAAGUAACUGAAAAUUGGUCAUAAUUUUUAACACAUUCUCUUUACAGUAAACAUAAUGGUCAUACAAAUCAUAGUAAUCGUACAGUAGGUCACAAUUGAAUAUAUCCCCACCAAUAAACCACUACUCCAUUCAAAAUCAAUCAACGAAUUCAAAAAUAAAUUACCUCUAUGCCCAAAUGACUCAAUGGACUAUAAAGAACCCUUACAUUGUAUGAUUUUCUUUUUCGAGAGUCUAUCGGAGUUUUGGAGGUUUCAUCGCGAGCACAUUUUUCGACUUUUGAACUUCUAGUGUUCCGUUGGUGGCUUCCAGAUGGACCGUCAGUUCUAUUGUGACUUCUGGCCACAACUCCUUGUUUUCACCAUUUUCAAACCCCCUGCACCGCCUUCAUUCAACCCAUUUUAGUGACAGCCCUAUUACAUCCUUCAAAUAUCAAGGUUAUAUCAGUAACUUGUGACCCGUGUGUAUGUCAGAAGUUUGUGACUUUGACAGACAAUGUGACAUGUGAACAUACAAUUUAGUGACCUAUGACUGGACAGAAAGUAUCAUGUUUAGUUGUUUUUGUGAUCUGUUACACAUAAGUCAAUUAUUUAUGGAAAUAAGUGUGUGCUCUGUGACUUGUAUGCAUAACCAUGUAACAUACGAUUGUGACAUAUUAACCAAAAUUUGUGACUUUUUCACAUAAAUAUAUAUAUCAAACUUACAUCUGAUUGUGGUUCAUCAUAUGCACAUGUAUCUUGUGACUGGAUUGAAGUAUGGAUGUCAUGUCCCUCUAGCUUGGUCUAAUAAUAUUCCCUCAUUGUGUGCUCUUCGAUCGAUGAGUGGAAAUAGGUAGAUAUCUUAUUCAUUGUCGUUGGUGUAUCGAUGAACUUAUCAUCAUUAACGUCACUCGAAUGCCCUUUACAUCCAUCUGUAAUAAUUAACAACCGUGUUGUGGGUUUAUGAGAUUGGACAGGCGUGCUCGUGCCUACAUGGACUGGAUCUUCAAAGUGCAAGUCUCUUCAUACGUGUGAUUACAUUGGUUUCUUAUAUGAGACACCACUCAUAUAUGGAGCGGCCAUCUCAAAGUCAAAUGGGACAACGUAACGUGCUUCAAUCUGCAACAGUGAUAUAAUUGACUAUCAUAUUAGUCAUAAGGACACAUUGAUUAUAAGUGUUUGUGAUGUAAACAUGUUAAAUGUCAUUAUCAUGUUAGAAAAACUUCAUGUCAUCACAUCAUGUAUGUGGCAUAGAGUUUAUGUGUGUAAUCUCUAAAACAUGUAAUGUCCAAUUCAUAUGUACCUGAAGUGCACAUAUCCGUGACCUUUAAACCACAUGUUAUGUUUUGUGACCAGUAAACUUGUGACUACGAUACCAAACAAAUAACAUUUAAGAACAAAAAAUUUUCACACUUACAUCAGAAUGGAAGAAGACCUCUUCAGCCAAUUUAGUUGUCGACGAUUGUCUAUACAAUGUCCAGUUCACAAUACGAGGGUGCCUUUCCCCCACCAUAUUGGUUACAAGUCCAGUAAGGCUUGAAAUUAAUUCAUAAAUCCAAACUUAAAAUGCAAUUAAAAUCAUUUCAGUUUGUAUUGGAAAUUUAUAUGACCAAAACCUUAGAGAUUUUAUAGAUAUCUCAAAUAGCUCUUUACCCCAGGAAAGUCGUUCUAUCAUGGCAAAAUCUUCUACUAGGGCAAACAUGUAGCUUUCAACCACCUUCUUAUGGGACAUGGAGAACAAGAAGGACGUAAUUAAAUAUAGAAUCUCAAUACUCACAGCAUCAUGAUCGUCUGCAUCCGACAAAUAUAAGAAUACAUCACACACAUCUUCAUUUAUAACAAGUUUUAAAUUCCCAAAGUAUGUUCCUUUAAUCCUAGAAGGAAUAGUCUCGAGGCUUUUCCUAACGUCUUUACCAUUAUAUCUAAAACCUACAAAAAUCGAACGUGUCUGUUUGCACUCUUGAACCACAUCUCAUUAGAAUUUGGUUGCUUUACCUCCCUCGACAAAAAGUAGUGUAUCAGUUGGGGUUGUACAACAAUUUCAUGGCAAUCCAUGUAAAAGGAGAAACAUAUUUCUGGCAAAAUAACCUUUUGUUCAUUUGUGAACUUUGAUUUGAAAUUUAUCAACACAUUCUUAGUCACAUUAGUUGUAAUUUUACUCGAAGACCAUAGAUCUUCGGGAUUGUGUAAUUCAAUUAUUGCAAACCAUUACAAAAGACGUAAACAUCAGUCAAAAAUCUUAAGCAUGCACACAUGCUAAUCGAAACAUACAACACAUUAUUUUAUCUAUGAACAUGAUCAAUGCCAUGUCACAAAACUAAACAUAGUUUAUAAACUGAGACAUAAAGUUCAUAGUUUAUAAACUGAGACAUAAAGUCAUCACUUCAUACACAAUGGUCACAUUUUGUAUAAAAACCAUAUAAAAAAACAUGGCACACUUUCCAUACAUUUUGUGUGUUUGGUCAUAAUCAAUUCGUAGUUCAUACACUUUAAUCACAGAAGUAACCGAAAAUUGGUCACAAUUUUUAACACAUUCUCUUUACAGUAAACAUAAUGGUCAUACAAAUCAUAGUAAUCGUACAGUAGGUCACAAUUGAAUAUAUCCCCACCAAUAAACCACUACUCCAUUCAAAACCACUCAACGAAUUCAAAAAUGAAUUACCUAUAUGCUCAAGUGACUCAAUGGACUAUAAAGAACCCUUACAUUGUUUGAUUUUCUUUUUCGAGAGUCUAUCAGAGUUUUGGAGGUUUCAUCGCGAGCACAUUUUUCGACUUUUGGAUUUCUGGUGUUCCGUUGGUGGCUUCCAGAUGGAUCGCCGGUUCUAUUGUGACUUCCGAUCGCAACUCCUUGUUUUCACCAUUUUCAAGCCCCCUGCACCGCCUUCAUUCAACCCGUUUCAGUGACAGCCCUAUUACAACCUUCGUUCUUAUCGCUUCGUUCUUCUCACUUCGCGUACGAAAUGAUACUUGUUUUGUAUUGUGAUAAAGUAGUCGAAGGUUGCUUGAGUUUAAUGAAGAACGGUUUCUAGGAUUUGGGUAAGGACCGAUUUACGUCGAUUGAUCAUGGGAGAUUGUGCAUUGCGGUUAAGCGGUUUCAAAAGAUAUUGUUGCCUUAUUUAAAAAUUUUCUCUUUCCAGUUUUAACGUAAAAAGGGGAAUGGUUACAGUUAAUAAAUAUAUUAAAAUCUUAAUAAAUAAUAAAUUGGGACCUAAUUUUAUAUUAAGAAACUUAAUUCCUUACUAAUGAAAAUUGAACUUAAAAUGCCGCUCUGGCUAUAAUUUUUAUGUAUUGUUCCUUUUUUCUUUUAAAUAUUUGGACUCGUUGCAUAGUUCAAUUUGUUGGGAUGGACAUGUUAUUCUUUUGGGCCACUUUUAAAUAUUUCUUAUUACAAAUGUGUGAAAUGGGCUAUAUCUACUAUUUUCUUUGGGCCUAAACUAAAUUAAAAUUUAUUUUUCCAGAGCUAUUGUCCGCCACGACAAAUUGUGAAAGCCAUGUGAAAUUGUGGUACUGUAAUUCUUGAUGAUGACUUAGAUGGACUACAAAUUUUAUUCAUGCUAAAAUAAUUAUUUUUGCAAGUGCACGUUAGGUGUUCAACAAAUUGCCUAGCUUGUAAUUUCCAAUUUAAAGAUUUCAGCUUCCUAGCAUGGAAAUGUGAAUUUCACUUCUUGAUUUGGCAUGGCUACAAACUCCUAGGAACACUGGGAAUUCUUAUGCGACACGUGAAGUGGUUGAUGAAAUGUCUCCCAAAAGUACCAAAAACAGUUCAAGAUGAGACUUCAUCUUGUAGUUUCAUUAUCGUCUAGCAGAACUAUAAGGCCUCGCCUUUUUGGGCAAGCUUUUAAGUCUUCGAUAGUUCAAGACAAGCCACCAGCUAGAUAUUUAUUUUGUACUCUACAAGAUACAUCAUCACACGAGAUGGUUAUACUUACGUCUCUAUGAUACAAACUAAUGAGGCAAUAGUAGCUAAAAAAUCCACAUGAGAUUUAUUCAAACCCAAGAAAGCCAAGAAUUGAAGUUUAGAGUUUGAUCAAAAAUAUUGAACCAAGAAACCAAUAGAAUUACUGACAAUAUGUUGACCCUCUGAUCACAAGAUUCAAGAAUCUCAUCCGGAUUGUUUGAAAGCUCUACUUGAUAAAUUAUUGAACCAAAGAACCAAGACAAUAGCUUGACCCAGUUAUCACAAAACUUAAGAAUCUUACUUGAUUUGUUGAACGCCACGAAGAGUAUGAAUCUUUGAUAAGUUUGGAUAGUUUAAACGCCACAAAUAUUGAAAAUAUUUGAUAAGUUUUAUUCAAUUCAGAACAAGAUAGAAAGUGAAAAAUUCUGCAUAUGAUUAAUUCUCAAAAACUAAUAUCUUUAUAGUGUAAUAAAUGUGCCUUUUAUAGGCAUAAAAUAAACUCCUAAACAAAACAAAGCUCUAAGUCUAAAGACAAAUCCAAAUAAACUGGAAAACUACAAAACAAAUCUGAAUAAAACUAAAAUACUACAAAUAACGAAAAUACACUUAAACUAAUCCAAAACAUAAAAAUGCAAAAAUAGAUUCCUAAACAAACAAAUUUGACCCUUGAAACUUGACAAAGAUGCUUCCAGAUUGUACUUAUUGACAACAAUUCGACAAUUGAGCUGAAAGUUAUACGCAUUUUUGUACAUCCUGUGUGUUUUCACACAUACUUCAUAUUUCUUCCAAUUUCUAAUUAGAUUGGGAUCUUCUAUUCUAAUUGAUUCGUAUCACUCUGGAACAUGCAAUGGAUCCUUGUUGGCUUUCCCUCUAUGAUUCUCAUCAUUUCCUCUCGUCGAGAAGAUUCGUCUUCGAAUCUUAACAUUGUAAUUGAAUAUGUUUUUCAUCUGGAACUUUCUUCACCUUUUUUUCACUCAAUGCUUUCGCCCAGGUGCUUCAAAGAACGAAUUCUGACUCAUCCAAGUUUUAUCCUCAAAGAAUUCAAACUAGGUUGUGAGUGAGAAUUUGUAAUUUAGAAGACUCAAGAAAGAAAGAAAAGAAACAAGCAAAGGAAUUUGGACAUUUUUCGAAUGGAAACAAUAUUAAUUCAAGAAGGUGAUUCUUAAAUUCUGGGUUGGCCGGACUGAUUUAUAUAUGUGCGUGUGUAUUCUUUUUUCUUUUUUUCGUUUUUCUUUGACUCAAAUAUUAUGAAAUUGUAUGUUGAAGGUAAUUUUAUUUUAUUUUUUUGAAUUUUUUACUUUUUUCAUAUUUUUUUGCUUGAAAAUUCAACUAUAAUACUAACGAAAGAAAUGAAAAUUGAUUUGGAUGCUAAAUGAGCACAAAAAUGAAUUUAAAAUUUUUUUUGGUGCUUUUAUGAUUAAAGACUCAAGACGGACGAAGAACACAAAGAACAAAAGAAAAAAUAAAAGACUCAAACCAAAAAAAAAAAAAAGGAUAUAACCUUGAUUUUUGAAGCUCAAACUCUGAUAUCAAUUUAUGCAAACCCAAGUAGCAAUAGUAGCUACGAAAUCCACAUGAGAUUCAUUCAAACCAAGAAAACUAAGAAUCAAUGUUUAGAGUUUGACCAAAAAAUAUUAAACCAAGAAACAAACAAAAUUAUCGAUAAUAUGUUGACCCCUUGAUCACAAGAUUCAAGAAUCUCAUCCGUCUUAUUUGAAAGCUGGACCCAAUAAAUUAUUGAAUCAAAUAACCAAGACAAUCGCAAAUAAUAUCUUAACCCCUUGAUCACAAAACUUACGAAUCUUACUUGAAUUGUUGAAUGCCAUAAAGAGUAUAAAUCUUUGAUAUGUUUCGAUAGUUUAAACACUACAAAUAUUGAAAAUAUGUUAUAUGUUCUGUUCAAUUAAGAACAAGAUAAAAAGUGAAAAAAUUCACGUAUAAUUAAUUCUCAAAAAUUGAUGUCUUUAUUGUACAAUGAACGUGCCUUUUAUAGGCAUAAAAUAAACUCUUAAUCAAAACAAAACUCUAAUUCUAAAGACAAAUCUAAAUAAACUACAAAACAGAUAUGAAUUAAAAUAAAAUACUACAAAUUGAAAAUACCCUUAAACUAAUUCAAAACGCAAAAAAAGACCCCUAAACAGCCUAAUUUGACCCUUAGAGUUUGAUAAAAUCAUUGGACAAACUUGUAUAGAAUCAAUAAAAUUUCUAGAUUGUACUCAUUGUACAUUCUGUGGGUUUCACGCAUACUUCAUAUUUCUUCCAAUUUUUAAUUGGUUUGGAAUUUUCUUUUCUAAUUGAUUUAUAUAAUUGUGGAACAUACAAUGAAUUCUUGUUAGGGCUGGGCAAAUCUUCCGAACCGAAUCGAUCCGAACCCGAACCGAAUCGAUCCGAACCCGACAGUUCUUGUCAAAUUAAAUACCCGAACGGGUAUCUGAAUUGAGAACCGACGAGUACGGUUCGAUUCUAGACCAAGAACCGAAGAACCGAAUAAGAACCGAAUAUUUCUAAUUUUUUAUUUUUUUUAUAUUGAGUAAAUCAAAUUAUUUUAUUUUUAAUUUUUUCUAAACAAAUUAACAAAUCAAUGAUUUCUGAAUCCAAAUUUUUGGCCCAAUAAUUUGUUUCAUUUCUAAUUUUUUAAUUUUUGGCCCAAUUACCCAUUUUAUUGUUUCAUUUCUUAGCCAAACAAGAUCAAAUCCACUAAAUAACCCUAAACACCUACAAUAAAGUGCAUAACAUUGUCUCGACUCUCGCAGCCUCGCUAAUAUUCCAAAACUUAUACAAUCGUCGGCCGACACUCUGACCUCCGAUUGAAGCCGUGACUUUCGUCGAUCGAAGUUUUGAUCGUAGCGAUCAUUUGAACAAGGUAGUUUACUAGUCUCUGACAUUCCAAAACUAUUGAAUGUAUCAUUAGUCGUAUUUAUAUAAGAUUGUUAUAAAUGUUAAAAAAUUUAAUUAUAGUACCGAACUGAACCGAAUGGAACCGAACCCGAAUGGUUCCAUAAUUAUAUUUGGAUCCGACAGUUCCAUUUACUAGAUACCUGAAAAGUUUGGUUCGGUUCGGUUCUGCACCCACCCCUAAUUCUUGUUAGCUUGCCUUCCAUGAUUCUCAUCACUCGAGCACAUAAUUCUCACUAUUGUUGAGCACAGCUAUAAGAUCUCGUCCAUCUUAUAAGUCUAUACUAGUUCUAGAUGAGCCACCAGCUCGAUGUUUAUUCAUCUCUCUAUGAGGUAUAGAGAUGAUUAUACUUAUGCCGCUAGCAUUAUCAUUAAAGAUAGCUAGAAAACCUUAACCAUCCGAGGCCAGCUUAUAUGUCGCUAAUAGUUCGAGGUAAGCCACUAGCUCGAUUUUUAUUCUCUACUCUUUAAGAUACCUCAUUAUACAAAAUGCUCAUUCCUCGCUUCAUGGUAUACUGUUCAUUGUUUUGCUACAUAUAAAUAUUUUUGCUUCAUGGGAUUUGUAUUCUCUAGCCUCACCAUAUCUCCAUGCAAGGUAAGUUAUUUGCUUCCAAUGCAUGUACGAGUCAUCUAUACAAUCCCUUGUAUCAUAGCUAUAACUCAUCACUUUUCUACAUCAAUUACAUCACACAGUUGCAUUUAUCUUCAAGAGCUCAUCACACCUCCACAUCAGUUACAUCACAGCUAUAGCUAUUUUCAAAAAAUUCAUCAUGACUAAGCAACAUCUUUAUUCCAACCGUCUUUUUUAUGUUGCUUUGGCACAAACGAAGACAGCCUUAUAUCUUUCUUACCAUGGACAGAACAUAUCCAUGCAAGUCAUUCUUAAACGAGAUCACCCAAUCAAAGGUGCUUCACCAAUCAACUAUUUUCCUAAGUACACCUACUUAGUCAAGCAUCUAUUCUCCUAAGCUCAUUAUCUUAGUUGACCCUCUAUUCUCCUAAGUGCAUCUGCUUAGAUGAAUCACUAUUUUCCUAUUUGUAUCUACCUAGUCGAGCCUAUAUUCUCCUAAGCAUAUCUAAUUAGUCAAGCAUUUAUUCUCCUAAGUGAAUUCAUUUAGUCGAGCCACUAUUAUUCUAAGUGUACCCACUUAGUCAAGUCUCUAUUUUCUUACACCCACUUUGUUGAGCAUCUAUUCUCCUAAGUGCACUCAUUUAGUCGAGCCUCUAUUUUGCACGUCCACUUAGAUGAGCCUCUAUUCUUCUUAAUGCAUCCACUUAAUAGAGACUCAACUGCUUAUAUUUAGAGCAUCACCUUUAUAUCAGCUCCAACUUAGCUACUUAUCUUUAGAGCUUAGCCUCUACCAAAAAGUUCACUUAUUAAAUGAAUAUUCAUAAAUGGACUUGAAGGACUAUUGUGAUACUAUCAUCCUAGUAGCAUUACAUUGUUACUGUUAGCACAUGCAUUGUAUUAUUGCUAGCAUGUCAUGAUGCUAUUUUCACUAUCGUCAGUAUGCAUGCCACAUUAUCUAUAUUACUAUUUUAUGAUCGGUAGCAUGUAACUUUCUUCACAUGUACUAAGCUGUGCAUGUUUAUGAUCCACUACGAUAUAUGAUAGGCUCUUUAUAUGUUAUAGUUUGGAGAAAUUUGAUUUGCUAUAAUUUUCUUUAUCGUCAUGAGCAUUUUGAGGAACAACGGGCCCUAGUUUAUUUUGUAUAUGUGAGUAGAGAUAUUAUAUUAUAUUUCAAGUAGGUGUAGUUCAUAUUUUAGAGGAGAUGCUGUCGAAAUUUUGGUAAAUCAUAUUGUGGUAUUUCAGAGGUAGUUCUUAAGCCCCCACUUAUUGGAUUUGCUCAUUUUUAGAGGCUAUAUGUAAGCCUUCAUAUUUUGGAGAAUACUGCAACUCUUCAUGUGCUCACAACAACUCAUAUUUUUUAUGCAAUUUGUAAGCCCUCCUAGUUGACAGCUUAUAUUUUAAAGUCUAAUCCAUACUUGAAUGUACAACUCAAUCUUGGAGAGCAUUGUCUAUAAAUUAAGUGGCAUGCACAUAAUGGAUGGGUCCCACAUUUACCGACUCAACAAUCAAUUAUGUCCAAUGGAUAGGGCCGAUUUAAUUAAACAUCAUGUCCUUGUACUUACUCCCAGUUCAAUAGUCCAUCUUUGCCCAUUUUCUUCCCUUAUAUAGGUGAGUUCAUUUCUCACACAAGUUAAGGUUAUUCUAACCUUAGCCAAAUCCUCUUCUCCCAUCUCUUGCACUCAUUCUCUUUGAUUCAAUCAUUGACUUAAGCAUCAAAGUAUAAAUGGUUAUCGAACAUUUUCUCGAUCAUUGACCUUUGCCUCCUAAUUGUGUGUUCCAACAUAUAGGAGGUAACUCUAUAGAGGAAAGGUGGUGGGGAUUCUGUUAGCCACGUAUCGGUUGGAUUUUGAGGUCAACAUAGAAUCACGUUUUCCCAAUUGAUAUCUUUUUCUUGUUUGCUGAUUUUUGUCAAGUGUGUUGAAUGACCUAGAGACAUGGCUAUAGCUAGAAGAACAAACUUUUUUGAGGACGAGAACUCCUAUCAAAUGACAUUGUCCCGUUGAGUUCAGACGUCGUCCUGUUAUAUGAUCAGGAUCCGAUAGAUGGAAAUCUUCUUCCUUCAUCACAAGUAUGUAUUGUAUAUAACUUAUUUCAACUCCAAUUUUACGUUCAACAAUGUAUAGCAAAAAUAUGGGUGUUUAAUUGCUUGUUAUUUUUUUUUUUAUCUGUUAGGUAUUGAAGUGGCUGAGAGAUGUGCAUAUUAUGGAAUAAUAUGAAUUGAUAAGUUGUUUGAUGCAUCCACUAGGGUAGAGAAUGCAAAGGAAUGACGACAUUGUUUUUGCCACUAUUGGCUAAUUUUGUGGAUGACUCUUUUCUUGGUCGCAACUAGACUAUCUAUUAUCGUAUCUCUAGACUCUAUAUUGUGGUCAGCCGAAAAAGCUCACACCAAUGCCCCAGGAUAUAAUUAUUAGCUAAAUAUAUAAUUUCUCUUCUGAUAUUUUAAAUUAAAUUAACUUGGUGCUUAUAACUACUUAGUACCCUUUCCUAUACGUCGGUUUACUUAUAAUAACUAUAAUUGGAAUAGACACCCUUCUAGAAAUGAUCCUCGACAAAGAUGGUUGAUAGACCAAGGAGGCUACUUCUAGAUGUUUAUUGUGAGGUCACAUUGCUUGAAGCAGUGGUUCUUGCUAAUGACAGUUUUGAAAGGAAGGAUAAAAUGUAACGAUUCUAUUACGUUCUGCAUCUCUAAGUUAAAACUUAGCUCUUGAACAUAUAAUCAUCUAAGUACUCUCCUAUAGUAAACUCACUUUAAGGAUGAGUUUUAACUGAUGCGAUUGUAACAUUAUUUGAUUUGACAUAGGAUAAGGUGGAAACUUAUUAAUUUGUAAAAAGCAUAAAAUUUGAACAGGUUUGAUUCAUUUGGUUUUUCUUUUGCAUCGUGAUCAAUAAAAUCUCACAGGUACCCAAGUAAUAAAGAAUGAGUAAAAUAUUGUUUCCAUGAAUAUUAAGUACUUAAUCUACUUUCUAGCUAACGCCAAAUAUAAUUGAAUAGCAAUAUUAGUUUGUGGAUGAGUUUUAUACUAACAAUCUAAAUUUUAUUGUAAAUUAACUAUUCUAACUGAUUAAUGUGGAAGUAUUUUGAAACUCAAGUAAAUGGAUAAAUACUAAGACCUUGAAUAUUCCUACAUACUUCCUUUUUAAUAUCAAUUCAAAAUUUAGACAAUGGGUGAUGCUAACAUAUAUCAAGGUGUCCAUAAUGGUGUCCUCUCUCUCACAUGGAGAAGACCCACCUUGAAUAAAUAUAAUUUAUCUAAAGUGAGUCCCAUUUCAUGUGAGGGGGCGGACACUAUUAUGGACACCGCAUUGCGUACAAGUAGAAUAUUCUUUAGACAAUACAUAUUUUGAUAUGAGGAUCAAUAUUCUUAAUUCAUUUAAUAAUCUCUCUCGAACCGAAGUAAGCAUAUCAAUGUAUAUAUGGCCUUCAUAUCUCUUGAUGAAAGAUAUGCUCAUGAGAAUCAGAAAAAACAAGGACCGUUACUGUGUGUCAAAUUUCUAUCCAUUCUAAUGAAUGUCAAUAAAAAUCACAAAACAAUUCAAUUAGUAACUAAUUAAUUGAAAAGCAUUAAGUACUAACAAUUAUUCCAAACCAAACAUAUAUUUUAAUGUCAAAAUUUUAAAAAAUCUAUCAAACCUUCAAAAGUAGGGUUCAAUGUUAUCCUAGCAUAACAAUUAGUCAAGCAUCAAAUUAAUUACAAGUACACAAAAUAAUUGAUGCAACAUCAUCCAAAAUUUAAUAAUCAGAAAGAAUAUGAAAAAUAAUCUUGAAUAUUGUAUCUCUUCAAUUGCAUUUUUAUUUUUCCUUUCUCUCUUUUGAUUCUUCUUCUUCUUUUUCAAUCCAAGAAGUCAAUGUAUUAAAAAUAGGUUUGAAUGUGAUUUGUAUAAAGUUUCUACAAAAUUUGGAAAGAGUUUGAGUUUAUGAAUCAAAAGCUUCCUCUUUGGAUCUCUUGUAUGAAGGAACUAUAGAUUUGAAACCCUAGGAGCUAAUCCUUACAAGUGUAAUAAAUUGCACUAAGAUGUGUAUUUAUAAAGUCAAUAUUUUGGUCUUAUUUUUUGUCCUUAGGAUUUGAAAUUUUAGUCAUAAUAGGAAUGUCGGGUUGCUGAAUUUUAAUUCAGGGACUGCCUUGGGAUUGCACCAUAGUAUUGGACGUGAACAAACAAUCUAACAAAAUUGGGACUGCUAUUUAAAUUUUCAUAGUUGCGAUCGUAGAGGUCAUUGAUUUCCAUUUGUUCAUUUUGAUCCUUAAACAAUAAUUUUGGUUCUUAUCCUCGAAUAUUGCAUGAAAUGCCCUUUGUGCUUCAAUAGAUCUAGGUAAGGUAUACGAAGAAAAAGCUUAUUUGACAUUGUUGAGAAUGAAAUUUACAAAAGAGAUUUGUUUCUCAACAAACAAGCCACAAAUACAACAGGUCAUUCCCUAAAUAUAUUUGAAUUACUCUUUGAAGUUUUUAACUGGUUUCGUGUGGUUAUUUACUAAAAUCGCCCUUUGGAGAGGAAUGAUGGAUUGUUAGUGUGGACGAUUUAGAAGAUAUAAUCAAGUUUAGUUCUACCCAAUGUAGUCCCCUGCAUUCUUAAAUAAUUAAUUAUUGAACCGAAGGAAGUUUCGAAAUUUUUUCAAUUUAGUUCUCAAACUUUUUAUUUGUUGUCGAAACUUGUUACUCACCUUUGAUUGCCCCCCUUAAUACUUCCAAAUGACCAAUUUCAAUCUGGUUGAUCAUCAAGCACUUUGAAUCAACUUCAAUUAUACUCCAUUUCACCUAUUUCACACUAAUUUCUUCCAAAUUUAGGGUUUAUCGACAAUUAAUAUAAUUUAACCUAACAUUAAGUAAAUGUUCACUUAAUUAAUCAUAAAUAAUUAAAUGAAGAAGCCAUAAUAUGCACUUAUCACCCCACUUGAGAUAUGUGAUUUGACACAUCUUAUAUUUGUUUCUUUAUGUUUUCAAUUUAUUAUUUCAAAGAAAUAUAUUUUAAAAAUUGUGAGAAAUUCAUCAGUGUCCAAUAAAGGGACUCUUGUAGAAUAAAGUUCAACGCAAAAAGUAAAAUAUCUAGGAUCAGCUAGUUGUAGAUGGAGUAUGAAAUAGAUAUUUUAUUGGAAUUAUAUCUAUAAUUGUCAUUUUCAGAGGAAUAGGAUUGAUACUUUGUUACCAUAAAAAUCUUGGAUCGAUGUUGAAAAUUUAAUAUGUCAAUUUCAUUCGGAUUCUUCAAUAAAUGCCAAGAAUUUUGGAGAAAAUUCUAUAUUUUAUUUUUCAAUUUCUUCAAAUUCUAAAAAUUACUCUCUUGGUCCCUAAGCUCCUAAUAUAAAAUUGUACUUUAAUUAAAUAAAACACAUUUAGACUUUAAUUAAAUUAAUCAAAUAAAGCCGACACAAUAUCACUUGUACUUCAUCACCGGCAGGGCUCAAGAUUGAAGGUUCCAAAGGCUUCAAAAUCUAUUUGACAAAUUAACGUAAUUGUAAUUGGUUAUUUACACGCAUCCCAGAUUGUGAAAUGGAGUUGACACUUGAUCAUUUCGGUGGUUUUAAUUUUUUUUAUUUUUUAAUGUUGAUCACGUUACAUUUUGUCCUAGGAACGUAUGUUCGUUUUCUUCCUUUGUUUUGCUCAAGGAUUACAAUUAUCUCGUGCCUAAUUAAUUACAUACCAAUUAUUGAUAACGGUUUGACUUGGCUAAUUCAUAAACCAUUUAAAAGUUGGUAGCCAAACGUCCCAUGAAUUUAUUUAACCUUCUCAGUUUUGAAAACAAUAAAAAUAGUAUUAGAUCAUUAGCGAACAAAUAAAGAUGCUAUUUUUCUAAAGAUUACGUUUUCUAGUAUGUUUAGAUAUUGAGUUGGGACACAAAAUUAUGAUUGUAAUAUCAAGUGUGAAGUUAUAUCCUUCAAAAAUAAUUGUCAUUUCCCUAACGCGUGAGAGUUCCAUGUCUCAUUAAACAGUUUCUAUCCUCUAGAGACCAACAAUCGUAACUUGGGGACCUUGUUGCUAUAUUUUGAAAAGGCUGGGUAUCAAAGUUGUAAUUUUCCCUAAAUUUCAAAUUAUUCCAUGAGCCAUUUUUGACUGAGCUUCAAGCGAAUCACACCUGCGCAUGUAUAGCUAUAAAAUACUCCAUUGAUGGAGCUUCAUGCAAAACUUUUUAUGUCUGACUUGAAGUGGACGAACACAAUCACAUCAAAAUCCAUAUUUAAAGGAAAAAAUGAAUUCUUUUAAACUUUUUGUGUUAUGAAUGUAAUCAGAAUAAUGCCCUGUUUUUCCGAUUGCAAUCUCUUUCAUGUUUACAAAUUUAUGCCAACUGUGGAGGUUAUUGACGUUCAUAUAUAUAACUGUUUGAAAGACUUGACGCUUGCGUGUGAAAGUAGAUUGAAGUUGAAGAACAGUCACAUCAAUUCAAUUGCUUGCUCCGUUUUUAAAUAAAUCUACUGGAUGUUGAGCUCUAGAGAUAUGGCCAUGCCCGCCGCCGGAACCCACUUUUUGGAUGCCGAAACUCUGCUGUUGAACAGCGUUGUUCAUGGCUCCGUCGACUUCAAAGACUGCCCUGUUGCUCGAUCCAUAUCCGGUGGUUGGAAGUCCUCUUUCUUCAUCAUCGGUACUGUAUAUGUUACCCAAUUUACCAUUCAGAAGGUUGCAGCACUUUUGACAGUAUUUUAUUUAUAUUUUGGAUUAGUUAGGUGUUGAAGUGGCUGAGAGAUUUGCAUACUGUACAGGAAUCAGAUCGAAUUUGAUAAGCUAUUUGACAGGUCCGUUGGGACAAUCAACCGCAGCUGCGGUGGAGAAUGUGAAUGGUUGGUCCGGCACGUCCAUGAUUUUGCCACUGGUGGGUGCUUUUGUGGCGGAUUCUUUUAAACAUAACUAAAUAGAAUAAGGCAGUGUUUGAUAGCAUGAAAUUACGUGAAAAUGGAAUUCUAAUUUCAUCUUUUUCAUUUUUUUGUUGUUUGGUAGCACAAUUAUUUUCAUGAAAUUUCAAUUCUUGAUUGUCUUGAAAAGUGUGGUUUUCUAUGUUUUCAUGGACCACCAUGGGAAUUGGUUUUCCCGGUACGGUAGCAAUUUUAUUAUUAUUAUUAUUAUUAUUAUUUUGGAUAAUGGAAACAAAUUCUAAGAAUUACUGUUAAAAAAUAUUUCCUUUUAAUUGACAACUUUCAUGUAAAACAAAGUCAAACGAUCACUCAAAGAUAGCUGAAUUUCUUGAAUAUUUUUUUUUUUUGCAAUGGAAACCAAUUUCAUUUCCAAUAUCAGUAAAUUUCAUCCAUUUAAUUGACAAUUUUCAUAUAAAAUAAAGCCAAACGAAUAUCAAAAAACACUUUUAUUUCAAUAUUUUUCACGUGGAAAAUUAUAUCAAUCAAACACAAUAAUUUACAAUUCCCAAAAAAAUAAAUUUUAGACAAUUCAAUUUCCUGGAAUUCGUUUUCAAUUCAAUUCAAUUCCAUCUUUAUAAUCAAACGAAUUCUAAGAAAUUUAUCCAAGUCUAAUUCUAUCAAAUCUCAGCUUCCACCCAACUAGGAUUGUAUUCAUGGUGUCUUAUCCAAAUCUACUCAUGUUUACUUUACUGAAUACACAAUUAUUGAAGGCGCAUGUCUCCUCCACUAAAAAUAUGGGUGUUAAAAAAAAAGAUUCCAUAUGUUUUCGUUCUAUCAUUGGAUUAUAUACGAUAUUAUCAAGCCCACUUGCACAUUGACAGGAGCUUUUAAGCAUGCUUUAAGACGUACGUAAACUCUGGAUCCUCCUCUACAUGGAUAACAUUAUUCUGAAAAAAUCCAAGGAAAAAAGAAAGAUAAACGAAACCCACCUUUUGGAUGCCGAAACUCUGCUGUUGAACGACGUUGUUCAUGGCUCCGUCGACUUCAAAGGCUGCCCUGUUACUCGAUCCACAUCUGGUGGUUGGAAGUCCUCUUUCUUCAUCAUAGGUACAGUAUAUGUUACCCAAUUUACCAUUCGAAAGGUUACAGCAUUUUUAGCAGUAUUUUAUUUAUAUUUUGGAUUUGUUAGGUGUUGAAGUGGCUGAGAGAUUUGCAUACUGUGGAAUCAGUUCAAAUUUGAUAAGCUAUUUGACGGGUCCGUUGGGACAAUCCACCGCAGCUGCGGCGGAGAACGUGAAUGGUUGGUCCGGCACGUCGAUGAUUUUGCCACUUUUGGGUGCUUUUGUGGCGGAUUCUUUUCUUGGUCGGUACUGGACCGUUGUCAUUGCCUCUGGGCUCUAUAUCCUGGUCAGUACACGAAUCAUUCACUAAUAUAUAGUUUCUGUUUUGAGCUUUAAAAUUAUGUAAUGCCCUACCAUUUUUGGCAACUGGGAGUGACUCAUGCUGGCCAAAGCAUGUACUCCCCAGGUUUCCACUUCGUGUGACACAAGUCUUUAUUUUUUUAUCUACACUUUUCCGAGAUUUAUAAUGCAUGCUCUUUGUACCAGUGACUACCCCUGUAACAUAAGAUGCAAGCUGCCAAUUCAAUAUAAUCAGCUACUUUAUGGUUAGAUACCUUAAAUUGAGUUUCACAAUAAGAAAAAUGUAGAAGUCCAGUUCUUAUUCAAAAUAUAUGUGGCUGAAUGAUUCUCAAAGGUUUUGAAGAAUCAUGAAACCGUUUGAGAAAAUGACAAUUUUCUUCCUCACAAAUAAUUUCUGGUAAAUUCAUUUGUAUUUAGAAAGCUUUCCUUGGAACAGAGAGCCAAGGACUUAAAAUUGAACAGUUGUCACAGUCACUUCAUCAACACACAGUCUUUCUUUUCUUUUAGCUAACAACAUUUGUGAACAUGUUUUCUUCUUGGAAAUUCUAAUCGUUUUCUGUUAUCAUUAUGGAUCUCAGGCACUUGGCUUCUUAUCCCUAUCUGCUGUUCUAUAUUCAAUCAAAUCUUCCGACUGCCAUUUUGCUGCAAAUAACAUCGCCGCAUGCUCCCCUCCACAGUUUCAAAUUAUUUUCUUCUUCUUCUCUUUGUAUUUAUUUGCACUAGCACAAGGAGGACAUAAACCUUGUCUCCAGGCUUUUGGAGCUGACCAGUUUGAUGAUCUAGACCCAAAGGAAUGUAAUGACAAAAGCUCAUUCUUCAAUUGGUGGUAUUUUUCCAUGAAUUUGGGUAUUAUAAUUUCUCUGUUUGUAUUGAUCUACAUCCAAGACAACCUAAGUUGGGCUCUUGGCUUUGGAAUUCCCUGCAUUAUCAUGUGCCUUGCGCUAAUUAUAUUUUUGCUUGGAACUAUGACUUACCGAUUUCGCACACACAGCGAUGAAAGAAACCCAUUUGUUAGAAUUGGUCAGGUAUUCCUGAAUGCAUCUAGAAAUUGGCGGACUACCCCAGGAACAAUAUCUAAGGAAGAGGAGGCACAGGGAAUUCUGCCAUAUCAAGGAUCUCAACAGUUCAAGUAAGUCAACUGCCCCUUUGUGUGUUUUGAUAUUGGGAAGAUAAACUUUGACUCUUCAUCUCGCACGGUGAGGCCGAAAGAAAAGGAGUCCCAUUUAACCAAGUGAAGUGGGCGUAAAAGGUAAGUAGCAAUUAGGGCAUAGUAAUGAAUCAAGUAAGGGCCCACACAUGAUAAAUGGGCUACCAAGUGAAUUACUUCUCACUGGCCGUCCAAGUAAAUGGAAAUGGGCCAUGAGCAGCACUAAAUAAAUUUGGAUGAUUCAAAUGGCCCAAUUAACCUUUGGGUUAGGUUAUCUCGAUUAUGGUGCUAAUUUACCAUUCAGUCAUUUGGUGGAGUUAAUUGAGAAUUAAAUCCAGUCAACAUCAUAGCCCGGGAGGUUGUUUGACAACAAUUUGCCCAACACUGUGCUUUAUAUGAUUGAAAUAAUGGGAUCAAUCUCAUUUGUUUCGUUAUAUUAUUUUUGGUUUCAAACAGGUUUCUUGAUAAAGCGUUGCUUGCACCUGAUGGUUCGAAGGAAGAUGGGGAAGUUUGUAGUAUCACUGAGAUUGAAGAGGCAAAGGCAGUUCUUAGGCUUUUUCCAAUAUUGACUGCAAGUUUGGGAUAUGCCAUUGCAUAUUCACAAUCAUCGACUUUAUUCACUAAACAAGGAGCUACAAUGGAUCGUUCUAUCACGUCUAGCUUACAAAUACCAGCUGCUUCACUGCAAUCUUUUAUCAGCAUCGCCAGUGUUGUCUUUAUUCCUAUCUAUGACCGAAUUUUGGUUCCUAUUGCAAGAGCUAUAACUGGAAAACCAUCUGGCAUUACAAUGCUUCAACGAAUUGGAACUGGAAUGUUUUUAUCUUUUCUUGCCAUGGUAAUUGCAGCUUUGGUCGAGAGGGAACGUCUAAAAACAGCUGCUGAAUAUGGAUUGGUGGACAUGCCGAAAGCAACAGUGCCUAUGAGUGUGUGGUUGCUGCUACCUCAGUAUUUGGCUUUAGGUGUUGCAGAUGUAUUUACCGUGGUCGGACUCCAAGAGUUCUUCUAUGACCAGGUUCCGAACGAGCUGAAAAGUAUCGGUCUUGCUCUAUACUUGAGUAUAUUUGGCAUAGGGAACUUCUUGAGCAGUUCUCUAAUCUCUGUGGUGGAGGAAGCCACCAGUGGUCCGGGGCAAGACAGUUGGUUUUCAGACAACCUUAACCGGGCUCAUUUUGACUACUUCUAUUGGCUACUGGCUGCGCUUAGUGCUGCUGCAUUCUCUGCGUACGUGUACGUUUCAAAAUCUUAUAUCUACAAUAGAAGAAACUGUCUUUGAAGUUGCAUUCUGUGGUGGAGAUAGCUACUAGUGGCCAAGGUUGAAAAGAUUUUCUUAUCGGCUACUGGCUGGGCUUAGUGUUACUGCUUUCGUUGGAUACUUGUACUUCACAAAAUCUUGUAUCUAUAACAAAAAUAAACAGGAUUUGAAUUUGCAUAAAAAUGCUGCCAGGACAAAUAUGGUCAGUAAAAGAGAAAUACCACUCCCUGUACAUUCAACUUGUAUAAUAAAUAUAGUUCAUUUGCGGUCAGUUUCACCUACAUGCGAAAGCAUGACCAGAGAUUUUACUCCAUGGGAUCAUCUGAUAUUUGUUGUCCAUUGUGUUAAAUCUUAGACAUAGUAGUGACGAAGUGAGUUGAAUGAAGAAAAAGAAUUUAGAGCCAACUUUUAAAUUUAUAGAAAAUAAUGAUUAAUUUGUUGUCACUUGCAUUAAGUACAUCGAUUUGCUAUGUGUUGAACAAUCAUCGCCAAUAUGGAGGUUAGAAAUAGAAGUUUUUUCAUUGUAUUUUGUACCAGAUUUGCUGACUUGAAAUUCAACGGGACGGAAUCUUGUUGUUAACAGAUCCAGCUCUACUCCCAUCCAUAUGUAUGGUACUUGCACGCUUUGACAUCACGUUAAACUACAUGUUAUUGCAGAGCACUCUGAUACUCAAGCCAAAUAGCUGAAGAUAUUUAGGUGUGGAAGAGGCAAUGGACGAAAUAACAAUUGCCAAGUUGAGUAUUUCCAAGAUUUAGAGAGUGAUCUUGAAUUCAAAAUUGCAUUACCUUUACAAGUCUCUUUGUGUCAAGAAAGUGUCCACUUGAUGCUUGACACAUAACCUCAUCCUAUUAGUAAUGUUCAAGCUCCAUAGGGUCAAUUGCUCUCUAUCAUAUGCUUGUGAUCAUCGACCAUAGGCUGAAAAGCAAUUCUUUUCAAUAUUUAUCUUUAAAUUGAGAAUUUUAACCUAUAAAAAUCAAAUACAGUACACAGUGGGUAGAAAUUACACCUUGGUCCCUUUUCAAGAAUUUUCGAAUUGAAUGGUCGGCUCGGUACCGAUCUUCCCUGGCCCGCAAUUCCUAGGAAUUGAGUAAGAGCCAGUACCGCCCCAUCCUUCCCCGCAUUCCUUCCUAAGGAAUGGAGAACGACCCAGCUGCAACUGCUAUUGAAUCAGCGUAAGGAGAUGUCGAUGAGGGUAGAAUAGAGAAAAGAAUUUGCUUUGGUUGGCCCCCGUUCAUUAAGGUAAUUGCAUUCACCUUCUCGAUUGGGUUGACUUCAGUUUUGCUUGGAUAUGUGUCUUGUUAUUACUCAGACAGCAUCUUUGCUACCUGCCCUACUUGAUUUUCCAGUUUCUUCAAAGUUUCAUUUUGGCUCCACAUGGUAGUGUCAUUCUUCUCCCCAUCUUUCCUUCUGCUCCUGUGGUGGAUUCUGAAUAUUUUGUAUAUUGUUAUAGGAGAUAUUAGGAUGACUCCUCCAACGUUGACCAUAUAUCUAAGAGUAGGGAUUAUUUUAUUGGUUCUGAAAGUUUUGAGCAUAAAUACCUUGCUCACUUGGUGAUGGAUGAUUUGUGUGACCAAUAGGCAUUCCGAUGUCAGUAUAUUUGCCUCACAAGCACCACAAACUAAAAGAAGUGCUUGCACCAUAUUAACUGAUCGAGUAGUUAAUAUUUCAUCCCUCUUCUUUGUCAAUGAAUCGAUUUUUGCAAGGACAAGGGAAUCGGCACCCACCCCUUGCAUUUCGUCUAUUUUCUUUCUGUGUUCCACCAUCUGGCCCCGCUGCACCGUGCUCACUCAUUAUUUCAAGCAAUUCCUAUGCUUUGUAGACAGUCUUCAUUCUUUCUUUCUUUUUUUGUAAUGGAUCCUUUGGAAGCUGUAUCAACUGUAGAUCGAUUGGAUGGAAGCAACCCAGAAUCGAAGUAUUGUAUUUAAAGACCCUUUACGGUACCGUGAUUCAAUCACUUACUGAGUAGUUAUUUGAAUCUUUUCCAAGCUUCAUAAAAGCUUACCAAAUGAGACGGGAAAAUGGAGAUGUCAUGUUUGAGUUUGGCAAUCUUGAUUGGAGGAAAAUACUUUGUGGUGAACUUCUAUACUAGUUUUGUCCAUGUAGUGAUGCUGUCGAUAGUACUGAAUCAAGUCAUUCCCUAUCUUUAUCCCUUAAAGUUUAGGGAAAAAGCAUAAUCCUAAUCGCCUCUUCGUUUGUUCCUUGCUAUUUGAAGCUAUCUCAAAUUCUCAUGAAAUGUAAAAGAUGAGAAUGUCUGUCCUUCUCAAGAAUGGUAUAUAGCUGGCGAAUAAGUUGAUGACAUCUGGCUUCAGUUAAAACCUUGAAUUCCCAUAUAGACGAUAGGUGAUGCUCGAUUUAUUUUCAACAACAGAAAGAACCACAAAGUCCCUUACUAGCAAGGCCUCCUUGUCAAUUUCGUGGUCUCCCAUCUCAUGUUAUCUUCGAUCUCUUGCUUAUCUUUAUUCCCAGCGAUAAAUGAAAUUAAUUGACGCAAAAAGUAAACAAAACGGCCAUCGUAGUAUUGCAAUUUUAUUCUGCAAAUGAACAGUAUUGUACACAAGUAAUAUUUAUGUGUAAAGUUUGAAACAUGCGAAAACUAACUAUCAACUAGUUAUUAACUUGAACAAAAAAUUGCAUAAUUAAUAUUUUGAUUUUGAAUUUAAUUUUAAUUAUAUAUAAUUAUUUACUAAUAUAGGCAAUUAAGAGUAAGUAAUAUUUUGGAACUCAAACAAGUCACGGAAGUCACAAAGCGUGUGUUCUCUUUGUCGUAUUCGGGCCGUUUUCUGCUUUCAAUUUUUCAAAACGUUGAAAACGCGUUCUCUUUCCUGUUUUAAAAAACGAAUUUUCGAAAACGAAAAAAAAAUUGUGAAGAAAACACAAAACGACAUUUUUGUUGUUUUGGGCGUUUUCAAUACAAAAUUAGAAAAAACUGAAAAUACAGGAAAUGGUUCCAAAAUAGCAAAAAGAACGCAUUUUCAGAAAUUUCAAAACAGACACUCAAAACACAAAACUCAAAAUGAAUUCAAAAUUCAAAACUACAAAAUUGAAACACGAAAAUAAUAGCCCCUAAGAUUUCGAAUUCGCCAUGUGAAUUCACUUUAAACCUCACAUAUUUGUUAUUAGCCAACUAUAACUUUUUGUUGACAAUCAAAAUUUUUUAUGUUCUAAUUUUCGGUCUCGAUAUAUAUUAAUCCAAUUUGUACCUAAAAUUGCACUAAGAAUAGAAGUUUAUUUUUAUCUUCUAUGGGAUCUAGUUUUUGUUAUUUGAGUUAGAAACACGAAUCACCUCUCGGUAUAGUGUCGAAUCCCAAAAAUAAUCCUAAAACUGGUUAAAUAACAGGAUGAUAAUUAAUUAAAUAAUAAAUAAUCAAUCAACAAGUAAAAAUUAUAAAGAAAACAAAGGAAACCUUUAAAUAUCUGAAUAUCAACCCAAAUAAAGAAAGAACAAAAAUUAUAAAGAAACCAAACAAAACCCAUCAUAAAAGUGCAGCAUAUUACAAUACAUGUCAGGUAGCACAACGAAUCAUAACUUACAAAAUUACAAAAACUUCUCAUAUGUUAAAUGAACCGGACCUCCACUAAAAAUACACAACAUCCUUUGAUUUCUUUAUAACAAGGAAAAUGAAUAGAUAGUCGCGAGACGACGAGAGUUGCUUAAAGAAUUUAGUGUGUAUCUCCUUCAACAAUCCAUGAACCCAUUGAAAAACAAACAAUUAAAUCUAUUGCAAAUAACAAACAACACUGAAAUCAAAUUGAAACAUCAAUCUCUUUAAAAUCCAAUUCCCCAACAUAAGUGACAUGAAAAGAAGAAUAAAAAGGUACAAAAUAUGAAAAAUUAUACAGUUAAAUAUUAGAAAAUUAAGCAAAAGAAGAUCACACGAUAUGGAAUGAGCCAAACCUACUUGUAAAAAUCAUGAGGAAGAGCCACAAGAACUCCAGCUCCAUAACGCCUGCUAAAAAUGAAAGUGUGUGCAACAUCUUAUUUUUUGCAUCGAGACCAAAAUGUAGGAAAAGUUCUCCUGCCCUGUGUACUCACAAAAGAGAUGAGAAGUCAAGAGAGAGUUCCUUAAGUAAAGGACCACCAAGAAAACACAAAAGUAAUUACCUUCUAAAACCAGAGCAAUAUCCCGAAGUAAAGAAUUGCAGAGUCCAUAAGUAUAAUUACAAGCUCAUGAACAAAAUGGAAAUGGCUGAAGUUCAGAAAUAAAAAUCAAUAACAAAAAAACUUGUGGUUAGUGGGAAAACUCAUGCAAAAAAACAAAAGCAUACAGGAAUAACGAUUACUAGAACAAAAGGUAAUAGUAUUCAAUCUUUUCUGAAGACUAUAGACACAAGAUUUUUCAAAUUUCUAUUGGCUAAUUAACUCCGUCAAAAGCUUUAGAAGUUCUGGUAACUUUAGAGCACCAUGUUAAGAUAAGUCCAAAAAAUAUACACAAAUAUCAUAAAUCCUGAAAUGUUUCGAAGCCAAAUAAAUGUAGGAAACAAAAGUCAAAACCAGAUAUAGAACAAAAAAUCAGGAAUCUAGCUUUAACAAUGUAUAUAGAACUAAAUUUAGUGAUUCUUGGGAAACCUUUUGUAAAGUUCAGUGAUGAAUUAGGUGAUUUUUAAAGUUCAGUGACAUCGUGGAAACUUUUACAAAGUUCAGUAAUGAAUUGUAUGAUUUUUAAAGUUCAGUGACCAUUUGGGUAAUUCACUCAUGGAGUUAUCAUGGAAUAGAAAAGCUAAGAAGGAGAAGAUGAAGUCAAAGACAAAUAUUCAUCACUUUUUGUCCAAUCAUAAGGUAAAUUUUGAGAAUGACAUUUUUUGAAGGUACAAGGGAUGUAGAAGUUUUACAACUAAAAUGAAAUUGGGCUCAUAUUUUUAAUGUGAUAAUCUUGCACGAUGAGCUUAGCCCAUAGACGAGCUUUGUGCUUGUCCUACAUAAGAUAUGAAAGUCCAAUACUAAUCUAAUAUGCUUUAAAUAAAUUUAAUCUCAUGGAGGUUUAACAAGCAACUGUGCAUGUUUUUUUAAAAAAAGAAAUUUAUUUAAAUAAGGUAAGAUGGAAUGUAAUGUUAUCCAAAAAUUGAAAUCGAAAAUUAAAAUUUAUUUAUGUAUAGUAAAUAUUUCCAAGAUUAGAUUUGCAUACAUGUUAUUGUUCAAAAGAAUUAAUUUAUAAAUAAAAGAGGAUUUAAAGUUUUUAUUUGCGGAUUUGUGUUGUUAGCUCCUUAUUUUAUUAAUUAAAUAAAUUCUAGGGCCUUAAACCUCAAAUACACACACUUAUUAUAUGUAAAAACACUUUGAACAAGAAAACUUUCAGAAAUAUAAAAAUAAAUAAUAAAAAUAAAUAAAUUAAGGCGAGGCAGAUUCUUUUAUGCUUAGGGUGCCAUUUAGGAUACAACAUUCACCAUCCAAGUUCGUUCAUUCAAAAGCGUCAAACUAAAAGCAUAUCCAAUAGACUCUCUAUUUUUAAAGAGUAUAUUCUAUCAUUUGGAGAGUGUCUAUAAAUUUAGGAAGUUAAAAUUUUGAAGUACUCCAACGAGUUCUUUACAUUUAAAAUUUAAUUUUACUACUCCCAAAAAUUAUUUAUCAUUUUUCUCUAUAUUUUAUUUUAACUAAUUGUUCUUUAGAUUAUUUUAUUAUUUUUCCUAUAUUAAAAAUUUAUAUACUUUGAGUGCAUUUAAUUAUAGAGAGUAAGUUUGGCUCUCCAGACCCACCCUUUAAAUUAAAAUGUUAAUUUAAAGAACUUUUUAAAACAAUGAUUUUAAAUGUUAACUCUUUAAAAUAAAGAACAUAUCAUGCAUAAAGAGUUUUUUUAAAAUACUUUAAGAUAAGUAGAGGUGCAAGUGGUUAUUUCAUUUUUAAGUUAUGCAUUUUUCGUUAAAGUACAAGCAAAAUGGCUGCUUUCGAGUACGGUGCUUCGACACUACUAUAGUUGGAAUGAUUAUUCUCCGAUUCUAUGUGUUGUGAUGAUUGUGACGAUAUGAAUAGUUUGAAUUUUCUAAUUCGAUAACAAAGUGCACCGAUGAUAUCUAUUGAGUUUCAACUUAUGGGUUAAUUCCCUUUCUAUGAGUUAAUUUGAUUUACUUGGGAUAUGGAUAAUGGUAAAUGAAGGUACGUUGUGUUAUGGAGAAGCCAAUGACUAAUUAUUUUUUUUAAUGAGUUUAGAAAAAAAAUGUUUAAGUGUUUCAAAUAAAUAGAUUUAGAUGAACGACGUUUGAAGAACUACUUUUAGAAUCCUUUCCUAAAUUAGUUAUGUUUAACAGAAAUUAACUUACAAGUUCCAUUUCUCAGAGAAAAAAUGUUAGCAAUAAAGUUGAUUGUUGCUUCUUUAAAAAAAUAAAAAAUAAAAAAAAAUUCGGCUUCUGCUCUUAAUAUGUUGUCGAAAGAAGCCAAUUUUUUUAAUAUGCUAUAUUACAGGAGGUUUCCUAUUUUAUUUUAAAAUUUUCUGAAAUUUCAAAGUCGAUAGCUAUGAAUUUAUUUUGUCAUUUGUCAUGCGAAAUAGAAAAAUAAAAUAAUUUAGUUUUGUUUACUAUUUAAAGAUAUGAAUACGUGGAAAAUUGUUUCAAAACCUUUAAUUUAUUUGGUAAACACAUGCCUGCCAUUGUUCAUAUAAGAAAAUAGAUAAUAUGUAUGGAAAAUUGUAUUGUUUAGGGGAAAAAAAAAGGAAAAAAAAUUCUUAAAUUAAAUCUUUAUGCUUGGAGGUCUCAUUAGCCAAAGAAGACCCUGGCCAAUCCACGUGGCCUACUUGACAAACAUCAGUGCCUACCAUCCACACCAGAAUAAAUAGAGUUUUUCGAAGGGUUUGAUUGAAGUGUGAGUUCAGCCAACAAGUAUACUUAAUUGCAUUUCAUUAAAAAUAAUUUUUUAAAUUUUUAUUUUUAAUUAGUUAUUUGAAAUUUAUUUGUCCCUUUUUGAACAUUUUGGGAGUAUAGUUACAAUAUGUUCUUUAUUUUUGUUUUAUUUAAAUAAGAGGGUAAAUGCAUUAUUUUACAACUUUUAAUUGAAAGAAUAGAUGAAAAUGACGAUUUUCACAAUAAAAUGUGAAAUAAGGGUGAAAAUGCUGAAAAAUGAAAUUUAUGAACGUUCUGCACAAUAAUAUUGAAAGAUAUGGAUAUUUUGUGCUAAUUACCAUUUUAAUAAUUUAUUUCGACUCACUUACAGUUUUUUUUAAAUUUGGGAGUAUAAUUACAAUUUAUUCUUUAAUUUCUCUUUUCUUUUCUUUUCUUUUUUUGUUCAAAUAAUAAGGUAUAUAUGUCAUUUUACAUUUUUAUUGAGAAUUUGGAAGAAAAUAACAUUUUUCAUAAUGAAAUAUGAAAAUAGGGAUGAAAAUACCAAAAGUAAUACAUAACAUACAAAAAAUGUACCGUCAAAAUAAUACUCCUCUAUGUAUGAGACUCCCGAAGAUCAAUACAAGCUAAUUUUGUAAUCAUUAUAUUACUACAAUUAUCAAAGAUUGAUAAUUAUUUCAUAUGAAGAUGGUGUUAUUUGAAGACUACACAAGACAACAUGAGAUAUGCUUCACAAAAAAUUACAAUAUUGAAAACGUUGACAUACAAGAUAAGGAUGAAUUAAUAGAAGAAUUGAAAUUAGGGAGAGCCGUUGUACUCUUUUUCCUUCGAUCAAAUUUUUCCCUCCGAAUUUUCUUGACAGUGUUUUAACAAGAUAGAUAUUUUGUAAUGUGUCAUUUAAGAGAAGUAUUGUAAAUAAUAUGAUCAUUAAUGAAUGAGAAUUAUACUCUUGAAGUCCUAGUUUUUAUUAUUAUUGUAUUCCUAAUUCUUUCAUAUAAAUAUAGAGUUAUUUAUAUAGUUUUAUUUCCCAAUAAAAUAUACAAGUCUAUUAACUUUCUCUUAUUUCCCUUCUUUUUUUCUCUAGUUUAACACACAAGAUAUUUUAGGAGAAAAUUGGAUACAACCCUUACUAAUGAACUCUUCAAUAAUUAUAGAUGACACCUUCUUUAUUUUCCAAAUCAUCGAAGUUUCAAAGAAUUCUUAUAGAUUCCGUUCCAAAUUUUUUUAAAAAUUCAAAAAAUUUCUCUACAUAUUAACGACUCGUUCUUAAAAAAAAAAAAUAAUAAAUAAAUAUCUUUUUUUUUUUUUGGGGGAUAAAUAGAUCUCAAACAAAGACUUGUUUGUUGGACUAUAUACUAGGAACUAAUUAAUUAUAAGAAAUGUAACACUUGUUUGUUGGACUAUAAACUAGGAACUAACUAAUUAUAAGAAAUGUAACUAUUAGAGUGCGUUUGAUAGCCAAUAUUUUCUAUGAAAAAUGUGUUUUUCAUCUACUUUUAUGCUGGUUGGUUCACAUUUUUUAUAGAAAAUAUUUUCCUACUUUUGGUCACGUGAUCAUAUUUUUCUCAAAAUUAAGAAAAAUUUUCUUUAGGGGAAGUAGGAGUUUAUUUCUUAGGGAAUUCACUUUCUCUUUUUCUCUCUCGUCUAUUUAAUUUCUCUCAUCUACCCACUAAUAAAAAAAUGAAAAAUCUAAUAUUUUCUAGGUUGAAAAUUAAAUCAAUCAAACACAUAUUUCUAUGUAGAUGAGUUCUAGACAAUUGAAUUAUCUAAUAUUUAUUUUCUUUCCAAUAAAAUUUCAUGUUUACAAUCAAACGCACUCUUAGAUUAAGAUUACUCACAUCCUAGAAUUUUUUUUUUCCUUUUUCUUGUUUUCCAGUCAAGAGAAAAUCCUAACUCCACCGCUAGUUGGGUUCCGAAUUUUGUGCAGACUUACGGACUUGUAUUAUUUCUUUUGGAUGGUGAUUUUCACAAAUUAAAUAAAUCCUCCCUCUCUGCUACGUGUUUCGAAAUCCCGGGUGCAUGCAUUUACGUAUAUAAGUCUACAGUGUCCACGUAUAUAGUCAAACACCGAGGUUCUUCGUUCUCAACUUGUUCAAUUCUUGAGUCAGUUUCAGCAUUGUGCACGAGUGAGUUGUACAGAGGAGUACUACUCAAUGUCUAUUUCUUCAGCCGAAUUUCAGAGCACUGAAAAUGUCGCCAUUGACGACACUGUCGCCGGCAUGCUUGAUUACUCCGGCCAGCCGGCCAAGAGAUCAAAAUCGGGAUACUGGCGAUCUGCCUAUUUCACUACAGGUAACUGCUUUUUCUUUUUUUGUUUCUUUUUUCUUUUGAGGCUUUUCAAGAAUGUCCAAUUUUAAGGGUUUGAGUUGUAAAGUUCCACUCAUUUGAAUCUAGUGUUAACUUGUCUAUCAUGCUCUUAAUGAAAAAAUGGAGCAAUUGAAUGUCGUUCUCAACAUUUGAUUUUUUUUUUCAAUUUUUCACGAAUUUCGAGAAAUAUUUUUUAUGAAAAGUUACAUUAAAAUAAUGUUUCUCGAUAUUUCAUAUAUAAUUCUCGACAUUUGAACACCGUUUCAUUUGUUUAGAAUGACAUUUCAUUUUGAAUAUGACAUUUCUCUACAUUUGAAAUGCAGUUCUCGACAUUUCUUAGUCAAUGAAAAACAUUGCAUUUAUUGUGAUUUGACAUGUAUGCUUUUGAAAUAAAUAUGGCUGGUUAUAUGUCAAAAUUUUAUUGGCCAAUAAUAAUUUUGCAAAAAUGUCCAUUUUUAUCUUAUUGUGGAAUUAUAAAUUGUUAAUAGGGGUAUUUUGGUCUAAAUUCUUUCAAAAUAGACAUUUUUGCAAUGGUGGACAUUUUUGCAAAUGACUAGGUGAAAAUGGACAUCCUGUGAAAUUUCCUCUUUUCUUUUUCUAUGCAUGCAUCUAUUCUUAUAAGGUUGUUAUUUACAAAAAUGGUACACAACACAACCGUGACAUAUUUGGCAGGCAGAGUUGAUAACAUUCGACAAUAUGAAGGAGAGAAAAAGAAACUAAGCCCAUGUUCGGUAGGAUUAAAAUCGAAUUUUUUAAUAGAUUUUGAUAAAAGUUGAUGAAAUUUAUGAUUAAAAAGUUGUGGAUCUCGUGAAAUAUUUAGUUAAAAUUAAUUGUUUACUUUGAAUUAGGAUUUAAAUCUAGACAUUAAUUCUUACCAAACAAGGGUUAAAAUUUGUUGGAUUAUAAUUGUGGCCUCUACACGUUGCAUGAUUCAAAUUUGUUUAACCAUCAACAUUAUCGAGUACUGUGUACCAUUUUAUGCUUAAGCUAAGUUGAAGUUAGAUUUGAAUAAAUAACUUUUUCUAUUUCUAGUUGUUCAUAUAAACUUUUAGAUAAGUUGAUUCGAAAUAAAAUGAGCCUUAAUGCUUACUAUUUAGUUAUAAUUCAUGGCUAAUUUAGGUGUUAUAAUUUUGAAGUGAAGAAACUUUCUCUAGAUCAAAUUGUUAUUUAUUAGCGAGAAUCAUCCCCCUAUGAUUCUUCAAGAAUGGUGUAACGGCUCUGGUUUUUUUUUCCUAAUGAUACUAAGUAUUAUUCAAGGAUCACCGCUUCGACGCUUUAUUUAUAUAUAUUUAUAUCUUCAGUAUGUUCAAAAUCAUGACAAGAAGUUCAAACUGAAUGACAGGUGCCACGGUGGCAGAGAAAUUUGCUUAUUUUGGAAUAAGUUCCAACAUAAUAACCUAUCUUUCGGGGCCUCUUAGGCAGCCGACGGCAAUGGCAGCUGCCGAAGUGAAUAUAUGGUCAGGCACUGGCCUUCUAAUGCCACUUUUGGGUGGUUUUGUAGCUGAUUCAUUUGUGGGUCGAUAUUGGACCAUUGUUUUCUCUUCAGUGGCCUACAUUUUGGUUAGUAUCCAAUUUGAUGUUUUCUCAAAUAUAAUCAUGGUUUAAUUGCAUUGUAUUUCAGUGCAAAAGUAAAUUUUAUAGCAUUUCUUGUCACAUAUGGUUCUAUCCAAUCUUGAAUAAAAGAAUGAUGCAAAAGGUAUAUUUACAUUUUCGGAGCUAGUUCGGAUAAGUCGUACAUAAGGAACGUCGAAGAGCAUGCUUCGUUCAAUCGAGCCCAAUACUGUGUUCCAAAUAUGCACUAAAUGUCAUGUAGACUUCAUCAUUAUGAUGUGUACCCAACUAUAACCUUAUAUCGGUGUGCUUUUGCAUCGAUCCUGGACGCUUACACUUUUUUUGAUUGAAUGUGCACAGGCACUCGGGUUGUUGACUCUAUCUGCCAUGCUUAAUAGUGAAAGACCUAAUCACCUUCGAGUUUUCUUCUUCUUCUUCUCACUAUAUUUGGUGGCAGUCAGUCAAGGUUUGCAAAAACCCGGUAUCAUGGCUUUCGGGGCCGACCAGUUUGACGAACAAGAUGCCGAAGAAAGAAGAGGCCGAAGCUCGUUUUUCAAUUGGAUCUAUUUUAGUUCAGUUGCAGGUCCUUUCACUGCAGUUUUGGUCUUGAAUUACGUUCAAGAUAACGUUAGUUGGAGUCUUGGAUUUGGGAUUCCAUGCAUUUCAAUGGCAGUUUCAUUGGCCAUAUUCUUGUUCGGAACUAGAUCUUAUCGAUAUACAAUCAAAGUCGAGGAGAAUCACCCACUCUGGAGGAUUAGUCGAGUGUUUGUCCAAGCAGCUAUAAAUUGGAGGACCAAAUCUUCCACCAGUGUUUACAAUGUAGAAGGGGAAGAAACAGUGCCUCAACUAUGUUCCCAACAAUUCAAGUAAGAUCUGAGUUUCUCGUGUAUGGAACGCCCCCCACCUCCAAAAAAGAGCUCAUCUAUUUUUUAUUUAGUAAUUUCAGUAUCGAUUGGUGGAUUGCGUAGAGCCUAAUUCUAAUGUUCGCUUUCCCUUCGAGCACAGAUUGACAUAGAUUCCUACAUUAUAAAUAAGAAUCUAUGUCUGAAAAAUGAGGGGAUGCGAUUCUCCUUUUUCGACUUCUUUCUUAUUAGUAGUGACAUUUCACUUCUUCAAUAUGUUAGUAUUGUUCGACUUUCCUUGCUUAAGCGUCGUGCUAUUCACUUUCGUGUAACUGGUCCACGACAGGUUUCUUAACAGAGCUUUGCUUGCACCAGAUGGUUCGCGAGAGUAUGAGGAAGCAAGCAGCAUAAGUGAAAUCGAAGAGGCAAAAACACUUUUAAGGUUGAUUCCUAUGUGGGUAACAUCUUUAGGAUAUGCUAUUGUCUUGUCUCAAACUUCGACUCUAUUUACCGAACAAGGAAUAACGAUGGACAGAUCCAUCAGUUCAAGCAUCGAUAUACCGGCUGCAUCACUGCAAUGCGUAAUCGGUUUUUCAGUUAUUCUCUUAGUUCCAAUUUAUGACUUUGUUUUCGUGCCGAUUGCUAGAAGUAUAACGGGAAGUCACUCGGGCAUAACAAAGCUGCAAAGAAUCGGAAUGGGAAUGGUUUUUUGCAUUUCUUCCAUGGUUAUUGCAGCACUCGUGGAGAGAAAAAGACUGGAAACUGCUCGGGUGUAUGGACUGGUCGACUCGCCUAAAGAAAAGGUACCUAUGAGUUUUUGGUGGUUAGUGCCUCAAUAUAUACUAUGUGGGGUGACUAAUAUUUUCACACUGGUCGGAUUGCAAGAACUAUUCUAUGAUGAGGUACCCUGCAAAUUGAAAAGUGUAGCUCUUUCAUUAUUUUUAAGUAUUUUUGGCAUUGGUGAGUUCAUGAGCAGUUUUCUCAUAUCCAUAAUCGAUAAUCUUACUCAUCGAGCCGAUGGAUAUGGUUGGUUUUCGAGUAACACGAACCGGGCACAUCUAGACUACUUCUAUUGGUUACUUGCUGGACUUAAUGCCCUGGAGCUUCUUGCAUUCUUGUACUUCUCAAAAUCUUACAACUAUAAUGGAGAUCAAGGUAUCAUUAUAUGAUUGUUAACCAUAGUCGAUUUGCAGCUAUAUGUGAAUGUAUUACUAGGUUAGAUUCAUGUCCCCUUUACACUUUUUUUCCCGAUAAACUAGUCAAUUUAUCGACGUCGAAAGCCUAUGUAUUUAUUAGAAGAUUUGUCGGAAUUUAAUAUAGAAUUUGCAUGUUCUAUUUAGGCUAGCUUAAAAAUGUUGAACUAUGUGUGAACUACUAUUUGGCUAUGUUAUUAGAACUCGGGUUGGUCCAAUUUGACACGUACGAAAAGAGAGAUUAGCAUGAAUGGCACUAAAAGGGCUAUUUAACGAUUUAGCCUCUGUUUGAGCCAUAUUUUCAAGGAAAAAAGUAGAAAAAUUUGACCCUCUUUUUCAAACACAGGUCUCAUUUAAGAGAGAUGAAGUCAAAUAUGAUGGUUGAAAUUGGUCUCCAACGAUCAAAAUUCUCAUUUUUUUUUUGUUGCUAAAAAUAUGGUUCAAACAGGGGUAUAAUAGAUUUUCUACAAAGGUUUUAGUUUUUGUACCACUUUUGUGGCUCCUGCCAAUACAAGACACAAAUGCUAUCUUUCAAUCUUGGAUUUAAUCUUUAUCUACUCAACAAUUCACUUUACUGCGAAAAAUUACGACCAAAUUUGUAUCUUCAUUGACUCACUUGUUCUUUAAAACGUGUUUUUUUUUUUUUUUCAAAUUCACUUUAAAUAACACGCUUCCAAUAAAUAAUUUUGCACAUAAAUUCAAUUUUAUUUUUCAUUUUUUUAAUUUUGAAUCACAUAUAUUCUCCAAAAAAAUUAUUAAAUUUAACUUCAAGAAAUGAAGCUCAAACAAUGACCAAAUAUAUAGGCAAUUUUAGUACAGCCGUGCUAGAGGUCCCAACUCCGGGACCAACCCAAAAACAGGGGGUUGAGGUGGCAUCACCUCAACCCUCGAUUUCAACUUCAUUUUUUUUUUCAGAUUCAAGGAUCUAGGUGUUACCACCUCGGUACCCUAGAUUUUGGUCGGUCCCUGAGUUGGGACAAGUUGCAUUUCCCAUUUUAGUAUAGUGUUACUUUACUCGUCACCUUUACGAGUGGCAUGUAAAUUUGUGUCGGAUUUUUUUGCCCCAGGCGAUAAUUUAUCAUGAGGCUCCUACACAUAAUUUUUUUACAAGCAUAUUGGCAUCAAACUUGGCCGAAUCGAAUAGUUUCUCAUAAUAAGAAAUAUUAUAUCUUUGAUACUCACUCAUCAUUUGAAUGGAUCGAGAAUCAAUUCUGUUUUCAAGAAGUAUAAUAUAAAGAUUUUAUGAAAAUUAGUGAGAUACGGGGAGCGCCUACUAUUUAUUAUCAAAAAUAUCUUAUAUUUAAAAAAAAAAUCAAAAGCAGCAAUAAAUUGAAAGACGUUAUUGGUAGAAAGGCCCCUACUUUAUUUGUACUACCAUAAAAUAUCUAUGUAAGAAAAUUGAGGAAAUUUCGUAAUAGUUAUUUUUGGGCUUUGGAAAACUUUUUGAGGCCCCAUUUCAUCUUGAGGCCCAAGGCCACCAAAUCAACGAGUCAAGAUUGUAAAUAGAUAAAGAUAUACUUUCAAAUCAAUAGAUCGGGAUGUAAAUAACUAAAUAUGUUAUUUCAAACCAACUAGUCGAUGUUAAUACUAUAAACAGCAGAUGUUUUAAUUGAAAUAAUGUGUCUGAAUGUAGUCAUUGUUUUUAUGUAUAUCUAUGAAUAUUGUUUUCAAAAGACUAUAUUGUUUUAGUGGUUAUUUUUAAUUUUUUUGCCAACUAAAAUUGUUAUACCAUACUAAAAUACGAACAUUUUCUAAAAUUAGGAUCCCAUAAUAAUUUACGUUGAACUAAUAGAUAUGGUUGAAUAGUGAUCGUUCUCAUGAGGGGACUACUAUAAUAUUUUCGACAAUUUAGCCUCCUUUUGAGAAUAAUUCAUAAAUUCGUCAUUACGGCUUUUAUUUAUAACUUAAACUUUAUCGUUUUCCAACCUUAACUAUAGGAGACUCGAACCUAAAUCAAGUCAAUGACUUGAUAAGAUGUUACCACUAGAGCUAGACUUCAAUCUCAUCAUUGAUCAUUACUUAUUGUUCAAGCAAUCGUGUAUACGUAUUGUUACGAAUAGUAUAGCCCCAAAGUUCUCUUCAAAACUAUGUCUACACAUAAAAUGAGUCGAGAUGUCUUGGUUCAACCACUUUACACUAAAAGAGGAAAUUAGGCUAGGUACGGCCUGACUUGUUCAAUUCUUGAGUCAGUUUCAGCAUUGUGCAUGAGUGAGUUGUACAGAGGAGUACUACUCAAUGUCUAUUUCUUCAGCCGAAUUUCAGAGCACUGAAAAUGUCGCCAUUGACGACACUGUCGCCGGCAUGCUUGAUUACUCCGGCCAGCCGGCCAAGAGAUCAAAAUCGGGAUACUGGCGAUCUGCCUAUUUCACUACAGGUAACUGCUUUUUCUUUUUUUGUUUCUUUUUUCUUUUGAGGCUUUUCAAGAAUGUCCAAUUUUAAGGGUUUGAGUUGUAAAGUUCCACUCAUUUGAAUCUAGUGUUAACUUGUCUAUCAUGCUCUUAAUGAAAAAAUGGAGCAAUUGAAUGUCGUUCUCAACAUUUGAUUUUUUUUUUCAAUUUUUCACGAAUUUCGAGAAAUAUUUUUUAUGAAAAGUUACAUUAAAAUAAUGUUUCUCGAUAUUUCAUAUAUAAUUCUCGACAUUUGAACACCGUUUCAUUUGUUUAGAAUGACAUUUCAUUUUGAAUAUGACAUUUCUCUACAUUUGAAAUGCAGUUCUCGACAUUUCUUAGUCAAUGAAAAACAUAGCAUUUAUUGUGAUUUGACAUGUAUGCUUUUGAAAUAAAUAUGGCUGGUUAUAUGUCAAAAUUUUAUUGGCCAAUAAUAAUUUUGCAAAAAUGUCCAUUUUUAUCUUAUUGUGGAAUUAUAAAUUGUUAAUAGGGGUAUUUUGGUCUAAAUUCUUUCAAAAUAGACAUUUUUGCAAUGGUGGACAUUUUUGCAAAUGACUAGGUGAAAAUGGACAUCCUGUGAAAUUUCCUCUUUUCUUUUUCUAUGCAUGCAUCUAUUCUUAUAAGGUUGUUAUUUACAAAAAUGGUACACAACACAACCGUGACAUAUUUGGCAGGCAGAGUUGAUAACAUUCGACAAUAUGAAGGAGAGAAAAAGAAACUAAGCCCAUGUUCGGUAGGAUUAAAAUCGAAUUUUUUAAUAGAUUUUGAUAAAAGUUGAUGAAAUUUAUGAUUAAAAAGUUGUGGAUCUCGUGAAAUAUUUAGUUAAAAUUAAUUGUUUACUUUGAAUUAGGAUUUAAAUCUAGACAUUAAUUCUUACCAAACAAGGGUUAAAAUUUGUUGGAUUAUAAUUGUGGCCUCUACACGUUGCAUGAUUCAAAUUUGUUUAACCAUCAACAUUAUCGAGUACUGUGUACCAUUUUAUGCUUAAGCUAAGUUGAAGUUAGAUUUGAAUAAAUAACUUUUUCUAUUUCUAGUUGUUCAUAUAAACUUUUAGAUAAGUUGAUUCGAAAUAAAAUGAGCCUUAAUGCUUACUAUUUAGUUAUAAUUCAUGGCUAAUUUAGGUGUUAUAAUUUUGAAGUGAAGAAACUUUCUCUAGAUCAAAUUGUUAUUUAUUAGCGAGAAUCAUCCCCCUAUGAUUCUUCAAGAAUGGUGUAACGGCUCUGGUUUUUUUUUCCUAAUGAUACUAAGUAUUAUUCAAGGAUCACCGCUUCGACGCUUUAUUUAUAUAUAUUUAUAUCUUCAGUAUGUUCAAAAUCAUGACAAGAAGUUCAAACUGAAUGACAGGUGCCACGGUGGCAGAGAAAUUUGCUUAUUUUGGAAUAAGUUCCAACAUAAUAACCUAUCUUUCGGGGCCUCUUAGGCAGCCGACGGCAAUGGCAGCUGCCGAAGUGAAUAUAUGGUCAGGCACUGGCCUUCUAAUGCCACUUUUGGGUGGUUUUGUAGCUGAUUCAUUUGUGGGUCGAUAUUGGACCAUUGUUUUUUCUUCAGUGGUCUACAUUUUGGUUAGUAUCCAAUUUAAUGUUUUCUCAAAUAUAAUCAUGGUUUAAUUGCAUUGUAUUUCAGUGCAAAAGUAAAUUUUAUAGCAUUUCUUGUCACAUAUGGUUCUAUCCAAUCUUGAAUAAAAGAAUGAUGCAAAAGGUAUAUUUACAUUUUCGGAGCUAGUUCGGAUAAGUCGUACAUAAGGAACGUCGAAGAGCAUGCUUCGUUCAAUCGAGCCCAAUACUGUGUUCCAAAUAUGCACUAAAUGUCAUGUAGACUUCAUCAUUAUGAUGUGUACCCAACUAUAACCUUAUAUCGGUGUGCUUUUGCAUCGAUCCUGGACGCUUACACUUUUUUUGAUUGAAUGUGCACAGGCACUCGGGUUGUUGACUCUAUCUGCCAUGCUUAAUAGUGAAAGACCUAAUCACCUUCGAGUUUUCUUCUUCUUCUUCUCACUAUAUUUGGUGGCAGUCAGUCAAGGUUUGCAAAAACCCGGUAUCAUGGCUUUCGGGGCCGACCAGUUUGACGAACAAGAUGCCGAAGAAAGAAGAGGCCGAAGCUCGUUUUUCAAUUGGAUCUAUUUUAGUUCAGUUGCAGGUCCUUUCACUGCAGUUUUGGUCUUGAAUUACGUUCAAGAUAACGUUAGUUGGAGUCUUGGAUUUGGGAUUCCAUGCAUUUCAAUGGCAGUUUCAUUGGCCAUAUUCUUGUUCGGAUCUAGAUCUUAUCGAUAUACAAUCAAAGUCGAGGAGAAUCACCCACUCUGGAGGAUUAGUCGAGUGUUUGUCCAAGCAGCUAUAAAUUGGAGGACCAAAUCUUCCACCAGUGUUUACAAUGUAGAAGGGGAAGAAACAGUGCCUCAACUAUGUUCCCAACAAUUCAAGUAAGAUCUGAGUUUCUCGUGUAUGGAACGCCCCCCACCUCCAAAAAAGAGCUCAUCUAUUUUUUAUUUAGUAAUUUCAGUAUCGAUUGGUGGAUUGCGUAGAGCCUAAUUCUAAUGUUCGCUUUCCCUUCGAGCACAGAUUGACAUAGAUUCCUACAUUAUAAAUAAGAAUCUAUGUCUGAAAAAUGAGGGGAUGCGAUUCUCCUUUUUCGACUUCUUUCUUAUUAGUAGUGACAUUUCACUUCUUCAAUAUGUUAGUAUUGUUCGACUUUCCUUGCUUAAGCGUCGUGCUAUUCACUUUCGUGUAACUGGUCCACGACAGGUUUCUUAACAGAGCUUUGCUUGCACCAGAUGGUUCGCGAGAGUAUGAGGAAGCAAGCAGCAUAAGUGAAAUCGAAGAGGCAAAAACACUUUUAAGGUUGAUUCCUAUGUGGGUAACAUCUUUAGGAUAUGCUAUUGUCUUGUCUCAAACUUCGACUCUAUUUACCGAACAAGGAAUAACGAUGGACAGAUCCAUCAGUUCAAGCAUCGAUAUACCGGCUGCAUCACUGCAAUGCGUAAUCGGUUUUUCAGUUAUUCUCUUAGUUCCAAUUUAUGACUUUGUUUUCGUGCCGAUUGCUAGAAGUAUAACGGGAAGUCACUCGGGCAUAACAAAGCUGCAAAGAAUCGGAAUGGGAAUGGUUUUUUGCAUUUCUUCCAUGGUUAUUGCAGCACUCGUGGAGAGAAAAAGACUGGAAACUGCUCGGGUGUAUGGACUGGUCGACUCGCCUAAAGAAAAGGUACCUAUGAGUUUUUGGUGGUUAGUGCCUCAAUAUAUACUAUGUGGGGUGACUAAUAUUUUCACACUGGUCGGAUUGCAAGAACUAUUCUAUGAUGAGGUACCCUGCAAAUUGAAAAGUGUAGCUCUUUCAUUAUUUUUAAGUAUUUUUGGCAUUGGUGAGUUCAUGAGCAGUUUUCUCAUAUCCAUAAUCGAUAAUCUUACUCAUCGAGCCGAUGGAUAUGGUUGGUUUUCGAGUAACACGAACCGGGCACAUCUAGACUACUUCUAUUGGUUACUUGCUGGACUUAAUGCCCUGGAGCUUCUUGCAUUCUUGUACUUCUCAAAAUCUUACAACUAUAAUGGAGAUCAAGGUAUCAUUAUAUGAUUGUUAACCAUAGUCGAUUUGCAGCUAUAUGUGAAUGUAUUACUAGGUUAGAUUCAUGUCCCCUUUACACUUUUUUUCCCGAUAAACUAGUCAAUUUAUCGACGUCGAAAGCCUAUGUAUUUAUUAGAAGAUUUGUCGGAAUUUAAUAUAGAAUUUGCAUGUUCUAUUUAGGCUAGCUUAAAAAUGUUGAACUAUGUGUGAACUACUAUUUGGCUAUGUUAUUAGAACUCGGGUUGGUCCAAUUUGACACGUACGAAAAGAGAGAUUAGCAUGAAUGGCACUAAAAGGGCUAUUUAACGAUUUAGCCUCUGUUUGAGCCAUAUUUUCAAGGAAAAAAGUAGAAAAAUUUGACCCUCUUUUUCAAACACAGGUCUCAUUUAAGAGAGAUGAAGUCAAAUAUGAUGGUUGAAAUUGGUCUCCAACGAUCAAAAUUCUCAUUUUUUUUUUGUUGCUAAAAAUAUGGUUCAAACAGGGGUAUAAUAGAUUUUCUACAAAGGUUUUAGUUUUUGUACCACUUUUGUGGCUCCUGCCAAUACAAGACACAAAUGCUAUCUUUCAAUCUUGGAUUUAAUCUUUAUCUACUCAACAAUUCACUUUACUGCGAAAAAUUACGACCAAAUUUGCAUCUUCAUUGACUCACUUGUUCUUUAAAACGUGUUUUUUUUUUUUUUCAAAUUCACUUUAAAUAACACGCUUCCAAUAAAUAAUUUUGCACAUAAAUUCAAUUUUAUUUUUCAUUUUUUUAAUUUUGAAUCACAUAUAUUCUCCAAAAAAAUUAUUAAAUUUAACUUCAAGAAAUGAAGCUCAAACAAUGACCAAAUAUAUAGGCAAUUUUAGUACAGCCGUGCUAGAGGUCCCAACUCCGGGACCAACCCAAAAACAGGGGGUUGAGGUGGCAUCACCUCAACCCUCGAUUUCAACUUCAUUUUUUUUUUCAGAUUCAAGGAUCUAGGUGUUACCACCUCGGUACCCUAGAUUUUGGUCGGUCCCUGAGUUGGGACAAGUUGCAUUUCCCAUUUUAGUAUAGUGUUACUUUACUCGUCACCUUUACGAGUGGCAUGUAAAUUUGUGUCGGAUUUUUUUGCCCCAGGCGAUAAUUUAUCAUGAGGCUCCUACACAUAAUUUUUUUACAAGCAUAUUGGCAUCAAACUUGGCCGAAUCGAAUAGUUUCUCAUAAUAAGAAAUAUUAUAUCUUUGAUACUCACUCAUCAUUUGAAUGGAUCGAGAAUCAAUUUUGUUUUCAAGAAGUAUAAUAUAAAGAUUUUAUGAAAAUUAGUGAGAUACGGGGAGCGCCUACUAUUUAUUAUCAAAAAUAUCUUAUAUUUAAAAAAAAAAUCAAAAGCAGCAAUAAAUUGAAAGACGUUAUUGGUAGAAAGGCCCCUACUUUAUUUGUACUACCAUAAAAUAUCUAUGUAAGANUGGCCGAAUCGAAUAGUUUCUCAUAAUAAGAAAUAUUAUAUCUUUGAUACUCACUCAUCAUUUGAAUGGAUCGAGAAUCAAUUCUGUUUUCAAGAAGUAUAAUAUAAAGAUUUUAUGAAAAUUAGUGAGAUACGGGGAGCGCCUACUAUUUAUUAUCAAAAAUAUCUUAUAUUUAAAAAAAAAAUCAAAAGCAGCAAUAAAUUGAAAGACGUUAUUGGUAGAAAGGCCCCUACUUUAUUUGUACUACCAUAAAAUAUCUAUGUAAGAAAAUUGAGGAAAUUUCGUAAUAGUUAUUUUUGGGCUUUGGAAAACUUUUUGAGGCCCCAUUUCAUCUUGAGGCCCAAGGCCACCAAAUCAACGAGUCAAGAUUGUAAAUAGAUAAAGAUAUACUUUCAAAUCAAUAGAUCGGGAUGUAAAUAACUAAAUAUGUUAUUUCAAACCAACUAGUCGAUUUUAAUACUAUAAACAGCAGAUGUUUUAAUUGAAAUAAUGUGUCUGAAUGUAGUCAUUGUUUUUAUGUAUAUCUAUGAAUAUUGUUUUCAAAAGACUAUAUUGUUUUAGUGGUUAUUUUUAAUUUUUUUGCCAACUAAAAUUGUUAUACCAUACUAAAAUACGAACAUUUUCUAAAAUUAGGAUCCCAUAAUAAUUUACGUUGAACUAAUAGAUAUGGUUGAAUAGUGAUCGUUCUCAUGAGGGGACUACUAUAAUAUUUUCGACAAUUUAGCCUCCUUUUGAGAAUAAUUCAUAAAUUCGUCAUUACGGCUUUUAUUUAUAACUUAAACUUUAUCGUUUUCCAACCUUAACUAUAGGAGACUCGAACCUAAAUCAAGUCAAUGACUUGAUAAGAUGUUACCACUAGAGCUAGACUUCAAUCUCAUCAUUGAUCAUUACUUAUUGUUCAAGCAAUCGUGUAUACGUAUUGUUACGACUAGUAUAGCCCCAAAGUUCUCUUCAAAACUAUGUCUACACAUAAAAUGAGUCGAGAUGUCUUGGUUCAACCACUUUACACUAAAAGAGGAAAUUAGGCUAGGUACGGCCUAAAACCAAGAGAAUUGAUUAAUACACUCAUUAACCUUUUAUUAACCGUAUUUUCUACGUUUUCACGGAUAGAAAUUCAUUAUGACCGCAUCCUUGGACUGAUUCAAAAUCAUCUUCUUCAGUUUCCGAUAAUGGUUUGAAGUUUGUAUUGCAUCUCGGCCUCGAAAUCUUUGGGCCACAAUAUCGUACGCCUUGGAGGCUCGCCCUAAAACCCCAAACUAAACAAUCCCAACCAAUUUCUCCAUCAUCUCUGCCUGUAGCGGGUACAAUUUUUGCCAUGGCUCGACUCUGUUUUGACAGUCAUACGCCAUCGGAUCUUAGCCGUGUUAUUGAAGAUUGGACGAUAGGUAGAGCCAUAAAUCCCUUGCUUUCUAAAGUGGUUUUGGAUUUUGAAAGGGACCCAUAUGAUUUUGUGGAUGAAAUCAGGGAGGAAAAUAAGGAUUCGGAAGGAGAUGAAAAUAAGGAGAUUUUGCAUAUUCAAUGUUGGAGCAGCGUGCAAGUUUGCUUCACAAUAAAAGUGUGUGAAUGAAUAUAAUAUGUAGAGCGUACGUAGGUGCGGUUAUAAUCAAUUAAUCAUAAUAAUAUAUUGCCUUGCACAAUUUUAAAGGUAUUUUGUAAAUUGCCUUGCACAAAUAAAUGGUGUUACUUUGAUGUUUGUCAUUUUUUUUGAAAUUGUGUCGCUUUUUAUUUUUUAUUUUUUUCUUUUUUUAAAAUUUUGUCAUUUUUGAAGUGUUUGUAUCACUUUUUUGAACUUUGUCCCUUUUUCGAGUUUGUGUGACUUUUUUGAAUUGUGUUAAAAAAUAAAAAAUAAAAAGGUAACAAUUUUUGUAAAAGAAAUAAAAAAAUAUAAAAAAAAAGAUAUUGUGUCACUUUUUAAUUUUGCACAGUAUUUUUUACUUUCAAAAAAAUUUUAUAUGAUUUUUCAAAACAUCCUUAAUUUUAAGGGUAUUUUUGUACGUUGCCCAAUAAUGAAUAUAAUAAUAUUAUUGCGAGUGGAGUCUAACCAUGAUUAAGGUUGACAAUUGACAUCAAAAUCAUAUUAAUUUAUUGACAUUUUAGAGUAUUUUUAAGAUAUUCUUUAAACACAAAAUGAUCUUUAUUUUAGAUUCAAAAUAAGAUUCAAAAGACUUUCUAUUUUAACUUUUUAAAAUAAAUAAUAAAAUUUAAAGAGUCAAACACACUCUCUAUUCUUAAUUUAUAAUAAUUACAGUUAACAAAUUACAAAUUUCAAUAUUUAACAAUUUAAAUUAUUCAAAUUAUUUUGGAAUUGAUUAGCCAUUGACAUUUGAAAGGUUAUGUUAAAUAAAAGAUGAUGAGAAAUUAAUAAAUGUUCAUUAAAAAAAUAAAAUAAACAGUCAAAAUAGAAAAAUUAUCGGAGAACAUAUAAAAUUUUAUCCUCUAAAUUUAAUUAUACUCUUUAUAAAUAGAGAGUCUCUUGAAAACGUUCUUAUAGCCAUUGAGUUCCAACCCUAUCGCUUAGUAAUCUAGAAAUAUCUGUGUUUUUGUAUGGUUUAUUUUAAUAAAAUCAGUUUUUGAUGUUUUAAUGAAUUUUUAUUAUUUCAUAAUCAAUUUGAUAAAAAUUGUUCUUUAUUUGAAUGGAUAUUAAAAAUAUAUAUACAUUCUAAAAUAUGACAAUAUUUUAUAGUGGUAAUUUAUUCAUAAUUGUCCAUUGUCAAUGAAAAAAAUUGAUUAUCGAGUGAAUCAAUUUGAAAACGUAUAUUUAUUUAAAGAGAUACAAUCCAAGUGAAACAAGAAAAAGUAUAUUUUAUCUAUGUGCCAUGAAUUGAAAACACAAGCACUUAAAAAUGAUUAUGAGCAAUAUUCCAAUUAUACUAAUAUCUAAUAAUUAAUAAGGCCGGCAGUUAUAAUUAAUAAAUUAAUAAAUAUUAACAAUAAAGUAAUUAAUAAGUAUAUUUUAAAAACUUGAGACUGUAGUUGAUAAAUUAAUUUCUAAAGAGAUUCCACUUAGCACGAUGAGAUAUUGAAAGAAUCGAGACUCUACAAACCCUGUCAUGGAUACUACAACUACUAUCCAUAAGGGCAUUUGUCGUUAUUGUCAUCUACUAGAACACCAAUGUCAACUAGUGUAAAAUGUGGUUGAGUCAAGGAUUAUUUUUGGAAGGCAAGAGAAAUCUUGGAAGGCAAGGAUUAUUUUUGGAAGGCAAGACGCAACUUGAAUAGGCUUGUUAGGCACUUUGGCAGAUCAGUUGGAGAGGGCUCGGACCCUGACUAGUUGGAGGCACAUCCCGCGGUUAACUGGACUGUGUGAAGAGGGGCCGGAUCACAGACUCAAGGAUUAGUCAAGAAUUGGACACCUUGUAAAAAAAAAUGUGGUUGAGUCACAUGACUCAUUAGUGACAAGCUAUAAUACCACUUCAAAGUUCAAAUUUAGCCAAUUUAUUUUUACUUAAAAAGCUCUGAUACCAUUUGAAAGUUCAAAUUUAGUCAAUUUAUUUUGACUUAACGUACAAGAUUAUACAAAUAAAAGUAACAAUUCACUUUUUGAUUAUUUCUAAAUGGUUAAUCAAUCACGUCAGAUUAUCAUAUGGUUUGAAUGUUAUAAUUAAUAAUAUGAAACCAAUAAACAACACAAAAUAUAUUGAAUAACAAACUCAAGUUGACAGUCUAUUCACCAUAUUGAGUUUGAAGGGUGUUAGAGUAACUCAAACUGUAAUCAUUAUAUAGAUAUCAUAGUAAUUUUCCUUAUUUAUGAACUAAAGAAGAUGGCAGUUAGAAAAAGCAGAAUUUUGGUGUUAGGAUUUGAAUUAAACCAUUUAUGACCAAAUUAAUGUAUCGAAAUUCAAAAAUGCUGUUUGUACUGAAAUUUCCCUCACAAAAUUUCCCCAGACACUCAUAUUGAUGGGUCCCAUGAUGUAAUAAAAAAAAUGCUAAAAAAAUUACACACCCUCCAUUGUGAGUAUUUUGUGGCAUUUUUGUGAACAAUGUUGUCUAUACACACAACAUUUUUUAUCAGAAUUAGCUAUUUUAUAUAUAUUGAUAAAAUUAGAAUAAUUUAGUUCCUAUUUUGGAAUGAUGACUAAGAAAUCUCUUUUCCCAACGGAUAGAGACAAGUUGGGGCUAAAAAUAUUUUGAAAAGGAAUUUUUAAAUUUAAGAAAUUGGAAAGACAACAAAGAAAGAUUAACCAACGGAGUGCUGAUUGUCGAGUUUAUGGUAGCUCGAGUAAUGAGCUGGAGUUUUGGUUCUCGAAGGAGGAUCAUCCUUGGGUGAUUUUUGUCAGAACACGAAUUAUAUAUUCGAUUGAGUUCUCCGAUAGAUAGAGCUCACUAUGUGCAUAGGCACACUUUUUGUAUUUCUUUUGAAAAUUUUUGUUGGGGUGCGAGCUCUCUGGAGUAUUUUUGGAGAGUUCUUCAAGUGGAAUUAGAGUAGUUCUUGGUUGUUUUUACACUGCUUGUUAUUCUUGAUCUCUCGUCUUCACUAAUUUUUGUAGAUGGUUGCUCUGACUUGGAUUUCUUUUUCGUGGACACAAGUAUUAUCACAACUCUCACGGCCUAUAUCUCUUUUCUAAUCUUACGGUCGUUAGAAGACAGCCACCGAAAGAUCACGGUCAAGCAAAUUCACAAUAGUGACAGCAGUACAACAAACCAUAGCAAGUGGUGGUCGUGGUGCUGCAGCGACUUGAAGAAAUCGACUACGACUGUAGGGGAGAUGGUGGUCUGACAGUUGCAGUCGGUGAUUUAGGGUGGAUCUAGGGCAAAUGUAGUGGUGGACGUUUUGAUUUUAGAUUUGAUGUAGAUGUGGUGGUGGAAAUGGACUCACGACUGUGGAAAGAUGGUGGUCCGACGACUACAGUCAGGGAUUUGGUAUGGAUCUAGCGUGAAUGUGGUAGUGGUUGUGUUGGUAGCGGUGUUAAUGGUUGUGGAGAUUGUGGAAGUGGCGGUGGAAAUGGACUCACGACUGUGGGAAGAUAGUGGUCCGGUGGCCGUCGUUAGCGAUUUAAUGGGAUCUAGGGUGAGUGUGGUGGUGGUGAUUGUGUUAGUAGUAAUGUUAAUGGUUGUAGAGCAGUGGUGGGGAACUGAGGUGUGGUGGGUACGGUAGGUGGUGGAGGUGUGCUACUUUGAUGCCAUAGGUGCGGUGGUGGGUGGGUGAGAUGUGGUGGUAACGGUGGUAUGUUAGUUCUGUCGGAGGCAAUUUCGGAAACGUUACGACUAAUGACAGUGGUGAGAUGGUGGUCACAAAUGAUUUGGUUGACUAUGACCAUUAAAUUGAUUAAUCUAUGACCAAUAAAAAAGAUAAAUUGUAACCAAGAAAUUGGUAAAUUUGUAAUAUGUGACUUAAAAAUUGUGAUUGUGGCUCACAAUUGAUUAAAUUGUGACCGAAAAACUAAUGGUGACCAAUUAAUCUAAUAAUUUGUAACGAAUAAAUGAGUUGUGACCAAUAAAAAUUUUGAUUCUGUGAUCGAUGAAUAAUUUGUGACCUAUAAAAUUUUUGAUUCGUGAUCGAAAAAUAAUCUGACCUAUAAAUUUUUUAUUCUUGACAGUGGUGAGGUGGUGGUCACAAAUGAUUUGGUUGACUAUGACCAUUAAAUUGAUUAAUCUGUAACCAAUAAAAAAGAUAAAUUGUAACCAAGAAAUUGGUAAAUUUGUAAUAUGUGACUUAAAAAUUGUGAUUGUGGCUCACAAUUGAUUAAAUUGUGAUCGAAAAACUAAUGGUGACCAAUUAAUCUAAUAAUUUGUAAUGAAUAAAUGAGUUGUGACCAAUAAAAGUUUUGAUUCUGUGAUCGAUGAAUAAUUUGUGACCUAUAAAAUUUUUGAUUCGUGAUCGAAAAAUAAUCUGACCUAUAAAAUUUUUUAUUCUUGAUCAAGAAAUAAGUUGUGACCAAUAAUUUGAUAAGUUGUAAAUAAAAAUUAAUCUAUGGCUAAUUAAUUAGAUAAUUGUGACCAAUUUAUAUAGAUUGGUGACCUCAAUAUAUUUAAUUAGUAAAAUAUAUGUUUAAUAAAGUAAAUUAUAAAUAAAAUUUUAAAAUAUCUGAUUUUUGAAAGUCGAAACUUUAUUUCUUAAAUUUGAAAUGUGUCAUACUUAAUAUCUUAUUUAUGAAUUUUUCCUUAAAUUGAAUUGUUUUCAAUGGCCCAAAUGGUUUUAUGAUCAGGCUGUUUCAUUGAAGUAUCAACUUUUAAUUCAAUCAUUUGGUCAUUGCCGACUAAGAAAAGUAUACUGAGUUAUAUCAUUUCCCUAUAAAUCGUUUGACAAAAACUUGCCCAACAAUUUCUCCAUAGUGAUAAUUGAAGUACUACUUAGAAUGCUCACAAUAAUGUAUUUCACAAGUAAUAUAUACAAAAAUUGAUUGUCAUUUAUUCGUCAAUAUAUUCUGCAAAAUACUAUUCGUUGUCUCCAUAAUCUUCAUUGCUCAGAUUCGUACGUGUUUAUUAAAGCAUUACACCUAGUAGAUUCAAUGACUUGAAUAACAAACUCAAGUUGACAUUCUCUUCACCAUAAUGAAUUUGAAGGGUGUUAGAAUAACUCAAGACUGUAAUCAUUACAUAGAUGUCAUAGUAUUUUUCCUUAUGAACAAAAGAAGAUGGCAGUUAGAAAAAGCAGAAUUUUGGUGUUAGGAUUUGAAUUAAACCAUUUAUGACCAAAUUAAUGUAUCAAAAUUUAAAAAAAAAAAGCAUUUUGUACAGAAAUCUUCCUCACAGAAUUUCUCCAGACACUCACAUGGGUGGGUUCCAUGGUGUAAUAAAAAAUGUCAAAAAAAUCACUCACCCUCCAUCGUAUGUAUUUUGUGGCAGUUCUGUGAACAAUAUUGUCUAUACACAUAGUAUUAUUGAUCAGAAUUAGCUAUUAUAUAUAUAUAUAUAUAUAUAUUGAUAAAAUUAGAAUAAUGUAGUUCCUAUUUUGGAAUGAUGACUGUGAAAUCUCUUUUCCCAACGGACAGAGACAAGUUGGGCCUAAAAUUAUUUUGAAAAGAAAUUUUUAAAUUUAAGAAAUUGGAAAGACAGCAAAGAAAGAUUAACCAACGGCUUUCGAUUGCUUUACCAAAUGACAUGUCCUUGGAUCCCACUUAAGACCUUAAAGGCUCAAGCAACUCACAAUGACACUCCUAACACAUGCAUAUGGGACCUAAAUUUCAUCUUCAUAGAUUUUCAAAAUAUUUUCUUGCAAAAUUUUGAUAAAGAAUCUGUAAGUUUUUGAAUUUAGCCAUCAUAUCCCUUUUUUCUCGAAUAAUAUUAUUUAUAAUGAAAAUUAUCAACAGUCGCCCUACGUACCAUAUAUAUACCACGUAGGGCAACUUACUUAAAUUUCAUCUUCAUAGAUUUUUGAAACAUUUUAAAGAAUCUGUAAAAUUUUUAAGUUAGCCCAUAUUUGUUUAUAAUUAUUUCAAAACCCUUUUUUUCGAAUAAUGUUAUUUAUAGUGAAGAGUGCUAGCAAUCAUCCUACGUGGACUACGAGGUAUACCACAUAAGUUGUCUAUAGUUUUCACCAUGAAUAACAUUAUUUUUUCUCUAGUUCAUUUUCUGUCAUACAUUCUCAUAAUAAAAUAUUUUACAUGUAAACUCGAAAUUGUUUCUAAAUUUUGACCACAUAAUCUCCAAACAUUCGUUAUUUCAAAACUUAUUUUAUUGAAUAAUAAUAGACAAAGAGGGGCUCAAGUAGAUAACCGAUAAAUAGAUAUUUAAAGAAUUAGCUUAUCGACACAUUAAAUUGACCAUAUUCUGUAGCAAUAAUAUAUUUUAGUUAUGGCAUUUGUGUGUGUAUAUAUAUAUUGAAGAGGUAAUCAAACUUUAAAUUUAUCAAAAAUUAAAGUUGAUUUGUCAUUGUAUCCCUGCAAAUUUUUUUAAAAAUACUAGUUAAUAAGUAUGUUGAAGUCCCAACUACUACAUUUACCUUUACGGAAAAAAAAAAAAAAAAAAGAAAAAGAAAAAAAAAAAGGUUGAACUCCAACUUUGAGAACUCCCACCGUCCAGCCCCUAGAACUUUGUGAGAAAAGUAAAUCACGGGAUGUGUCCCAACAGACUAAAGAACAAGAGUUGUCUGUACACUGCGCCUAUAAAGAGAACCUUUAUGGCAAAAUUAAAAUUAUAUUCAAUCACAUUAGACUACUUUGAAAAUCGAUAUUAAGAGGAAAAUUAUGAUAAAGAAACUCAAAAGGUUUACAUAAUUCUAUUUACUACUACAUUUAUUUUUUUAAUUAAUUGCCCAUGGUUUUGAAAUUCCAAGGGUCCAUUCCAUUAUAGUCCCACCGAAUCUUAUCCUCUAAUUUGCAAGUUAUAUUGCCCAAAUUUCAUUCCAAUAAUGAUAAUGAUAUUAAAGAAAUUAAUCAUAUAAAUUUAGCAUAUAAAUAUUUUUAAUAAUGUUAUUUUGGUGAACUCAAAUUACAAAAUUCCAAUUAUGUAAAUAGUGAACAAUUACAUACAAAUAAUUAGGGGUGGGCGUUUUUUCUCGGAACUGAAUUGGUACUAGAUAGAAUCAGUAGGUUCAAUUUCGAUUACUCUACUAAACAGGUCGAUUUUGAGAUUAUGGAUCGAGAAAUUAUCAAUUAUUGUCUGAUUCUAGGUACUAAAUGGAUCGAUAUUGUUGUUUGGACUUUCUUAAGAUUAUUCAAAUUCUAUCGAUUAUGUUGUGUUUUAUAGUUUAUUAUUUUUCACAUUUAUGAAUUAGUCUUGUAUUUUGGAGUGCAUUUUUUUCUUAUUUAAUUGACUUUUUGUAUUUUUAUAUCAUACGAAUGAAAAGUGAUUUCAUACUCUAUAUUUGUUUAUUUUUAACUUGACAAGUAUUUUCAUAAUUUAUUUUGAUAAUUUUGAAAUAUAAAGAAUUGAAUCAGACCGAAUCAAAAUUAGGUGGUUUGAUUUCGGUUCGAUUCUAUAGUUAGAUAUGAAAACAAUGAUUCCAUUUCUACGAUUUCCAUUGAUAUUUGAUUCAGUUCUGUUCUCUUUAGAAUCGAACGAAAUCAGAUCGCUCCAAUUCUUACAAGUAACAUAUUUGUUUAGUAGAAGAAAAUUUUGCACCGAACCAAUAUAUAGGGGGGAAAAAACAAAAAACAAAAGAUUUUCAUAAUUUUCUUACGUAAAUGGGUGGACAAAGUCUAGGGUUGUCCCUACCUCCGACCAUGGAUGGAUGUACACACGAUCAUAAUCAAAUACGUAAGAAUCUUGAUAGAAGUAAGUGUCUUCUUUAUUUUUUAAAAAAUGUGUAAUGAAGUGAUUCUCUCUCUUUACAAAAUACUUCAUUAAUUUAAAUACGCGUAACAAUAAAAUUUUGAAUGCUUGCUUGCUUGGUUAUGAUUACAAAUUAUAUUUUAAACAAUAUUGUUUAUAGGCACCAUACAGUUGCUGAGUUGUCAGUACUUAUAUGGUGCAUUUUUUUAUUGAUUUUUGCAUUUAUUUUGGCAAAAAAAGAUUAAAAUUUAUUAACCAAUUAAUUUAUAUAUCGGCCAUUGAAGUUUAUUAACCAAUUAAUUUAUAUAACAUGUCAUCGGUGAUUAAUAUAAAACUCGUUUGGUACAAUUAAAAAGUUAAUUAAAAUCAAUUUUUUGAUCGUUAUUUCACUAUUAUAAUCAUUUUUUUUUGAAUUCUUCUCUUACAAAAAGGAUCCACUAUAUCUCUAACAGUCAAAAAAUUAAUUAUCAAAAUUUUUACCAAACAAGCACAAAAGAUGAGUAUUAUAUCAUUUGAAGUUUGAAACUUUGAAUAGGUUGUCGUGGACCCCACUAUAGAAGUGGUAACGAGCUGGCAAUACAGACUGUUACACCCCCACGCCUCCAUAUUUAUCCCCCACUCUUCGCUUGAAUCAUUUGUCAAAAAUCCAAGAAUUCUUUGUUUAUUAUCUCCAAGAAUUUCUUGUUUAUUUUCUUGUAUUGUUUAAGCAUGGCUGAAGAAACAAAGAAAUCUGUUGCUGAGGCUGUGGCUGCAACUGAAGAGGUUGUGGUAACUGAUGUGCCGGUGGCUGAGAAACCCACUGAGAAGGAGGCCCCACCACAGCCCGAGGCUGAGUGUGAGGUAGAUAAGACUGAGAAACCGGCGUUGGAAGAGGUUGUUGAAGAGAACAAAAUAACUGAAUCGGCUUCGUUUAAAGAGGAAAGCAACAAGGUCGAUGAUCUGAUUGACCCACAAAAGAAAGCUUUGGAUGAAUUCAAAGAAUUGAUUCGGGAAGCCCUUAACAAGCAUGAAUUCACAGCUCCGCCGCCUGCGGCCAAGGAAGAAGAAAAGAAACCUGAAGAGAAGAAGGAAGAAGAACCAAAACCUGAAGAGAAAAAGGAAGAAGAAGAAUCUAAACCUGAGGAGAAAAAAGAAUCAUGUGAGGCUCCUUCUGGAGUUCCACUGCCGCCUGAACCAGAGGCCCCGGUGGAGAAAAAAGAGGAAGAGAAACCUACUCCAUUGGCGGCGGCGGAGCCAUCAGAAUCAGUCGUUGAAAAAAUUGAAGCCACUGUUGAAGAAAUCAAAGAAACGAUAGUUCAUGAAGUUCCACCGCCACCAGCGGAAGAGUGUCCCCCUGCCCCGGCGAAGGAGGAAGCAGCCCAGGAAACAGCGCCACCACCCCCACCACCCGAGGAGGUUUCCAUCUGGGGAAUCCCACUUUUGGCAGACGAAAGAAGUGAUGUAGUUCUCUUAAAAUUCCUCAGAGCCAGAGAUUUCAAGGUGAAAGAGGCCUUCUCCAUGCUCAAAAGUGUUGUCGGUUGGAGAAAAGAAUUCAAAAUUGAUGAAUUUCUGGAAGAGGAAUCCACUGGAGAGGGCCUUGAAAAGGUUGUGUACAUGCAUGGAGUUGAUAAAGAAGGGCACCCCAUUUGUUACAACGCAUUUGGGGAAUUCCAGGACAAGGAUUUGUAUAAUAAUACUUUUUCUGAUGCUGAGAAAAGAGCCAAGUUUUUGCGAUGGAGGAUUCAGUUUCUUGAGAAAAGUAUAAGGAAGCUUGAUUUUAGCCCUGAAGGUGUUUGUACAAUUGUCCAAGUGAAUGAUCUGAAAAAUUCCCCUGGACUUUUCUUAUUCAAGAAAGAACUCCGCCAGGCCACCAACCAGGCCCUCCAGCUGCUCCAGGAUAAUUAUCCUGAAUUUGUUGCCAAACAGGUAUAAUUUCACACCCGUUAUCCAAUUGAAGUUAACAGUUUUAAUCUUUUAGAUGAGCAUUUCAAUUCGAAAAUUAUGCACGAGUUAAAUGAACAAACAUGUAUCUUCUCUUAACAGUUUAAGAUUUUUGACGAGGUAUAUGUUAAAUAUCUGACUUUUAUUCGUGCGUUGGUGGUGGAAAAAGGUGUUCAUCAAUGUUCCAUGGUGGUAUGUGGCCUAUAACAGGAUGAUUAGUCCAUUCUUCACCGAAAGGACCAAGAGCAAGUUUGUAUUUGCAGGCCCUACUAAGACUGCUGAAACCCUCUUCAAGUUAGUCCUUAAAUUUAUUUUCAUUUGAUAAAUAAUCACUUUUUUUGUUCAAAAAUUAUGCAAGAUUUAAUGCAGAAUUUUAAUCUGGUAUUGGACUGUGAAAUUAUCAGAUACAUAGCACCUGAGCAAGUACCAGUUCAAUAUGGAGGCCUCAGCAGGGAUGGUGAACAGGAAUUCACAACUGCUGAUCCUGCAAUUGAGGAAUUUAUCAAGCCAGCAUCCAAGCACACUAUUGAAUUGCCAAUUACUGAGGUGAGCAAGUCUAUGAAAUUAGUGAUUUUCAACCUGCAAAAAGGAUACAUUGGCAAUAAUUCUGAGUUUGAAAUAUAUUAUAGACGAGUCUUGGCUAAUAAGUUCACAUAGUGGUUAAUAAAAUGGGAUUUGGCAAAUGAUCCCAGUUUUUCUGAGUAAACCAUAGCUUAUUAUAAAUACUUGUGGACAAAGCCCUUGAGACGUUGUGGUUUUUGGGCAAAUUCCAUCUCUUAAGGAGUCAAUGCACGUUCUUGUUAUCUUUUCAGGAUUUAGUUGCUUUUUGGGAUUAUAUUUAGAAAUUCUCUUGAAAAUGAUUUUUGUUUUGAUAAUUUUCAAAUUUUCCUCUAUUGCUAGGAUUUUGGUUGCGUUGUAUAAGCAGGAUCACUAUGAUUAUUGUUAUAAAAAAUUGGAUCUUCCCAAUUGUUUGUCCAAAACUCUCAUUAUUACGAGAGAAUCAACGAGUUUUCUAUGAUCAUUUCCUGGUAUAACGACUGAAUCACAGAAACUAGACAACUGUUUCUGAACUACACGCUUUCGUGCAUCAACAAUGCUUUUUCUUUUUUCUUUUUCUUUUUUUUAGAAAAUAAAAAUCUGUUUUCAUUUUGUUGGAUUGGCAGGCAUGCACAUUGGUUUGGGAGGUGAGAGUGGUAGGCUGGGAUAUAUCCUAUGGAGCUGAGUUUGUCCCCAGUGGUGAGGGUGGAUACACUUGGAUUGUACAGAAAUCAAGGAAGAUCGGGCAAUCUGAUGAACCGAUACUCAGCUGCAGCUUCAAAGCUGGUGAACCUGGCAAGAUUGUGCUCACAUUGGAUAACCAAACUUCUAAGAAGAAGAAGCUCAUCUACAGGUCCAAGAUUAAGUCCUCUGAUUGAAUUCCUUUCUGAAUAAAUAUAAUGCAGUAGAAUCAGAAGGGUCCCUUCUGUUCAAUUUAUAUAUAUUCUUUGCUUUUGAAUUAUAAUAUCUUGGGGAAGUCAUAUUUGAAUAUUUGUUCUUGGUUUUCUUUAAUUAAAAUUUCUAUGUUGGAUUGUAUGGUUUGGAGCAUGUUUAUUAUACAAGACUCUCGACGGGAUGACGAUGAAGGAGAAUUUAACUUAUAUUACUGUCAAGUAAGUCGAACGUGCCGACAGACCUAUAUACAGUGGGUUGGUUGCUGUAAAAUUUAUGUAAAUUUGAUAUUUUGUUCUUACCCUUUGUUUCUUUUUAAUGGAUGUUGAUAUUUAUUGGAUUCUUUGUAUACUUUUGUCAUUUUGUUUAUUCUUAUGAAUAGUCUUUCAUUUCAUUGCAGAAAAUGACAAUCUGUCAAAUUCUUGUUUAAUUUGAAAGUUAGAUUUGCCAGAAUAAGCAGAUACAACACCAGAUUUUGCUCAUUUCUUGUUUUUGUAGUUUUGCGUUUGCUUUUCAACAACUUGCGCUAAGAAGAAAACAUAAAUGACUUGGUAAACCUACUUAAGACCUUGUUUGUUACCCAUUAUUUGAAAAAUUAAAGAGUUAUGAAUAGUAUUUUUUGGAGGAUGUUUGGUUGAAAAAAAAAAAAAACUUUAUUGUUUUACGUGUAAAAAAUUUUAUUGUGUAAUGAAGUGGAGAAUGAUAUUGUAGUAAACAAUUUAAAAUUUUAAAAAGUGUCAAACAAAGGCUAAUUCUAGUGGAAAUUUUGUGAUAGUAGUAGUUCCCAACUAAUUAUUUCAAUAGUAAGUUGGUUUCUAAUAUUUGAAGUUGUGCAAUUUGGUCCCUUCUUUAUAUUUGCUGCAGUUAGUCCCUAUCUUUUGCUAAAUUGAUUUCUUGCGUUCUCGUCUAGUUUUAUGAAGCUGAGUUUUAUUUUCCAACUCGAAAUGAUGUGCAAUAAAUUUGCUAAGUCUUGUUUCUAUUAGGAAUUUUUUGAAGAAUUAGACUCUUUCGUUUAUAUUUUGCAAUUAUAAUAAAGGUAAGGGACCAACUUGGAUUUUUUUGAAGUCACAACUUUUUACCCCAGCAAUUAGCCGGGGAUCAGUGGUGCAAUUUUUUCCUAAUUCUAGAAAGAAAAUAUCUUAUGAGUUUCUUAGAGCUACUUUAAAAGGGCCAUCCAUCUUCAAUUGAGCUAAAUUCUAAUUUUAUCAAUUUUUUUUUUUAUCAAGUCCAUUUUUACUCACGCAUUCUUCCAUUAAAAUAAUUUUGCGCAUAAAUUUAAAAAAUUUUCCUACUUUUUAUCCACAAAAAUACUAUUAAAAAACUCAAUUUUAAGAAAAAACUUUCUUAUAAAUUCUCACACUCAAUUUUUCUUCUUAAAAUGUAUAGAAACAAAUUAUCUAUUUGAUAUAUACUUUUGAGAAUAGAUUUCAUAAAAAAAUAAUUAUUUUGAAGGACAUAUGAUAAAUAAUAAAGAAAAUUUAUGAAUUCACACUUAAAAUUAUUAGAUUAAGAAAAUGUAAUAAUUUAACAUAAAUUUGAAAGAAAAGAAAAAUUUUAAAAAUCACUACCAAACAAACAAAGGCAAAAAUUCUUGGUAUAAAUAAAUAAUUAGAAGGGCGCUGCUUCAUGUACAGGUAGCGUCCCUAUCGAGUACUCACAACACCGAGGGUAGGUGGGGCUUUUGGAUUUUUUUAUACAGAUGUGUCCUGCAUUUUAGUGUGAGUAUUGUUAGGGGUUCUCUAACCCUACUCCUAGUAAACCAGCAAAAUUCUAAUUAGAAAUGCAAUGAAUCACUUGUAGAAAAAGAAAAGGCAAUGCAUAUCAAGAUGCUUUUUUGGCACGUAGUUAGAAAUGACUUUAUUUUAUGAUAAUACGAUUUCCAUGUUGUUUGUCUUAAAGUUAGGUAUUUUAAUCAUUAAUCGUCCAUCAACUUUAAUAAAAUAAAUAAAGUGGUUGUUUAAGUGUUUGGUUAAAGUGUUUUUUUCGGAGAUUACACUAAUAUUUUUAUCGUAUAGAAUCUUUUACACACUCGAGGAUUACUAGAAUGAAGUGAUCAUUAAGGUUAAACUCUCACGUCAUUUAAAAAACAAUAUUUUCCCAAAAAAAUUGAUUUUUUAAGAUAAGGUCUUAAGAUUCGACUUGAUAUUCAAGUUUAAAAAUCUUAGACAAGUAAUUUAAUGAUAUUUGCAUUAUUGUAUCGACUAAUUUCAAAUUGAAAAGAAAAGGGGAAAUUUUUUUGAUUUGGGUGUAUACUUUGUUACAUUGGAUAGAAUUAUGCUGAGUUUGUCGUUGUAAUUUUAAAGACAAUUCAUGUCUAUGAAAAGAGAAUUAAACAAGAGAAGAUUCUUGGUCGAUGUAUAACUUGAAAAGAAAACAAAAACUUGUAUCAUAUUCAGUAAAGUAGAUUGAAUAAUAUUAAAAGAAUUAAAAUUCAUAAACAUGCUAUUAAAGAGGGAUAUGAUGUAACACGAGCAAUCUUAAGGUUUGAAUCAUGAAAGAGGAGCAUGAUGUAACAUGAGUAAUCAUAGUGUUUGUGCUAACAUUAUUAAAGGUUUUCCAUGAAAAUCAUAACAUUAAAGAGUAAAAGUUUUAUAUCAAAGAUAGAAUUCCAAAGGAAAAACUUUAAAUUAGAAUAAAACUUUCAAGCAUUAGCACUUGGUACUUGUAGCAAUGUUAGGUGGGAUGAGCCAAGUAAUAAUUUACCAUGUGGGGUUAUUCUAAACAAACAGGUCCCUGGCGCCCCCUAUUGGAGGGGGCGUCAGCCCCUGUCACAGUAGUAGGUCCCACCAUGUGAGCCUCUCGUCCACUUACGCAUGAGUCAACUAGUCAUACCUCUACUUAUCAUAUGAUACUUCUCUCGUUAGACAAAUUUGAAUUAGUUGUCACGAGUUCAAUUUUUAUUAACGAGAUACAACAACAGCAAAUUGAAAUUAUGUUUUAUAGAUAUAUAAUGAAUUGCAAAAUUUUUUUUAUCAUGUUCAUUUAUUGUUACAUUUGUUGGUAGCUUGGCUAAUAACAUUAUGUUCUACUUUCUUUUUUCUAUAUAACAUGAGCUACAAUUCCCAUCUUAUGUGAGAGUAAAAAAGUACGAUGUGUGCCCUCAUCUUGACAGUUUAUACUGCAACUAAUGAGAAAGAACUGUAUCGUCCUAACUAGUUAUUUCUCAACAUUUAAAAAGGACAACAAUUAUAAUAUGAUCAAUCAAAAUUUUUAUCAAAUAGAGUAUUACGCGGAGACAAAUGGUGUAAUUUUGUAAUGCAAAACGAAUUCAAUUUCAAGAUAAUUACAAAAAAUAGCAAGUCAAAGAAGAAUUAACUAUAGACAAAUAAACACAGUUCAUGACAUACAUUCUCGGAUUCCUGAAAAAUCCUUUUCAGCAUUUAUUGGUUUGGACAUUGUGACAUAGUUUUAGUAAGGGUUCAAUCUUUUUUUUAGUAAAGAAAAAUUCCAAAAAUCCCUCGAUUUGACACCCGAUGUUAGCGCCUCUUGGAAUUGAAUUGUAUCAAAUUUUAUCAUAAAAUACCACCUCGUGACUCUCACGUGAAACACACACACAUACAUAUGUGUGUGUGUCCAAUUACCCUAUUUGUACAGUCAUAAAUGACAACCUUUGUUGGUAUCAUCACAUCCAUUCAUUUUUUAAAUUGUCAAAAACUAUUUUUUAAAUCAUUGGCUCGAAUUUCGCCACCUCCAGCAUUGUCAAUAAUAUUUGUCAAUUAAUAUUGUACAAAUAACUUAAUUCAUAUAUGUCAAAGAUAUAGAACGUGUUUUAUUAUGCUUAAAAGUAAGUCAAAAGAAAUUUCAAGAUGUUGAAUUAACUCAAUGUUAUCAUAAAUAUUCUCAAAUAUGAUUAUUAAAUUUAAAUUUCACUAAUAAAUUUUCUCUUUUUUUUUUUUUUUUUGCCUCAACUUACUAUUUAGACUUUUAUGCAUUGCCAAACAAGCUUUAUAAUGGUCAAUUGUAUUUUUCAUUACAAAAUCAUUAUUAUGCAAUAUAUCCUGAUGCGCAUGUAACUUUGUCCCUUAGGAAGAAAAACUAGUAGUCGCAAUUAGGGUUGGACAAAAUUCCUAAAUCGAAUCGAAUCGAGCGAUUCUUCUCAAAUUAACACCCAAACAGGUAUCUGAAUCGAGAACCGACGAGUUUGGUUCAAUUCUCGGUUCUAGAUUAAUAACCGAAGAACCGAAUAAAAAUCGAAUCUCUCUAAUUUUUUUAAUUAAUUUAUUUUAAAUAAGUCAAAUUAUUUUAUUUUUCUAAAUAAAUUAGUUAAGUAGUUAAUUUAGUUCAAACCCAAAAAUAUGAUAUUUUCCUAUUUCUAAUUUUUAGUUCAUAAUCAACUCAAUCAAAUUGAUUUAAAUUUUAUCUAAAUUUACUACUCUACCGUGGUGUCAUUUCUACCGCUCUAGAGAAAUCGAAUUGAAACUUGACAAAACCUUUCUUAAUUAUUUUGAGCUCGCUAUUUUCCUCUUCCUGUAAUUUUAACAAUCAAAUAUAUAAACAACUUAGCAAAGAGAGAUGCAAAAGGUACAUAAGAUUGGACUACGUUAUUUUAUAAAAACUAAAAUUGAACAUAUCAUUAGAUGAAUUAAUGUAACUUUGUAAAUAUUAAAAAAUUUAAUUAUAAUAUGGAACCUGGAAAUCGAAUGGAACCGAACCGAACUAAACAGAACUGAAUGGAACCGAACCCGAACAGUUCUAUAAUUAAAUUUAGACCCGACGAUUUCACUUAUUAAAUACCCGAAACAUUCGGGUACGGUUCGAUUCUCGUUAGAAACUAACAUAACACGUAGUUUAUGUCUCGUUAGCAAUGAACUAUAUGGACGGACUGGAAUAAUUCAUGUAAUUAACUCUUAAUUUUAUUGAAAAUGACAAAAAAAGGAUUCAUGAAACUGACUUCCACUCAAAUGAGGCUUAGUUUGUAAACGAUAAAUUUAAUUUCUUACCAGAUCAUUACAGCUGAGUCAUGUCGAGUCGAGCAACAAAUUUACUAUGUGAGCCUCUCGUCCAUUCAUGUAUGAGCCAACUAGUCAUACCUCUUACUUAUCAUAUGAUGCUUCCCUCGUUAGACAAAUUUGAAUUAGUUGUCACAAGUUCAAUUUUUAUUAACAAGAUACAACAACAGCAAAUUGAAAUUAUGUUUUAUAGAUAUAUAAUGAAUUGCAUAAUUUUUUUUAUCGUGUUCAUUUACUGAUAUAUUUUUUGGUAGCUUGGCUAAUAACAUUAGGUUCUACUUUCUUUUUUCUAUAUAAAGUGAGCUACAAUUCCCAUUUUAUGUGAGAGUGGAAAGUACGAUGUGUGCCCUCAUCUUAACAAGUUUAUGCUGCAACUAAUGAGAAAGUGUUGUAUUGCCCUAACUAGUUAUUUCUCAUCAUUUAAAAAGGACGACAAUUAUAAUAUGAUCAAUUAAAAUUUUUAUCAAAUAAAGUAUUACACAGAGACAAACGGUGUUAUUUUGUAAUGCAAAACGAGUUCAAUUUCAAGAUAAUUACAAAAAAUAGCAAGUCAAAGAAGAAUUAACUAUCGAACUUAUUCUCAUUUCAAGAGUUCAAGUUCGAUUGAUGUGAAGUCAAAAGUAUUUGCUUACGACAACUCCAUAUUUAAUUUUGGCAAAAAUCAAAUCUUUAAUAGAUUUUGAUAAAAAUUGAUGAAACAUGUGGUUAAAAAAUUUAUAAAAAUUAUGAAUCUCAUGAAAUAUGAAAUUAAAAUUAAUUGUUAAUUUUUACUUAAAAUUUUAGUUACUUUUCUAUCUAAAUCAAAUCGGGACAAUAUUUCACCAAUUUUGGGUGCAAAAUAAACACAGUUCUUGAAAUACAUUCUUGGAUUCCUGAAAAAUCCUUUUCAGCAUUUAUUGGUUUGGGCAUUGUGACAUAAUUUUAGUAAAGAAAAAUUCCAAAAAUUCCUCGAUUUGACACACGACGUUAGCGCCUCUUGGAAUUGAAUUGUACCAAAUUUUAUCACGAAAUUCCACCUCGUGACUCCCACGCGAAACACAUAAAUAUGUCCAGUCACGCUAUUUGUACAAUUAUGGAUGAUAACUUUUGUUGGCAUCAUCAAAUCCACCUAUUUUUUUAAAUUGUCAAAAACUAUUUUUAAACAAUUGGUUCGAAUUUUGCCAACUCCGACAUUGUUAACAAUAUUUGUCAACUAACAUUGUACAGAUAUCUUAAUUCGUAUAUGUCAAGAAUAUAGAACAUGUUUUAUUGUGCUUAAAAGUAAAUCAAGCGUAAUUUCAUGAUGUUGACUUAACUCCUCGACGUUAUCAUAAAUAAAUCAAGCGUAAUUUCAUGAUGUUGACUUAACUCCUCGACGUUAUCAUAAAUUUUCUCAAAUGGGAUUUUUAAAUUUAAAUUUCACUAAUAAAUUUACCUUUUUUUUUUUUUGGUAAAGUAAGCCUUAACUUACUAUUUAAACUUUUAAACAUUUGCCAAACAAGCUUUAAAAUGGUCAAUUGUAAUUUUCCUUACAAAAUCAUUAUUAUGCAAUAUAACUUAGUCCCCGUUUGAGCCUCAUUAAUUUUCAUUACAUCACAUUUCAUAUUUAUCUCUCCUAUUUUCAAUCACACAAUAUUUCAUAAAAUAAUAUUACACGUAAAUCGAAAUUUUUUCCUUUUUUUCAACCACUCAUUUUUCAAAAAAAUAAUAUUCCACCCAUUAAUUUUUCCAUAUAAUGGGGCCAAACAGGGGCUUAAUGUGCAUGUAACCUUGUCCCUUAGGAAGAAAAACUAGUAGCUGCAACUAUAACUGAUGCGUGAAGAGCAUAUCCAAUCGUGGUGUAAAAUAGAUCUAAAUUGUGAUUUAGAAUUUCAAAGUGACCAAAAAUCUCUGCAAUAAAAAUGUACAAACGAAAUGCAAAUUACAUUAAUGUAAAAGAAAAUGUAAUUUUACAUUUAUUUAUUUAUUUUUUUUUUACAUUCACAAGAGGCAAAAAUAAAUUUAAAUUUUUUAUUGGAGCAAAAUUUGAAAUUUAGAUUCAUCAAAAUUUACAUGAAAAUAUAAAGGUUUUUGUCAUUUGUACAGAAGAUUUUUUCACAGAAAUGAUACAGCUACUCACAUGGGAUGUGGGCCUCAUGUAAAUAAAUUAUUAUAAAAAAUCCACCCAUCCCUCUUGUAUCUAUUCUCAAGCAAUUCUAUCAACUUUCCUUCUGUCCGUGUAGUCUCUCUCAAAUAUAAAGGUAAUGUUUGAAAAUACCAAUGAAUACACUCAACAUGUCUGACAACAAAAUAUGUGCUGGUUGGCCUGUCUCUCCUUCACUGCACAUCUUGUCCUAAUCUGGACACAUUUUUAGUCCCUCGCUCAAACACCUUUGUUGCAUGUUACACCCACCACAAUUCUUGACCAAGCAAGAAGAUUUGAUUGAAGCUUGAUUAUAAAAUUACAUAAAUACCCACUAUUAAAACCGACUAUUAAAAUUCCGCAUGGAUGCAUUUUAUAAAGGAAAAUUUUCUUGACAGAAGAAUUCCAGAUACUCAAAUGGGGAGUGGACCCCAUGUGAGUAAAAAAUAAUUCAAAAAAUAACUCACCCACCCACCCCAUGUAGUGUAUAUUCUGUAAGGGCUAUGUGAAGGGCUGCCCUUCUAUAUCUUAAGUAGUAGACACAAUGCAGUAAAGCACUUGGUUAGGGAUGAACUGAGCAUGGCAUAAUAAUAUUAAGUCGAUUUAACUAGACAAUAUAACGAACAAGAUUAUAUAAUUUGUUUUCUCUUUCUUGAUAUGUCAAGUGAAAUCCACUGUUCCUACCAAACAUAUCACAAGUGUGUGAAGAGCAUUGAGAAUAUGACAAAGUUGUCAUCAUUAUUCACAGAGAUCUAUGUGACAGUGAGAUCAUUGUUACAUUAUCCAAUAAAGUUUGAAUACAUUUUUAGACAUUGGAAAAAUCGACAAUAAACAAUGACCCCACUGCCGCAUGGACUAAUGAUCGACAAACAGAGUAACACUAUUCAUAAUGUUCCCAAGCAUCAUAAAUAUCUCUAGAGUCUUAAUAAAGGAGCGUUGAAUCUCUUGAUAUCUAAUGUGGAAAAAGCAAAAGGUCAACUUCAUAGAAGUAGUUCUGUCGAAUGGAUUGGCCAGGCCGUUAAAUGAGACGCCUGGGCCGACCCGAAGCCCAGUUUACAUUGUUCUUCUGGCCCAACUUGAUCCGGCACACUGCCAAGCCUAUUGGGGGCAACAAUGAAAUUUGCUACCAGAAACAAGAAUAUCAUUUGCAGCCACGAGAAUAAAUGUGUAGAUUCUAAUCCCAAGUUUGUAACCAUAGAGACGAAAGAGAUGAAUAUCUUGUUCAGAUUCAAUAUUACAGAUAUUAGCUCUUGGGAGACUGCAAAAAACUCAAAAUUCAUAUGCAUAAGAGGGUCGACUACUUAAAUCAAUUUUUGUUGGAAUGAUAUCAAAAUAUUCAAAGGAAAUGGAGAAGAGAACAAAAGACGAAGUAAAAACACAUCUGUGAUAUCUAUUUUAUAUGAUAGUCAAGUCACAUUAGCAAAAUCAUACGAUGAAAUACACAUCAAAAAGCUUAGACAUGUGAGUAUAAGAUAUGAAUACGUAAGGAAAUUAAUCAAGAGUGAAAUAAUUUCUUUGAAUUACGUUAAGUCAAAUGAAACAUCUCAAUAGAGAUUUAGCCCUUAUUGAGCCCCAUUUUGGGGAAAAUGUAUUUCAAAAUAAUAAUUUUUUUUUUAAAUAUAUGAUUAAAAAAAUUUUAAAAUUUUAAUUUUUGCGUAAAAUUAUUUUAUUGAAUAACGUAUGAUUGAAAAUAGUUUUUUUCCCUAAGAAAAAGAGUUUUUAAAAAAUGAGGCUCAAACAAGGGCUUAGUAAUAUUUAAUUCGAGUAGGAUAAGAUUGAAACUCUUAAAAUGACAACGGCAUUACUUGUCAUUACUAAAACAAUAAUCCACGAAUUCAAACGAUAACAAAAAGUCAUUGGAUAAGUGAAUAGUUUUAGCAUUAUAAUUUUCAUAAGAACCCUAUCCAUGCCUUUGUUUGAGCCUCAUUAUUUGGAAAAAGUACAUUCUUAAAUAGUAUUUUAAUAUCAUUUCAAUCGUACAUUUUUCAGUAAAAUAAUAUUAUACGUAAAUUCAAAACUUUUUCUUAUUUUUUAAUCACACAUUUUUCAUCAAUAUACUAUUCAAAAAUUCAUUUUCCCCCAAAAUGGGACUCAAACAAGGGUCAUAUUGUAUAAUUCUUAUUGCUACUAAUAGAAGGUUGCCAAGUACAAAUAUCUCUAAAAGUAACAAAAUACUUGAAGAACGUCACCUAGAUGAAUUUCGAGGUGAUGCCACCUCAGCAGAGAGUUAAAGUUUCUUUCUUAAAAGUUCAAAUUAGGCUUUAUUAAUGCUACACGAGUUUGGAGAACUUAUGAAUACAUAACAUUUGUCUAUGUGCUUUCAUCGGAAUUAUCACAAAAAAUAACUUAUUUCAAACUAUCAUGCUACCUGAAAUUUCGAGAAUACUUUGUAAAAAUUACAUUAUGGUUAAAUUCAAAUCAAAAUAUACCUAAUCCUUACGCAUGGAUGUUGCUAAUUUGAAUAUGUGAUUAUUAUAUAGUUGAACAAGAUGAUUGUUGCAAUGUUGUUCAAUAAUAUAUUAGUAAGUUAUUUAGAAUAAUCAAAAAAUACACACGAGUGUAUCAAGUACGUGCAAAAACAACCGAAAGAAGGAAAAUUAGGCUAGGCAAUUGCUCAGCACAAAUUCGGGCGAUCGCCUAGCACAAUGUUUGUUCCUCGAGUUCCUGAAAGAGAGGCUGGGCGAAAUUUCCCUUCUUCCGUUUGCUUUUGCACUUACUUAAUACACACAUUUUUUGAUAAUUCCAAAUCACUCAUUAUUAUUGAAAAAUAUUAUAACAUUUUCUUAGUUCCAUUCAACUUAAUACUAACAAUUUCAAAUAUAGCAAACUCAAUACGAAAAUAUUUCAAACAUGUCAAGGAAUGUAUAACAUGAAAAGUAAAAUUAACACAUAACACAAAUAUACAACACAAAAAACAGACAAAUUCCGAACCACAGAGUUCCACUGUUGUACUACUACAUUCUCUCAGCAAACAUUCCUACUUUAAACCAUCUCUAACAUACAUGCUAAGUCAAUCUAUAGACAGAAUGACCAGCUACAGGUGAAAAUGCAUGAAAGAACCCGCAAAUAGAAAGUCGACUAUCAACUCAAAAACAACAUUCUAUCAACAACACAAAGAUAAGGAUGGUACGCGAGAAAUAUUCAGAAUACCCAUAAUUUGAUGCUAAGUUGAAAGUAACACUUUGACAGUUAAGGAUCAUUAAUUAUCAUAGGGAAAGACCUUGAAUCUGUAAAGCAGCUUCUUCUUCUUUGCUGUAGGGUUGUCAACAGUGAGUAGGAUCUUACCUAGCUCGCUAAUUUUAAAACUGUUAGAGACUACAGGCUCGUCUGUGGCAGCCAUCUUCCUCGCCUUCUCUAUGAUUACAGUAUAGCCACCUUCAGCAUUAGGCACAUACUCAGAACUGUAGCUUACUUCCCAGCCGACCACACGAAGCUCCCAAACGAUAAUGCAUUUCUGCAGAUCAAUCAGAUACCAAAUUAUAAGGGGAGCAAUUUAAUCUUUCAUUUCCAUAUAAAAACAUCAAAACGAUGCGUAUCCUAUCAUCCGAGGGUUAAAAAUACUGUUAGUAGUGUCGCUUCACUUUGGUCGUCAAACCUUUUCUUUUUCAAAAUUAGUCAAUGAACUUCUAUUUUUGUUUCUAUUGAAGCAUGUGCUAAUAAACAGAAAUGCCAACAUGGCUAAUGUAAAAUAUCACACCAUGAGAAUCUGUUAGUGCAACAUUUUUAUUGUCUAACAGAUCAAGAACACGUCUUGGACUAGUUUUACUUCGAAAUCUGCUUUCUCCAAGAGUAACAAAAAUAUAUAAAAACGGAAAAAUCUUAGUCUUCUUAAGGACACCCUCUCCGCCCACUGCACUACGUCAACAUUUUCGUUAGCUAAAACUUGUUGACUAAUUUGGAGGAAAAAAUUCCAGCAAUGGUACAAGUUGAGAGACUCCCUCAUUUGCAGUUGAAUUUCAUGAAACACAUAAGAAAAACACAAGUAGUUAGUAACUGAACCUCAUUAACUAUAAUUUCUACGGUCUGCUUGGUUGCUGGUUUUACAGUAAUCUCGGUGGCUGGAUCAUCAACAGUGAACUCUGGGUUGCAUUCACAGAAAUCUAUACUAAGGCCACCAUAUUGAAUAGGCACAUGCUCAGGAGAUAUGUACCUGUGUCACCAUUUAUCAACCAAAUUAUGCAACCAACCAAAAAUCAUAGUACAAAAGCAAUAAUUUUCAGUGGAAAAUACAAAAUUUUUACAUACUUGAAUAGAGUUUCUGGAGUUCUCGAUGGGCUAGCAAACACAAACUUGCUUUUCGUCCGCUGGGUCAAGAACGGACUCAUCAUCGUGUAGAAAGCCAAGUACCACCAAGGAACAUUGAUGAACACCUUUUAAAACAAGCCACAAGCAAUUACUUAAGUUAAAACAUUAAAUUGGACAAAUCAAUGUAAGGUGAUUAUUGGACUUCAUAGAUCACCAUAAAACACAAGCAUCUUUUUUUAUUCCAUAUCACCUUGAAUUCACUAUGCCAAACAUACCAAAAAUAUUUAAACAAUUUUAUGUUUCUUUUAAAUGAAUUAAGACCAAUGUCCUCCACCUAAAUCCUAAACAGACAAUAGGAACAACAUUAAUGUUCUCAUUUAUGUAUUCAUACCAGUGCAACAAAUUUUUGACUUCCAAGAUUCUAUUUUUAUCUCUCAAGACGUAGGAUAAACAUAUACAAAACCAAUGAUUGAAUUCUUAAAUCAUUCCCCAUUCGAACCCGCACAUUUAAAAAACAGAUCAUUACACAAGAUUUCUAUAAAUUGGUUAUAACUAUCAGUAUACCUGUUUUGUCACGAACUCAGGAUAAUUGUCCUGCAGAACCUGCAAUGCCUGUUUAGUGGCAAUGCGAAGCUCCCUUUUCCCUGGUCCAGGGGAGUUCUUGAGAUCACUAAUUUGAAAGAUAGUGUUAAUGCCACCAGGAGUAAAAUCCAGAUUCCUUAUACCCCUUUCAAGAAAUUGAAUCCUCCAUUUCAAAAAUUUCUUUCUUUUUUCGUCGUCCCCAAAUGUUUUUGCAUACAAUUCCUUGUUCUGAAAUUCCCCGUACACAUUAUAACACACUAGAUGCCCAUCCUUGUCUUGCCCGUGCAUAAAUACAACUUUUUCAAGAUCAUCUCCCAAAUCUUCCUUUAUCAGUUCGUCGAUAUUGAUUUCUUUUCGCCAUUUUAUAGUGUUUUUCAGCAUGGUGAAAGAUUCUUUCACCUUAAAGUCUCGUGCUCGUAGAAACUUCAGCAAUAUCACAUCACUCCUAUCGUCUUUAAGUAAGGGCACGCCCCAGAUGGAUACUUCUUCGGGUAAAUUCGAGGUAUCUGAGGGCGAUGCCAAGGUGAAAACGCCGGUGUUAAGUGCCUCCUGGACGAGGGUUUUGAAUUCUUCUAAUGCUUUACGCUCGAAAUAUGAGAGAUCUGAUAGUUUAUUGCUCUCUUCUUUGAAAGAAACCAGUGAUUCUGGAGCUUUUUUCUUCUCCAUUGAUUUUGAUUUUUCGGGUUCGACUACUUCUUUCCCAACUGGUGAUUCAGACUCUUGUGGCACUUCCAGUGCCGCAGCUAGAGGCUGUGAUACUGGUGGUGCUGGGAUGGUUUCCUUUUCAGUGGAGGUGACGGAUACAAGCUCCGCCCCGAGCGUCGGUGAUAGAGGGGUAUCUUUUUCUAUAACAGUGACGGCUUCUUUGAGCCUCUCCUCGACUGUGAGUGGCGGUUCACUUGGUGGUGGCGCCUCUUUCUCUGAUGCAAGAGCAAACGACGCCAGUGGUGGCUCGGUUUCUUCUGAAAAAGCAGAUUCCGGCGGUGAUGAAGUUGCGAGCGGAACCGUCUCCGCCGUUAACGGCGACUGCUGGGUGGCUUCCGGUGGAGCUGUCUCUAGGUUCGAAUCUGCCAUUUUCCUCGAUGGUGAUGGUGAGAGAUAGGGAGUGUGUGUUCUGUAGAAUAAGUAGAAGAAGUGAUGAGGAUGAAACCGAUGAAGUAGCGGCCAGAUUGUGACAGUGUUCAUUUUUGUUUCAUUUAUAAUUUAAAUAGAAAUAGAAAAAUGUUUAUAAUUAGCAAAUUAAUUUAAAUAGAUGUUAAUUUAAAUUUUCUUAAUGACGAAUUUAUUUGAGAUAUUACAAAAAUCAAAUUAAAUUUUGUUCUUUAGCUGAAAUAGAGAACCAAGUUAAAAAAAAAAAAAACUCUUCUGUUAUCCAAAAAUUAAUUAAAUUAAAUUAAAUUACAAGACAAUUUACUCAAAAGUUUAGCCAUGUUUAGUAGGAAUUCAAAUUCUAAUUCAAAUUUUAAAAAAAGUCAAAAGUAACAAUUAAUUUUAAUCACAUAUUUUAUGAGAUCAAUGACUUUUCAAUCACAUAUUUUAUAAAAUUUUAUUAAAAAUCUGAUUUUAAUCUCAAUCCAGCAAUAACUUAGCACCCGUUUGUUUUCCAUUCUUUUCCUCAUUAAAAUGAAAAAUAUGGCCGUUAUUCAUCACAUCAAGCCACCAAAUUUGAAUUUUUAUCUUCUGUGUGGGGUUCGUAACGAUUAUAUUUUUCAUUCUUAUUCUUCCGAAAAUGGGAAACAAACGGAUCCUUAAUAAAAGAAUACUAAAUUUGAAUUAGAUUUCGUUUCUUUAUCUAAAAUCAAUAAUCAAAGUAAUUGUCUAAUUCUUGAUUCUAAUAUUGAAAAUGGGUUAAACUUUAGAAAUUUUAUAAAUCAGUCAAUUUGAUCGGAACCGAUCUAGCGUGAGUGGUUUUUGAAAAGUGAAAAUAUGUCUUUAAUUUUGAGUAAAAUAAGUUAGAAAUAGGAAUUUAUACUUUAAAAUCAACCUUACAUAAUAUAAGUAGUGAAAUAUUUUUAUAAUUAAAAUCAGCAUAUUUAAAAGCAAAAGUAGAAUAUUUUACAAUAUUGAAAUUAGUAUACUUAACCCGACGUAUAUAUUUUAAUGUCAAAAGUAAAAUGAGAACCAAAAAAGUAAUAUAUUUUAUAAUUUUUGACAAAAGAUAAGGAUUAUUAUUAUGGCGACAAGAGUCAAAGCAGUUCGUGAUGUGUUCUGUCAUUAGAGUUGACACGACGAAGUGGCGGGAUUGGUGGAAAAGAGAAUCCUAGGUUAGGUAUACCUUAAACAUUUUGGGCCGCUACUUCGUCAAAGGCCCAUUAAAUAUUUUGACUUAUGUAACUCAGAGUACAGAAGUUCGAGCUCAGCUACAAAAUUCGGGAUUAAAUCCUGGAUUUAAAUCUAGAUUGGGGUGGUCGCUAUCUCGUUCUUUGAUCUUGAAUUUCAUGGGACCCACAACAUAAUAAUCAAGGGUCGAGGUAUUGCCGACACCUUGACCUGUCAACAAGGCCUGUCAUUGGCCCUGUUUGAAUGGUAAAACUCAAUUCAAAAUUAGCAAACUUUUCGAUAUAAUUAACUUGAAAUGAACAGUUGCGAUGCGAGUUUUGAUGGAAUACAAAAUGAUUACUGCUCACUAAUGAGAAAAUCCUAUUUGCUUGAGAUUUCCUUUUAAUUGAUUUUCUGCUAGUUUAAUUUAAUUAGUUCUAAUGGUAAAGAUUAAUUAUUUUUUUUAAAAAAAAGCUAACUUAUAAGUAAAUUUUCUUAGCUUAGUUUAUGAUAUUGUGUGAGAGAGCACGUCAAACAUAACGUGAAGGAUAGUUGAUCGUAGUGCAUUCUCAUGUCUUUAACAGUGAUAGUGAAGAGUAAAUACAAUUCACUAUCGUAUCUCGAUGAGUACGCUAGAAAAAUCUUUUCGAAUAAUACUCACGAAUAAACAAGGAAAUACUAACAAGUAUGAACAUGUAUUGCUAAACUUAAUAAACAAUAAAAAUAUUUUUUUUUUUAAAUGUAUAGAUUUGCUUUUAAAAGUAAAUCUUUGACAACUAAAAAGCUAGAAAAAACAAGUAAUUUCUUAACUUUUUAAAUAAAAUAAAACAUCAAAUGUGCUAUAAGUCGAAAAGGAUUGUAUUGAAAUUUUAAAUAUUUUUGUUGCCUUUAUUUUUCCUCGAAGAUUUUGUUUUGAGGAUAUUAUCUUAAACCUUACUUUAAAGUUUCGAUUUUAUAAAUUAUUUAGUAAUUUCCUUUUCCAAAAAUCAAGUAUAUCUGGCAACGACACACCUCAUCCCAUCCCAUUCCAUCCCAUUCCACUCCCACUUGUCUGUAAUUUUUUUACCUUUUAAUUUUCUCUAGUGAAUUUAGAGAGAGAAUGAAUAAUGUUGAAGGUAAAAAUCUUUAGCAUCAUCGACUUUGCUAACUUUAGAGAGAGAAAACGAAUUGAUACCUAGUCUAAUCCUCCCACACUACCAUCCACCAACUAAUCAAUAGCUCCGCCCUAGUACCUUACCUCACUUCUACAGGUAAAUAAUUGAUAAACCUAGUCGAUAUUCUUCCCAAUGGCUAUGGCUGUAGCCAUCGCGAAGCCUAAUGGAGAAAAAUUGACCAUGCACGUUAUGCAAAUAUCAGCGGAUUGAAUACAAUUAGCAGGCACUAAUUGUCAUGGGAUGAGGUUAUUGUUUUAAUCAAUUAGAUGGUCGUGGUAGGUUGCAAGUUUUGGAUUUAGGAUGGUGGUGGUUUUCAAAAGUUUUGAAUGUUAAACUAGGGUGGAUGUUGAACUUAAGGGUGGGGUGGGAAUAGGGUGAGAAUAAUAUGGCAAGUAGUGAAUGUGAUUGUUUAAUUGUGUGAUUUGUGACAUAUUAACCGUGAUUUUAUAACUUUAUAUGAUUGUGAUUGAUAAAUUAUGUGGCACGUGAUUGUAAUCCGUAAAUUGAGUGGUAUGUAACUAUGAUUGUAUCCUGUUGAAUUUUACUUAUAGGCAACACAUCUUUCAAAUCACAACAUUCGUCAGAGGUUACCAAUAUCGUCACCUAAUUUGUAAUUUUUUUCUUUUUGACAAACUUAUUAAUUUUGAAAUCAUAUUCUUAAACCAUUUUAGUUAUAAUUUUUUUUUUUCAAUUUGUUUUCAUAAUCAAAAGCCCAUUAGUCCCAGUAAUAAUAUUUGGCUAGCCCUAAAGAUUUCCUCUUGCUAUAGGGGGAAAAAUCAUAUUUAUGUCAUAAAAUUAGUAGUGAGCAAUUUUUCCAAGAACCGGUGGAACCGGACCGGAACCGUUUAGAAUCGGUUGGUUUGGUUCCGGAUCUUAUAAAAAAUAAUUUGAUUUUGGGACAAAUUUUUAAGAAUCGAUCGAUUCCGGUCUGAUUCUCGGUUCUAGUAUGGAAUCAUUGGAUUUUUUCUUUUUUUCUUUGGUAAAAUAUAUGACUCAAUCUCCAACACUUUUAUAAAAAAUAAUCGGGUUCCUUCUUAAUUUGAGACUCCAGCACUUUCCUUUUUCUCUUUGAUUCUUUCCUUGCCGCUUCUUGUAAUUCUUUGAUUAAUUGAUUCUCAAACCAAAUUAGAAUAUUGGGUAAAUUUAUACUUAAAUAAAUUUAUUUACAAUAUAUAAUUUCAUUUAUAAGAUACUAAAUUUUUAUUUUGUUUUCACUUUGAUUACAUGAUUUUUAUUUUGUUUUCACUUUGUAAAUUUAUACAUAAAUAAAUCUUUGAAUAAUAUAUUCUAUUUUUCUAUAUUUUAUUAAAAGUAUCACGUUGAUAGCAUUUUUAGAGUUUUUAUUAGUAAACAUUUUAUUUUGACAUUUUCAAUGUAAAAAAUAGGACCGGACCGAAUCGAAACCGAUUGGUUCGGUUCUAUAGUUAGUUAUGGAACCAAUGGUUCCUUCCUAAAAUUCUCAUUGGUAUUCGGUUCCGUUCGGUUUCAUUUGGAAUCGGAUCGCGUCCACUCCUCCAUAAAAUAGAGAGAAAAGAAAAGGAAUUGGAGAAGUCAAUAAACAUGUAUGUAUUUAAUCGAAAACCAAAUCCCCGUAUUUAUAAGAAAAAAAUAGGGCAACAAUGAAUAAAUGGUAACAGUAACUAGGAUUGUAGGAAUAUAAUUGACAUUCGUUAAUAAACAUAUUAUUUGCAAUAUUUCCCCUUGAAUAACGCAUUACCAAAUGAAUGCCUCGUUAAAUUUGUUUGGUAAAAAUUCAACGAAAAGAAGUAUCAAACAAAGGAAAAUAGUAUAGUUAUUUGAAUAUUAAAAAUAAAUACUGACUCUUGAAAACUUUGCUAGGAUAAAAUCAAGGAAAAAGGAAUACAUCUACUUCUCUUGACGUUGAUCAUUAAAAAUCUUUAAGUCAACGCAUUUCGAUUUCGUGAACCAAUUUCUUGAAUGCAGAUGUCGACGGAACUUUUGUAAUUAAAUUGGUCACAUUAUUACUUGAGCAAAUUUGUUGAACAUCAAUAUUUUCUUUCUUUUGAAGCCCAUGCGUAUGGAAGAAAUUUGAAAAAAUAUGUUUUGUCAUAUCAUCUUUGAUAUAUACUCAUUUGAAUUGUCUAAUACAAGAUGCAUUAUCUUCAUACAAAAUUGUCGAACUAUUUCUUUUUGAAAUUAAUUCACUUGAUGCUUGGAUAUGAUAGGUCACGUUUUUCAACCAUACACAUUCUCGACUUGUUUCAUGAAUUGCAAUAAUUUAAAAAUAUUGCAUUUAAUGUUUGUUUCACAGAUUUCUAUGAUAUAGAUAUUCCUUCAUGUAUAAAUACAUAUCUUAUUUGUGAUUUAACGUUAUGUGGAUUAAAGAGAUAACUUGCAUCUGUAUAUCUUAUUAAAGUAGAUCCCAUUUUUUUUUAAGAAUAAUUGGUAGUGAGAAACUUUGUGUACAGAGAAUUCUCUUAAAAAAUAAAUAGUAUUUCCUUCUAUAUGAAUUCUUUCGAACAACUCCAAAAUACUUAUCACAGUAAAUGAUGUAAAAUUAAAGAGAAAAUUACAUCCAACAACCCUUUAUCUUUCAUAAUUUCAAAUGUAUUGGUCUUUCUUUUUCUUUUUCAAAAUACAAGACACUGUCUCUACCCAAACACCUCCACCAUUGUUGGUGAGCAUUCCAUUCACCCCAUAUCAACCCAAAAAGACAGUAUAAUCUUUACUUUUUUAAGAAUCAAGCAAUAGGAACAUAUUUCUGGCUUUCUUUCUGGUUAUAUAUCUGCUUAUUUCUUUCUGGUUAUAUAAUACUACCGACGAUGUAUCUACGAUGAUAUCAAAUUUUUGUGGUGGUUUUUGUAAAUUGUCCGAUAUUAAUUUUUCUGAUUAAAGAUAUAUUGGGGAAAUUUUGGGGAUUUUACGUUGUUAAGUAAUUUAAUUAGUUAAUACUGUAUUAAUCAAACUAGUUAAAUUUUUAGGGUCUUGGGCCUAAUUUGCCAAAAUGAUUUCUAUCAAUCCGAAUAAGGCCUGAAAAUAAACUAUGAAACCGAAAUACAUAAUAGAAUAAUGUUAUUUAUAGUUGUUCACUAUCACAACUGGCAAACACGUGACGGGCAUACACGUGACGGAUUGACAGAUAGUGAUUUGAUACACAACAAAAAAUUAUCAGAUUAAUGUAUAACAGCCCAUUAAAACUUUCAGAAAUAACUCGUUAGCUGUUUGAGGAAAAAAAUAUGGAUAAAGAUAAUUAGACGGGGGCGCCUGCCCAAUAUCGAAAAACGUUCGGGUAAAAACUAAAACCAAAACCAAAAUCAGAAAAUUAAACAAGACGAAGAAGAAAACAUCCAGAGAGCGAAAGAAGUGAAAAUUUUUGAUUUUAGCAAAUGGCUGAGGAAAACAAAUUGAAGAUUCCACCACAGUACGAUUUGAAUGCCAAGUGGGAUGCUUGUCUCGAUUUGGGUGUCCGCCGAUUCGUCUAUUCUUCAUUGGCCGGUGCCUUCACCGGCCUCCUCCUCUUCCGUGAGUUUUUUCCCUUAUUUUUUUUUAUACAUUUUUUGGUUUCUUUUAAUUUGUGUUUUGUGUUUGUUUUUGUUAUAUUAUAUUAUAUUAUUUUUUGUUUGCGGAAAUACUGGGAUUUUAUAAACAUAUUGAUGGGAAAUGAAAAUCUAGAAUAAGAAAUUACGAUGACGUAAUUUAGUUUUAACAGAUUUUCUUUGUAGAUUUGUAAGUUGCGUUUAAAGUAUAGUAUUAGAACUUUCGGAAUUAGGUAUAGUGAUAUUACUGCCUGAUGUGUUGUAAGUGGCUGGUCAAAUUACCUCCGGAUGUUUGAGAAAUUGUAUUAAUAUGAAUGGAUAAGGAUGGACAGAUGCAGGCUCCCAGUUUUACAAUAAGAAAGAAGCAUAUAAAUGAAGGAUAAUGUAGCACGAGUCUUUAUUGAUGAGCCUGAAUAUUUGAUAUAUCAAAGACGAUGAAUAAGAACACAUAUGUAAAUAUCAUUUUCUUAUCAUGAUUUCCAUUUGCUUCGUGCUUUAGUGCUGUAUAUAAAUUGCAUUAACAUUUUUCCCCCUGGAGACUAAGAAGCAUAGUUGGUGAAAACUCUUGAGUCUUUCAUAUAAAGAAUGAUUGUUUUGUCUUUAAUAGUGUUAAAAAUGACAUUCAAGAUCCAAAUGGAAAAUUAACCCUUGGAAUGACAUCACCAACAACGUAUUAGUGUCUCAUUAUCGUGUACAAAACUAAGUACUGCCAAGGAACAUUGAUGAACACAAGAACCCGGACAAUCACUUAAGUUAAAGUGAAGCCAUUACGUUGGAUCGAAGCAACAAGAUAAGUAGCCAUUAGUAUAAAUGACAGCAAAAUAUAAGCAUUAGCGCACAGGAAUAUGCCAAAUUUGAUACACUCCCUAACCUUUACAUCGAUGUUUAUCAGGGACGGGUUAGGUCGCUUCAAUAUCAAAACCAAAUGUUGGUUGUUUUUCCUUGGCUUAUCGAACUAGCGUAUGCCCAUUCCUCCUUUGAUGACUCCCAGUAGAGAAAGCCUAAAUUUGUCAAUGUGAUUUGAAAGGAAUAUCCACUUUAGUCACCCCACGCUGCAUAUGUAUAGUAACACGACGAAACUUUGUUGUGCUCACAAAGAUACGCACACUAACUGCUUGGUGAUGAAACUUUUUCAACAUUUCAUAUGCAUUUCAAAUGCAAUUAAAAUCAAUGUCUCUUCACCUAAAUACCUAAACAGACACAAACAAACAAAAGCAAUAUACAUGAAGCCAUUUAUUUUCGAAAAUCAAGUUUUGUUUGGACAAAUCAACAGAAUAGUUGCUUAUAGCGUGAAUUUAAUUUAACCUUUUUAUUGAGCAAUAUAUGUGAAGCCAUUUAUUUUCGAAACAUUGAUACUUUUGUUUGUCUCCUUUAGUAUGUUCAAAGUAAUAAUUUUGCUGUGUAUUGCAUUUAUUGUAUCUGUUAAAUGCUGAUUCCUGAUUGUUUACAAGGUAGAAUGUAUUUACCAUGGUAGGGAAAGAAUUUAUCCUGAUUGCACUGCACCAGAUUACGGUUUUAUGUAUAGAAUAGAAAUAAUUCUCACUUUUUCAUCGGUCCAAAGUUAAUUCUUCUAAUUUCACAAUUAAAAUACUCUCUAAAGUAUCUUUAUCUGGUUCUUUUACUAUGUAUAUGUGUAGCUUCAUGUAAUUUGGUCGUGGAUCAAUAGUGUACCAUAACAUACCAAACUCUGUUUGUGUCUCAGUUUAAGUAUGAAUUCAAACUUCUUUGCUUGCCUCACAGACAAUGCAGUUUAUCAAUAGUAUCUGUACAAUCCUGAAUUUGUUGCAUAAUAAGUUAUUAUGGCCACAAUUAAUUUGGGUUUUUGAAUUGGAAUGGGGUUUAGGCAUUAGCUGAGAAGGUGAUGACUUUUAUUUUUACAAAUUUCUCAUAAAAUCACUAACCAUAGUGGUAGAAUCCCACCUGCUUAGACCGGAAGUAACUCUCAAAUGCAGUGAAAUGAAUGAUUUAUUGCUGAAUUCAGAUGAAGGAAAACAGAAAAGAUACAAGUUUAGGGCUAUUUGAGAGGCCCUGUCUCUCCUCCCUAUUCUCAACAGAAAACCAGAAUUUUCAUGCCUCUCCCGCCUACUGCCCCUCCCUAUUUAUUUACUUUCCUAUAACAAAUUAUUACAUUUUUACCCCUCACUAACAAACUCAACUGACUUGGCCUAAUCUUUAUGAUCAUUGCUCUUCUUUCUUCUAGCAUAGGCGAACCAAAUCGGGGUCCUAUCACAAAGCCUUUCACAUCAUGUGCUUUUAGAAGGGGACUUUUGGCGAUAAAAAAAUAAUUUAGGGAAGUUGAAACUUUUAUGUCCCAAUAAGGAAAUAAACACUCAAUUUUGUUGAGAGAGAGUGUUAAAUUUAUUUAAAAUAGCUCUGUAAAAGGUUAUACCAUUCAGUAUUUUGACAUAUUCAUUUUACCAAAUAUCAGACCAGGGAAAAACUGUAAGUUUAUAUUAUUUAUGAUCUUAUGAAUCCUUGUAAAACUUGUUUCCUGCUGUUAAAUUGGAUUGUUGGACUGAUCAUUUGAUAUUGACUGAUAUGCCAGGAAGUCCAGUUACACGCUGGGCAUCAGUAGCUUUUGGUGCUGGAGUGGGUAUUGGUUCUGCAUAUAAAGAGUGCUCUCUGAAGUUUGAUGGAUCUUCACCAAAAUUGACUCCAAAGGUUUCUGAUGCCCCAGUUUCUAAGGUAGAGUUAUCUUUAAUGUUUGUAGCAUUUGUGUUCAUCAAAAAUUAAAAAUAAAAAGGAGAGUUCCGUGUUCAUUUUGAAAUAUGACUGGUCAUGCCUGGCAGUAGUCAAAUUGUAUUAUUCCAAUCUAAUCCGUGGUAGUUCUUCAAUGCUGGAUGUUAUCCUAUAUUCGUUGUUUUAGAGUAAAGAAGCCAAGCAGGGCUGAUUGCUCAAAGGCUACAACCUUAGCACUGUUGAGACUUAUUUUACACUUUAAUAAAAUAAAUAAAAGUUCUAGGUCAAAAAUAGAAAAUGCCAAAAGAAAGAAAGCUGACCUAGAAAAUGUUCUAAUCUACCUUAGUAUCUGCACCCUCGCUGCAGGAGCUCGUUAGCUUUUGACUAAUAAGAUAGAAAAGAUCUUUGGUGAAUUUCAUAGGUUUUCAUGCUCGCUAGUAAUUAGUCUUAUAGAGAUUUUUCUACUUUGUAGAAUUUAGAGCUUCAAAGUCUUAUUUUAUAUUGUGGAUGAAUGACGAAGAUUUGGUUUUUUUAGUGCGGGCAUCAUAGUGCUAGUAUAUACAUAUUUUCAGUUGAUAAAAGGAUGUGAGAUAUGUUCAAGUAGCUGUGUGCGUAUAGGCAGUCUACACUGGUUCAAUACCUGAAUUUAUAGUUUAGACAGUUGAUUGACCCUUAACACUCAUUUUUGCAUCUUUAUGUGACCUUUUUUGUCUAUUUGUAGCUUUGUUUUCUUUUCUUCCUCUUCCUCAUCUCUUUAGGGUCUGCUUUUUCAGUAUUCUUGCCCUUCUAUACUCGUGUAUCAUUUGACAUGUUCUAAACUUGCAUUAGAGAGAACAUAGUCUAGUUUAUGUGUUAGGUUAUAAAUAGUCUUGAGCAUAUUCAACUGUCAUGCGACAGUUACAAUAACCACCAAAAUUGACAGUGUAUUAACAUCUCAAAUAAAAACCAAAUCUCGAACUUGACAAUUUCAUCAAUACAAGAACCAAAUCUCAUACAGGAAAUUUUUAGGGUGAAUCGUGUGACUUGCCUCAUUCUAUGAAUAUGAAUCUAAAAGAGUUUCACAUUCUUUUCUUUCUUUUCACAAUGUGACGUUUCAAUCUUUUUCAUGACAUAACCUUGAUAUGUGGCGCCAUCUGUUGGACAACAUAAUUGAAAUAAUUAAAGGUAUUUAAUUUUAUGCAUGUAUCUUAUUUUAAUUUCUAAGAAACAACAUAACCACCCAUAAUAUUUAUUUUUGACUCCCAGCAACAGCUUUUGCCCGAUGUGAUCAUGAGAACAGGAAGAAAUUGAUAAUCACUUUGUUUUAAGUUAAUUUUUCUGUAUCUUUUAGUUUUUGCUCAUGACUAUUGUAUUUUCCUAUUGAGACCACAUGAACAGGAAAAAUCUUAAGCACUUUACCGUGACAUUUUUCUUAGACUCAAGAUCAUAUAAUCUUUAAACUCUACAGAGUUGGAAAAAAUUCUCAAGUAAAUUGCAAUAUGCAAUUAUAUUCUUGCACACAUCAUCAUAUAUGAAUUUGCCUUUAAUGAAUCAUAUGCUUCAAUGCUCUACAAGGUUUCUGAUAUCUUGUGCUCCUGGUCUCUUUUUUUGGUUCUCCUACAUCUACAGAAAGCUAAAUGCUUUCUCAUAUAGGGCUAAUGAUAAGGGAGUAGUUAAGAGGCUUUCCAAUAUCUUCUUGUCAUCCCCCCCACCACCUCUUUUUUUUUUUUUUUUUUUUUUUUUUUUAAAAAGGGGGGAUUUUNNNNNNGUUUCCCAUAUUUUUUUUUUCCCCCCCCCCCCCCCCCUUUUUUUUUUUUUUUUUUUUUUUUUUAUGAAAAAGGAGGAACUCUGAAUUGAUAUAAAUAAUUGUUCCGAUGGAAACUUCUCUUCUACCGUAGAUAGAGGAACAAGCCAUUACUUUUCUAUUCAUUAUCAUUUUGAUUACCACCUCUAAAAUCAUUUCCAUAUUGAACUUUGGACAUAUGAGAGUUUCAAAUCGAAUCUCUUUAGAAAGAAGAUUUUGUCUCAUGGUAGCUUGUUCUAGUUGCCUUACGAAACUUUCGUUAUUAGGUUAGUCAUACACUUCACAUGUUUCUAGCAAUUUACAUGGCAUCAUCAAAUGAUACAAAUCUUGGAUAAGAAUCUACAAUGUAUUAGAAUGCCUUUGUUGCCGAUCUUUUACUCCAAUAGCAUCUAGGGAUCCUAGAACAAUUGGAUAUCUUAUACUGGGUAAAUCCUUAACCCUUUCCCCUCUUACUAAGAAUUGAAGAAUGUUCAUGUGAAUUAUGGCUAAUACUGGGUAUAUAAGCAGUGAUUUCAAAUGUAGAGAUUAAUUGUGCUCUGGCUUUCAGUUGGAUCAAGUUCAUUAUAUAUUUGCACAUUAAUUCAUCUAUGUAGGCCAUUAUUCAUUUGCUUCACACACUUCAUAUUGAUAUCUACGUGUGUGCGCUUUUAGAUCUAAUCUUCAUCUGAGAAUAGUGAGAAAGCUAGCAUUUUCAAGAAUAGGUCAGUGUUGUCAAUCAUCUAUUUUUCUGUCUCACACAUCAUUUCAAAAUGUUAUUUGCUUGUUCCAGUUAGUUUCUGUAUGUAUGAGCAAAAUGAAAGCAAAGCAUUAUGUUCUUUUAAUUUGUCUACUUUCACUAAACCCAUCUGAGCGUGAUAGUUAAUAUACAAUGAAGAUUUUCAGGGUCGAAUUUUUCGUUUAACCUUCUUUCAUCUUUACACGAUAACUUUGAUUAUUAAUUUCUUAGUUUAUUUUCUUCUAGUUUCUCAUCCAUGAUUACAGAAACAAAGGCAUCAAUCUUUCAAUACUCAUUAUUCUACUUUUGGCUAUUACAUUCUUUAUUUUCUACUAUGGUCUCUUAUUUGUUCGUUCUUUUUCUCAGUUCACAUUCAAUAGUUGCUAAAUACAUGGUCGCACAGUUGGGAUAUAGCCCUCAGAUUUUCCUUUUGUUUUACUUGUGCAGUUUCAUGAAUAUAUAAUAAGGCUAUUUUGUUUAUAUGUCGCCGUUUUUCACUCUGCAUAGUAUUCAAGUAUUUCUCUUGAUUUGUUCCAGGAUGAGCAGGAUUGAAGUCGACAUUUGCAUUGUCGCUCUGAAUUACAUUUUCCAUAUCUAGAAGCCCUCGUUCGCAUUUUCAUCAACAACUUUUCCCCUCCAAAUGUAUUCCCAAGAUUGUUUUGGAUGUUUAAUUGUUGACUGCUAUGUAGGUCUGAGAUGAAUUGUUCUGCUACUGGCUCUACAUGAAAUUUAAACAGAAAGUAAAAGGUAAUAAUUGCUUUUUAUUGCAGAUUGAAUUACAUGUUUGCUUCACUAAAUAGCUGAUGUAUUUGUAACUCUAUGGUGUCGUGUUUGAUGUACUGGAUUAGACUACAGACGAGCUGAUCAAAUGUCUCGCGUUUUUGUACUUUUUCCUAAAGUAGCAAACAUGCCUAUAUGUAGAGGUUAGCCUGCAAGCAUGCCUCAUGUGGGCCACCAUGCUCAAUAUAUGUUUUUUUUUUUUUUUUUUUUAAAAUAAUUUUCUUAAAAGAAAUAAUACAAUGAAAAUUUUCAGGGUUAAAUUUUUCGUUUCACCCUCUUUCAUCUUUACAUGAUAACUUUGAUUAUUAAUUUUGUAGUUUAUUUUCUUCUAGUUUCUCAUCCAUGAUUGCAGAAACAAAGGCAUCAAUCUUUCAAUACUCAUUAUUCUACUUUUGGCUAUUACAUUCUUUAUUUUCUACUAUGGUCUCUUAUUUGUUCGUUCUUUUUCUCAGUUCACAUUCAAUAGUUGCUAAAUACAUGGUCGCACAGUUGGGAUAUAGCCCUCAGAUUUUCCUUUUGUUUUACUUGUGCAGUUUCAUGAAUAUAUAAUAAGGCUAUUUUGUUUAUAUGUCGCCGUUUUUCACUCUGCAUAGUAUUCAAGUAUUUCUCUUGAUUUGUUCCAGGAUGAGCAGGAUUGAAGUCGACAUUUGCAUUGUCGCUCUGAAUUACAUUUUCCAUAUCUAGAAGCCCUCGUUCGCAUUUUCAUCAACAACUUUUCCCCUCCAAAUGUAUUCCCAAGAUUGUUUUGGAUGUUUAAUUGUUGACUGCUAUGUAGGUCUGAGAUGAAUUGUUCUGCUACUGGCUCUACAUGAAAUUUAAACAGAAAGUAAAAGGUAAUAAUUGCUUUUUAUUGCAGAUUGAAUUACAUGUUUGCUUCACUAAAUAGCUGAUGUAUUUGUAACUCUAUGGUGUCGUGUUUGAUGUACUGGAUUAGACUACAGACGAGCUGAUCAAAUGUCUCGCGUUUUUGUACUUUUUCCUAAAGUAGCAAACAUGCCUAUAUGUAGAGGUUAGCCUGCAAGCAUGCCUCAUGUGGGCCACCAUGCUCAAAAUUUUUUUUUUUUUUUUUUUUUUUUUAAAAUAAUUUUCUUAAAAGAAAUAAAAAUUGAAAAAGGCUUGAGUCAUGGGCCUUGAGAGCUAGUUACCACACGGCUUUUCUGGACCGGCUAGAGUAUCUAUAUACUUCUAUGUGUAAAACGGGUUCUGAUCAUGGUGACUUCACAUCUACUGUUUGUAGAAUUCUUGUAGUGCAAUGGCCGCCAGUGAAUUUGUAAUUCGUUAUUUUCUCUUAUUUUUAAUAAAAGUACACAUUUUUUUACAUGAAUUUCUGAACGUGAAAAUUGGCUUGAUAGUGUUAAAGUAAAGGAUGGCCACGGUUGAUAAUUUAAGUAAUUAAGUAUAGCAUAAUGCAAUUUGUAUAUUAUUAUUUACAUGUUAAUGUACAGAGUGAUGGCAUGAUAUUAUAUUAAAAUUUAAUUGAUUUUUUUUUCUUUUUUACUUUCUCUCUCUUUAAAAUCAUUUUUUCUCAUUUUUCUUUCUUUCUUUCUUUCCUUUUUUUUUUUUUUUUUUUUUUUGGGUACAUCGAUCCGUAAAUAAUUGUUUACAAGUAGCAUUGCUCGUAAGCAUAUUGAUAGAAAGAUAAAAUUGCACAAAUAGUCUUAUUAAAUCAAUUCAGCUAUUCAUUUUGAAGUGAAUUUGCUAGGUUUCAUGCCUAAAUUGUUUGGUAAAAUUAAUAAUGAGGCAUUAAACAGCAUUUUCAAGACCUGAAUCUGAAAAUGUGCAGUAUACAGCCCUUUCUCUUCAUUAUUUUGAAAAUACACAUUUCUCUUUCUUAUUUUUAGUUAUACUUUUUUUCAAUAAAAUAAUAUUACACACAAAUUUAAAAUAUUUGUUAUUUUUUAACUACAUAUUAUCUAUCAAAAUAUUUUUUGGAUAAACUUUUCAUUUUUUUUUAAUUUUAUUUAUUUAUUUUUGCAUUCCCACUCAAAUGAGUUCUAAUUCAAUCCUCAGGGUAUCUCCAAUGAGUGAUGCCAAACUUGGUGUAAUUUUACAUCAAGUUUGGUGUAACCUGUUCAAUUGUUAUACUAAAUUUGAUAUGGAUUUUACUGUAUGUACAUCAAUAUUUAUAUAAUAGAUUACAUAAUGUUAUAUAUCUCUCUGUUAUUUGUUAGUCUAAAACACAAUCAAUUUUUUCCUUCACAUCAUAUUAUGUCAUCGAUUAUCUAUAUAUUUUUAUGUACAAGUAGCAAAGUUUAUUUGAUAUAGACCAUUGGAGAGUUUUACACUGAGAUUUACAAAAAAAAAAAUAUAUAUAUAUAUAUUAUUUUAAAUUAUCUAAUUAAAAAUUAUAUUAUUACUAAAAUCGUUAAGCCCUUGUUUGUUUUUUAUUCUUUCUUCAUUAAAAUGAAAAAUAUGAUCGUUAUCCAUCACAUCAAACCACGAAAUUUGGAUUUCUAUAUUUUGGGUAAGGUCCGUAACGACUAUAUUUUUCAUUCUUAUAUUUACAAAAAUGUGACACAAACGUCCCCUAAAUUCAAAAUUACAUUUAAUGAACUAAAAUAUUGUAUUUAUUAAUAAAUUAAAAAAUAAUUUUUAAUGAAAUUUAUUAUCAAUAAUUUUGCCUCCUCUUGAGCAUCAUUAUAAUUGAAUUUUGGAGAAAAUGUAUUUUAGAAUAAUAUAUAUUUUUUCUUUUUGGGAAAUGUGAGGUUAAAAAAGAAAAAAAAAUUUAGAUUUAUGUUUAAUAUUAUUUUUAUUGGAGAAUGUGUGAUUGAUAAAAAAAAAAGAAAAAAAUGAAUUAUAACAUUAAUCAGGGGCGGACCCACAUGGGGUCAGAUGACCCCACAAAAUUUUGGAUUUUUCUUAUUCAAAAAAUGGUUGUUUUAACUCGUUUUCGAUCUACUUUAAUACAUACUAAAUGAAAAAUGAAAUAUUGCAUUCUUAGUAUCAUUUCUAAGAAUUUAUGGCCUAGUUUUUCGCUUCUUAAUGGUGUACGAAAUAAUCGACCAUAACAAAAGAUACGAUGUAUUAAACUUUUGACCCCACAACCCAAAACGGUUGGGUCCACCCUUGACUUUAAUGGAACCUUAGAAGGAGCUAUUACUUAUUCAGCCUUCAUUUGGCUCCCAUUCUUUUGAAAUUUUAAUUAUUGGAAUAGUAUUUUCUGAAAAAUGUAUGGUAAAAAAAGAAUGAAAAGUUUUUUAUUUACGUGUAAUAUUAUUUUAUGGAAGAUUAUAUAGUUGAAAAUAAAAGAGAAAAAAAGAAAAAGAAUGAGAAUGAGAAUGUGAGCCAAACGGAGGCUAAUUGAUUAGAAUUUAAAAAUAAAUGUCAUAUGAAAAUAAUCAUUGCAUUAAAAAUAAUUAUGAAUCCAUCAAAUUCUAUUAUUCUAAAACAUAAAAAGGGAAUAAACAUUUGUUGCAAAGAGGAAGGGAGAACAAAAUGUGGAUUAUUGAAAAUGUAAAUGAAUAGUAUUACACAAAAUUACUCAUUACACCAAACUUUAAAGUAUUUGGUUCCUCAUUGAAGAGCAUUUACGUUAAAUUUGAUGUUUUACACCAAAUUUGGUCCUCAUUAGUGAUGGUAUAAAUGAUGAGAAUGCGUUUAUCAAUAAGAUAGACCGUCAACAAACAAAAUUUGGAACAAUAAAGUCAGGAAAGGGCUAAAAAUUUAAAUUUUAUGAAUUAUUGUCAAUUAUGAAAUUACGUUAGACUAAACUUCUUUUCAAAAAAAUUUCUUAUGAAAUUCUCACUAUUUGGUCUCCCUCAAAUACUCAAUAGAUAUAAUAUAGCAUCAUUGAAGUACAAAUGCACUUUACUUUCAAUUUUUCAAUUUGAACUGUAAAGAGAGAGAUAUUUAGAUGUGUCAAAAUGUGUCAAAUCGUCUAUAUUUAGUACGUAAAUUUAUAGCCCAAUUUUAAUCUAACAUGUCUCUACCGUUGAGAUGUGCUAAACUUAGAUGUUGAGAGCCCUUACAUCCCUGGUUCCUAUUCAUUAAGAAAAACAAGAUCGUAGUAAUUACUUACUUAUUUCUUACCAAUUGAUUAUCAUGGUUACAAAAUUAUACGCCAUUUUUCCCCUCAUGAGGAAUACAUAAAACCAAGUAAUUAAACUUUCAAAUUUAGAAUACAGGUAUGAAGUUUAUUUAAUAAAAAAUCAGGUAUUAAUUUAUUGUUUUAUUAAUUAAUUAAUUCAAUUCCAAACCCUAAUUCACUUCUCCCCUUUCUUCUCUCCAUUCUCUCUCUACUAUCUCUCCAUUCUCUCUACCAGCAUUGGCCACUGCUAAAUUUGACCGCCACUCAACUCGUCGUGACGAAUGUUGGUGUCGUGACAAGCGUCAAUGAUGUGGCUGUUGAGCGUUGAUCUGAGCGCCCCUGCGAGUCAAUGUCAGCAUCGAAGCUGCGACGUUGUCGUGGCUAUGCUGUGUGGCGACGUUGGUCGACGAUAGUGUGACAGCAUCACGAGACGUACAAGAUGGUUCAAUGUGGAAGUUUAUUGGUGCGGUGUCAGGUGUUUGUUGGUUUUUGGAGUGGUAAUGGAUGUGGUGGUGGUGUCGUGUGAAUAUUGAUCUGUCGGUGUCUGAAUGGUGUGAAUAUUGAUCUUUUGGUGGUAGCUGUAGCGGUGUGACGUGCUGUGUUCAGAUCCGGAUGGUGUUGACGGUGAUAGUGUUUGGAUGGUGGUGCGGUGAUAUUGUGUGGUUUAUGGUGGUGGUCUUGUUGGUGGUGGAGGCGUUGGUUAUAUGUUGUUGUGGUUUUUGGUGGGGGCGGUUGUGUUGGUUUUCCAUCAAAUUGGGUAUUUGUUGGUGGCGGUCGUGGUGGUUUCUAGUGACGGAGGUGGUGAUUGCCUUGAAUUUUGUUCUUGUUGGAGUUGGCGUUGGCAUCGAUAACGGGUUGAGGGUGGUUGCAAGUGCCUGUGACAUCAUUUACGGCGCGAUAGUGGUGGUGAUCUGUGACCAUUAUUUGACGAGUGUGACCAAAUAUUUAGUUAUUUGUGACCAUGUGAACUUGGCGACGGUAAUGAGGUGAGGGUGGUCACAAGUGGUCGUGAUGGCAGUGGCGAUGCGAUAGCGUUAGUCGCGGUGGUCUGUGACAACUAUUUGACUUAUGUGACCAAAUAUUUAAUUGUAAUCAACAAAUUUGAAAAUAUGUGACCUAUAAAUUUAUAGAGUUGUGACUAUCGAAAUAAAUUGUGAGGUAUAAAUUUUUAGAUUUGUGACCAUCGAAAUAAUCAGUGAUCUAUAAAAAAUUUUAUUUGUAACCUUCAAAUAAUUUGUGACUAAUUAAUUUAAUGAUAUGUGAUUAAUAAAUAAAUUGUAACAUAAAAUUUUGUAUUAGUGGCUAUUAGUUCUAUAAUUGUGACUGUAUUACAUUUAAUUAAUAAAAUAUUUUUAAUUAAUAAAUAAAUACUUGAUUUUUGCACUGUUAAGUUUAGGACUUGAAAAUUGAAUUGAUAUAAACAACAUACUUGAGUUAUGAAUUUUCCCGUCUCAUUUUACCCGGUCCAAGCCCAAUAACCCGUUUUCUCUCAUUUCAUUGCCCGGAUAAAUAAGGGCCCAAGCCCAUAGUUAAACUAGGGUUUUGCAACACUCACGUAUAUAACAACACUCUUUUGUUUUUGUUGUUUCUUGUUACCCUCUUUCUCGCCACACAGACGCACGCACCGAGCACACAGUUCAUCACAAAUGGCGCCGAAAACUCAGAGAGUGACCCGUAACCCGGAAUUGAUCCGUGGGGUCGGAAAAUACUCGCGUUCCCAGAUGUACCACAAGAGGGGACUCUGGGCUAUCAAGGCCAAAAAUGGAGGCAAAUUCCCAAUCCACGAGAAGAAAUCUGUAGCCGCAGAGCCAGUUGCGGUGAAGGCACCCAAAUUCUACCCAGCUGAUGAUGUCAAGAAGCCGCUUUCCAACAAGCGCAAGCACAAACCCACAAAACUUAGGUACUUUUCAGAUUUGUUUAUUUUGUUUUUUUUGAAAAAAAAAUAAAAAAACCCAUGAUGGUAUCUGAUAUGAUGUGAUAAAAUAAGGUAUCUAAUCAGUGAUGAAUUGUAGUCAUUUAGAAAUUUAAAUUGAACUCGGUUCUCAAUGGGCUUGGUCUGAUAAUGAGAGCAUAUUUCACAUUUUCGCUGUUAUGCUUUGCAUGCAGAAUCUCUUAAUAGUUUUUUCGUGUGUUUUGUUUAACUGGCUGCAUAGUAUUUGUUUUCAUUUCAUGCUCUUAAUAUUGUACUUUCUUUCAAGUAUGAUACCAGGACACAUCAAAUGACCCUGCGAAGCUAUUUCCUAAUUUUUAUCUAAUUGCUGCUGUAGGACCAUUCAAGAUCAAUGGUGUUCCUCUAAGACGUGUCAACCAAGCCUACGUUGUUGCUACUUCCACAAAGGUUGACAUCUCUGGGGUGAAUGUGGAGAAGUUCGAUGACAAGUACUUUGCUAAGCAAGCUGAGAAGAAGAAGAAGAAGGGCGAGACUGAAUUCUUUGAGGCAGAAAAAGAGGUUUUCCUUCUCUUUUCUCCUCAAAAUAAUUAUCCUGUUAUUCUUUUUGGUUGUGCUGAUACGAAUCAUCCUCUGUAAUGUAAUGUAGGAGAAAAAUGUGCUUCCAGCCGAGAAGAAAGAUGACCAAAAAGUUGUUGAUGCAGAAUUGUUAAAAGCUAUUGAGUGUGUUCCAGAAUUGAAGUUAUAUUUGGGAGCAAGAUUCUCUCUAAAGGCUGGAAUGAAACCUCAUGAGCUCGUCUUUUAGAUGAAUUUAACUUAUUUGGUUCCUCUUGUUCCUGUAUUUUUAUCUUCCUUAAUUUUGCAUUAGAGAUUUAUCUUGGAACACAGUUUUAUCUGUUAUAAACAUUAAAGUUUUAACUUGGUGUGACUUUUGGUUAUAUUUGAGAAUGAAUUUUCUUGUUGGUUUCAGUUUCAUGGCUAUGGACAUUAUGAUAUUGGUAGAAUUUUUAGCCUCGGUGAGUUAAAUUUUUCAACGGCCACUGAAUUUUGCUCCACUUCAUAAUUUACUCACCGAACUUUAUGAAGUGUCCCAUUAGCUAUGGAACUUUGAUAUGCACUAUUCCAUUGCUCACCGGAUGAACCCCGUUAAUAGAUAUGCUUAUGUGGACGGCGAGAAUGUGACUUGGCUGAUGAUAUCACUCCAAAUGACAAGUGCCAACUAACAGCCAUGUCAUCAAUUAAUAUUUCAAACAUGCCUUUUCAAACUAAAGAAAUUGAAACUCGACUUCUUCCUCACAGCUUCAACUGGAGAUGAAAUUGUUCACAUGCAGUGAAAUCAAAAACCCCCCAAAUCGAGCCACAAACCCUAAGGUGAACCCAUCGAUUUUGCCCCAAAAUUUCAACCUACUUCACCGGCAGUGAUCUCAAUUGCACCAAAUGAAGUUGGUUUUGAUUUGAAUGCUCUAAUGUGUGACUUAGACGGUAUUGUUUUUCGCUGUGUCUAUAUUUCAUUGUGAAUUUGAUUGUUGGUGGUAUGGAUUUGUCUAAGAUAUGAUUUGUAUGCUAAAGUGAGGCCAAAGUUAUACACACUACUGCUCUGUAGAUGGGUUUGCUAAUUCAUGAGAUGUUGCUCUAAAGGAGGCUACGGAAACUGGGGCCUGAAUCCCAGUACUAGUUGAGGCUAUAGGGGAAGGAUUAACAAAAUGUAAAGAAUAUGAGAGUAGGAAUUCUUGUUGUCAUAUGCCAGAACUACAGAGAGAUACAGAAGGAUUAUUAUGAGGAAAGGUGUGAUGCCAGGGCUUUUCCAGUUAAGUUUUGAUGGGACAUGGAGGGGUAAAGAGAAGGCCAAAGAAUUGCUUCUUCUUUUAAGAGUUUAGGCUCAAAUCGUGGAUCAAAACGUAAACAAUCCAAAAACGUUCUGUUGGAUUCAUUUGUGAUGAAAUUAAUGCAUUAGUGAUUGCUAUAAUUUACAUUCCCUGAAAUAAUUGAAGUUAUUUGUGAAAUGCUUUAGAAGAAAAUGGAAAAGGAGCUAGGGAAGAGAACUGGAAAGGAAAGGGAAGAGAUACGUAUGUAAUCGAUUAAAACACUUAUAUGUAGUUGUCAUGUUUAUGUAAUUGACACUAAAUUUGGUGUUAAUUAUGUUCAGUCUACGUUGAUUACCAAGAAAGUUAUUUGUUAUGAUUCGGGUGUUACUUGAAUUCUUUGUUGAAAAUAAUUGAGAUUUCUAAUUAAAGUGAACAUUAAGAAGAAUUUUAUUUGAAAUAUUAAUGUUGAAUUCUAUUCAAGUUUACUUUGUAAAUUUUAGUUGAAGUUCUGCUUGGAAGCCAAAUUAAGAGUUGAAAUUUGUAUUGGACUUUAAGAGGACAUUGGGAUGAAGAAAAUCUGGAUUUUGGAAUAAAUGACCCAGUAGUGGGCGUUGUGGCGCCAAGGCGAUUUUCGCCUUGUGACGCAGCUACACGAGUAGUUCCCGUUUGUUUCGACUCAUGAGCAACUUUUCCUCCUUUACUCCGUUUUGGACUCUAGUUUUUGCAUUCUACUUCAAUUACAACUCUAUUAUUAGAAUUUGGACGUUCUCUAUUUGUUCUCUAUAUAUAGUUGUCUCUUUAUUACGAUUUAAUAGAAGUUAGAAAUAUUGUAAAUAUAUAGUUUUCGUAUUCUUUCUCCACAUCCCUACUAUAUAAAAAAGAGAAUGUGAAGUUGCUGUAGAAAUCAACAGAGACUUGUUUCAUUUUGUCUCAUUGUAGCAUUUAUUUUAUUUUAUUUUAUUUUUUAUGUUUUUUUAAGUUGGGGAGCAAAAACGACGUCGUUUGCCUUACUUGAUUUAUAUUUUAUUUUACAGUGAAAAAAGGCAAUCUAAAUUUACUUCAACACGCAACUUUCCAUAUCUCCCACCAAAAAUUUAAAGUAAUAUUUAGAUAUAUUUAAUUUAAAAAAAUUAAAUAUUAAUAAAAAAAUUACUAUAAAAUUAAAUAUCGUUUGAAAUUAUUAAAAAAUAAAAAUACUAAUAAUAUAAGACAGAAAAUAUUUCUAAGAAGUAAAAUGUUACUUAUGAGUAAAAAAAUUGAAGAAAAAGGAAUUAAAAAGAAUUUUAAAUUGAAAAAAAAUUUAUUUAUAGUGUAAACAAAAACAAAAACAAAAAGGAAAAAAUAAAUAAAUUAAAUCUCUCUAUGCACGGAGACUUAAGUCUCCUUGCAUGGAGUUUAAGAGUCUCUGUGCGCGGAGACCGCACGGAGACUAAGCCAUGUGCAGGUCUCCAUGCACGUCUCCAUAUCUGUGUCUGUGCAUGGAGACUUGGUUUCCAUGUUGCCUCCAUGCAUGGAGACAUUUUUAUUUUUUUUACAUUAUAAAUAAAUUUUUUCAAUUUAAAAUUAUUUUUAAUUCUUUUCUCUUCGUAAUAAAACUUAAGUAUUUAGUUUUAACUAAAUAAUAUUUAUAUAUUAUUUAUUUAAUUUUCGUAACUUUUUUUAUUUUGUUUUUAUUAUAGAUAUAUAUUUUUUUAAAAUUGUUUUAAAAUUUCUUUUUUCUUCAUAUUAUAAAUACUUUUUUUAUUUAAAAUUCUUUUUAAUUCUUUUUGUUUAAAAUGUAAUUUUUUCAAUUUUAAUUAAAUAAUAUUUAUUUUUAAUUUUAAUUAUUUCGAUUUAAUUUAAAAACAUUAUAAUAAUUUUUUUUGUUUCUUUUUAUUUUUGCCUCUAAUUUUGUUGUUGUUUCAUUUGUUAAAUCAUUCAAUUUUUUUUUUUUUUUUAUCUAACCUUAUAUAAAAAGCCAAUGAAUUGGGUAUUGUAGAUGCAAUAGUAUUCCAAUCCCAUUCCCUUUCUAUUGUAUGAAGUGCAAAUGACGUCAAUUUUCUCUACAGCAAAUUUGUUAUUUUUCCCUCCUCAAUCGUGGGAAAAAAUGACGUAAUUUCGUCUUCGAUCUUUUUAUAUUACUAUAUUACUAUUACUUACAGUAUGGAAGAGGCAAUUUUUGAGUGGACACUUGUUGCAAUUUUGUAUCAUCUUGUCCAUUAUUAGUUUUUAUAAUCUCUAUCUCUUACACUACCUUUUCUUUCAUUUUCACACGCAAUCAACCAUGCCUCUUUACUCUUUUUUCAUUUUCACACGUUACAACCACGCCUCUCUACUUCUCAAUUUCUUCACACAAAAAGGAUGUGUUGUCUGACUGUUCGUGUUAGUGUGCAUUUUAAGCUUGCAGCCAUUUUAGAAUUUUUAUAAUCAUCAAUAAGAAAAUUGUUUUUUAAAUCAUAGAAAAAAUCUAAACUUUUCUUUUUCUAAAUUUGGUGCCGUCAAGUAUCCAAUUUGUUUUUUGGUCCAUUUUCUUUUGUUAUGAUAUUUUUUGUGAAAUAUGUGGCUUUAAUUAUAUGUGUUUGUACGGUUGGAUGAAUUUUAGUUCUUGACCAAUGGAUAGAAAUCCUUGAAAAAGUUUGUUAUUUUUUUCUAAAGGGUUCCCUUGAAAUUUGUUGAGAACUAGCUAGGAAAGUGGGGAGCUAAUGUAGGUUACCUAUCUUUAACUUAUUUUCUGUUGUAGAAAUAAUUGUCCAAUUUAUUUAAGGUCUGUUGAUACUUGUGUGCUUAAAUGUUUAUCAACAGCAAAGUAAUCCAAUCAUUUUCCAUUGAUUCGUGUAGUUACAUGUUGAGGUUUCAUGAUGCUGAAUUCUUCAUAUUUGCAUCUAAUCACUCAUAUUUCUGCUGGUUUUGUUUAUAAUUUGUAAUUAAUAAUGAAUUUUUUGUUUUCUCUACAGUGUCUGGGAUGCAUACAUAAAAUCCACAUGAUUUGUGACCAAAACAAAGGGUGAGAAAAUCUUUGAUGUUCUCCUCCAUUCCUAGAUUUAAAGCAAAUCUUUGUAUCUGACAUUUCGGGAGAAAGGAAGUCGUAAAGAUAAUUCACCACAUAUUCAUCACAACUUUUGGGUGAAAAGAACCAAAAUGACAAGAAUAUCACAUCACAUAGUGUUAUAUAUAACUGGUGUCAUAAGAAUAGUUAACUCAGAUGUAAUAUUGGUCCAGUGUAUAUAAAUGUUUCAAUUUUUGUACAUUUGACACAAUUCUGGAAAAGAGAAAUACCUUAGAUUAUAUCAAUUUUUAACAUUUUAGUCACAACUUUUAGGGCAAAAAUAAGCCAUAUAGGAAGCCAUUUGAUUGAACUCAUGAAUGAAUUUUCAUUUCUUGAUUCCUAGAAUAGAUAAUCUGACGCCCUUUUCAUUUUUAGGAAUUUAGUACUUCUUUUCAUAUGCAGUGGAAGAUGCCAAUAAGUAGAAAAACUUGUAGAAGAUCCGAAGAUUGCAUUUUUCAAGGCUUUUUGAACUUUCUUUUUAGGGCUUUUCCACACAGUAUAUGUUGCUCCUCCUCUGUUAAUUUUUGAAUUGACCCUUGCAUCUCUAUGAAUUUUUUUUUUCAUUUAUACACAUUGUGCACAAAUAAAUAAAUAAAGUUAUUUAGUUCGAAAAAGGUGCAAUUGAAGGUUCAGAAACGAAAAAAAGAAUAAAAGUGAUGCCAACCCCAAAAAUAGGGUGCUCUUCCGAACUAUAAUUUUAGUUUUGAAUGCGAUGAAAGAAUUGAGAAAAGAAGAGAAGUUAUCCUUUCUCUGAGUCAGUGGUACCUACAAUUCGAUAUUUCUUGCAUGACCUACACCUUAGACAUAUAUAUAUAUUUGUUUGAGCAAUUCUAUUCAAAAUUUGAGGAAAAGAUCCACGCUAAGGAAGUAGAGAAAAGUAAUUUGCAAGCCAAAACUAAGGUGAGAUUUUGUGUCAUAUUAUGAAUUCAAACUUUCAUUGGUGGAUUGUGAGAUCAAGUUUCUCCAUCUUUCCUUUUUUUUUUUUUCUUUUUUUUUUCCUAGUGAGUAGGAAUCUCGGGAAUUUGAUAUUAAAAUGUUAAAGAAAGAGUUUGGCAUUCAACAACACCAAUGCCAAGCUUUUAUCAGAAACCUCCAUUGCCGAAGCUGGAAAUAAAGAGGUAAUUUGUUCAUUUGUUGCUUGUGACACAAUUUGAAUGUUAAAAAUGUUUAUUUUCUAUUUAUAAUUUGGAAUGCUAUGUUAAAAUGUAAUAAUGAAUUUGGAACAUUUAUGCGGUGUAUUAAAAGUGGGCUUCUUAAGUUUAGUGCUUCAACUUGAUCGAUUGGAUUUGGAUGUAUGACAGUUUAGAUAAAAUGUCAAUGAAUGUUUUAUAUGCAAGUAUGCAAGAACUUAUUUCACUUGCUGCUUUUGAAUACAUCAGAAAAUAUUAUGGUUCUCGUUGAUAAUUUGCAUUGAUGUUGCAUAAUGUGUUGGUAUAAAAACUAACAAGCUACAAUCCUUUUUGCAACUAUACUUUGACUAAUUCAAGGAUGCUUGCUAUUUUGAUUGCUUCUUUCAGAAUGUGUUAUUAGGAGCAUGCUUAUUGAAAAUUGUAGACAAUCAUCCACUGACACCUGGGAAAAAUAUUUACUCAAUGUUUCUACUUCAUUGUAUUAGUUUUGAUUGGUUGGGUGAAGCAUUUUCUUGCAUUUAAACUUUGGAAAGACGAGAAAGCUUAAUAAUGUAAUUUAUAUUUUUCUUGACACUUGUCUUGCCUUUGCUCUAAUCCAAGCAAAUAAAUAUCAUAGUUAAACACCUGAACAUAUAUACAAUGUGUUGUAACAUAAAAUCAUUGCAUAAUUUCCUAUAUUUAGUUGUCGAAGCUAACCAGCAAAUAAUACUUUGCCAAUAAUUUCAUCGUCCCAUAUAUUUUUAAAAAACGUUCCAUAGUACACUAACCAAACCAAAAUUGAUGCACAACUCGUGCAUCGCACGUAUCAUCGGCUAUUUACAUUAAAAUCUCCAUUAUCUGAAAAUUAUUUUAUUCUUAUGUUCUUGUGAUUAAUUAUUUCAUACUUUAGCUAUAAUAGCUUAUUUUCUCUAACAAUUUGGCAUUGGAUUAAUUCGAUACCAUCUUCGUUUCACAACAAGCUGGUAGUAGAGCUUUUGAUUUUGAAAUUCUUGGGAAGAUCGAGGUUCUUUUCGUGAUGGUAGCUAUGAAGUAUGGUAUUCCGCUAUCGGAUCGCAAUACAAGAUUCUCUUUGUGGCAGGUAAAGAUGCAAGCAAUGCUCAUUCAAAUGGAUUUGGACGAAGCGUUGUUAGGAUAUAACAAAAUGCUCGUAAUUUGGACUUCGGAGGAGAAACAACAGAGGGAUCGAAAGGCCCUAUCUCAAAUACAUAUUCAUCUUCCAAAUAACAUUCUUUAGGCUCAUUUUGAAGUAGAAGUCAGCUGCUGUAUUAUGGUUAAAAUUGGAGCAAUUAUGUUUGAUGAAAAGUCUUACUAGCAAAUUACAUCAGAAUCAAUGUCUAUAUUCUCAUGAUAUGAUAAAAGGUACAUCUCUUGAGGAUCACUUGCUAUUUUUAAGUGUAGGUCAAAAAUGAUGAAGAAGUUUUGGAUUGAUUUUAUUGUGUUUAUUGCUAGCUUUGUAUAUAACUUAGAGACACGUUUUUGUAUGGUCAUAAUACUCUCACCAUCGAAAAAGUCUAUAAUGCUUUAUAUUAAAAGGAGAAUAUGAAGUAUUUUGUAACAUCUGAUGGUUAUGGAAUUGGCCUUAUUGUUGAUGAAGGUUGUGUAAUGGGCAAGUCAAAAUCUAACUUCAAAAUUUUUAAUUAUUGCCAGAAAAAAGAGCACUUAAUAAACAAAGUUGCAGAAUAAAUAAAAAUUGACUGCAAAUCAACAAUCAAAAACUCAAGGGAAGUAAGUAUUGUAGGAAAUCCUAAUAAUGAUAGAGAGCUUUUACUUAUGUCUGAUUACAACUCCAAAUUAGUUGAGGUCUGAAUUUUUUAUACAACUUGCAUUUUUCAUAUAUCUUACAAUCACAAAUUGUUUUCAACAUAUGAAGAAGUUUUAAAAGGUUUUGUGAUGAUUGUUAAUAAUACACCUUGUCAGAUAACUAGUAUUAGCCAGGUUAGAAUAAAGAUGUUCGAUGGGACGGUUAGAAUAUUUGAUGCAGUGAGACACGUUCUAGAUUUGAAGAGAAAUCUUAUCUCUUUAGGUAAUUUUGAUUCAAAAGGGUACACGUAUAUUGUUGAAGGUGGAGUCUGAGAAGUUAGUAAAGGAGCUCAUGUUUUGUUAAAUGGAUAUAGAAAAUCUCAUUUGUAUGUCUUGUAGUGUUAUAGAGAAUCAUUGAGCAAUUAAUAUAUUUUAAGAACACAAAUGGAUUUGGAGUUGGUUUCUAUACUGUUGGAGUCUAAUUUGAGGUCUCUUUAAAUAAUACAUUUGAAUUGAAUUCAGAACUUAUAGGUAAAUCCCCCCUGUUACCACCAUCGAUGGUGUCAUUGUAUUUAGUUACUAGUAAAUGACCCACUUUUGACCACAAGAUUCCACAUAGAUACAAUUUGUUGAUUUGGUUGAUGAUUUGAAUGUAGUUAAGGGUAUUGAUUCUAGCCAAGAUCAUUCUUUUGAUGCAUUCUGUUGUGAUUCUAUUAGAGGGUUUGUUUUAGCCUUGUUUGGUGGUCAUUAGAUCACUUUUGCCCCUAAUUGGGGUAGCAGAGGUGAAGAAUAUUUCCAGUUAGAAAUUUUUGUUGGAGAAGUUCAUUUGUGUUUUUUAUUGAAGAAUUCAAGUUUCUACUUUGCAGUGCAAUUUGUCUCCAGGUAAAGAAUUUUUCCAUUGAAGUUUUGUUCAUUGUUAUGAAAUUCGUGUCAAGGUGCAGAUUGUUAGAAUUUGGAUAUAUUUUUUGUUGAAAAUAAUUGAAAGUUUUAAUUAAAUUGCAAAUUAAGAAGAAUUCUGUUUGGAAUGCUAUUAAUGAAUUCUAUUCAAGUUUAUUUGGCAAGUUCUAAUUGUAGUUCUAUUUGAAAGUCCAAUUGUGAGUUGGAAUUUGUGUUGGACUUGAAGAGGACGUUGGAAUGAAGAAAAUAAAAUUUUUGAAGUAGAUGAACCGAAAGUGGGAGUCGGCCAAUGGCCUCACGACGCUAUGCCUAGUGUUGUGGCACCACAUGGAUGACUCUGAAGCACCACCUAUCUGUUCGCCUCUUGCGCAAUGCGCCACAUGUCUAUUUCACCUCUUGCGCGAUUUGUCCUCUAUUCUGUUUCUUGCAUUAUACUUCAAUUACAACUGUAUUAUUAGGGUUUGGACGUCCCCUAUUUCUUCUCUAUAUAUAGUUGACUCUUUAUUAUGAUUUAACAGAAGUUAGAAACAUUGUAAAUAUAUAAUUUUUGUAUUUUUUUUUUCAAUUACUUCAUAUUGUGGCUAUAAUUUCUUAUUUUCUCUAACAAUUUGGAAUCGGAUUAAUCUGAUAUCAUUUUUCGUUUCACAACAUUAUUUAUGUACGAUAUUGUGGUGAAUGUUGGAAAUGGAAUCGACGUCAACAAAUUAGUAACUUGGAACCAAUUUUUCUUAUUGGCAUGAUGUGAAGUAGGAACCUUCGUAAAAGAAAUUAUACGUUGAUAACAUUACAAUGUUUUGUCCUUUUCUAUUUUGUGUCAAUUAUUCGCUCUAUUUGAUGUAGUUGGCAUAUGCAUGUGUUAUCAUGUUAAAAAGUAUUGUUAAUAAAUUUUGACAUGCAGGCAGUCUUGCUUCUAUUUUGUGAAGUAGGAACACUGGUAAAAAAAAAAAAAAAAAAAAAAUUAUUGGCAUGUAGUGAGGUAAGCACACUAGUAAAUGAAAUUAUGUUAAUAACAUUAUAGAUUCAAGGAAAUAUGUGGUGGAAGGCAAGCAACGGUAUAAUGUAGUAAUUUUAAUCUGAAUUUUUGAUUAUCCAACAUCAGAACAACACAUAACCAGAUGAGCAAAAUACCAAAUCUUUUUUUCCCCCCCCCCCCCCCCCCCCCCCAAAAAAAAAGUAUUUUAACCAAUAGUUACAACCAGGAUCAAAAGUUUUAACUUAUUUUUGGAUUUCAAAAGUUUUCCAACAACCACAAUUCUUGUUCUACCGAGUUGCUGCAUUCUUCCUUGUCAUUGGAGGGGCAAUGGAAUUCACCCCUCUGAUCGCCCUUUUGUUCUUUGCACAGAAGCUUACACUAACUUUCCUUCCCCCUCCUUGAAUUGCCUGACUUAGAAAGUGAAGAACCGACAUUCAUAGCUUCUGCUUCCUUAUGCGCCCUUUUUUCUGCACCAUUAUAGGAGCACAUGUAAAAAACAAUAGUACUCUCAUUGAACCAGACCUCAAAUUGGAAAAUGGAAAUGCCAUAUUAUAGCUUACAUUAGAAUCAAAUGGCUGCUUGAGAGCUUUGUAUUCCGGUUUCACAUUCCUAUUUCCAUUACAGAAUGGAGACCUUAUUAUGAAUAAUGUUGAAUCGUAAUUAUUUUUAUAAAUAUCCUAUUUAUUCAUUUCAACCUUUUAUUUAAGUUUAAUUCAAAUUUUAGUGACACUCGAAUUGUUAAAGAUUCGGAUUGUCACAUGUUUACUUCAAAACUAGAUUGAAAACCAUCAUUUCUAGAAUCAAAAUUUUGCUAAAUCAUCACGGAAUGCAGUCAUCACAAUUUAAUAUAAUGAUCGAGAACAAAACAAAUUGUAAAUGAGUUCCUUUGCAUUUCUUUGUCCUAGAAAGUAUUAAUUUCAACAAACUCAAAAUGCUGCUCAAAGGACACCUUUGAAUGAGAAACUAGGUAAACAAACUGUGGGGAAUCUGUUUACCUAAAGUCAUCACCGGCAAAGGAUUACAAGAUUAUAUCUUGCCAAACCAGUAUAACAGGAAUUCCAACACGAAAGUCAAACACACAAAUCAACAACCUUUUUUUUUUUAACAAUAAAAAACAAAAAAAAUCAGGAGAAGAUUUUAACAGCCUUCAAUGUGGGAUUACCUCCCAUCGGAGUGGACUUCAUAAUCGAUCAAAGUAACCAUAGCUGCCGAAACUUUCAAUCUUACCAUCUUUGCGCGGAAGUGGAUUCAAAUUUCAUUUAGCACAAACCAUAUUACAAUGGGAAAGAUGGAUUUUCAAAAUGGAUUUGAGGUUUAUGGUUUGGGGUAUUUUUUAGUUUUUACACAAUUCUUCUCUCGAUUUUGUCCUACAGAGGCGAAGAGCAAUGAAAUGGAUUUGGGGGUUAGGGUUAGGGAUUCGGUUUGUCUGGAAAUGAUAAGGCGGGUUUGUUUGGAAUUGGGUAAGGCAUGCUUAGCUGAUGUGGAGGAUCUAAUUAACCAUUUAACGGUCCAAGUUAUUAGUCCGUCAUCCCUGUAAGCAGAUCUACCUACGAAUUUUUGAUUUGGCGCGUGAUGGAGUGGGACAGAGCAAAAUUUAGUGGUUAAUGGGACAUUUCAUGUAGUUCGAUGAGUAAGUUGUGAUAUAGUGCAAGUUCAGUGGCCAUUGAAACAUUCAACUCUAACUCGUUAGAUAACUUGGUUGCAAGCCUACAACAUGCUUCUAGCUUAACUCAUUAAUUUUUAUAGUCAUUGCCCCAAUGCUUUUGAACAAUUUACCAAACAAAGAUAAAGAAAAAAGAACACAAUAUAGAAUGCUAUCCAUCGUUGAAAACAAGGCAUUAAAAAACUUUAAUGCUAAAUCCUAGUUAAAGCACGUUUGACUACGCUUAAAACUAACUUUAUAACCUAAUUUUAAGUAAAUUCAAAAGUUGAAACUUAUUCGAGUGAAUUUUGUGAAUGUCUAUUUGUCAAGUUGUCCACCAAUUAAACAAGCAAAUAGAUUUACUACUAAUUACAAGUUUUAUAUUAUUAGAAAUUAUUAUCAAGGAUUCCCUUUGCAACCCUUAUGGACUUCAGAUAUUCCUACCGAAACCAUUUUUAAAUAUAAAAAUUCAACAUUUACUCAUGAACUAGUGAAUUAGACACGAUUCCUUUAUAUUGUACUGAAUAACAAAUAGCAUGUCAAUUUUCAUUAAUUUCAUUGGUAAUGUGAAUACUCCAGCUAAAGAUGGUCGAGAUAAAAAAAAGAUGUAAGUUCCUUUGCCUGCUUGCCUAGUCAAACGUGAAUUACUUCAUAAAUCUUUGGGCUUUGAUUAUCAAGGAAUACAUACUUUACAAAUAAAGUCCACGAAUUCGCCUUCCAUUGGUAUCAUUUUAUAUUCCAAUAAAAUAAAUCCUCUCUUUCCUCAAAGUCAAAGUCCUUAGUCUACUAUACUUUUCUAAAGGGAAUGAUGCCGAUAUUUGGAAGAUUCAUCUUCUUGCAAAACUUUGACUUUGUUACUUCAAUUGCUUAAUCCGAAAGAUGCAUUCUAGUUUGUCUUCUAUCCCUAAUCGAUAAUUCUUCUUGCUUUAGUUCCCCAUGAGAUUGAUUGGACAGAACUUUUUGUUACAUAGAAAUGCCUUACAAGGCAAAGUAGCGGGAAAUGUUAAUGUGAAUGGACAUAGGAGAUACUUAACGGAACAAGCAAGAGCUUACUUGUUAAAGGAAUGUUUAUUGAAGGGCGAUGAGAAUAUUGAGGGAUUACCCCUUCCUCCGUCAAGAAGCUUGUCGUUUUACUAAUUGAGCACUUGGUGAGGCAGGAGUAGAUUGACGAAGGAUGGGAUUCGAAAAUGAAAAUACAUGUUAAAGGUAUUCAAAGAUGUUCUCCUAAUGCCCCAGUAGAAAAACUUCCAAAAUAAGUAAUUUAAUUAUGGUAGAAACAUUUCCAAAAUAAGUAAUUUAAUUAUAUAUACUUUAACCAAUAAAAAAUUAAUUUCUUUUAGAACUUUAAAACUUACAAGUGAAAACAUAGAGUUCGUUUGGUUUGCCGUUUUGAGGUCAUUUUCAAUUUUUAGUUUUCUAAAAUAUUAAAAAAUGCAUUUUCGAAAACAACAAAAAUUUUAUAACAUAAUGAUAAAACUCAAAAUUACAAACCAAACACUUUUUCUACGUUCUUAAAAUAAUUCCUCUAUACAAAAAAAAAAAAAAAAUGAAUUUAAAACGGAAAACAGAAAACAGAAAACAAAACGCAACCCAAAUGCACCCUUACCUUUCAAGUGUUAGCCGUUUUCAAAAACUUACUAUAGUGUGCUAAAUUCCUACGUCAGUUCGUUCCUUUUGUAUUCAGGCUUCAUAAUAGCCGUUAAGAAAUAAUUGCCGCAUUUUGUAUUUCAGUUCCACAAUUUAUCCAUCCUAAUUACCCUCAUAUUGUAUCUCUAUCUAUAAAAGGGGAAGUAAUCCAACUCCAGUCUUAAGUUUUCAGGGUCUCGAGAAAGAAGAAUCAUGGCCUAUUUCCUCUACAAAUUCGAAGAAAAUUUGAGUAUAGACUUUUUUUGUCCCAAAUUUCUCAUGCCAGAAUGCUGCUGCUGCCACACACUUUCUUGUAUGGCCAAGGUAAUAUUUUUUGGGUUCGAUACAAAUUGAAUAUUCCCGGGGACCCAGAUUUAGUCAAGAUGAUGACACAGUCAUAUGGAUGAAUCUGACUAUGUCGCACAUUUAAGGUCGGCCCAGGCCAAUGCUUCUCGUCACAGUAACCAAAUUGCUUGGACAGAAGAAACCAUUAUGCAACAUCUGAAGACGAGAAAUUUUGUGAAAGUGAAAGACAAUGAAGAAGGGCCCGAAAUUUGUGUCGUGUGCUGAGGUGAAUAUGAAGAAAGUGAAAGAGUUGAAAUCCCUCGUUGUGGACAUGAAUACAAUGUGGAUUGUAUGCGAAGUGGUUAUUACAAAAAAAUGUUUGCCCCAACCGCAAAGUCGACGCAUUGCAGACAGAGUGUGAGAAUUAUAGAAGCCGGCGCUGGAUACAAUUUGUUAUGUAGUAUUUCUUUUGUUAUUUGCAUUUCAAAUUGUGUAUCAACAUAUAUAUUUGGAGUUCUGUGAUGGAUACUUUGGAAAAUAUGGCAAUGGAGAUUGAAAAAAUCGAAAUCAAAUAAGGAGGAAGUAGAUAAAUUAUAUCAAUGAAAGCUUAAAUACGAAAUUAAUCUCGCUAUCCUCAAACGUUAUUUGUCCCCUUUCAAUACUUUUUAAGAAUUUCGGGCAAAUAGUUCGUAGGAUUAAACAAGCCCUGAUGAAGAACACCAAAAAACAAAAAUGUUUCUUCAAAGUGAACAAGUGAAAAAGGGAUGAAGAUGAUUAUUUGGAGAAACAAAAGUAAUAUAUAAUGUGGAUGAACAAGAAAUGAAUUUUCAUAUGAUUUUUCAUUGCAUUUUCUUGAACUUUGAUCACCUAUUUAUGGGCCUUGAGAAGUUCUCACGAAGUGGUGCGACAUUUGAGUUGAAAAGCCACCAAUUUUAAAUAAAAAAGGGUAAAAAAGGCCCAUAACAGUCACUUUUUGUAACCAUGAGGUCGCAUGGUUAUAACCCCGAUCGCCCACCAACUUUAGGUAUGGCCUUAUAUGAACGUAGGCCCAAAAUACCUAUGCAGUUGCGUAGGCCAUUUUAUGGCACUUUUUUUUUCCUUUUUCAAUUGAUUUAACCAUCCACGAGAUUUUGAACAACAAAUUUCUAAAAAUCCCCAGUUGUUCAAAAUCAAUGUUGAUCACAUAAUCAAAUAUCAACACUUAUGCGUAAGAACUAGAUAUCUUUUGAUUUGAAUCUAUUCAUAGUGCAAAUCUCAUAAAGUAGUAUCAGAAUUCCAGGUAGCUAGAGUACCUUGAACUAGUUAUUCUUUACGAUAAUACCAAUGAAAUCACACACACGUGUUAAACUUUUCACAAGUUUCUCUAACUCGCUUAAUGCUGAUAUGGUCUUGCACUAAUCAUUUUUCAUUGAACUUUUAAAGAGAUAAAACUUCAACUCUCUGAUGAGGCGACACCACCUUGAAGUUCACAUAGGUGAAGCUUUUCUAGUAUCUUUGUUACCUUUAGAGAUACUCGUACCCCGUACUAAACUUCAUUAAGAGUUUUAUUUUAACUCACCACUCCAAUAGUAACAACCAACACUAAUUUCCUAAGAAAGAAUUUAAUACAUUUAAUAGUGUUGAAAUCCAUCUACUUAUCGAAUAACUAGUUAUUACCCUUUGAACCUAAAUAUACCGGUUUAGUAUACUUUGGUAGGGUUGCCAUUAUUGGUGGAUCUAUUUGAGGAGUUUCAAUCCCAUUUUGCUCGAUGUUGAUCUCAUUAACUCUUUUGUGAGAGGUUUGAUAAAUGGGUCAGCUAAAUUCUCACUAGAUUUAUGAAAUGUAAGAGAAAUUACUUCAUGCUUGAUUAAUUUCCUUACGUACUCGUGUCUUAGACUCAUAUUUCUAAACUUUCCAUUGUACACUUCAUUAUAUGCUCGAGCUAGAGUAGCUUGACUAUCACACGAGAUAGGUAUAGAAGAAAUAUCAUUUAUGUCUAAAGGUUUCAUAUAAUAAAUCCCUUAGCCACUCGAAUUCUUUCUCAAUUUCGACCAAUGCGACCAAUGCUACAAACUCCGACUCCAUAGUUGAGUGAGUAAUACAAAUUUGUUUCUUAGACAUCCAAGAAACUGCACCACCUCCAAAAGUAAAUAUCCAACCUGAAGUGGAUUUAUUCUCUCCUGCACUCGAUAUCCAACUUGCGUCUGUAUAUCCUUCCAAGAUUUUAAGAAACUUUAUGUAUCGUAGCCUAAGGUUUUUGGUUUUCUUUAGGUAACCAAGAACCCUACCAAUGAUCUUCCAAUGUUCGGAACUCGGGUUGCUAAUAUACCUACUUAGUUUACUUACAGCAAAUGCUCCAUCAGGUCUUGUACAUUGUGACGCGUACAUAAGACUUCCAAUUGCACUUGCGUAUUCUAUUUGAGCUAUUGCUUUACUAUCGUUUUUGAUCAAUUUGAUAUUUAGAUCUAUAGGAGCAUUAGCCUUUUUAACAUUUGAAUGUUUGAACUUAUUUGUCACAUUCUCAACAUAAUGUGAUUGGCUUAAUGAAAAACCCCCACUAUCCUAUUUAACUUUGAUACCAAGGAUAGUGUCUACUAUUCCCAUAUCCUUUAUUUUGAAAAUAAAGGACAGAAACCUUUUUGUUUCUUUAAUCCCAUCUAUAUUAUUGCUAGUGAUCAACAUAUAGAAAAUAAAAAAAAUAUAUUAUCAUUUACUUUCGUAUAGAGACAUUUAUCUAUAGAAUUGUGAUUAAAUUCAUUUGACAUAAUUUUAGAGUCAAAUUUUUCAUGCCACUUUUUGGGGGCCUGUUUUAAUCCAUAUAAGGAUUUUAUAAUUUGCACAUCUUAUGUUCAUUUCCCGAUAAAACAAACCCUUCUAGUUGUUCUAUAUAGACCUUUUCUUUGAGAUCUCCAUUUAGGAACGCUCUCUUGACAUCCAUUUGAUGAACAUGUAAAUCAUAAAUAGAUGCUAGUGCAAAUAAGAUUCUAAUCAAGGUUAUUCUAGCCACAUGUGCAUAUAUGUCAAAGUAAUCUAUUCCUUAACCUUAACGAUACCCUUUAGCUACUAGUCUAGCUUUGUAGGUGUUAAGUGUUCUAUCAGAAUUGUAAUUUUUCCUAAAUACCCACUUGCAACCAAUAGCUUUAGAACCGGCUGGUAGAUCAAAAUUUCCCAAGUAUUAUUCGAAAUAAUAGAAUCCAUUUUAUUGUUUAUUGCUCCUUCCAGAACAUGCAAUCUCUAGAUUGCAUUGAUUUCUUAUAAGUUUUAGGAUCACUUUCCACUUGAAGAACAAAGGAAAUUGUUCUUACAACAUCUUUCCUAUCUCCCUCUACUAAGUAAAAGGAAAUAAGCUGGGAAUCUAUUUCAUUUGACCCUAGAAUCUUUUCUUUUCUAGUUCUUUUAAUUCUUAGAGGUUCAUUUUCAACAUCUCUUAUGGAUGUCUCUUUCGGUGAGCUUCUAAAGGUUGAAACAUCCUUAUUAUUUUUAGAUUUUCUAGCUACCAUUACAUUCUCAAAGAAUUUCACACCUCUUGAUUUUAUUAUAACGUCCGAUUCAAGAUUUAACAAUCUAUAGGUUUUGCUAUUAAGAGCAUAUCCUACAAAGGCACAUUUGAUACCUCUAGGACCUAACUUGGUUCUCUUAGGAUCCAUGUUCUUACAAUAGGCAAGGCACCCCUACAUUUUAAAAUAAUUGAUAAUUGGUUUUCUACCCAUUUAUAUCUCAUAUGGGAAAUUUUAUUCUUUUUUCAUGGGAAUCUUAUUUAUUAUAUGGUAAGCACUAAGCAAGGCUUCAUCCCCAUAGAUUAAAAGGUAGUUCAGAAUUAAAAAACAUAGCUUUUAUCAUCUCCAAAAAGCUUCUAUCCUUUCUUUCUACUAAUCCAUUUUCUUCCCAUAUUCUUGGUGCAGAAGCUUGAUGUACUAUUCUAUUUUGUUCAUAAAAUAUGUUAAGUUCAUUAGAAAAAAUUUCUCACCUCUAUCAUUUCUUAAAGUCUUUAAUUUUCUUCUAAUUGAUUUUCAACUUCAACUUUAUGAGUCUCAAAGGCACUAAAGGCUUCGUCUUUAUGUUUUACUAAGUACACAUAAGUAUACCUAGAACAAUCAUCAAUAAAAGUAAUGAACAAGUUCAAGCAAUUUUGUUGUCUUACUACAGUAUGAGUUCGCUUCUUAAUCAUUUUUGAUUUAAUACAUUUCAAAUUUUUCUAAGUUGUCAAUAUCACAUUGAAUUAAUCAUCAUUCAAUCAUUCUUUUAAUGGUAUUAACUCCGAUAUGUGUUAAUCUACUACGCCAUAAAUUAAAUGAAUCUACAACAUAUGCAAAAUACUUAAUUUUAUUUGAAUUAUCCUCAAGAGUACAAAGUUUGACAAGUCCUUUGGUGGAAUAGCCCUUUCCAACAAAGUACACAUUAUAGGUUAGUACAAGUUUUCCAGAUUCAAAAAAUAUUUAAUCCCAGGUUUUCCCAAAAGAACUCCACUUGCUAAGUUUCUAUUCAUUUUUGGUACGUGCAAGACAUUUGUCAAAGUGAUUUUCUUUCUCGAAGUGAAAAUGAGUUCAACAUUUCCUUUGCCAAUCACUUUUGAUCUUCCUUUAUUUCCCAUUUGUAUUUCUUGUUGUCUUCAAUGUUUUGAUAAGUUUUGAAAAUAGACUUAUCAUAACAUACAUGGAUUAAAGUGCAUGUAUCAUACCACCAGCCCGAAACUUUGCUUUGCAUUGCAUUAAUUUCGCUCACCGUAGUGAUAAUAUCAUCAACGGAAUUCACUUGUCCUCAAUUCUUUUGUUGUUUCCUAUUCCUACAAUCUCUAGCAUGGUGCCCCAAUUUUCCCCAAGCGUAGCAAUGUCCCUUGGAUUUGUUUUUGAACUUUCCUUGAUCCUUUCUAGGAUUAAAAGGUUUCCAUUUCUUCUUAAUUUUGUUGGAGUUGUCCACGUUGUUCACAUCAUUUGCUUUCGAAAAACUAUCAUAAGAAUUUUCAAUCUUAUCUCUUGCUCUUGAUUCUUCCUCUCUAUGAAGAUAUUUUUGUAUAUCUUCCAAAAUUUUUUUUUAGAAUUGUGAAAAAUCUUCUUCCUGUAUCCUUUCCAUAAACCGGGGAGUUUGGCAAUAAUUGCUUCCGCUUGGAAAGUUUCGCAAAGUUUGAUUUUCACUACUUUCAAUUUGUUUACGAUUAUUUGUAGUUCAUGUACUUUUAGGCAACAAUGGUAUAUUAUCCAAAAAUUUGAAAUCAAAAUAUUUAGAUAUUAAGAACUUUUUGAUAUCUUCCUCCUCGGCUUUAUAUUUGCCUUUUAGCACAUACCAGAUCUCCUUUGCUGAUUUAGUAUUGGUGUAGAGAUCUUGUAGACGAUUUGACAAUGCAUUUAGGAUAUGGCCCCAGCAUAUUAAUUCGUCCUCUUCCCGUUUCUUUCUUUCUGCAAGAAUUUCUUUGGUAUCUUUGUUCGUUGCAUCGAGAUUAGGCUCCAAUUUCGGAUCAAGCACAUAGAAUAUCUUUAAUUCCAUUAGAUGGAACUUGAGUUUGUCUUGUCAUCUUGUGAAAUUUGUGCCAUCGAAUCUGUCCAAGUGUACCAGGUCUUGAUUAAUCAUUUUUAAAGUAGCAAGUGUAGAUUCCGUCUCCAUCGUAGAAAAAAAUAAUCAAAUAACGUUUGAGAUUGUUGGAAAAUAUGGCAAUGGAAAAAAAAAAACUGAAAUCAAAUAAAGAAGAAGAAAAAAAAUUAUGUCAACAAAGGCUUGAACACAAAAUUAAUCUCUGUCCUCAAAUGUUAUUUGCCUCUUUUCUAAUGCUUUUUGAGAUUUUUAGGUAAAUAGUUCGUAGGAUUAAACAAGGCUUGAUGAAGAACGUGAAAAAGCAAAAGUUUUUCCUCAAAGUGAACAAGUGGUAAAGGGAUGAAGAUGAUUAUGUGGAGAAACAAAAGUACUAUAUAAUGUGGAUGAACAAGAAAUGAAUUUCAUAUGAUUUUUCAUUGCAUUUUCUUGAACUCUGAUAAACUAUUUAUAGGCCUUGAAAAGUUCUCACAAAGUGAUGCCAAAUUUGGGUUGAAAAGCCACCAAUUUUAAAUAAAAAAUGGACCAUAGCGGUCAUUUUUUGUAACUAUGCAGUCUCCCGGUUAUGACGCCUCAUGCGACCACAUACCCAAAAUGCCUAUGUGGUUGCAUAAGCCAUUUUAUGGCACUUUUUUUUUUCUGGUUUUUUUCAUUUUCCAUUGCCAUAUUUUCCAACAGGAUACAUAUUGUAACUUUGUCAUCAAAUUCCAAUUCUUAAUAAAAUUCACUCUUUAACUUCUGUUGCUUUUUCUUUUUUUUCUUUCCAAGUUUAGUUGUGAUUGUAUCAUUUGCCAAGAUAGUAUUACAUUUACAUUGUAGUGGAAGAUUUUAUCACCAAAGGCAUUUUUCGGGCUCAGUAUCAAUCCAACCAACCAACAACUCAAAGAAAUUGAUCCAAAUCCACUCAACUAUCCCGAACUUCGGUUACUUUAGUAUUACUCACUUAAGACAAAAGGUAAGAGAGUUGUUGUAGCCACAAAGAUGAAGAAGGCAUGGUAAAGUAAAGUACAAAUCCAGGCCUCGCUUUCACCAAAGGAGGAGGAGCAACAACACAUACACAUAAUCACAUCAAAGUAAUGGGUCAAUCCCAAUAAAGAAUUGGUGAGUGGGCCAAGUAUGUCACUAAGUAGUUCAAGACUUAUAAGUCGUCCAAAAAGUGGGGGAAGGGGCCGUGAGUUGCACUAAUUAAAUUAGACUAUUUUCAAGCCCAAAAGUUUUAUGGUCGGGUCAUUUCAUUUUGAUGUUGACUUAAGUUCAGUCAUUUGGUUGAUGAUGACUUAGAAAAUUAUAUCAAUUUUACAUCAUCUCCUGGUAAGUUGUUUGACAACAAUUUGCCCAACAAAUAUCUACCUUGGUGUCAAAGGUCCUGCAAAGGAACAUUAUAUCACAUUAGUGAAAAUUUCGAGAAGAGAACCGAUAAAAUUGAAAAUUAUUUACCUCUACCGAUGUUUAGAAGAUUCUUGCAACUUUUAAACUUCAUCAAUGAUAAUACCUUGGUGCCCAUGUUUGAGGGGUUAUAUUGUGCAUGCAUUUUUUCAAGUCAUACCACCUUCAUCUCUAUUGAAAUUUAGUCUAAUAUUAAUGUGCUUGGUGCAUUCUUGAAAACAUGAUUUUUGUGUAAAUGUAUAGAAAAUUAACUAUCUGAAUAAACUACCACAUAAUCAUUCAAAACACAAAAUUCAUGAAGUAAACAUUUAAGCCGCAAAGCCUCUUCAAUUGCUUCAGUGCAAUAUAUUCAGACUCUAUCGUUGAUAGUGCAACUAUGUGUUGUAAUUUUGACUUCCAACUAAUGCAAGAGUCAGACAAAGUAAAUAUAUAGGGGGAAGUAGAUUUUCUAUUAUCCAUAUCCCUCGCAUAAUCCGCAUCUACAAAACUUUCAGUUUCACUUAUUCUUUACUAACACCAAACUUUUGAUCCACAUCACCAGUCCUAUUCAAAUUCCUUAACAACCACUUUAAGGCUUCCCAAUGUUCUGAAAUCAGAUUAGACAUGUACCUAUUGAGAGUACUAAUAGCAAAAGUUAAAUUUGGUUUACACAUCAAAUAAAUAAUAGAUCCAAUCAAAUUAGAAUAUGGAAUCCUACUCGUGUUCUACUUCCUUUUCAUUACAUGUAGCCCAUUCUUUAUAUAAUAUAGAAUGAUUAUCCAAAGGUAAUGUAACAGGUUUACAGUCAUGCAUGCCAAAUCUUUUCAACACCGCUGAAACAUAAGUAGACUGAUACAAAAACAAUGCAGAAUUUGAUCUAUCUCUUUAAAUUUCCACAUCUUGAAUUCUCUUAACUUUACCUAGUUCUUUUAUAUCAAAUUCACCAUUCAAAUUUAUUCUUAUCUUACUUAUGCACUUAGAUGAUGAAUCAAUUAAGUUCAUAUCAUCCACGUAGAGCAAUAAAAAUUUAUAAUCAUUAUUAGCAUUAGCAUGUUGAAAUCCUAUAGUGAGUACAUUGGAAUCAAAUCUUUUAUGUCAUUGUCUAGGUGAAUGCCUUAAGCCAUAUAAAGAUCUUUUAAGGAAACACAAAUGAUCAGGUUUUACUUUAUCUUUAAAUCUCUUGUUGAUUUAUAAAGAUUUGCUCAUCAAGUUCACCAUGUAAAAAUGUAGUUUUUACAUUAAGUUGUUCAAGUUUUCAGUCAAAAUGUGCAACCAAUGCAAGCAAGAUCCUAAUAGUGCUAUUCUUAACAAUUGCUGAAAAAAUCUCGUUAUAAUAAUUUUUCUUCUUCUAUGUGUAUCCCUUAGCCACUAACCUAACUUUAAACUUUAAGCGUUCAGAUGCACUAGAACCCGCCUUAACAUAAAAAACUCACUUACGUUCAACUCUUCAGAUUGUUUACUCUUUAUCAACCUCUCGAAGAUUUUUGGCUCUUUAUCAGCUAGCUACUCAUAACUAGCGUAAGCAAAAGCUGACUCGAAUGCAUAUUCAAAUCUUUUAGGCUCUUUCGUUUGUCUUCUCUUACUAUACCUAGCUAAAUUAUACUUUACCAAGAAAUUCUCUUCCUCAGGAUGUCUUCUAUCACUAGUUCCUCUCUAUACUUCACCUUUGGUUGUUGAAAUUAAGUCUCCACCUCAUUAGGAGUAGCGUACGGAUAGAUGUACUAAGUUUUCCUAGCUUUAUCUUCAAAUAAUCUCUUUCUUCACCUUUCUAUUUUUCACUCAUAGGUUUGGAUUUAGUCUUAAGAUAUGGAUUCAAUCUUAAGAUAAGGCAAUUCAACCUCGUUAAAUGUGACAUCUCUACUCACAAUGAUCUUAACCCUCUUUUGGUUUCUAUCCUAUAAUCUGUACUUGAUACCCUCAGGGUAACCAAGAAAAACACAUUUUUUAGCUCUAGGUUCAAGCUUUCCCUCACUCUAAUGAGAAAAUGCAGUACAGCCAAAAGUUUUAAGCACAGGGUAAUCCUAAACUUAUCCAACCAUUUUUCAUAGGGAGUGUCACCAUUCAAUACAACAGAUGGAGUCAAAGUAAUCAAAUAAUAGUUAUAACAGCUUUACCCUAAAAUGCUUUUAGGAUACCAUAACAUAACCUCGUGAAUCACAUUUUAUCAAGUAUAGUUCUAUUCAUCCUUUCCGUUAUCACAUUUUGUUAGGGUGUGUAAGGAACAGUCUUAUUCCUUAUUAUUCCAUUCACUUUGCACAUAUUAUCAAAUUCAGUGUCACAAAACUCUGGGCCAUUAUUAGUUUUCAAGAACUUAAUCCUUCCGCCAGUUUGAUUCUGAACUUGUCUUUUCCAAUUAUUAAAAUUGUGGAAAGUAUCAGACUUAUCUUUUAAAAGAUAACACACCUUUCUAAGAUAAUCAUCAAUAAUGGACAAGAAGUACCUAUUUCCAUCCGAGGUGAGAUUACUAGCAGGGCCCUGAAAGUUUGAAUGCACGUUUUCUAGCACACCUGUAGUUUUGUAAACACUUGUGGAGAAAAGAAGUCUUGUGAUGCUUACCAAGCACACAUUGGUUGUAGAAUGAUAAAACCGAUAGAUAAUCAUUACCAAAUACAUAUUUUCAUUAAGAAGAAUAAGCCCUUAAUAUCCACAUGCACAAGUCUAUUCAUUUAUGUGUGUGAUCAGUCUUGGUAGAAGAGAUGGAAGAAUCUAAACCUCUUAUCACUUUUCCAUUGGUGAUGUAAAUAUCACUUUUUUCUAGAUUCCUUGAUGGAAACAAGUGCACCCUAAUCAUUUUCAAAACUCCAUUUCCAAUUUUAUCAGCGAAGUCAGCUUUCUCAAGUUUCCAUACUAAAAUUAAAUUCUUAGACAAUUCAGGAAUGUAUUUAACAUCUUUUAAAGUACACACAAAACCAGUGUCAAAUUUUAAAAUAAUAUCUCCAAUCCCAGUAGCAAUAUGAGCCAAAUUGUCACACAGCAUAGCAUGUCCGUUAUUAGAUUCAUGCAAGUUUUUAAGCCGGUCCUUUUUAGAUGUCACACGAAAAAAUACACCAAAAUGAAGUAUCCACUCAUGUAAACUAGAAUCAGCAGUUAGAUUCAAUUUAACAAUCGGACUUGUAAUCACAGAAACUUCGCCAUCAUUAACAUUGGGAGCAAAAGAUAAAAUAUUUACUUCAUCCCUCUCUUUAACAUUUUACUUACCAUUUUCUUUAUAACAAUCUUUUAGAAAAUGCAUUGUGUUCCCAUAGCUAUAACAUUUCUUAACUUUGGUCCUAGAUUUUGAUCUAGACCUACCAUUACCUUUCUUUUUACCUCUAAUACUAUUUGACUCUCCACUACUUUGGUAUCCAUCAUGACCGUUUUGCCUAAACUUAGUUCUACCUCUCAUCGCAUUGCUUGUAAUGUUUUUCAACUUCAAUUUUCAUCUCUUGACUUCUAAGAGAAUCAACGACAAUUUCAAGUGCCAAGGUGUCCCUAUUGUAUUUAGUCGCAUUUUUAACUUCCUUAUAAGUGUUAGAUAUGGAAUUAAGUAAACUUAUAGUUUUGUAGGUUUCAGACACUGUCUCUUCAUAGUUAACAAUAUCAUGAACAGGUUUGUCAAACACGUCUAAAUUAUCGUCUAGUUCCUUUGAAGGAUCGAUUUAAAAUUGUAAAAAGUUCAAGUAAGUAAAGCUUUUUCAGAGUAGAUUUGAGCAAAUACAAGUCCUCCAAUUUUCUUUUUAAAGUUUUUUGAUGGUUUUAAGUUUACCAAAUUUUCUCGAAACAACAUAAGAUAAAUAUAAAAGAAGUGAAGUAUAAGUAAACUCAUAGCUUAAUCAGUAGAAAAAUCUCAUUCAAUGACUUUAGGAACUCUUUGUUGGACCAAAAUAUCUUUUAUCAUUUGUUACCAUAUUGAAAAAUUACCUUUUCCGUUAAAAAUUCUUAAAUUAAAAUUACAAGUUAUCAUUUUUACGAACCAUUAAAAAUGCACAGCGUCACAAUUAAACCAUACAAAGUAGUCCUAAGAUCAUAGAUAGUACACUCCGUUCUAGAUUCCAAGGGUUAAAUGAUAUUCGCGAUCUCAAUAUGAACGAAAUGUUCAAAUGGGUAAGGUUUAUGUAUGCUGGCGAAAUUAACGAUGCAAAUAGGUAUACUAGUCAAACAGUUUCAGUCACGGUAAACCACAAAGAUAAUAAGAUAAUUUUAUCAAACAGAAACUUCGAUCAUGUAACAGUUAAAAGCAAGUAAUUCCUAAAUUUUAGUACAAGCAAUGGUUAUACAACACGGCAACCACAAUCUGAUUGUCACCCCAUACGAUGAUGCACUAUUGCUAAAAUUUAAAUGAAAUAAGCCAAUUACCAAAGAGGACAACGUCGAAGGCACGUAAAUAUCAAGAGAUGUGAAUUUGAUGCUUUAGGACCAUCACUACUCGAGGGAAACACCAUCUAGGUCCACCACUAUUCGAAGAUAAAACUAUCUAGAUCAAUUGAUAAACAUAGGCCGAACAUCUAGGGGCAAAACUGUCUAGAUCCACUGUAUAACCUAAAACAGGAAAAUAAUAGUAGCAAAACGUUCAGAAUGACAACCAAACAACCUGUUUGAACAACUUUUCUCCGGUAGAUGCGAGAUGCGCCAUCGUAGGAGAGCCCACUCAUAGCCACCUUCGGUCAUCAUCCUCUUCAAAUGCUACAAACCCAGUGGCUCCUCCGCCUGCACAAUAUAGUUCUGACCUCUAUUUCACCAAACCCCUUUGGUUUGGCCGAAAAAGGGGAUUGCAGGUUCGACACUUUUGGGAUUUUUUGAUCCAGUUGAUUUUUGUUCUAAUUUUUUUCCUGAAAUCACCCAAAUCACCCUAUAGUCUCGAAACAUGACAAGCGUCAAUGAUAGAUGCUGACUAAACGCCAAAACCACCACCAAAGCUGACUAUGGGUUACCAUUAAAUAUGCGCCAAAUAAGAUGCUUAUAAAAAUAAUGCAGUGGGUCCAAAAUAAUAACUUCAUGCUUUAUCAAAAUUGAUCAUAUAUAUAUAUAUAUAUAUAUAUAUAAAAAUAAUAACUUCAUGCUUUAUCAAAAUUGAUCAUAUAUAUAUAUAUAUAUCACUUUAAAAUCAUCAAGCUCUUCGAGCUAUAAAGGACCAAUAGCUACCUGUAGGAAAAUUUGUGGGAAAAUAUAUGAGUGAUAGCUCAACAAGUAGAAAAGUUUGAAAAUAAUUAUACUUUCUCAUUUUUACAUUUUUGUAGAAAAUUGAGUUCAUAUCAUUCAAUAAUUCACAAAAUAACAUAAUACAAUUAUAACCAAGAAGCGAGACAUCCUUAUAAUGCUAAAAAAAUAUCAUCUUAUAUUCAUGAUAUAUUCAUUGGCUGAUAUAUGUACUAUAAUCUCAUCACAUCAACUCUACUGAAAAUUCCACCAAGAAUGUACCAUCUGAUUGAAAUCUGCAUUUCGUCCCUCAGGCCAAGCACUUUUGUCGUGGUCCUUUGCCCCCUUCGUGAACGAAAAUGAGUCUCAAAAUCUUUGAUAAUCAAUUCUAAAAUACAGCCAAGAUCCCUCUGUGAACUGUAUGUCCACGGUCAAGACCAAUAUCCGAUAAAGGCCCCUCCUUGUAUGAUAGAACAAGACCAAGGCAACUCUGUAAACUAGAAGAAGUAUAUAAUCAAGGAUAUUUUUCUGGUCGAUUUCAAUACCACAUAUCUUACAUUUCAAUUCAUAAGUAAUCCAUAUCCGACCUUUGAAUUCCAUAUAUAUCAUAGUGAAAGAACCUUCCAUAUUAAUCAUGUAAUUGACCAAAUAAUUCACAUAAUCUCACGUAAUAUAAUAGUAUAAGCACUUUAUCAAUAUUUGAAAAUAUGUAAGUUUUUCCACUUAUAUAUCUAUGCAUACAAAUCUGGCUAAAUUGAAGAAACUUCCCAAACUUUCACGUUACUGCCUGAAAUAAUGAUAUAAUUACUCAAAUGUAAACUCACCAAGUAAUUCAUCCAAUUCUAUAUUUAUUCUUGCAUAUCCACUUCUCUCAUUUUUCUUCUCUUUUAUUAAUAAUCAACUAAUCACCACGUAUGAUCAAAUUCAUUAAUCACUCAUACUUCCUUAAAGUAGCUACCUUAUAAAACCACUAUACAUAAUUCAAUCCAAUAGCUAGACCUUAAUACUUUCCCUUUAGUUUCAUCCAAACCUUUUAAAUCAGAGAAAACAAAGGUUUGACAAAAAACAACAAUAAAAUUCCAAGGUAUUGAAGUCUGGGAUCUAUUUCUGUAUGUUGAAAAUUGUCAUGAAACUAUUCACAAAACUAGCAGUUUCUUAGCAGAAUUUCAACAGUAGCACUAGUACAUAAAAUUUGCAUGAAAAUCAGUUAANNNNNNNNNNNNNNNNNNNNNNNNNNNNNNNNNNNNNNNNNNNNNNNNNNNNNNNNNNNNNNNNNNNNNNNNNNNNNNNNNNNNNNNNNNNNNNNNNNNNCCUGCUUUGGAGUCGGACUCAGACUCGGAGUCGGGUUCGGAAUCGGAGUCCGUGUCAGCGGAGUAAUCGGAAUUGUUGGCGGUGAGGUUGAGCAACUUGCGAAUAACCACUCGAGCUCGAGGCCAGAAAAGCUGCAGGCAUGUGCAACCGAAAGUGAUCAUUCUAAAAUUGGAAAGUUUUCUAAACCAUAAUGACUUCAUGAAACCAUCUUAAAAUUUCAUUACUUGAUCAUAUAGCUGACAGAUUCAUCUAUAAGUAAGAAGCUUGACCAAGAACAAUGAUUAUCAAACAGAUUACCUUUUUGUCUCCAAGCAAAUUUACGGUAUUGGAAUUAUAAGCUUCAAGUUGAGGAUUCUGCUUAUGAAAUGAAGAAUCGGGCCUGAAUCUGGAACUAGAGGAUAUGGAUCUGAUACUUAAUUCCCUCGAGUCAGCUAAAGAAUUCUGCUCAUGAAAUGAAGAAUCGGUCCCGGAUCUGAAUCUAGAGUAUGUGGAACUGAAACUUGAUCCCCUCGAGUCAGCUAAAGCAACUUCUCGGUCUUUUUCUCUCCGAAGCACAACUUCCACGAGUCUCCCCCAAUUAUCAUAGUUGAUAGACAUAUUCCUAUUUCCCGUUUAACAAAAAUCUUACAAAAUACAAAAUCUCAAACGAUCAAAUAAGAGAAGGCAGCUUCAGUUACUGAAUCUCAAACACGGAAUCUACAGAAAAGAUAAAAAAUGGGUUGUGUGAUUUUAAAAAUUCAGUCAUAGUCAACUGCAGCGUAUGAUCUAGAAUACACUUGCUACGAAUGGGGAAAGCUAGCCAGAAGCAUAAAUCGCGGUUGAAGAUGAACUUCAUACAUAUUUUAAAUUUGAUAAAGGAGGAAGCUUAUUAUUGUUAAAUAAGGGAAUUUCAUUGAUGGUCACUGAAGNNNNNNNNNNNNNNNNNNNNNNNNNNNNNNNNNNNNNNNNNNNNNNNNNNNNNNNNNNNNNNNNNNNNNNNNNNNNNNNNNNNNNNNNNNNNNNNNNNNNACUCAGGUUUCUAUUGAUGACCGUAGAAAAAUAAUUGAAAAGUUAGAUAAUAACAUUAUUAGCAGUAAUAAAUACUAAGUAGAGAAAGAUGAAAAUGGCAAUUAAAAUGAAACAAUUGCAUUGAAAGUUACCUUUUAGUUUGAUGAUACCAACUUAUGCCUUCCGAUGAUGUUAACAAGAAGUUUGAGACAUGUAAAAAAAUUGAAGGUGUGUGUGUGUGUGUGUGUGUGUGUGUGUGUGUGAGAGAGAGAGAGAGAGUGGCAUGUAAAUAAUGGAGGAUUUUGAAGAUUUUGGUGAGUUAUUUCUUUGUAAUGUAGACUUUGGUUGGUUCCAUUUUGAAUGUAACAAUAGAAAUUUGGAACUCGUCUAACAAACUAAAUUAAGUAAAUAUGUAAUUAUUUAGAAUAAAUACUGUGGAAAAACUCUUCAAGUGGCCUACUACCUUAUUUUUUAAACUUUGUAAGCACUAGACNNNNNNNNNNNNNNNNNNNNNNNNNNNNNNNNNNNNNNNNNNNNNNNNNNNNNNNNNNNNNNNNNNNNNNNNNNNNNNNNNNNNNNNNNNNNNNNNNNNNNNNNNNNNNNNNNNNNNNNNNNNNNNNNNNNNNNNNNNNNNNNNNNNNNNNNNNNNNNNNNNNNNNNNNNNNNNNNNNNNNNNNNNGAAUUAACUAGAAUUGAGCAUUACAUUGAAUGAGAUUUUGAUUUUUCCAUAUUAUUGAAGUUUUGAAAAUUAAAGAGAAGGUCAUGUCGAGAAGAAUCGUUUAUUAUUACAAUAUGUGUUAAGUGGAAGUGCAGAGAUUUAUAAUCUAGUACAAUUUUAUGAAUUUUUAUGCUUCUGCAUAUUAAUUCAAUAUAUAUAUAUAUAUAGAAAUUGAAUAGGUCCUCACAAAUUUGAUAAUAAGGUUUAAUGAAUCAAACUAUUGAAUAGGUAAAACAUGUAAUAGUUAGAACCAGAUCUAUUAUUGUGCUCAAUCUACCCCACUUCAAUUAAUUAAUUAUACAUUUGUCUUUACCUAUAAUAAUUAUUAAUUAGUAAGUUCAUUUUCAAUAAGACUUAUUGCUAGUAGGUAUCAUGGCACAUCAUGCUUAUCCUUUCUAGGUGAUAUUAAAUGGAAUUAUAGACCAAAAACUUUUGUCCCAUUGAUAUGUGUGCCAUUUUAAUGGUUAAUUAAGAUAUAGAAGCUAAAUAAAAUAUUGGGAUAAAAAUAAAAUAGAAAGUUAAAUUAGAAAUAAUAAAUGAAAAUAUGAAAAUUAGAACAAGCGAAAUAAAACACACAAAUCAAAAUAUAGAAGAUUUUAAUAUACAGAUUAAAGAGUUAUUAAAUUUAAAAGAAAUAAGACCAUCUAUUAGUCAACAUAGAUCAGUAGCCUUUAUGAUUAGAAAUUAUAGUGAAAUAAAAAGAGAAAAAGAAAGAAUUGUGACAAACUAUAAAAGAUUAAACGUUAACACUGUAAAGGAUGAAUAUAAGAUACCAGAUAAAGAUAUGCUAAUAAAUAAAAUACAAAAUAGCAAGAUAUUUUCUAAAUUUGAUUGUAAAUAUGAAUUUUGGCAAAUAAAAAUGGCAAAAGAUUCUAUUCCAUGGACAACCUUUACCAUUGCAUUAGGACAUUUUGAAUGGUUAGUCACGUCUUUUGGAUUGAAAAAUGUACACUCUAUUUUUCAAAGAAAGAUAGAUAUUAUAUUUAAUUCUCUUCCAUUUGUUUGUGUAUAUAUAGAUGACAUUUUAGUACAUAAUAAAGACUAUAAAAAUAUAUGAAACAUUUAGAAAUAACUUUAUAGAAAAUNNNNNUAUAGAAAAUGGUUUAAUAUAUAUAUAUAUAUAUAUAUAUAUAUAUAUAUAUAUAUAUAUAUAUAUAUAUAUAUAUAUAGAGAGAGAGAGAGAGAGAGAGAGAGAGAGAGAGAUGAAUGAUCUUUUAAGCACUGGUGCUUAACUUAUGUUAAGUAUCAAUGAUAUGACACAUCAUUUAAUUGGUGAAUCAUUAAAUACAUGAAAAUUAUUCAUCAAUUAAAUAUAUUGUCAUGUCACUGAUAUUUAGGAGAUCAGACUAUUAAAUAGGUGAACAUGUAAUAGUUAGAACCAAAUCAAUUAUUGGGCUCAAUCUAUCCCCACUUCAAUUAAUUAAUUAUACAUUUGUCUUUACCUUUAAUAAUUAUUAAUUAGUAAGUUCAUUUUCAAUAAGACUUAUUGCUAGUAGGUAUCACGGCUCAUCAUGCUUAUCCUUUCUAGGUGAUAUUAAAUGGAAUUAUAGACCAAAAACUUUUGUCCCAUCGAUAUGUGUGCCAACCCAAAGACACAAUAGUCAAACAAAUUGUACAAAGGGAAAAUUUCCUAACAAGGACCUAACUAGUAGGAGGACAUGAAAGUAACGUUUUUAACUAUAUAUGUCAUUGUUAGAUUCAUUCAUUCUAGUCUAAUUUUCCAUCAAAUCGCUCCACUUCAAACUUUGAGCUUGUCAUCAUUUUUGCAGCAAUUCCAUAAUUUGAACAGUGGACUCUAAUACCAUUCAUUGAAAAAAAAAAUCCAAUAUAUAGUCUUACGUACAUCACGAAAGUCAAAAUUGACAUAGUGAUACAUAAUUUAUGCCAUAAAUUGGCGAUGAAUGUCCUGCUAAUCUAUAUUUUUGUAUUUUCAACGUGGCCAAUGAAUCUGCAGGUAUCUUGUGUCCACAUAAACUUGAUUUCUACAAACUAGGACAAACAGUUAACCACACACUCCGACAAUUAAGAAGUUGUAUGUAUAUCAGCCCCUUGUAGCUUCGCUCGCCAUAAGUGUUCGAUUCUCGAUUCGGCUAAAUUGCCUCCUAGGCAGAAAUGACCUGGAGUAUGGGCCCAAGUUCGCCUGUCAUGGAACCGCCACAUAGAAAUUAUUAGAGCCUUGUUGGGCAAGGCGUAACAAAUGUUUAGAUCUUGUCGAUCUUAUUUGAGUCAAUUUUUCACCAAGAUUUAACCAGAAACCAUAGAUUCAUGUGUUAUUUUGAUAUGCACAUAUUAUCAAGCAAAUACGAGAAGUUUUAUUAUGACGCAAUGUUUGGCUAACGUUUAUGAUUUCCUUAGAAUUUGUCAAAUCACUUUUUAUUCACAAAUAGUAUUCACUUACUCGUAACUUAUUUUUACUUAUAUAAUAAUUAAUAUGUAGAUGAAUCAUAUAGUAAUUUCUUUUUGUCUUAAUUGCCAAGUUGCUUUCAAGUUAUUGUUGAAUGUCAAAGAAGAAGGAAGCCACAUUUUUCCUUUCACCUUCAGCAAAAAUAAACUUGGGCAGGGAAAUUAAAUUCAAAAAAUAGAAAAAUUGACAACAUUCCCCGUUUGAAACUCAUUUUUUGAUCAAAUCUUAUUAUUCUACAGUAGCAGGCAAAUUUAAAAUUAUAGAAUGAGUCAGUGCAAUUGUUAGAAUGAGUUAAUAUUGAUAAUGUCGUUGAGGCGUAUAGGACUAUUUUACCCUCACUUUGUAAUUGGAAAUUUACACAAGUACCCUCAACCAAUUGAACCAUUUAUGUAAAUUGAUGGAUUUAAUAUGUGGAGCGCUCCAUUGAAUUGUCAAAACGUGGCAGCUCUGGUUGUCAGACAAAAAUCAUAAUUUCAAAUGUGGGGCCCACAAGAAAAGAAAUGAGAUCGAAAAUUUUGGAAGAGUUGUGCUUCACGUACAUAUGCCAAUUUCACCGGCCUUUUCCAAAAUACACACAUAUGUGGGCUCACGUAAUUUUUUUUUAAAUAUAUGUGGGGCCCCUGCACGGUGAGGGGUCCUGUAAAACUUAUGUGACGCAAAUUCUGUACACUGGCAUUAGUGAUUUUGGAAAGAAUGGAAGGCAUACACACUUGAGAAAGAUUGAAUGAAACCCACUUAAGAAAAAUCAUCAGGCAAUCCAUCGUAAUUAAGAUUUUAAUUUUUUACUUCUUUUAAUAGUAUAUUCCUUACUCUUAAUACUACUACAAUUAUAUGAAUUUUAUGCAUCGGCAUAUUUAUUAAGAAAAAAUCUAUAAUAGAAAUUGAACAAGUCCUCAGAAGUUUGGUUAUAAGGUUUAAUGAAUGAAAUUAGACAAAUCACAAUAAAUGCUACGUUUUUCAUUAAUUCAAAAAUGUGUUAGACCAAUUAAUGUGGCCCCACGUAAUAUUAUAAAUAAAUUAAUAUUUGGUCUAUAUAUAUUAAAAAUCUGAUUGGUCAUUGAGAAGUGACAGUUUUGUAACUGCCCACUUUGAUGGAAAGUGGGUAGUUUUGACCUAAAAGAAAACUGCCUCUCUCUGCCUUUUUAACGUGAAUGAAAAACCAUCAAUAAGAACAUUCAAGAACAGUAAGGAAAAGAGAGAGAACAGUUUUCUUUAUUCUCACUGAUUUCUCUUUUGCAGAUUUAAUAAAUUCCAAUUUUCUUCAUAGAUCAAGGUAUGUUACUUGAUCAAAUUACUCAUACGUGAAAAUCAUAGAAUUCCAAGAUCUUGGCAUUAAAGUAUGAAUUCAUUGCUUACAUGUGGUAUCAGAGCACAAGUUAUGGAAUUCAUGAUUUUUCGUUAAAGAUUAAUGUUUUAUAUUCAUAGAUCUUUAAUUUUUCGUAUCGAUUUAUGGAUCAAUGCGUAAAAUAAGAAUGACAGAUUCCGCUGCAAAUAUGUUUCUGUUUUCUGAUUGACUGCUGUUAAAAUAAUAAAUGGAUCUUUGAUUUUUUACUGCACCGAUAUUAAUCUGUGAAAAGAGCAGUCCCUGUUUCAUCAGAAAAAUUACACAUCAAUUGCAUUUAUUAUUGUUUCACGUAUUAUGUAAAUUAACGGAUGGGAUGACUUCCGUAGAAAAUAUUAUUAAUUCUGUCAAACCUGAUGAAUUAUUAUUGGUUGAAGAAAAGUUGAUUUCUUGGUUUUCACAAUGAAAAGUGGAUCUGCCGUCCACUGUACGUAUAUAAUUUUGGAAGUUUCUGGGCUACCUUUCUGCCUAUGAAUUUAUGGGGACCAUUACCAUUUAUGACAUGAUUAUUAUAUGAAUAGAAAUUGGAAACCUGACACAUUGAAAGGAAAGAGUGCACGCCUAUAUUUAUGUCAAAUUGGCCUUUGUAUCAAAUGUUUAUUUCAAAAGGGCUCUAAUUCCAAGACAAUGGCAGAACUGUGUGCAUAUUAAUUUUAUACAGUAACUACAGAAGGUGGUACGCUCACUGUUGAAAUGACAGUAUAAAUGAGUGCCUAAUUUACUGUAGUAAUUCUGUAAUUAGUGUAGUUUGGGUGUCGAAUUUUUAAAGUAUCUGGGCCAUAUAUAUAUUAAUUACUGACUGCCUCACAUGAAUGAUUAAUUGUACCAUGUGAUUAGAUGACUGCUUCAAUUAAUUUAUCAUGUGUUUUGUGGCUGGUCAAAUGUACGUAAAUCUGAAAUUAAUGUUAUGUGAUAAAUAUUUUGUUUAUGUAAUUUAUGUUCAAUUAAUGUUGUUUGUUAGUCACCAAAGUGGCCAAACAUUAUGGGAUGUAAACAUUAAAUUACAUAAUUUAUUUGUCAAACACUCUUGAUAAUGUGAUGCUUAUAACAUGAAAUGACAUUAAAAUUAUUGAUGUCAAGAGUGUAUUGACGUUCAUAGAUUAUAAAAUUAUUAUGGAUCGCCCAAAGGUUGAUCGGUCAAUUUUAUUAAUCUUGAACAUGAUCGUGGUUAAUUGAUAUACUUAAUUGGAUGUGUUUUGUAUAUCCAAAGAUGACAGACAUGUUUGAUUGGAGUAUGAUUAAUUACCAAUUAAGUGAAAUUUAAUUAGCAUCACUAUGUUUAUUAUGAUGGUAUAACGUAGUAUCACCCAAAGGAGAACUACGGUAUACGUUUAUUGUUGUCCGAAUCUAAACUAAGUGUUUAAAUCAAAACUCAAAGCAUUAAUGUUAGAGCAUUUUAUAUUUUGCAGUAUCUGUUCCCAUUUCUCUGCAUUCGCAUGCUUCAUCUGUACCACUGUUCAAUGGGCUCAAUUUCUCUGACUGGUGUAAACAAGUCUAGUUCAACUUAGGUGUUUUGGGUUUGGACUUGGCACUUCAAGUUGAGAAACCUGCUGAUCUCACUGAUGAGAGCAGUGCUAAUGAAAAAUCUUUCCAUAAGGCUUGGAAAAGGUCUAACAGAUUAAGCCUAAUGUUUAUGCGAAUGACCUUGGCAAAGAAUAUCAAGUCUACUAUCCCUAAAACUGAGAGCGCCAAAGAAUAAAUGAAGUUUGUGGAAGAACGUUCCCAAACAGCUGACAAAUCGCUUGCUGGCACACUGAUGGGUACAUUAACCACCAUGAAAUUUGAUGGUUCUCGUACCAUGCAUGAGCACGUUACUGAAAUGAGUAACAUUGCAUCAAGACUUAAGACUCUUGGGAUGACUGUGGAUGAGAACUUCCUAGUACAGUUUAUCAUUAACUCUUUGCCUCCUGAGUAUGGUCCAUUCCAUAUGAAUUAUAAUACCUUAAAGGACAAAUGGAAUGUGAAUGAAUUGCACAGUAUGCUCGUGCAAGAGGAGACAAGGCUUAAGAAUCAAGGAACUCAUUCUAUUCAUCUUGUAAGUCGUCAAGGAGUUGGAAAGAAAUAUAAGAAAAGGUUUGGAAAUGGCAUUAAGCAAGGACCACUAAAGAUAAAUGAGUCUUCUGCCCAAAUCCACAAUAAGGAACACAAGAAAGAUGUGUGCCAUUUCUGUCGCAAACCUGGGCACCAUAAAAAGGACUGCUUGAAACGUAAGGCAUGGUUCGAAAGUAAAGGUAAGAUUAUUUCUUACGUAUGUUUCGAAUCUAAUUUGGCAGAAGUUCCUUAUAAUACUUGGUGGAUUGAUUCUGGAUGUACCACUCAUGUUACUAAUACGAUGCAGGGAUUCUUUUCAACCCAGACCAUAAAUCCAAAUGAAAAGUUUGUCCUCAUGGGAAAUCGAGUCAAAGCUCCAGUUGAAGCCAUUGGAACCUAUCGUUUGAUUUUAGAUACUGGAUAUCAUUUAGAUUUAUUUCAAACACUUUAUGUACCUUCCAUUUCUCGCAAUUUAGUUUCUCUAUCAAAACUUGAUUCCGCUGGAUAUUUCUGUAAUGGUGGAAAUGGAUGUUUGAAUUUGUUUAAGCAAGAUCAUCUUAUUGGUUCCGCUAUUCUUUGUGAUGGCUUAUAUAAAUUAAAGCUUGAUAAUCUUUUUGCUGAGACUCUUUUAACCUUGCAUCAUAAUGUUGGUACUAAACAUGGUUUACUGAAUGAACGGUCUGCUAACUUGUGGCAUAAACGUUUGGGUCACAUAUCCAAGGAAAGGAUGGAAAGAUUAGUAAAGAAUGAAAUUCUUCAUGACUUGGAUUUUAGUGAUCUUGGAAUUUGUGUGGAUUGUAUUAAGGGUAAACAAUCCAAACACACAAGAAGUACAUAGCUUCUUGAGAUAAUACACACCGAUAUAUGUGGGCCUUUUGAUGUUUCAUCAUUUGGUGGAGAAAAGUAUUUUAUCACCUUUAUUGAUGAUUUUUCACGUUAUGGCUAUGUUUAUUUGCUGCAUGAAAAGUCUCAAGCUGUAAAUGCUUUAGAGAUCUUUGUCAAUGAAGUUGAACGGCAAUUAGACAGAAAGGUAAAAAUUAUUAGAUCUGAUAGAGGUGGUGAAUAUUAUGGAAAAUAUGAUGAAACUGGACAACACCCUGGUCCAUUUGCUAAAUUUCUUGAAAGACAUGGCAUAUGUUCUCAAUACACUAUGCCAGGCACACCACAACAAAAUGGUGUGGCUGAAAGGCGUAAUCGUACUCUAAUAGAAAUGGUUAGGUGUAUGUUGAGCAAUUCAUCUUUACCUAUUUCCUUGUGGAUGUUUGCAUUAAAGACUGCCAUGUAUCUACAAAACAGGGUUCCUAGUAAGGCAGUUCCAAAGACUCUUUUUGAACUGUGGACGGGAAGGAAACCCAGUUUAAGGCACCUGCAUGUUUGGGGUUGCCCGGCAGAAGCAAGAAUUUAUAAUCCACAUGAAAAGAGCUGGACUCAAGAACAAUCAGUGGAUUUUUCAUUGGAUAUCCAGAAAAAAUCAAAGGGGUAUAGAUUUUAUUGUCCUAAUCAUAGUACUAAAAUUGUUGAAACUGGAAAUGCUAGGUUCAUUGAGAAUGGUGAAGUUAGUGGGAGUUUGGAACCACGAAAUGUGGAAAUAUAAGAAGUUAGAGUUCAAGUUUAUCUACCCUCAACUUCUUCUAAUGUUGUUGUUCCUCAAAUUGUUGGACGGCAUAACAAUUUACCUGAACAACAAAUAAAUGAACAAACACCCACAAUGAAGUUGCUACUAAUGAACCUGCAUUAAAUGAACCACAAGAAAUAGCAUUAAGAAGGUCACAAAGACAACGUAGACCUGCUAUUUCUGAUGAUUAUGUGGUUUACCUACAAGAGUCUGAAUUUGACUUGGGAAUUGUUGAUGAUGAUCCAGUUUCAUUUUCACUUGCCAUUGAGAGCGCCAAUUCUAAUAAGUGGUUAGAUGCUAUGAAAGAUGAGUUAAAAUCUAUGGAGCAUAAUGAAGUCUGGGAUCUCGUCGAAUUACCAGAAUCAUGUAAAAGAGUUGGGUGUAAAUGGGUCUUUAAGACCAAGCGCGACUCUAAUGGUAAUAUCGAACGAUAUAAAGCUAGACUAAUUGCCAAAGGUUUUACUAAAAAAAGUGGCAUUGAUUAUAAGGAGACAUUUUCGCCAGUCUCCAAGAAAGACUCACUCAGAAUUAUAAUGGCUUUAGUAGCUCAUUAUGACUUAGAGCUACAUCAAAUGGAUGUGAAAACCGCCUUUUUAAAUGGAAAUUUAGAAGAAGAAGUUUAUAUGGAUCAGCCUGAAGGUUUUUCAGUUAAAGGAAAGGAACACAUGGUGUGUAAGUUAAAGAAAUCAAUAUACGGACUUAAACAGGCUUCCCGUCAAUGGUAUCUUAAGUUCAACGAUAUCAUUAUUUCUUUUGGAUUUAAGGAAAACAUCAUUGACCGAUAUAUAUAUCUAAAGGUCAAUGGGAGCAAGUUUAUAUUUUUGAUUCUAUAUGUUGAUGAUAUCUUGCUAGCUACUAAUGAUCUUGAUCUAUUACACGAGACUAAGAAAUUUCUCUCUAAAAAUUUUGAGAUGAAAGAAAUGGGAGAGGCAACCUAUGUGAUUGGAAUUGAAAUAUUCCGUGAUAGGUCACAAGGAUUGUUAGGGUUGUCUCAAAAAGCAUAUAUCAAUAAAAUUUUAGAGAGAUUUAAAAUGGAAAAUUGUUCAGUGAGUGUCGUUCCAAUUCAGAAAGGAGACAAAUUUAGUCUCAUGCAAUGUCCUAAGAACGACUUGGAACGCAAACAAAUGGCAGCUAUUCCUUAUGCAUCUCUUGUUGGGAGCCUAAUGUAUGCUCAGACUUGCACCAGGCCAAACAUUAGUUUUGCUGUCGGAAUGCUGGGCAGGUAUCAAAGUAACCCAUGACUUGAUCAUUGGAAAGUUGCAAAGAAAGUAUUGAGAUACUUGCAAGGAACGAAAAAUCACAUGCUCACUUAUAGGAGAUCUGAUAACUUGGAGGUCAUUGGAUAUUCAGAUUCAGACUUUGCUGGAUGUAUGGAUACUAGAAAGUCUACAUUUAGCUAUUUGUUCCUCUUAGCUGGAGGGGCUAUAUCAUGGAAAAGUGCGAAACAGUCAGUUNNNNNNNNNNNNNNNNNNNNNNNNNNNNNNNNNNNNNNNNNNNNNNNNNNNNNNNNNNNNNNNNNNNNNNNNNNNNNNNNNNNNNNNNNNNNNNNNNNNNNNNNNNNNNNNNNNNNNNNNNNNNNNNNNNNNNNNNNNNNNNNNNNNNNNNNNNNNNNNNNNNNNNNNNNNNNNNNNNNNNNNNNNNNNNNNNNNNNNNNNNNNNNNNNNNNNNNNNNNNNNNNNNNNNNNNNNNNNNNNNNNNNNNNNNNNNNNNNNNNNNNNNNNNNNNNNNNNGGUGUCAAUCGAGCAUAUUAGCACCAAUCUUAUGAUUGCAGAUCCAUUAACGAAAGGAUUGCCACCAAAGACAUUUAAUGAACAUAUCGAAAGGAUGGGCAUUAUUGAAAAUUAUCAUUGACAUUAUUAUGUAAUUGAUGAUGCUUAUGUAUUGACACUUGGAGCUCAAUUAUGUAUUGUUUUUGACAAAUGUUAUUCCUGUCAUAAUUGUUGGUACAUGUACAUGAGUGAAUUAUCUGAAUGCUGACAGGAAUAGCCCUUUAAAGAUAUUAUUAGAAACUUCUCAUUACGUAUCAUGUUGAGUAAGGACUUAUAUUGUAGUACAUGGAAGGAAUUAUGCCAAAAUGAUGGUGUAAAAUCACCAUGACUCUUAUUCGUCAUUACUUAACGAUGAUAUAUUAAGUGACCAAUGUAUGAAGGAUUUUAGCUUAUCGUAUGCGCAUUAUGUUAUAGACCACAUAAUGAUGUAAUAUUACUCGGGCCAAGUGGGAGAAUGUUAGACCAAUUAAUGUGGCCCCACGUAAUAUUAUAAAUAAAUUAAUAUUUGGUCUAUAUAUAUUAAAAAUCUGAUUGGUCAUUGAGAUGUGAGAGUUUUGUAACUGCUCAUUUUGUUGGAAAGUGGGUAGUUUUGGCCUAAAAGAAAACUGUCUCUCUCUGCCUUUUUAACGUGAAUGAAAAACCAUCAAUAAGAACAUUCAAGAACAGUAAGGAAAAGAGAGAGAACAGUUUUCUUUAUUCUCACUGAUUUCUUUUUUGCAGAUUUAAUAAAUUCCAAUUUUCUUCAUGGAUCAAGGUAUGUUACUUGAUCAAAUUACUCAUACGUGAAAAUCAUAGAAUUCCAAGAUCUUUGCAUUAAAGUAUGAAUUAAUUGCUUACAAAAUGUCGAGAACGACAUUUUUAAAUGUAGAGAAAUGCCAUAUUCUAAAUGAAAUGUCAUUCUAGACAAAUGAAACGGUGUUCAAAUGUCGAGAAUGACAUAUAAAAUGUCGAGAAACAUUAUUUUAAUAUAACUUCUCAUGAAAGUCACUUCUCAAAAUUCGUGACAAAUUGAUAAAAAAUCAAAUGUCGAGAAUAUCAUUUUAAAAUAUAGCCUUUCAUUGAAGGCAUAAUAGAUAAGUUGACACUAAAUUCAAAUGAGUGAACACUUUUCAACUCAUACCCUUAAAAUUGAAUAUUCUUAAAAACGCCCAAUGAAACUAUUGAAUAGGUAAAAUUGUACUAGUUAGAAUCAUGUCUAUUCUUGGGGUCAAUGUACCUUCAAUAAAUUAAUGGGUAAAUAACACAAAACGUCUUUAUCUUUCAAUUUCAUUGUACAAAACAUCCUUAUCUUUUAUUUUUUAAUAUUUUCUCCCAUAUGUUCACCUUUUAUUGAGCAAAAAGUCAUUUUCAUCUUCUUUUUUUUUUUUUUUAACAAAAAGAUGAUUUUGCCCUUCCAUUUAAAUAAAACGAAAAGAAAAGAAAAUGAUUGAUUUUAACAAUAGUCCCAAAAUUUCAAAAAAUUACGAAUUAAUCACAAAUAUAUAAUUAAAAAAAAAUCAUUCCUCUCUUCCUGCACACACAUUGUUUAAUUUCAUUAAAUUUUUUCUGUAAUUAGUAACAGACACAAACCCAUUUUGUAGAAUUAAACAUCCAUAUGUCCUUUUGGUGUAAUUUCACUUCAGGAUAAUUCCUGGGUCAGAAUUUAGUGUUCAUUUCUUGAAAUUCCACUUGGGUAUCUUGAAUUUUGAAGUUAUUUUUCGAAAGAGAUCUUGAAGGAGGAUUAUGAAACGGGAUAAAAUGGCGAAAAGAUCCUCUUUUGGAAACAUUGUGAGGAGUCUUUCAAAUAUUACUAAUUCUUUGCUAAAUCUCAAAUCUCAUGCGACUGUGAAGAAGUUGCCCUCAGAUUCUGCUUCUGGCAAAGAUUUCAUUGACCAACUUGGUAAGGUAAUUUGUUCUGCAUUUUCUUUAUACAUCAUAUCUAUUAGCUUUUAAUAUAACUUUUUCUUUGAUAAUUAUUUUUUGUGAUUUAUGGUUUUUUGAAACAGGAAAACGUUGGAUUAUUGAAACUUGUUCGAGACAAAAAGUACUUUUUUUUAAUUUCUUACUGUCAGUGUGUUACCUUGAAUUGUAUAUUUGGUAUGCAGGGCGUCUGAAGAAGUUAGACAGUAUGAACAGAAUAAUAUAUAAAAUAUUAGCCUAUGGUUUGUUCAAUGAGAAUUGAAUUUUUUUUUUUUUUUUGAUCUUUAGAAAAAAAUGGGUCCUAUAUGUAAGUGCAAAAGUAAAAAAUGAUGGUUGAAAUAGUGGAAUAUCUGUUAAAAAAUUAAUUUUUUGGGGUGAAAAAUUACUACCCAACGGGCUUUUAAUCCUGCGGUAUCCAAUCCAUGCUGCCCACAAGUUUCUCAGAUUUUUUUUUUUUUUUUCAACAGUAAAAUCAUAGAGCUAUUAAAGAUUCAAAAUUUGAGAGAGAUGUUCAGAAGAUGUAGUUGCAGAACUGGAAUCUCGUACAAUCAAAUAGUUAUAUGUCUCGGUAAGUGCUUUUCGUUCGCAACCCUGGGCCAAAAACUGGGGGCUUAUUGGGGUGCGGGAUGGGGGGGGGGGGGUUGGCCGCGUAGCAUUUUUGUUUCAUUUUUGCCCAACUGGCAACUACACAGAUGUAAAAUAUUUUGUAGGAUAAUUUGACUGGUUUUUUUAUGUAUCAUAUUUCUUGUUAUCUAUGCAGGAACUUAAUUUGAGUAAAGAAAGUAUAAGCUUGACACUCAGAAUUCGAGAAUUGCAUCUUAUUUGUAGAGUGGACCUGGCUUUAAGCAUGCGGUUUCCUUUGUUUUUAACUUACUAUUUAUUUACCAUUGGUGAAGUCACUGUGUGUCUCGACCAGGGCUAGAGGGAUUUUUUGCCAUUAGUGAGUGAUUGUGUGAAGGAAGAAGAUGAAUGAUUUUUGUUUUUUUAGUUUUGAUUUUUAAUUACAUAUUUGUGAUUAAUUUGUAAUUUUUUGAAAUUUUGGGACUAUUGUUACAAUUAAUUUUUUCAUUUUUUUUUUAUUUGUAUAGAAAGGUUAAAUCGUCUUUUUAUUGAAAAAAUAAAUUAAAAGAACAUUUUGUAAGAUAAUGACGUCUUGUAUAAUAAAAUUGAAAGAUAUGAAUGUGUUGUGCUAUUUAUCCGUUAAUUGAUUAUACAUUUUGUCCUUAAGUUUAUUGUACUGUUUGACAUCUUUAAAAAUUCUAAAUUGUUUGUUACAGUAUUAUUUUUUACCAUAUAUUUCACAAAAUAUAAUAGUCUACACACAAAUUAAUAAGUUUUUUUUUUUUUUUUUUUACUUUUUAACUACACAAUUUCUUAAAAAUACUAUUCAAAAUUCUUCGACUUUUCAAAUAAUGAGCAACAAACAUUGACAGAUUAUUUCACCAGUCCACAUCAGCAUAUAAUUAUUGAUGAACAGUCCAUUUUCAAUUAUUAAAGUUAGUGUUGACAUCUCACAAACUUUAGGGCCAGUAGGUAAACUGGCACAUUCUUAUCUUUCAAUCAUUUUAUUUAUAAAAUAACUUUGCAAAGUAGAAGAGAAGAAAAUAUGGUUUCAUCCAUGGAAUUUUCUUCCGAUCUCAAUGAGAACCAAAAGACACGACUGUCAAACAAAAUUUAGACGAGAAAUUUCUUAAGAAGGACCUAAUUACUAGAGGAGGAAAUGAAAAGGCAACAUUAUUAUUAUUUUUUUUUUUAUAGGAAGAUUAAUUCUUUUUUAGUCUAUUGUUUAUGACAAAUCACCCCACUAGCUUAUGAAAGCAAUCCCAAAAUUAGAAGAGUGGGCUUUGAUAUUACUUAUAAGAAAAAGAAUCCUAAUAUAUGUUGUCUUAUGUGCAUUAUGAAAGCCAAAAUUGACAUAAAGACAUAAUUUCCGCCAUAAAUUGAUGAUAAAUGUCUAAAUCUUGUCGAUCCUAUUUGAUUUAGUUUUUCCCUCUACUACCCCAGAUUUUACUGGAAAGCAUAUAAAUCUGUGUUAUUUUGAUGUGCACAUAUUAUCAAGCAAAUAGGGAAUUUUUUUUUUUCACAAGUCCAUGUUUGGCUAAUGUUUAAUUUUAUUUUUUAAUAAACCGAUCAAAUCACUUUUUAUUCAUGGAUUUUAAAGAGGGUCACAAGUAUUAUUCACUUAUUCAUCACUUUUUAUUCAUGGAUUUUAAAUGUGUACAAAAACUUCCAAAAAUGCAGAUUAAUCAUGUAGUAAUUUCUUCUUGUACUCUUUUAUGGCUAAGUUUCUUGUAAUCAAGGAAAGAAAGAAACACAUUUGCCUUUCACCUUCAGCCGAAAAUGAACUUGGGCAGAGGAAUUAAAUUCGAAAAAUGAAAACUUGGACAUUAUGAAAUUUGAAUUAAGAAAAUUACUUAUUUUGACAAAUAAGUAACUUUUCAUUGAAGGCGUUAGUUACUUUUUUUAGCUUGCUAAAUGAUGUUUUUGUGCACUUCUCCUCCAUAGGCGACAGUGCUAAGCCGCUCCAGUCAAAUGUAUGAAGGAGAGAAAUAGCUCAUAAAUGUGAAAAUUACUUAGAAAAAACGAGAGUGUUCAAGGAAAAUGAGGGACCAACCCUCUAAUAUAUAUUUCUAAUUACCUUGUUAGAUUGGCAAAAUGGUUGCUAUGUAAGAACGCCUUAUAACAAAAAUAGCUUUUUAAAAGGUAACAUUCAUUGUAACAUAUAAUAAGUGUAUGUUGCCGUUUAUUACUGUAGUUGAGAUUGGACAAUGGUAUUUUAAUCAUAAUUGUUAUCACACCUAAAAUGCAAGGAUAUUAUAAGAAUUACUGUUUCUAGACUCCGUAGUUGUUUUCACACCUAUGAAAGCAUAUUCAGAGAGUCGAGAUCGAAGACACUAAUAUUUUAUCGAUAAAAAGCUAGUGAUCUGCACAUCCUUCAUGGAUUGAGGAUGGGCCUCAACAUCCUUCGUUAGUAAUAGGUUAAGCACUUUAUUCCCUAGUCAGUACAUGUUAGUGAUUUGAAAAUAAUGCAUUAACAAUUUUCUUUAUGGCACGCUAUGUUUUGCAUUAGCUUUGCACUAGUUUUAGUUCAAAUUUAAUAUAUUAUAUAUGGAACAGACUCUAUUUUUCUCACUUGGAAUCUCCUUCCUCGAAGUAUCCCUCUUUUGUAAAUUUCAACUUUAAAGGAAAAUCUUAACUAAUUAAACCAACUUAUUGAUCAAAUAUUGUCUUCUCUUAGAGACUGUGAAGAAAAACUAUAUGCUAAUUAUUUUUUUCUAGAUUGUUUUAUUGGUUUUCUUAGUUACAAAUUUAUGUUGACUUUCCUUGACUUUAAUUUUACGACAGAUUAAUUUUUUAAAAGAUUGUUUGUGUACUAAAUUUGGCUGGAAAAAUAUUAGUCAUGAAAUAAUUGAAAUAUUCCCUCUAUCCCAUUUAUAUAGGCAUACUUCCCUUAUUAUCUUGUCCCAUUUAUACACUCUUCUGUCUUUAUCGAGAAACCUUUUUUUUUUUUUUUUCAGCUUAGUAGCAUAGCUUUAUUUAAUUUGCCUAGUUAUAAUCAAUUCCUCUCACUUAAGCUUGAAAUUGUAUAGAUUUUAAUUUAUCUUCUUGAAAUUAUCCAAAUACAUGCCCACAUUUCCUACUACUUUUUUGAAACAUGAACAAAAAAAUAUUUCCCACUUUAUUUACUACUAGUUGUAAAUAAGGGUAGACUAGGAAACUUUUUUGCAAAAAUUGCUUUUUCAAUAAUAUUAAAAUAAAACUUCUUAUUCUGUGUGGGAAAAAAAUAGCCUAUACAAAUGGGACGGAGGGAGUACAAAUAAACAAAAAUAGUGUAUUAAACCAGAAAAUAAAUGCUUAAUAGCUUAUAAAGGAAAAAAAAAAUCUCUAAUAAUUAGUUGAAAUCCUUAGGUUUAAAAUCGAUCAUUUAGAUAACUUAAAUGCUUCAAACCUAGCAUUUGAGAUCCACAACACAAAUGCAACUUGUGCCCAUUGAUUUCUAGCAGUGCCCUUGCAGGAAUUACUUUUAAAAUCUAAAUUAUGCCCUGAACACAUGAUGUGUCCGGCCGGCCUAUGAUUUAAAAUCCUCAUUGUAAUAAUAAUAAUAAUAAUAAUAAUAAUAAUAAUAAUAAUAAUAAUCCAAAAAGAAUUAAUUUAGAUAUACAUUCGUAGAUGACAUUGUUGUUAACAUUGUGUGAGUUGUCAAAAUCUAUGAUAUAGUAUUGAUUGUCUAAAGUGUCAUUAAAAUCAAUAUAUAAUAUAUUGCCAACUCACAAUAAUGUAAUACAUGAUGUCAACACGCAGCAAGAUUGAUCCAAAAAGGCAAAGGAUUCAAAACUAAAACUUAUCCGCCCCGAAUAACUUCCGCAUUUCUUUAGCUGUCCACUUUGCAUUUAGUCCGACAACAUGAAACUUCAUAUGGCAUAUUCUAAGUUUAAAUAGGCGAAGACAGGCGUAAGGAUGUUAACGUUACAUUGUACCACAAGUAAUAACAAAUCAAGAAAGAAGGAAAUAACUUUUGCUAGCUAUGAUCAGUUGUAUGGUAGUUUAAUUCAUUCGCAAUUAUUUCUUCUUGAUCAUGAAUUCAUGGUAUAUAUUUACGAAAUGCCAAGAAAGAAAGAUGAACAAUUUAACAGAAAUGAAAUGCAGCAUUAUAUCUCUUAUGUUGUUUAUCACAUCUAAAGAAUUCAAUGAGAAAAUAGAGAAUUUAGUAAUAGUAUAUACUUGGUAAUUGUGAAGAAAUUUGGCUGGCGUGCUUAAUGGAACUACUGACAAGACGAAAUUGCAUUUAUCAGAAUGUUAGAGCCCUCGCCCAUUUCUCAGGUGAAUGCGCUCAUCUUCUUUAAAAGGAAUAGUUUCCCUUGACAAGACACGAAAAAGUAAAAUUCUAGCAAUUUUGAAGAAAGAAAGAAGGAAGGUGGUCUGGGUUUUCAAGAAAUUUACCCAUUUUGCAUUGUUUACAAGCUUUUCUUCGCAUUUAAGGUGAGAUAGUUUUGGUGCCAGGUCGGUUACAUGAUUUUCAAGUUUUAAAGUUAAUUAUAUGAUUUUAUGCUGGUAGUCUUGAGAAUUAGAAAUCAUAAUUCUAUUCCACCGAGAGCAAUCAAUUAAUAGAAAGAAAUAGGGAACAAUACAUAACUCACACCUUAACUAUACCCUAAUUCAAUUUUAAGAGAAAAGGUUUAAAAGUUCAAAACUCAUGUGGUAAUUAAUAAAUAUUAUAUAUAAAAUACAUUCUAACAAAUAUAUAUCCUAAAAUAAUGCUUUCAAUUACCAUACUCUACAAAACAACAAAUCAUAAAAAAUUUGGAAGACCAAGCAAGAGAGACCUUUCCACAGUAAUUUACCACCGCCGAAAUCUGAUUGUUCGAAAAUUAUCAGACUACUGCAAUCACAAAUUGAAAGCUAUCAGAAGAAAGAACAAAGAUAGAAUUUAUAGAGUACUCGUCGGAGCAAAUAACUUCGAAACCUGAUUAAUUGAAAUAUGUCGGAUAAUUUAAGUUAAAAGUUGGAAGUUGUCGGCACUAUGUACUAAAAGAUCGAACAAGAAAAAGAUUUACAGAGAACUCAUCGAAGCAAAUAACUUCAAUUCUCACCGUCAAAAUCUGGUUAAUUGAAAUUCGUCGGACAUUUGGGUUCACAAAUUAGAAGUUGUUGGCACUGUGUAUCAGAAUUUUUGAAGGCAACGAUCGAGAAAUCAAUGGCAUGUGACCAGUUCUCUUGAAUUUGUGACAUAUGACCUGUAAAUUGUGAUAUUGAUCCAAUGGCCCGUCACCAAUUCUCUUGGAUCUUUGGUCACCUAUAACCUAUAACAUAUAAGUUGUAACCUAUUAUCAGUGCAUGAAAAUAUACGACUCUGAUAUGUGACCAAUAAAUUUUGAUUCGUGGUCUAUUGGCAUUGAUCUGUGACCUAUAUAAUAUGAUCUGUGAAGUGCAAUAUGUGACCUAUGAACAUAAAUUAGUGAUAUGUGACCAGAUGGACAUGUGGCAUUUGAUCCGUGACCAAUUAAUUUUGAUAUGUGACCUGUUGACAUUAAUCUAUAGCCUAUAUAAUAUGAUUUGUGAAAUGUGACCUGUGAACUAAACAUGUGACUUGUAAACAUAAAUGGGUGAUUUGUGAUCAAUUCUAUUUGAUCUGUGACAUGUGGACAUUGGGUUGUCCACAUGUGAACAAAUAUGUGACCUUUAAACUGUGAACAAAUAGUGAGUCAUGAUUACAAAUUUAAUCACAAUCUCACACACAUAUUAUUUAUUGAUCGUAAAUUAUCUAUUUUUAUUGAUUUUAUAUUAUUUCUACAUCGCAAAUUAAUCCAAUUUUUUGGCUACAUAUCAUCUUUAUACAACCUCAACCCAACCAAAAACUAACACCAUAACCAUCAUUGGCACCGCCACCACUAGAACCCCCACCGUCACUUACAGCACCACUGUCACUGCCAACACCCACAGUGCAUCAUACCCGCAAAAACCACCAACAGCAAACAUGACAUCCAAACAAGAGAAAUAACUAACACACAAAAUAGGAAACAUUUGCCACCACUUUCAUCAAUCACCACAACUGUCAUCCAUCAUUGCUACUGCUAAGAAGUAAGAUCCCAAUACUGAAAACCACGUAGCUCGGAUUACUAGUAUAAAGCUCCUAGAGGAUGGAGGUUCUAACCGUCUCAAUGAUGCCUUCUCGAUUGCCAUUGAUCACAACAACUUUGCAGUCGCCACCGACGACGAGAAGUUGUUUGCUAAUUAACCGUAAUUUAUCCUGGUGAACGACUCUGUCUCCAGGAAAACAACAUAAACAGAAAUUCCCCUUCACUGCAACGCAGUACGCAACCAAGUGUCCCUCUAUGAGCCUCUGAGUGACGUCGAAAUGGGAUGGGUGGGUAGAGAAAGAAAAAGAGGAAAGAGAUAAUAGAGAAUAAAGAGCGACGUCGCUUUGGAAAGUUCACUUUGUUUCAAGCGCAGCUAAUAUGAUAAAAAUGAGCCAAAAUAUAUACAUGGUCAGACAACAGAGUCCAAGAACAUAUUUUGGUUGGUGGUCGAUGGCUAGAUUUGGGAGUGAAGAGAGAGAAGAGAGAAAAACGAGGGAUUGAUAGUGUUGGUGUUGGCGGGUGGGUAAAAAGUUGAAUUACUACCCAAUUUUUGAAUAAGUAAACAUUAAACUUUAUUUUUUAAAUAUAAUCUUUAAAUACCUCUCUCCCUGUAAUUUUCACAAAGAAAUAAAGACAUGCCAAAUGUAACGCCCCGUACUCUAGUAAUACGGAGGAUUACAAACAUGAGUCCUUUAGGGUUCACUCUUCCAUGCAAAAUUUCUGCUUUACUUAUCUCUUUAAACAAACAGCAAGCUUAAAUAGUGUUCUCCAUUUAAGCUGCGGGUUUACAACAUAAAAAAAUAAAAAAAUAAAAAAAUAAAAAAAAAAUUUGAUCAAGCAAACCUUGACGAAACUGUACAAAAUUUUACCGGAUGAUAAUAAACCCAUAUAUGUAUAACAUAUAAAAAUUUGGGAUCUCGACUAUAUUGUUUGAAGUACCAAUAUUUUUAGAGUAGGCUGGUCUGAAAUCCCGGAUCCAACAGUCACAGCUUACGAAAAAAUGCUACAAAAAUUUGUACGGGACUCCGAUUGACAAAAUUUCAGUUGCAUAUGAUAAAUAACUGAUAGGGCAUUAUUUUCCAUCUUGAGAUAUGCAAAAAUUCUUUUUUUUACAAAUCACAGUAAAAUUUCAAAGCAGUGGCAGAAGUUGGAAUUUAUUGAAAGACCUUGUUUCCCAGCUUCAACGAAAGAUAAACCUAAACUGAAAUUUAUUAGACUCGACAAGGAUUAUUUUCCAUAAAAAAAAUGAAAAUCUAAAACGUGAUAAAUAAAUCUCUCCAUAAUAAUUAUGCCAUCAAUGACGAGCCACUGCAAAAUCUUCGAUCAAUAUGAAAAUGUUAAAUAGGAAUGAGCAUCUCAAGAAUAAUCAGUAGGCUACACAAUUUAUAUAGAUUGCCUUGGUCAAUAAUUGAACCAAUGAUCAAACAUUUUACUUACGGAUCUGGUGAGCUUCCGCGACCAUCAGUUGAACAUAUAACAUUAAGAUUCUAAUGAGUCUCUACGACCAUCAGUUAAGCAUAUAACUUUUAUACAAUUUACAGUCAAGGGGAAAACCAUUAAGGAGCUUUACAUUCGUUCAUAAGCAAGUAUGAAGAAUAACAUAUAUGAAUGAAAAUUAAAUCCAUAUAAGAAUCAAUUAGUGUAGGAAUCCUACCUUAAUUAUUGGUGAUGACGUAGUCGUUGAAUCGAAUUUCAUUUCAAAACAUUUCUAAUAAUUAAAGGUGAAAUUGGAAUCUUUGUUCCCUGCUAUGUUUCGCUGGAUAUUUUUGAAAUUUGGAAUCCGUGUGCCUUUGAAGGUUGGGCGAAAGUUAAAUUCAAGGUAGUAGAAUUUGGAUAGGAAUAGGUUUCUCAUUAUAGGAUUAGGAUAGGCUUAACUAAUUCAAAUCUUUAAAUAAAUUUGACGUAAAUCCAAAUUGAAAUUUAAUUUAAAUUGCAUGAUUAAAAAAAGAAUAAAUAACUUCCAGAUAACUUUCAUACUAAACCAAAAUAUUGAAACACCCCAUUCCAUUUCACACGUCACAUUGCUGCCAAAAUUAAUUGAUUAAACCUCUAAUUAAGUGAAUUGAGCCUGUGAAUUCUUUGAACAUAAAUAUCAUGGGCCUACCUAAUCUGAAAUAACUUUUUCUCGAGUACAUAAUUCGCCAUUAAUAUGAGCUUCGAAACAAGCCCAAUAUUGAUAUGAAAAUUUUUGCUAGAUGAAUACUUGAUUAUUUGACCGAAAGACCUUUUUUUUUUUUUUUUUUGGGUGCAAGAUUUAUUUCUAACUUAGUCCAUUGGUAUCUCAAAUUAUAAAACAUGACAAGAUGAAAUAGAUUAAAAUUUAAUUUCAGUCGCUACACAAAAUUUAUAAAUGCUCAUCUCAAUGUGAAACUAUGUUAUCUUCUUACGUUAUAGUAAUUUACUAUGAUGGAAAAAGUUUACAAGAGAAAAUUGCACAUCUAUGAUCUUCUCUAACCUCUCUUUCUCUCUUUUAUGAUGAUGAUAUAAAAGAGUAAUAAAUGCUUCUACUUUAUAAGACAAAUUUAAAAAAAAAAAAAAAAAUUACGAGGACUCAAAUUUCUAAGACUAAAUUUAUAAGAACUCAAAUUCCUAAACUGUCAUUACUGAAAUUUUGGUUGAUCCUCCAUGAGCCAACAAUAAUUAGACUCUACAACUUAACAUAUAUUUGACCCCGGGUUUAAGAAUGAAUAUUAUGUAGUUUCCGAGAAUGAAUACAACGCACUUUUGUUUUUAUAAUUUACAUUGAAGCUAGAAAUUCUUGGCAACAUAUCUCAUUGAGCUUAAUUCCUUUAUUCUCAUUCCCUCUAAUACUCCAGGAUAUUGAUGGCUGCUAAACAAAGGGUAUAGAAUUUGACAUGUUAAGAUUUUUGGUGAAUAUUACGAAUGUAACUCUGCUUCUACCAUGUUGCGACGUUCUGUUAGGACUUGUGAUUCUAUCUUAAAAAAUCAACAUUAUUAAGAAGAGUAUCCCAAUUCUUUAUAAGUUGGUAUUCAUCUUUAUUCGAUGUGGAAUUUUUAUCCACAAAUGCCCCGCAAAAUCUGGCUCUUUUGAGCAAACAAAUCUUAAAAUUCAUGAACUCAUUUUUUAGUUUUAAUAAGAUCGAAUUGUUCGUUGAAGUUUAAUGGACUCUGAUACUAUGUUAAGAUUUGAGAUUCAAUUUUAAAAUGUCAACAUUAUAAUAAAGAGUAGCUCAAUCCUUUAUAAGUUAAUCUAUAUUUUCAUUUUUAUUCGAUGUCAAAAUUUUUUUUUUUUUUUUUUAAUUUUUACGAAAUUUAAAAAAAAAAAAAAAAAAAAAAAAAAAAAAAAAAAAAACGUUACUAUUCACGGGUACUGUUCACCCCCCGAAAUUUUUUUUUUAAAUUUAUCGUUUUCUGCAGUUCCCAAAAAAAAAACAAAAAAAAAGUGAAAAAAAAAGAAAAAAAAGAGAAGAAACAUCUUUUCUAUUAUUUACAGGUACAUCUUUUAUUCUGGUUGAUCUGGCUUGACUACUUCGACGAACGAAAGGGAAGUUCUUGUUUUUAUUUAUUGUUGGUUUAUAUUACUGUUUCAUUUUGAAAUUACAUCAAUUAAAUUUUUGUGCUACUGCUGAUCUAUUUUUAUCUAAACUUACGUAAUUGGAUCCAUUGACCUCGUUAAAUCUCACUUUAACCUGCUUAUUUUACGUGAUUAGGUUUUGGCUAGUAUUUGAUCAUUGCUUUAUUAUUUUACAUAUACUAGCAGUACUAGCUUGUUGUAUAUAAUUUUAGUCUCAAUUUAAAUUUAAAAAAAAAAAGCUCAAAUUUUUAUUUUCCAUUACUUGCACUUUUUGUUCGUUGAUCUCUCUAUUGUAUGUCAUUAAGUUGCUAUUACAGUGCAUGUAGUUACAUAUUGGUCAUCUUGUCACUUCUAGCUCUAGUACCUUAAACAUGAACCCCUCACAAUUCGAUGCACUCACCCGACAAAUAGCGGCUAUUCAAACUCAAAUGACCGCUACUCUUGAAGAGAGUAAGGCCCUAUCUGUUAGUUUGAAAAAUUUUAAACACAUCCCUCAUUCGAUUGAUGUUGAUAAUUCUAAGGUGUCCCCAUAAUAGACAACAUCGUCGACAAGGUAAUGAAAAAUACUUUCGACCCGAUCGUAAGGAUAGGGAUAGAAAUAGGAUCAGAUUAGUGAGCGAGAACGAGAUAAUUUUGAAAUUUUUACUCAAUGGAAUGCCCUUAAACAAGGAAAUCAAUUAGUGACUGAGUAUAUCGCGCAAUUUAAGGAAUUUCGAACCAAAUGUCAUUUAAUUGAGGAUGAGAGCACGACUUUGAGUAGGUUUAGCCAAGGCCUGAGAAAUGAUCUUAAGCGCAAGCUUUUCCUUCGAGGUGUCACUACUCUUGAUCACACUUACUCUUUAGCUCGAGAUUAUAAGUUGAUUAUUAGUACUCCAUAUGACAAGCAUGGUCAUCGUCGCUCAUCCAUCUCAUUAGCGUCGCCUCAUCAUAAGUCUAUCAUAAAACCGUCUCCAUCUAAUGUUCCUCCUAUUUGGAAAAAUAAUUGUAAAGGUCGUGAUAGUCCAAGAUCUUCUUUUCCAUGUAGAAAGCAUAUUGACGAUCAUCCUUCGGUGUCAUUGGCUCCAAUUCCUCCCGUUAAGUCCUUUCCAGGACCUCCCCCGUCUGAUGUUCCUCCAAUUUUGAAAAAUAAGGGUAAAAUUUUUUAUAAUCAUCAUUUGGCUUUAUUGGCUCCACCUCCUCCCAUUAAGUCCCUUUUAAGACUUCCCCCUUCUAAUGGUUCUCUAAUCUUGAAAAAUCAGGGUAGAAUUUCUGAAACUCCAAGGUCUUCUUCUCACUUGUUGUGCGUCAACUGUAAAGACUUUGGUCACAUAUCUUCUAAAUGUCCUAAUCGAACCUUAGUCAUGGAAGAACGAAAGAAUGUAAUAGAGGAGCCAUUAGAAGAUCUAGUCUAUGAACCUAAACUUGAAGAUUUUGAUGACUAGUGAGGACAUUUCCUUAGGUGGAAUCCAGACUCUUCUCGAGACUUUGGAUACUAUACCCCUUAUCUCCGACAAUUCUCGAUCACAUGUUAUAUGUCAUACCAUUACCCAAGUUAAAGAGCUUGAUGAUGUCACCAGUCACCCUUGAAAAAUCCAGUCGCCUAUGGUUAACACUAAGGCAAACUUAUCCACCACCGACCAACCUCAAAUUGAUGGUCAAAACAAAAGUGCUAACCAAAAUCCUAACAAUUUAUUACAGUCUCUAGUCCAGAAAAAUCUUGGGAAUUGGGACUUGAUCCCUCCAACUGUUCAAAUUGCAUAUAACGAUCCUGUGAACUGGUCUUUAGGUCUAAAACCCUUUGAAAUUAUUCUUGGUUGUGAACCUUUGAAACCUCUAGACCUUAUUCUCAUGCACCCACAUACUUGUGUGUCUAUGUCAAUUGAGAUAGUUGUAUCACAUUUUCAUAGCUUGCAUAUUGAGAUCAAUAAACAAUUUGAAGCAAGUAAAGCAUUAUAUAAAUCUCAAGUUGAUUGGCAUAAACAAUACUUUGAAUUUAAUAUUGAAAAUUAUGUUAUAUUGCAAGCGUGUAAUACUGAUCUUUUUAAAAUUUCAAAGCAUGUUGGUCAAAAUGCCUAUGUCAAUGACCUUUUAUCAAAUUAUGACCACCACCCUAUUUUAUUUGUUACGGACUUCGAUGCUUACAACGGCUAUUUUAGCCCCUCUGAUGACCCGUUUCUACUCCCACAUGAGAAUUCUCACACUGAAUCUUUUGCCAUGUCUGUUUCAAUCCCACCUAUCACAGCACACAAAAAUAAAAUUGAUGUUAUUUUGGAGAACAGCUUGUGUUGACCAAUAAUAGAGAGAUUCAGUGCUUUCUUGUUCGUUGGAUGGAUCGACUUGAUUCUGACGGUACAUGAAUUCCCAAAUAGAGACUUCAGCG